AUAAUGUUUCUUUUUGGAUAUUAAUAAAAAAUUAAAUUAUCAAAUUAAACUCAAAAAUAAAAUAAAAACAAAAAAGGUAUAUAUUAAUUUUUGUGGAAGCUCACGUAUGUCUAAAAAAUUAAUAUCGUAAAAAAUUACAUUAUCAAUUCUUUUAGAAAAAUUAAUAUUUUAACUCAAGAGUGUGUUCUACAAAAAUUAAUAUAUAUAUUUUUAUUUUAUUUUAUUUUUUGGUGUUAAAGUGGUAAUUUAUUUUUUUCUUUUUAAUAAUGUCUAAAAAAAUUAUUAUAAUAGGGUUUUUUUUUUAAUAAUGUCUAAAAAAUUAUUAUAAUAGGGCAAUAUUAUAAAAAUAAGUUAAAAGGAACAAAAGAUAAUGGCAAAAGUGUCAAUAAUUUAAUGGUAGGAAUGGUUUGAGGUAUUUUUAAAAAUAUAGGGACUAAACGGACACUAACUUCAAAAUAUAGGGACUAAACGAGCUGUAAACUUGCCCCCCCGAAAAAAAAAAUCCCAUCAAGUAAUCAACCUCUUGAACAGAAAAGCCUGAGAUUUCAAAAACUGAACAUAGAAACUUGACAUUUUCUUAUAUGCACGAUCAAGAUCAUUAUGUACACUGACAAAAAACCAGAGAAAACUCAUGCAUGAUUGGGUUUCAUCUACAAACACAAUUAACCAACAAGUAAUUUUUAAAAAAAUUAAUUUCUUCAAGCGGAAAAGAAACCGUCAAAAGCAGUAACUGUAAUCUGGCUCUUAGGCUUCAAUACCCACUUGACAAAUUUUCUGAUCUCUUUACUUUUUAACAAUUGAGAUGCUCUGAAGAAGGCUCAUGAUGAACUAGACAUUCAUGUUGGUGCAAAUAGGCAAGUGAAUGAAUCUGACAUUAAAAAUUUAGUUUACUUGCGGGCUAUCCUCAAGGAAACAAUGCGUUUAUAUCCGGUUGUGCCACUUUAACUACCUCACCAGUCGAUGGAAGACUGCACUGGCAGUGGUUACCAUGUCCCUCAUGGAAACAAUGCAUUUAUAUCCGGUUGCGCCACUUCAACUACCUCACCAGUCGAUGGAAGACUGCACCGUCAGUGGUUACCAUGUCUGUGCAGGCACGCAACAUUUUGUUAAUGCUUUGAAGGUUCAUCAUGACCCAAAAGUUUGGCAGGAGCCUUGAAAAUUUCUGCCAGAAAGAUUUCUUACAACACACAAGGAUAUUGACUUAAGGGGACAAAACUUUGAAUUGAUACCAUUUGGCAGUGGUAGAAGAAUAUGUCCUGGAAUUUCAUUUGCCUUUCAAGUUAUGCCACUAACCCUUGCUUAUCAAUAUUCUUAAUUAUGUAAAUCAUAUUUUUUAUUAAUUUUAAAUUUAAUUAUGUAAAUUAAAAAUUAUUAAUAAGAGCAACACAAAUGAAACAUUAUUAUUAAUAAUAUAGUACAAAAUUAAUAUUUUCUUAUAAUAAACUAUUUAUUAUUAUUAAUUAUUAAUAUUAAAUAAAUAUAAUAUUAUUAUUUAUUUUAUUUUAUUAAAUAUAAAUUAUUAAAUUUAAUAAAAGGAGGGUAGAAAAGGAAGAGGUGGGAGUGUCAUGAGAGUCCCACUCCCACUGCCCACUCCAAAAAUAGGUGGAGCCCACGAAGUGGGAUUCUAAAUUCUCUCUUAAAAUGUUAAAGUAAAUAUUGGAGUGGAAGAAAUUCACAUUUCUCACUCUCACUUCAAAAAGUAAACACAACGAAAGAGUAGAUAACCUUUGUGUUUUAAAAAUUUCAAAAACUUAGAAAGGGCAUUUCAGGUAAUUAAUAAUAAAUGGAUUAUUAAAUAAGGGUUGAGAGCUACAAUAUAUGUAAAUCCACACUUUAUGAAGAAAUAAUUUAUAAAAAAUCACAUUAUUUUUCAAAAUUUAAAAUAAAGAGAAAGUUUAGCAAUUAAUUAAUUUUAUCCAAUUCUUUACAUAAGUCUGUUGACCAUAGUUGAUCACUAAUGUUGUUUAAACAUAAUUUAAUUUGAGUAUAUUUUAUCCGAUAACAAAAAAAAAAAUCAAAUUGUCCAAAAUAUAUCUGCUGUACGGCCAAGGCGGAUGUACGGUACAGCAGUUUAUGAUAAAUAUUUGUUGAAUAUCGGUACAUAUAAAGGAGUAAAAGAACACAUAUAUCAAAACACGUAAUAUCAAAACUCUUAGAGAAACACAUAUAUUUAACAAAUAAGCUUAUGAUAUAAAUUAUUAAAAUUAAACCAUAAAAUAAUUAUUAUGAAAUUAUUUUUUUAUUGAUAGAGAAUGUCAUAUAUUUGAAUUAUUUAAUAUAAUUAGAAGAAAAAAAGUAAAUAUGACUGUGAAGUUAAAAGUCAUGAAAGUUAUAGUUGAAAAUGUUGUUAAUUGUUAUUGUGUUCCAUUUUGCAAUUAGACCAAACCAUAUAUUCAUAUAUAUGGUGAUGUUCCAUUUUCUAAUACUAGUGACAAUGUUAUAACAUAGUUACUAUAUUCCAUUUUGCAAGUUUCUAAUACUAGUGACGAUGUUAUAAUAUAUAUUGAUAUAUGUUUCUUUCAAUUAGAUCAAAUCAUAAUAUUUUUUAUAAUAAGUUAAAGCAAUAAUAAAAUUUUUACCUCCUAAUGAUUUCAAUUAGUUCAAGAAAUAUAAAAUUAAAUCAUUUUAUAAAACAAAUCUCUAACUCCUAUUGAAAGAAAAAAUAUAGUUGAAUGAGGGACAAAAUUAAAAAUAAAAUAUAAACUCUAUUAUUUUAUGAAAUACUUAGUUUUCAAUUAAUGUUUUCUAAAUGUCCCCUUAUUUGUCCUUUAAUGUAGAUUGAAUCAUUAGUUGGUCAGAAUUUAAAAUCUUGACAACUUUUAAUUUUGGCUCUAAUAUAAGCUUACAAAUGUAGGCAUGUAGCUUGCUGUUAGAUUUGGUUAUGCGCUGAUAAAUUUUUUAACAAGUGAAAAAGAGAAAAGAGAGAGAAAUUACCUUAAUUUGAUAAGGAAAUUAGCAAAUAAGAGGAAGAUAAGAUAAUUUACGGUAACAAAUAAAUGAUAAAUUCUGAUUUUUUAGAGAAAAAAAAGAGUAAAAUAUGUACUAAUGGAGCGUUUACAUUUUGGAUUGGAGUGGUAAUCCUAUGAUUGAGAGUGUGGAGUGGGAGUGGGAGUGGGAGUGGGAGUGGGAGUAGAUUGUUUACUUACAGUGGAAUGGAAGUAUGGAAUGGAGAUUAGAAUCCAAUUUAUGUAUUUACUUUAUCUUGGAUUUGGAGUAAAUAAUUUCAAAUUACAAUUUUACCGUUAUUUAAAAAAUUAUAGCUUUUAAUUACAAAGUUAAUAAAAAAUAUAUUUGAUAAAUAAAAUUUUAUUAUUAUUUUUCAAAUUAGGGUGGAAGUUCUGACUAAGAUUUGGAGUGUAGAGUGAGAUUGAGAGUAAGCUCUUUACUUACAUUGGAAUAAGAAUAUGAAAUAAGAAUUAGAAUUCCAUUUAUAUGUUUAUUUUGUGUUGCAUUUGGAUACUUUGUCUUGGAUUGGAGUGAAUUGUUUAAAUUACAAUUUUACCAUAUAUAAAGAAUUUUAGGUUUUUAAUUACGAAGUGAAAAAAUAUAUUUGUAAAAUAAACUAUUUAUUUUAUUAUUAAUUUUAAUUACAUAAAUUAGUAAUUAUUAUCAAUAUUCUUAAUUAUGUAAAUCAUAUUUUUUAUUAAUUUUAAAUUUAAUUAUGUAAAUUAAAAAUUAUUAAUAAGAGCAACACAAAUGAAACAUUAUUAUUAAUAAUAUAGUACAAAAUUAAUAUUUUCUUAUAAUAAACUAUUUAUUAUUAUUAAUUAUUAAUAUUAAAUAAAUAUAAUAUUAUUAUUUAUUUUAUUUUAUUAAAUAUAAAUUAUUAAAUUUAAUAAAAGGAGGGUAGAAAAGGAAGAGGUGGGAGUGUCAUGAGAGUCCCACUCCCACUGCCCACUCCAAAAAUAGGUGGAGCCCACGAAGUGGGAUUCUAAAUUCUCUCUUAAAAUGUUAAAGUAAAUAUUGGAGUGGAAGAAAUUCACAUUUCUCACUCUCACUUCAAAAAGUAAACACAACGAAAGAGUAGAUAACCUUUGUGUUUUAAAAAUUUCAAAAACUUAGAAAGGGCAUUUCAGGUAAUUAAUAAUAAAUGGAUUAUUAAAUAAGGGUUGAGAGCUACAAUAUAUGUAAAUCCACACUUUAUGAAGAAAUAAUUUAUAAAAAAUCACAUUAUUUUUCAAAAUUUAAAAUAAAGAGAAAGUUUAGCAAUUAAUUAAUUUUAUCCAAUUCUUUACAUAAGUCUGUUGACCAUAGUUGAUCACUAAUGUUGUUUAAACAUAAUUUAAUUUGAGUAUAUUUUAUCCGAUAACAAAAAAAAAAAUCAAAUUGUCCAAAAUAUAUACUUCUGUGACAUAAGUUGAAAAAAUUAAAAUUUGGAAUGUAUGCUGUAUCUUUUUCCCAAAUUUUGUAUUGAUAAUCCCAGAUUAGGGCAUGGAUUGAAAACUCCCCAAUUUUGAGUUACAAAUCCCCAAUUCGAUGUGGGCAUUAACUACAAAUCCCCAAUUUAAAUAAACUCUUAUUUAAAUAAGAGUGAGUUUGAUUGAAUUUCGGCUUAUAAAUUAAAACAAUGCAGUUUGGGAAUGAUGUGCUUCCAAGAGGCUCUCUUUUGUCUCAAAGAGACGGCCACCUUAAUUUUAUACUUAUUCGAUGCAACCAAAAAAUAAGGCCACUUUAAUUUAUUCAGUUUGAAUAAAAUCAAUUCCACCAACCGAGAUCCCAUUCACUGUCGUCAACAUUAAUUGAAUUGAACAAGCUAAUUCAAAGAUAUGCACGCGUUUUAUUUCUGUUAAGGGGAAAAUGUCAAUAAAUCUAUGGGCUAUCUGAGUAAUCGAUUUCAGUUGCCGAAACCAGUACGAGUCUAUUCACUAUGGUUUGAGGUGUUGUAGCUUAAAAAAAUUUGUAUUUAUGAAAAAAAUUAAUAAUAAAUAAUAAAUAUAAAUUUUAAAUAAUAAUUUUGACAAAAUUAUUAAAGAUAUAAUAUAUUUUCUAUUAUAUAAGUGAAAAAUCAUAUCAACAUAAUUUCUAAAGUACAGUAGGUAGUGUUUACCAAAUACUUUAAUGUUGUAUCUUUUAAGGUACAGUUGCCUAAUCUUAAUCUCAAACGUACCAUAUAUCUUACUACAUUAAAUAAAAAAAAAUACUAGUCUGAUUUUAAUACUAAUUUGCAAAGCCCCCUCUAUUGGCGGUUCAAAUUUUGUCGACUAGAAUUGUUCUUACAUGUUAUCCACCUCAGGCAUUCAAACAAUUCACAUUCUCAAUUAAUCAAUUAACUAAAUAAAUUGACUUGUAUAAAUCAAAAAUGCUAAAAUUGUAAAUGUAAGCCUUACUAGCCAUUUCACUUGAAUAAAUUGGAAAGGACUUCUGAAUUGAUCAAUUAAUCAAAAAGACAGCGUAAAUGUUUAAACGAGGAGUAGCGUGUGACACGUAAGCCUUAAUUAAUCAAGUAAUUAAUUGAUAAAAAAAAGUUAACAAUAGAUGUAUGUGGCACACACAUGAGCCUUGAAGGAGCCAAGACCAUAUUUUAUUCACACAACUUGAUUAAUUCUCUUCCAUGCUAAGUUCAAAGCCAAAAUUAAUUAAUACAACUUUGGACCAUCGAUCUCUUCUUUGAAGCAAGAAUUUUAAUUGGAUUAAGAAACGACACUAAUAUUAAUUGAACGAUUUUGAUGAUGAAAACAAUGAGUUCAUCUAAGAUUGAGACUUUUAAUUAAUUUGAAGCUAUUAAUUUUUGGAGUUGGACUAUUGGCACUCUCUAAAAAUCGUUUAAAUCUUUUUUUUUAAUUAUCUUAUUAAAAUAUUUUAAAUAAUAUAAAUUUCUUAUGACUCCUCUUAAUUAAAAUUCAUUCUUAUAUAACCCCACUCUUACAAUUUUUUUUAGUAUUGUUCAAGCGUCUUAUGAUGUCAACAGCCUUUUUCUUUCCUUAUCUAUUUUUUCAAUUCUUAGUAAUACAAAAUAUAUUCUUCUUACUGACUUACUCCAUGUUAACACAAACUCUUGUUACCGCUUAUUUUCUCCUCAAUUAAGUCCAUUCAUAAGUGGUAAAAGAGUUUCCAUUAUAAAUGCUUUCAACUUCAAAGAUUUGAAAAUUUUAUUAUAAUAACUUCUAUUUUCAACACAAAAGCAAUUCAACCUAAUGUUGAGUUCUUCAUCGUGCUUCCAUUGGUGAAUGCACAUGUGCUCUAUGCCAUGCUACACCCUAGAGAAAGAAUGAAAACAAAUUCAAUUUUUGUAAGAAAAAUUACUGCUACAGUCACAAAAUUUGAAAAAAUAGUCACAAAGACACCUAAAUUUUUAAAAGGAAAACACCAAAAACUUCCUUUUAACUAUUAUAUCAUUUGAAUUUAGUAUUUAGAAAAUUGACUUUGAAGUUUUUUAAUUAAUACAGAUUUAAUAGAAAUAAUAUAAUCAAUCUAGUAAACUACCAAUAUUAAGUUAUUUUUAACAUUUAAAAUAAUAUUAAAUUUUAUUUAAUAUUAUGUUUCUAUUUAUUAUAAAAUUUUGGGGUUAAUUUUUUUAAUUUAUAGAGUUAAAGCAUAUUAUGGUCAGAAGCGGAUCUUGGUGUCCCUUAUUAAAAACUUGGGGGCCUUUGUGACUAUUUUUCCAAACUUUAGAGGGUAGGUGUCUUUUUUUCUUUUUUUAUAUAUAAAAAGAUAAAUUUAUUUAAUUAAGAAUUAAAAAAAAAAGUGCGUGUGAUGGUAAGGGAUCCAACUCUAAUUUUUAUUUAUCAAGCAACGAUAAAGACUAUGGCGAAGCUUUUUAACACACUUUAGUGUAAUUUAUAAAAUACUAACUUAUAAAAUAAAAAUCAAUCAUCUUGUCAUAAAUUUUAACUUAAAAAUAAUUCUAAAUUUUUAAAGAUUUCACAAAAGAAAAAAAAAAUCUUCAGUUGAUGUUUAAAAUAUAAAUAUAAGGGAAAAUUAUAGCUACACUCUCAAGGUUUAGAGAAACAAACAUGAAGAACCUAAACCUUCAAUAAGAGACAUUAAGACUUCUUCUAACCAUAAUACCCUUUGGUUCUAUUAAAUUGACUCCAAUGUUUUACAAAAAAUAGAAAUACAAUAUUAAAAUAGACAUAAUAAUAUGUACACUUUAUAUAUUUAAUAUUAAAAAAUACUUUAUUAUUUUACAAUCUACUAGAAAAAUUAAAUUAUUUAUAUUAUAUUUGUUAUAUUUAUUAAAAACGUUAAAUUUUUUAUUUACUAUAUUCAAAAGAUAUUAUAGUAAAACAAGAUCUUUGUGUUCCUUAUUGAAAAUUUAGAGGUCUUCAUGACCAUUUCUCUAAACUUUGUGGGUAUAAUUAUUCUUUUCUCUAAAUAUAAAUUAUGAAAUGUGGUGGGUGUAAUAUAUAAUUAAAAGAAAAUUUAUUUUAGCAUUUAAUUGAAUUUUGAUUAAAAAAAAGAACUAAUUUAUCUUUAGUUAUUUAGGUAAUUUUGUUUAAAGAGGGGUUUAAGGAGAUUUAGAGGAGUGUCAAAAGUAAUUAGUUUUUUUUUUCAUCGUUUGGAAUUUUGAUUCUCUUCUAGUUUCGUUUCUCAUUAUGAGAUUUUUCUGGCCAUCUAAUAUAAUUUAUCUAGAUUAUAAGUUAUUAACAACAAAACACCUUUAAUACAUACUUUUGAGAACUAAAAUGAUAAAAGAAGAGAAAGUCAAAGAAAAUCAAGACUACAACUUUCAAUAAAUAAAUAACUUUAUUUACAUGGAACUAAUAUCUAUUAUUCUCAUAUUUAAUCUAAUUUUUUUUAUAAUUGUCUGAGUACUGAAAUCAAAUACAAAAUGAGAAAAGAGGGAAUUGAACGAAAAAAAAAACAAAGAAAAUAAAUUUACAUGGGUUAUAGAUUAUGAGAGUUUAUUUGAAUGAAGAAGAAAGAUGGGUGUCCCCCCCCCCCCCCAAAANNNNNNNNNNNNNNNNNNNNNNNNNNNNNNNNNNNNNNNNUAAAAUCGAAUAAAGAAGAAAGUGGAGAUUUAAUUAGGUAGGGUUGGCAAAAAAGUCCGGGUCAGACUAAGCCCACAGGCUUGAGGCUCGGCCCGCAUCAUGGAAAUGAGCCCAAAAAUAAGCCCACUCUGAAUGCCCCUUGUUAGUACGGGUGGGCAUUUGGUUCGAACCGAACUGAACCAAACCGAACUAUAUUAUAGUAAUUUGGUUCGGUUCAGUUCAUGUUAUAAAAGUAAAUGGUUCAAAUUUUCUGAACCAUUUGGUUUUUAAUUUGCUGAACCAAAUGGUUCAGUAAAAGAAUUGAAAUUAAAAUUAAAAAAAAAAGGAAAGUGAAAAGUGAAAACCUAAGCUAACUAAAACACACAUUUCACUAUUUCAAAUUAAAUCACACAGCCACAUAAGCAAUUAACCACCCACCAUCUGAAACUCUUUUUCUCUUUGCCGGCCACUACACACGAGUAAUCAGCCACCGCUCAUCAUCCCCACCGUCAUUAGACUCAUCAUCAUCGUCGUCAGCCUGUCACGGAUUCAUCCAUCGUGCUUGUGCCACACGCUGCAACUUUCAGUCCAUUGAGCUUCAGUCAGCAGACUCGGCACCAUCUCUCACUCUUGUUCACCGUCAGCCACACCUUCCUCACGCCAUCACCGUCGCUGGUCUUGCCAAACUGCUGUCAAGGACUCAAGGUGCGUGAGACAGCCAAUUACUUCUAAUUUGUUUUAAUCUUUGCUCUAAUAUCAUGACCGAACCGAACUGCUAUCAAUAAUUGUAUUGUAAUUUGUCAAACUAUCUUGGGCCCUUAAUAAUAUGUAAUGGAUUAGCUUAAUAGUUAAUAGCUUGUAGAAACAGCCACUAAUUUAAUCGAAUUAGUAAUAAAAAUUUGUAGUAAUACCUAGUGAUAUAAUUGAAUUAUUAUUAAAAAUUAGUUAGUAAUGUCCACUGAUUUAGUCAAAUUAAUUUAUGGUUUACAAUGUUACAAUUAGUUAAGUGAUAGAAUUAUAGAAUAAAUUAAUUCGUAAAAGUUAAAUGGGGUUGACCUUCCGUAGUUGACUAUUGUUUGCAAUAUUUUCAGAUGGUUGCUUCUUCAAAGGUCCAAGACAAUAUUGAAUCCUGAAGCAAUGAAUCUGACCGUGAAACUGAAGUUGAAAAUGAUUCGUUAACAUUAUCCAAUAGUAGUGGAACAAAGAGAAAAAGAGCUUCAAUACCCAGAAAAGCAAUGUUGCCAAGAUCCGAGGUGUGGCAACAUUUCACUAUAUUGCCAAGUGAUGCAAAAAAGUGCACAUGUAACCAUUGUGGUGUAGAAUUUCGUAUAGGGCACGAGACUAGCACUUUAAAGACUCACUAUCAAGAUAGGUGCGAUAAAUAUAAGAGCUUCGAGAAGGAUCAAACAGUUUUAACUAAAGAUGUUGGUAGUGAAGAUCUUUUGGCAAGGGGGUUUAGUUAGGAUGCUUGUAGACGCGCAACUGUAAAAAUGAUUGUUUUUUAUGAAUUUCCAUUUUCUGUUGUAGAGAAUCCAGGAUUUAAGCAUUUUUGCAGUGUGAUUGCUCCUAGGUAUAUUCUUCCAUCACAGAGAACUAUUACUAGGGAUACUCUUGAUUUGUUUGUGGAAGAGAAGACUAAGUUAAAGAGCUUAUUGGUCGGGAAUAAGCAAAGAGUGUCUUUGACCAUCGAUAUUUGGAUUUUUAUUAUAACAGCUAGCUAUAUGGUCUUCACAACUCACUUUAUUGACACAGAUUGGAGCUUACAUAGAAGAAUUAUUAGUUUUAAUAUCGUUAAUGAUCAUACAUCAGAGACGAUUGGCAAGAAACUUAAAAAAAUGUUUGAUUGAUUGGGGUAUAGAGCCAGUCUUUGCAGUAACUGUAGACAAUGUAAGUGCAAAUGAGGGUGCCGUUAGGUAUUUAAAGGAUAGAUUGAGCACGUGGAGAGAUGAUUCUUUAGUGUUGAAUGGGGAUUAUAUGCAUGUCUGUUGUUGUGCACACAUUUUGAAUUUGAUAGUUAAUGAAGGGUUGAAAGAAAUGGAUGCGAGUAUAGUUAGUGUUCGUAAUGCCAUGAAGUACGUGAGAUCUUCCACUGCAAGGAUGCAAGCAUUUCAAAUUUGUGUGAAUCAAGAGAAGAUUAAUUGCAAGGGAAGUGUGAUUUUAGAUUGUCCUACAAGGUGGAAUUCCACUUAUAUGUUGAGUACGGCAUUGAAGUUUAAGUCAGCAUUUGAUCGAAUGGCAAAUGAAUAUAAGUUUUAUGAUGCAUAUUUCCGUGAGAAAGAAAAUGGGGAAAAAAAAAGGAUAGGACCACCAUUAAAUAGUGAUUGGGAAAGUGCUCGCCGCAUUUGUAAAUUUUUGAAGACUUUUUAUGAUGCUACUUUGCAAUUUUCUUCCUCUUUGAAGGUAAUAUCAAAUUUUUGCUAGAAUUUAGUUUGUCAAAUUAAUUAUUCUUUGGCUUUAAUAUCUAAUAGCAAUUUUUAUUUUUUUUUAGUUGACAUUAAAUCUUUGCUACAAUUUGAUAUGUCAAAUUGAAUCUACUUUGAAAUCCUUGUGUAAGAGCAAUGAUUCUGAUUUGAGUGCCAUGGCAACUAAAAUGAAGGACAAAUUUGACAAGUAUUGGGAGGGCACAAUCAAGAUAAACAAGAUGUUAAUUGUUGCUUGUGUACUUGAUCCACGAGGCAAAAUGAAAUUCGCAACACAUUGCUUCGAGGAAUUGUAUGGCCAGGAUAGUGGCAAAUGUAGUGAGAUGAAAGAAAUGGUAAAAGACUUGUUUGUUAAACUUUUUGAGUCUUAUAGUGCACGGUACUCUAAACCCAGUGGAGUUGGAAGUGCAAGUGCAAGCAAAAGUGCAAGUGCGAGCCAACAUUUUGGGAGUGGUUGUGGUUUGACUUCUUGAGAGUUGGAUGAUAUUGAUGAUGUUGCGAUCGAGGACCCUUUUCUCCUAAUUUAGUAAGAAAGUUACUGUUAGUGAAGAUAAUGCGGAAUUAUUAAAUGAAUUGGAGCUAUACUUGAUGGAGAAGACUGAAAAAAUUGCACCAAAAAAUAAUUUGGGAGCUAAAUUUGAUAUUUUGUUAUGGUGGAGGGUGAAUAGUUCGAAUUAUCCGAUCUUGGCAAAUAUAGCAGGAGAUGUCAUCGUUGUUCCAGUGUCUACUGUUGCAUCGGAGUCCGCCUUUAGUACCGGAGGUAGCAUACUAGAUCAAUAUAGAAGCUCAUUAACUCCGGACAUGGUUGAAGCAUUAAUAUUGACACAAAAUUGGUUGCGAUCAUCUCUUUUCUUGGAUGCGACAACAAAUCUUAAUCAGUUAGUUCAAGAAAAUGAGUUCAUGGACCAACUUUCAGAAGGUACGUUGUGUCAAUUUAAAUUUAAGUUUAUUUUUAGUAGUUUUGGACAAUUUUAAUUUGUUUUAACUUUUGUUUAUUUAGAGUUUCGUAAAUCAACAACUGCGGACCAUUUUGGUUUUGGUGUUCUACAUUGAGUCAUUGAGACUUUGGUUUAAUAUGAAGAAUAAUAGGUAAUGAAGUUAAUUUUUUUUUUGCUAGUUAGUAAAUGUGAUUAUAUUUAUAUAUGUCAUAGCAUAUAUUUUAAUUUAUUCUAUUUAAUUGUUGGUGCUUGGUUAAUGAUUUAUUUUGACUUGGAGAUAUAAUAUAGGCAUUGUGGAUGUGGAAAGAUGAAGAGGUGGCGAUAGAAAGAGUGCUUUGUUGGCCAUGGAAGUUUGAAGUUUCUUUUGUAAUAUGUAUUGGAUUUUUAAAUUAUUGUUGGAUUUUAUGAUGUUAAUUUACUAUUGUUAAUUUUGUUAUGUUAUUUAUUGUGUGGAUUUCUAGAUUUUUUUUUGGAUUUUAUUAUGUUAAUCUACUAUUGUUAGAUUUUUUAUGUUUAUUAUUUGUGGAUUUAAUAGACUAAGGAUUAUUGAUUUAUUGUUGUUUUAAUAGUGUAUUACCAUUAUAUCAUUUUAUUAAAUAAUGAAUAUAUAGGUUGAAACCAAACCAAAUUACCGAACUGAACCAAAUCAGUUCAGUUUUAUAAUUUGGUUCAAAAAUUCAUGAACCAUUUGGUUUCAGUUUGAUUCAGUUCGAGGCCUGAACCGAACCAAACCUAAUAGUGCCCACCCCUACUUGUUAGGGGUGGAAAUAAUACCCGUCCGGUCCGGACCUUGACCGCACCCGGGCAUUUUAGGUCAGGUAUGAAGCCGGGCCGGUCUUAAGCAUCACUUGAUAAACCAAGAACUCAAAUUUUAUUAAAAAAAUAUUAUAAAAUAUAUAUUAUUUUAAAUAUUUAUAUUUAUUUGACUCAUUUAUUAUACAUAUAUAAAGUUUUAAACACUUAAAGUUCAUAUUUUCAUGUCAAAUUUUAUUAAAAUAAAUUUAAAAUUUAUAAAAUUACUAAAAAAUAAAAAAUAUACAGAUAUAAUAUUAAAAAAUAUAAAAUCUGGGUACCCGAAUUAAAGUCCGGCACAACCCGGCCCAGACAUAUAUUGCAUCCGGGUCGAGUCCGAUCAUUGUGAUACCCAAAGUUUUGCCAACUCUAGCCCUGGUUAAGGGCUUUUGCAAAAAGGCCGGGCUUUAAUUUAUAAAUUAAAAAAUUUUAAAAAAAAUAAAAUAUUCUUUUUCAUUGAAAGAGUUGAAUCCCUCAUUCCAUUUUGAAUUAACAUCCUUUUUAAUAAACAUGAGUCUUGAGCUUCUGCAUAAAUUACAAUACAUAAACGUAGUUAAUAUCUAAAAUAUAAAUAAUUUUAAUUUACAAUAAUAAAUAAUAAAAAGAAGAGAAAAAGAAAUACAAAUAUUUGCUUAGAGGUGACCGGCCAAGUCCAUUCAAGGGAGCAAUUAAUAUUUUUUUGUUUAAUAAUAAUAAUCAUCUUAAUUUAAGUGUUUUCGUUAACUUAUAGUUUAAUUAAAAAUUUAUUUAACAAAAUUAUGGAAGGCCCAAGCCCUGCCCAGAUCCGCUCAAAUUGAAUGGGCUUUCCAGGGCUUGGACCAAGUAUCAAUUCUAUGGGCUGGGCCUAGGCUUUGAGAAAGCCCAGCCCAAACCAACAAAUUACCAACCCUAUAAUUAGGUGACUAGUUUCAGAGUUAACGUCUGUUAGCAUUUGCGUUAACGGUUUUAAUUUUAAUAGAGCUUUCGGUUUUUGUGUAGGGAGACACAUAAUCCAAAUUUAAUUAAAUGGACUGGAUUUAUUAGAUACUAGAUAGGCCUUAAAAUGGAGUUGGAGCGAAUCUAGAAUUUUGAUGAAUGGACCCAAGACCGGAGGUAGAUACGUGGAUAUGAUAAGGCCCGGUUCAAGAUUCAUAUCCAAUAAUAUUCCUUUAAUUUUAUUUUUUUAAAUCAAUUACAGUAAUAAUAAUUUACUCCAAAAUAUUUACAUAUCAAUUUAAGAGAGGCCAUAUUUCUUCAUCACAUCUUCGCCAGCUGCCGCUCGUCACUCACUCGCGGUUCGAGCUGUCAGGGUCAGGCAUAGUAAUUUUGAAAAUUAUCUGUCUCUUCUGGCACGUGCUGGAUGCGUGAGAUUGGAAAUUUGGAAUCACCUUGCAAUAAAUUCAAAGUGCUCUUCCUGACUCUUACUUUUCGAUUGCUGGGUGCUUAGAUAUGUAUUUAUGAAGUUGCUUUCUUUACUAACACUUAUCCAAAAUUGUUAGGUUUAGACUUUUCUUUUCACUGUUCUAAAGACGUGCUUUGUAUUUUAUAAUAGCAAUUAGUUAUUCUCUGAUUAAUUUGACGUGCAUGGUUGGUUACUUGGUUUGAUAGUUGGAUGUAAUUAACAAUUUAAUUGAUUGGGAGGAAAAAAAAUUAAAACGAAGCCUAGGUAGUCAUUCAAUGUACAGUUGCUAGUUAAUUCAGGUGGAAAUUAUAAAAUCUAGUAAAAUCAGAUGAAAAUUGUAAAAUCUAAUAAAAUUAAGUGAAAAUAAAAAUAAAAUUGCUGUAACUAUAAUGUUCGAACCGAACUGAACUGAAUUAAAUUAAAUUUAAUUUCAUAAUACAGUAGAACCUCCAAUAGAAAUAUUCUAUAUAAGAAUAGCUUGUUCAUAGUAAUAAAAAAUUGUGAUUCCAAUUUGCGACCAGUUAUAAUUAAAAAUAAACUCCACAUUGUAAUAAGUUAUAUUCUUUGUAAGUUCCGUCUUAAUAAACUUACCUCUACAUAAUAAUAAUAUUUCAAAAAUAUAUGCCAUGUUACAUUAAAUAAUUAAGAUGGAACAAAAUAUCUUUCUAAAGUUGCUUGUGACAAUGAUUUGUUCUUUAAAGUUACAACUACAUUUUUCAACUUGCGGGUAUAUAUUAAUUGGUUAACAUAGACACUUAGUAAUUGGUCAGCAUACACACUUAAUAAUUGGUCAAUAAAAUAAUUAAUUUAUUAAUGUAUAUAUAUUAAAUUUGACUCACUUAUUAAUUUAUUAAUACAUGACAUUAUUUACCUCUAUAUCACUUGCAUUAGGGAUAAUUAAGCAAAGACAAUAAUUUUUGUACUAUACAUCUAUUGAAUUAUAACAUUUUUAUAGGAAUAAAUUUCUCAAUUCCCAACAAUAUGACUAUAUAGAAGUUUUAGUGUAUUUCGGUACAAUUCAAAAAUUCGAUUUGAUUUAAGUUCUAUUCUUAAGAACCGAACCUUAUGGUGCCUACCCCUAGGUACUUGUACAUGAAUGAUAAGAUCUAGUUCAAGAUUCCUACCCAAUAUUCCUUUAAUUUUAUUUUUUAAAUUAAUAAUAGUAAUAAUAAUUUACUCUAAAAUAUUUUGAUAUCAAUUAAGAAAGACUAUAUUUCUUCAUCUCAUCAUCAAUAGAAAGAAAUGCCAACCAACUCAAUUUGAAAUUAAUUAUUUUUCUCAAUAUUAAUUUAUCAUCAUUGUUUCAAUGGUUAACAAUAGGGUAACGUUUGAUAGUCAUUCAGUCAAAGAAUGAGCAAAAAUUAUCCUUCAUAAUUCACAUUUAUAACCUAACAGAAAAAAAACAAAAAUGCAAGACUUUGGUUCCUGAGUCAUGAAAUUGGAUAGGAAAAUGAAAAAUAAAAUGACUUGGUCAUCGAAAUUUUAUGUUAGCCAUGGGUCAAAGUAGUAAACCGGCAUUUUCUAUGACUUUAGAAGCUUCCCUUGGUUUCACAAAGCAACAAACUGACUGGAAAAGUAAAAGUGUUUGAAUUUUGUUAUAUCUUAGACGAGUCUCUUCCUAGGUAUGGGAAUUAUUUGUAAAUAUUUUGUUUGAUUUAUAAGCUUGUCCUUAAUAGUACAAUUACUUUAUAAGUACUUUAGUUAUAUAAAAUUUUAUUAAAAUAAGUGUUUAAGGGUAUAUUACCAAUUUUGUAAUUAUCUUAUAAUCAUUGACUAGACGAAACUUUGACUGCAGACCUUACGCUACAUGCUCUUAAAUUAUAUCUAUGUACCAGACAUUGAUUUGAAGUAACCUCUUCAUUCAGAUCAGAGUCCCAGAGCCAGCAAAAAGCAAUUAGAAAUGGCCAUUCUUCUUACACUAGAAUCAACUGUUCUUGCAAUAAUUUCAGGUUUUGUAAUAUUUCUCUCACUUUUACUCUUGAUUUCACUAAAUGGGCGAACAAAAAAGACACAAGCUCCUCAUCAAGCACCAGUAGCUGCGGGAGCAUGGCCUUUGAUUGGCCAUUUACAUCUCUUCGGAGGGCAAGAGCCAACUCAUAGACUUUUGGGCGACGUGGCUGAUAAAUACGGUCCAAUAUUCACUAUGAAAAUGGGCUUGAAUCGAGCUUUAGUGGUCAGCAAUUGGGAAAUUGCCAAAGAAUGUUUCACCAUCAACGACAAACCCUUUGCAAAUCGUCCCAGAUCAAUGGCCAUGGAUCUCUUAGGGUACAAUUUUUUGGCCAUUGCUGCCAGCCCAUACGGCAACUACUGGCGAGAGUCUCGCAAGAUGGCCACCAUUGAGCUUUUAUCAAACAAUCAACUUCAGAAGCUGAAACAUGUACGAGAGUCUGAAGUGAAGGCUUCCAUCAAAGGGUUAUUCGAGAAUUGCAAAAGGAGCAGUUCACAUAAGGUUUCAGUGGAGAUGAAGCACUGGAUUGAGGGCAUUGUACUUGAUAUUAUCAUGAGAAUAAUUGCAGGAAAACGUUACACUUCACAAGACAGUUCUGAUUUUCAAGAGCAUGCGACCAACUUUUUUGACUUGUGUGGUAAGUUUGUGGUGUCUGACGCUUUACCGUUUCUGAGAUGGCUGGAUAUCGGCGGAUACGAGAAAUUAAUGAAGAAGACAGCUAAAGAAUUUGACCUCGUUUUCCAAGGAUGGUUGGAUGAGCAUAAGAGCAAAAGAGGUUCUAGCGAGGUUAAGGGAGAUGAAGACUUUAUGUAUGUGAUGCUGUCCUUGUUUGAUGACAAAGCAAAGCAGCUUCCUGAUGGCGAUGACACUGACACUGUUAUUAAAGCUAUAUGCCUGGUAUUGUCCUGAAAAAAAUUGUUGAUAACAUGUCAAUUGGCAAAGAGCUAUUUUAUAUGCAUAAUCGAUCUGACUCCUACUUUUGCAGUCUCUAAUCUUAGCAGCUUCAGACACUACCGCAGUAACAUUGACAUGGGCUAUCGCCCUACUUCUCAACAACCGCGAUGUUCUAAAGAAGGCUCAAAAUGAACUAGACGCUCAAGUUGGUACAAAUAGACAAGUGAAUGAAUCAGACAUGAAAAAUUUAGCUUAUUUGCAGGUCAUCCUCAAGGAGACACUGCGUUUGUACCCCGCUGGGCCACUUUUAGUACCUCACGAGUCUAUCGAAGACUGCACCAUCAGAGGUUAUCAUGUCCCUGCAGGCACACAACUUAUUGUUAAUGCUUGGAAGGUUCAGCGUGAUCCGGGAGUUUGGGAGGAGCCUUGUAAAUUUCUGCCAGAAAGAUUUCUUAAAAAAUACAAGGACGUUGAUCUGAAGGGACAGAAUUUUGAAUUUAUACCAUUUGGAAGUGGUAGAAGAAUGUGUCCUGGAAUUUCAUUUGCCUUUCAAGUUAUGCCACUAAUACUUGCUUCAUUACUACAUGGGUUUGAUUUUGCAACCCCAUCAGAUGCACCAGUUGACAUGGAAGAGGCAAAAUCCUUGACCUAUGCUAAAGCUACUCCACUUGAAGUGCUUCUUACUCCACGCCUUUCUGCUUCUUUAUAUGAUUAAUUUGGCUUUUGUAAUACUGAAUGUAUGUUUUUGUAUCACCAAUAAGAAGUGAUUAGAUGUGAUAAUGUCUAUUACCCUGAGGGUUUAGUUUUUUUUUUUUUUUCCCAGAAUAUAAGUUGUUGUGCUAUCAAUAAGAAGCGAUUAGAUGUGUGUUUAUUUAUAUAUUUAUAGAACAUUAUGCUAAGUUAUAAUUUGUAGUUAAGGUCUCCAUCUUUAUGGGAAAAAAGUUUUAUAUUUAUCUUAUUAAAGCGCGGGUCCAGAUUUAAAAAAAAAAAAGAUGCAGGGCAGGAUAUGCUAUCCUAACUCAUUUUGUUUGCACCAAACAUAAAAUUAGAUUAAUGUUUGUAAAAACAAUUUAGUCCCCAGCUUUUUAUCCCUCAAGGUAAUUAAUUAAACUAAAAGUUUAUCAAUGCAACUAUUCAUAGUUAAUUAGUUUCUCAUUAAUUUUUUUUACAGUGAUAAAAAUUUCAGCUUACCAGCCCUCUUCGUAAAUUGACGUACUUCAAUUUAUCAAGUGAACUUGAGUGAUGCAGAUCAAGCAAUUAAUUAAAAGGUAAAAGCUCAUUUAGUCCCUAUAUUUUAAGAUUAGUGUUUAUUUAAUCCCUAUAUUUUUAAAAAUGUCUCGAAACAUCCCUGCUGUUAAAGUAUCGAUACCUCUACCGUUACUUUUUAUUAAUUUUUGACUUACUUUUACAAUAUUACCCUUUUAUAAUAUUUUUUUUGUUUGGACAUUAAUAAAAAAAAUAAUUAAAUUAAUAAUUUAACCCUAGAAAAUUAAAAAAAUUAUAUUAAUUUUUUUGUAAGCACCAUUUGGCAUUUGCACACUUGGUGGUUUGCAUAUAAUUUUUAACAAUUUAAUUUUUUAUAAUUAAAAAUUAAUAUAAAUUUACUUUAAUUUUUAGGAUUAAAUUGGUAAUUUAAUUAUUUUCUUUUUAUUAUCCAAACAAAAAAAUUAUUAUAAAAUGAUAAUAUUGUAAAAGUAAGUCAAAAACUAAUAAAAAGUAACGGUAGGGGUAUUAAUACUUUAACGGCAGGGAUGUUUCGAGAUAUUUUAAAAAAUACAGAGAUUAAAUAGACACUAAUCUUAAAAUAUAGGAACUAAAUAAAUUUUUACCCUUAAUUAAACUAAAACAAAUCCUCGUGUACGUAGUAACAUGCAGAUCAGCUCACUAGCCCUCAAGGUGUAAGCUACCGGACUGCACAUUUAUUAGAGAACCAGAAUUCAGAGACAUCAGUGUCCAGGCUAGUGGGCUGUGGCUAUAUGGUAGAUGAAAAUUCUUUUAUUGGCCAUAGCUAAUUUCAGCUGCAGGAAAGAUUAGGCAGUAGGAAAUAUUACACAUAUCCAGUAAUUUUAAGGUUUCAGCAGGUUCGGGCUUUCAGUUCGAUUUAUAAAUUCUGUAGAGCUCUUCUAGUAUACACACGAGUUGAUUACCAUAUUGUGCUAGGACAUUAAUUGGCAAGUCCAAAAUCAAUUGCAGUUGGCAGAAUCUUUAUGACAAGCAGUAAUAAAAGGCGAAUUCUGGAAAAAUAUAAAGGGAUUUUUAAGUUUUGUUAGCUUUCCCAAGUAUUUAUCGCACAAUUCACAGUCCAAUCACACCCAUAAUAUUGAUGCCUUUUUGAUAAUCCUAUACAUUCUGAAGGGGUAAAAUUUGGGCAAAUUUAUUUAUGGACGUGAUUCAGUUCCACAGAAUUUUUAUUUUUAUGGACUUGGAGCGUAAUCAAAGACAAUCGAUAAAAAUUUCUCCUGCUACGAAUUUUGCAUCAGUAAUACUAGCAAACAUCAUGUUAAUUUGCCCCCCGAAAAAAAAAUCANNNNNNNNNNNNNNNNNNNNNNNNNNNNNNNNNNNNNNNNNNNNNNNNNNNNNNNNNNNNNNNNNNNNNNNNNNNNNNNNNNNNNNNNNNNNNNNNNNNNNNNNNNNNNNNNNNNNNNNNNNNNNNNNNNNNNNNNNNNNNNNNNNNNNNNNNNNNNNNNNNNNNNNNNNNNNNNNNNNNNNNNNNNNNNNNNNNNNNNNNNNNNNNNNNNNNNNNNNNNNNNNNNNNNNNNNNNNNNNNNNNNNNNNNNNNNNNNNNNNNNNNNNNNNNNNNNNNNNNNNNNNNNNNNNNNNNNNNNNNNNNNNNNNNNNNNNNNNNNNNNNNNNNNNNNNNNNNNNNNNNNNNNNNNNNNNNNNNNNNNNNNNNNNNNNNNNNNNNNNNNNNNNNNNNNNNNNNNNNNNNNNNNNNNNNNNNNNNNNNNNNNNNNNNNNNNNNNNNNNNNNNNNNNNNNNNNNNNNNNNNNNNNNNNNNNNNNNNNNNNNNNNNNNNNNNNNNNNNNNNNNNNNNNNNNNNNNNNNNNNNNNNNNNNNNNNNNNNNNNNNNNNNNNNNNNNNNNNNNNNNNNNNNNNNNNNNNNNNNNNNNNNNNNNNNNNNNNNNNNNNNNNNNNNNNNNNNNNNNNNNNNNNNNNNNNNNNNNNNNNNNNNNNNNNNNNNNNNNNNNNNNNNNNNNNNNNNNNNNNNNNNNNNNNNNNCGGGAAAAAUAUAUAUAUAUAUCCCCAUCAAGUAAUCAACCUCUUGAACAGAAAAGCCUGAGAUUUCAGAAACUCAAACAGAGAAACUUGACAUUUUCUUAUAGCAUGAUCAAGAUCAUUAUGUACAGUGGGGAAAAACAAAAAACAGAGAAAGUAAGACAGAAAACUCAUGCGUAAUUAGGUUUCAUCUACAAGCACAAUUAAUCACCGAGUAAUUUUUUUAAAAAAUUAAUUUCUUCAAGCCGAAAAGAAACCAUCAAAGGCAGCAAGUGUAAUCUGGCUCUUAGGCUCCAAUACCCACUUGACAAAUUUUCUGAUCUUGAUCCCAUCAGCCACGAUCGAAACAUUAACAACAUCAGCAGUAGUAGCAGCAGCAGUAGCAGUAGCAGGAGCAGCAUUGUUAUUUUGCUUGAUAGUCAUCUCUCUUUCAGCAGCCAGUUUCCUUAAAUUAUUGACCCUCCUCUCAUAUUCUUCAGCAACCAGCAUAGCAAUAUCAGCCAUGUCUCUUUUGAAAUCAAUUAACUUUUUUUAUUUUUGGUAAUUUUUGUUGAUCAAUUGAGCAUUCGAAACUUUUUAUACAAGGGAUUUGUCGGUCGCAUGAAUGGAUAAGACGGACAGGUAAUCCUGUGAUUUUUAAAAAUCAUUUUUUUUAAUUUUUUUUAAUUCGACGUGUGUUGUUUGUUUUAGAACAUGGGUUAGUAGGGGGCUGUUUUGGUUUCUAUCGACUUUGGAAAUGCGCAUCCCAUGUUCUGUUUUUUCAAUUUUUUUUUUGUUUUUUUUUCUUAAAUUGUAAAAAUAGUUAACAUGGGGUAGUUGAAAACUUGAAACGAGCAAACCAUGAUCGGCUUCCUUAUUUAUAUUAUUAUUAUUUUUAGAAGUUGCGUCGAUCAAUUAGAAGUUGAAAUACUCGAAAAAGAAAUAUGCUUUCACACCCACUGAAAAAGACUCGAACUGUCUUAAAUAAAAUAAUUAAAAACAAAGGCUAAUAAUUGAUUUUGGGAUAUUCGAGAAGGGAAAUAUGAGUUCUCAUAAAUUUUUAAAGAUCUUGUGUCAUAUAUUUUUAAAUGAUAGUGUAUGGAUAAGAUUUUAUUUUUUAAUUUUCUUAAUUUUAUUAACUAUCAAUCACCGCAUGUAUAUUUAUUAAGGAGAAGAUUAAAUCAGAAGAGAAUUCUGAUCAAAAUUAAGUAGUUAUUUUUCAAAUUUAUUAUCGUAUUAUUAUUACAAAUAAUGCAACUAGUUUAUUUUCUCCACUUUCGUAAGGUGUACACCAAAAUGGUGUGUUGCGUCAAUCUCAUCACGCUUGAAUCCAUAAGCUGAAAGCCACCCGUACUUUGUUUUAUCUAUGACCUCAGAAAAUUGAUUAUCAAUUCUAAACUUAAGCUUUUCUAAAGUUUUCAAAACUUCCUCUAUAUGUAUCUUCUCCGAAAAUGAGAAGUAUGAAAAUUAUUUAUUUAAAAAAUUUUCUGAUUUCAAAUAAAUAAUUAUUUUAUAUUAUUACAUAUCCUUCAACAUUUAUUAGAAAGUAGUGUGAAAAAUAACUGAGUGCGCACAUUAGUUUUUACUUUAUACCGAACAUCGGCAGGGUGGUGACGGUCGGUGAUAAAACCAUCGACCGAAAACCAUCAAAUCCAAUGAAACAAAAACUGGUGGCAAUUUUGUAAUUGACAACAUAUUUAUAAAACCACUGUCGUGGUAAGAACAAUAGUAAAUUUGAUCAAAGAUGGGCACGCGUCUCUUGAUUGUUAGACAUCACAUGACCCACAAGUCCCCCAAAAUAAUAUUAUAAAUAUCUCCUCCAUCUAGACAAAUCUUGGUUGACAUUGAACGAUUAGCUAGACUUCAAGUUUUGCUCCGACUUUUUCAUUUAUUUAUCAGCAUAUUAGUAAAUGAUUUAAAAAAAAAAAAAUCUUCAACUGCAACUCAAGACCAAUUCUAUUAAAAUGUUGACAGCAAGUCUACUUCUCAUACUGGUUAAAUUGUUUAUGGUAAUUUGCUUGACACAUUGAAUUAGCCACAGCCACGCAUGCUGCUUACAAAUUUUGUUUUUAACACAAAUAAAAAGGCGGUGGUGCCAUUUGGAUAGCUCGUGCUGGAGUUGGUUUCAUCAGCUCCGAUGGCGAUGUGUGGAUGUUCUAAUUGCAUGGGUCAAGAAUCGUGGAAUUGACUAUCCGGCAAAUCAUUUUUGGUUUGGUAUACAUACUAUAUGUUCUGUUUAUGCAUGGUUGGCUCAAUUCAUUCAAUAAAUGAUAAAUAGAUCAAAUAUAAGAAAACCCAUAGGUCCCAAUUAUGACAUUAAAGCAACUUGCACAAUUUAAUCAGCGAUGGCAAUCUUUCACGCAAAAGCUAUGUACAAUAUGUGGAAACAUGAACUUACUUACAACAAUUAAACCUGCGUUUGUGUGAGGUUUAAUCAAUAGGGGCGAUCUUUCACGCGAAGGCCAUGCAUACGAGAUACCAUCAGAAAUAUCAAUUGUCGCUCCUGGUUUUCUUGCAACUAUGGAUAAGCAAGCAGAAAAUUACAGUAGCGUGGGCGACAAAGCAAAGUAAAGGAAAUUUUCACAGGUAACCAUUCACAUAUUCGUAAAUGUAUCCGAACAGCGUAGACAGCGCCUCAGAUUUUCAUCUGGAAACUGUAUAAGACUCGUUUUUGAGAUCUACAUGAAUCGAAAGCAACAUAGUAAAGACUGACCUACCAAAAUCGACAGUCAGUCCGUCUUUGCAGUAUAUUAGUCUUGGAAACCAAGACUAUGAAUCCUUCAAAUUAUAGGAGACCUAGCGAUUUCAGCUGCUGAACAUGCUCAGGUGGGAGAGGUGCCGGAGACCAAUCAGAUCCUGUCAUCUCGCCAUCAACAUCCUCAACAACAUACUCCUGGCAUAACACAUCAGAGCAGAUUCACAAGAAAAUCAAAUAAACUACAAUACACAAUGACUGCAAAAUUAAAUUUAAGAGUACAUAAGCUACAUCUUUAGAUGAUAUUUCAAAGCAUCAAUAACGCAAGCCAAUCAAAAGGCUAGUCAAAACAACUCAAAACAUACUUUAUUUUAUUUUUUGGCUAAAGAGAAUUAAUGGAAGUUUGGAUGCCAAAAAGAAGUGAAGUCAAUGUAAAAGAUAAAACCUCAGAACUUAUAAGCACACUUGUCAGGACAAAGAACACCUGCUUCACUUGACGCGACAUUUUUUUUUUCCCCUUCAAAACAAAUGAAAUUUUAUUGCCCCAUCCAUUGGUCUAUUAAUUAAACCAUCAUUCGUCCAAAAAAAAAAAGAUUAAAGAAGUGAUACUAUUUUUUUUAUAAUUUUCCAGUUGCUUGAAACAAAUCUAUUUUCAGCGGUUCAGUUGAAGCUAGAAAGUUAAUGCACCACAAUGAGGCAAUCUUUUUAUAACAUCGCAUAAAGAGGAAAAAAGUAGCAUCAUUAUCACCCAACUUACUUUUGUUAGCAUUCGUUUUGCAAGUAUGUGAUAAUGCCGCUGCCAAAUCCGCUGUCCAACCAUUGUAGCCACCAAAACACUGUAGAAUAUUCCAAUCACAGUAAACAAUCCCAGCACAAUCAAAGCCAUUAUGAAUAGCAGCGGUAGCCCUGCUUCACCAGCACCGCUCAGGCAACCACAUUCACUUGCUGUACUCGCACAACUCUCAAAGCAUGUGGUACAGUCAGUCCACAUACAAAGCGUUCCAGGCAAAUGGCAGUCUGCACAUAUUCUGCAUGCAUAACAUAUGAAAAGUAAACAUCAAGUUCAUCACCAAUUAGCUUUCUCCUGAUAAUCACACAACCUAUCAGAUACUUUUCCAAUUGUAAGAACUACUCAAUUAGUUUAUAUAUUUGAAAUAUAGGGGAAAAAAAAAAUACAAGUGAUUGUAAGUUCUUUCUACCAAUAAUUAACUCUAGCAUACACUCUUCAUACGCAUAAAGGAAAUCUAUCCCCAUAUUUUACACUAUUUUAUCAACCCAUAUUGCCUCUUGCCCCAGCAGUUGGCACACUUUCUCAUGACAUUAAUAAUAGGAACCUAGGCAUUAAUAAUAGGAACCUAACUUACAGAAAAAAAAAACUACACUGUUGUUUUUUUAUGCAUCACUCAUCAAUUUCUUCUUUAACAUUAAACUUUUUAUUAAACAAGUCACAACCAUGAGGUCAUUUAUCUCAUAAAUACACAAGAUGGGAUUAUGGGGCAAUGUAGACUUAAUUUGUUACAUACUGUAAUUGCACAUGCAUGUGUGUGCAUACACUUAUCAAUCUUUCUUCUCUCUCCCUCCCUCUCCUGCUCUCACAAUGCAAAUAUAAGAGAGGCAGCUAUUUCCACAAAAUACGAAUCAACUAGCAAAAGUCUAACCAAAAAAUUUCAAAGGAGAAACUCAGAAUAAAGAAGUUCAUUCCUUAAUGAAUUCAAAUUCACAACUUAUAAAACAAUUAUGCGCCUAUUUUCUAAAAAGAACAAAAGGGCAAAUGAUUAUUAAUCAUUCUCUGCAGAAUAUGAACAAUGAACAUGACUAUAUAAAAGAACCAACAAAUUAGUAUAUGCAGAUCCCUACAAUGACACAAGAAAAUAGGAACGUCUUAUAGGGCAUCAGUUGUGCAGAUGACAGCAAAUAAUGGAGUAGAGUUAUACCCGGGCUGACAGCAACAAAGACAUAAUUCUCUACAAGGUUGAGCCAAGUCAUUCCGCACUCUGCGGUCAUAACAGGUAAUGAAGCAUCCAGAUAACCCCAGCAAAGCAAAAAACAACAGUGCUCCUGCAGCAAAAAUAAAAAAGAAAUGUAAAAUACAGACAUCAAGAGCUUUGACUAUCAUGGCAGAAGAUUUAAACAAUGGUCAAACCAUGAAUCUAAAAGCAUCAAGUAUGCUUAGAAGCAUGCACAUGCCAAUUACCACUAAUGGAUAUAAUACUGUUGUUACUCUCUCCCAAAGCAAAAGAUAAUCAAGAUUUCUGCCAGCCAGCCGCGGGCACAAAACUGAUCCCAGCAUUUUGGUGCACACACGUAUCAGAUUCCCAAAAAGUCAUUCAACCAUCUAAAUCUCAAUCCUAGUCAAGAUUUUUAUCCCUAUAACUCAAUCAGAUGCCAACUUACUCUUUAAAACUGAAACGAGGUCUCACACUUCAGUUGAGAAAAUGUUUUGCUACCAAAAUCAGUGGCAGAGCCACACAGUGGCCAAAGGGGGCAGCCGCCGUCGCCGAGUUUAAUUAAAAAAACAUUUUUUUUAAUUUAACCCAAAUUUUAUAUUUGCCCCCAACAAAAUUUGUGAUUUUUCCCUAUUUGCUUUAAAUAAAAUACAUAGCAAUAGGUCUAAAACUUUAAUUUUUAUCAUCAAAAUCAAUUUAAACAAGUACAUUAUACCCAAAUUCAAUGAAAAUACUUGAAAAGAAGAUGGAAUUCUUUAAUUUAAGAAAGCUUCAAAUAGCAUUUGCACAUCAUAAAGUAUGUUAAAUGGAAUUUCAAAACUUAAAAAGGUUUAGUGAAACCCAAAAAUACCAGAAAAUAGAGGCAACCUUUAUCACCCAAAACCUUGUCAGCAAAUAUGAAAUGCAAGAAUUUUUUUUCAAAAUGAGUAUAUUUAAAUUCCAAAACAGUUGAGAUAUGACACCAUUUUUUCCACCCGAAGCAAUGAAAAAUUUACACAAAUCUAAAACCUCGCAAAGGUGAAUGAUGUUGUUCAGCCAGUUCUGCAUAAAACUUUAUUAAUCUAACUCUCACUUUCAGAACUGCCCCACUACAAGAAAAGCAUACCAGAAAAUAACAGAUAACAGAUAACAGCAUCACAUUACAUUACAUUGCAAGAGAUUUCAUCCCAACACAUAAGAGGAAUCAUUCCAUGACACUGCUAACCAGACAUAAGAUAUGUAGUUAAACUGGCUAAAGCAAGUAGCCACAAACAUAAUAAAGAAUAACCUGCAAUAAACAGUGUCCUACAGCAAAUUCACACAAGAUGAAGACCAGCACUGUUCGAAAGUAGCAUAUCAAAGCCUUAAUAAUCAUUAUCAUUUCAGGUUCUUGAGAUUUUUACCACAUAUGUAGUAGAAACUGAGCUCACUAUCAAAACCCCAUGCCAGACGCAGCCAGGACUGCUGAUAAGUAUCAACUAAAUACACCAAAUAUGCCAGUGAAGCAAUUACCUAAGCACAAUGAAUGAAAAAACAGGAAAAUGAAAAUCCUAGGGGAAAAAAAUAUUUACCAUUACGAAAUAACAAAAAUUGCAAGAAAACAAGUAAGAUUAAAGCACCAACAACUUACAAGCUGGACAGCCAGAAAUAUAGAUAUGAUGUCUCUAGUCACAAAGAAACGAAAUUUCAAGGUUCUCCAUCGCCUAUCAGCAGCAACAUGAACUCUCAAAUGGUAAGGGGCUUUACAGGUUGUGCAAUGAGCAAAUGCAAACCCUUCCUGUAAGUAAAAAAAUGAUUAAAUAAAAAUAGAACACAGCUAAAAAGAACCAUGCCAGAUAAAAGCAAGAACCACAAUGCAGCUAAAGAUCAGAAGAGUCUUCCCAGAAAAGAAAUUACUGGGUAAAAUCCAAAUAGGGCCAAAGUAGUAAUUCUUAAAUGGACGAAAAUGAUAUUACCAUAUGGAGAUUGUUUGCAAGGAGAAACUAAGAAACAUAAAAGAUACCAUUUCAAAAGGCUGUAUAACAAUACAGUAUGUUCUGUAUCCCAUUAAGUAAGUUUAGAGUGUCCAUAAAUUACAGCAUUGAAAUUUUUUGGUAUACUUUUAUAUAAAACCAGUUUCAGACUAUAAUAAAUCAGGUGCUAGCUACGCAAAGAUCACUGAGAUCACACAGAAACUAUAAACUGAGCAUACUGUGAAUGGUUCUAGAUUUCUAAACCAGAAAAUCGAGAUGGCAUCAAUACCCUUACGGCUCGCCAAUGAUCCAAACAUUCUCGGUGUACAUACUUGGAUGUUCCUUUGCACUUGCAAGGAGCAAUAAAGUCCCUACCUGAAGAAAAUGCACAUGAAUAUAUAAAAAUGAGAGCAUUGACAUGUAUUUUAACUCAAAGUUAAAAACAAGGAACAUACAAGAUUAUCAUUUAUCACUCUAUAACAGCCAGAUAACAUUGGCAUCAACAUCACAGUGAAAAGCAUUUCUGAACUAGACUGUGACAAAACACCACAACUACAAAACCUAAGUGUGUUUAAGAGUUGCUUUUAUCAGUCUCAAAUAGCUAAAAAUGCAAUCAUUGAUCAUUGUCAGAAACGCACAAAACUAUAUAUAUAUAUUUUUUUACUAGGGCAAAGCACUUCCAGGUGGUUUUCCAACAGAAGCACUCCCAAAAAUCAUCCCAUAGUUGACUUCACUUCAUAAAUUCCUAAAACCAACAAAAAAAUUUUUAUAAUUAUUUCCUCACAUUUUCCAGCAUUUAACGGAAAAAAAAUAACCUACUUAUAUUUUAUUUUAUUUUCGCAUAAAGCUUCACUGUGAAGUUGCUUCAUUUUUCUUCUAAUUUCAGUUAAUUCUCCUAAUUCUUUCUCGAAUUUGAAAAUUAAACCAACUAAUUCACUCACUGAUACGAAGCAAAAACAUAAAUAAAGCUAAAACAGAGCAAAUGUCGGCUACAAUUUUAAAAAAAAGUUUUACAAAAUUGAGUAAUUUCGCUACAAUUACCGUCAGUUUCGAGGCAAAUACGGCACUGAAUUUGUUCACCGGGGCCGGCUUCGAGGUCGAUCUCACUGGGCUCGGUGAUUGUCGGCGGCGGGAUCAGCGGCGACGCUUCGGAUUUGUCACCCAUCGAAAUUUAAUAAUUAAUUGUUUUUAAGGACUCGAAAAAUGAAAAUAGAGCGAGAGAGAUCAAGACUACAUUUACAGAAAAAUCAUUUAGUUAGAUUUCUUAAAACCCCAAUUUCGAUUUUAAAAAAAAAAGAAGAAAAUUUGUUGAAUUUUUUUCUUUCUCUCUCUCGCUCUGAGGGAGAGAAAUUUUCAACGUAAGUGACGGGUUUUUCUGGUGGCAAAAGAGAGCAUCAGGAUUUGUUUUUAAAAAAAAAUUAAUCAACAAAACAAACAAAAAGUUCCUACGAGAUGGUGGAAUUAUUGAAUUUCCAUAACUGCCCAUCUGUUUUUCACAUUUUGGCAAUUAAAUGAACUCUCACACUUACUGAGAUUCAAACACUCUUUUUAAUGGGUUAAAAAAUAAUAGUCAUCAUUUUAUAAUUUAUUACAUUAUAUAUACUUUUUUUCGAAUUAUACUUUUUUCAUCGACAAUCACUAUCUACAUCCUCAAAAUCAAAACAUUUAUUUCUUUAAUUUUAAAUUGAGUUAGAUUUUAAAUUUUAUAUGUCAAAAAAAAUUUACGUAUGAUACUCUCAUUAUAGAUAAAAAUUAAAAACUUUAAUUAUAUUUAAAUUAUCAUUUACGAUACUACCCAUUUAUAUUUAGAUUUCUAUUUACUAAUUAUGAAUUUACACACAAUAAUUUCAUCUAAUAGCUAAGGAGCUAUUAAUUUUAAUUCUAGUCUUAUUGCUCUUGUAAAGAGAUACAAAUUUAAGAAGAGAAAUCAAAAUUUUUCAUAACAUAGAAAUAAAAUAGUAAAUGACUCCAAUCUUGAAAUUGACUUCUGCUUCCGCGCGUGGGAAAAAUACAAGGUAGUUGAAGAUUUGACGUUAACAAUUAACAAGGCUUGGGAAAAAAAUUAAUAAAUGAAAAAAUAAAUCAAAUUAAAUUGUCUGAGCCCGGGUUCGAACCGGGGACCUCUAGUGUGUGAGACUAGCGUGAUGACCAACUACACCACCCAGACGAUGCCUAAUGUUUGGCAAGUUUUUAGUUUUCACUUUAUUUUGUAUUUUAAAGUCCCUAACCCGUUAAAAGCAACACAACCCAACACUCUGUUUUCUCCUCUUCCUUAUCAAUCUCACCGAACUCGAAGUCGAGAGCAGCUGAAGUGCUGAACCCUCUGUUUUCUCCUCAAAACCCUAGGAACGUUUUCAGCAAUGGCGAAAAUCAACAAAGUUAAGAAACUAAAACAGGCAACUACGAGCCAAAAACCCAACAAAAAAAUACUCAAAAAAGAACCCAAAUCCCUCAAAAAACCCGAACCGCCUCCCGUAGCCGCCGCCGCCGCCACCAGCAGCAGCUGCAGCUCAUCGUCCGAAUCGGAGUCUGAACCGGAGUCAGAAUCCAUUUCAAGCCUCCUCGAACCUUACUCCAAGGACCAGCUCAUCGACCUCAUCACCGCCGCCGCCACAAAAAUCCCGCUUUUGCACGACCACAUUCUCGAAACGGCCGACAGGGACGUGUCCCAGCGGAAAAUAUUCGUUCACGGGCUCGGAUGGGACACGACGCAGGAGAGUUUGUUGUCGGCGUUCGGAGGUUCCGGAGAAAUCGAGGAGUGCAAGUUGGUGAUCGAUAAGGUGACCGGAAAGGCAAAAGGGUUUGCUUUUAUUGUGUUCAAAACGAGGAAAGCGGCCGUGAAAGCGUUGAAGAAUCCGCAGAGGAAGGUGAAUAACCGAAUGGCGUCUUGCCAGCUGGCGUCAGUGGGCCCCACUGGUGCCGGGGUGAAGGAGCAGGGGGCGGCGGCACAGGGGGAGAGGAAGAUUUAUGUGAGCAAUGUGCCGAGAGAUGUUGAAAAGGAGAAAUUGAGGGGGUUUUUUGAGAGAUUUGGUGAGAUUGAAACCGGACCGAUAGGGUUUGAUAUUACCACUGGGAAGUCAAGAGGAUUUGCAAUUUUCGUGUAUAAAACUGUUGAGGGAGCGAGGAAGGCUUUAGAGGAGCCGCAGAAGAUGUUCGAAGGGCAUCAGUUGCAAUGCCAAAAGGCAGCUGAGGGAAAGAACAGGACGAGUAGUAAUAGUAGUAGCAGUAAUAAUCAAGCACAGAUGAUGAUUCAGAAGCAGCAACAGCCAAUGCUUCAGGGGCAACAGCAAGGGCAAGGGAAUGAGCAGGAGCAGGUGCUUGCUGCUAUGGCAGCAGCACAGAAUUUGGCUUUGUUCGGGCAGCAUCCGGGAAUGCAUCCGUUGUAUGGAGGGUUUUUGGUGAAUCCUGGGUUGAUUAAUCCAAUGGUGGCUGGUGCAUUGCAUCAGGGUGCAAUUCCUGCUAGUAAUGUGGGUGCAAUGGCUGGUUCGUCAGUGCUUGGAUCAUUCGGGCCUGGUGCUGCUCAGGGGUUGCAGCAGCAGCAGCAUGUUUAUCCGAAUGCUCCGCAGAGUAAGACUCAGGGGACUGGUGGUGGGUCAUUUCCUGGGUAUACUUCAUAUAUGUGGUAUGGUUUAUUGUCUUUGCUUGAUUUGUUAUUUGUUUAUAUUUUUGUGAAUUUUGAUCUUUUGCAUGCUUAGUUUUUUUUUUUAAUGCUUCUACAAUAUUUGUUGAUUUAGCACAUACUUUCUUUUGUUUUAAUAUGUUUUCAUUUAGAUUUGAAAAUUUUGAUAUUUAGUACUAUUAUGUUUAGAUUUUCUGAUUUCUUAAGUCAUUCUUUAUUACUCGAGAGGAAUUGAUACAUAAACCUAUUUAUAAAUUGGUUUUGGUACAUUGCUGUUUUGAGUUGCUGCAGUUUAAGAUGUUUUUACUCUUUAUAUUUUGCCCCCUGUUUAUCUUAAUGAGUCCACAUUUUUACCCAGCUUUUGAUUUCAUUUUUCAUAUGUGUAAAAACAACAAUAUUUGUUGUCUCUCCUUCUUUCUUCAGUCAUUCUUUGGCCAUGGUACUUGUUUUUAUAUUGCCAAGAAAAUUGUUGUCUUAUUAUUAUUUUUUUUUUUGGUUUUCUUCUAGUGAGUUUCUUCAAGAGUUCUUUCUAGUUUUGUUAAGUCUUCUCUGCAGAUUUGUCAAGACAUGGAAUUAUAUGCUAAUUUUUGUCACUUCUUAAUACUCUAUCCUAUUAUUUGCAAUUUGUAGAGUAGCUUCCGUCUCCUUAUCUUUUCUUAUUGAUUUCACUGAUUGUGGAAGUUGCUUUCAUGCAAUUGUUUCUCCUCAGCCCACAUCAUUCGUUUGAACGAAAAAACCCUUUUAUUGGUGUAGUUGAGUUAGCAUAAUCAAUUUCAUUUGUUCUGUUUGGUAGAUUUUUGGUCAAUAGUUGUGAUCUUUUAACUGUUUUGGGUCAAUAUGAUGUGUGCAAGUCUUGAUCUCUGAUUUUUUACUUUUUCGAGCCUUAACUUUUGGAAGUUUUUGGUAAAUAUAUUUUAUCUGAGAAGACAAUAUCAUUUAUGAUAUUUACUGUCAUUACGUGUGUGGGCUCUAUUUGCAGAUGAUACAGCUGAGCUUGAGGAACAAUAUUCAUGCACCUUUGGAAGUGUUUUAUGUAGUACUUUGUUCUGGUUAAAUUGCUAAGUGACAUUUUGAAGUUUGUAAUCUUUUUAAAUGAUUCAGACUUUUGAAUUCGGCCAAAGCAAGGCCAUAACUUAGUGGAUUUUUCUUCUUCUACUUCAUCUCUGCUUCUUUUUACCCCCUUUUUUUCCCCCCUCUUACCUUUUCCUCUCCUUGUUUCUUAGCUUUCGUAUAUUUUAUCUUCUAAACAUUGGUAACUUAUGGUUUUUAUUUAGCAAAUUUUAAUUUCUUUACAUUAUGGUUCAAUUUAUUUUCAACAUUUCAUUUUUACUUGUCAAGUAUUUGAAUGUCACACUAUGAAUUUAUUUGCUGUCAUUGUUCCAUCUGGCUUGUGAUUAGUCAAUGGUUUUGAAACGCUGGACUGAUUUUCUUUUCUUGUGAAACACAUCACUACUUUGUUUCUGAUUGACAUCAUUAACGCUUAGGCCUUAUUACAUAUGUUAUACAGUUGAUAUGAGAUACUCUUAGCAUCUAACCCUUUUCUUGGAUUGAGUUAGUUUCAGGACAUACCAUUUGUUUUCUUUCUAUAUGCACUCAGUGAAAGCAUUUGAAGGGAUGUAUAGUUGUGUUUCAGUGCAUCUGUAAACACUUGUUUAUCUGUAAUUAUUUAUUCAUGUUCAUUUUGUUAGUGUUGUGGACGUACUUGUGGAAAAAACCACUUACAAUAAAUAAAAGCAAACCAUAGGCCUACGUAUCUCUUAAUUCUUUAGUAUACCAAAGCAACUAGUUAACGCAGUCGCUGCCAUGCACUGUCAUUCAUUAUUCAUGAACAUCCUUUGAUGAAGUAUGUGUAUGGUUUGAACUUUUAGUUUAGUUGGAUCUCGAAUUGCAUUUUUGGAUCCGAAAUUAUAAACUUUUGGGAUGGAUCAACCAAAAACUUUAGUUUUGAAGCUUUUGGUUUUAAGAAAGUCUUAUGCCUUUUAAUCUAUGAAGCUUGAUGUAUUUUAAGAGUUGAAUAUUUCAGUAAUAUAUCUUAAAUAUUUUCAAUUUAGUCGAGUGUGAGACUAAAGUUGUUUCCAAAUGAAAUUAUGUAAACCACAUUUUGUGGUUAUCUAAUGGGUUUAUAGAUGGACUUUAAACAUUUUAAUUGGGCAGUUCUAUAUAUGGUUUCCUUGAAUCUGAUAUUUUCUCUUUGCCUAAUUAAAAUGUAUAAGAUCCAAGCCCAAUGAAACCAGUUAUAUGUGGGUAGGUAGAUCUGAAAAAAGAAUAAUCAUAUAAAUCUUCCACAUUUUCCUGUUAUAUUUUGUGAUGAAGCUAUGUUUUUACCACAGAUUCAAUCAGUUCUAGUAUAAUAUCAUACUAUUCACCGUUUUCUUUUUAUGGUGAUGGUUAUAGCGAUCAGCUUACUGUCAACUAUGAACAUGCUUGCCCACAAAUUCAAUUAGCCAUAUAAGCUUUAAACUUUUUUCCCCUUUGUUUCAAAUGCAAUCUUCACCAUUGUUACAUUUUUAUAGCCUUAGUUGUGCCUGUUGUGUCAAGUUCUCUUUGUUCAAUAUGUUUAUAUAGCUUUCCUCAUCAGCAGAAUCUAAGUGAGACUUUUUUACAGCCCUGUAAUUGUAUACAAAUUAUGUCGUUUGCUUUUGUAAUAUCAUGAUAAAAAUGAUGAUUUUGGUGUGUUUCAAAUAGCUGAUCUCAAAUUGUUGGUUCCAUAUUUCUUUCCUCUCUUGCAUUUUAUUCUCUACUGGCAGUCUUGUUCAACUGUGAUCGCUACAACCUCUCCGUUUCAAACACAUAGGUUUAUGUGUUGCAUCUUGUCGUCUUUUGCAAAUAGGGUUAUAAAAAAAUUUAGUGUUUAGAUAUUAGUUGGACUGCGUUGUGGCCCUAUAUAAAUAUGUCCUUUGCUUCUGCAUUUUCAAGAUUAAAUUUUUUUAAAAAAAAAUUGAUUUUGGUAUGUUUAUUGUCUCGAAAUGGUUGGUUCCACUUCCAGGUCUCUUUCCUCUCUUGCCUUGUGUUCUAUACUUGUAGCCAUUUGUAGUACAAUGUUGCUAUUUCUGUUGUUAUUUCCCCCUAGUCAAAUCUCGAAAAUCUCACAAAAACGACGUCGUUUCGUUUUGAUCUUUUUCUUUUUAAUUUUAGCUGCUAGCACUGUGUCGAGCAAUCCGUUUCAAAGCACAUGACGUCAUUCGUUGUUCUCCUUCAAUCCGUCUCAAGCACAUUGAGUGCGAGCAUAUUCUUUGUCCUUCGAUUUCCUUUCAACAACACUCCAGUUACAAAACCCUAAGUACAAAACUCUUAAAAUGCAAAACCUUAAUUGGUUCCUCAAAGUUGGGUGCAAAACUUUUAAAUUGCAAAACCCCAACUAGUUCUUCAAAGUUAGUUUCAAUUUGUACGUGGGUUUUGACAUAAGGUAACAUAUUAGUUUUUUAACGUUUACUUUACUUGAAUCUUGAGCUGGUUCGCGUGAUGGUUGUGGUUCGUCGUCUGUGGCUCGUAUGACGGCAAUUGUUGCCGGAGAACUCGAGGAAUGUUGAGAUUGUAGAUUUUGUGGCUGUGAGAGUUUAUUCAAAACGGUUCAUUUCGGCAUGCCCACAGCAGACAAUAUCUUAUUAGUUUUGGGUUAGGUCAUGACAAAUUGUAUUAGAGCAACUUCGCGUGUCCUCUUGAGCGAUAGUGAGGCAAACCUCAGUGAGGACAUCGAGUCCCUAAGAGGGGUGUGUAUAACACCUUAGGCAAAUCCUACAUCAGCAAAGUACGGGAGAGAUGUUGGGUUUAUAAGGGGUGAUCUAUACCUUAAUUAGCAAGUUGCGUUUUGGAGUGUAUAGGCGCCUUAGAAAUAAAAUCGUGCGGACUUUGUUAAGGUCUAAAGCGGACAAUAUAUUGUUAGGUCUGGGUUGGGUCAUGGCAAAAACAAAACCAAAACAAAAUGAACUGUUGGUUUUGAAUGAACUAGAUCUGGGUUGGUUUUGUUUCUUGAAGCCGAAACGAACUGAUUUGAAUAAACUCUCACAGCCACAAAAUCUGUAAUCUCAACAUUCCUUGAGUUCUCCAUCCACAAUUGCAAUUGCUCACAACUCAUAGCCAUCACAUGCGCCACAGAUGAUGGACCACAGCCAUCAUGCGAGAUUCAAGUAAAGUAAACGUUAAGAAAUCAAUGAGAUUCAAGUAAAGUAAACGUUAAGAAAUCAAUACGUUACCUUAUGUUAAAGUCCACAUACAAAUUUGUCGGGGUUCUGCACUCAAUUUUAAGAAAUCAAUUGGGGUUUUGUAAUUUUAGAGUUCUGUACUUAGGGUUUUGAACUCCAUUGGAGCUAGGGAAAAAUGGAAUUGCAUUCAAUUGACUAAACCACUUUUCAAGCGGACAAAAAUGCUUUCGUGUUCAUCUUUUAAGCUUUUAUUGAAUCGGCGAGGGCUUUUUUAUUUUUUCUAAUGAUUACAAUCUACAAAUAUAUUAUAUUCGAGGUCUACUAUGUAGGACUAUCGAGAAAGUUUGAAAACCCAAUGUCACUGACAAUAUGGGGCGGAAUCAUAUUUUAUAUUUUUGAAAAGGGCAAAAAGAGCCAUCGGAGCUCGACAGUCAACAUUAUAAUAAAGGUUGGAGUUAUGAGAGUUAAUUGUAGUCUUCUCUUAAUUAUUUUAUAAUUAAAUAAAAACAGUUUUUGUCCUCACGAAUUAUGAGUAGAGUAGAUAUCUCUUUAUUAAUGAGGGUAAAAAAUUUAAGAAUUCUUUAUAAGAUUAAUGUAUAUAAUUUCUAAUAGUAUAAUCUUAUUGUAAAUAAUAGUUAAUUCAGUUGUAUCAAUUGUAAUCUAUUGUAAUAUCAACAAUAAUCCUUCAAAUCAAUAUUAAGAAAAAAAAAAUUAUAACACUGUUUCAGAGUAUCAUCCCGCUAUUGUUCUGUGAGAGAAGUACUACUGGCAUUUGGAAACAGCGAUUUUGGCGUCCUUGCUUUGGAGAUCAAUGAUUUUGGUAUUUCUUACGAAAAGAGCUUUCCACUAAAAGCACUUUGCAAAGGCGUAUUAGUGAAGGUGACACUUGUUUCUUAUGAUGCAUUUAGAGUACUUUAUGAGAAAAGAGCUUUCCACUAAAAGCACUUUGCAAAGGCAUAUUAGUGAAGGUGACACUUAUUUCAUUCUAUGCCCUAAAUUUGGAGAUAUAAUUUGCUAGAAAUGUCGCACACAUGCUCUGAACCCUUUAUGCUUUUAAAAUGAAAAGCAACUUGAUUUAUACGACGGAGUUCGGACUAUCUGCUAAUUGUCAUUUUGAAAGUGAUUCAGCAUCAGCAACCAUGCCGUUAGUUCUGAGAAACCAAGAUUAAAGUAGCUAAAUCAUAAUCAUAACAUUCUUUUUCGGAUUAAAUCGUUGAUGCCGCAGCUCGAAGUUCUACAUUACUCUAAAUCGUACAAGGAAAUAAGAGAAUUAUGCUUAAAACCAUUACCCUAAAAAUGGCCCCCUCAUAAGCUAAACAUAAUCAUAGAAAGUUAAUACAAGUCACAAAGAGACAGUAUUUCGGAGGAGGCCCUGCCAUUUAUCUAGUUCACUUCUUCCUCUUCUUUGGUGGCUGAAGAGCUUCAUCAUCUUCGUCUUCCUCAUCCUCUUCAUUCUCUACUUCUUCCACUUCAUCCUCAUCCUCGUCCUCGCCCCCAUCAUCGUCGUCGUCAUCAUCCUCAUCAUCGUCAUCGUCAUCAUCUUGCUCUUCACCCUCUCCAUCUUCAUCGUCUUCCUCUUCACCAUUCUCUUCGGCACCGCCUGCCCCUGCCCCUGCCCCGGCCCCUUCUCCAGGACCUUUCUUGGAGUUACUUUUCUUGUUGUUGGAGUUAUUGUUGCCAUAGUCCCCUUCAGAUGAUAACUCCUCUUCACCAUCCCCAAACCCACCAUCUCCAUCCUCAUCAUCAUCCCCAUCAUCAUCAUCGCCAUCAUCCCCCUCUGCAUCAGAUGGUUUGCCUUGGGUUUCUGGAUCUUCCUUGAUUCUAGGUUUCAUAGUCAGCAAGGUCCAAAAGAGAUCCUAAGUCCAAAAGCCAAUUUUAUUGGGUGGAUGAAACAAUUAUAAUAUAUUAAAAACAAAGCAUUAAAUUAUGAUAUUUAUUGAGUUGGUACAAGUUAACGGUCCUACAAGCAGAAUAAGUUUGAUCUUUACAACUACUAUAUAAGGUAAAAUGAAUAGAAAGUUGCAAUUAUAUUUUUUUUUGGAAUAUUGAUGAAAUUAAACAAGGGACAGCAAAUAAUCUAAGAUUCUAAGUUCUUUAUUCUAUCAUCCCAAAAGCUUGGUCGCUAUAUGACCUUGGUGGCAAAGGAAUAUGUGUUCCUGCCACUUGAGGAAAAGAAAAAAGUGCUUUUAUUCUACCCAAAAGUAGGUUGAGGCAUUAAAUUAGUACAGUCCCACCCAUAUGCUCUUUUUCGGAAGAAUAUAAUUUAGAUGGUGACACCAGAAGAACAAGAACUAGGCAGGUCCCUUGCUAUUUUCAUCGAUUCCUUUACGAGCUAAAAUGGGUCAGAUAUCUGUAUACGAAAGAAAAGAAAUGGCGGCAGAAUAACAUCCCCUUAUCUGGGGAUCAAAGAUAUCUAAAUGGAGAAAUUCUCAUUAAUUCAAUAUUUAUAACUUGAAAAUUAUUUUAUCGAAACAAUUUAUAUUGUUGUCCAACACGCCUGAAAUUAAUACUAAUUCAUCUGAUUUGAUAGAAAAUUAACAAAAUCUCUAAAAGCGUUUGUUAGCGAAUCAUUAUGGAACAAACAAUGAAGAGGCUUUUGGCUAAAAGUAAUAAAAAAUGUUAUAUUUCAUAAAAAUUGUAAAUAUUAAUUCUACACCCAACGAAUAACACGUGUUCGACGACAAGGACGGCAUCGCCGAAUGGAAUAUUCGAUGUCCCAUCUUCGUUCAAUUAUAGUUUUUUGUGAAGACAUUUUGACUUUGGACUUCUGCAUAUUAUUAUGUUCCGAUAAAAACAUAUUUUAAUUAUUUUAAGUGGGCCCCACGACGCUUAAAACCCUGGAACUCAAAACCAUCCUAAAAUAACAACUAAAUCUUUCUCUCAAGUUCCGUUGCUUUUCAUUUUUCCCCCAAAUUUGGGAGGCGCAUGCUAGCCCGCACAGCGUACUAUGACUUUCCCUAUUUUUCAUUUUUCUUACCUUAAAAUUCACAAAAUUCGUUAUCUAAAAGAACUCCGAACUUUUGAAAAAUUUUAAACAAAAACAGUGGCUUCAAAAGUUCAAAUUUGUCAGAAAAUAAAUCCAAAAAUAAUGAAAUAUACUGAAAUCAGAUAUUAAAAAAAAAGAAAAUUUGUCAAUCAAUUUUCAGUUGCAGGAAUUUUUUUUUCAACGGCGCACGUUAGCCAACAAAUAAUAUGAUAACCAAAAUCAGCCGCGCACCCGCGCAAAGCAAAAAAGCACACAAACGGAAGAAAGAAGCGUUGAAAAGACACCACCAGAUACAGGCGCAUGAUAGCACAGCAACGUUAAAAAAAAAACUAAAAAUAAAGAGUUUCUUUGGAAAAACUUACCUGCGCUGUUAAGAGUUGAGCUUUGACCAGAGACGAAACUAGCCAAGUCACGAGCGCCUGCACCGUGCAGGUUACCGAACCGUUAUUGACCGUUACUGUCACUGAACCGUGGCGACUCGCCAUUUGUACGGCAAAGAACAGACAAACAAAUAACUAAAAAAAAAAAACCUGCAAAAUAAUUGUAAGCCGGUAACCGUUAGAUCCCCUUAUGAGCAGCUUUUCAGCCAUCAGAUCUCCUACAGUCCAGUAUCACUAAACGACAAAACGACGACAAAAAAUAGAAAUUUGCAUAAAUUUUUUAUAGAAGAAAUAAAACUGAAAUUAAAGCUUUAAAAAGUAAUUUUGAAAAUAUAGAAACGAUAAGAAACAACUUUAAUUCGGUGCAGAAGAAUUUGAACUUGAAUUUUGAGAUAAAUAAGCAAAAUUAAACGAAAUUCGCAUGGAAGAAGCUCGUUUUGAAAGAGAAAUGAAGAGCAAGAGCAGAAGAUUUGAUGCUCGAAAACAAGCUUUGAACUAGAGGAAGUCAAGAGUAAAAUUGAAAGGGAAGAGCGAAUCGGAGAGCGAGAGCGUACCGGAGACGGAGAUCUGAGGGAGGAGGGGCGAGAUCUGAAGAUUUGAAGCUCUAAAACUGAAGAAAAGAAGCAAAAGCAGCUGCGUUCAUUUUGGACCGUCCGAUCUUGAUCGAAGAGACGCUGGGGUGAGCAAAGAGAUAUAGAGAAUAAUAUCUAUUGCACACGAGAGAGAGAAGGGGGUGGGGGGUGGGGUGGAAGCGAGAACUGGUGAGUGACUGACUGAUUGCUGCCCGUAAUUUUCCAGUCACAGGUUUCGGGCAAAAAGGGGCAGGGCGGGCAGCGUCCUCAUCGUAUUAAAAUGACCUCUGGGUUCUGUCUGCCCGGAUUUCAGGGUAAGGACAAGUGUGGGUUAUCUCUGUGAUAUUUUAUUAUAUUAUUCGAAUUAUUUAAUGACUUUUCCUUCCUAUUACUUACCUUGCUUUAAACGUUUUCCACGUGGCAUAUUCUGUUUUGUCCGUUAGUUGGCAUGCGUGACCGCAGUUUUGGUGUAGUUGACUUUGGAUAAGAGUUAAUCUAACUAGAGUCAACUUACUUCGAAUGUAUAGUUGAGUACUUGAGUUAGAUCGAUCGUGAUUUCAAUUCAACCACUUCUAACUCUUGGGCCCACUUUUAUUUUUUUUAUCUUCUACUUUCCUAAAACUUUUUGGAUUUUUGUUUUUAUUUCAUUUGAUUACUUUUGUAGUUUUGUUGCAUUUCGAUUUUUUUUUUCUUUUUUGUCAAGUAGGGUGAGUGAAGUGAAAUCUAUACCUUUAGUCUCUAUCCGUUUAGGAUUUGAAUAUGAGUGGUUAAUUAAAGAAAAUAUUUAAAAAUAAUUAGAUGAAAAUCUUUAAAGACUAGUAUUUAAGAUUUAGAACAAUUAAUUUUUGGCAUAAAAUUUGUGGAAGAAAUAUAAUUGUGAAAAAUAAAUUAAAAGAGCUAACGAGAUGUAGCUCUUGUUACCCUUUCUUUUUUUUUUACUCUCAUAGAAUUUUUUUUUUUUUUUUGGGUUACUAAGAUCAAAUGGUUUAGGAUUGUUUCUUAUUGGAAAAUUAAAGCUAUAAAUUGAAUAAAAGUCACAUUUGUUAUCCCCAACCUUUGUUUAAAUAAUAAUAUGCAUAUAAACUUGGCAUAACAUUAUAAUGAUGUGAAUAAAUUUAGAAAUGAUAGUUUUGUGAAAAUGACGUAAAAACAAGCACACAAUAAUAUAUUAAUAAAAAUGUAGUGUUAGACAUAUGUAAUGAGUACUAGAAAAAUAGGAAGUAGUGUGAAUUUUGAAAAUAAUAAUAAUACAAAUGGGAAUGCAAAUAUUGACAUCUGAGGAUGAUGCGGUUAGAAGAACGGUGAUGGUGACAAAAGUCGUAGUUACACCAACUACUAAGUAAUCAACUUAAACUUGGUCAUUUAUCGUUUUAAAUAAUGGAAAAAAAACUGAUGUUUACUUAAUAACAUUCGAUUUGAUACAAAAUUUAUAUCCUAAAUGAUGUGGUACAUAAUAUAUCAUAUUUAUUAAUAUUGUGGAUCAUUUUAAUAAUAAUUACCAUCAUUAAUUAGGAUCAUGUUAUCAAGCAUACAUAUUUUGUAAGCAUAUUAUUACUCAUUCAAUAAAAACCUUAAUUUCACAAAAUUGCAUAUGAAAUAGAAUGAUUUAAACAUUAUAACCAAACAAUUGUAACUACUUAAUUACCGUCUUAUGUUAGUCGAUAUUGCAUUUUUAAAUUAAAAUCCAAUCGACGUUUACUUCAAAACUUUGAAAUUUAAUACAAAAUUUAUGUCCUAAAUGAUGUGACACAUGAAGUUCGUGCCACCAUUCAUUAAUAUUGUGGAUCAUUUCAAAAAUAAUGACCAUCGCUGGUUAGUAUCACGUCACCGAGGAUAUAAAUUUUAUAAUCAUAUCAUUACUCAUUUAAUAAAAAUCUUAAUUUCAUAAUAUUGUAUAUUAAAUAUUAUGAUUUAGAACAUUAUAGACAAACAACUGCAGCUACUUAAUUACUGUCUUAUGUUACUCUAUGUUGCAUUUUCAAAUCAAAAUCCAAUACGAUGGCCAUUGCAAAGUUUUCGGUCCAAUUUUGGUUCAACCCAAAAACAUUAUGAGAGCUCAUUUUCUAUAGAAGGUUUUAGCAAUGGUGGAGGCUCAAUCAUUUGGAAACAAUUUUAUAAGAACAAUGAUGGCUGAGAUGAACCUGAAAUAAGAAAAAAUAACUAUUUAGAGGUAACGCUAACAGUGACCGACAACGAUAUUCUGACGUAUAAGUUAGUUGGAAUUUGAAGGGGAUAUGGGGUUUAAAAAAAAAUCGUUUUAUAGGAGAAAAUGUGAGUGUUUAUGAUAGUGAGAGAAUUUGACUCUUUUGUAAGACUAACUUGAUCUUCUUUGGUGGGGUGCCCUUUAGGACAUCUUUGUGUAUUUUUGGACACGAGACGGACCGUUAUUGGUUAUUUUCCUCCUCCGAUAGAGAUUUAAGAGUAAUUUAGCCUUUCUUGUUGAGACUCUUGAGCUGUCUUGAGUUGAACAGUUGUCCUUUGAGGGACUAUCCUUGCUGGCGAUUUGCCCUCAAUCGUGAUUAGCUCAUUCCGAACAAACCAAUUGAGUUAGAGAAGCAUUUGAUUUUACUAGAUGUGAAACAAGUGACUAUACUUGCAGUUCCCCUUUGUCAUAUCUGACUCUUGUGGCUUAUAGUGAGAUAUUUGGAGACAGCCCAAGUGGGGACGAUGUUGUAAUGAUGUGGUGUGGCCUCAUUUGGUGAAGCUGUCAUUGUCUCUGUUGUCCAAGGCUACAUGUGGAGGCUUUGAUGCGUUGUAGGAAACAUUGUUUGUAAUUCUCAGGCAGCUUGAGUGGCUGAAGCUCAUUUUUUGGGAUCUUUCUAUUCUGACCUUAUCCUUUCAGUUCCUCUUCCAUUCCUUUCAAGCGCUCAAAGGUCAUGAGCAACAGUUUAAAUGGAGUUUUUUUUUUUUUUUUUUUGGCUCUUCCUCAUUUGUGUGUGUGUGUGUCUUUAUGCAGAGAUUUACAAUGUUGUCGUUGAUCUGGUUUUUCAGAAAGAGCAACGUGAUAUGAGUCCAUAAUAAUAAUUCGAUACUCAUCUAGUUCAUCUUCUACUUCUCCAUGGUACAUUCGUAAAUAAAUAGGCUACAAAGUUUUGAAAACCCCUCCAAUGGGGAUUGUCAUCCAGUAAAUAAAAGAAUUCAAUGAAAGUACGAAACUUAUGCAUUGAAUAGGCAGUUUUCGUACUUUCAUGUAGUUUUAUAGCCCAUUCAUUAUAUAUUUUUCAUGAGUUUUCAUGCAUUUGAUGCAUUUGAUGGAAUUGAAAUUUUGUUUUUUUUUUUUCAAAUUUCUUUCUUCUUGUCAAAGUACAGCGAGCAAAGUGAAAUCCAUAUUUUUAGUCCCUGUACUUUUUUUAUUCGAAUACGAGUUAUUAAUUUAAGAAAAAAAAUUAAAAAUAAUUAGAUGAAAUUCCUUGAAGGCUAGUAUCUAAGUUUUAGUACGUUAAGUUUUGGUAUAAAAUCCAUGGAAGAGCGAAAUCUAAUUGCGAAGAAUAAAUUAAAAGAGCUAAUGAGAUGUAGCUGAUGUUACCCAUUUUUUUCCCGUUUCAUGAAUUUUUUUUUUUUUUGGGCUACUAAGAUCAAAUGGUUUAGCAUAUUUCUUUAUUGUAAAAUUAAAGUUAUAAAUUGAAUAAGAUUCACAUUUGUUAUCCCCAACUUUUGUUUAAAUAAUAAUAUGCAUAUAAACUUGGCAUAACAUUAUAAUGAUGUCAAGAAAUGACAGCUUUGUGAAAAUGACUAAAGAAAAGCACACGAUAUUAUAUUAAUAAAAAUGUAGUGUUAGACAUCUGUAAUCAGUAUUAUAAAAAUAGGAAGUAAUGUGCAUUUCGAAUAAUAUAAUAAUCAUGAAUGGGAAUGCAAAUAUUGACAUCUGAUGAUGAUGCAUUUAGAAGAGUGCUGAUACCUAAUGGGGACUAAAGUUGUAAUUAUACCAACCACUUAGUAAUCAACAUUAAAAUUUGUCAAUUAUCAUUUUACAUAAUCGGGUGGAAGAAAAAUAUAUUAAAAUGGGUUUUAAUAAAAAAAAGAAUUAUUGUUAAAAAUAAAAAAUAAUUAAGAUUAAAAUUUAUAACAAAUGAUAUUAAUAAAAAAGAAACCGAUAAAAAUUUGAGAUUAGGAUUAGGGUUAAGGUUUCGGUUUUUGAAUUUCCCUAAAUUUUAUAUAUUCUUUAAGUUUUAGUACGUUGAAUUAUAUUUGUAACCCUUAGAUGGUAAUGGAAUGUAAACAAAUUUUAUGGAUUAAUUUAUCUUUUAGAUACUUUGAAGGGUAAAAUGAUAUUUUAUAUGGUAUAAGUAAACUACUUGAUUAAUUAUUUAUAUUCUUAAAAUCUGUAAACUCAAGAUAAGAAAAAAUUUAAUUUUUGAUUUUCACUGUGGUGAUAUUGUAAAAAAAAAUCAUGAUUAUUAUAUUUAUUUUAUAAAUUAAAAUAAGAAAAAAUUAAUUUAAAAUCUUAAAAGGUUUAUUACUAUUUUUAAGGGAAUUUUCAAUAGUAAAUUUAUUUUUGUCAUCUAACUUAAAAUAUGUCGGAUUUUAAGGGGAAAUGAAAUUAUCCUUAUUAAUCCCACAAUAUUGUUAAUUAGUUACGUUAUGGGCAUUCUCGUAUUUUACUAAGUCAAAUGAGUCAACUGUUAAAAAUAACAAUAAUUAGGGGAAUAUAAGGAAAAGAGGAGAGAGGAAAGUAGGGGAGGGAAAGAAAUAAAGGAAAAAAGACAAUUUCAUGUCCAACCAAAUAAUGAAAAAUGAAAUUAACUCUCUUUUUCACUCCCCCCAUUUGAAAUGAGUUAUUCAUUGAAGAUAACUAAAGUACCAUCCCUUUUGCACUUUUUUAUUUCUCGAUUUACCUUUAAUUCCCCCACCAAUUUAUCAUCUACAAUAGACUUUAAUGUUCAGACAAUCUCCUUAUUUUCUAUUAUGAAGCUCAUCUGUAGUUUUGCAAGGUCACACAUUAUUUACCCCAAUGUUCGUAGCCAUUGAGUCUCCAACACUUUAUCAUAUCCUCCAAUGGAAGAAUAUAAAAAUCAACAAAAAUGGAAAAAAAUCCCUUGUAAUAAUAAUUUAACAUUGGUGCACUUUCUCCUGAUGCCAUUACCACUUUAAAUUACUCUUUUAACUUCGAGUUGUAAUCCCACCUUCCUUGCAAUGUCUUCACCAAUGAAAUUAUGAGUGCUUCCUGAAUCUGCUAGAACUAUUGUUGUAAGUGGCCCAACAGUCCAUUUUACCUGCAUUGUACCCAAUGUCCUUGCUCCAAAAAUUGCUUGUAGAGGGAUCUUUGCACCACCUUGGAAUCUUCUAUAAUAGCAUCAUCCUCAUCCAUAACAACAUCAUUGUCACCAUCAUAACAUGCUUCAAUCAAAAAUAAUUUUUUGCAAUGGUGCUCUAGAGUGAACUUUUGAUCACAAUUGUAACAUAAUCCUUUGGCUCAUCUUUCUUGCAUUUCCGCUGGUGCUAAUCGUUGAACUAGAAGGGUUGAAUUGCCUGGAAUUAGUUCUUUUUUCAAUAAAUAGUUCUUUUUUCCCUCAAUAGUGAUAGUGUUGUGUCGCUAUGAGAUGUUUGGAGCUUUAUACAACUGGACUAGUCCAAUGGCUAAUGUCAAUGUGGUUGGUCUACCGAUAAGAAUGUUUGCCUUAAUGGUGUCUUUCAACCCACUGACGAAAUAGCUAACUCGUCGAUCUUAUGAAAGAUGUCCCACCUUAGCUAACAACUUCUCAAAUUGGGUUCGAUAAUCACCGACAAACCCAACCUAUUGUAAUUUGAUUAAUACGCUAAAAAAGUCUCGAAAUUAGGUGUCGCCAUACCUAGCAUGUAAGCCAUCACAAAACUCUUGCCCAGUCGUAAUGUCUCAUUCUUGAUUAAUCAGUUGGAACCAUAGUCAUCUCCCUCUAAAUGGAAUGAACCCAACGCCACAUGUUCGUCUUCUAGAGUUUGAUAAAGAUGAAAAAACUACCAAACUCUACAAACCCAACUAGUUGUGUCUUCACCACCAUUGAACUACGGAAAAUCAAGUUUAAUUAGCCUUGGAAUAUAUGACUGUUGUGUGCUACUUUGACGACCACUCAUGGAGUUUCCUGAUUGCCCUUGAUUAUGGAGUGGGGCAUUAAAGUAUUCUCCUUCCUCUCGUUCUAUAUUGGUCUCCAGUAGGGAACUUUUUGAAUUAAGCUUUCCAAAUAGUUCAUUGAUCUUCUCUAAAAUCUGUAGUUGACCAGUCAUAAGAGAACUUACAUCUUACUUUAACUUCUCCACCCUUUGAUCUAUGCCCAUUCUUUAAUACCACUAUGUUACGUACUAGGGGUUGUUCUCCUUUUGUUUGCUGGAACCUAUUGUGAAAAUUUAAAAGCGACUGAAAUUCGUCAGGUUUAUUGAGGAACUAAUGACCUCUGUACUUGAAUUAUUAGAAUGAAACUUGACUGAUCUCCUUUAUUCUCUAGUGGCUUGGAACAAGUAACCAAAAAAUUACAACGUUCACGUCCUGAAAAAUGGCUAAAGAGUUGUCAUUAACCUUCUGCAAUUACUUCCUACGAUAAAAUAGCAAUAGUUUGCAUUAGAUUGAGACUAGAGAUGGCCAAUGGGUUGGGCGUCAUGGGCACAACACGUGUCCGUACAGCACGGCGCGACACGUGCACGUUUCAGUAGGGCACGUGGCACGGCAUGGCACACACGUGGGCCAUGCCAGGCCUUAAAAGCACGGCACGAUUAGGAUGGGACAAAGUACGGCACGCGAAAAGACAUGUAAUAAGCACGCUUCAUUGGUGGGCUAAGCACGCGGCCCAUGAGCCAUCAAUAGUACGUGGGGCAAAGUAUAUUAAAGUAAAUUUUUUUAAUGAAAAAUAAAUAUAAAAUACCAUGAAUUUACAACUAUCUUGUAAUUAAUUUUUUUUAAUAUAUUUUUUUUAGUAUAGGAUUUUAAAAAUUAAUUUAAGUCGUAGUUUAAAUAAAUAUUCUAAUUUUUUAUGUUUAUAAUUUAUUAAAUGGAUAAAUAAAUAUCAUGAUUUUAUAAAUGAUAAAUAAAAAAUUUUAUGACAUUAAUAUUUCAUUUAUGAAAUCAUAACUUAAUUAAUAGUUAAUGGAGAUAUGUUUCAUUUGUGAUUGAAAUAUUUUUCAUAUUUAUGCACAAAAAAAUAAAAUUAUGAACAAAAUAUUUUUAUGAUAAAUUAAAAAUUAUAUUUUCAUUCAAUGGAGUUCAAGUGCAAUUAUAAUAUUAGUUGUUCAAAUAAAAUUAGGUGUAAUUGUUAUUUUAGGAUUGUAAUUUUAUUUUUCAUUAAUCAUUACUAUGAUUUAUGAAAUUAUUAUUAUUAUUAUUAUUAUUAGGCUGGUGGGCUUAAAAAAACACAUCAGGCACAUGGGCUUGAAAAAAACACAUCAGACACGUGAGCUUUUUUAAGCACGCUGAACAUGUGAGCUUAAAGUUAAAAAAAAAAUUGGUGGGCUUUUUUGGGCACGGCACGAGCGGGCUCAUGCUGUGGGCCAUAUCGGACCCUUAUAAAAAAAAGUGGGCCGAUGUGCCGACACGGCCCAUUGGCAAUCAUUUAUCUAAGACUUUGCGAUAUUUACUACCGGCAACCAAUUAUUUUUUUUAAAAAACAAUAAGACCAAAUAAAUAACACAAUGUUGUUGUUGUCGUUGACUUGGGAUUUGAAGAAAGAGUAAUGUGAUAUGAACACAUAAUAGUAAGUCGAUGCUCAUCUAAAGUUUUGAAAACCCCUCCAACAGGGAUCAUGACGCAAUACAUUACAAAUUUCAUGAAAUUACACAACUUAUGCAUUGAGUAUGUAGUUUUUGUACUUUCAUGUAGUUUUAUAGCCGAUUAACUAUAUAUUUUUCAUGAGUUUUCAUGCAUUUGAUGGAAUUGAGAUUCUUUUUUUUUUUAAAUUCUACAUUCUAGCACUAAAAGAAUUGAUUGCACAUAAUUUUUCUAUUUCAGUUCCCUUUUUCAUAUAUAUUUUUAUUUAAUGGUUAGUUUUGAAAUAUUAGAGAAAAUUAACUUCAACGAUAUCCAAAGGUAGCAUAGAAGGGGGGUGAUAUGAGAAGAAUACUAAUUGUUUCAUUUCUUUUUGUUUUCUUUGUUGAAGAAGGGAGGUGCAUCUACAAUACCCAUAGGUGAUAGCUUGUAUGGUGGACUUAGAGUGUGUUUGUUUUUUAACUUAAUUACUUAAAGUGACCUAACUUCAUUAAUUAAGUUAAUUAGAGGUGUUUAUUUUUAUAAUUUAAUGGGACAUUUUAGACAAUUUUACCUUAAUAAAAUAAGCUAAUUUUUUUUUUGGCUUUUUACUGAAUAGAGAAGUCUGAAUAAGCCAAUUAAUUUCUAAUAAAAAAAAAUCCCUACUUUUUAAAUUAUUUUCCAUGACUAUUCCAAAACUCACCCAUACACGUUCACCUAUUAAUAAUCUCAUCUUAUAUUAUGUAUUAUUAUUGAGAAUUGCUGAUAAAAUGUGAAACUUAUGGUAUUUUGUAUAUUAUAAUUUCAAAAUCAUUAUAUAUUCAAUUGAAUGUGGUUUUUCUUAUAUAUAUGUUAAAAUCUUGUGGUAUUUAUGUGCUUUAAAUUUAUUAAGGAUACAAAUGUAAAAGUACAUGUUUUUACUUUUUUAAGUUCAAAAAACAAAGAAUUUAAUACUUAUUUUAGAGAUUAAGAAAAAAAAUAUUACUCAAAUUCAAACAUUCAGGUCUAUUCAUAUUCAUACUAAUUUAAACAAUUUAGACUUUAGAUAAAAAAAAAAGCUACCUUAAUAUUAAUACAUAUAUAGUAUUCUCACUCUUUGUAGUCUUGUACAUAGUAGAUAUAAUUUUCUCACUCUUUGUAGUGUUGUACAUAGUAAUUGUUGAGUUGUAUUUAAUUAGUUUAUUAUUGAACAUAAAUUAUAAUGACUUUAAAAAAAAUGAUGUAAAAACUAGCCCACGAUAUUUUUUUAAUAAAAAGGUGGUGUGAGUUUUGUGUAUUAUAAAUCGAAUGCAAAUAUUGACAUUUGAUUAUGUAUUUAGAGGAGGGAAGGGUGAUAAAGAAUUAAAGAUAGUUAAAGAAUUAAAUUGAAAUCUGACUUCGAGAUUUUUUUUUUAAUUCCCAAAUCAUACAUGUUAUUUUAAACGAGAUGCCCAAUAAAAUAGAAAUAUUUAGAACCUUAAUUUCAUAAUAGUCAAAGUCCACCACCAUUAAUUAAUCUUUUGUUUAAUAGAUAGUGUAGCAGGUCUAGAUCAGACAAGUAAACGUCCUGGACGAGAGAAAAAGAAAAAAAUUGCAGGUGCCGGUUAAUAUCCGGUAUUAAAGCAACCGAAUACCGAAUGCCUGCCGGUUGCAGAGAAAUAUUUUAUUGCAUGAAAAUGUAAGAAAUGAAGUAAAAUGUACGCCUAUCCUGGCGAGCGAGCAGUCACGUGCGGCAAGUACAUUUUUCCAAACAAUAGCGAUGAUCCGUUCAGAAAAAUAGUAGAUUGAUUUUACAGCUUUGGUUGACUUCACCGGGAAGCAGGACCGGACGGAGGUAUGUGAAGUUCGUGAUUUAUAGCUCGGCACAAACGGAAAUAUGAAGCUUGUAAUUUGCGAAGGUGAACAAUAAAGCUUCAUGGCUAAGUCCGUGCAACUUUUGAGUGCAAUUAUUGAAGUGGAAGGAGAUGGGAAAGGAGAUAUACUGGUAGUUUGUUUGCGUUCUUGUAAAUCUGACUGUAUUUCAUGACCUGUGAGGAAAAUUAUUUGUUGUGCGUGCGGGUUCAACACUUCCGACCAAAUUUUAAUGCUUGGUCACCACCCUCCAAUCUUUAGUAAAUUUCAAUCGUUUUUGUUGUAAAUACUUGUUGGAGAUCCAUCAGCAGCUUCGUUAUCACGAGGGAUGGUGUUUAAAAAACUUGUAAUUUUCUGAAUAGGGUCGUAGUGGAUCACAGUCUUCCAAGUUUUGAUUCAUUUUACUGAAUGUAUAAAAUUAAGGAUUUAAAACAGAAAAAAGAUGUUUAAAUUAAACAUUUAAAUCGUACAUCGUCCUUCAAUAUUUAAAUAAAAUAUAAAAUUAUUUAUGAUUUUAUUAAGAUAUAAAUAUUUUUUAAAAAAAAAACUUGAAGACAACUCAUAUGUGUCUAGCAUCUUUAGCCAUCAAAUUUGGACCACCUACCAUACCCACCUCAAUAAGGUCCAUAACCCAUGAUGUGAGAGAAAAUGGUAUUAAUUUGAUCCCCCUUUGGUAAAUAAUUUCAAUAAGGUCCAUAACCCAUGAUGUGAGAGAAAAUGGUAUUAAUUUGAUCCCCCCUUUGGUAAAUAAUUUCUUUAGCUUCAACCGAAUUUAAAUGCUUGUAAAUUAAUUUCUACCGUGAUUAUAAAAGUGAACUAUAUAAUAGGGGUGGGCAUAAACCCACAACCCAUAGGUUAACCAAAAUCCAAACCAAAUUAAAUGGUUGAGGUUGGAUAAAUCAUGAAAAUUGAUUAAAUAUGAGUUUUAUAUAAAAAAAUCAUUUUAUUAUGGAUUGGGUAUGGUUUACCCAUAGUUUAUAGACAAAACCCCAACACUUAAACUUAUUGUCUAAAAUCAUAACUAAACUAAAAUUACAAUAUUAAUGCUCGUCGGUCUCAAUUCAACUUUAUUUUAAGUUUUUCUCGUUUCGAUAGCUUUAGUUUGCAGUUUGGGGAAUUUAUACAAAUAACCAUAAAAUUUUGUGAUUUUUUCAUUUUAACCCCACAAAUUAAUUUUUAUCAACAUUAGCCCAAAAAAAAUUCCAGACCAAAAUGCCCCUCUCACAUUUGUCCCCCAAGACUCUCUCUUUCACGUAAUCUCUCCUAAAGCCAAGAACACCCAUAGUCGGUGGCAACUUCACCCAUCGUUGGCGGCGACUCCACCCAUCAUCGGCGUCCGAUCUACCUUCUACGGCGAAGAAAAUCAACUAGAUUCAUUAUUUAACUUCAACAAAAUCUAGGUUAGCCAUUUUAUUUAUAUUUCAUUAAUUAAAAAUGAAAUUUUAGAAUAAUAGUGGUUGUAGUUUGAGAAUAAUGGUGUGGUUGUAGUUUGAGAAUAAUGGUGGUAAUAGUGGUUGUAGUUUGAGAAUAAUGGUGGUGGUGGUGGUGGUGGUGCUUGUAGUGGUGGUUGUUGUUUUGAGAGUGUGUUGUUUUGGGAGUGUGCUGUUUUGUGCGUGAUUUGUGAGUUUGUUGUUUUGGGUGUGAUUUGCUGCCCAGCAAGCGUCAUUUGCUGCCCAGCGACAGGCGCUAGCGCGCACAGGCGCGACCCUGUCGCAUCAAAUUACAAUUUUUAUUUUUUUUAACGUGAAGUUAAUUUUCCUAUUAUUUUAUUAUAAAUGCAAUCUAAUAAUGUUAAAAAUAUUAUAGAUACAUGACGAAAUCAGAAGUGUCAAGAAACAAAUUGAGCAAGAUGAAGUUAGCUUAUGCCGAUCACUUCCCAGGGCGAAUUUCAAGCAUGUGUAACUUUUCUACGGUCAUAAAAGCCAUCGAGCAAAAAUUAACAAAACGGCAGCUGCAUAUGUUCAAGAAAUACAUAUUUGGGCCUUUCUUGGAGUGCCAAAACUUUCCGUUUAGUGGUGUAAUUUUGCACAAUGUUUUGCUUAGGCAAGUGGCCCAUGGAGAAUACAGGGAGGAUAAUCAAUUAUAGUUUCAAAUUGGUAAGCAUUUGAUAUGCAUGUCAAUUGGAUAAGGGUGUCUGGUUACUGGACUUUCCUAUGGUGAAGAUACCGCACUAACAAAUAACAAGACGAGUAUUUUGGUGGUUUGUUUCGCAACAUCAAUCUUAAGCAAUUUGAUGCAUUAUUUGAGGAGUUGGAGUUCAAGGGUAUGGAAGACAUUGACGCAUUAAAGAUCACACUCUUUUACUUUGCGGACAGAGAAAUGGAAGAAAUGGCCACUGUCAAAUCAAUUUCUCAAGGCUGAACGAAGUAGAUGAUAUAAAUUACUUCCAAAAUCGUCCAUGGGGUCGUUUAUCGUGGGAAAUAAUAUACGAGAGUCUUGACAAUGCACUAUACGAGAAAGACGAGAAAUUUAAGGCGACUCGGUUGGAAAAGUCAAAUCAUAAAAUAGAAAAGUACAAUGUUUACGGCUGAAAUUGCAUGAGCACAUACAAGCUGAUCAAGCUGAAAUACUCUGCAGGAGCAAGUUUUCUUUUGUAGGUCAACUAAACCUUCCUUAAUCCCACCACCUACAACUUGAAAUCGAUGCGGAGACACUGGGCGAACGAUCAUUCUUUCAGCUAUAGUUUUUCUCUCAGUGACUAUUUCAUCCGCCCAUGUUGUUAGCCGAGUAGUCAUUAAUUCAGCGACAAUUUUUCUAUCAUAAAAUCAUUGCUGUAAUAUUUUCCUAAAGUAAUCAACAAGAUGAGUAACAUGAAAUUUUCUCGGUUCCCUCAUGAAAGAAUUAACACUCUCUACGAUGUUGGUUGUAAGUAUGUUGUACCUUCUACCUUCAAACUGAGACCUUACCCAAUUACAUGUAUCCAUAUUAUUUUCUAAGUAAUCAGCCGCACCCAAGUGGAGCAUCCACAACCCUUCAAGUUGUCUUUUAAAUUCCUUGUGUCCAUAAACUUUUGCUGUAUUAAUAAAGGCAGGCUCAAAUUCAUCCUAAAGAGCUUUGGACAUCCUAAACUUUGACUUAAUGUUACUUUUCACAUGGUAAAAACAAACACCAUGAGUUGCAUUGUGAAAUACUUUCAGAACGACUCUCAUUUUGGCAGUACAUUUAUCAAAGAUAAUUACCAACUCUAGCUUAUCGCCAAUCACUCCGUGUAACUUCAUCAUAAACCAUUCCCAAGCAUCAUUAUUUUAUGAAUUCAUGACCCCAAUGACUAACAGAUACAAUUGAUUGUUGCCAUCCAGACAUGUUACUACGAACAUGCUUCCACGAUAUAGUACAUUUAGAUGAGUACCAUCUACAACAAUGACAGGCUGAAUGUACUGCAUAAAACCCUUGAUAGAAGAUCCAAGUGCUACAAAGUAGUACAAGAAAUUAUCAUCUCCAUCUCGUUCGAGGUGAGUGACUGUACCCUCAUUCGCUUUAGUUAGUACGUUAGAGUAUUUAAGGAGCAAGUUGUAUGACUCUGCAGGGUUGGCUCGAACUAUUUCAAGACCAACUUCUCUAGCUCGAUAUGCCUGCUGAUAUGUUAACUGAACACCAUAUUCCUGCUGCAUAACUGCUCUGAUGUUAUUUGAAGUAUAAAUCUUCUUUUUUUGAAUAUAUUUAUCUGCAAUAAUAUGACCGACAACUCGGCUCCUUACUUGUCAACGACUAUCAACUAAUACCUCAUUAUGACAAGUGUAUACAUUGUCAAUUCUCCUUACCACCCAAGGAACAUUAUGCUCGUUCGAACUUCUAAUUGCUUGAAUACACCAUUUACAUGAUUCCGAACAACAAUGAGCCUCAAAACGUGUCGUUGUAGACCGUGCAAUCUUGAAAUCAAAUUUAUCCCUAAAGACAACCUUGCGCAGUUGUAGUAUUAAUUCAUUCUUCUCAGCGAAUAACUUACCUACACUGAUAUCAUCUGAGUCACAACUACUAAGAAAGCUUAGAGCAACUAUGUUCAAAGGCAAAAUUGGAGCAAGACUUGUGACAAUGUCAAUUCUCCUUAUCGAUCCAACCAUUGGAGGAAUAUAUCGAUUGUCUCUAUUAUUCACAAGAAUAUCGUCUUCACACUCAUCCUCAUGCUGAAACGACGGAAUAUUGGAAGGACCGGUUCCUCCAUCAUCACCUGCAUUAUUGAAAUGAGUGCCACUCAUAGUAUUAGAAGGUCCUGCACAAACAUUAUCCUUCUCUGUCUCAUCAACAGGAUCAUCAUUGUCUCAGAAAUUAUUGUUGUGAUACGGAGAAUACCGUUGCUCCAACGACGUCGUUAGUGGUAAUACAUCUUCUCUAACAUCCUCUAACGUAAUAUCGUUGUCAUCAAUGUUGUCAUUAUUGUUGUGGUUUGGAGAGUAAUAUUGCUACAAUGACAUUAUCGGGGCCAGACAUAUUUGCUCUAAAGGAAGUUUAUGUUCUGACGGGUGGCUCAACAUCUUCGCUCGGAAUUCGAGGUGAUGGGGUAAUGAAUAUAGGAAUGCAUUCAUAGUUGGCCACAUUGGAUGCCAUAUGCAACACAACCCUCACCAUUUCAUUAUCAAAUAUAUCCAUGGGCAGUGCACAUAUAUGAUAUAACGUGUUACUAGACAUCAAAGUUGUCUUCAUUGUGAUACUAUAUUCAUGAGGAUUUAUUUGUAACACUUCAUAUAUUCUUACCAAAAGCUAAUCAAACAGACAAUUUUUCCCAACAAAAAAAACUCUAUUUUUACCAUUUACAUACUUCAUACAGCCAUCCUCUAACGUCUCCUACCAACCAUCAUAACACAAUUCAAGCACAACUGAAUCCAUUAAACCUGAAAUUAUAAAAAAGAAAUUAAUUGCACACUAUCAAACUAAUAAAGAGUCAGUUGCAAUAAAUCUGCCUCUUCAAGCGACAGGCUGCCUGUUGCACUAAAUUCGUGCGAUAGACUGCCUGUCGCACAAAAAGGCAGAGUCGGUGAAUCUGCCUCUUCGUGCGACAGGCAGCCUGUCGCCCGAAGAGGUAGAUUGUCGCACGAAAUUUUCAUGCGACAGGUGCCUGUCGCACCAAGAUGCAAUCGCACUGAAACUCUCUCGCAAGUUGAGAAAAUAACUCUUACCAUCAGUGAUGCGGAUUGGUAUUAAAUCCGGAUGGAUUAUGAUCGGAGUUCACUUUUACCGUUCGCCGUCGGCGUUUGCCGUCGUCGGUGAUGAUUCAAGAGUGCAAGGCUGCGUUUGGUUUGAUAAAAGGGGAGAAGGAAAGUUGCUUUUAGUUUGUAAAUAAGGAUAAUUUAGGGAGAAAACUUUGUGUUUGGCUAAUGUUGAUAGAAAAAAAUUUAGAGAGCUAAUUGUGAAAAUAACAAAGGUUUUUGGGUUACUUUUGUAAAUUUCCCUUGCAGUUUUGUGGCAUCCUAAUGUUUCCCCACAAUGUGUAUCUUGUUACUCUUCAAAAAUUAAUUUAAUCACAUAAGUGAGCUUGACCAAUGACUGAUUCUGAAAUGAUUUUGCAUUGAUCUGGAGAGAGAAAUGCUUUGUGAGUUAGCUUAUCAUUUAAUUUAUUUCUUACUUUAACAAAAUAAAAAAAAACCCUUAUUAAAAACUUACUCUAUGUGUAUAUUUUUUUUCCUUCUUUGAAUUUAUUUAUUGAUGUCAUGUUUGUAAAAGCUUAUUAUUAGAAGUUACAUUCUCAUUUAUUGAGAAAAUAAUACUUUUCAUGAUUAAACUUUAUUUUAAUUUUCUAGUAUUCUUUAAUUUAAGGAUAAAGUUAUUGUAAAAUUUAUUAUUUAUAAUUUUUAUCCACUAUAUGUUUUUCAUAUUUUACUAUGAAUUUAAUAAUUAAUAAAAAUUAGUAAUUAUUAUAAAUUUAAUAUAAUUAAAUUUAUCAAGAUAAAAAAAUAUUUUAAUAAUAAAAUUGAAACCAAACCCAAAUCAAAUCUAAAUAGAUUAGUUUGGAUUGGAUUAAAAAUAUUUGAGUUGGUUUGGGUUGGACCCAAACUUUUAUGGUUCGGUUUGGGUUGACUCAAAACCCAACCCAUGUCCACCCCUCUAUAUAAUAUAUGAGAUGAGAUCAUGAAUAGAAUAUGAAAUUUUAAGAUGGCAAUUAUUAAAUGAAGAUGUUCGAUGCACGUCAAAAAUGAUUUAACGUAUGGAAUUAGUGAAGAAAAAGAAAACGAUGUUGAAAGUGAAAGAGAAAAUUAUUUUAAUUUCAAUAUGAGACGUGAAAUCUAUGUAAACAGUUUUGAAAGACGGAAAAGGAUCAUCAGUAGAAAUUGAGGGAAAAAUAAAAUAGAAUAUAUUGAGAGCAAAAAGUAAAGGAAAUAAAAUUAUAAAUGUGGGACUGUUUGAAUUGAAAAAGCCCCAAAAUAUGAAAACUAGAAUUCACGUGUUCUUUUUCAACCCAUGCUAUCCAGUUGCCUACUAACCACGACACUCGGUAUCACUGCCUUUUUAAUUUUUUAUUCUUUUUAUUUUACAGCCGUAGGAUUCUGUUCACCGUAUCCAACGAUUUAUUUAACCGAUAUGUUUCUAAUAGAAACUAUAACAUAAUAAGGUCCUAACUUUAAUAAAACUGCUUGUUAAAUAAUUUAAGUUAAACAUUACAGCCAAACAACUGUAGCUACGUAAUUACCUCACGAGAGUCUCACCUAAGUGGUCUCAUCGAGAAACUUCACUUGAAAACACAAUUAAUCUUCCCCUAACCUUUCACCAUCAAUUUCUUUUGGGUAUUUUUCGUUUUCUUUGCUUCCCCUGCGGUUGUGGAAAGUAAUGUACUAAUAUCCAUUCAUGGUGAUUUUAAUAAUAAGUAACAUUAAAACUUUUUUAGUUAAUAAUGGUAUAAAAAUUAAAAUACUAAAUGUAAUAUUAAAAUGUACGUUAUUAUAUUUUUUAAAAAAUAUUUUAUAAAUUAAUUGAUUGUAUAUUUUUGUAUUCAGUGGUUUUUCUUUUAUGCUGAUUACAUUAUGAUAAAAUAAUUAGAUUAUAGGCGACAUAUCAUUCAAAUCUUACUCCAAAAUAAAAUUUAUACAUAAUAUCAUCAAUGUCCUAAAUAAUAAACAUCAUUUCAUACAAAUUUUAUAAACAUUUACGACAUAGCAUACAUAUGAAGAAAUUAUAAGCGACACAUCAUAUAUCAAUGGCCGAAGAUUUUUUUCUCUUUUAUUCUCUAUUUAUAUUUUCCAACUUAAUACAAAUCAGCUAACCCUCAUUUGUUAAGUGUUGAGCACAUCCAUACUUCAUUUUGAAGUAUGCUCUAAUGAAUUCACUUCACCCUUGACAAAAUAUUUUUUCUUCUUUUUUCUUACAUCUGACUCAUUUUUAUAUGUUGGGUUACAACAAGUUUUACCUCUAUGUUAAAGCGAUUUAAAUAAAUCAAUUUUUCUUUGGAAGCACAAAAUAAUAUAGGAUAAGAAAUAGAUUCGUAUCCAAUAUUAAGCUGCAUUGUUUUGAUUUUUUUUUUUAUAAUCUUAUUGCGCAUCUAUAUUUAUAGAAGUGUAUUAUUAACAUUUAAUUAUAUAUUAUGUUCUAUCCAAUAAUUAUGGUCAUCAUAAUAUCAAAAAUCUCAACAUCGAGUCCGCAUCCAAAAAAUUAAAAAACAAGAAUCAUAAUUUAUAUAAAAUUUUAUUUGUAUUUAAUUAUUAGUCAUUCACGUUAAUUUGAAAUUUUUUGAGUGAUGACACACUCCUGGAAAGGGCACCGAGUUGAAAGUCUUCAUUCUAGAUCUUAUCUCCGAGAUAAACAUGUUGUAAUAAGAAAUGCAUAAACAAAUUGAAACGAAUGAUUCACAAACAAACUAUCUUAUUAAUUAAACUCCAUCAUCAACAAUAUUUUUAAGUUGAAUACCGCAUAACUUGAAAGAAAGCUUGUAGUCCUAACAAUAUUGAACAUAUAUACUUUUUUUUUUUAAAGGAACAUAUAUACUUUAUUUGAUAAGAUCUUCAUUUUCAUGUUUUUUUUAAAGUGAAAAUUCUUCAUCUAUAUCUAAAGUCUACGGGAAAGCCCAAAUACUAUUUCUUUUUUUUUUAUUAAAGAGGGCUCUUCAAAGAGAGCUAGACAGGAACAAAACGGGAAAGCCCAAAUAUUAUUUCAAGAAAGAUAUUGGAGGCAAGAGGUCUUAAACCCUACUUAUAAAGAAAAAAAGAUUUUGAUGGACUAUCAUAAAUGGGAUUGGGAGGUGGAACCUGAUGAGUUCAAACCAAUAUACUCUCUAAAACAUGGAAACAACUUUGGCAUAUACUUACUCCUGCUUAGAGUUGUUUUCAUGUUUUCGGUAGUGCAUCAGUCUCAACUAAGGGUGGGUGUUCGAUUCGAUUUGAUUUUGUUCGAACCAAACUGAACCGAACUGUAUUAUGGCAGUUCGGUGUAGUUCGGUUUAGAUAAUAUAAACCAAAUGGUUUAUAAAUAUCUAAAUCAAUUGAUGUUUGUUUGGUUCAAUUUUAAACCGUAUCAAAUUAAAAAAUCAAAUGGUUCAGAGAGAAAAAUUAAAUUAAAAAUUAAAAAUAGGUUUUAUGUUAACUAAUACGAGUGAUAACUAAUGUGAUAGUAUAAAUUUUAAAGUUUCUUUUAUGUGUGAUUUUGUGUGUUCCUUUCAUAUUUUAUUUAUUAUUGUGAAUCUAUAAUUUGUUGUGAAUUUCUAAGGUAUCAACGUUUGUUUCGUGCUUAACUUUAUUAUGUUGGUGGAUUUAAUUUUAUUUUGUUGUUUAUUUGUAAAUUUACGGACUCAAUAUUGUUGCUGUAGUAAUAGUCCAUUAGUAUUAUGUUGUUUAUUAGUGAAUAUAUAGAGUAAAAUUACUCAAACCAAAUUAAACAAAACCAAAACAAACUAGACUAUAUAACUAAACCAAACUAAAUUGAAUUAAUUUGAUUCGGUUCAGUACAGCUCUAGUGUUUGAUUCAUUCUUUUUUUUUUCACAAAACUGUAAAUCAACUGGUUUUGAUUUGGUUCGGUUUUAAGCAAACAUGUUUAUUAAAAGGGAGAUAUGACAACAUAUUGUCAAGGAAUGAGUAUGUUGUGCAACAACCCAUCCAGUACUUAGACAACUUCCAUCAUAAAAGUUGCUAAGUAAGCCUAAUGAACUUUUCAAGCUAGCUAAGAAAGGAUGUUUGUGAGAAAGCUAGAGAGAAGAGAGCAAUAUGGCCAAAGCGAUUUUUAUUAAUAGAAAGGGAGAAUACAAGAAAGCUUUACAAAGAUGCUUGAGUUGCUAGGUGUGUAGUGUGGUGUUGAGCAAAAUGGUAGGUGUCAUGCCCUAUAUAUAGAGUGGCUUGCCUAGGUCUAGAGUCUUUUGUGCAACUUGCACUUGCUUAAAUAUUCCCUAGUUUUUAGAAUAUAUAAGUGUAUAAUUAUCUAGGCAUUUACAAGUGCUAGUGUGUUGUAGAGAUUUCUAGAAUCAGGUCGGGGCUACUCGCUUUGGCUAGUGAAUUUGAAUUGUCCACUUGCUAAGUGCAUCACAGUUCACUAAUUAUACGAGGCAACCCACUGCUGAGCACACCCUGCUGCUAAGCGCAUCUUGCCUUUGGGCGAAUCUUUAUUAAGCAAACCCAUAUGCGCUAAUUUAGCUCUCGCUGUUGACAAAUUUAAGCGACCCGUGACAAUAUGAUGCAAUAUCGGAAGCCUUUUAUAUUUAGGUUUACUAAAUGCGCGGCGGGGAGAAUUUAGGGCUAAGAGAAAUUGUAGCUGCAUGGCUUUUGAAUUUCUUUGUGAAUCUAUCUAUUACUUAUUAGACAUAAUAGAAUAUUGGGCUAAUUGGGUAUGUUGGAACUUGGGCUUAUAUAUGUACGUCUUAUAUAUAUGUGCCGUCAUCACACAGGGAGAAGAAAAGAAAACUGUCAAGAACAUGAAGUGGCUGCAUCUAUAUAAAGAAGAAAAAUAAAAUUGAUUUAAGCGGUGUUUCUCCACUAAAAGAGAAAAUCAGGUGGCAACAAAAAGUUGAGUGGGGAUCAUUUCAGCACCCUCUUUCUAUCUCAAUAUCUUCUCCUCAGAUCAACCUCACCAUUUGUUAUUGGUAGGCACUUCUUCCGAGAAAGCAUACAAAUGCAUUAACAUUUUAACAUUUAGGAUAUUUGUUAACCAACAGUAGAGACUUCUGCGUCAUUUCAGAAAAUCGAGCUAGUGCAAAAGGUAUUAUCCAAGAUACACGUAUUUGAUUUUAUUUAAUUUGAUGGACACAGAUGAUAUGAUAUUUAUGGAACUUUAAAUGAAACUAUAUUUGAUUAGGGUUAUUUUUGUGAGAAAUGUGGUAAUCAUAAUAUAUAUUCUUUGUAAAGCAGACACUCACAUUAAGCUCGAUCAAAUAGAAGUCCAAAUAGAUGAAUAAAGUGCCAAACAAAUAAUAAUAAAAAAAAAAGAGGUCUGAUUAUGCUUAAUCUUAAAUACAAUGUAAUGAUUUAAGGAUCCAAAUGUCAACAUAGUAUACGCUCGAAUGACCCCUUCUCAUAAUGAGAAUGUAUAUAAUCUUAUUAUGAACUAGUCUUGUAUGGAAUGAACUUAUAAUCAUGGAAUCAACUCAAUUAUCAAAUUAUAUGUUAUAAGUUCAUAAUUCUAACCCAUUCCCAUUUUGUUCCAAAAAGAUCUAUUAAUUGUUUGAUUCUAAUUAGAAAGAGGGAUCUUAAACUAAGAAAUCGAUAUUAAAAACUAACUAAAAACGAAACGAAGGUAUUUUAAUAGUAUUCGUUGAUAUUCCUUGAAUAUUAGUUUCCUCUAAUAUAUUAGAGUUUCUAUCCAUUUAUCUACGCUUUUAAUUUUGUGGAAACAAAAAAUUGAAGAAACCUAUUUGUAUCAACGUUUGUCAUAUAUUUUUGUGUGUCGAAAAAAAUUGCAUUUUGAUCCCAAAUUCAGAAUUCACCUAAACUUAAGUUAUAUAUACACGGGUAUUUUGGUUUAUUUUCAAUUUCUUGAAAGCCAAUAACUUCCCUUACUCACCGGAUUGUAAUUUUGUUACAAAUUUCUAAAAGUGAGUAAUCAAAGAGGUGCUCCAUGACGCGCAUGAUGAUUGAAAAAAUUGCCCAAUCAUUGAACUAAAUAAAUAAAUAAAAUGAUUUACUUGUAGAUAUAUUGUAUAUGGUCCAGAAGCGAUUAUCAUUUUAUCAACAUUGCUUUUUUUUGGCUUCGACUUGUCUCCAAAUCUCUGCAUUCUGAAUGCAAAAAUGACUUGUACCCACAUACAUAAAUACAGUUAAUAUUUUUAUUAAUAAUUCGCACGUACUAUAAGCAAACGCAUGUGAGGAUUUUAUUUUUUUUUAAAUCUCUUCUAAUAGUGAAAGUCUUUUAUAUUGAUAAUUGAUAAUUAAAUAAAUCGGUGCACAAUAUUUAUUCCGAUUUUUUUUGAUUUUUUUUUUCAAAUAUUGCCCAAUAUAAAAGAGAUUCAAAUAUAGUGAUGUAAUUUCAACCAAUAAAAUUGAGUUUUCGACACUUUACCUUUUUGAUAUUUUAACCUUCAGCUUGUAUAAUAGGAGAUUUUCCAGUAAAAGCAGUUGAUACCCAUAAUAUAAAACGUAGAUUUGGGCAUACAAUACAGAUUCGAAGUAGUUCCACUCAAUAUUGAAUUAUCUUCUUUUUUUCUUUUUAAUGUAGAAGGGUAGGCACAGCUCCUAUUAAUUAUUUAUCUCUUAUAUUCCUUAGGAACUGAAUUUUUUUUUGGGUGAUUAACUACAUAAAAUUACUUAAAUUUUAAAAAUCACUCACCUAAGUCCAAGAAGCUAGCGUUGAAUUACUUUGAAUUGAAUUAUUAAGAAGUCUAAUUUUUGCAAAAUAUUAACAUCCGAAUCACUAGAAAUGUCUAGUUAUAUUUUGUCUUCAUUCAAUUUUGUUGGAUCACCUUCUUUUUUUUUUUUUUAAUUAAGGUGACAAUGCUUUAAUUCUUUUUGUGGCAAAUACAAGGAUAUCCACUUGUAUAUAUAUGAACCAAGCAAAUUAAGGAAAAAAAAAUCGCCAUACAUGAUUGAUUGAUGAUUUUUAUUUUUGUUUCUUUUGAUUGAAUCAGCAAAAUUUUGUGAUGACAACAAUUAGCCAUUCUGAGUGGCAACCGUCUUUGGAUUGCACUCAAGAAUAACACUACAAAUAGGACAAUAAAUAAAUAAAAGGCAAGUGUUUGCGUGACGUUUCCUUUGUGAAUUUUUAUAUAUCUCUUUAUGUGAAUCAAAUGCGCACACUUGCACAAAGAGAAAGAAUAUAAACGAAAAGGAAAAUCACUAAUGGAAUCAGCCAACCAUUUCAAGGCAAAGCAGUGUUUGGCACCACCCCCCACCAUUAUAUAUUCUAUCUUUUUUAGUACACAUCAUUGCCACUAUGACCUAAUUAACUAAUCAUUUAAUCUUGUCCUGUAUAUAUCUCUAACUAUUUAUUUCCUAUUAGAUAAUCCAUUGAUUUCAUAUUAAAAUCAUGAGAACAUUAAUUGUGAAACCUUAUGUGGCUAUUGGUUGAUUUAAGUGAUAGAGAGCUCUUCAUGAUUAAAAAAAGAAAAGAAAUUUUGAAAUUUAAAUUCCACUCAUUAAAAAAAGUAAUUUAUGCACGAAUGUUAAUGGGUUAUAUUAAUUAAUUAUGGCGGGUGCAAAUCAACGAACACAUUAUUCGGAAUCCAUUUUCGAAAUAUUUAGGAAUCCGCAGCAUUUAUAUUAAUGUAAUAUUAGAAAAAUUGAGCAGCCGAACCGAGAGUGACGCCAGUGACAAGGCAAAUAUGUUGGCCAUUUGUCGGUUUAAGAUUCUAAAAUUCAAAAGGAAGGUAAACUUUUUGUAAUUAACAGUAUGCGAUCCCUAUGGCUAUAAAAAGACACAAAGGUCAUAAAAGUAUCUUUCAUGUCCAAUUUGUAUAUUUGAUAUGAGGAAAUUUUAUGAGCUUUAAUUUAGGAUUAGAUGUUCUGCACGAUAAAGUCAACUUAAAUCUCAAUCAUAUAUUAAAAUUAAUGAAUAGAUAGUGCACAAUAUUUAAAAAUUUAGGAAAAUUUAAUGAACAAGUGAUACAAAAUCUUUAAAAAUUUAAGAGAGAACUUUAGUCUUUUUAUUUUGUCGAGCUUCUUUCACAAAAAUGUAAUUAAUUUUAUCUCUAAUUAAUAAUAAAAAAGAGAGAAAAGAAAAAGAAAAAUUAUAUCCUUAAAUCUAGUUGUGGGUUAACUAAAGGUUAAAUGUCCUUAUUAGGAUAUCACCUUGUAAAAAUAAUUACACAAUGAAAAGCGAUUGCAGUAGUUAAUUUAGAAUUGGAGGCCUAGAUAUUCCUCAGAGAUAUGGAUAAAUCAAAAGAGAAUUUAAAUGCAGUCUCUCUGCUAUAAAAUAAUCGAGAGAAGUGUAAAGUGUUUAAUAUAAAUUAAAUACUACGCAUAACAUCAAGUUGCUCCAAUAUUGAUAAGAUUAUUAAAUAAUUGGUACGGGGAUUUCUAUAAAGCUAGCUAGCUUAUUUUAUACAACCAAUUCUGUACGUACAUGUUAUAUUUUCAUCAAAUUCUCAUACGUGGUUGUCCUCAUUCUGCAAAUAGAAAUCAAAAUAAUACAUUAUUGCAUGCUGUAAAAUAAAAUAUGUAUAUUCUUUGCUAAGAAAAGAAAAUGCCGACGCUUUAAUUUGUUAGAAUGAAUUGAAUAAACUACUUAUCAGUAAGUUGUUUUUUAGCUUGAGCACAGCUAGGUCAUGCUAAUAUAUCUGUUACUGAAGAUAACAACAAGGAAUUUAUAUUUUAAAUUUUAUCUCUACUAAUAAUAAAUGUUUAAAAUCUGCAGCUACUUCAAUAAUUAAGUUGAGGUCACUCUUGUCUCCAGUUGGAUAUGAGGAGCCAAUUUUAGGGUUGGUGUUAGGUAAGAGAUAACCAAACUCCCAAUAAUAUUUUGUUAAAAGGAGAUGAUACAAAUAAUUAAUUUCUUUUUUGGCGAUUAGGGUUUAGGAGCCUCCGUAAUCACUAAUGGAUUGGCACAGCUUCUGUUUUAGCUUUUAAAUGACUUGGAAGGGUAUGGAGCACUGUCGAGCUGUCCCAUGAAAUCCAACAUUAAUAAACAUAACCCCUUCAUGCUAGUGAGAGGUACUUAGUACUUUCAGAAUUAUUACGUACUUUUAGAGAUGCAUGGGGAAAUCAUUUUAAUAAAUGUACUUGCAUGAAGAACUAUACUUUAAUUUCAAGAAAAAUUUAAGUGGGAUAAUCGAUAAGUUAAUGAUCAUUAUUUUGAAUUGCACUUCAUGCAUACUUGAUAUUUCUUAAUUUAGACACGUUCAUUCAGUUACGACAUACCCCACUUAUAAGCAGUUUCAUUAAAUGACGUAUUUAUAAAAAAAAAUGUAAUAACAUUAUUAAAGAAAAAGUUGUUUUUUACUUAGCCAGCAUUACAAAUUAAAUUGAUAUGGUAAUAAUUUUUAAUUACUCCUCGAGUUUCUCUUAAUAGUAUUUUAAAGAGUACUUUUAUAUACGCACUAAAUCUUGUAUGAUGAUGCAGUAGGCAUUGUUAAGCAUGGAGAUGAUGACAUGACUAGCACUGUUAAGCAUGAAUUAAUAUAAACCACAACAGAGAGAAAGUCAGGAAUCCAUGUGAUUUCGCAUAGUUCUUGGAGAUCAAAUCAAUUUGACAUUGUGUUCCGUAGACGAAUAUGCAAUCGACUUGUCCAAAUUAAAAGUAGAAUAAGAAAAUGACAUCUUCAAGAAGCUUCAAAUGGGAAAAUAAUUCAUACCACUUUUGCAAUUUGCAUUAGCACAGACUUUGAGGUGGCAUCAUCAAUUUAGUCACACGUUGACCAAAAUUCAUAUAAAAAUUUGAUAAAUAAAAGAGAAAAUGUCUAAGAAAAAAAAUGGUACCAUAUAAGAACUUCAAUUGUAGUUAGAAUAACAGAUUAAUUAAAACUGGAAUUAAUUACAGAAUUUGAAGGGAUUACAAUGAAGUUACCAAAUUUGUCAGCAAAUAAAACUAAUAAUUUCUCUUUAUUUGAUUGCUCCUUAAUAUUUUCUUUAAAUUAAAGAAAGAAACUCAAUCUUAUUAUGAAUCCGCAAACAAAAAGGCGCGUAUCACCUCGCUAUUUAACGACCCUUUCAUUUGCUGACGCACACUCCCCCGGCAAAACAAUCAUUCUCUCCCACGCUCGUCACCGGCAUUUGAACUUCACUCGCCCAAAAAAUACGAGAAAGAGAAAAUUUUGGGAAAAAAAAACACCUAAUAGAUUUUGGUAAUCCCAUGUGCCGGACCAUUUUAAUUAAAUUCUUACAAGGUGCGAGUAUUAACCUUUUCAGCAUCAAUUAGUAUAAUUAAUGCACCAGUAUUAUGUAUUCAUCAUAUAUACUAAAAAUUAAUAUCAAUUUAUACAUCAAAUCACACAAGUUAUUGUAUAAAAUUUAUUGUAUUUUUUGUAUACAAUUUUAUUGAGGUCGCCUUUUAGUUGAGCAACAAUUUUAUAAAGCUACAUCGCUUAUAAUAAUUACUAAAUUUAGUAAAAUAUUCAGUUUCACAUUCGACAUAAGAUUUAUCUUUUUUUUUUUCAAAUUUUCUAAAAUAACAAUGGGAAGAAUUUAUAUCACUUUUUUAACCUAUUUUUUUCUUAGAAUUUGAGAUCAGUCAAAGAAAAUUAGUUUACAAUUAUACAUUCAAGCUCCGAAGAACCGAACACAAAAUUUAUUUGCUCUUAUAUCAAUUUAUAUAAAUUUAUAAACAGAUACAAAUAGGCGUUGUAAGCACACACUCCAGGAAAGGGCGCGUAAAGGGGAGGAAGAGGAACCGGCGAAGUAUAAGGAGGAUAUAAUCAUAAUCUAUCUGGUACGCACAUUCAGUAGAUAGUGGAAAGGUGACAAGAGUAAAUAUGUCUUGUAAUAAAUAAUAAUAAUAAUAAUAAAGAUUAUUAUAAUAUUACGUAAUCUUUGACUCCAUGUAGCUUAUGAUAAACACAAAAACAUAUUCUAAUUUAUACCCAAUUAUUAGUUUUGUAAUAUAAUUUUUGUUUUCUUAAAAAUAAUAACAAAUGGGGAAGUACUGUUUGAGGGACUCUUUUAAGCUGUCGUGUUGUUAGUAUGAUUCUUCUAAGAAAUGAUGGGACUUAAACUUGUUGGGGUUUUGAUAGUGGGAGGAGUUGAAGAACAAGAUAAACGGUUGCUCUUGCUGGUUCGGUUUGCCUUUCAUUUGUUGGGAGUUGUCGUUUUGGGAGCUGUUUGUGGUUGAGGUUGAGGAGAGGGAGGGAAGAUUUUUAGCGGGAAAUUAAUUAAAGUUACUCUUUGACUCUCUCAUAUAGUCAUAUGCAUGUAUUGUCAGCAACUUUUGAAUUGAAAGGUUUGAUUUCUGUUUCUGUUUCUGCUUUUGUUUUGUGGGUGUGAUUGCUUUCUUUUUCCUGUUUGGUUGCCAAGAAAAGGGAAGGACAUGAAAGAAAGUUUAAAAUAUUGCUUUGUUUUUGCUCUGCUUUUAUGACUAACAACAAAGGUUUCUUUUUCUUUUUUUUCUUUUUUUGAGUUUUGUUAAGGUAAAAGAGGUUUUGCUUUAUUAUGUGUAUUUAGUGAUGAAUAUGUUGAAAGGUAGUUUGAGAGUAGAAAUUAUUUCAUUUCGGUUAGCUUAAAGUUCUUGCACUUGUUACAUUUUCUUGCUUUGAUUACGCUUUUGGAAAUAGUUAAGCUGGACAUUCAAUUCCAGUUUCUACUUGUUUCUUUAUUAUAUAUGAAUGAAACGGUAACUUGUUUGUCAUGAAUGUUCCUAUUGGAUUCAUCUACUAUUUGGCUUAUUGAAAUUGAAUUUCUUAAUUGCAAGAGAAGUGAAUUUUUUUUUUUAAUCCUUUUUUAUGUAUGCCUUGUUUCAAAGCUUCAAGAAUUGUGGAGGCAAACAAUUUGAAGGGUUGUUUUGCGGUCUAUGAAAUGUUGAUUUAAGUCCAACUGCUGAAUUGGCAAUUUUAGGUGUGUAGCCGCUCUCUGAUUCUCACUAGUUCUUGUUUGAACCUGUUCUCUCCUAGUUUGCUGUCACCUCACCGCUAUCUCUGCUUGCACGUUCGAAGGAAUAGCAAGCAGAAAACUACAAAAAGGAAGGGGUAGCACAUUGAACCUAGAAAAGAGAGUUGAGGGUUGGAACACGAGUAUAACAAAAAUUCUUGGGAUUAUUUGUAUUUUGUUCAUUUUAUAGAGCAGUUGAGUUGACAAGGGAAAUUUUUACCCCCCUCAAUUUUCUUUGUGGGGAACUUUAUGAUCUGCCUCCAAAUUUUGAAUUAUUAUUAUUUGUUUAUAUUUUUCUAAUGAUUCUGAUAUAUUUUAUGAAUGAUUUUCUACAUACUGUCAUAUUCUUUUAAGUCUAGAUAGCAAUCAGAAUUUGUGGUGCGUACAGGUCCACCAUUAACAAAUAAAUGGGGACAAGCAAACAGUAAACUUCAAUUAUGGAAUGACUUGGCUGUUUAGAGCUGAUCUGGACCUUUAAAAAAAAUUAAAUGAAAAAAAUGUAAUGAUUAUUGUCCAAACUUUGGAUACACUUGGCUACAUGCUGUGUGUUCUGCAAAAGCACAUUUGGUCCAAGUUGCUUCUAGCUUGUUGACUGGCUUUUUUAGCAACUUAGUUGGUUUGUAGUAGUUACAAAAAGUGCUAUUCAUUCUCUAUUUGUUUGACAGUUUGGAUAUACUGUUCCAUUUUAGACAUCAGGUUAUUAUAAUGCUGAAGAAGCGCUAAGAUUGUUAUGCAGACUUAAGAAAAAUCUGCAUUUACAAGUCUGGUGGUAUCAAUUCAUUUAGUUUCUUGGCAAUAUCAAAUAAUCUGAAAAUCUUCGUGACGUUUGUUGCAGCAAUUGACAGAUGACAUAGCAAACAGACGAGAAGGAAAAGGUGCUGCAAGUAUAUGAUGGGGUGUCCAAGAUAUUGACGCUUUGUUACUUCGUGAUGUUUUAGUGACUUAAAUUUGUUAAAUUAUAUGGGAGAAAAAAAAAAUUUUAUGCCAUUCUUGGAUUUCUUGUCUUUUGCUUUUUGACGUUAGCGGCUAACUGGUUCUAAUCAUGAGCAUGGAAUCCCAUAAUUUUAUAGCCCGUUAUAUCAGUGACCUUCUGUCAGAGCCUUUUUCUUGUUUCACCUUUGAAGUGGAGAGUGCUGUUUAAUUGAAGUCUUCCAUUAGCUGUUUAAUGUUUCUUAUUUUAGUUAUAAUUGGAGACUGCUGUUCAAUUUGAACCUUGUAGGUUCCCAUUACCUCUUGUGGUAUUUUCAUUCCACCGUUUUAUCUUUAUGUUUAUGCCUAUAUUUUGUUACAUAUGCCAAAAGCUUAUUUGACCUGAUCCUGUUAUUAGUUUGAAGAGCAUGAACUCUCCGUCCACCCAGUAUGUCACCCCAAGAAGGUUGGGCAUUUAUGAGCCCAUCCACCAGAUGAGCACAUGGGUAGAAAAUUUUAAGAGUAAUGGCAAUCCAAAUACAUCAGCACCUAUAAUUGUGGAGGUGGAUACAAGACUAGACAAUCAGGUGCAAAUUAUGACCCUUAUUCUUUUUGAUCUGGAAGUUGAGGCGAUGUUUCCAAACUGAUUCAUAUUUUUCAUUCAACUUUCUAGUCAGAGGAUACUUCUCAUGGAUCGCAAGGACCUUUCUGCAAGUACGAACAAGAAGCAAGUAAACCUUUUGACAAGGUAAGUUUGAUGAUCAAGGAUUUCUUCUCUUGUUCUAAUUUAUAUAGCUUCGAGUUCCUGCUAUUUAUCUUUCUACUUAGAAAAUAAUCCACUUCCUCUAGAUUUACACACAACUGAUGUACACAGUCUGAAUUUGGGGAAAUAUAAGGAAUGGCCAUUGUACCUCAGAAACUAACAGUAACAGAAAUUUUCAGUUAAAGUUUUGUACGUUCUCCUUUCAAUGAAUUCUCCAAUCAUAUGCUGAUUCUGUAUGUUUGUGCCUCAUUCACUUUCUCAUUCAUUUGAGUAUAAACACCCAGAGACUGACACAAUCAUGACAUCUAAGUGAUGUAGAACAUCCUGAAGAUGUAUGUGUGUAUAAAAAUGGAAGUUUCCUUUUUCUCCUUAUUGUAAAUCUUAUAAUAAAUGAAUCAAAGUUUGGAAUUUUUUCCAUUUCUUCCCUCCUAUCCUGUCUAAAUUUCUCCUAUUUCCUUCUAAAGUUCUCUUAUUUCUAUACUAUUAAGUCUUUCAUUUUCAUGUUGUCUUCCCUCAUCUACCUCUGCUCAAGACAGUUGACUGAAGUUUCAGCUAGUAUGAGGGAGGAGUUUCUUAUGGCUCUCCUUCAUUUUAACUGUUGAGAUUUAGUUUGGACACCUUUUGGUUGUUGUAUAAUAGCACGAUUUGUAAUGAACUGCCUUUUAGUUCAUAGACCUUCCUCUAGUCAAUGCAUACAUGAUAAUGGUUUACCAAUUUUAUCCAUUUCGUGAAUGUUUCUCUUCAACAUGAGAUGAUUCUGGUUUGCAUCUUUGUUGCUGAUGUUUGCAGAUACAGAGACGUCUUGCACAAAACCGUGAGGCUGCUCGUAAAAGCCGUUUGCGGAAAAAGGUAUAAAGGGGUCUGAAUCCAAACAGAUAUAGUAUGUGCAACUAGAGGUUUCAAACUUUCUGUUUGAUUAAUCUUUUGUUUGCAGGCCUAUGUUCAGCAGCUAGAAACAAGUAGAUUAAAGCUAGUUCAGCUGGAGCAGGAGCUUGACCGAGCUAGACAGCAGGUGUGGAGAAGAUGUGCCUUUUUUUUUUUUUUUUUGAAUCUAUUGCCAUGAUGAUUGAAGAGGGCCCUUUUCUCCUCUUAAUUUAAAAGUUAAAAAUGUUUGUAUAUUUCAAGUGGUAAAUGCUGCACUGCAGGGUCUGUAUGUAGGUAGUGGAGUAGAAGGUGUGCAUAUGGGGUUCUCUGGAACUGUAAACUCAGGUUUGUUUGUAAAACUGCAGCAUUUAUGAUGGUCGGUUUUGAUAUCUUUCCUUGUCAAAAUUCUGUAUGUUGGUUUUCAUGUCCUCGUGCACAAACAUUGCUAUGCCUUAAAAAUUGCUUGUCUCUGAUACUUUGUGGUUAUUAUGGUAUUUGACAUUCUUAAAUGCCCGAUAUAAAAUGUAAGGCUGUGGCAUUCUAAUCGUAAGCUGUAGUUGCUAUUCUUAUGGAGUAAGAAGAAUGCCGCACAGCCAAGUUUACUGUCAAAUAGUCCUGCUGUAAAAUAGUAUCUGGAAGCAUUUGAGGGCUAAUACAUACUAUCUGCCUUUUGGGUCCCUGGAAAUUCUCUUUGCUCUUCUAGAAUUUUGGAACUUGAUUGAGUAUUGCUUGAGGACCUCUAAUAUCCUCAAUCUGUUCCACUAAUAAAUAGAUAUGUUUUGUUUAACUGGAAUUUUUAGGAACUAGUUGUGAACACGGUAUACUAAAUUGUAGUGAUUUGUAGCCAUAGCUAAAUUUUAUGUAUAGCAAUGUAAUUUUGUUUUAGAAUUGUCUAAAGAAAAAUAAUUAAACUUUGCAUGGGCAAUUAAAGUAAAACUUAUUCUAAUAAAUGUGGUCAAAAUGUACAUGAAAUAUAUUUAUGCUCCUAGCUUACCAUCGCCAUUCAUUGUAUAUCCCUUUGUUUUCAUUUCCUGAAGCACCUGUUGCUUACAGCGCAUUGUUCUUUUGUUCUCUCGUGUUUUUGCAUUCAAUAAUUAGUCGUCAUUGAGAAUUCUGCAUGGUUUACAGCAUUUGAGAUGGAGUAUGGACACUGGUUGGAAGAACAAAGCAGACAAAUUUGUGAACUGAGGAAUGCUUUGCAAGCACAUAUUGGUGACGUAGAGCUCCGCAUUCUUGUAGAUGCUGGCAUGAGCCACUAUUUUGAACUUUUCCGCAUGAAAACAACAGCUGCAAAAGCAGAUGUCUUCUAUGUAAUGUCUGGCAUGUGGAAAACACCCGCUGAACGUUUUUUCUUCUGGAUAGGAGGAUUCAGACCUUCAGAACUCCUCAAGGUAAUUCUUAUUUCUUUUUCUUUUGUAAUUGAAAAAGUUGUCUUAUUUGGUGCAUAGGGCAUGUUGAUUUUGUGGUAGAAGCUGUGGGAUCUAAAUGUGCUAGGCUGAAUUUUAAGACUUGGCAUGAUUUUCAUGCCUAGAUGUUGGAAAAAAAAGCACCAUUUAUUAGGUAUUAUAUUUUCAUAUAGACAAUUCUUUAAUUUAUAAGCACAUCACCGACCUGCACCUACCCAGUUAUCUAUUUUUUUCUCUUAUUAUUUUCAAACUGUGACGAUCAUGUUAGGGUUUCCCAAGUCUUUGUAAUUUCAGUAAAGUAUAUGGUCGUAGCCUUUUUCUUAUAAUAUGGUCCUAGUUCUUAAUAUGUUAAAAACUUCUACACAUUUAUAUAAGCACGUGUUUUACUUUUACGCUUAUUUGAAAAGGACUAAAUUUCACUGAAUGUCACUAACACAUUUGUGUUUUUAACAGGUUCUUGUUCCUCAGCUUGAACCCUUGACAGAGCAGCAACUUAUUGAUGUUUGUAACCUAAGACAAUCAUGUCAGCAAGCAGAAGAUGCACUUUCGCAAGGCAUGGAUAAACUGCAGCAAACGCUUGCUGAGACUGUAGCAGCUGGUCAGCUGGCGGAAGUUGGUUACAAUCCACGUACAGGUACUGCAAUGGAUAAAUUGGAGGCUCUUGUCAGUUUUGUAAGCCAGGUAAGAAUCUGCAUUCUCUCAUUGCCCACUCAAGUGGUUUUCUUCCAUUUUCUCUUUGCACUUCCAAAUUCCAAUUUCUUCUUGACAUGUUUAACAACUCGACAAGUUUUUGCACUGCAGGCUGACCAUCUUCGCCAGGAAACUCUGCAGCAAAUGUCUCGUAUCCUAACAACUCGUCAGGCAGCUCGAGGGUUGCUUGCUUUGGGUGAGUACUUUCUUCGACUCAGAGCUCUGAGCUCACUUUGGGCUAAUCGUCCUCGGGAGCCCACCUAGCCUUACAGCUAGCUCGCACUCUCUGGGAGAUCAAUAUUUACCGGUUGAACAUUGUUUCCGGAAUCAGUGGUACAUCUGGGUAAUGUUGUCAUAAACAAAGUUUCCAGAAAUCUAGCUGCUGACAUUUUUCAAGCAGCCGCAUGCAUCCCGAGGAAUUGUAAAUACAAAUAGCCCUUUAAUGAUAGAGGAAAUUUGUAAUUAAAUCAAUUUUCAACGCGUGUUGUACAUUCGGUCAUCUUGGAACAGUUUUCUUUGGGUAAUAUAUCCCAUCUACAGAUGGAACUUUGUUGUGUAAAUUUUUGUAGUUUCCCCUUCCUGCUCUAAAUGUUUGAUUAAUAAACUGUCCUUGUUCAGGAAUGAGCAAGAGAUACUUAUGCUGGAAAAACCAGUGAAAUUUAAUGAAGUUUUGCUUAGUCAGUCCGUGAGCAUUAGUUGUUUCUUUUCUGAAGUUCACUAGUCACUACUAUAUUUAGGCUCCAUUUGUGAUUGCUGUGUGAUCCUAGCUUAAUUGCAAAAUAAUUAAAAUUUGCAGUAAACACCUACUUAAUAUUUAUCAGACGUUCAUCUAUUUUAACUUGGUAGUUAGGGACAGGUAGAUUAAAAAGUCACACAGCACUUCAGUUUCAAAGAAGCAGAAAUUGAAAAUGGGACUUGGGCAGCAAGAGGAAGAAACAACACACAUCCAAUUCACUAUGUUAACAAUGAGCUGAAAUGUCUGGACAUUCUGCUUGAUAUUAUUGAAACUAAGCUCUCUGUAGAGUCCGAUAUUCAGAGGAUUUGAAAUGUUACAUGAUUUUCCCCAGCUUGUAACAGAUUUAUCUUCACAACUUUGACAUGGAAUAGUCCAAAGGAUAUUCAGAGGAUUUGAAAUGUUACAUGAUUUUCCCCAGCAUCAACUAGAAAAUCUGCGUAUUUCAUUACAUGGAAUAGUCCAAAGCAUCAACUAGAAAAUCUGCGUAUUUCAUUAAAAAAAAAAAAAGGUAUGAUUAUUUUCUAAAGUUUUGAGUUUAAAAAAAAAAGAAAAAGAAAAUUAAUCAUUAUUGAAAAGUUUGUUCAUCAGGAGGGAGCUGUAACAAGUACCUGCAUCAUCUUUUGUAAAACACAUUGGUGGCUUAAUUCUGAAAACAUUUCCAUGUAGUCCUCCUUUGCCAAUGAGAACACCAAGUUCUUCAAUCAGAGACCAGUCAGCAGUUAGCAUCGGAGGAAAUUUGAAGGGGAGUGUAAUUCAUGGCACAAGAUGUUAAAAAAGUAAUGAAAAAUGAGCAACUUUUUAGUCGCAUGAGGUUAUGAGAGUUGUUGAUACCUCUAAGCUUCUCGAAUAAGACUGCAGUUUCUGCCUUGGCGGGUGUCUUCUCCUGCCUGUCAGUUACCAAUUCCAUCCCCACCAUUAGGCCUCUCCCUCUCACAUCUCCAAUGACUGAAUCAAGAUUUUAAGAAAGUGUGAGAAGAAAGCAUAAUGAAAUCACCACUCCGAAGAAACUACAUUCAUAUCAACUUAAUAAAUAGUCGAACCAAGGUCAAUAGAUAAGAAAAGAAAGAAAUGGACUAGUUCAAGAGCAAUUACUAUCAUGUCUCUCUUGUAAAGUUCUCAAGCGUCCAAGCAAGUGAGAACCAACAUCAGCACAGUGUGCUUGCCGCCUUUCUUUAUCAAUGACCCUGAGCACAGCAAGUCCACCAGCAGAACACACCGGGUUUCCACCAAAAGUGUUAAACUGAAUCUUUUGAGCCAUUACAUUUGCUAUUUCUGGUGUGGUCACUACAGCUCCUAAUGGCAAACCAUUGCCAAUUCCCUGAUAAAUGUUUUUAGUGAAAUGUAAAAGAAUGAUAGCAUGAUGAUACUCAAACAUAACCAACUAAAAGAAACGUCUAAGAAUAAGGACAUUGUAAUAAAUGAGAGUUUUAAGUUGAAACAAACGGUUUAUCUUAUCUUAAACAAUCUGUAUAUAAACCUUUGCCAUGGUAACUAUGUCAGGAAUAACCCCUUGUGUCUCAAAACCCCAGUAAUGACUUCCUGUGCGACCAAAUCCAGUUUGUACUUCAUCAGCAAUGCAGACACCUCCAGCCUUGCGCACAAUGUCAUAGACCAGUUUUAAGUAUCCAGGGGCUAAUUCAACAGCUCCUCCAACUCCCUGAAGCCAUUCAAAAUUUAGUAACAAAAAAUUAAAGCUACAAAUUUCUAGCAACCAAUUCAGGGUUGCCCUAAAUGCCAAAUUUACAAAUGUUUGGGAAAAAUUAUAGAUGGCACCUGAAUGGUUUCAGCAAUAAAACCAGCAACUUUUCCUGAAGUUCCAAAAUCAAUGUGAUCUUGCAAAUCUUGGGCAUAGCGGGCAGCAUCUGAACCAAAGCUUCCAUGAUAUGGAUCAGGAUUUACAACAUGAUGAAUUUCACCCUGCAAAUGGCCAGAGUGAUUGGGUAAGUUUCAACAAAUUAGCAUGCCUUGCCUGGUACCUUUCUCACAUACCCUAAGAGAAUGUAUGCCAAUCCAAAUGCCAUGCUAACUGUUUGUACUCCGAAAACACAAUUGGUAGACAAACCUGUGGAAUGGGAUAUUUCCAUGUAUUUAGAGCUGUCAGUCCAAUUGUACCAGAACUUCCACCAUGAUAAGCAUUUCGCAGGGCAAUCAUGCCAAGAUUACCUGUGGAAAGUCUGGCCAUUAGCAUUGCUAACUCAUUUGCUUCGGUCCCAGAAUUGACAAAAUAUACAACCUGCAUUUCCAAUUGAAUUAGAGGAAGCUUAUGAUACCCAGUUUCUUGGGGAUUUAAAUUUGUAAACACAAACAUGUCCGGGACGAAUUACAUAAAACACUAAACUCAAGAGAGAGAACCUUUAGGUUUCCAGGCAUUUUCGAUGCUAAAGCCUCUGCAAAAUCAGCUAUGGCAUGGUGCAAGUAUAUGGUUGUCGCAUGCUGGAGAAGCUUGCUUUGCUCAAAAAUAGCAUUCAGAACAUCAGGAUGACAAUGACCACAGGACACAGUAACUAUUCCAGCAAAUGCAUCCAAAUACCGCCUACCAUUCUCAUCAAACAGAUACUGCAUCUUACCUUCAACAAUAUUAAGCUGUAUAAUGAAAAUUAACAAAUUAGUGAAUUGCGUUUGUUGAAUAUCUAACCAGAAAUUCAACGUUUUAAGAAAUUAAGUACAUUGAAAUUGACCCACAUCAAGAUUAAUUCCCUGCACUGAUCGUUACCAGCAAAAUCAUAUAUUGGAGAAGUAUAUAUUCUAUCAAACCUUCAUUAAAACAGCAUUUAAGCUUAAUAAUCUCUAAGAAAUUACAAAUAACACAACUUAUAAACCUAAUAAAUCCACCUAAAGAUUAAAAAAUAUAUUUAUGAAAAAGAAUUCACAAGUUUUUCAUAUUAGUGCUAUAGAAGUCUAAAAAGCUCAAACUUUUAAGCUCAAAAAGAAAACUUUCAUUCAUUUUAUUACUAAAGAAAGAAAAAGAAUCCCAUUAGGAAAAAAAAAAGGGAAAAAACUAACAGGUUUUUGAUAAUAAUGAAAAAUAGAGGGACCCAGAAAUUGCUUUCGCUUUUGAAACACUUGAUCAGCCGAGGGACCCGUGUAAGGUUUAGGAUCAUGAUCAAAAGGCGGCAGCUGCGGAGGAGUAGUAGCAACAGCAGAAGCAGAAGCAGCAGUUGAGAAAGAAGUGCAAAUAUUCAACUUGGCUUUGGAUUCCUUCACAGUUCUUUUCAAGAUUUGUCUCUGCAAAAACGCCAUUGGAUGGAUGAUGAUGCAGAGAUAAAGAAAGAAAACAGAUUUUUUUUUUUUGAUGAAAAUAUUUCGAAUUUUUAUUUGUUUGCCAAAGUAUGGAUUGAAAAAUCGACAAUGGAAGUUGAGUGGAAAUGGAACGCUAACUGAACAGAACAGUUAACUUCAAAGUUAAGUGAGUGUGGAACGGAACAGUGUAAGAUUUUAAUAAAUAUAAUUUGGUGAUUUGGCGCUUGUUACAGAACAGAAUAGAUUCUUUGAUGUUGUUUUUUGUCGCACACAUUAUUUUUAUUAAUCUUCACAACCAUUAGCUACAAAAAUAUAGUUGCUAAACUGAUCUAUACUCAAAUCGUUCAUAAUUUUUUAUCACACGUGUAUAUAUAGUAAUAUAUAAUAAGAAUUAGUAAAUAAAAAUCAAGUCAUUAUCCAUUUAAGUACAUCUUAUAUUUAGACGUUCAAUGUCUUCUCUCACUCUCCCACACACAAAUUCUUUAAACCAACAUGUAAAAAUUUUAAUAAGUAUAGAACUAAUUUCGUAUAAAAAUAAAAUUUUAAUUUUUUGUGUUAUUGCUACUUUGAUAGCUAAUUUUUUUUAAAUGUAUUUUUCUUAAAAACACUUCUAUGUAAGUUUAUCUAAUUCAAAUUUUCAACCUUCUUUUUUAAUUUGGAAUUGCGAAAAUAAGUUAUAAUGUUGAGUUUGAAACCAAAGCUUAACUCUAUUGUCAUACCCAGCGUUAAGAAAACUUAAAUUCAUAUAACGUAUGUGUUUUAACAGAAUUAUUAUUAUUAUUAAUUUUUUUAAUACAUGUUGAGUAUAAAACUGGAAAUGUAGGUAGGGAUGGCAAAAAUCUCCAUGGGGACGGGUACCCUCAGAAAUUUUCUCUAUUCACGGAGGGUAUGGGGAUAAUUUCGCAGCUCUGCUGAACCGUACAUCCGCCUUGGCCGUACAGCAGAUAAUUUCAUACCCAAUUUCUUAUUCGGGGAAGGGACAAGGAAAUUUUUUUACCCAAUUUUUUUAUUCGGGGAGGGGACGGGAAUGAGGUGGAAUCCCCAUCCCCUACCCAUUUCUCCAUUUUAAUUUUUAAUUUUAUUUUAAUUUUUUAAAAUUACUAUUAAAUAAAUAAUAAAAUUAUAAAUAUUGGUAAAAAUAAAAAAAUCAAAAUAUUUAUAUUAUUAAACUUUUGGGCCUAAUUAACUAAUUAAAGUCCUAAAUUUUUAUUUAGGACAUUAAAAAAACCGAGUAGAUUCUAUUAGCCUAAAAUUUUUUAAUUUUAAUAUUCUUUAAAUAUUUUAAACUUAAAUCUAUUUUUUAUUGACUUAAAUCUAUUUUUUAUUUAUUUUUAGAUGUUAUAAUUGCCCACAGCGAAUCACAAUUUUAAUAUCUAAUAUAAUAUAAUAUAAUAUUUGCUCUUGAUUUACUCCGAUUUAACUAUUGUAUUGUAAAGAGAAUAGUCCACAUUUAUAAAGUGUCUACACCACAAAUUAAUAGUCCACAUUUAAAUUGUUACAAAUAAAUUCGAUUUUAUUUGUAACAAUUUGGUAUUAGACUAUUAAUUUGUUCAUGAUAGUUUGUAAAAAAAGUUUGUAUCUCUUGCAUGCUGCAUUACUUACUAAUUUAAUAUAUGUGACUUUUGUAAUGGAUAUUAAUGUAAGAUAUAUUUCGAACUUUACUUUUAUUUGAAUUUUUUAUUUUAAUAUGAUUAAAUCAAAAUCGAAAAAAAAUGUAUUAGUUAUUCGGAGAUCGGGGACCCUUUGGGAUCCCCUGUUAUUAUUCGGGGAGGAGAUAAGGAUUCUCUCAAGUAAUUCUGACGGGGACGGCGACAUACGCAAAAUAUCAUAGAUGGAUACGGGGAGAUUGGUCCCCUCCCCAUUGCCAUCCCUAAAUGUAGGUAAAUGAAUUAAAUGCAAUCAUAAUAAGCUGUCAUUCAUUGUAUGUGUAUCUUUAAAUAUUAGGAGAAUAUUCAUCAUUGCCCUAUCACGCCAACCUCUCAAUGAUCGUGCUUAUAUAAAAAAUCCCACUAAUUAUAUUUUAAUUUGAUUGGAUUAUGAUUACGAGUCGACUCUUAGUAAGACUAAGCAUGAUAUAUAAACGUGAUUCCCUUUAUUGUUAUUUUUAUUUUAUUAUUUUUAAGUUCACAAAUAGAUAAGCCCGACCAAACGUAUCACGUCUAUAUAUAUAUAUUUUUUGCCUAAUAAAAAUUUAAUCUCCUUGUUACUCAUUGAGUAGGAUUCGCGAUUCAGGAUUCUGAACACAUCUGUAUUACUGUUGAGGGCAAAAAUAUAAUUUCAUAAGGAAACCAAAUGCGUACGCUAAGGUGGAGUGGAGCAGGAAAAGAGACAAAUCUAUGCAUCAAAAUUCAAAAGUGGCCUCUUCCUUUGCUUUCAUGCGUUACGUAACCUAAGAUGAGUGUCCAUUUCUGUGGUUUCUCUCUCUCUCUCUCUCUCUCUCUCUCUCUUUAGAAUGGUGUACAAUCUUCUUUAUUGUGACGUGUUCCAUUUUCUCUCUAGAAAACUGAAGCAGAUACUUUCCCUCUCCAUAAAAUUUAAAAAAUACUAAACUUCUCAAAAAUCAAGGUAAUCAACAUAAUAAAAAUGAAAGAUUCAUGUUUUAAGUUUGUUUACCGUGAAACAUGCAUGUACCCAAGCUCCUGUAACUCAGUGGUUCACGAUGUUGCUAAGAUGGUUCUUGGUCAAUCAGAGCCUUAUACAUGACUGAAACAUAUGUCUCCGUGAAACAUGUACACACUUCACAAUUCACCUGUUUCCUUCUCUUCUUUCUCAUAGCUCACACAAACAACUAACAAGCAACAACAACAGGUCAGCACAACGGCAGGCCAGUGACAUCAUAACACUUUGACCAGAUUUGUUGCGCCAACGACCAGAUCUGCUGAUUGUUGCAUCAAUGGUUGCUCCACUUCACUUCGACUGGAUCUGCUCUUUCCGCAAUCACCAACGAAACCUGCAAAGCCAUCAACGAGACUCGCUGCUGCUUGAUCUAUCGGCUUCCGCUUAAUAUGCGCAAAGCCAUCUACAGUUGUUCCAUCGAGGUCGAGACCGAUAGCCAUCAUCACCAAGUCCUCCGAGCUCCCGAAAUUUUUCAAUUCAUAUUUCAAUUUUUUAUUUAUGAAAAUUAGUGGAUACAGACUAAAAUGAGGUAAUUACAUAAAAGUAAUCUUGUAAUAACUAAAUAAUUAUAAAAAAGCCUCAAAAUUAACAAAAAUAGCUCAGAAUUGCCCUUAAACCGAUUGUCCCAAACUCAACACGAAUUUUAGAUCCGAUCUGAUCCAAUUUGAGUAUAAUCGAAUCCGAUCAAACUUGAAAUUUAGGUUAAAUUCAGAAGAGUUUUCCCUAACCUAACCAACUUGAAAUCUGAUUGGGUUAAUUCGAACUCGAUUUUGCCUAGUCCUAGUAAAGAUAAAAGAAAAAAAUAAAUAUAAGUAGGUGUGUUUGGGACUGGUUUGCGACAAUUGAGCUACUAAGUUGUUUGGUUACACAUUGUAGUUCAGCUUUGGUAGCUCAGUAAUUUUUUUCUCCUAGCUAUGUAUUAAGAUUAUUAAUUUCUAUUCCACAGCUAUAGUUUUUACUCUAUAACAACUACUAUUAGUGAUAUGCCCUGAAGGCCAAUCAAAUGGCGCUUGCUUUUAGGGAAUUCUUGUAUUUAAUUAGUAUUUUUAUAUUUAUAAAAUGGCAAAGUUAUCAAUAUUCAUUAAUUAUAAUAAUUAAUUUAGUUCAAGAAGUAAAAUAGUUAAAGAAUACAUUCUCGAGAUUGUCGAGAAUAUGAAACGUGUAUCUUUUGUGCCUUUGUACUAUAUUUUUAAAAUAGUUCCUCUUCCUAGCGAUAGAUUUAUGACUCCUUUCUGAUAUGUGAUACUAAAAUGGAUGGUGAAUUUCAUAUCAUUAACAUGAAAUGUCAAGUCAAACAUAUAGGUACUUGUUGCAAGAACAAGUUUACUAAACUUGACCAAAUAAUAAUAAGCCAUAUGGUUUUGAGUGUUAAUGGUUUUCUAUAUAUUGUAACAGACACUAUUUUAGUAAUGGUCUUUAGACUAAAGGCAUCACAGUGUCUUGUAAUAGACAUCUAUUUUAUGUGAAAGCAUAAUGAUUGAUUUCUAAUCAAGGAUGAGAUCCAACAAUAGCUGUCAUGGUUGGCUGUGAAAGAAGACAAGUAUAUGGCUAAUAUGAAAUUCAUCAUUUUGUAAUAAACAAAAAAAUUGUCCCUUGUAAGUUAAUAUGGAUUGGCAUGAGAAAUUCUUGGCCAAGGUGAAAUAUAUUUGAAGGCGUUCAAAUUACAUUUUUUAUGCCAAGUUCAUUUAGAUUGAUUUUGAGAUAAAGCAUAAGUGCGUAACACACUAAACCAUAAGCCAUGCUUUUCUCUGGACAUAGAUAAUGAAGAGACCAUAACAUAGAGAAACAAUGAAAUAUGUUCAACAAAUCCAAAAAUUCUUAUUAAUUAGAUGGUUCUGAACUACUAUUAAGUAUUACUCAUAACUUGUAAAAACCUUAAGAUCAUUAGUGCUAAAGAUAGAAACUUUAAGAUCAUUAGUGCUAAAGGGUAUUAGCAAUGCAUCUUAAGGUCAUCAGAAAAGUUAUAAUCGAUGACUAAAGAGAUUAGCAUCUUUUAAUAAAUAAAGAGUUAUCAUUAAAAUGGUUAUACUACUUUAUAAUAAAGAACUUAAAAUGCCACACAACUAAUAGAAAUGAAAAAUAAGUUACUAGAAUAUGAGAAGCUAAAUUUUCUAAUUUUAGGAAAAUCGAUAUUCAUUAAAGAAUAAAUAUAUAUCUUAAAUAUGAUUUAACAUAGAAAAUUUGAUGUUCCAUAAACAAUUUAAAGAACAAAAUAAAUUUCAUAAAUCCUUAAUCAAACACUAGGAUUAAAAUCAAGCAUGUAAAAUAACCAUAUUGGUCAUGUUUCGGUUCAUGAAUGAUUAUGGACUUCUAGACCAAUUUUGGGUAUAGAAUUUUGGGCUUUUAUUGAACCUAAUAUGGAUUACAAAAAAACAUAAAAACAUGUCACAAAAAAUAAGCCCACAAUUAGCCACUUGAUUUUAUAAAAUAUGAGCUUAAUUUGUUAAAGACAAAAUUAUGUAACUAUGCUAUUUAUUUAUUCAAAACUAAUUUAAUUAAAUAAAGUAUUAGAAUGAUCAGAUCACAUCCAAUAAAGAAAAACUUAGUGAGUGGGUCUAACUCACGAUAACGUUUGGUGCCAUUAUUCAAAAGCGAGCGAUAAUUUUGUUUGGUUAAAUGAAUGAUCAUGAACUAGUAUUCAUGUUCUUCAUUAUUUCUCUCAUUGCAAAACGAAUUUUGGUGAUUCUAAAUCCUAUUAACUCUUAUAAGAUUUAUAAGUGUAGACUAAUUAAAGGCAUCACAAUUGGAGUGUUUUAAGAAUAUCAAAUCACACAAAACAAAAAACUAUUUGUUCGGUGAUGUGUUUCCUAGACAAUGUUCGAAACUUUCUAUUUUUGGUGCUUCUUACCUCACGAAAUUGUUUCUAAAACUACAAGUGAGUAAUUAAACUUUAGUCUUUUCUCUUAAUUUUCGAUUUUGAAUGAAGCCUACCGGAGGUUUUUAUAACUUUCGCCAUUCGUUUUAAUUUUACUGUGCAAAAGUUGUGUUUUUAAAAAUCUUAUGGACAAAUGUUAUCCUUCAACUAUAUCUUAAAAUAUACAACACUUCACUACCAAUCGUGUCCUUAUUUUAUUUGUAUUUAUUCUUAAAUGUAAUUGUGAUAGAAUAAGAAUUCUACAAGAUUAACGAAGAAGUAUUUAUGGAACUUCUAAUGAUACGACUGUAACCAUUUUUUUGCCUUUAGCUUACAAGCGGCAUUAUGUCCAAAAAAAAAAAAAAAAAAACCUUAAAAGCGGCAUUAUGUGACAAGCCCACAAUGUGAAAGGAACAUUUCAGCCCACGCUGAAAAUUCACUGCCUUUUGAAGGACCCCUAAUGAGUUGGUCCACCAGGCCCAAUUCCCAUUCUCGCGCCCACCAGCUGCUUGACCAAAUAUCUGAUAGAAGAGGAAACAUGGGCCAAAAGAGGAGCAUAUAUGUAAGCAUCUCAUGAUCGGAUACAUGUUCAAUGUUGAGCCGAGUUUUGAUUGAGCGAUAAAUCAAUGGUUAUUAGAUAAAAUAAAUAAAAAAAAAAAAUUUAAAACAAUUCUAAUCAUUAAUUUAAGCUCAGCUCAACACUGAAUUUAAUCCCUCGUAAUCCUUUGCUCUUACUUGGAGAGGAAAAGGCAUGGAAAAAAUAAAAGAAGAAGCAAGCCAACACCACAACAACGUCAACUCUAAAUUGAAAUUCCAAACACUUGCAACGCCUUGCUGUGCGGGGAGGCAGCUGCGGCGAAGCUUAUGCUCCUUCUUCUUUGGCAGUGCUUUUUGGACACCGUUUUUAGCUUCUGCCAACUAUGCCUGGGAUUGUUUUCUUGCCAAAGAUGUGAAACGACAAUUUUUCAGCUUUGAUUUGACUGCGGCAUUCGAAUAGAGAAGUCAAGACAUAGAUGCAAGAAGCCUUAAACUUGUGUGCAGAAGAACAAGACAGUGCAAGCAUAUACCAGAUUUCAAAUGCUGAGCUGAUUGACUGGCAGACAAUGUCACAAAGAUGCUGUUUUCCAGUGGACCACCAAACAGCGGAUUUCCAAACAAAGGUCAUCAAAGUAGACAUCUGGAACAUUUAACAGCUGACAAAUAAAUGAAAGGGAAUUUUUUACAUGUUAAGGAACCUAUGGAUACCAUGAACUUCUGUACAAUGGAGAGUUGGGAUUUUCCUUCAAAUCAAAUAUCCAAUCCUUAAGCUACCAGUAGUCACGACAUGAACACAGCCCUUUCUUGAAAUGGUGAAAUCGAGUAGCAUCUCUCACAACGAUCUCUCUGUCCACAAGUUUGCAGAUAAAUUUAAUGGCCGAAUGACAGUCAUUGCAGACUCUGAGGUUCUUCAUGAUCCUCAAUGUAGUAUUCUCCGGAGUACUUAUUAGACCAAAUGCAAUAGCAAGUUUCUCGCUGUGAUGUCUAAGCAUCUGCUCCUUCACAUCCUCCUCAACAUCAUGCAAUACAGACGCAGUGUCUGGAACAAAACCCAUCUCUUUUAUUUCGUCCCAUAUUUUUGCCAUCUUAUUGUAGAUUGCAUCUCUCUGAGGGUGAAGCCAAUCUUCAACUCCAAAGACAUGAACUUUGUUCUGGAUUUGAACCCAACUAAAUCCUUGAGUUUUCUUCACACCUACGUACUUCAUUGACUUUCUAAUGUUAGCCGCAUCUUCCCAUUUUCCACAGGAUGAAUAUAAAUUACAGAGGGCUGAGUAGGCCCCACUGUUGUCAGGCUCAAUAAGAAGCAAUUUCUCUGCUGCAAUUUUUCCAAGGUCCAAAUUCUUAUGAACCCUACAAGCAGACAAAAGUGAACCCCAAGCUACUACAUCUGGUUCAAGUGGCAUAUUUUCUAUAAAAUUAUAUGCUUCUUGUAGCAAACCAGCACGCCCUAAAAGGUCAACCAUACUCGCAAAAUGGCUUGGGGUGGGUUUGAUUUUGUGCACAUUUUUCAUCAUAUUAUAAUAUCUCCGCCCUUGUUCCACCAAUCCCCCAUGGGUACAGGCAGUGAGCACGCCAACAUAAGUUAUAUGGUCCGGUUUUAUACCAAGUUCUAACAUCCUCUCAAACAGUUGUAUUGCCUCUUCUCCAAGACCAUGUUGAGCUAAAGCUACAAUCAUAGAAGUCCAAGAGACAGUCUCCUGGCGCCAAUGAAUAAGAUUAAAUACUCGCCUUGCAGCAUUGAUGUUUCCAGCUUUCGAAUACAUGGUGAUUAAAGCAUUGCUCACAGACAGUGAUGAUGCUUCUCCUGAUCUUAAGGCGCUUGCAUGAAUUUGUUUGCCAUGGUCCAAAGAAGCCAAGCUUGAACUGACACUCAACAUGGCUGACAGAGUGUAGUUAUUUGGCUUGGGGCCUUCUCUAACCAUUGAUCUGAAAAGCUCCACGGCAUCUUUAUUCAAGCCGUUCUGCUCAUAUCCCACAAGCAUGGCUGUCCAUGCAACCACAUCACGAUCUCUUAAUGAGUCAAAGAUCCUUCUAGCUGGGCCUAUAUCCCCAAUCUUGAUGUACCCAUCUAGUAGCGUUGUAAAUGCUAUAACGUUAAGAUACGAAAUCCCACUCUGCUCUACAAUCUUUUGAGCAAUUUCAACCCCACCAACCUUUGCAUAGCAUGAAAUCAAAGCAUUUCCCACAGGUCCUGUGGCAUCAAACUCAGUUCUCAUAAUAUAAGCAUGAAUCUGUUUUCCAAGUUUCAACUUCUCAAGAUUAGCACAAGCGGAUAAAGUACUAGCUAAGGUGAACUUAUCAGGCUUUAAGGAAGAAUCCUUCAACAUGUUUGCAAACAUACCCAAAGCUUCAAAAUCAUAUCCAUUCUGACUAUAACCCGCUAUCAUUGAAUUCCAUGUAACAACAUCCCGCUCAAUCAUUUGAUCAAAUUGAGCACGAGCAAGAUCCAACCGACCAGAGUGUAUAUGCAAUGAGACCACAACAUUCCAGCUGGAUACGUUCUUCAAUCUCAUCCCAUCAAAAACAGCCUUAGCCAUCAUUUCAUCACCAACCUUAGCAUACAUAUUCAACAAAGAAUUUGUCACAUUAACACACCCACUAAGGCCAGUCUUAAGCACAAAUGAAUGCACCUUCUUACCUGCACUCAAAUCUCCUAAAGCUGUACACGAAGCAAGCACACUAGUAACUGUGAACUGGGUCGGUAAAACUUGAUCCUUAACCAUCUCUACAAACAUUCUUAUCGCAUUUUUAAAACGACCGAUCUCGUUGUACGUAACAAUGAUUGUAGUCCACGAAACAGAAUCCCGAUUAGGCAUCAAAUUAAAAACUUCACAUGCCAAAUCUAGUCUACCUUGUUUUGCAUAAGCUGAAAGGAUUGUAUUCCAUGAACAUAAGGUCUUCACAGGCAUUUCAUCGAACACUUUCUUAGCGUAAGAAAUUGACUCCGUUUUUGCAUAGAAAUUCAUGAGGCUGUUUUUCAAGAAAACGCUUAAGUGAAGCCCGCAUUUGAUUAUACGAACGUGAACCAAUUUCCCCACAAAUGGGUUUCUGGAUUUGAGGUUUGAUUGGAGAAGAUGAGCGUAGAACUCCAAUGGAGAAAUCAAAGAAGGCGGGUUUGGGGUCUCCAUUAGAGAUUUUAUUAAGUGAGUUAAUUAGGAUUAAAGAUUAAAUUAGUAGGUUUUGUUUCAUUCAAAAUCUAUUGAGGAGGUUUCGGAAUCAAGAAAAAGAUAAAACCCCCCAAAAAGAAAAUAUCGGAAUUGGCGGGAAAUGGGAAAUAGUCGUUAAGAUAUGGCUUGUGGCUAACGGUCAAGGAUGUGGGGAGUCAUAUUUUUCUUCUGUAUAUAAAAGAGAGUUUUUAAACAUCUUUGCUGAUAUUAAUUUUGUAAUAAAAUGGAAAUAAAGAUUUAUAAGUUUUUUUGAAGAAAUGCUUGAUGACCUCAUGACCAUAUGAAAAUGAUUAUAUAAAGAAAAAUAUUUAAAAUAAAUUAAUUGGCGUUUUCAUAUGAAAAUGAUUGCAUAAAAAGAAAAAUAUUUGUAAGAAGUUAAUUGGUUUUUCUUUUAAUAACUAUUAUCAAUUUUUUGUUACUUAAAUGGUGGUAAAAUUAUUAAAGAUAAAAAGGAAAAAGACAGAACAUAGAAUUAUAAGAAUUGGUUCCUAAAGAAACUAAUAUUUGGAAAGAUUCUAAGAGUCCUCUAAAAGACUCUUUAAAUAGAUAAAUCUUCCUAUGAUACACAAGAAUCAUUCUCACAUACUCAAAUUUGCCAAGCCAUCAACAACUCUAAAGACAUAAAAGCAAGCAAAGUGAAUAUCUCAUAUGAGCAUGCAAACAAUAUUGAUUGAUUUCAAACUUAAUCAUUGUGCUAGCCCUGAACCAUCUAAGACUUUCUUCUUUAUUCAAAAUCAAAAUAAAGUAAUUUUAUUAGAAACAUAAGAGUAAAAUUAAAGAGUUAUUAAGGACAGAAAGAGGAAAGAAGAAACUCUCUUUAAACGUCUUUAAAAAAUGGCUAAGAGAGUAAAAGCGUAAGCCAAAACGUAAACAAAAUAAAAGAUUGCACGAAGCUAUAAUUAUUAUAUCUAAUUAUUCAAAAAGUUAUUAUAUCUAGAAAAAUUAUUAUCCGUCCACCCGAGGUUUAUCCCAUUAUUAAAAAAUUUUUUUACAAAAGUUUGAAUUUAUUUAAUUUUACAUAUCCCAUUAUAAAAAAUAUUAUAAAAAUCUGAAUUUGUUUAAUUUUAAAAUCAAUGUACACAAUUCAUAUUAACCAUCUGCUAAAAAGACAUAAUAAUUACUUUAAUGAAAUGACAAAACAAAAGUAAACACAACUUAUAGUAGUAAUUAUUUUGUGAGGGUAGUUUUGUCUAUUGGUUGGACAAUUGAUACACAUUAUAAACAAUAGACAGAAAUUUGAACAAAUUAAAUUUUUUGCAAUAUUUUUGAACAAAUUAAAGUUUUUGUAGUAUUUUUUAUAACAAAAUAAGUUUUGGGUGAAUGACUGAUAAUCUCUCUUAUUGUUAUAGGAUGUGUUAUCAAAUAAAAAUGAUCACAAGGACAACGAAAGAAUAUAUCAUUCCUUGCAUAUUUCCAAUUCUUUUUCUUAAAAUAAUAUCUAGUCUUUUUUUCAGGAUGUUUCUAUAACAUUCAAUCGUAUUCAUCAUUCCUUGCACUAAGUAGCAUCUUACGACAGAGAAAUUCUAAUACAUCUGAGGUAUAUACCAUGUCUGUUAUAGAAUAAACAAAUAAUGUUAUGACAUAUGUGCAUUUAUUUUGAAAAACCAUCAUGCAAGUGGUGUUUGUAUUAAAUUCAACUACACAUGUCAUGUUUGUAUCAAUUGGUUGUAAUACAUCUGAGGUAUUCUAAAAUUUCUCCUUGCGGCAAGAUAGCUAGGAAAGAAAUAAAUGUGCAUAAUUCAUUGCAUGUUUCCUAUUUUUUUCUUUUUUCCCCUUAAAAUUUAAUGUGAUGUAGAUACAGUUUCAUUUAUCAAAUAAAUAAUAAUUAAUAUAUUAAUUUAUAACACCGUCUCACCAUCUACUUGAUGCACAAGAAAGUAUAGAAGAAUAUCGCCUAAAUUUUCCAUUUUGUUCUUACUCUCUAUCAUGAUGUGGACUCAUACGAACAUGGUCUCAUUUUUCCCUACUUUGCGUGUCUUUUUUGUCCAUCACUUCUGUUUAAAAAUUCUAAUUACCCAACUUUCAUUGUCCAAAUUUAUAUGAAUGGCCCUUAUCAUCUAAGGCACUCGAAUAAUUUUUUUUUUCCUUCUAUAUGAAAACGUCCGCACAUUAUAAAAUACAAAUUAUUAGACUUUACACACUACGAGAUAGCUGCAUUAUUUACAGCUAUACAUUACCUGUAUAUAGCACCAAAACAUAAUUUUCCAAAACAUAAUUUAAUAUAAUGUGUCGACAUCCACACUGAAAAAGGACUCUUAUUAAUAACAUAAUUUAAUAUAAUGUGUCGACUUCCACACUAGAAAAGGACUCUUAUUGAUAAAUAUGAAUUUUAUAACUUGUAAACAUCCUCACAAAUAUGAAUUUUAUAACUUGUAAACAUCCACGAGAAUGACUUUUUCUAUAUAAAUCCUAGCUAAAUUUGAGUUUAACUGCAAAGCUUAUGAGAAAUGAGCCUAAGUAACAAGUUUCACUCUAAAGGGAAUGUGCCCUUUUCGUGGGAGAACAAGCCUGGAGUCUCCAAGGUGAUCAUCCACAACGGUUUCGAUGGCGACGGGCACUGUUCAUCAAAGCUGCCGCCGCCACCAUGUCAGGAGGAGAGCAAAAAAUUUUCGGUCACGUGUCCAGAAAGUUCUUCAAGAAAAGGUCUAGGUCUUUGGAACAAUAAUAAGCAUGAUCAACCAGACCCCUUUUUGGUAGCCUUGAAGGAGUGCACCAAAAACCCUAGAAACUGCAGCAUGAAAUCUUCUAAUAAAAAUAAUAAGCCAGGGAUGAUGAAGGGUUUCUUUAGGUUCGGUUGUAAGCAUAAUUCUUGUAGUGUUAAGGAUAAUAAUUCGGGGAAAGUUGCUCAGCUUCGUCUAAUUUGAAAGAUGGAGAGAUGUGAGAAAUUAAAUGAAAAAUAAAAUGUAAUCUGGGAUGAAAUUAUUAGAUUUUUAAUUAUUUUUAGAAGUCUUUUAUAUAUCGAACUCUAUAGUAGAGUUAUUGAGUAUGUUAUAUGAGGCUUUGUAAAUUAAGUACGGAUAUAAUAAGAUUUGUUAAAAUAUAAUCAGACUUAUACUGUGUCAUUUACAUAGAAUUCACUCAAGCUUCAGCUUCAUUUAUCAUUCACACGUUUCACCUUGACUGAUUUUUUCUUUUUUUUCUUUAAAAAUAAUUGGUGGAUUCAAAAAUUGUGGGCUAUAUGUUUUGGCCCGAUUAAUUCCAUGAUGGUUUGUAAUUUUGAAUGUUAAAAAUAUUGGAGGACCUAUCUACCAUUAUCCUUUUAAUUAAUUUUUCAUUUGCUAUUGGAUCAGCAUUGAAGUUUUACAUCUAAAUUAUUUUUUUUUAAAAACACAUCUACAUUAUUUUUUAGAUUAUUAUUAUUAUUAUUAUUAUUAUUGUUUUAUUAAUUGUUUAUAUGACUUCCUGAGAUAGAAUUUAUGAUGGUAUCAGGCUUUCAAUUUCGUAAGAAAGUCCUAAUUGGUUUCUAACCAAUUUAAUUAACCACUUAAAUUUGAAUACUGAUAAGAAAUAAAGACAUAAAAAGUUAUUAUAAGCUUUACGGAACCCUCUACCUUUAAAAAAUAAAAUUGCAAGAAAUGUAUAUAUAAAUGCAAUCACAAUGAUACGUGAUUUGAAAUUAAUAUUAACUAGGAUGGCCAUCGGAUAUAGUUUUAUCUUGGAGAUUAGGGCCAGAUUCGGUAUUUAAAAUGUAAAUCGGUGAGAUUUUUAUAUAUACAUGUUUAGUUUUGAUUAAAUAUCGGGAAUCAACCACUACUUUAGUUUCUAUGGUUUGAGCUAGUUGAAGGUAAAUUAAUCUUUUAAUACUUAAAAUCAUUAUUUACUAUUAUUAUUUUUUAUAUGCCAAAGUAGUUGGUUAAUAGAAAAAUCAAAAGUAUAGGUGAUUCAGAUACAUUGUCAAAAAUCUUUGAUGACUGAUUGUAUGAAAUUUUGACAAAAUUGAGGUAGUAUGGAGAUAAUUUUCCAUAAUAAUAUUGAGUGAGGAUAUUUUCACCCUAUAGUUUAUGUAAAUUCACUUAUAUUAUUUGUAAAAAAUUCACGUUAUUUUUUACAAUUUGAAAUAGAAAAAAAUUUAAAUAAUUAAUCAAUUAAAUCCUUCUCACAACUAAUAAAUUUUAUAAAAUUUUUGAUAUUAUAUCACAAAUACAUUUUUGAAGCUUAAUAACCACCAAUAUGAGGAUUUAACUGGUUAAUUGUUUAAAUAUAUUCUUAAUUUGAAAUUGUUAAAAAUAAUGUGAAUUUUUUAAUUAAUAUUUUUAAGGGGAUGGCAGGGGCGGACCCAAGAAUUUUUAUCAUCCCAGGGAAAAUUAAAAAAAUUAUAAAAUUUAUAAAGUGAUCAUAAAAAUUUAUAAGUAGAAAGAAUUACAUUAAAUAAGGGAGGACACGAAAAACCUUAUCCUUAUAAAUAUGUACUCUAGACAAAAAUAGUUAUAAAAAAAGUGUAUAAAACAAAAGACAAUUUAAAUAUAAAAGAACUAUUUUUCAAUUAUGGAAUCCGACAUUGCGACCUAUAAUAACAUGUAAUUAUAUAAGGAUUAAUAAGUCAAUUAAGAAUUUUAAGCUAAAUUAAAUUAAUACAUGUAAUUACAAUCAAUUAAAACUUGUAAGUAAACUUUAAUGUUUGAAGUUAAAUACUUAAUUAUCAGGCUUAACUAAAUAAAUUAAAUGACUAAAAUUUGUUCAUCUUUUAAAAUUAUAAAUAUAAUAUUAGUCAAAAGUUUCAAUAAUAAAAUAAACUCAUUCAGUAAAAAUAUAUUUGAGUGCGGUUGUUUCUUUGGCAGACGCUCUGACUCUCUUCGAAGAAUCAGAUGCUGAUGAUUUUUCUAUAAAAAACUCUUCAAAAUACUCGAAUUUUAUUUUCUAACUUGUCCUCUUAGUUAUUGUAACUAAUAAGUGAAAUCUCAAAAUUCACAUAAAAAGUUUAUGAAAAUGUUGAUAAUUGCUAUUAUAUUUUGUUUUUGUAAGUAUUUUUAAUACUAACGAUAAUUUUAUAUUAGAUUGACAUAACUUUUUUUUUCAAUUACAAUUUUUAAAAAUAAACUAAUAUAGUAAUAACAUUUUAGCCCCCUAAUAUUUUCAAUCUAUGCAAUAAAUAUACAAUUUAAUCAUUUUAUAAAAUAAGUCACUAAUUUCAAUGGGAAAAAAUAUAAUUGAAUUAAGGACAUAUUUGAAAAUAAAAUAAAAACUCUACUAUAAUAUAAAAUUGAUGAAAAUAUAAGGGUAGUUGAGCUAGGGACAUUUAUAAAAAUAAAAUAAAAACUCUAUUAUUACAUAAAGUUGAUGAAAAAAUAAGGGGUGUAAAUGAGUUUUUCCUUAUCAAGAUCCGGUUACAGCCCAAUGUAGCCCAACUAUAGGUCCGCCACUGACUUACAUAAUUUGAAGAGUAGAAAUAUCACCAUUUAUAAUAUCAAAUUCGAUAUUUAUUUUUAUUAUUCAUACCACCCUUUCGUUGAUUUUAAUCGAUUAUAAAAUCUGGAGAGAUUCCCGAUUAUAAAAUAACGCAUCAAAUGAGCAAGAAUCAAAUAAAAGGGCAAUUAAACACCCAUAAUGAGUUCGCACAGAGAAUUAAUCUGCUUUCCAAAAAAACGUUUCGCCAAAUAAAAUUGAAAUAAAAAUACAUAAAGUGAAAAAAAAAAAAAACGCAUCCAAUGGGCAAGAAUCAAACCAAAUUAAUCAAGGUCAUUAAUCAUUCAUUACAGUGAGUGAAAAACGACAUAAAUCCACUUUCCGAAAACGUUGCACCAAAACAGAAGCAAAAUUCCAACAAGAAAUCAAACUAUAGCACUACCAAUAGGAAACAAAAGAUUCGAAAUCUUUUCUUUCCUUAAACAGAAUAAAGCCCUUUACUAUAAGUUCAAGUCCAAACCCUAGAGUCCUUUUGAAUCAACUUUAGUCGUAUCUCUUCUUCUUCUUCUCCAUUAUAACAUUAUUGAAUCGUGCAUGCAACAUGAUUGUUAUUAAUCAUCACCAAGAACCCCCCAGGAAGAAAGCAUAUAAAUACGAGUUUAUUGCCACAAAAACUGUAGAGCAAGCAGCAAUAGCCAGUGGCAAGCCCUAUGAGGUCACAAGAACCAUAGUUGAAAUGCGAGACUUCGGCAAUCCUCCUCAAUUUGAUCCAAAAAAUCCAUGGCAGAUCAGAAAAUCAGUCACCGGCAGCGAUGUCUACAACGGGAAGCUUGUGCUUUCGCAUUAUGAAUUUUUCGACCACGUUUUUCGAUAUUGGACGUUGGAUUUGUGCAACUAUGUGGACCAAGGUAACCAGUAUUCGGUUACAAUAGCCGACUAUACUGACGAACGAAAUCCUAAGAGGUUUAAAAGUGAGAACAUAUUCGUCCAAGGAAAUCAUGGCAUUUUUUUUCUCGGUUGGACCGAUGUUGUUCAGAGCCGGCAUCUUCUACCAGGUGAUGAGAUCGGAUUGUUUUGGGAUGUAAGCUCUUCAAAUUUUGGAUUUAAGCUUCUGAGUCGAGGGAAUUCUCAUAAAAAUUGAGGUAUGAUUGUUGUUGAGAGCUUAUUAGAUCCAGGAUUAAAAUUGGAGAAAGAUACAUUGUAAAUUCGUCUCGAAUUUUUAUUGGAGAAUGAUACAUUAUAAGUUUGUCUCGAAUCGAAUAUUUAAUUUUGAAUUGGAAAAAUUUCCAUUAUUAGUAUUUAUAUUGAAGGCAUAUAUAAAAGCUUUUUCAAUAAAUCAGUUUGGUUCUUGAAACAUUGAAUUUUUUUUUUAUGUUAAUCUUUUUACAGACUUUUGGUUUUUCAAUCUUAUCUUGUUAUUUUAACGUAUAUUUCGUAGCACAUACUCUUACUGAGAUUGUGGUUUACAAUUAUUAGAUAUAAAUCUCUUUUAAUAUAAGAGAUUUUUUGUAUAUUUAUGAAUUUGUCUCUCAAAAUACUCUGUUGAAUGUAGUCGUUAUUAACAUUAUUUAUUCAAUCGGUUUUAUCAGUUACAAGAUUUAGUUAAAUGGUAAAUUUUUAUUACAAGAUUCUGUAUAAUUAAUAUUUAAAGAGACUCUUAAUUAAUUGGCUUAGCUUCUUGCAGUGAAUAAUUUGAGGUAGGAUUUGGUGCAUUCUAAGGGAUUACAUGGAUAUGAGGUGAGAUUAAGUGCAUGAUAACUUUUUCAUCCCAAUAUCUAUGACAUAGAGAGGAUGCAUACUAAAAUAUAAAAAAAAAAAAAUUUAUAAUUGAAAUAAGUUUUGUUAAAAUGAUAAUCUCUUCAUUAGAGAAUUAUUAUAUACACACGCACACUUGAUCAAUUAAUGUUUGCCUAAGAUCCCUUUUCGACAUCAUCGUAUUUUAAUUUUGAGGACUCACAAAAAUUUCUCGAAAAUCUUGUAAGAUAUAAAGAAAUAUAGGUUUUUCUUUUUUUAGAAUAUUUAAUUUAGGGAAAAAAUUGUUAUAUGGUGCCGAACAACAACAGUCUGUCCAAUUCACAUUAAGCAUAAUAAUUUCACUAUCAAAUUUGUCUAUAUACUCCAGUAUUAUUGCAAUUUGGAUCAUCUUGAUUUCAUUUCGGCUUAGAUAUCAGUGAAUACCAUGUAUUGGGUUCUAUAUAUUCACAUAUCUAUAGAGAUGGCAUUGCUGAUCCUUUUCUCUGUUUUAUACUAUGCCUUCUAAUAAUUUAAAAAUUUUGCCCAAAAGAAAAAUUAAAAAAAAUGUGAAGAUUGUUUAUUUAUUCAAUAGUGCAUGAGCAAGUACAAUUUUAGAAACCAGCUGGAAAGCCUCCUUUUCGUGGGUCACUUACACCCACAAGCUCUCCAACACCUUCAUUUUCCUUUAUAGACUCAAAUUCUUGAACUAUGAACUGGCAAAUUGUUCCACCAGCCAUGCUCUCCAGCACAUGGCCCUUCUUUCGAAGGGAUGCCCUGAUAUUCCCCGGAAUCUCAAAGUGGUCGCCGAUCACUGUUGUCCAGUUCUCGUAGUACACUAUGUUCGGUAUCAGCUAGGUAAAACAGAAGAGGAACACAAAAGAAAUUAAUGCACGAAAUGAACAUUGAAUUAGAUUUUGAGAUUAAGAGCCUCAAUGUCACUUAGAAAUGAAUUUGAGAGAUCGAGAUUCGAACUUUAACUUAUAUGCGCUAGUAUUUAGUAGUUAAGAAAUUAAAAUUUAAUAUGGAUAAAAACUUGCACAGGUUAAAGUAUCCUUUAAAAGCAAAGCUUAUGUAAGCUCUAAGAGAGAAUCUUAAUUCAUAUCUGAGAGGGAAAAGAGAAACAUACCUGAUGAUAGACCCUUGGAGCCAUGACAGCAGAGAGAGGAUCCAUUCCCCGGACAAAAUGGUUCAAGAGAACCCCUGUAAUCCCGCCUAUAAUAUUGGCUCCGCCGCUGGCACCUAACACAGCUAUCAGUUUCUCAUCCUGCACAACAGCACAAGCAUUGCGGUCUUUAAUAAGUUUUCGUUGUUAAAAUCAAUGCCAAUUUGAGCAGAAAGAUAAGGUAACAUAUAUACCUUCAAUACGAUAGUAGGUGUCAUGGAUGAUAAUGGCCUCUUCCCCGGUCUAAUAAAGUUAGCAGGUGCUGGUGGUGGAAGAUUUUUGCUGCCAUUCAUAGGCAUGGAGAAAUCAUCCAUUUCAUUGUUCAGGACUAUUCCUGUACUUGGUGACAGAAUUUGUGCUCCGAAGUAUGCAUUCACUGUAGUUGUCAUGGAAACAGCAUUUCUCUCAUGAUCUACAAUCGACAAAUGACUAGUGCCAUGGUCAUGGAUCUGAUUCCACCUUUAAGAAAUCAAGGGAAAGUGGACUUGGUUUAAAUCUGGCUGUUUUUUUUCCAUGAAAUAAUCAAAGCAAUGGUCUAAGCAUGAGAACAAAAUAGAAGUUGUCAUAGCAAUGUAAGAUUGUAUAACUGGAUAAAUUUUGAUCUACAAUCGACACAUGACUGCCCAUGAGUUUUGAGCUGUGAAACUCAUGGGCAGUAAAUUUUGAAGACUUAUCAUUAUACACUAGAUCAAUUUGUUGCGUCUAUGUACUCUAUUUCGUAUUACUUGACUUCACUGCAAUUAAAUGCUCAAUCUUCCACCUAGGAUAUUUAGAACUGGAUUAAUUGACAUAUGUUGAACAAAAGGUCGUUACAAGUGCUGCGGAGUGACCACAACAUGACCAAGGUUACAGAACACUUAAAUUAAAACCUUCAAGGUCCCCCUCAUCAACAUAAAUCCUCUGCUCAUAGGCACAUGUAUGUGAAACGAAUGUUCAGUUUUGGGUAACAGAGAAAUGAAUGAAGCAUAAAUAAAGCAAAAUGAAAGCAAUUUACCUGCCACCAUAGUGCCUGGGAUCAAAAGUCAUAUUAUCGUAAAUAGUUUUCUUCAGUGUGCGUGCAAACUUAGGAGAGAGCAUAUCGGAUACAACUUCAGAAACAUUAACGUAUUCAGGAUCACCAAGAUUCAUCCUCACAGCAAAGCCAUGUUUGAGAGCUUCUAUUUGGCGGUGGAUCCCAAGGGAGCCGGAUAAACCUGAAGGGACUUCAUAUUGAGCAAGAAUGUUUAGCACCUGCGGCAGUAGAAAUGAAAAGGCUCUGUUAUUGUUAACCAUUUCAUAUGAAACACAAGGUAAAGCAAUCAAAGGGAUACACUUACAAGCAUCAUUGUAGCACCGCCGGAAGAAGGGGGUGGCAUGCUAAUUAGUUUAAGGCCCAGAAUGUUAGCAGUGAUCGGUUCUCUCACUUUAACUUCAUAUCUCUGCAAAUCCUUAAUUGUCAAUAUUCCUCCAGCCUUCUGAAUAUCUCUGACUAAAUUAAAACCAACCGAUCCAUUAUAGAAGGCUUUCAAGCCAUAUUUUGAAAUUUUUCUCAGCGUCUCUGCUAGUUUUUUGUUGCGGCAGAUAUCGCCAAGCUGCAAGAUGUCGCCAUUUGAUGUAAAUACAUCCCUUAGUCCCUCAUCUGCUAAGAUCCCAGAUUUAGUGCUCUGCAUUUGCAUGUAAAGGUAUGGAGAAACCUUGAAUCCCCCACGAGCAAGAGCCUCAGCUGGCCGUACAAGCCUUCUCCAUGGAAGCUUCCCAUGUUGUUCCCAAGCUUUGAAAAGGCCUGCAAGGCCACCUGGAACGGCUACAGAGAGGAUGCCACUUCUCUUCAGAGUAUCAUUGCCGCCAUACAUAUUCUGAAGAUAGAGCAACAGAAACAUAUAAUUUAAUACAAUUCUGUUGAGCAAUAUAAGCUUCAGAGGACACAUCAAUGUUUAACAUGAGUACCUCGGAAGCCUGCGCUGGGGCAGUUUCUCUCAUGUCUAAUGCUUGUGCCUUCCCAUCGGAUUGCCUAAUCAGCAUAAAGGAUCCUCCACCAAUGCCACUCGAUGCUGGACUAACAACUCCCAAACAGAGAGCAACAGCGACAGAUGCAUCAACGGCAUGACCUCCUGCUUUAAGCACAUCCAUGCCUAUUUUGGAACAUCGACCAUCAUCAGUGGCAACAACACCAUGGUGUGCAACAAUCACCUCGCGUCUGUGUUUGUUGGAGCCACCAAGACCAUCAAUACUUGAGGUAGAAGCCAACAGAGAAACGAAGAGCAACGUAAUGGCAGGCCAUGACAAUGCCAAAGCUGCAAAAACAACAUGAAGUUCAAAACUUUUUUUAUCACUCCAUUUACAUCUCAAAAUGUAAUUUAAGGAAAAUGGGGCAAAAUUACAGACUACUAACAACAAGAAACCUAAAUCAGAGGAAACAGAAACAGAUAAGAAAGUUUCAGAACACACGAUGUUAGCACACCAGGAGGCAUAUGCAAAAUCAUAAUGUAGAGCUAAAAUCCCAAAGAUUUAAUCGAACCCUUUACAAUUGAGUCCAUAAUUGCAUCGAAUUCAAUCGAUAAUCUUCAUUGAUAAGUAUCCAACAUCCUAUCAUAUAAGCAUCAUAAAGGUUAUCACUCACUCAAGCACUUGAUUUGAAUCUGUCAAAAUAUUAACUGAAACACCAAAUAAAAAUUGUCUAAUUACUCACAUGAUAUGAACUCAUUACAAUUUAUGCAUCAAUAAUCAACGUCAAAACCUUCAUUAAAGCAAUAAAAUCACUCUAAUGGCAUUAACAUGAACUCAAUAAAAUCUUUGCAAGCAUAGAAUACAUUAAAAACCCAGAUCAUGAAUUAGCAUUACAAAACCAAAAAAAAACAAAAAACAAAAAAUAAAAUAUUAAGUUCAGAACAAGCAAAACUCACUGGAUAUGAACUCCUUCAAAUUUCUAAACAUCAACUUAGUUUCCAGAAUAAAGAUGAAAAAUGAAUGUAUUUACAUGAUUCCCUUCCACACAAACUAAUAAACCAAACCCUGCUUCUGCUUCCAUGAUUGCCUGGGAUUAUUGAAGGAAUAGAAGAUUGCACGCGCAGCACUAUUUUGUACAUGUGGCAAUGACCUAUUGGCCAGACGCUUUUCAUAUGAGGUGGGAGAAAUAGAGGCCUUAUGGUCCUGGCUAACGGGUAAUAUUACCAAAGAAAGAUUCAGCCUUUUUGAUGUUGAAGAGUCGAUAUAUUUUCAAAGUCACUUGCCUUUUCUCUUCUUACACUUUGUGAAGUGAGCUGGUAGUGGUAAUAAUGCUAGUGGAUUUUUCAGUUGAAAAGAAAAAGUUGCAAUGAAUGGAUGUUGGUUUCAAAACAGAAUUACCUUAACAAUAUCUUCCAUUAGAAAAGUAGAUUCUCUUUUAUAUCCGGAAUUAACAUGAAGCCUUAAUAGAGCCGUAAAGUUAAAACAAGCAAAGUUGAACUUUUCCAUAUAACAACUAGAACUAUAAGUCUAUAAUUGUGUGCUUGAAAAUUUCCUUUUCUUCUUGUAUAAUCCGAUCCAAUGUAUUUAGAACAAAAAGAAGAGACAGUAAUUCAAGCAAUGAUAUUGCUGGCACCCAGUUUCAAAUCAAGAAUUCCCACAUUUUUUGUGUGUCACUUUCAUUCUCGGUAAAUGGCACAUCAAGUUGAUUGUAAGAAGCCACAAAUUUUUCCUGGCGAUCUAAACCACUGUAAAAACUACACAAUCCCCCCUCCCCCCCCAACUGAGACACAAACUUUGUAUAAUUAACACUUUAAAUAUCUAUAAAAUAAAAAAGAAAAUUAAAAAGUUUUAUGAAGCUUCAAAAAUAUAUGAGAAAAGUCAAAAGUUCUUACAUGACAUAUUUUUUCUUGCUCUUCUCCUCCUUUUCCUUCUUUCUUCGGCUUGUACAAUGAUGAAUUAAUUGAUAAAGACAUUGAAACGAGCAGCAUUUUAUAUUAUUAAUCCUGGUUACCUCCUUGAAAUAAUAAACAAAGACAAUACCCCCAUUUGUCUAGCUUUCAGUUGUUGAGUAUUGAAUAUGAAGCCCCAAAAUGUUGCAUAAGCUCCAAAAGUGAUUUGAAUAAUAGAAUAUUUGUCGCCAGCAUGGGUUGUAUUAUAAAAAUAUUUACUGGCAUCGAUUUGUUUUACUCGACUGCACACGUCCUGUUGUUCAUUGUUCCCACAUCCCUAACGGCUACUUUAGACUAAAGGGUUCCAGCAAUUUGUCUUGCACUACAUCAGAAAGAUCCUGUAUAGAAAUAGUUCAAAAUUAGUGUCAAUUUAUAUAAUUGCAUAUUCAUAUUUUUCUCACAUUAGUAGUCAUAAAUGAACAUUUCAAAUUGGAAUAUCCUUAAGAAUUUUUCGCUUCAGAGUUCAGAGUGAUGGUGGACUAUAGAAAUCGUCAGGCAAUCGGCAAGCGAAGAGCAAUUGAUAGAUAUUUGAUAUGUUGAGAGCCCAAUUCAUGAGUGAAUAUUAUGCGAAGUUAUAUACGAGUUAUAUGCCGAUCACAUGGGUAGUGUGAAAUACUCAUUUUUUUGUAAGAAAAGUGAGAAAAUAAUAUGUAGACUACUCUCAUAAAUUGAACCUAUUUCGAUGUGUUUUUGUGAAUUUUUAGAUAUCUAAGAACCAAUUAAUACAUACACGAACUUUAAAGGUCAAAUUUCUAUUAAAACAUAUUAUUUUUAUUUAAUUUUGAAACAAAAUCUUGAGAGUAAGACGUAUAUAAAUCAGUUUCUAUAAAAUUAUUGUACUAAAUUCAUGUUUGAAUCGGUUAUAUAUAAAUGGGUAUCUUUCCUGUCCCACCUUUCAUGUUUUAAUUUUGGAAAAAAAAAAUUGUGGUAACAAAUAAUCAUCAACUUCGGGAAAAAAAAAAGUUUAUCACCGUAUAUAUAAAAUGCAAAUUAAUAUCAUCUUCGAUUUCAUAGCCAAAAAUCCCAAAUGUGAUUGAUUCGGAAUUUCGGACAAGCUUCAGCUUUCUUGAUGUUGGUGACCCAUGGGCCAGAAUCUUAUCCCAGGCCUAGGGUAGCGAGAGAAAUAGUGGUUCAUGGGCCUCGAUACCUCUGAUCCAUCAAGAAACCAUACCCAACUCAAUGGGCUGAAAUUCAAACACAAGGAUUUAUUGUUUUAUUUAUGACUAAUGAUAAAUAUUCCAAAUUUUUAUUUAUGGUACAUGAUCGAAUUUAACAAAAUGACGAUGAGACAUUGUCAUUGAAAUGAUGUGGUGACUUGCACAGUGCAUAUGAAUUCAAUCUUCUGAUUUGGGUUCCAGGAGACCGAAAUGAGCCAUCAAUACCCAAACAAAAGUAAAAAGCUCCCCGCCAUUACUAACUUGUUCGACAUGUGUCCUUGUUGCUCUGCUGUGACAUGCUGCAUAUGACAUCAAUUCCACCCACACUUUGCUCACUAUCUCCCAUUUCUUAUCCUUUAAAUAAUCAAGACUUUGGAGCCUAUCGACCAUCCUUUUUGCUUGAUCCAACGGCAUGGAAUUCACAGAUGAAUUCAGUUUUGCUCUCGUCGCCGGUGAAAUUUUUCCUUGAAAACAAAACUUGGCCUCAUCACGGAGAGUUUCCAAUCCAACAUUCUCCUUGGAAUUUAGCAUGGUAGGCUUCAAAACUAAAAGAUACAACAUGUAGUCCGAGAGGAUCUUGCUGAAUUCUCUAGCAUUGUAAGUCUCUUCAUCCGAAAUUGCUUCUUUAGCAGUUUUUUCGUAAAGGAAUUCUGUAGCAAUGUGCCAGAAUAUAAUGCUUUUACCAAAACUAAAAUUAACUUUUUCUACGAAUUGGAUGAGAUCACAAUUUGUAUCCAUUUCCUUCAGAGUACAAUCACCUUUAGCUGAAAAUAAUUUCCGCAAACCUUUUCUGAUAUCCGCCUCGAGAUCAUAUUCAAAAUUAGGAAUUUUAAUAGUUCCUACCUCUGGAUCAUUUAUCUCUGGAUCCUGUCCAGACUCUGUUUUUCUUCUAAUUUCAUCCCCAUUCUUAGAUUUUCGUUUAAUUUCAUUAAAUAUAAACACCCACAAUUCUUUAGUUAAUGGCUCCUGGGACAGAGAUGUUUUUAUUCUUAUCUCAUUGGCAAAAUCAGCUAGGCCGAAACAAGCAAUGAUUUUGUCUAUUUGCAGAAAUUUGAUGAUCCUGCAAGUAGUAAUGGCUAUGUGCUGAAAGAUUUUAUCGAUGCCGUACCUCUUGCUUUGAUAAGCCUUUAUGACGCUUAGUCCUGAGACAGAACCAGACCAUCUGCGAAGCAGGAAAGGAGUAGCAAACACAAACACCUCGUGCUUGCCACCAAUGCGUGAUUGUUGCCACUUUGAGCUCUUGAGAUUGAGAAACCACCGGAUAAUACGAGCUAUGCAGGAUUUGUGAUGAUUCCGGAGAGCAACAAACGUCCACUCGGAGAAAUUGCCCAUGAAGAAAGAUAUGACGUCGAGGGCUAUAGCACCCAAGAACAGAGUGUAUGUAACUCCAAGAUCAAAAUCAUUGAGACCAUGCUUCUCAACUUGGAAAUAGAAAACUGAAAGGGCAGCCACGAGUGAACCAAAACAUAUGAACCGCAAGAUUACAGAAUGUGUUACCUGAAUCUUGGUGUGCAAAACUUCAUAAACCAAGUUGAGUUCAACCUCAAUUAUUCUCAAGGCAUCUUCUGGACCAAAAAUACCAAAUGAAGGACCUUCAAAAGGAAAAUCAGUGAAGUUGGAGAAGAGAUCGACAACUAUCCCUCUGAAAAUUUGGAAGUAUUCGCAAGCCACCUGGAGAUAAUCCCCACCUUGGUUCACCUUAACAUCUUUUGCAAGUUCAAUGAUAGUAGAUUCCCGGAAUUUUUCCCCGCUUGCAAGAUACAUGGCAAGAGUCCUCUCAAAGCACUUUAUAAUUCCCGCAAUAAACACGAGAAUUGUUGGGACAAAAAGCUUGUUUCCUGGAAGCGACAGGAGGAAGACGUAAAAAGUGAAACCAGCCUGGAAUAUGAGUCCAAACAAUUGCCUGAGCCAGAGUUCGUUAUCUUCGAGAGCAAAUGCAGUUAUGGUGUCUGGACCACCGAGGUGUAGCAGCAGAAAUGGAGCCCAAAGUACUAGAAGCUCAUUGCUCUUCGUAGGAGUUUGAGAAUUUGUUGCUCUUUCAGCUAUGAGUCCGAUGGCAAAAGUAGCAGCCGAGUCUGCGAGCAAGUAAGCUGACCAGAUUAGCAGGAUUAUGAGUUUAUAGCCCAUGCCUUUUCGGAGGGGAGCAAGCAGAAUCAAGACGGUUUGCAAUAAAAGACUGAACAAGAUUACACCUCGUAUGUUCCAGUUAUCCCAUGUCUUCUUGACACUUUCAGGGAUUGGAUUAACCAUUUUCUCUCCCUUUUGCUGAAAAAAACUUUUAGUGUAAACAGUUGCUAUAGUGUUGGUGAGUUCUUGAAAGCUGGAGGAGCAUUUGUAUAUUUGUUCUGUGGUGUUACUACCAUUAGUGUAGAAGGAUGAAGUCAAGUCAAUUUUUUUUUCAAAUUUAAAUUUUAUUGUUUUAUGUAAAUUUCAAUGGAUUGGGGAAGUGAAAGAGGACGUUUGUGAUGUACAUUGAAGCCAGACGAGUGAGUAAAGUGAAAGAGGACGUUUCCCUUUCAAUGCUGAUGACGUGGAUGGACUUCACAAGUAAUGACAUAUGCCAGGGAUUUGUCCGUGGUAUACCCCCAAAAAAGGGUAUUUAUCUAAAAAUACCCCCAUACUCAAAUAUUCUUCGUAUGUGUCUUUUCUAAUAUGCAGUUACGAAAUUACCCUAAUGAAAAACCUAAAUCAACUAAACUACCACAACUAAUCAUGUAACAAAAUCCCUAAUUUUUUCUCAUGAGCAGCUUCUUCUUCAGCCCGUUCUUCUGGAUUUCUCCUCCUCUAUUUUACAAAUCCCUGUCAUUUUACAACUAUUCUUCUACACACUCUCGCCUCUCUACAAACCAGUAGCUCAGCUGGUAUUGAAAUGUGUGCAAAGUCUUGUGCCAAAAGCUUAAUUUUCAUAUCUCGCAAAAGUCAGAUGACAAGACUUCACUUGAUUAGGCUUAUGCUUGUCUUUUACCUUGCAUUAAUUUUCAUCUCUUGCAAAAGUCAGAUAAUAAGGCUUCACUCGAUUAGACUAGUAAUUGAUUUAACAUAUUCAUUUUCUGAUUAAUUGUCAUCCAAUUUGUUUUGCACACACAUCGGGUAGAAUUCAUCCAAAAAAAAUGGCUUGUAAGGUGCGAGAGUCCGAAUACUUAUAAACCUACACACCAAGCCUUAGCUUAGCAAUAUGACACUCAAUUAUAGUUCAUAACUGAUAUGCACGGUGGCCAUAUAUUGGGGCCGGGUGACUUCACAGAUUUCAUACAAGGUGAAUAGCAGGCCUUCUUCUCAACUUACUUCGUCUGUGCAGAGAGAUUUCAUCAAAAAAUUGGUAAAACUCAUUCAAAAGACCCACUUAUGAUGUUAGAAAGACCAAAUACCCUAUAAAAUGCUUAAUAAAGUGGUCGCACAAUUAUUCUUGUGUAUACGGUACCAAUGAAAUAGAAAACAGGAUAAACCUUAAUAUCUCUAGCUACUCAGUCCAAUAGACAGUAUAAUCUAAAGAUGUCGUGUUGUUGUAUUGUUACACUGGUGAGACAAUUGCUGCAUGUUGCAGACAUGAUACCUCUAGUACUUCAAAAGAUAGCAUAUCACGAAACACAUCCAGACUGUAGUGAGGUUAUUUCGAAAAUUCCUUGGCCCAUUGUGCGAGUACGUGACAUCUCGCAACAAAAAUCAGGGUAUGUACUAUAUACAUAAUGUGUUUUGAACAUAAUAAUAAGAAUGAUGAUUUUUAACAAUUGAUUUAUAUGAAUUUUUUUAGUGGUGACUGUGGAGCAUUUUUGUUGCGGUACUUGGAGGUCCUAGCCCAUGGACUUGAUGUCAAUUCAUACUGCCAACAAGAUCAUGUUACACAAUUUCGACAAGCCUUGGUUGUAAAAUUAUUUGGGCAUAGGUCAUGGAAAAAAACUUUGUAGUGUCAUUUUUUGGAUUAUGAGAUGUAAUAGUUGUAAUGAGGAUGUUGUUGAUAUUUGAUGUCAUUAAAGACAAUUGACAGCAUUAAUAUAUUUUAUUUCUUUGUUAUUUAUAUUAAUGAUAGAUAAGAUAGUUUGCACAAUAUAUGCACAGGGAAUAAACUGUAAGAGAAUACACGACUGCAGUCGGGUAUUUGCACAGAUACAUGACUACAGUCGGGUAUUUGGAAAUAAACAUAAUACGCUCUGUGACAAAAUACUCGACUGCAGUCGGGUAUUUGCACAGAUACACGACUGCGGUCGGGUAUUUGGAAAUAAACAUAAAAAGCUCUGUGACAAAAUACUCGACUGCAGUUGGGUAUUUGCACAGAUACACGACUAUAGUCGGGUAUUUACAAAUAAAAAUGACAAGCUCUCUGUGACAAAAUACUCGACUGCAGUCGAGUAUUUGCACAGAUACACAACUAUGGUCGAGUAUUUAGAAAUAAAUAUGACAAGCUCUCUGUGACAAUCGGGUAUUUGCACAGAUACAUGACUGUAGUCGAGUAUUUAGAAAUAAACAUGACCAGUUUUUUAACAGCCAAAAUACACGAUUGUACUUGGGUAUGUGCACAGAAUAAAAACUCUUUUCAAUCAUUCAUUAUAUUGAUGACACAAUCAAUAUAGAUUUUAAACAUAUCAAACUUCAAAUAAAUGAAACUAACUAUAGUCCGGUUGCCUAUCAAAUAACACAAAUCCAAUAGUUAUUGAAAUCGUAAAUAAGUCGUAAUACAAUAGAAGUUGUUUAACAUUCAUCAUAAAUUUUUGGCAUUUUCAACCAAAACACUCGGUCCAUAUUUUAUAAGCUUCUGGUCGCCUCCCUUCAAUACUUGUUCUUAGAAAGUCACACAAACAUGUUUAUUCAUCUGCGAAACAAAAAGGUAGAAAUUUAUCACUAAAUAUGAAAGAUAUUAAAAAAAUUAAAACAACAAAAAAUAACAAGUAUAUAAGGUUCAUAGUAGUCGUGUAACUUAUUAACAAUUAUAGUAUGUAAGUUUAUACAUACACGCUAGUAGUCGUGUAACUUAUUAACACACACGACUAUAGUCUAGUAAUAGUAAAAGGAUAUAUAUAGUGAAAAAUAUAUAUUUUUUGAACCAAUAGAAUGAUAAGGUGUCAUAAUAAUUGAAAUUUUUUGCACAUUUUCACGACUACAGUCGUGUAAAUACAUACAUACACGACUGCUGUCGUGUAUGUCGGGUGCAGAAAAAAAUUUGACAACAACUUCAGAUUUUAACGAAUGUAGUUAUAAAAUCCAUCAAAUAACAGUCAUAUGAUACAAAUGUAAUGAAAAUAUGAGUUGCUUUAAUGUUUAUCACAAACCAAACAAAACUCUAAAAAUAAUAUAAUGUCAACAAAUUGAAUAGAUAGCCCAAAAUAAAAUAAAAAAGUUUCAAAUAUUUUAAUCAUGGGAUGAAUAAUACACCCAGCUGCAAACAAACUCAGUGCAUUAGCUGUUUGUGAGUGAUUUUGAGUGUGGUGUGAGUUUUUGUAUAGGUGAUAAAUAUGUGAGAAACAAAGAGUGUUAUGAGUUGUGUGUGUGUUUUAUAUUUUUCUUUAGGGAUAUUUUAGACAAUGUACCACAGAAAAAGACAUACUUAGAUAAUUUUCAAACAUAGAGUAUAUUUAACUAAAUAUACUACUUUUAAGACAUAUUUAAUUAAAAACCCCGACAUAUGCCCAAAGAACUGCAUGGAUCUCCGAAGCACGAACUUCGCUGAGAUUGAAAACGACAUAAAUAGGUACAAAAUUAGACAUAAUUCCUGGGCUGAGCCCGAAAGAAAACAAGUAAUAAUUAAUACCAGCAGCUUCUUGUAAAUAGUAAGUAUAGAUGUGUGCAUUUUUAAUAUGAAAACAUGAUUGGUAAAAAUCAGUGGAAACACGUUUGAUAAGUUAGUUCAAAAUAAUAUUAUUACAGUGUGCUACUCAAAGAUUCAAAAAAUAUAAAUAAAAAUUUGAUGAUCCUGUAAGUAGUAAUGGCUAUGUACUGAAAGAUUUUAUCGAUGCCGUACCUCUUGCUUUGAUGAGCCUUUAUGACGCUUAGUCCUGAGACAGAACCAGACCAUCUGCGAGGCAGGAAAGGAGUAGCAAACACAAACACCCCGUGCUUGCCACCAAUUCGUGAUUGUUGCCACCUUGAGCUCUUGAGAUUGAGAAACCACCGGAUAAUACGAGCUAUGCAGGAUUUGUGAUGAUUCCGGAGAGCAGCAAAUGUCCACUCGGAGAAAUUGCCCAUGAAGAAAGAUAUGACGUCGAGGGCUAUGCCACCCAAGAACAGGGUGUAUGUAACUCCAAGAUCAAAAUCAUUGAGACCAUGCUUCUCAACUUGGAAAUAGAAAACUGAAAGGGCAGCCACGAGUGAACCAAAACAUAUGAACUGCAAGAUUACAGAAUGUGUUACCUGAAUCUUGGUGUGCAGAACUUCAUAAACCAAGUUCAGUACUUGAGUUCAACCUUAAUUAUUCUCAAGCCAUCUUCUGGACCAAAAAUACCAAAUGAAAAAGGUUCUUCAAAAGGAAAAUAAGUGAAGUUGGAGAAGAGAUCGACAACUAUCCCUCUGAAAAUUUGGAAGUAUUCGCAAGUGUAGUGAAUUGACCUGCUUACUAACCUAGCAAGAUCAUCCACUGCCCAGGACCUUGAACAAGAUUAGUCAUGUUGCUAAUUGACAAGACUCAAUCCAGAAACCUCACAGCAAUAAUCUCAAAAUCCCAAUCAAGAUCAAAGACAAAUAGAUUGAACAAGAAUCAACACACAAAGUAACAGGAAACAGAGAGUUACGUGGUUCAGUUGUACCAAUGGUGGCACAACCUACAUCCACGGGAGAAGCCUUUGAUUAGUCUUUUAUUGGUUAUCAAUAGAGAAUCAAAUACACAGAGAUACAAGAGAAUACAGAGAAUCCUCUAGAAUCAAUCCUCUCUUCUCUCUUUUUCCUAUCACUCUAGAAAUACCCUUCUGAAGCGGCUUCGUUACUCAGCUUAUAACGGCAUCAGUAACAAGAACCUCAAACCCAGAUUGCCCAGCUUCCCUACACGUGCAUAACAGAAUUUAACGAACUGAACUUAGGCUGCUCACAUGCUUCUCACAUGCGUCACUUAACGGAUGCCUCUAAACGACAUACUUUGGCUGUCGUUUUGAAAGCUAUCAGUUUAUAGGCGAAACACGUGCUUCCUCAUGUGACUUAAGUUUAUAACAUCCAUGUGAAAAACGCUGCCGUUUUAAACCUUCUGAGUUUGAUUCACACUUCAGAGCAAGCCAGCUGGAGAUAAUCCCCACCUUGGUUCACCUUAACAUCUUUUGCAAGUUCAAUGAUAGUAGAUUCCCGGAAUUUCUCCCAGCUUGCAAGAUACAUGGCACGAGUCCUCUCAAAGCACUUUAUAAUUCCCGCAAUAAACACGAGAAUUGUUGGGACAAAAAGCUUGUUUCCUGGAAGCGACAGGAGGAAGACGUAAAAAGUGAAACCAGCCUGGAAUAUGAGUCCAAACAAUUGCCUGAGCCAGAGUUCGUUAUCUUCGAGAGCAACUGCAGUUAUGGUGUCUGGACCACCGAGGUGUAGCAGCAGAAAUGGAGCCCAAAGUACUAGAAGCUCAUUGCUCUUCGUAGGAGUUUGAGAAUUUAUUGCUCUUUCAGCUAUGAGUCCGAUGGCAAAAGUAGCAGCCGAGUCUGCGAGAAAGUAAGCUGACCAGAUUAGCAGGAUUAUGAGUUUAUAGCCCAUGCCUUUCCGGAGGGGAGCAAGCAGAAUCAAGACGGUUUGCAAUAAAAGACUGAACAAGAUUACACCUCGUAUGUUCCAGUUAUCCCAUGUCUUCUUGACACUUUCAGGGAUUGGAUUAUCCAUUUUCUCUCCCUUUUGCUGAAAAAACUUUUAGUGUAAAGAGUUGAUAUAGUGUUGGUGAGUUCUUGAAAGCUGGAGGAGCAAUUGUAUAUUUGUUCUGUGGGGUUUCUACCGUUAGUGUAGAAGGAUGAACAUUAGAGCCAAGUCAAUCUUUUUUUAUUUUUAAUUUUAAUUUUAUUGUUUUAUGUAGAUUUCAACGGGGUGGUAAAGUGAGAGGACGUUCGUGAUGUCCACUGAAGCCAGACGAGUGAGUGAAGUGAAAAAGGAUGUUUCCCUUUUAAUGCUGAUGAUGUGGAUGGACUCCGCCAAGUAAUGACAUAUGCCCAAAGAACUGCAUGGAUCUUCAAAGCACGAACUUUGUUGAGAUUGAAAACGACAUAAAUAGGUACAAAAUUAGACCUAAUUCCUGGGCUGAGCCCGAAAGAAAAAAAGUAAUAAUUAAUACGAGCAGCUGGCUGUAAACAGUGAAUAUAGAUAUGAAUAUAUGCAUUUUUAAUAUGAAACCAUGAUUGGUAAAACCAGUGCAAAUUAAGGAUAACAAAAGGCACUGCCUGCAGCCGGUUUGAUAUUAUCAAACUUUUCCCUACACGAAAUUUAAAUUACUAAAUUCGCAUCCGCACUCGUUACAGGUUUUGACAAUUAUCAAAUUUACAAUGGUACUCAAUAGAUUUUUUUAUGAGUUUUCACAUUUAAAAACCACAAAUGCCAUGAAAAAUUCAUGGAUUUGCGGCUGCGGCUCACAUGUGAAAAGAAAGUGGGUGUGCUGUUGCUGCUCAUGAGUGAAAAUGAAAUAGUUUGGAAGGCUAGGUUUUACGGCUGCUGCUCACAAGUUAAAAGAAAAUAGUUUGGGUUUCCUUUCAGUUAAGUUAUGAGUUGCAACUUGUACACACAACACAUGACAUGUUUACACUUUAUAUUUAUUUAAUUUAUAUAUUUUUAGCUUUAAUUAUUUUUCAAUUAAAAUUACAUUAAAAAUAUUUGGAGAAAAAACUACGGGUUUGGCGGAUAUCCAUCGGAUAUUUGGUUAAUACCAAACCCACCCGCAACGUAAUGUGGAUUUCAAUUUCUAAUAUCAAGUCCGCCCGCAACCCGUAAAAUUACCCGCAACGGAUGGAUUUUAUAGAUAAAUUUAGACAAAUUUAUAAAUUUGCAGGUAACAUUGCCAUCCCUAAUGAAAACACGUUUGAUAAUUUAGUUCUAAAUAAUAUUAUUACGGUGUGCCGCUAUAAGAUUCAAAAAAUUAAAAAAAAAAAUUUGUUAAUACAAUAUCUUUGGCAUCGGAACAUGAAGUAGAUACUAGAUAAUAUUAUCUAUUAUGGGGCCCAUGUGAAUUAUCGUGCACUUAAAACGAACAAGCAUUAAUUUCGUUUUUUCUUUAGAGGUGGGCCUAAUUAAAAAAAAAAACACAAUAAAUUUUUCGUUUCAUUUUCAAACAUCAAAUAUAGUAACAUUUGUCUGAAUUAAUCUGUACACAGACAAUUAUCAAGGAUACAAGCUCGUGCAACAGAUGUACUUCUACAAAAAAAUAUCUCUACCAAUAAAUAUCCUGGAGAUAUCUGAUUUAAGUUCCACAAGAUAUCUGCUCGUCUCGUGCGAAGCAUCAUCAUCCUUUAAUUGAUUAGGUCAUUUCAAUUGAUAUAGCAUGAGUUUUUUUCGUUAAGAUCAAGAAGUGGUAGCCUAGCUAAAAUCCUCUUGAUAUGAAUCUAUGAUCAGAAAGAAAACCAUUAUUAUGACAAAAAAUAAUCACAACCACAAUAAAUUUGAAGAUUUGGGUAGACAAACAUCAUGAAAGAGACAAAAUUAUCUUUACACAAAGUAAAAAUAAAUAAAUAAAAUGAACAAAGGACACAAAAUUAACUUAAAAAUUUGCUCCCACUAAUAUUUUGAAAGGAUAUCGACCAUACUUACAUUUAUGUGAUAAAAAAAUUGUCUGCAUCAUGUAAAGACUUGAACUUGUAUACAUAUUACAUAAUGAAAUUGAGGGCACAAGCGAAAACCCAACUCUAGACCAAGACUCGCCUAAUAAAAGAUCGAUCUUUAGGGAAAAAAAGAAGAUGAAAAUGAAGUUAGAUAUUUGGCAUAAGCUCCAAAAGUGAUUUGAAUAAUAGAAUAUUUGUCGCCAGCAUGGGUUGUAUUAUAAAAAUAUUUACUGGCAUCGAUUUGUUUUACUCGACUGCACACGUCCUGUUGUUCAUUGUUCCCACAUCCCUAACGGCUACUUUAGACUAAAGGGUUCCAGCAAUUUGUCUUGCACUACAUCAGAAAGAUCCUGUAUAGAAAUAGUUCAAAAUUAGUGUCAAUUUAUAUAAUUGCAUAUUCAUAUUUUUCUCACAUUAGUAGUCAUAAAUGAACAUUUCAAAUUGGAAUAUCCUUAAGAAUUUUUCGCUUCAGAGUUCAGAGUGAUGGUGGACUAUAGAAAUCGUCAGGCAAUCGGCAAGCGAAGAGCAAUUGAUAGAUAUUUGAUAUGUUGAGAGCCCAAUUCAUGAGUGAAUAUUAUGCGAAGUUAUAUACGAGUUAUAUGCCGAUCACAUGGGUCGUGUGAAAUACUCAUUUUUUGUAAGAAAAGCGAGAAAAUAAUAUGUAGACUACUCUCAUAAAUUGAACCUAUUUCGAUGUGUUUUUGUGAAUUUUUAGAUAUCUAAGAACCAAUUAAUACAUACACGAACUUUAAAGGUCAAAUUUCUAUUAAAACAUAUUAUUUUUAUUUAAUUUUGAAACAAAAUCUUGAGAGUAAGACGUAUAUAAAUCAGUUUCUAUAAAAUUAUUGUACUAAAUUCAUGUUUGAAUCGGUUAUAUAUAAAUGGGUAUCUUUCCUGUCCCACCUUUCAUGUUUUAAUUUUGGAAAAAAAAAAUUGUGGUAACAAAUAAUCAUCAACUUCGGGAAAAAAAAAAGUUUAUCACCGUAUAUAUAAAAUGCAAAUUAAUAUCAUCUUCGAUUUCAUAGCCAAAAAUCCCAAAUGUGAUUGAUUCGGAAUUUCGGACAAGCUUCAGCUUUCUUGAUGUUGGUGACCCAUGGGCCAGAAUCUUAUCCCAGGCCUAGGGUAGCGAGAGAAAUAGUGGUUCAUGGGCCUCGAUACCUCUGAUCCAUCAAGAAACCAUACCCAACUCAAUGGGCUGAAAUUCAAACACAAGGAUUUAUUGUUUUAUUUAUGACUAAUGAUAAAUAUUCCAAAUUUUUAUUUAUGGUACAUGAUCGAAUUUAACAAAAUGACGAUGAGACAUUGUCAUUGAAAUGAUGUGGUGACUUGCACAGUGCAUAUGAAUUCAAUCUUCUGAUUUGGGUUCCAGGAGACCGAAAUGAGCCAUCAAUACCCAAACAAAAGUAAAAAGCUCCCCGCCAUUACUAACUUGUUCGACAUGUGUCCUUGUUGCUCUGCUGUGACAUGCUGCAUAUGACAUCAAUUCCACCCACACUUUGCUCACUAUCUCCCAUUUCUUAUCCUUUAAAUAAUCAAGACUUUGGAGCCUAUCGACCAUCCUUUUUGCUUGAUCCAACGGCAUGGAAUUCACAGAUGAAUUCAGUUUUGCUCUCGUCGCCGGUGAAAUUUUUCCUUGAAAACAAAACUUGGCCUCAUCACGGAGAGUUUCCAAUCCAACAUUCUCCUUGGAAUUUAGCAUGGUAGGCUUCAAAACUAAAAGAUACAACAUGUAGUCCGAGAGGAUCUUGCUGAAUUCUCUAGCAUUGUAAGUCUCUUCAUCCGAAAUUGCUUCUUUAGCAGUUUUUUCGUAAAGGAAUUCUGUAGCAAUGUGCCAGAAUAUAAUGCUUUUACCAAAACUAAAAUUAACUUUUUCUACGAAUUGGAUGAGAUCACAAUUUGUAUCCAUUUCCUUCAGAGUACAAUCACCUUUAGCUGAAAAUAAUUUCCGCAAACCUUUUCUGAUAUCCGCCUCGAGAUCAUAUUCAAAAUUAGGAAUUUUAAUAGUUCCUACCUCUGGAUCAUUUAUCUCUGGAUCCUGUCCAGACUCUGUUUUUCUUCUAAUUUCAUCCCCAUUCUUAGAUUUUCGUUUAAUUUCAUUAAAUAUAAACACCCACAAUUCUUUAGUUAAUGGCUCCUGGGACAGAGAUGUUUUUAUUCUUAUCUCAUUGGCAAAAUCAGCUAGGCCGAAACAAGCAAUGAUUUUGUCUAUUUGCAGAAAUUUGAUGAUCCUGUAAGUAGUAAUGGCUAUGUACUGAAAGAUUUUAUCGAUGCCGUACCUCUUGCUUUGAUGAGCCUUUAUGACGCUUAGUCCUGAGACAGAACCAGACCAUCUGCGAGGCAGGAAAGGAGUAGCAAACACAAACACCCCGUGCUUGCCACCAAUUCGUGAUUGUUGCCACCUUGAGCUCUUGAGAUUGAGAAACCACCGGAUAAUACGAGCUAUGCAGGAUUUGUGAUGAUUCCGGAGAGCAGCAAAUGUCCACUCGGAGAAAUUGCCCAUGAAGAAAGAUAUGACGUCGAGGGCUAUGCCACCCAAGAACAGGGUGUAUGUAACUCCAAGAUCAAAAUCAUUGAGACCAUGCUUCUCAACUUGGAAAUAGAAAACUGAAAGGGCAGCCACGAGUGAACCAAAACAUAUGAACUGCAAGAUUACAGAAUGUGUUACCUGAAUCUUGGUGUGCAGAACUUCAUAAACCAAGUUCAGUACUUGAGUUCAACCUUAAUUAUUCUCAAGCCAUCUUCUGGACCAAAAAUACCAAAUGAAAAAGGUUCUUCAAAAGGAAAAUAAGUGAAGUUGGAGAAGAGAUCGACAACUAUCCCUCUGAAAAUUUGGAAGUAUUCGCAAGUGUAGUGAAUUGACCUGCUUACUAACCUAGCAAGAUCAUCCACUGCCCAGGACCUUGAACAAGAUUAGUCAUGUUGCUAAUUGACAAGACUCAAUCCAGAAACCUCACAGCAAUAAUCUCAAAAUCCCAAUCAAGAUCAAAGACAAAUAGAUUGAACAAGAAUCAACACACAAAGUAACAGGAAACAGAGAGUUACGUGGUUCAGUUGUACCAAUGGUGGCACAACCUACAUCCACGGGAGAAGCCUUUGAUUAGUCUUUUAUUGGUUAUCAAUAGAGAAUCAAAUACACAGAGAUACAAGAGAAUACAGAGAAUCCUCUAGAAUCAAUCCUCUCUUCUCUCUUUUUCCUAUCACUCUAGAAAUACCCUUCUGAAGCGGCUUCGUUACUCAGCUUAUAACGGCAUCAGUAACAAGAACCUCAAACCCAGAUUGCCCAGCUUCCCUACACGUGCAUAACAGAAUUUAACGAACUGAACUUAGGCUGCUCACAUGCUUCUCACAUGCGUCACUUAACGGAUGCCUCUAAACGACAUACUUUGGCUGUCGUUUUGAAAGCUAUCAGUUUAUAGGCGAAACACGUGCUUCCUCAUGUGACUUAAGUUUAUAACAUCCAUGUGAAAAACGCUGCCGUUUUAAACCUUCUGAGUUUGAUUCACACUUCAGAGCAAGCCAGCUGGAGAUAAUCCCCACCUUGGUUCACCUUAACAUCUUUUGCAAGUUCAAUGAUAGUAGAUUCCCGGAAUUUCUCCCAGCUUGCAAGAUACAUGGCACGAGUCCUCUCAAAGCACUUUAUAAUUCCCGCAAUAAACACGAGAAUUGUUGGGACAAAAAGCUUGUUUCCUGGAAGCGACAGGAGGAAGACGUAAAAAGUGAAACCAGCCUGGAAUAUGAGUCCAAACAAUUGCCUGAGCCAGAGUUCGUUAUCUUCGAGAGCAACUGCAGUUAUGGUGUCUGGACCACCGAGGUGUAGCAGCAGAAAUGGAGCCCAAAGUACUAGAAGCUCAUUGCUCUUCGUAGGAGUUUGAGAAUUUAUUGCUCUUUCAGCUAUGAGUCCGAUGGCAAAAGUAGCAGCCGAGUCUGCGAGAAAGUAAGCUGACCAGAUUAGCAGGAUUAUGAGUUUAUAGCCCAUGCCUUUCCGGAGGGGAGCAAGCAGAAUCAAGACGGUUUGCAAUAAAAGACUGAACAAGAUUACACCUCGUAUGUUCCAGUUAUCCCAUGUCUUCUUGACACUUUCAGGGAUUGGAUUAUCCAUUUUCUCUCCCUUUUGCUGAAAAAACUUUUAGUGUAAAGAGUUGAUAUAGUGUUGGUGAGUUCUUGAAAGCUGGAGGAGCAAUUGUAUAUUUGUUCUGUGGGGUUUCUACCGUUAGUGUAGAAGGAUGAACAUUAGAGCCAAGUCAAUCUUUUUUUAUUUUUAAUUUUAAUUUUAUUGUUUUAUGUAGAUUUCAACGGGGUGGUAAAGUGAGAGGACGUUCGUGAUGUCCACUGAAGCCAGACGAGUGAGUGAAGUGAAAAAGGAUGUUUCCCUUUUAAUGCUGAUGAUGUGGAUGGACUCCGCCAAGUAAUGACAUAUGCCCAAAGAACUGCAUGGAUCUUCAAAGCACGAACUUUGUUGAGAUUGAAAACGACAUAAAUAGGUACAAAAUUAGACCUAAUUCCUGGGCUGAGCCCGAAAGAAAAAAAGUAAUAAUUAAUACGAGCAGCUGGCUGUAAACAGUGAAUAUAGAUAUGAAUAUAUGCAUUUUUAAUAUGAAACCAUGAUUGGUAAAACCAGUGCAAAUUAAGGAUAACAAAAGGCACUGCCUGCAGCCGGUUUGAUAUUAUCAAACUUUUCCCUACACGAAAUUUAAAUUACUAAAUUCGCAUCCGCACUCGUUACAGGUUUUGACAAUUAUCAAAUUUACAAUGGUACUCAAUAGAUUUUUUUAUGAGUUUUCACAUUUAAAAACCACAAAUGCCAUGAAAAAUUCAUGGAUUUGCGGCUGCGGCUCACAUGUGAAAAGAAAGUGGGUGUGCUGUUGCUGCUCAUGAGUGAAAAUGAAAUAGUUUGGAAGGCUAGGUUUUACGGCUGCUGCUCACAAGUUAAAAGAAAAUAGUUUGGGUUUCCUUUCAGUUAAGUUAUGAGUUGCAACUUGUACACACAACACAUGACAUGUUUACACUUUAUAUUUAUUUAAUUUAUAUAUUUUUAGCUUUAAUUAUUUUUCAAUUAAAAUUACAUUAAAAAUAUUUGGAGAAAAAACUACGGGUUUGGCGGAUAUCCAUCGGAUAUUUGGUUAAUACCAAACCCACCCGCAACGUAAUGUGGAUUUCAAUUUCUAAUAUCAAGUCCGCCCGCAACCCGUAAAAUUACCCGCAACGGAUGGAUUUUAUAGAUAAAUUUAGACAAAUUUAUAAAUUUGCAGGUAACAUUGCCAUCCCUAAUGAAAACACGUUUGAUAAUUUAGUUCUAAAUAAUAUUAUUACGGUGUGCCGCUAUAAGAUUCAAAAAAUUAAAAAAAAAAAUUUGUUAAUACAAUAUCUUUGGCAUCGGAACAUGAAGUAGAUACUAGAUAAUAUUAUCUAUUAUGGGGCCCAUGUGAAUUAUCGUGCACUUAAAACGAACAAGCAUUAAUUUCGUUUUUUCUUUAGAGGUGGGCCUAAUUAAAAAAAAAAACACAAUAAAUUUUUCGUUUCAUUUUCAAACAUCAAAUAUAGUAACAUUUGUACGAAUUGAUCUGUACACAGACAAUUGUCAAGGAUACAAGCUAGUGCAACAGAUGUAUUUCUACAAAAAAAAAUCUCUACCAAUAAAUAUCCUGGAGAUAUCUGAUUUAAGCUCCACAAGAUAUCUGCUCGUCUCUUUCAAAGCAUCAUCAUCCUUUAAUGGAUUAGGUCAUUUCAACUGAUAUAGCAUGAAUUUUUUUCACAAAGAUCAAGAAACUGUAGCCUAAAAUCCUCUUGAUAUGAAUCUAUGAUCUGAAAGAAAACCAUUACUAUCAUACUAAUAACAAAAAAUAAUCACAACCACAAUAAACUUGAAGAUUUGGGUAGAAAAACAUCAUGAAAGAGACAAAAUUCUCUUUGCACAAAGUUAAAAAAAAAAAGAAAAAAAAAUAAAAUGAACAAAGGACACAAAAUUAACUUAAAAAUUUGCUCCCACUAAUAUUUUGAAAAGAUACCAUACUUACAUUUAUGUGAUAAAAAAUAUCCGCAUCAUGUAAAGACUUGAACUUGUAUGCAUAUUACAUAAUAAAAUUGAGGGCACGAGCGAAAACCCAACUCUAGACCAAGACUCGCCUAAUAAAAGAUUGAUCUUUAGGGGGAAAAAAAAUGAAAAUGAAGUUAGAUAUUUGGCAUGAAUGACGUUAGACAUUUUGCAUCAAUUAUUAACCUGCUUUUGUCUUGGUUGAAAGUGAGUUAUGCAAAUAUAUACAAAAAGAAAGGUUGAAACAUUAACUAUUUUGAUGUUUUCUAACGAUUAAACUUACACUAGGCCAGCAUAUAAAGGAAAAAUAUAAAUCAAUAUUUUUUUAAUGUGCACAUUGCACAAUCAAAUCAUAUACCAGGUCCCAUAAAAGAUAGCGUUCUAGACUUUACCAUGCAGGAUGCCAAAAAUGAUCCAAAGGCUAUCAAGAGAAUUUGUUCAGCUAAAGGCCAGCGACUGAGUGAUAGAGUUCUCCUUUUGUUCACAGUAGGCCUUAGUACCGACGCAUUCUUUUUAAUUUAACUUGGUUUUUCCACACACUAGUGAGUUGGCUCAUUUUUCAUCGAUUAAUUCAGCUACUUAUGAUUUUAACAACAGAUAUUUCUAGAAGCUAAUAAUAUAAGUUACAAAUUAAAAUUUCAACCAAAAAAGAAAAAAUCCUCAAUCUAUCUAUUCCUGUUUUUGUUCUCUCAAAAAUAACAUUCAAGACGCUAAAAUCCAUUGUUUCAAAUUUUUAUAGCAACACAAAAAAUGGUUAAUCCAAUUCUUGAAAGCGUCAAGCAAAUAUCGGAUAACUGGAACAUACGAGGUGUAAUCUUGUUCAGUCUUCAUUACAAACGAUCUUGAUUUUGUUUGCUCCUCUCCAAAAAGGCACCGAUAAUAAAGUGAUAAUCUCGGUAAUCUGUUCAGUGUACUUGCAAAAGAUAUUUCGGAGAAGAAGCAUAAGGAGCUUUUAGCAUUUUGGUUUCCAUUUAUGUUGUUCCUGUUAGAUUUUUAAUUUAGAAUUGUUGGACCCUUAAUUUAAUGUUGCGUUUAUCUGUGAAUAAUUAUGUGUUGUGAACUGUCAUAUAAGGAUAAGCCUAAUUAAAAGUAAUCCAUUAAGAUUUUUAGUAAUAUGAGCUUAAUGUAUCUCAUAGAGUGUGGAGUUUUAAUGUGUAAAGACUUAAGUGUAAUUUUUAUUUCUAUGAUAGGCUAAAAUAAGAAUACUUAAAAACAAUAGGAAAAGUUGUCAAUAUAAGUGGUCAUGGUCUCCAGGUCACACGUAUCUUUUUAUUUUUUCUGACAUUCCAUUAUUAGAGAGAGAGAGAAUAUAGAGAAAAUUAAAGGAUUAUCUAUGAGAACAUGUUGAUCUAGAAAGCCAACCACACUACUCCGAAGAGCAAUUAAGCACUAUAUUCAGGUAAGAUUCUGCAUAUUUUAUUAUUAAUUUUUGGUGAUACAAAAUGAAUGUUCUUGAAUUAUAGGCGAUGUUUUUCACUAAAGGAUUUUUUGUUCUAACACGUGCUAUCAGAGCCUCUUCAUAUUGAAUCAUUGAUAAUUAAAUUUAUUUUUGUUUAAUAAUUAAAUUUUUGAUGUUCUCAAAUUUAAUAAUACUGGAAUUAUUAAAAUUAUUGAGUUUGAAAAUAAAUUGAGAAUUGAAAUAUUUUUUGGCGUUCUUGAAUCUAAUAAUUCCUAAUCAAAUUUGAGGUUGACUUCAGCUUUCUUGUUGUUGAUGACUCAUGGGCUAGAACCUUAUCCUGGGCCUGGAGUAGUGAUAGAAGUAGUAUUCAUGGGCCUAGAUAACUCUGAUCCAUCUAGAAACCACAUCCAACCCAACUGGCUGAAAUUCAAACACGAGGAUUUAUUUAUGACUAAUGAUAAGUAUCCUAAAUUUGUGUUCAUAGUACACGAUCGAGUGCAGCAAAAUGAUGAUGAAACAUUGACAUUGAAAGGAUGCAGUGACUUUGCACAACACAUAUGUGUUCAAUCUUCUGAUUUAGGUUCCGCAAGACCAAAAUGAGCCAUCAAUACCCAAACAAAAGUAAAAAGCUCCCCACCAUUACUAACUUGCUCGACAUGUGUCCUUGUUGAUCUGCUGUGACAUGCUGCAUAUGAUAUCAAUUCCACCCGAACUUUGCUCACUAUCUCCCAUUUCUUAUCCUUAUAACAAUGAAGACUUUGGAGCUUAUCGACCAUCCUUUUUGCUUGAUCUAACGGUAAGGCAGUCACAUAUGAACUUAGUUCUGUUCUCAUCGCCAGUGAAAUCUUUCCUUGAAAACAAAUCUUGGCCUCAUCACGGAGAAUUUCCAAUCUAACAUUUUUUUUGGAAAAGCAUGGUAGGCUUCAAAACUAAAAGAUACAGCAUGCAUUCCGAGAGGAUCUUGCUGAAUUCUCUAGCAUUGUAAGUCUUUUCAUCUGAAAUUACUUCUUUAGCAGUUUCUUCGUAAAGGAAUUCUGUAACAAUGUGCCAGAAUAUAAGGCUUUUAUCAAAACUAAGUUAACUUCUUCCAAGUAUUGGAUGAGAUCACAUUUUGUAUCCAUUUCAUUCAGAGUACAAUCACCUUUAGCUGAAAAUAAUUUCCGAAAACCUUUUCUGAUAUCCGCCUUUGGACCAUUUGCAAAAUUAGGUAUUAUGUCCAGAUUCAGCUUUUCUUCUAAUUUCAUCUGCAUGCUUAGCUUUUCGUUUAAUUUCAUCGAAUAUAAACCCCCACAACUCUUUAGUUAGUGGCUCCUGGGACAAAGAUGUUUUAUUCUAAUCUCAUUGGCAAUAUCAGCCAGGCUGAAACAAGCAAUGAUUUUGUCAAUUCGUAGAAAUCGGAUGACCCUUUAAGUAGUAAUGGCUAUAUACUGAAAGAUCUUGUCGGUGCCAUAACUCUUUCUCUGAUGAGCCUUUAUGACGCUUAGUCCUCAAACAGAACCAAACCAUCUGCGUAGCAAGGAGUAGCAAAACGGUUAUCAGGUCGUGUUUGUGUCAUGUCAAUCUUGUGCUGUGUCAAGUUUAAGCUGACCUAAACAUGAGCCAUUUAAUAAUCGUGUGAAAAUAUUAAGACCCUAAUCUGACAUGGAAAAUAAAUAAGUUACUCAAUAACUUGCUUAAUAUCUAUAUAUUUAACAAGAUUUAUAUCAAAUAUUUGCAUUCCAAUAUAUGCGCAUGUGUGUGUGUGUGAACCCUGUGAAUUGUGUGAAAGUAGGAUACUCCAAAUUCGUGGAUCCAAAAGUUUUAUAAAACGUUCUUGCUGGAAAAAAAUGUGAAUUAAAGAUUCCAUUGAAUUGAAUUGGGUUCUUGAAUCUAAGAAAUUGUGAGAAUUGUUGAUCUCUCUCAAUUAGAAAAUCCAAGAUUUGAAUUGAUGUCCUUUCAUUGAUUCCUCCUAAAUUACGUUGAUUUAUCCUAAAGAUUUCAUUUCAAUUAAAUUUUGGUUAUUCACCAUGUACAAGGAUCCCCACUAAGCAUCCAUGGCUGAAUGGUUAAAGCACCCAACUUGGCGAAUUCGUUGAGGGACUUGAACCCUCAUGAUUUCUAAAGUCGACAGAUUUUCCUUUCAUUAUAAAUUUCAUUGUUGCCCAUAUUAAUAUUGACAUGUAGAAUGUGACUCUAUUUUUACUCUCGUCUGAUUAAUCAAUUCUUCAAAAUUCAAAAGAAAUGAUCGAUCAGACCACGAAGGUGGAGUGAAUGAUUUGAGUCAAGAAUAUUCGAUUCUUUCUUUAACCUAGAAUCGAUUCAUAGUAGCUUUUUUCUUUUUCAUAAAAAGAAAUAAGAAUUUAUUGUGAUUUUUUGAGUUAGUUUUUCAUUGCGUAAACCUAGUCUAUAUACCCUUAUCCUUUGUUUUACUUUCUUUUUUAUUUACCAAAAUGGGUAGUCAACUUCAUUUGUUAAAACAACUUCCAUUGAGUCACUGCACCUAUUCCCCUUUUUCACUUUCUAAACCCAUGUUUGAUCUUGGAAAAGAGAAGAGGAUUUGGCUCAGGAUUAUCCAUUUUUUUUUCCUGGGUUUUUCUGAAUUUGAAGGUUAGCACUUAGUAAGUUUCCAUAUUAAGACUCAAUCCAAUUAAGUCCGUAGCAUCUACCAAUUUCGCCAUAUCUCCAUAUCCCCUUUGUGUUUUAGGAAUUCAAUGUUGUCCCCCCGUUCUUUCAUUUCUACCAAAACAUUAGAAUUCCGUAGAUAUAGACUUUUAUAUAGAAAUGUGUUUUGCUUUCUUGUCAGAAAUGAUUCUAUCUUCUCUGUAUCCGCAAAUCAAUUAAUGCUUCUUUCUCUUAGAAGUAUAACCAUUGAUCAUGGCGAACCUCCUAUUGAGAUUAAAACCUCACCUUAUAAAAUUCAUAAAGACCCGGAGACAGAUUUAGAUAGCAUUAUUCAACAGAAUAAUUUCUGUAAUGCUAAUCUAAACACAAUAGAAAAACAGUUGACCAGAAUAGAAAAUCAAUUCCAGAAGUCAACCAUAGCUGUUUCCCCUGUUACAUCAAAAUCGGAUUCUGACAAAAAGCUUAAGGAGUCUAUUUUCAAACCUUUUCAGGUUUCGAAAACUAGUCAAAAGUUUGUUCAAGAGUCAAAAUCAGAUUUUGCUAAAGCCAUUAAAGAAAAACUAGAUAGAAUAAAAGCUUCUUCUUCCUCUUCUAGUAAAAUCCAAAUAGCCCCUGAUAGUGCCCAAUCUAGCAAGAUUGGUGUACUAGAACAAGACAAUGUUUCUAUAGCCUCUUCUGAUAUAGAAGCAUUUAAAGAAGAACCUAUUUCCAAAGCCAACAAAAUCCAUUGGGAAUUAGCCAUACCUACUGUCAAGUCUCCACCUGAUUUGGCCAUAGACAACAGACUUGCUGCAUUAAACCAAUCACGAUUUAAUGCAUCUUCUAUCUAUGAGUGGAACCUUGAUGAUAUGUCUGAAUACAACAUCCUAAGAUUGUUGCAACAAAUGACCAUGACAACCAAUGCUUAUAAAACUCAGUUGGGAACUUCUGACAAGGCCAUUGUAGAAAUUCUCAUUGCUGGUUUUACUGGUCAACUUAAAGGUUGGUGGGAUCAUCUUCUCACCAAACAGCAACAAUUAGAUAUCCUUGACUCUAUUCAGACAGAUGAGAAUGGAGCCCCCAUCCUUGAUGAAAUCAAUAGUCCAAUUUAAGAUGCUGUUGCUACCUUGAUUUUGACUAUAUUCCUUCAUUUCAUAGGUGAUCCUUCACACCUAAGAGAUAAAAAUGAUGAGUUACUAUAUAACCUGAGAUCUAGGAAACUUAGUGAAUUCCAAAGUUACAAAACCACAUUCUUUACCAGACUCUUCCUUAGGGAUGAUGCAAAUCAUAUAACUUGGAAGGAAAAAUUCCUUGCAGGUUUACCUACCAUAUUAGGAGAAAAGGUUAGGAAUUCCAUAAAAGCCCUCUAUGAUAACCGUAUUCCUUAUGACGAACUCACCUACGGUGAAUUAGUCAGUUUUGUUAAUAAGGAAGGCUUAAAGAUUUGCCAGGAUUUGAAACUUCAGAAACAUCUAAAAUGGGAGCUUAGGAAAUCUAAGCAAGAAUUAGGCAGUUUCUGUAAGCAAUUCAAUUAUGACCCCUUUAAAACUUCCAUCUCUAAAGAUUGUAAUGGUAAGUGUUCUUCACGACCUUACAAAAAACAUUACAAGUCCAAGAGCCAUAGGAAAUCUUUCCAAGAAUCUAGAGAACUUUCGUAUAAGAAACCUUCAAGGCCUUAUAAGAAGCCUAACUUCUCUGGAAAGAAGGAUUUUAGAGCGAAACAGAAAGCCCCUUUUAACUACAAAGAAGCCACAUGUUACAAGUGUGGAAAGAAAUGCCAUACUGUAAAAUUUUGUAGAAUGAAUAGAAAGCUCCAUGAGUUUGGCCUUGAUGAAGAAACCCUUUCUAAAGUCACCUCUCUGUUUGUAGAGUCUUCAGACUCUGAGUCUUCCAUGACGGGAGAUAGUGAACCUCUACAGGUUGAUGAGUUAAUUGACUCAGAUACAUCUGUAUCCAGUGAUAGUGAUUCUGAUACAGAAUCUUAUUUAAAGAAGAUUAAUGUCUUGACUAAAAAACAAGAGACUUUUCUAGAAUUGGUUAAAUAUAUUUCUGAUCCAAAUCUUCAAAAAGAAUACGUUGAUAAACUUUUAAAAACCCUAGAACUCAAUAAAACAGAAACUUCCAAAGCCCCAAUAAUUAAAAGGAAUACUUAUGAUCUCACUAAGAUUUUGGAUAAAAAGAAAACAAAGAAAACUAUAGCUCCUAGUAUCCAAGACCUUCAAAAAGAGAUAAAAGAAAUCAAACUUGAGAUAAAAGAAUUAAAAGAAAAACAAAAAAGUGAUUCUGAAACCAUUCAACUCCUCCUACAAAGACAAUUAGAUGAUAAUUCUAAUAAAGAAAUUGAAACUGAUAAUGAAAAUGAACAAAACGUGGAAAACAUUGAAUCCAUACCAAAUGAUUUUCUGUUUGUUUUAAAACAAAUCACUACGAGAAAGUACCUAAUAAAAAUUACAUUAAUUCUUUCUAAAGACUUUGAGAUUGACACCAUUGCCCUUUUUGAUACUGGUGCCGAUCUAAAUUGCAUUAAAGAAGAUAUUGUCCCUAAAAGAUUUCAUGAAAAAACAAAUGAAAGACUCUCGGCCGCCAAUAAUUCAAAAUUAAAAGUAAAAUCUAAAGUUGAUGCCUCAGUAUAUAAUAAUGGUUUUGAAUUUAGGACUUCCUUUCUUUUAACAAAUGAUAUCCAUCAUACUAUUAUAUUAGGAACUCCCUUCAUUAACCUUAUAACCCCUUAUACUGUUAACUAUGACAGUAUAUCUUUUAAAGCAAAAACAAAAAACCUUGUUUUCCCUUUCAUUGAGAAACUUAAAAUAAGAAAUUUGAAUACAGUUAAAGCAUGUUCUAUUUAUCAGAACCAAAUCAAUGUACUCCUCAAGUCAAAACAAAAUGACCUGAUUUGUUUAAAAAAGGAUUUGAGUUUACAAAGAAUCGAAAACCAAUUACAAAACGAAUUUGUAAAAAGAAAGAUCACUUAUUUUAAAGACCUCAUUGAAAAAGAAAUAUGUGCGGAUCUACCCUCUGCUUUUUGGAACAGAAAGCAACAUUUAGUAGAUUUGCCUUAUGAAAACUCUUUUAAUGAAAAAUAAAUACCUACCAAAGCCCAUCCAAUCCAAAUGAAUAUGGAAUUGGAACAACAUUGUAAAGAAGAAAUAAAAGACUUAGAAUCAAAAGGACUCAUUGUAAAAUCUCGGUCUCCAUGGUCUUGUGCCGCUUUCUAUAUUAAUAAAAACUCUGAAAUAGAAAGAGGAACACCUAGACUUGUAAUAAAUUACAAACCCCUAAAUAAAGCAUUAAAAUGGAUUAGGUAUCCCAUACCUAAUAAAAAAGAUUUACUCCAAAAACUGCAUUCUGCUUUCAUAUUUUCAAAUUUUGAUAUGAAAUCAGGUUUCUGGUAAAUCCAAAUCCAUCCUAAAGAUCGUUAUAAAACUAUUUUUACUGUUCCCUUUGGACAAUAUGAAUGGACUGUUAUGCCAUUCGGUUUAAAGAAUGCACCUUCAUAAUUCCAAAGAAUUAUGAAUGAUAUUUAUAAUCCUUUUUCCGAUUUCUAUAUCGUCUAUAUUGAUGAUGUAUUGAUCUUUUCUCAAACAAUUGAUCAACAUUUCAAACAUUUAAAAACUUUCUAUCUUGCCACUAGAAAGGCUGGUUUAGCCAUUUCUAGUUCUAAAGUCUCAUUAUUCCAAACAAAAAUCAGAUUCCUUGGUCAUUACAUCUCCAAAGGAACUAUUACACCUAUUGAGCGAUCUCUUGCAUUCGCAGAUAAAUUUCCUGAUAAAAUUCUUGAUAAAACUCAACUACAAAGAUUUUUAGGAAGUUUAAAUUAUGUUCUUGAUUUUUGUCCUCAUAUCAAUAGGAUUUCAAAACCUUUGCAUGACUGAUUAAAGAAAAACCCUGUUGCAUGGACAGAUGAACACACUAAAGUUGUUAAGCUCAUAAAAAGUUCUAUUAAAGAUAUUCCAUGUUUGUUUCUUGCUAAUCCUGCAUUACCUAAAAUAGUUGAAACUGAUGCAUCCGAUUUAGGUUAUGGAGGAAUAUUAAAGCAAAGAGAAAAUAAUAAAGAACAAAUAGUACAGUACAUUUCUGCUCAUUGGAAUGAAUGUCAAAGAAAUUACUCUACUAUUAAAAAAGAAAUUCUUUCUAUUGUUUUAUAUAUAUCUAAAUUUCAAAGUGAUUUAUUAAAUCAAAAAUUUUUACUCAGAAUUGAUUGUAAAGCUGCAAAACAUGUUUUGGAAAAAGAUGUUCAAAAUAUUGCUUCGAAAUAGAUUUUUGCAAGAUGACAAGAUUUUGAAUGUUUUUUAUUUUGACAUUGAAUUUAUUAAAGGAGAUAUGAAUUCUAUCCCUGACUUUCUAACCAGGGAAUUUCUUCAAAACAGAUAAUGCCGCCCAAGAAAAAAGACAAAGAUAAAGUUGUUCUUAAAGACACUGAGUCACAAGCAACCUCCAAAGAAUCCCUAUCAACCCCCUCUAAAGAAAAAUUACUUUCUUCUGCCAUACCCAUCAAAUCAUGGAUUGAAAUGGUUGAAGAACAUGAAGCCCAAUAUAAAGCCAUAAUCUUCGAAGAUCAGGUAAAAGAAUGGAUGAAUUCUAUUACAAAGUCUCCAGAGCUUAUGCUCGCCUUACAAAAUAUUUUUCAAACCCAAGAGAAAGAAAAACUUGUUUCUAAAGCAAUUUCAAAACCUUCUUCCUCUAAAGAAAUCGUUUCAUGUGAAAGCUCUUUUUGGCAAAUUAUUGUUUCUCAAUCAAAGCUUUCACAAAAAUCAUCGAAUUGGCUUAAUAAAGCCUAUCAACAAAAUGUUUUAACUAUGGAUGAUGGGUUUUAUCAUUCUGAUCCAUUUCAAGCAAUUUCAAAGAUUUUCCCGAAAGGCUGGUUUUUCAAACCAUGGGAUUUAUCUAAACCCAAGUCUUUCUACCAAGGCAUACUUGAGUUCACUGAGUCAGUAAAGUUUAAACAUUUCUUCCUUAGUGAAGCUCAUUCUGAGCCAGUCUAUUCCACGGCUACCAUUCUUAAAGUCUUAAGUCCAAAUCAGUGGGGUGACCAACUCCACAAACCAAAAACUUUUCCCGCCAAUUUUCAAAGACGUUUAAACUAUUGCUUAUCUUUCUCCUACUGGGAUUAUCAGCAGGCCUGGUUUAACACAUUUUUUAUCCAAAAUCCAAAAAAGUAUCACUCUUGGUUAUUUUUCUUUAAUUCAAAAAUAACCGUCCAAAGCCUUCCAAAUUGGUUCCAAAUUUGGUGGAACUACUUUGGGCCAAGCCCAGAUAUUCUAACCCAGAAUGCCAUUAAAUGUUUAAAUUUAUUUAAAGCCCAUUAUGUUCCUUCUGAGUCUGAGAAGAUGUUUCCUCCUUUUCUCUGUUUCUGUACAAACUUUUUCCUUCCCUGGGUUUGGAUGUGGAAUUUCCAAUACCACACCAUAGACACCCAACUAGUCUUACAAAGAACCUUCAAAGUCAAAUGGUGGUCUAAAUUUGACGAACAGUCAAAAUUGUCUAAAGCCACGGUCCAAUCCUGGCUUUUUACAAGAGGCCUCAUUGCCCCAAGUAAAGACAUAGUCAAAGCCCAAAGCACUUUCCUUGCCCAGAGAGUAAAAGCCCAAUCCCUGCUGGCCAGUGCUAAAACCGAGGAUGAAUAUUUCAAAGUAAUGCAGCAACUUCUUGCCACAAGAUCAGAGACAUCUGCUGCAAGUUCUUCAUCAAGCUCCUCAGGAGAAGCUGAACCGUUCAUCUCCCUCGGAAAUGAAAAUGAAGAUGACUGCUUCGGAAUAUUCUCUCCAUUAAAGCAUUAAAGCUUCGUAUAAAAAAAAAAGAUUGUCUUAUAUCACUUAUUUCCUUAUAAUUAUUACUCAUGUAAUUAACGAUUGAAUUUCUCUUUGUAUCAAUUACUUUGUUAUAAUUAUUUUCCGAAUGUAUUUGUAUUUAUAUUAUUUUUGGGUGGUCCCCUGGACACAAGUGAGAGCGCACAUGUCUCUUUACCCAUCUUUUGUUUUCUUUCAAAGUUGUAAAGAAGAAAGAUGCUGUCCCCUACAUGCCUUGACGAUCCCGCUCCAUCAUCUACGCAUGUGAAGCUAUAGCAAAAGCCAAUAAAGCAAAGUCCAUUCACCAUGAUGCUGUCUCCACUCACCAACCACGUAGGUAAAGCUACAGUUUCGCUACACUGGACAAAUAAAGCUACAGUUGAAGCUACAGACUCGCCACAGUUCAAGCUUCAGUUGUCUUAAAUUCAAAGCUGUGUGACAUUGAGAGUCAGAGUUUUGUUUACAACAUUUACAAUUUCUCUCUCUCUCUCUCGGGAAAUCAGGAUCAAGACAUUAAGGAAAAUUAUUCCUGUCUUGUAAUUUUCCCUUUCUACAAAAUCUGUAAACAUUUUCCAUUGUAAAGCUCUCGGAUCCAAGCAAUCUAUGUAAGCAUCUCUCAUUUAAUCUAUUUAAAGUUUCAAAUGUACGUUUAAAUUUCUGCAAAUUUUAAAUUUAUAUACACUACUACAUUCUUCUGAGGCAUAAAGACCGGAUCUCUCCCUUUGGUCGUAUUUCUCUUCUCCCUUCAAUCAAUCAGAAUACUAUUUCUGGGAUCCAGAUCUAGUAUUAUCUAUGAGCCCUUAGAUUUUGUUGCUAGGCUUGAUUAAAAUUAUUUUGGUAUAUCGGCUGGAAAACAGAACGUGCGUGAUAUUGAUAUGUUUUAAGUCAGAUUUGGUCACAAAGACAGAUUAAGUUCUGCAUCAAUCUGGUAACAACGCCACGUACUGAUUUAAUUUCAAGUUAUAGAUUGCAUAUUAAACCUUAAUACAUAAAUUUGUCUUAAUUUACAUCCAUCCUUCGAUCCUAUUUACCUUCUGAGUAACUUGGAUCCGAGAGGUUUAAUCUUAUUUAAAAUUUCUGCAAAUUUUAAAUUUAUAUAAACUAAAUAGGAUAGAUGCUUACAUAGAUUGCUUGGAUCCGAGAGGUUUAAUCCUAUUUACCUUCGAUCCUAUACAGAAGGAUAUAGGAUCGAAAGAUGGAUGUGAUAUUAGAAAAUGAAAAUGUUUUAUUAAAGAAAUCAAGUCGCAAAGGUGGGAUGGGUUCUUAUUAUUAUGAUUAAAUCGGUACGUGGCGUUGUUCUACCUGAUCAAUGCAGAGACUAGUUUGCCUCAGGGACCAGAUCUGACUUAGAACAGAUCAAUAUCCCGCAUGUUCUGGUUUCCAGCCGCCCUUUUUGAUACUGGUGCCGAUCUAAAUUGCAUUAAAGAAGAUAUUGUCCCUAAAAGAUUUCAUGAAAAAACAAAUGAAAGACUCUCGGCCGCCAAUAAUUCAAAAUUAAAAGUAAAAUCUAAAGUUGAUGCCUCAGUAUAUAAUAAUGGUUUUGAAUUUAGGACUUCCUUUCUUUUAACAAAUGAUAUCCAUCAUACUAUUAUAUUAGGAACUCCCUUCAUUAACCUUAUAACCCCUUAUACUGUUAACUAUGACAGUAUAUCUUUUAAAGCAAAAACAAAAAACCUUGUUUUCCCUUUCAUUGAGAAACUUAAAAUAAGAAAUUUGAAUACAGUUAAAGCAUGUUCUAUUUAUCAGAACCAAAUCAAUGUACUCCUCAAGUCAAAACAAAAUGACCUGAUUUGUUUAAAAAAGGAUUUGAGUUUACAAAGAAUCGAAAACCAAUUACAAAACGAAUUUGUAAAAAGAAAGAUCACUUAUUUUAAAGACCUCAUUGAAAAAGAAAUAUGUGCGGAUCUACCCUCUGCUUUUUGGAACAGAAAGCAACAUUUAGUAGAUUUGCCUUAUGAAAACUCUUUUAAUGAAAAAUAAAUACCUACCAAAGCCCAUCCAAUCCAAAUGAAUAUGGAAUUGGAACAACAUUGUAAAGAAGAAAUAAAAGACUUAGAAUCAAAAGGACUCAUUGUAAAAUCUCGGUCUCCAUGGUCUUGUGCCGCUUUCUAUAUUAAUAAAAACUCUGAAAUAGAAAGAGGAACACCUAGACUUGUAAUAAAUUACAAACCCCUAAAUAAAGCAUUAAAAUGGAUUAGGUAUCCCAUACCUAAUAAAAAAGAUUUACUCCAAAAACUGCAUUCUGCUUUCAUAUUUUCAAAUUUUGAUAUGAAAUCAGGUUUCUGGUAAAUCCAAAUCCAUCCUAAAGAUCGUUAUAAAACUAUUUUUACUGUUCCCUUUGGACAAUAUGAAUGGACUGUUAUGCCAUUCGGUUUAAAGAAUGCACCUUCAUAAUUCCAAAGAAUUAUGAAUGAUAUUUAUAAUCCUUUUUCCGAUUUCUAUAUCGUCUAUAUUGAUGAUGUAUUGAUCUUUUCUCAAACAAUUGAUCAACAUUUCAAACAUUUAAAAACUUUCUAUCUUGCCACUAGAAAGGCUGGUUUAGCCAUUUCUAGUUCUAAAGUCUCAUUAUUCCAAACAAAAAUCAGAUUCCUUGGUCAUUACAUCUCCAAAGGAACUAUUACACCUAUUGAGCGAUCUCUUGCAUUCGCAGAUAAAUUUCCUGAUAAAAUUCUUGAUAAAACUCAACUACAAAGAUUUUUAGGAAGUUUAAAUUAUGUUCUUGAUUUUUGUCCUCAUAUCAAUAGGAUUUCAAAACCUUUGCAUGACUGAUUAAAGAAAAACCCUGUUGCAUGGACAGAUGAACACACUAAAGUUGUUAAGCUCAUAAAAAGUUCUAUUAAAGAUAUUCCAUGUUUGUUUCUUGCUAAUCCUGCAUUACCUAAAAUAGUUGAAACUGAUGCAUCCGAUUUAGGUUAUGGAGGAAUAUUAAAGCAAAGAGAAAAUAAUAAAGAACAAAUAGUACAGUACAUUUCUGCUCAUUGGAAUGAAUGUCAAAGAAAUUACUCUACUAUUAAAAAAGAAAUUCUUUCUAUUGUUUUAUAUAUAUCUAAAUUUCAAAGUGAUUUAUUAAAUCAAAAAUUUUUACUCAGAAUUGAUUGUAAAGCUGCAAAACAUGUUUUGGAAAAAGAUGUUCAAAAUAUUGCUUCGAAAUAGAUUUUUGCAAGAUGACAAGAUUUUGAAUGUUUUUUAUUUUGACAUUGAAUUUAUUAAAGGAGAUAUGAAUUCUAUCCCUGACUUUCUAACCAGGGAAUUUCUUCAAAACAGAUAAUGCCGCCCAAGAAAAAAGACAAAGAUAAAGUUGUUCUUAAAGACACUGAGUCACAAGCAACCUCCAAAGAAUCCCUAUCAACCCCCUCUAAAGAAAAAUUACUUUCUUCUGCCAUACCCAUCAAAUCAUGGAUUGAAAUGGUUGAAGAACAUGAAGCCCAAUAUAAAGCCAUAAUCUUCGAAGAUCAGGUAAAAGAAUGGAUGAAUUCUAUUACAAAGUCUCCAGAGCUUAUGCUCGCCUUACAAAAUAUUUUUCAAACCCAAGAGAAAGAAAAACUUGUUUCUAAAGCAAUUUCAAAACCUUCUUCCUCUAAAGAAAUCGUUUCAUGUGAAAGCUCUUUUUGGCAAAUUAUUGUUUCUCAAUCAAAGCUUUCACAAAAAUCAUCGAAUUGGCUUAAUAAAGCCUAUCAACAAAAUGUUUUAACUAUGGAUGAUGGGUUUUAUCAUUCUGAUCCAUUUCAAGCAAUUUCAAAGAUUUUCCCGAAAGGCUGGUUUUUCAAACCAUGGGAUUUAUCUAAACCCAAGUCUUUCUACCAAGGCAUACUUGAGUUCACUGAGUCAGUAAAGUUUAAACAUUUCUUCCUUAGUGAAGCUCAUUCUGAGCCAGUCUAUUCCACGGCUACCAUUCUUAAAGUCUUAAGUCCAAAUCAGUGGGGUGACCAACUCCACAAACCAAAAACUUUUCCCGCCAAUUUUCAAAGACGUUUAAACUAUUGCUUAUCUUUCUCCUACUGGGAUUAUCAGCAGGCCUGGUUUAACACAUUUUUUAUCCAAAAUCCAAAAAAGUAUCACUCUUGGUUAUUUUUCUUUAAUUCAAAAAUAACCGUCCAAAGCCUUCCAAAUUGGUUCCAAAUUUGGUGGAACUACUUUGGGCCAAGCCCAGAUAUUCUAACCCAGAAUGCCAUUAAAUGUUUAAAUUUAUUUAAAGCCCAUUAUGUUCCUUCUGAGUCUGAGAAGAUGUUUCCUCCUUUUCUCUGUUUCUGUACAAACUUUUUCCUUCCCUGGGUUUGGAUGUGGAAUUUCCAAUACCACACCAUAGACACCCAACUAGUCUUACAAAGAACCUUCAAAGUCAAAUGGUGGUCUAAAUUUGACGAACAGUCAAAAUUGUCUAAAGCCACGGUCCAAUCCUGGCUUUUUACAAGAGGCCUCAUUGCCCCAAGUAAAGACAUAGUCAAAGCCCAAAGCACUUUCCUUGCCCAGAGAGUAAAAGCCCAAUCCCUGCUGGCCAGUGCUAAAACCGAGGAUGAAUAUUUCAAAGUAAUGCAGCAACUUCUUGCCACAAGAUCAGAGACAUCUGCUGCAAGUUCUUCAUCAAGCUCCUCAGGAGAAGCUGAACCGUUCAUCUCCCUCGGAAAUGAAAAUGAAGAUGACUGCUUCGGAAUAUUCUCUCCAUUAAAGCAUUAAAGCUUCGUAUAAAAAAAAAAGAUUGUCUUAUAUCACUUAUUUCCUUAUAAUUAUUACUCAUGUAAUUAACGAUUGAAUUUCUCUUUGUAUCAAUUACUUUGUUAUAAUUAUUUUCCGAAUGUAUUUGUAUUUAUAUUAUUUUUGGGUGGUCCCCUGGACACAAGUGAGAGCGCACAUGUCUCUUUACCCAUCUUUUGUUUUCUUUCAAAGUUGUAAAGAAGAAAGAUGCUGUCCCCUACAUGCCUUGACGAUCCCGCUCCAUCAUCUACGCAUGUGAAGCUAUAGCAAAAGCCAAUAAAGCAAAGUCCAUUCACCAUGAUGCUGUCUCCACUCACCAACCACGUAGGUAAAGCUACAGUUUCGCUACACUGGACAAAUAAAGCUACAGUUGAAGCUACAGACUCGCCACAGUUCAAGCUUCAGUUGUCUUAAAUUCAAAGCUGUGUGACAUUGAGAGUCAGAGUUUUGUUUACAACAUUUACAAUUUCUCUCUCUCUCUCUCGGGAAAUCAGGAUCAAGACAUUAAGGAAAAUUAUUCCUGUCUUGUAAUUUUCCCUUUCUACAAAAUCUGUAAACAUUUUCCAUUGUAAAGCUCUCGGAUCCAAGCAAUCUAUGUAAGCAUCUCUCAUUUAAUCUAUUUAAAGUUUCAAAUGUACGUUUAAAUUUCUGCAAAUUUUAAAUUUAUAUACACUACUACAUUCUUCUGAGGCAUAAAGACCGGAUCUCUCCCUUUGGUCGUAUUUCUCUUCUCCCUUCAAUCAAUCAGAAUACUAUUUCUGGGAUCCAGAUCUAGUAUUAUCUAUGAGCCCUUAGAUUUUGUUGCUAGGCUUGAUUAAAAUUAUUUUGGUAUAUCGGCUGGAAAACAGAACGUGCGUGAUAUUGAUAUGUUUUAAGUCAGAUUUGGUCACAAAGACAGAUUAAGUUCUGCAUCAAUCUGGUAACAACGCCACGUACUGAUUUAAUUUCAAGUUAUAGAUUGCAUAUUAAACCUUAAUACAUAAAUUUGUCUUAAUUUACAUCCAUCCUUCGAUCCUAUUUACCUUCUGAGUAACUUGGAUCCGAGAGGUUUAAUCUUAUUUAAAAUUUCUGCAAAUUUUAAAUUUAUAUAAACUAAAUAGGAUAGAUGCUUACAUAGAUUGCUUGGAUCCGAGAGGUUUAAUCCUAUUUACCUUCGAUCCUAUACAGAAGGAUAUAGGAUCGAAAGAUGGAUGUGAUAUUAGAAAAUGAAAAUGUUUUAUUAAAGAAAUCAAGUCGCAAAGGUGGGAUGGGUUCUUAUUAUUAUGAUUAAAUCGGUACGUGGCGUUGUUCUACCUGAUCAAUGCAGAGACUAGUUUGCCUCAGGGACCAGAUCUGACUUAGAACAGAUCAAUAUCCCGCAUGUUCUGGUUUCCAGCCGAUAUACCCAUUUAAUUAAUUCUUUACCAAAUAUUGAUUAGAUUCUUUAAGCAGAAAAUAUUUUCUUUAGCAAGCCUAGCAACAGAUCUAAAGGCUCAUAGAUAGUAUUAGAUCUGGAUCCCAGAAAUAAUACUCUGAAUGGUUGGAGGGAGAAGAGAAGAUACAACAGAAGACAGAGAUCCGGUCUCUUUGCUUCUGAGGAACGUAACAAUUUUUAUGGCAGAUCUGAUACAAAUCAGUCUGCAAAGCAUGCAUAAAAUUUAAAUUUCUGAAACUUAAAUGCUUUAAAAUAAAUUGUGGAAAUUAAAAAUGCUUUAAAUUAAAUUACAGAAAUUUAAACAUACAGAAAUUUAAUUUUAUUACAAGCUUUAAAAGAAAUUACAAAUUUUACAUUUGAUUUUUCUUUGCUUUGUUUUUCUUUAAAGGAAAAUGUUACAGAAGGAAUGGGAAAUUAAUCUGAAGACAGAAAAAUUCCUUGUCGUCUUUCGAUUCCCGAUUCCCAGAGAGAGAGAGAGAGAGAAAAGGAGAAGAAGAAAGAAGAAAAGAAAAAAUAGAAUUCUAAAAAAUCUGAAGAGUCUAAGUCUUCCUCCCGAUUUAAAUACAAAGACUGGAUCUUUAACUGUAGCGAGUCUGUAGCUUCACAACUGUAGCGAAACUGUAGCUUCAUCACUGUAGCGAAACUGUAGCUUGAGACAGUAGUCUUUGGAGUUGUCUUUAGAUAUUCUUUAAAAAUACAUGUAUGAUUUGGGUGAAGAGACAUGUGCGCUCUCACUUGUGUACAGGGGACCACCCGAGGGUAUAAAAAUAUAUAUUCUCAUACAAGAAAGGAAAGAUACAUAGUAGAAAUAUGGAAUAUAAUUACUCUUUUUUUUUUACAUGCAUAUAAAUGAUAACUAUUUACAAUGCUUUAUCGGAGAGAAAAUUCCAAAACAGUCGUCUUCAUUUUCGUCUCCAAGAGAAAUAAAUGGCUCUUCAUCUUGUUCAUCGUCAUCAGAGGAGUCAGCAAUUGAAGACUUUGAUAUUGAAGUGAGGAGCUGCUCCAUAACUUUAAAAUAUUAUUCUUCAGUUUUGUCCAAAACAGUCGUCUUCAUUUUCGUCUCCAAGAGAAAUAAAUGGCUCUUCAUCUUGUUCAUCGUCAUCAGAGGAGUCAGCAACUGAAGACUUUGAUCUUGAAGUGAGGAGCUGCUCCAUAACUUUAAAAUAUUCUUCUUUAGUUUUGGCGCUGGCCAAAAGAGAUUGGGCUUUGGAUUUUUGGGUAAGAAAUGUUUCUUGGACUUUGACAUCUUUAAUGGUGGGGGGUAAGAAGCCUUUAGAACAGAGCCAACUUUGGAUCAGAGUGUCAGUUAAUUUGGUAUGUUCGUCGAACUUUGACCACCAUUUUACUUUAAAAGUUCUUUGUAAAAUGAGUUGGGCUUCUUGGGUAUGAUAUCUGAAAUUCCACAUUCAUACCCAUGGAAGGAAGAAAUUUGUACAGAAACAGAGAAAGGGGGGAAACCUUUUCUCAGAUUCAGAAGGGAUAUAAUGGGUUUUAAAGAGGUUUAAACAAUGGGUGGCAUUUGGAGUUAAAAAUCUGAGGUAUUGAGUCAAAAGAGUUCUACCAUUGUUGAAACCAAUUAGGGAGGCUUUGAACGGUUAUUUUUUAAUUAAAGAAAAAUAACCAGGGAUGAGAUUUCUUUGGGUUUUGUAUGAAAAAUGUGUUAAACCAUGCUUGUUGGUAAUCCCAAUAGGAAUAAGACAAACAAUGAGGUAAACGCAUUUGAAAAUUUAGAGGGAAGCUUUUUUGUUUAUGGAGUUGGUCUCCCCACUGGUUUGGGCUCAAGACUUUUAGAAUAGUAACCGUGGAGUAGGCUGGUUCUGAAUGGGUUUCACUGAGAAAGAAAUGCUUGAAUUUUACAGACUCAGUGGCUUCUAAAAUGCUUUGAUAAUAAGACUGGGAUUUUGUCAAAUCGCAAGGUUUGAAAAACCAGCCUCUAGGGAAAAUUUUUGAAAUAGCUUGGAAAAGAUCAGUAUGGUAAAAACUAUCCUCCAUAGAUAAAAUAUUUUGGAAAUGAGUUUUAUCAAACCAAUCGGAGGUUUUCUUUGAAAGUUUUGGCUGGGAAAGAACAAUUUGAGAAGAUGAACUUUCACCAGAAACAACCACAUUUUGAGAAGAGGGUUUUGAAAUCUCUUUAGGAAUAUUUUCUUUAGGAGAAAUUUGGCUUUGAGAAAAGCUUUGUAGGGCGAGCAUAAGCUCAGGGGAUUUAGAAAUGAAUUUCAUCCAUUCAUUUACCUGUUCAUGUGAGGCAAGCACUUUAGACUGGGCUUCUUGAUCCUCUAUCAUGUCGAUCCAAGACUUGAUUGGCAUGGCAGAAGAAAUUAAUUUUUCUUUAGGUGGAGAGGUUUGGGAAGCUUUAAAAGGUGUUUGGGACACAGGGUCUUUAAGAAUCCCUUUCCCCUUGUCUUUCUUUUUGAGAGGCAUUUAUCUGUUUUGGAGAAAUUCCCUAGUUAGAAAAUCAGGGAUAGAAUUUGUAUCUCCUUUAAUAAAUUCAAUAUCAAAAUAAAAAACACUUAAAAUAGCUUGUCAUCGUGCAAAAAUUUGUUUUGAUGCAAUGUUUUGAAUAUCUUUUUCUAAAACAUGUUUUGCAGCUUUGCAAUCAAUUCGAAGUAAAAAUUUUUGAUUUAGUAAAUCACUUUGGAAUUUAGAAAUGCACAAAACAAUAGAAAGAAUUUUCUUUUUGAUAGUAGAAUAUUUUUCUGGCAUUCAUUCCAAUGUGCAGAAACAUAUUGUACUAUUUAUUCUCUAUUAUCUUCCUUUUGUUUUAAUAUGCCUCUAUAACCUAAAUCUGAUGCAUCCGUUUCAACAAUUUUAGGUAAUGCAGGAUUUGCAAGAAAUAAACAUGGAAUGUUUUUAACAGAAUUUUUUAUUAGUCUAACAGCUUUAGUAUGUUCAUCUGUCCAAGCAACGAGAUUCUUUUUUAACCUAUCAUGCAGUGGUUUAGACAUCCUAUUGAUGUUGGGACAGAAAUCAAGAACAUAAUUUAAACUACCUAAAAAACUUUGUAGUUGUGUUUUAUCAAGAAUUUUAUCAGGAAAUUUAUCAGCAAACAAAAGUGAUCGCUCAAUAGGUGUAAUAGUUCCUUUAUAAAUAUAGUGACCGAGGAAUCUUACUUUUGUUUGAAACAAUGAGACUUUAGAACUAGAAAUGGCUAGGCCAGCCUUUCUAGUGGCAAGGUAAAAAGUUUUUAAAUGUUUGAAAUGUUGAUCAAUUGUCUGAGAAAAAAUCAACACAUCGUCUAUAUAAACAAUGCAAAACUCAGAAAAAAGAUUAUAAAUAUCAUUCAUGAUUCUUUGAAAUUCUGAGGGUGCAUUCUUUAGUCCAAAUGGCAUUACAGUCCAUUCAUACUGUCCAAAAGGAAUAGUAAAGGCAGUUUUAUAACAGUCUUUAGGGUGAAUUUGAAUUUGCCAAAAAUCAGAUUUCAUGUCAAAUUUUGAAAAAAUAAAGGCAGAAUAUAAUUUCUGGAUGAUUUGCAUUAUCCCUAAGGAAAAGUCUGGUAAAGAAUGUGGUUUUAUAGCUUUGGAAUUCACUAAGUUUCCUACACCUUAGAUUGUGUAGUAACUCAGCGUUCUUAUCCCUAAGGUGCGAAGGGUCACCUAUGAAAUAAAAGGAUAUAGUCAAAAUCAGGGUAACAACAGCAUCCUGAAUUGGACUAUUGAACUCAUCAAGAAUGGGGGCUCCAUUCUCAUCGACUUGAAUAGAGUUUAGGACAUCUAAUUGUUGCUGUUGAGUGAGAAGAUGAUCCCACCAACCUUUAAGUUGACCAGUAAAACCAGCCACCAGAAUUUCUGUUAUGGCUCUAUCAGAAGUUCCCGCCUGAGUUUUAUAGGCAUUGGCUGCCAUGGUCAUUUGUUGCAACAAGCCUAAGAUGUUGUACUUAGACAUACCAUCAAUAUUCCACUCAUAGACAAAAGAUGCAUUAAAUCUCGAUUAAUUUAAAUCACUCGGUCUAUUAUCUAUAGCUAGAUCUGAUGGAGUCUUGACAGUAGGUAAGGCUAAUUCCCAAUGGAUUUUGUUGGCUUUAGGAGCAGAUGGUUCAUCUAUAAAUGCUUUUAUAUCAGAAGAGGCUAUAGACAUUGUCAUGUUCCAGUACACCAAUCUUGCUAGAUUGAGCACUAUCUGGACCUUAGAAGAAGAAGAAGAAGCUUCUAUUCUAUCUAAUUGGUCUCUAAUGGCUUUAGCAAAAUCCGAUUUUGACUCUUGAACAAGCUUUUGGCUAGUUUUCGAAACCUGAAAAGGUUUGAAAAUAGGUUCCUUAAGCUUUUUGUCAGAAUCUGAUUUUGUGCUAAUAGGAGAAACAGCUAUGGUUGACUUUUGGAAUUGCCUUUCUAUCCUAGUCAACUGUUUUCAUAUUGUAUUUAAGUUAGUAUUACAUGAAUUAUUCUGUUGAAUAAUACUACUUAAAUUCGCAUCAGAAUCAUUUGGUUUAGGGAUUUUAUAAGGUGAGGCUCUAAUCUCAACAGGAGGUUCAUCGUGGUUUAUAGCUAAACUCCUAAGAGGUGGAUGCUCAGAUUCUCUGACUCUAUUGCUAUCAGAAAGUUUUCACUCAGGAAUUUUCUUCCUAAUAGUAAUAGGGUUUGACUCUUUAAAAGGAUAAGAGAUGUUGUUAUUCGAAGAAUAUAUCUCAAACCAAUCAAAAAACAAUAUAUGAAUUUUAUGUGAAUUUACAAAUUCAUAAUAUGUCUCUUGAAUUUCUUUUCUUUGAUUUAGAAAAUGUUUAAAAAACCAAAGUCUUUUGUCUUUAUUACCGUCUGAAUAAAAAUCAUUAUGGAGAAAAGUUUUAUCCAGUUCAAAAUCUUUUUCAAUAACAUUUAUAACAUUUUCUGUGACUGCAGAAAACGUAGGAGAAGUUGGAGGAGAAGGUUCCUUCUCUUCCUGUCUUUGUUCAUGUUGGCUGCUAGUGUAGAUUGGGUGAGGAACACUAGUGGUAUAAUCAACAGAAUGUAUAGAGGAACUAGGUAUAUCCAAAGUGGAAAACGUAGGUUGACUCUUUACAGGUUGGAAAGGGAGAUUUAUAAUAGAAGGUACUUUUGAAAAUUUUCUUUCCAAUGAAGGAAUUCUUGAACAUGAAUAUUUAUCAGAGAAUCUGGUUGAUGUAGAUCUCUGAAAGGAUAAUUUGACUUUACCAUCUGAAUACUGAGUCACAUGUUGCAACUCUGUAUUUGGCUCAAGUUGUUUUGGAAUCACUGGGGCAGUGGCUCCUUCAAGAAUCCAUUCAUCGGGAAGAUUGACAUCUUUCCAUUGAAUAGGUUUUGGAAUAACAGUGUUGGCUUUAGACAGGUCAGUCUGUAAGAGAAGAGUCUCAUCUCUUUUUGACUGAAAUUUAUGUUGCGUUCUAAACGUAGAAAUCAUAGCUUUGUAGGAAAUUUUAUAAAUUAAGGCUACAGGAAUAGAUCCCUCAAUCAUAUCAUAAUUGUGGGUCUUGAUUUGUAAAAUCAUACUUUUUAAAAUGUUCUUAUCUUUUAAGGAAAUCGUUAUGUUUGGAUAACAAUUAAAUGAAAUGGGACCUUUACACAGACUUGAUUCUAUACUACUUAGUAAAGAAUCAUCAAAAGAGAUGAAUCGACCAUCUCUCAGAACGGCAAGGAUGGAAGUAUUAAGUCAUUCUUUAGUAAAGGGUUUUAUGCCGACUUGUAUAAAGCCGAUGUGAAUAUAAUUAAAGCUUUUAUCUCUUAAUUUCUUUAAAGACUGCUCUGAAAAUAAAUGAAUUGUUUCAAAAGGCUUUGAAAGGGUUAUAUCGCGUUCUUCAGUCUUUAUAACAUAAUCAUUCUUUAAAAAAUCAAGCUUUUUUGUUUUAUAAAUCAUUUCUUUAUUAACUUUAGGUAAUUCCCAGUUAUUAAUUGCUUUAUUGAAAUCUUCAAUCACAAAUUCUUCCGAAUUCACAACAUUCUUUGAAUCACUAGUUCUUCCAGAAGAAGAGCUAGAGAAAGAUGAUGCUUUACAGAGUAGAGAAUCCAUGGUGUUAAAACUAAAAUCUAUAUGAAUGCCUACAGGUAUGGUUUUACAGCCCUAAACGGAAAAUCUUAUCCUAAAACGGGACUUACUACCAGUAAAAAAUUCAGCACACACACAGAAAACAAUUUAAAACAACAUAGAUUCUUUACAAUAUAACUUUAAUUAUAUUCACAUUGGCUUAAUACAAGUCGGCAUAAAACCUCUUACUAAAGAAUGACUUAAUACUUCCAUCCUUGCCGUUAUGAGAGAUGGUCGAUUCAUCUCUUUUGAUGAUUCUUUACUAAGUAGUAUAGAAUCAAGUCUGUGUAAAGGUCCCAUUUUAUUUAAUUGUUAUCCAAACAUAACGAUUUCCUUAAAUUCUUUUACAGAAACUAUUACACAUAUUGCUAUCAUUUCUGAUAGCAAUAGAGUCAUAGAAUCUGAGCAUCCACCUCUUAGGAGUUUAGUUAUAAACCACGGUGAACUUCCUGUUGAGAUUAGAGCCUCACCUUAUAAAAUCCCUAAACCAAAUGAUUCUAAUGCGAAUUUAAGUAGUAUUAUUCAACAGAAUAAUUCAUGUAAUACUAACUUAAAUACAAUAUGAAAACAGUUGACUAGGAUAGAAAGGCAAUUCCAAAAGUCAACCAUAGCUGUUUCUCCUAUUAGCACAAAAUCAGAUUCUGACAAAAAGCUUAAGGAACCUAUUUUCAAACCUUUUCAGGUUUCGAAAACUAGCCAAAAGCUUGUUCAAGAGUCAAAAUCGGAUUUUGCUAAAGCCAUUAGAGACCAAUUAGAUAGAAUAGAAGCUUCUUCUUCUUCUUCUAAGGUCCAGAUAGUGCUCAAUCUAGCAAGAUUGGUGUACUGGAACAUGACAAUGUCUAUAGCCUCUUCUGAUAUAAAAGCAUUUAUAGAUGAACCAUCUGCUCCUAAAGCCAACAAAAUCCAUUGGGAAUUAGCCUUACCUACUGUCAAGACUCCAUCAGAUCUAGCUAUAGAUAAUAGACCGAGUGAUUUAAAUUAAUCGAGAUUUAAUGCAUCUUUUGUCUAUGAGUGGAAUAUUGAUGGUAUGUCUAAGUACAACAUCUUAGGCUUGUUGCAACAAAUGACCAUGGCAGCCAAUGCCUAUAAAACUCAGGCGGGAACUUCUGAUAGAGCCAUAACAGAAAUUCUGGUGGCUGGUUUUACUGGUCAACUUAAAGGUUGGUGGGAUCAUCUUCUCACUCAACAGCAACAAUUAGAUGUCCUAAACUCUAUUCAAGUCGAUGAGAAUGGAGCCCCCAUUCUUGAUGAGUUCAAUAGUCCAAUUCAGGAUGCUGUUGUUACCCUGAUUUUGACUAUAUCCUUUUAUUUCAUAGGUGACCCUUCGCACCUUAGGGAUAAGAACGCUGAGUUACUACACAAUCUAAGGUGUAGGAAACUUAGUGAAUUCCAAAGCUAUAAAACCACAUUCUUUACCAGACUUUUCCUUAGGGAUAAUGCAAAUCAUAUAACUUGGAAGAAGAAAUUCCUUGCAGGUUUACCGACCCUACUAGGAGAAAAGGUUAGGAAUUCCAUUAAAGCCCUAUAUGACAACUGGAUUCCUUAUGAUGAGCUUACCUAUGGUGAACUUGUCAGUUUUGUCAACAAAGAAGGUUUAAAGAUUUGUCAAGAUUUGAAGUUACAGAAACGACUAAAAUGGGAGUUUAGGAAAUCUAAGCAAGAAUUGUUAGUUUCUGUAAACAAUUUAAUUAUGACCCCUUUAAAAUUUCUACUUCUAAGGAUUGUAAUGGUAAGUGUUCUUCGAAACGUUACAAAAAACAUUACAAAUCAAAAAGCCAUAGGAAACCCUUUCAAGAUUUUAGAGAACUUUCUUAUAAGAAACCAUCGAGGCCUUAUAAGAAGCCCAACUUCUCUAAAAGGAAAGAGUUUAGAGCCAAACCAAAAACCCCUUUUAACUACAGAGAAGCCACAUGUUACAAAUGUGGAAAGAAAGGCCAUACUGUAAAAUUCUGUCGUAUGAGCAGAAAGCUCCAUGAGCUUGGCCUUGAUGAAGAAAUUCUUUUUAAAGUUGCCCCUUUACUUGUAGAGUCUUCUGACUCUGAGUCUUUCAUGACGGGAGAUAGUGAGCCUCUACAGGUUGAUGAGUUAAAUGACUCUGAAUCUGUUUCUUCUAGUGAUUCUGACACCAGUAAUUCAGAUUCUUAUUUAAAGAAAAUCAAUGUUUUGACCAAAGACCAAGAAAUCUUUCUUGAGCUUGUUAAACAUAUUUCUGAUCCAAAUCUUCAAAAGGAAUACCUUGAUAAACUUUUAAAAACCCUGGAUUCUAAUAAAGCAGAAACUUCUAAAGUUCCAAUUAUUAAAAAGAAUUCUUACGAUCUCACUGAAAUUUUGGGUAAAAAGAAAACAAAGAAAAUAAUCCCCAAUAUCCAAGAUCUUCAAACAGAAAUCAAAGAAAUCAAACUUGAGAUUAAAGAAUUACAAGAAAAACAAAAGAAUGAUUCUGAAACCAUUCAACUUCUCCUACAAAAACAAUUAGAAGAUAAUUCUGAUAAAGAAGUUGAAUCUGAUGGUGAUAAUGAACAAAAUCUUGAAAACAUUGAAUCUAUACCCAAUGAUUUUCUGUUUGUUUUAAAACAAAUCACUACCAGAAAAUACUUGAUUAAAAUCACUUUAAUCUUUUCAAAAGAUUUUGAAAUUGACACCAUUGCCCUCUUUGACACUGGUGUCGAUUUAAAUUGUAUUAAAGAGGAUAUCGUCCCUAAAAAAUUUCAUGAAAAGACAAAAGAAAGACUGUCAGCCGCCAAUAAUUCAAAAUUAAAAAUUAAAUUAAAAGUUGAUGCCUCAGUGCAUAACAAUGGUUUUGAAUUCAGAACUUCCUUUCUUCUUACAAAUGACAUACACCAUACUGUCAUUUUAGGAACUCCAUUUAUAAAUCUUAUCACCCCAUAUACUGUCAAUUAUGAUAGUAUAUCUUUUAAAGCAAAAAACCAAAAACUUGUUUUCCCUUUUAUUGAGAAACCAAAAACAAGAAACUUAAAUAUUGUCAAAGCUUGUUCUGUUUACCAGAACCAAAUCAAUGCCAUACUUAAAUCUAAACAAAAUAACUUGCCUUGUUUAAAAAAGGAUUUAAGUUUAUAAAGAAUUGAAAGCCAAUUACAAAAAGACUUUAUACAAAGAAAAAUCUCUAAUUUUAAAGAUCUCAUUGAAAAAGAAAUAUACGCUGAUUUACCAUCUGCUUUUUGGAAUAGAAAACAACAUUUGGUAGAUUUGCCCUAUGAAAAUUCUUUUGAUGAAAAACAAAUACCCACUAAAGCUCGUCCAAUCCAAAUGAACAUGGAAUUGGAACAACACUGUAAAAAUGAGAUAAAAGAUUUAGAAACUAAAGGACUCAUUGUAAAAUCUAGAUCCCCGUGGUCUUAUGCCGCUUUUUAUGUAAAUAAAAAUUUCAAAAUAAAAAGAGAAACACCAAGACUUGUAAUAAACUACAAACCCUUAAAUAAAUCAUUAAAAUGGAUUAGGUAUCCUGUACCUAAUAAAAAAGAUUUGCUCCAGAAAUUAUGUUCUGCCUUUAUUUUUUCAAAAUUUGACAUGAAAUCUGGUUUUUGACAAAUUCAAAUUCACCCUAAAGACCGUUAUAAAACUGCCUUUACUGUUCCUUUUGGACAGUAUGAAUGGACUGUAAUGCCAUUUGGACUAAAGAAUGCACCCUCAGAAUUUCAAAGAAUCAUGAAUGAUAUUUAUAAUCUUUUUUCUGAGUUUUGCAUUGUUUAUAUAGACGAUGUGUUGAUUUUUUCUCAGACAAUUGAUCAACAUUUCAAACAUUUAAAAACCUUUUACCUUGCCACUAGAAAGGCUGGCCUAGCCAUUUUUAGUUCUAAAGUCUCAUUGUUUCAAACAAAAGUAAGAUUCCUUGGUCACUAUAUUUCUAAAGGAACUAUUAUGCCUUUAUUUUUUCAAAAUUUGACAUGAAAUCUGGUUUUUGACAAAUUCAAAUUCACCCUAAAGACCGUUAUAAAACUGCCUUUACUGUUCCUUUUGGACAGUAUGAAUGGACUGUAAUGCCAUUUGGACUAAAGAAUGCACCCUCAGAAUUUCAAAGAAUCAUGAAUGAUAUUUAUAAUAAUUUUUCUGAGUUUUGCAUUGUUUAUAUAGACGAUGUGUUGAUUUUUUCUCAGACAAUUGAUCAACAUUUCAAACAUUUAAAAACCUUUUACCUUGCCACUAGAAAGGCUGGCCUAGCCAUUUCUAGUUCUAAAGUCUCAUUGUUUCAAACAAAAGUAAGAUUCCUUGGUCACUAUAUUUNNNNNNNNNNNNNNNNNNNNNNNNNNNNNNNNNNNNNNNNNNNNNNNNNNNNNNNNNNNNNNNNNNNNNNNNNNNNNNNNNNNNNNNNNNNNNNNNNNNNNNNNNNNNNNNNNNNNNNNNNNNNNNNNNNNNNNNNNNNNNNNNNNNNNNNNNNNNNNNNNNNNNNNNNNNNNNNNNNNNNNNNNNNNNNNNNNNNNNNNNNNNNNNNNNNNNNNNNNNNNNNNNNNNNNNNNNNNNNNNNNNNNNNNNNNNNNNNNNNNNNNNNNNNNNNNNNNNNNNNNNNNNNNNNNNNNNNNNNNNNNNNNNNNNNNNNNNNNNNNNNNNNNNNNNNNNNNNNNNNNNNNNNNNNNNNNNNNNNNNNNNNNNNNNNNNNNNNNNNNNNNNNNNNNNNNNNNNNNNNNNNNNNNNNNNNNNNNNNNNNNNNNNNNNNNNNNNNNNNNNNNNNNNNNNNNNNNNNNNNNNNNNNNNNNNNNNNNNNNNNNNNNNNNNNNNNNNNNNNNNNNNNNNNNNNNNNNNNNNNNNNNAAUUCUGUUAAAAACAUUCCAUGUUUAUUUCUUGCAAAUCCUGCAUUACCUAAAAUUGUUGAAACAGAUGCAUCAGAUUUAAGUUAUGGAGGCAUAUUAAAACAAAAGGAAGAUAAUAGAGAACAAAUAGUACAAUAUGUUUCUGCACAUUGGAAUGAAUGCCAGAAAAAUUAUUCUACUAUCAAAAAGGAAAUUCUUUAUAUUGUUUUGUGCAUUUCCAAAUUCCAAAGUGAUUUACUAAAUCAAAAAUUUUUACUUCGAAUUGAUUGCAAAGCUGCAAAACAUGUUUUAGAAAAAGAUGUUCAAAACAUUGCAUCAAAAUAAAUUUUUGCAUGGUGGUAAGCUAUUUUAAGUGUUUUUUAUUUUGAUAUUGAAUUUAUUAAAGGAGAUACAAAUUCUAUCCCUGAUUUUCUAACUAGGGAAGUUCUCCAAAACAGAUAAAUGCCGCCCAAAAAGAAAGACAAGGGGAAAGGGAUUCUUAAAGACCCUGUGUCCCAAACACAUUCUAAAGCUUCCCAAACCUCUCCACCUAAAGAAGCCCAGUAUAAAGCGCUUGCCUUACAUGAAUAGGUAAAUGAAUGGAUGAAAUCCAUUUCUAAAUCCCCUGAGCUUAUGCUCGCCCUACAAAGUUUUUCUCAAAGCCAAAUUUCUCCUAAAGAAAAUAUUCCUAAAGAGAUUUCAAAACCCUCUUCUCAAAAUGUGGUUGUUUCUGGUGAAAGUUCAUCUUCUCAAAUUGUUCUUUCCCAGCCAAAACUUUCAAAGAAAACCUCCGAUUGGUUUGAUAAAACUCAUUUCUAAAAUAUUUUAUCUAUGAAGGAUGGUUUUUACCAUACUGAUCCUUUCCAAGCUAUUUCAAAGUUUUUCCCUAAAGGCUGGUUUUUCAAACCUUGCGAUUUGACAAAACCCCAAUCUUAUUAUCAAAGCAUUUUAGAAGCCACUGAGUCUGUAAAAUUCAAGCAUUUCUUUCUUAGUGAAACCCAUUCAGAACCAGCCUACUCCACGGCUACUAUUCUAAAAGUCUUGAGCCCAAACCAGUGGGGAGACCAACUCCACAAACAAAAAAGCUUCCCUCUAAAUUUUCAAAUGCGUUUUCUCUGUUUCUGUACAAAUUUCUUCCUUCCAUGGGUAUGAAUGUGGAAUUUCAGAUAUCAUACCCAAGAAGCCCAACUCAUUUUACAAAGAACUUUUAAAGUAAAAUGGUGGUCAAAGUUCGACGAACAUACCAAAUUAACUGACACUCUGAUCCAAAGUUGGCUCUGUUCUAAAGGCUUCUUACCCCCCACCAUUAAAGAUGUCAAAGUCCAAGAAACAUUUCUUACCCAAAAAUCCAAAGCCCAAUCUCUUUUGGCCAGCGCCAAAACUAAAGAAGAAUAUUUUAAAGUUAUGGAGCAGCUCCUCACUUCAAGAUCAAAGUCUUCAGUUGCUGACUCCUCUGAUGACGAUGAACAAGAUGAAGAGCCAUUUAUUUCUCUUGGAGACGAAAAUGAAGACGACUGUUUUGGAAUUUUCUCUCCGAUAAAGCAUUGUAAAUAGUUAUCAUUUAUAUGCAUGUAAAAAAAAAGAGUAAUUAUAUUCCAUAUUUCUAUUAUGUAUCUUUCCUUUCUUGCAUGAGAAUAUGUAUUUUUAUACCCUCGGUUGGUCCCCUGGACACAAGUGAGAGCGCACAUGUCUCUUCACCCAAAUCAUACUUGUAUUUUUAAAGAAUAUCCAAAGACAACUCCAAAGACUACUGUCUUAAAGAUCCAGUCUUUGUAUUUAAAUCGGGAGGAAGACUUAGACUCCUCAGAUUUUUUAGAAUUCUAUUUUUUUCUUUUCUUCUUCUCCUUUUCUCUCUCUCUCUCUCUCUCUGGGAAUCAGGAAUCGGAAGACGACAAGGAAUUUUCCUGUCUUCAGAUUAAUUUCCCAUUCCUUCUGUAACACUUUCCUUUAAAGAAAAACAAAGCAAAGAAAAAUUAAAUGUAAGAUUUGUAAUUUUUUUUAAAGCUUGUAAUAAAUUUAAAUUUCUAUAUGUUUAAAUUUCCACAAUUUAAUUUAAAGUAUUUUUAAUUUUCGUAAUUUAUUUUAAAGCAUUUAAAUUUCAGAAAUUUAAAUUUUAUGCAUACUUUGCAGACUGAUUUGUAUUAGAUCUGCCAUAAAAAUUGUUACGUUUCUCAGAAGCAAAGAGACCAGAUCUCUGUCUUCUGUUGUAUCUUCUCUUCUUCCUCCAACCAUUCAGAGUAUUAUUUAUGGGAUCCAGAUCUAAUACUAUCUAUGGGCCUUUAGAUCUGUUGCUAGGCUUGCUAAAGAAAACAUUUUCUGCUUAAAGAAUCUAAUCAAUAUUUGGUAAAGAAUUAAUUAAAUGGGUAUACCGGCUGGAAACCAGAACAUGCGGGAUAUUGAUCUGCUCUAAGUCAGAUCUGGUCCCUAAGGCAGACUAGUCUCUGUAUUGAUCAGGUAGAACAACGCCACGUACCGAUUUAAUCAUAAUAAUAAGAACCCAUCCCACCUUUGCGACUUGAUUUCUUUAAUAAAACAUUUUCAUUUUCUAAUAUCACAUCCAUCCAAGUUACCCACAACUGAAGCAACAGACUCGCCACAGUUCAAGCUUCAGUUGUCUUAAAUUCAAAGCUGUGUGACAUUGAGAGUCAGAGUUUUGUUUACAACAUUUACAAUUUCGAUGGAUGAGGGAUGCUUACAUAGAUUGCUUGGAUUCGAGAGCUUUACAAUGGAAAAUGUUUACAGAUUUUGUAGAAAGGGAAAAUUACAAGACAAGAAUAAUUUUCCUUGAUGUCUUGAUCCUGAUUUCCCCCGAGAGAGAGAGAGAGAGCAGAAGGAAAUAGGAUCAAAGGAUAAUUGUGUUUUCGAAAUAAUUCUUUAUUGAUUGCUUUAGAUAAAACAAAUUGGAUCGCGGUUGUUCAAAUUUUAAAUUCAGUUACCAACUUUAGAUUAAGUAGAUUUGCUUUGGAUCGCGGUUGUUCAGGUUUUAUAUUUAUUAAAUGAGUACGUGGCGUUGUUAAACCAGAUCGAUGCAGAAGGGAAUCUGCCUUUGGACCCAGAUCUGACUUAGACCAGAUCAAUAGCCCGCACGUUCGGGUUUCCAGCCGAUAUACCAACUUAAUUUUGCUUUAACAAAUAAUAAUUAAGUUCUUUAAACGCGGUUGUCAGAUUUUAAAUAUUUUGCCAAAUCUUUAUUAAAUUCUUUAGCAAGCCUAGCAACACAUACAUCUAAAGGCUUGGGUACAAACACAGUACCAGAUCCGGUUCCCGAAAAUGGUGCUCUGAAGGAAUGGAGGGAGAAGAGAAGAUUUUACAACUGAGAAUCGAGAUCUGGUCUCUUUGCCUCAGAGGAACGUACAAUUUAUAUGGCAGAUCUGAUACAGAUCAGUCUGCAGAGCAUGCAUAGAAAGCUUUAAAAGACUGAAAUUUAAAUGCUUUAAAUGUAAAUUGCGGAAAUUUAAAUGUUACAUAAAAUUAAAUUGCAGAAAUUUAAAGUGCGGAAAUUAAAUUGCUUUGAAUAAUUACAUUUAUUUCUUUUGAUCCGACAACUUUAAGAUUUUUGUCUUCGGAUUCCAGAUUCCUAUUCCCAGAGAGAGAGAGAGAGAAUUCUAGAGAGAAAGGAGAGAAGAAGAGAGAGAAGUUCUAAACUUAGAAAUGAAAAACCUGAGGAGUCUGAGUCUUCCUCUCGGUUUUUAUACAAAGAUCUUUAAACUGUUCACUGUAGUGGGAUUUUAAGUGCACAGUAAACUCUGGAAAUCUGCACUGUUCACUGUAGCGGAGCUUUAAGUGCACAGUAACAUUUGGAUCGUAUCUUUGAAUAGCCGAUUCUUUGUACAAAAAUUGAAAUACAAUACGAGUGAAGAGACAUGUGCGCUCUCAAUUGUGUCCAGAGGGCCACCCGAAGAUACAGAACAAAUAAUUUUUUUUUUAAAUAAUAGUUAUUUACAAUGCUUUAAAGGAGAAAAAAUUCCAAAACAAUCAUCUUCAUUUUCGUCUCCAAGAGAAAUGAAUGGCUCUUCAUCUUCAUCUUCAUCUUCGUCUUCAGAGGUGUCAGCCACUGAUGACUUUGACCGGGAGGCGAGGAGCUGUUCCAUGGCUUUGAAGUAUUCUUUUUCUGUUUUGGUACUUGCCAAUAGUGAUUGGGCUUUGGAAUUUUGGGUCAAAAAGGUUUGUUGGGCUUUGGAAUGUGUUAUGGUGGGUUGAAGAAGGCCUUUCGCAGAGAGCCAAUCUCGGACCAAAUUUUCAGUUAAUUUUGACUGUUCGUCAAAUUUGGACCACCAUUUUACUUUAAAGGUUAUUUGAAGGAUGAGUUGGGAAUCUUGGGUAUGAAGCCUAAGGUUCCACAUCCAUACCCAUGGAAGGAAGAAAUUUGUACAGAAACAGAGAAAGGGGGGAAACCUUUUCUCGGAUUCAGAAGGAGUAUAGUGGGCUUUGAAGAUGUUUAAAUAAUGGGUGGCAUUCGGGGUUAAAAUUUGUGGUAUUGGGCCAAAAGUAUUCCACCAAUUAUGGAACCAGUUUGGAAGGCUUUGGACGGUUAUUUUUGGGUUGAAGAAAAAUAACCAAGAAUGAGAUUUUUUGGGAUUUUGGAUAAAAAAGGUGUUAUACCAGGCUUGUUGGUAAUCCCAGUAGGAAUAAGUCCGACAAUGAGGUAAACGUGUUUGAAAAUUUAAAGGGAAAGUUUUAAAAUUAUGGAGUAGGUCACCCUAUUGGUUUGGGCUCAAAACUUUUAAAAUAGUAGCCGUGGAAUAGGCUGGUUCUGAAUGUGAUUCACUAAGAAAGAAAUGUUUGAACUUAACUGAAUCAGUGAUUUCUAAAAUGCUUUGAUAGUAGGACUGAGGUUUUGUUAAAUCCCAUGGUUUAAAAAACCAGCCCUUAGGGAAAAACUUUGAAAUUGCUUGGAAAGGAUCAGCAUGGUAAAAUCCAUCUUCUAAAGAAAGAAUAUUUUGAAAAUGGGUUUUAUCAAACCAAUCGGAGGUUUUCUUUGAAUGUGAUAGUUGGGAAAGCACAAUUUGGGAAGAAGAACUUUCACCAGAGACAAUCACAUUUUGAGAAGAGGGUUUUGAGAUUUCUUUGGAGAUAAGGUUUUCUUUUUCUUCUUUUGAGAAAAUCUGGCUUUGAGAAAGGUUUUGUAAGGCGAGCAUAAGCUCAGGGGACUUUGUAAUGGAACUCAUCCAUUGUUUUACUUGGUCAUCAGAAGAGGUGGUUUUGUAAUGGGCACCAUGUUCUUCAACCAUUUCUAUCCAAGAUUUAAUAGGCAUGGCUAAGGAAAGUAAUUUGUCUUUAGAAGGGGUAGCUUGGGGUUCUUUAGAGGUUGCUCUAAAUUCAAAAACAUAUUGUACUAUCUGUUCUUUAUCAUUUUCUUUUUGCUUUAAUAUGCCUCCAUAACCUAAAUCAGAUGCAUCAGUUUCAACAAUUUUAGGUAAUGUAGGAUUAGCAAGAUAUAAACAUGGGAUGCUUUUCACAGAAUUCUUUAUAAGCUUUACAACCUUGGUAUGUUCAUCUGUCCAGGGAACAGGUUUUUUCUUUAAUCUAUCAUGCAAGGGUUUAGACAUCCUAUUAAUGUUAGGACAGAAAUCAAGAACAUAAUUUAAACUUCCAAAAAAUCUUUGUAAUUGGAUUUUGUCAAGAAUUUUAUCAGGAAAUUUAUCAGCAAACAAAAGAGAUCUCUCGAUUGGAGUGAUUGUUCCUUUAAAAAUAUGAUGACCAAGGAAUCUGACUUUUGUUUGAAAUGAAGAAACCUUAGAACUGGAAAUUGCCAAUCCAGCCUUUCUGGUGGCAAAAUAAAAAGUCUUUAAAUGUUUGAAAUGCUGGUCGAUAGAAUUUGAAAAUAUUAAUACAUCGUCAAUGUAAACAAUGCAAAAAUCAGAAUAAGGAUUAGAGAACAAAUUGCUAAAGCCAUUAGAGAACAAUUGGAUAGGAUAGAAACUGCUUCUUCCUCAUCUAGCAAAGUUCAGAUAGCCCCUGAUACUCCUCAAUCUAGCAAGAUUGGAGUAUUAGAACAAGACAAAAUGUACAGAGUUGCAAAUUGUUCUCUAUCGACUUGACUUUUUAUGGACUGAAAAGGGAGAUUUAUAACAGAGGGUAUUUUUGUAAAUUUCCUUUCUAAUGAAGGAAUGCUUGAGCACGAUGCUUUAUCAGAAAAUCUGGAUGAGGUGGAUCUCCUGAAUGACAGUUUGACUUUACCAUCGGAAUACUGAGUAACAUUUUGCAACUCUGUAUUGGGCUCAAGUUGUUUCGGAAUCGCUGGUGGAGCGGCUCCUUCAAGGAUCCAUUCCUCUGGAAGAUUUACAUCUUUCCAUUGGAUUGGUUUAGGAAUGACUGUGUUUGCUUUGGACAAAUCAGUCUGCAAGAGAAGGGUCUCAUCUCUUUUCGACUGGUAUUUAUGUGGAAGAUUUACAUCUUUCCAUUGGAUUUUGUAAGAAAUUUUAAAAAUUAAUGCAACAUGGAUGGAUCCCUUAAUCAUAUGAUAAUUAUGGGUUUUGAUUUGUAAAAUCAUGCUCUUUAAAAUAUUUUUGUCUUUAAGAGAAAUUGUUAUAUUGACAAAUCAGUCUGCAAGAGAAGGGUCUCAUCUCUUUUCGACUGGUAUUUAUGUUGUGUGCUAAAUGCAGAAAUCAUUUCCAAGCCUUCUUUGGUCAAAGGUUUUAUUCCUACUUGGAUUAAACCAAUGUGAAUAUAUUUGAAAUUCUUUUCUUUUAAUUUCUUUAAAGAUUUUUCUGAAAAUAAAUAAAUUGUUUCAAAAGGCUCUGAAAGAGUUAUAUCACGUUCUUCAGUCUUUAUAAUAUAAUCAUGCUUUAAAAGAUCAAGCAUUUUUGUUUUGUAAAUCUUUUCUUUGGAAAUUUUUGGAAGUUCCCAACAAUUAAUUGCUUUAUCAAAGUUCUCAAUAAUGAAUUCUUCUGAACUCACAACAUGCUUUGACUCACUAGUCUUCCCGGAAGAAGAGCUAGAAAAGGACGAUGUUCUAUAGAUCGGAGGAUCCAUGGUCAAGACCUUAUGGUAUAUUUUUGGUUUGGUCAAAAUGGCUACAGGUAUGGAUUUACAACCCUCAGCGGAAUCCUUAUCCUAAAACGGGACUUACAACCAGUAAAAAUUUACCACAAAACAAAACUUCAAAAUAAAACACAAGAUUUUAAACACGAAACUCUAAACAAUAAAACACUUUCCUCCCCUUGGCUAUGAUACCAGAAGGAAAUAGGAUCGAAGGAUAAUUGUGUUUUCGAAAUAAUUCUUUAUUGAUUGCUUUAGAUAAAACAAAUUGGAUACCAGAAGCCUUCAAAGAAGAACCUUCUACUCCUAAAGCCAACAAAAUUCAUUGGGAAUUAGCCCUUCCCAUUGUCAAGACUCCACCGGAUCUAGCAAUAGAUAAUAGACCAAGUGUAUUAAAUCAAUCCCGAUAUAAUGCAUCUUCAGUCUAUGAGUGGAAUAUUGACGGCAUGUCCGAAUACAAUAUCCUAGGAUUGUUGCAACAAAUGACAAUGGCANNNNNNNNNNNNNNNNNNNNNNNNNNNNNNNNNNNNNNNNNNNNNNNNNNNNNNNNNNNNNNNNNNNNNNNNNNNNNNNNNNNNNNNNNNNNNNNNNNNNNNNNNNNNNNNNNNNNNNNNNNNNNNNNNNNNNNNNNNNNNNNNNNNNNNNNNNNNNNNNNNNNNNNNNNNNNNNNNNNNNNNNNNNNNNNNNNNNNNNNNNNNNNNNNNNNNNNNNNNNNNNNNNNNNNNNNNNNNNNNNNNNNNNNNNNNNNNNNNNNNNNNNNNNNNNNNNNNNNNNNNNNNNNNNNNNNNNNNNNNNNNNNNNNNNNNNNNNNNNNNNNNNNNNNNNNNNNNNNNNNNNNNNNNNNNNNNNNNNNNNNNNNNNNNNNNNNNNNNNNNNNNNNNNNNNNNNNNNNNNNNNNNNNNNNNNNNNNNNNNNNNNNNNNNNNNNNNNNNNNNNNNNNNNNNNNNNNNNNNNNNNNNNNNNNNNNNNNNNNNNNNNNNNNNNNNNNNNNNNNNNNNNNNNNNNNNNNNNNNNNNNNNNNNNNNNNNNNNNNNNNNNNNNNNNNNNNNNNNNNNNNNNNNNNNNNNNNNNNNNNNNNNNNNNNNNNNNNNNNNNNNNNNNNNNNNNNNNNNNNNNNNNNNNNNNNNNNNNNNNNNNNNNNNNNNNNNNNNNNNNNNNNNNNNNNNNNNNNNNNNNNNNNNNNNNNNNNNNNNNNNNNNNNNNNNNNNNNNNNNNNNNNNNNNNNNNNNNNNNNNNNNNNNNNNNNNNNNNNNNNNNNNNNNNNNNNNNNNNNNNNNNNNNNNNNNNNNNNNNNNNNNNNNNNNNNNNNNNNNNNNNNNNNNNNNNNNNNNNNNNNNNNNNNNNNNNNNNNNNNNNNNNNNNNNNNNNNNNNNNNNNNNNNNNNNNNNNNNNNNNNNNNNNNNNNNNNNNNNNNNNNNNNNNNNNNNNNNNNNNNNNNNNNNNNNNNNNNNNNNNNNNNNNNNNNNNNNNNNNNNNNNNNNNNNNNNNNNNNNNNNNNNNNNNNNNNNNNNNNNNNNNNNNNNNNNNNNNNNNNNNNNNNNNNNNNNNNNNNNNNNNNNNNNNNNNNNNNNNNNNNNNNNNNNNNNNNNNNNNNNNNNNNNNNNNNNNNNNNNNNNNNNNNNNNNNNNNNNNNNNNNNNNNNNNNNNNNNNNNNNNNNNNNNNNNNNNNNNNNNNNNNNNNNNNNNNNNNNNNNNNNNNNNNNNNNNNNNNNNNNNNNNNNNNNNNNNUACGGUGAACUUGUCAGUUUCGUCAAUAAAGAAGGAUUAAAGAUUUGUCAAGAUUUGAAAUUACAGAAACGUCUUAAGUGGGAACUUAAAAGGUCUAAACAAGAGUUAGGCGGUUUCUGUAAACAAUUCAAUUAUGGCCCCUUUAAAACUUCUUAUCCCAAAGAUUGUAAUGGCAAGUGUUCUACUAAACCUCGUAGGAAACAUUACAAAUAAAAAACUUUUAGGAAACCCUUUCGUAAUUUUAGAGAACCUCCUUAUAAGAAACCUUCGAGGCCUUAUAAGAAACCCAAAUUCUCUAAAAGAAAGGAGUUUCGAGCCAAACCAAAGACCCCUUUCAAUUACAAAGAAGCUAUAUGUCAUAAAUAUGGCAUGAAAGGUCAUACUGCAAAUUAUUACAGGAUUAACAAAAAGCUUCGUGAACUUGACCUCGAUGAGGAAAUCCUUUCCAAAAUAGCCCCCCUUCUUGUCGAAUCUUCUGAUUCCGAAUCUUCUAUGUCGGGAGACAGUGAUCCAUAUCAAGUUGAUGAACUUUUUGACUCAGAUGACUCUGUAUCUAGCAGUAGUGAAUCUGAAUCUGAUUCAUAUUUAAAGAAAAUCAAUGUUUUGACUAAAGACCAAGAAACUUUUCUUGAACUUGUAAAGCAUAUUUCUGAUCCAAAUCUUCAAAAAGAAUAUCUUGAUAAACUUUUGAAAACUUUGGAUUUUAAUAAAGCCGAGACUUCUAAAGUCCCAAUUGUUAAAAAGAAUUCUUAUGAUCUUACUCAAAUUUUGGAUAAAAAGAAAACAAAGAAGACGGUUCCUAAUAUCCAAGAUCUUCAGAAAGAGAUAAAAGAAAUCAAAUGUGAAAUCAGAGAUUUAAAAGAAAAACAAAAAAGUGAUUCUGAUACUAUCCAACUUCUUUUACAAAAACAAUUGCAGGAUAAUUCAGACAAUGAAUCUAAUCCUGAUAAUGGUGAUGAUAUUAAAGUAGAAAACAUUGAGUCAGUACCCAAUGAUUUCCUAUUUGUUUUAAAGCAAAUCACCACAAGAAAGUAUUUGAUUAAAGUCACUUUAAUCUUUUCUGAUGAUUUUGCAAUGGACGCCAUUGCCCUUUUUGACACUGGCGCCGAUUUAAAUUGCAUUAGAGAAGACAUCGUCCCCAAAAGAUUUCAUGAAAAAACAAAAGAAAGACUUUCUGCCGCUAAUAAUUCAAAACUGAAUGUCAGUUCCAAGGUUGAAGCCUCAAUCCAUAAUAAUGGUUUUGAUUUUAAAACAUCUUUUGUCCUCACAAAUGAUAUUCAUCAUGCCAUCAUUUUGGGAACUCCUUUUAUAAAUCUUAUAACUCCAUAUACUGUCAAUUAUGAUAGUAUAUCCUUCAAAGCAAAAAACAAGAAACUUGUUUUCCCUUUUAUUGAAAAACCUAAAACAAGGAAUUUGAAUAUUGUUAAAGCCUGUUCUGUUUAUCAAAACAGAAUAAAUAACCUAAUUAAAUCAAAACAGCACGUCCAAUCCAGAUGAACAUGGAAUUGGAACAACAUUGCAAAAAUGAAAUCAAAGAUUUAGAGUCAAAAGAACUCAUUGUUAAGUCAAGGUCCCCAUGGUCUUGUGCCGCUUUUUAUGUUAAUAAAAAUUCUGAAAUUGAAAGAGGCACUCCUAGAUUAGUCAUAAACUACAAACCUCUUAAUAAUGCUCUAAAAUGGACUAGGUAUCCAAUACCUAAUAAAAAGGAUUUACUCCAAAAACUAUGUUCUGCUCUUAUUUUUUCAAAAUUCGACAUGAAAUCUGGUUUUUUGGCAAAUUCAAAUUCAUCCUAAUGACCGUUACAAAACUGCUUUUACUGUUCCAUUUGGACAGUAUGAGUGGACUGUUAUGCCCUUUGGUUUAAAGAAUGCACCCUCAGAAUUUCAAAGAAUUAUGAAUGAUAUUUAUAAUCCUUAUUCUGAUUUUUGCAUUGUUUACAUUGACGAUGUAUUGAUAUUUUCAAAUUCUAUCGACCAGCAUUUCAAAUAUUUAAAGACUUUUUAUUUUGCCACCAGAAAGGUUGAAUUGACAAUUUCUAGUUCUAAGGUUUCUUUAUUUCAAACAAAAGUCAGAUUCCUUGGUCAUCAUAUUUCUAAAGGAAUAAUCACUCCAAUCGAGAGAUCUUAAAGGAACAAUCACUCCAAUCGAGAGAUCUCUUUUGUUUGCUGAUAAAUUUCCUGAUAAAAUUAUUGAUAAAACCUAAUUACAAAGAUUUCUUGAAAGUUUAAAUUAUGUUCUUGAUUUCUGUCCUAACAUUAAUAGGAUGUCUAAACCCUUGCAUGAUAUAUUAAAGAAAAAACCUGUUCCCUGGACAGAUGAACAUACCAAGGUUGUAAAGCUUAUAAAGAAUUCUGUGAAAAGCAUCCCAUGUUUAUAUCUUGCUAAUCCUACAUUACCUAAAAUUGUUGAAACUGAUGCAUCUGAUUUAGGUUAUGGAGGCAUAUUAAAGCAAAAAGAAAAUGAUAAAGAACAGAUAGUACAAUAUGUUUCUGCACAUUGGAAUGAUUGCUAGAAAAAUUAUUCUACUAUCAAAAAAGAAAUUCUUUCCAUUGUUUUAUGCAUAACAAAAUUUCAAAGUGAUUUAUUAAAUCAAAAAUUUCUACUUAGAAUUGAUUGCAAAGCUGCAAAACAUGUUUUGGAAAAAGAUGUUCAAAAUAUUGCAUCAAAACAGAUUUUUGCACGAUGGCAAGCCAUUUUAAGUGUUUUUGAUUUUGAUAUUGAAUAUAUUAAAGGUGAUACAAAUUUUAUUCCUGAUUUUCUAACUCGGGAAUUUCUUCAAAACAGAUAAUGCCGCCAAAGAAGAAAGACAAAGGUAAAGCCGUUCUUAAAGAUUCUGAAUCUAGAGCAACCUCUAAAGAACCCCAAGCUACCCCUUCUAAAGACAAAUUACUUUCCUCAGCCAUGCCUAUUAAAUCUUGGAUAGAAAUGGUUGAAGAACAUGGUGCCCAUUACAAAACCACCUCUUCUGAUGACCAAGUAAAACAAUGGAUGAGUUCCAUUACAAAGUCCCCUGAGCUUAUGCUCGCCUUACAAAACCUUUCUCAAAGCCAGAUUUUCUCAAAAGAAGAAAAAGAAAACCCUAUCUCCAAAGAAAUCUCAAAACCCUCUUCUCAAAAUGUGAUUGUCUCUAGUGAAAGCUCUUCUUCCCAAAUUGUGCUUUCCCAACCAUCACCUUAAAAGAAAAUCUCCGAUUGGUUUGAUAAAACCCAUUUUCAAAAUAUUCUUUCUUUAGAAGAUGGAUUUUACCAUGCUGAUCAUUUUCAAGCAAUUUCAAAGUUUUUCCCUAAGGGCUGGUUUUUUAAACCAUGAGAUUUAACAAAACCUCAGUCCUACUUAUGCGGCUAACCGCUUGGUCUCUUAAGCGCAUCCGGCAGGCCGUUGCCCCUGCUCUUCGUCUUCUAAUCAUUUGCUCUCUCUACAACCCAAAACCUGCUCCUCUCUCUCACUACAACCCACCAUUUUCUUAUACUUUUCUUUCCAAUUUCAUGUUUCCAAACCAUUAAUCAUCUCUUCAACAACAAUUUUUCAUCAUCUAAACACCAUUUUUUACUCAAAAUUUAUAGAUCCCUAAUUAUUUCAAAUAGCCCAAACAAUUUAAUCCAAGGCAUAAACCCCUAAUUGUUUCACAUGGCAUUUUCAGUAGUCACCACAACAAGCACAAGAGUGAAGACUGCAUCGUUACCUUGUCUUUAACUCGAAAAUGAAAGACAACGAAUGAAGCUAUGUUCAACUACUCCAGAUGACAGCAACCUUGUGAUGGAUUCGACUGUUAUUUGCUGUGUAGGAGAUGGUAGCUUCGAUUUUAUGUGCUUCGUAUAAAAAUCUUGCAGAGAAAUCAGAAAUUUGAGAAAGAGAUGGUGAGAGAUGUGAGAGAGGGAAAAAAGGGGGCACCAGUUCAACGAGUUGCCCCUUUUUUCUUUUUCAAAUUUUCAAUCUCAACCGUUGGAUUCAUUUUACUAAAUCCAACGGCUACAAGCCAAUAACCGCUACAAUGCCGGGAAUCGAGGCCCGCAUAUAAAGGAAAAUUAAAAAAUCAAUAUUUUUUAACGUGCACAUACUACAAUCGAAUAAUAUACUAGGUCCCACAAAACGUAAAGUUCCAGACUUUACCAUGCAAGAUGCCAAAAAUCAUCCAAAGGUCAGUGACUGAGUGAUGAGAGUUCGCCUUCUGUUCACAGUAGGCCUUAGUGCCGACGCACUCUUUUUACCUUUAAUUAACUUUUUCCACAAAUAAGUGAGAUGACUCAUUUUGCACCAAUUAAUUCAACUACCCCUAUGAUUUUGACAACAGAAAUUUCUAGGAAUUAAAAUUUCAACCCCAAAAAGUAAAACAAACCUCAAUCUAUCUAUUCCUGUUUUUAUUCUCUGAAAAAUAACAUGCUAGACGCUAAAAUUCGUUGUUUCUAAUCUCUAUAGCAAUUCAGAAAAUGGUUAAUCCAAUUCCUGAAAGCGUCAAGAAAAUAUGGGAUAACUGGAACAUACGUGGUGUAAUCUUGUUCAGUCUUUCAUUACAAACAGUCUUGAUUCUGUUUGCUCCACUCCGAAAAGGCACGGGCAAUAAACUGAUCAUCUCCGUAAUCUGGUCAGCGUACUUGCUUGCAGACUGGGCUGCUAAUUUUGCCGUCGGACUCAUCGCAGAAAAUGCAAAGGAUACCUCCGAGAAGAAGCAUAAGGAGCUUUUAGCAUUUUGGGCCCCAUUUCUAUUGUUACACCUCGGUGGUCCAGACACUAUAACUGCAUUUGCUCUUGAAGAUAACGAACUCUGGCUCAGACACCUGUUUGGUCUAAUAUUCCAGGCUGUUGCCGCUGGUUAUAUCUUCCUCCUGUCUCUUCCCGGAAACCAGCUUCUGUUCCCAACAAUACUCAUCUUUAUUGCUGGAAUUAUUAAGUACGUGGAGAGGACUCGUGCUCUGUUUCUUGCAAGCUCGGAGAAAUUCCGAGACUCGAUGCUUAGGAAACCUGACCCUGGCCCAAAUUACGCAAAGUUCGUGGAGACAUAUGUUUCUAAUAUUCGGGCUAAUAUUCAAACAGGCAUAUCGUUGGUGCCAGAGGCUCGAUUUUUUUAUAGGGAUCCUGGUAAUAUUGAGAAUAAACUAGAUUAUCUGGAGGUGAUGCACUUUGCUAGUCAAUACUUCAAUCAUUUCAAAGGGCUAAUUGUCGAUCUCAUCUCCAGCUUCCGCCAGCUUUACAGAACACGAGCUUCGUUUACUACGGAGUUUAGUCCAGAAGAUGCAUUGAGAAUAAUUGAGGUUGAACUUAACUUUAUUUAUGAUGUUUUCCAUACCAAGAUCCAGGUAACACAUUCUGUACUGGGAAUUAUUUUGCGAUUCACAUCUUUUGGCUCUGUUCUUGUAGCCCUUUCAAUUUUCUAUUUACGAGUGGAGAAGAAUGGUUUCAAUGAGUUUGAUGUUGGAGUUACAUACGCCCUGCUCUUGGGUGCCACCACCCUGACAUCAUAGCUUUCUUCGUGCUUGUUUUCUCUGAUGAGACGUUUGUUGCUCUCAGAGAUGGAAACACUGAGUCAAGACUUGGGAAGACCAAAAGCCGGAUAGCCGAUGCUCUCCGCUGGUGUCUUGUGCUCAAGAGCCCAAGGUGGCAAGAAUGUCAUGUGCAGCAUUCACACCGCGGAAUCAAGCAUGAGGUGUUGGCAACACCCUUCAUGUUUCGCAGGUGGUCUGGUUCUGUCUCAGGACACAGCUUGAUAAGAUAUUGCCUCAAGGCACGUCCAAGCAGAGUGCAUAAUCUUGCCUGCUGCAAUAAAGUCAUUAAAAAAUUGGGCAUUGAUAUAAUCUUUCAGAUUAUAGCCAGGACCACAAACAAGGGCAUGCAGUUUCUGCAAAUUUACAAAAUCGUCAGGGUUUUAGGCUUUGUAAUCAAGAAACUCCUUGUUUUAUUGGGCCUAGCUGGUAUUGUGGAUAAGAUAAGUAUCGAACUAUAUCUAUCCCAUGAGAAAUUUCCUAAAGAAUUGUGGCUGCUUAUAUACAAUGAAGUUAAAAGAAAAUCUCUGAGUGCAGGAUCUCCUGAGGCUUUGAGGAGAAUAUGCUCAGCUAAAGGCGAUUGGAUUCUGCAGGAGUGGAAUGGAGAAGUUGUUCUAGAGAGUUAUGGUAUUGCUGAUGUUGCCUAUGAUGAAAGCAUUCUAUUAUGGCACACUGCUACCGAACUCCUUUACUACACUACUGAAGAAGGUGCUGAUGAAAUUACUUACAAUGCUCGAGAAUUCAGCAAGCUCCUCUCGGAUUACAUUCUGUAUCUUUUAGUAUCAAAGCCUGCCAUAAUGGAUGCUGUGGCAGUAAUUGCAAAAAUAAGAUUGCAAGACACUUGUGCAGAUGCCGUCAGAUUCUUUAAAGAAAAAGGCAUAAAAUCAAAUGAGGUAAAGAAGGCCUGUGAAAGCAUUCUGAAAGUGGAUACAUCUUUUCCACCUAGGGAUGUGAAGGGGGAUAAAACAAAAUCUGUAUUGUUUGAUGCGAGCGUGUUGGCCAAAGAACUUCAAGAGUUAGAGGUAGGGAAGAAAUGGAAGUUAGUGAGCCAAGUGUGGGUGGAAUUGUUGUCGUAUGCGGCAUUUCACUGUGGCCCAAGGACACAUGCUCAACAAGUAAGUGAGGGAGGGGAGCUUAUUACUUUUGUAUGGUUAUUGAUGGCUCAUUUUGGUCUUGUAGAGCAAUUCGAAGAUAAUAAGCUGGAUACAAGAACUGAAAUUAAUGGCCAAAUGUUCACUCAAAUUACGGGCUAGAAAUUUACAUGUUGGUUUGAUGUCAUGCUGUAUAUACGUGUGUACUAGAAGUGAAUCAUCCUGUUGAAUUUUUGUUGUUAUUACUUGUACUAGUUCUUAAACAACAUGAUAUUUGGCCCCAAAUUCUUUUCACCGAAUUUUUCAAAAUUAACUUUUUCUAUUAAAAUCAAACCAAAAUUGACAGAUGGUCCAUCGCCGACAAACUUUUGCUGAGCUAUGACCCAUUGCUAAAAAAUAAAUAAAUAAAAAUAAAAUAAAAAUAAAACUUUGUCAAAUUUGAAUUAACGAAAUUUCAGGCCAAAUAUCAUUUUUUGUUUUUAAAUGAUCUUAGCACAAAAGAUGGUAGGUUUCUGCCUCUAGGGAUUACCAUGAUUCAAACAUAAUAGUUAUAUAAAUUAAAAUAUUUUUAUAUUAACUGAAUCAAAUUAAUAUACAUGUACAAGUCAACUCAUUUUGCACGAAUCAAUAUUUGUAUCUUGAUCAAACUCAAUCAAUCACUUAUUUAUGGAAAAAAAAAGUUGAUUAUAAAAAUCUAUCACCUUAUCUUAAUUCACUGUUCCAACAUACUACUUGUUAGAUUAAGUGAAUUAAAAUAAUAUCAUUAUGAUACUUGUCAUCAGAUUUGAGUGCGGUUCCUAAUCUGGCUCAGAGCAGUAGACAUGCUGGCUGCUUGGUUAGGUCAAAUGGGUUGCUUGGUUCAUCGACGAUUCAUAUUCAUCACAUAAUGUUUGCGAGGGAUAAGGUUUUGUUUUAUAAUAAUUUUAGGGAGUCCUAUCAAAGUAUUGUUAAUAUUCAGAUUCAAAAUUAUUAUUAACGACGAACGAGUUAAGAAAUCAAUUUUAUGAUUAGGAAAACGAAUAAAUAUAUCAUGUCAAUGAUUUUGAGGAGUACAAUGUGCAUUUUUUUCCCUUAAAAUUUUAAAAAAGACAAUUGUUGCGUGUGAAGUAAUUAUUUCUUAUAAUAUUUGAUGAUAUAGAAAAUAUUAAAGGAAGAAUAUAUAAACAAAGGGAGCGGAGCUAUUACUUCUUUUGAGAACAAUAGUGAUAGGUGAACAAAAAUUAGUAUAACAAAUUGCACAUUAUCACUAAUAAAAUAUUUUCAUUACAGGAUAAUCAAAUUUCACUAUAAAAUAAUUUUUUUCUUUUGUCUCUUAUAAAUUUUGUACUCUUUUCAAUAGCAGGAACCCAGCACAUCAUUAGAAAAUAAAGCACAUAGAUAUAAAGCUACAUUUCAUUAGAAAUGAAGUGUCAAGGGGGUGGUUAGAAUGGUAAAAAUCCAUGCUAACAGCAAUCCUAAUGAUAUGCUAACAAAGGUAGUUUCAACAGCCAAGCUCAAGGUCUGCUUGAGCCUGGCUGGUCUGUGUGUUUGCUGAAGUACACAGGUUGGAAGACAAUACUGAUCAGGUCUGAUUUGUUGUGGAGAGUUGUUAAGUGUGGUGAAGCAAAUCAGAAUUUAGCAAAACGACAUUGUCUGUUGCGUUUUGGGACUGGAGUAAAACGACGUGGAGUAUAGCGUUUUGAUGGGCAUUAGCUUACACAUUAAAAUGACUUGCAAGGAUGCCGUUUUUGUUUUAAGGAAUCAUGAGCCGUGCGUGCGCAAAUAAGGCUGUUAUAAUUCGUUAUUGCUCGGGUGCGUCACGUGAUUUUCUGGGCUUCAUCAAAAUUAGUGACAGAGCUGUUGAAACAGCUGGCUCUGGUGAAACUAACAAAGAGAAGCUGUGACAUAUAUAGAGAGAGAUUACUGUUAUAUUGGGCAUAUUCUUGACCUGUGAGAGCUGCUCUGUAGCUCUCCGUGAUUCUUUUUAAUAAUCAAUAAAAAAUGAUAGUAUUGUUUCUCCCGUGGAUGUGGGCUGAUGAAAAUCAGCUGAACCACGUUAAUCGUCUUGUUCUUGGUUCUUUUAAUUCUUGUGUUCAUCAUCAUUCUCAGGAUCUCAUCUUUGUUUUCUGAUUGGUCAAGUUAAUUAGACUUAAUCCUGAUUCAUUCUGGAAAGCAUCUUGAUUGGUUUGGCUUAAAGAUUUUGGGCUGCAAUUUGGGAUUACUCGAGUUCUUGAGCACAACAUUUGCAACAAUCUAGACAGAGAUUAUGAUCCUGAGGUUAUGGCUUGUCAGUGCCUUAGAAUUUUCAGAGGGAUAGUUAUCGAUCUCUACCCCAGCUUCAAAGAUUUUCCUCCAGAUAGACCCCGCUUUGGUGUUUUUACUCCAGCAGGUGGGCUGAGAAUAAUUGAGGUUGAACUCAACUUGGUUCAUGAAGUUUUGCACGCCAAGGAGCAGGUAACGGGCUCUGUUCGGGGAAUUAUGUCGAAGUUCAUAUGUUUUGGCUCGGUUGUGGCAGUUCUUUCAGUUUGCUAUUUCCAAGUGGAGAAGCAUGGUUUUAAUGACUUUGAUGUAGGGGUUACAUACACCUUGUUCUUGGGCGUCAUGGCCCUUGAGAUCAUAUCUUUCUUCAGGCUUUUUUUUUCUCGAUUGGACGUUUGUUGCUCACUGGAAUCAUAACAAAAGCUGCAUAUCUUCUAUUAUACGGUGGUUCCUCCAACUCAAGAGAUCACGGUGGCAACGUUCACACAGCAGUGGCAAGCACAAGGUAUUUGCUGCUCCUUUCCUGUUUUGCAGGUGGUCCGGUUCUGUCUCAGGACCGAGCGUCAUAAAGGCACGUCCAAGCAAUAGUUAUGGCAUCGUUAAGUUCUUUCAUAUUACAGCCGUUACCACCUUCAAGGUCAUCCAAUUUCUGCAAAUUGACAAAAUCAUUGCUUGUUUCGGCCAACAUGAUAAAUGGGAUAAAAAUAAGAUCAUCUCUAUCCCAGGAGCCAUUAACUAAAGAUUUGUGGGUGUUUAUAUUUGAAGAAAUGAAAAGAAAAGCUGAGUAUGUGGAUGAAAGUAGAGAAGAGUUGAGCCUGCAUAUCAUCCAGAGGAACAUACUGAUCCAGAGACAGGUAUCGCAAUACCUAGUGAGCCUCCACAUGAUUCAAAGGAGGAUAUCAGAAUAGCUUUGCGGAGAAAAUUUACAGCAGAAGGCGAUUGUACUCUGAAGGAAUUAGAUACUAAAGGCGAUCUCACCAAAUUCGUGAAGGGGCUACCAAAAGAGUAUGAUUACAAGUUUAAUUUUGAUAUAACCCUUACACUGUACUGUGGCACCUCGCGACUGAACUCCUUUACAAAGACACUGCUGAGGAAGUUUCAGAUGAAAAGACUUUCAAUGCUCAAGAAAUCAGCAAGAUUCUCUCUGAUUACAUGCUGUAUCUUUUAGUACUGAAGCCUGCAAUUCUGAAUUAUAAGGCAAAUGAUAUUUGGAAGCACAGCUGGAUUCUAAGCCAAGUAAUAAAAUGAAAACUCUUAGUGCGGAUGUCAAGAUACUUGUAGAAUCAAAAUAGAUUUCGGGGAGGGAAAGUGCUCAACUGAAUCAACCUAAGAAUGCCCAUCUAGUUGAAGAUGCAAAAACGUUGGUGGAGAGCUUCAAAGUUUGAGCAUAAGGAAAAGAAAUGGGAGACAGUGAGCAAAGCGUGGGUGGAAUUGUUGUCAUAUGCAGCAUCUUAAAGCAGCAAAUCACCAAUGACACAUCUUUAGCGAGUAUCGGUGCAGUGCUUAUUACAUUUGUUUGGCUAUUGAUGGCUCAUUUUGUCUAUUGGAACCUAAACCGGAUGAUUGAAUUCAUGUAAUGGAUGUCACAUCCUUUCAAAUGUGAUUAGUGUUUCAUUAUCUUGAGUACUAUCGUGUAAAGUCAUUAUUAUGUUGAAGGGAAUAGAAUGGUUUCAUCAAUGGCAGCAUCAACCAUAUCACAACUCUUUACUUAAUUUAGCAGGGAUAGCUUUUCUCUCCCAUUCCCCGGAAUUCAAUAGCCUUUAGCUGAACAUAUUCUCUUCCAAACCUCAGGAGAUCCCGCACUCAGAUUUUAUUUUAAUUGAUUUCAUCAAAUACGAUACCAUCUAGGCCAAAAAAGCAACGAGUUUCUUGAUAUAUUGAGCCUAAAGGACCAAUGAUUUGGUGAAAGAGCAAAAAUUGGAUGGCCUUGUUUGAGGUCGUGGAUAUAUUCUGAAAGAUUUUAUCAAUGCCCAAUAAUAAAUGACUUUGUUGCGGCACGCAAGAGUAUGCAAACAAUUCUCGAAGUUCUGUACUCUGUUUGGACUUGCAUGAAGUCAAUAUCUUAUCAUGCUGUGUCUACCCUGAGAUACAGCCAGACUGUUGUAAAAAUUUUAAUGUACUCGCAAGCGCACGAAUCUAGAGAUAGAAUAGUGGUAACGAAGUCGAUCCCACAGGGAUUGUUAUAAAUUAAAAAGUCUAAUUUAAAUCUAAAAUUAAUAUUAAUUCUAACCUAGUUGAGCAAAUUGAGUUUUUAAGAAAAUUAAACCAAUUAAACUAAAGAAGCAAUUAAAAUAAAGGAGAAUUCAAUAAGAUAAGAAUUACCAAGGUUUCAGAAUCCACCACUAUUCAACUAGUAAUUAUCUAAUUAUUAAUUAAUCCCCAAUUUUAGAGUGACAACUCGAAAUCAAUCUAUGUCAUCUCAUGGAUAUAACAAUUAAGCCCAAGUAAUUAAAUCUAAUGUAGGUUCUUUUUCUGCUUAAUAAUAUGACAUCUAAGAAUCUCAUGUAAACAUAUUGAAUAACAAAGAGUCAAAGGCGGAUGUACGGUACAGCAGAAAAACAAAAAUACAAAAAUAGUGGAAGGAUAUAUAAAAUUAAUGUUCUUCAAUUAAUUGGAUAAAAAAAUUUCAUGUUCUUAAUUAGUUUCACACCUCGGAUAGUUGAGAAAUUCAGAAUUCUUGCUUCUAUUACCAAGGGACAUGAACUCAUUGAUAUAAUAACUAUAUAGGCAACAAGCAAAGUGCGGACUGGAACGUUAUUCCUAUAACACUUUGACAUUGUUGUGAAAAAUUUUAAUAUACUCGCAAGCGCAUGAAUCUAAAAUUAGAAUAGUGGUAACGAGGUCGAACCACAUGGAUUGUUAUAAAUUGAAAAGUCUAAUUUAAAUCUAAUAUUGAUAUUAAUCCUAACCUAGUUGAGCAAAUUGAGUUUUUAAGAAAAUUAAACCAAUUAAACUAAGGAAAUUAAAAUAAAGGAGAAUUCAAUAAGAUAAGAAUUACCAAGGUUUCAGAAUCCACCACUAUUCAACUAGUAAUUAUCUAAAUAUUCAUUAAUCCCCAAUUUUAGAGUGACAACUCGAAAUCAAUCUAUGUCAUCUCAUGGAUAUAACAAUUAAGCCCAAGUAAUUAAAUCUAAUGUAGGUUCUUUUUCUGCUUAAUAAUAUGACAUCUAAGAAUCUCAUGUAAACAUAUUGAAUAACAAAGAGUUAAAGUUUCCUAAGCACUCCAUGUAAACAAUUUAAUGAAAGACAUAAAAUCAAAAAUAAUCAUGUAUAAACUUUAUAGAUCAAAGCAUAGAAUUAAUCGAAUAUUAAUCCUAACAAUCAAUCAUGCAUGACAGAAUUGAUGAAAAGAUUUUAUUAACAUCCAAUUAAUCAUGUGAAAUAAAAACCAUAAUCAUCAAAGAACAUAUAUAGGGAAUUAAUUAAAUAAAAAGAUAAUUAUUUUAUUGAAUAGGGUUUCAUCUUUAACCUCAGUGUAAGAAAAUUAGCUAGACAUACUUGAAUUGAGAGCAACAAAAAAAAUAAAAUCAGCCAUGGGAAGCCGAAAUAUUGCUGCUGCGGAUUGCUCUCUUCCAAAGCCGAAUUCUCCUCCACAGACGGCUACCCUCCCCAAAAGCCAAGAGCUUAGCUUUCUUAUAUAGCCUUUAAAAUGGGCCCCACCUUGUCAAUCCUAAAGCCAAAAGGAUUUGGCCUUUUAUUUUUCUUUACUCUCACUCACGUGCUCAUCAAUUAAGCUUGUACUAGGAUUUCCUUUUUCCAAUUGUAAAAGCCAAGUGGGGUCCCUUCUAAAAGCUAAAAUCAAUUUCUCUCUUUUGUCCGCAUGAGCAUGAUGAAUUUACUUGUUGAAUUCGGUUCCUUGGCUUGAUUUCCACAUGCAUGUAUGUCUAAUUCCUUCCAAAAAUCAAUUAAUCUUUAAUGCUUACAAAUUGAACUCCUUUAUGCUCUUUUUAUCCAUAAUCUCCAAUUCAUUCCCUAUUCAAUAAAAUAAUUCAAUUAAUUAAAAAUAACAAAUAAAUAUAACUAACAAUUAUUUAAUUAAUGGUAAAAUAUGUAUGUAUUAUAUGCUCAUCACAGACCACCUGCGAAACAAGAGAGGUGUUUCCAGCACCUCAAGCUUGAUUCCGAGGUGAGAAUGUUGAGCGUGACAUUCUUGCCAUCCCGAGCUCUUGAGAACAAGAAACCUGCGUAGAGUAGCUGCAGUUUUUUCUCUUCCCAAGUCUUGACUCAUGGUUUCCUUUUCGAGAGUAACAAACGAAUGAUCAGAGAAAACAAGCAUGAAGAAUGCUACGAUGUCAAGGGCUAAAUUGGCACCCAAAGAAGGCGCAUGUAACUCAUUCAAACUAUGCUUCUCAAUUUGGAAACAGAAAAUUGAAGGAGCUCCCACAAUAGAACCAAAAGACUUGAUCCACAAAACAAUUCUCAAUACAGAAUGUGGUAACUGGUCGGAUCUUGGUAUGGAAAACAUCAUAUAUGAAAUUGAGUUCAACUUCAAAUUGUUCUCAAAGGCAUUUUUUGGACUAAACUUCAUGGUAAAUGAAACUCGUGUUGUUGUUAGGCUCGAGCUGUUACAGACGGUAUUAGAGUUGGCUCGUGACUCUUGUGUGGAUGAUUAAUUGUUAUUAAAGAGGACAUGAGGUCCUAAAGAAAAUAAAUAACAAAAAAUAAAUCAUAAGCAUAUGAUUUUUUUUUUUAAAUUCAAACAAUCAUAACAUUAUGAUUAGUUGAUUACGUUGCAGAAAAAAGAAUUAAUUUUUUUUAUGAAAAAACUUGUUUGGUGGUACAAAUGCAAAAUAUUUAAUUUUAGUGCAUAAUCUGCUUAAUCUAUUCAUUAAAAACAAAACAAAAAAGAAUCAAUUCAUACUUAUAAUGUAAGCUUCCACGGACAUAAUAAAUUAAGCUCCAAAAUUUUCCAUACAAGAAUUUUCCUCAUUUUAUUAUUAACAUUUAACAAUAUAUAUACUUAGCAAUUAACAAAUAAUAUAUAAUAUAUUAUUAUAUACCAUCAAAACAUAAAAAAAGAAAAGAAUUUGGGUUGCCGGAGGAGCAUUGGUUUAUGUUUUCAGUCAACGUUGAAGGAUUAAAAAUAAAAAAUAAAAUUGAAUAGUUUCCCAUGGAACUUCACGAUGCACAUUAAAUUGCUAUCACGCAGUGGUGAUAAGGGUAUCCUAUUGAAGGAUCCACGUGAUUUUAUUUUUCUCAACAAAAACAAAAAUUGGUUUUAAUUUUUCUUUAGAUGUGGGCCUACUGAGAGUUUGAUUAUUUUUAGAAAACGUCAAAAUAAGGUUUUCAAUUAAGGUGCGUUUGGUACUACGUCGGUCUAAUAAUUGUUCUUAAUAAUUUUUUGUAUUUGUUUUAUGAUAUUAUAUUAGUGGAUAUGAAAAUAUAUUUGGUAACUUAUUUUAGCUGUAGUAUUUAAAAUGAAAAGUUGUAAUGAUAUGCUCGAUAGUUUAUCUGAAAAUGACACCUUCAAACAUGAACUUAUAUCGUUUUGAUAUACCGCACAUUACUAUUGUUGUUUUCAUCACCCUGGUGUGAUGGUGGUAAUCAGAUAUCAUUACUCAUUAUUAAAAUAUAAAAUAUAUGGCACCGGCGUUUAUGCCUUGUACAAAUUAAGUUAGUUAUUAUAUAGCCUUCAACAUAACGAAACACUGACAUUGAAUGAUACGACUCGCAUGAUGAGACACUGACAUGAACUCCAACUUAUGAUUUAGGUUCCACAAGAUCAAAAUGAAGCAACAAUAACCAAACAAAAGUAAUAAGCUCUCCGCCACUAGUAACUUGUUGGGCAUGUGCCUUUGGUCUGCAAUGACUUGCUCCAUACGACAACAAUUCCACCCAAACUUUGCUCACUAACUCCCAUUUCAUAUCCUUUUCCAGCUUUUGAAGCUCGUUGGCCAAUUUUAUUGCAUCAUUAAGUACAGAUAACAAUACUUCCCAAGCAUUAAAUUCAAGCAUGAUUUUUUCGCAUGCAAACUUGACCGGAUUUGGUUUUAGACUCUUUUCUUCAAAAAAUUUCUUGGCCUCAACACAGGUAUCUCGCAGUCUAAAUUUUGAAAAACUGGCCGUAGAAUUCAGCAGGGCGGGCUUCAAUUGUAGAAGAUACAGCAUGUAAUCCGAGAGGAUCUUGCUGAGUUCUCUAGCAUUGUAGGUCUUUUCAUUUGAAACUUUUUCGGCAGUGUAGUAAAGGAGUUCAGUAGCAACGUGCCAUAUUAUAACGCUCUCAAUAAGACUAAAAUCGCGAUAUGUUGCCGACAUGUUCCUCAUGAAUGCUAUGAGAUCACCAUUAGUAUCGAAUUCCUGCAGAGUACAAUCGCCUGUAGCUGAACAUAUUCUCUUGAUACCCACCUCUGGAUCAUCUGCAUACUGAGCUUUUCUCUUCAUUUCAUCAAAUAUAAACCGCCACAACUCUUUUGUCAGUGGCUCAUGGGAUAUUGAUGUCUUUAUUCUUAUAUCAAACAAAACAUCACCUAGGCCGAACAAAGCAACGAGUUUCUCAAGAUUGAAGUCUAAAAGCGCAAUGAUUUUGUAAAUGCGCAGAAACUGGAUGAGCUUGUUUGUGGCAAUGGUUAUAUCCUCAAAGAUUUUAUGGACGCCGGACCUAUGAACGAAAUCAAUGAUUAGAAGAUGCAAAUAACUAUUGACUUUCUGUACUCUGCUGGGAGGCGCCUCGACCCAAUACGUUAUCCAACUGAGUCCCGCGACAGAACCAGACCAUCUGCGUAACAGAAAAGGUGUAUCCAACACCUCGGACUCGCCGCCACCACUGUGUGAAUGCCACCGUGGGCUCUUGAGAAUGAUAAACCGCUGAAGAAUAGAAGCUAUACGGUUUUUGAAAUUUCCAAGUCUUGAUUCAUUGUCAUCAUUCCCGAGAGCACCCAACGUCCAAUCCGAGAAAAUGAGAAAGAAGAAAGAUAUGAUGUCAAGAGCCAUGGCACCCAAGAACAGGGCGUACGUAACACAAACAUCAAACUCAAAGAAACCAUGCUUCUCAACAUGGAAAUAGAAAAAUGAAAGGGCUGCCACAACUGAGCCAAAACAUAUGAGCCGCAAAGUAAUUCCCAAAACAGAGUGUGUUACCUGGAUCUUGGUAUAUAAAACUUCAUAAACCAAGUUGAGUUCAACCUCAAUUAUUCCCAAGGCAUCUUCUGGACUAAAAUCACCAAAGAAAGGCCCUGCAAAAUUAACCCUUUUGAAGUUGGACAUGAGUUCGAGAAGUAUCCCCUUGAAAAUUUUGAAGUAUUGACAACCCACCUCCAGAUAACAUCUGUCUUUCUUGAUCACAAUAUCACGUUUUUGAUAGUGCUCCGCGAGUUCUCGAAGAGUCGACUCUCGAAAUUUCUCCACGCUUGCAAGAUAUAAAGCUAGAAUCCUCUCAAAAUACUUGAUAACUCCAGCAAUAAACAUGAGUAUUGUUGGGAUGAAAAGCUUGUUUCCAGGAAGCGUCAGAAGAAAGACAUAAACAGCGGCAACAACCUGGAAUAUGAAUCCAAACAAGUGCCUGGGCCAGAAUUCGUUAUCUUCAAGAGCAAAUGCAGUAAUGGUGUCUGGACUACCGAGGUGUGACAACAGAAAUGGAACCCAAAAUGCUAAAAGCUCAUUGUUCUCGGCAGGCUGCUUUGAAUGGUCAGGAGUAUCCCUUGCUCUUUCAGUGAUGAGUCCAACGCCAAAAUUAGCAACCCAAUCUGCAAGCAAGUAAGCUGACCAGACUACCGAAAUUACCAGUUUAUUUCCCGUGCCAUUUCGAAGGGAAGCAAACAGAAUCAACACCAUUUGCAAUGAAAGACUAAACAAGAUUACACCUCGUAUGUUGCAGUUAUCCCAUAUUUUCCUUACACUAUCCGGGAUUGGAUUAACCAUUUUCUCUCCUGCUUGGUAAAAAGAUUAAAGACUAUAGUCUCACAGUUGCUAUUGUCGAGCUAAUAACUCUUUUGAGAGGCGGAGGAGCAGUCAUACAUUUCUCGAGUCAACAUUGACGCCUUGACUUGACUCACGGGGUUAAAACUCUCAAACUGUGAUGCACAUCUAAUAAAUGACAGUUGUACCAACAUCAUCAAAUCAAAAAUUAAAAAGUUGGUGGGAGCUAUUGACAUUUUGAGAAAUUCUAGAAUAUAACGGUCUAUAGUUAUUGUCAGAUAACAAUUAAAUUUGUCGAAAAAAAGCUUGUCAACUAUAGUAAAUAAUAGCAAGUUUAGGCUCCUCAUCUCACCCAAACAGGUUUUGAGAUUUGAAAACCUUUACUUGCCCUAGAAAGAUUUCAUGCUUUUAAGUUUCCAAUAGCCUACUUAUGGCCAAGCUUAAUUAGCUAGUUUACGCUUCUCGUCUCACAUCGAGUAUAUUUUGAGACUUAGAACUUUUACUUUCCGUAGAAAAAUUUUGUGCUUUUAUGUUUUGCUCGCCUACUCACAAUUGAGCUGAAUUAACAAGUUUAGGCUUCUUGUCUCACAUAGAGCAGAUUUUGAGACUUAUAACAUUUACUUGUCUUAGAAGGAUUUCGUGCUUUUAUGUUUUUGCUCUCCUUCACAUGGCCAAGCAGUAUUAGCAAGUUUAGGCUUCUUGUCUCACCCCAAGUAAAUUUUGAGAUUUGAAACCUUUAUUUGUCUCAAAAAGAUUUCGUGCUUUUAUAUUUUGCUCGUCUACUUAUGGCCGAGCUGAAUUAGCAAGUUUAGGCUCUUUGUGUGACAUGAACAAAUUUUGAGACUUGCAACCUUUACUUUCCUUAGAAAGAUUUCAUGAUUUUAUGUUUUUUCUCGCAUACUCAUGGUCGAGCUAAAUUAGCAAAUUUAGGCUUCUUGCCUCAUAUCAAGCAAAAUUUGAGAUUUAGAACCUUUAGUUGUCUUAGGAAGAUUUCAUGCUUUUAUUUUUGCUCGCCUACUUGUGGCUGAGUUGAAUUAGCAAGUUUAGGCUCCUUGUAUGAUCUAAACAGAUUUCAGGACUUGCAACUUUUACUUUCCUUCGAAAGAUUUUGUGCUUUUAUGUUUUUGCUCGGCUACUCAUGGUCGAGCUAAAUUAACAACUUUAUGUUUUUUAUCUCACAUCAAGUAGAUUUUGAGACUUAGAAUCUUUACUUGCCUUAGAAGGAUUUCGUAUUUUUAUGUUUUUGCUCACCUACUGGUGGUCGAGCCGAAUUAGUAAGUUUAGACUUCUUAUUUCACCUUGAGCAGAUUUUGAGACUUGAAAUCUUUACUUGCCUUAGAAAGAUUUCAUGGUUUUAUUUUUCUACUCGCCUGCUCAUGGCCAAGCUGAAUUAGCAAGUUUAGGCUCAUUUUCUUAUCUCAAGCAAGUUUUGUGACUUGAAACAUUUACUUGCCUUAAACAAUUCAUUUUGUUUAUUCUACUCACCACGAAAGAGGCGAGCAAGUAAUUUUGGCCUGGGCAAUUUCAAAUUCAAAUUGGAUUCGGAUGAAUCUUAUCAGAUUUUAGAUAAUUCAUAUGAGGAAAAAAUUCAUCAAAUUAUAAUCCAAACUUUAAAUUUGACUUGAUUCAAUCUGAAAUAGUUUGGAUUAGAUUGAGAUCGAAUGACUAUUUUGGAUUAGUUAAGAUUCAGAUCGGUUCAGAUUGCAAUCAAAUUUGGGACUUCUUUGACAAUUUUCACAAAAAAAUUUAUAAAAUCUAUAAUAAAUGAAAUCACAAAACACAAGUAAAACCAUAAAAAAAGAUGCAGUUGAGUAAUGUAAACCACACAACUAAUGUAAACCAUGAACUGAUCAUCUUAAAAUUCUAAUCGAUGGUAUGCAUGAGUUCUUUGGAGCUUUGAUGGCUUUCGGUCUACAACUCACCAGCUAGUAAUCGAUGUUGAUCAAGAUGCAACUCGGAUCGGCAGGUUGUAUCUUUAUGGCAUCGUAGGUCUGAGGAGCUUAAAUUUGUGGCGACUAAACGCUGAUCAAGAUGUUAGGUUUUGUACUCCCGAGGUAAUUUUCUAAACCAAUCUCUUGCUCGUUCUUCUAGUGUUAAGGGGAAUGCUCUGCACCUCAGUAAUGAUGUUAAGUUUUGCACUCCUACACUCUCAUUAAACUAUUUUAUGUGCAUUAAUGGGUUACUUUUCCCGAAAUAAUGAAGUUUCGAAAAGCGAAAAUCACUUAGAAUCAUGGUGUUAAUGAUUUUUGCUAAUAGUAAGGAUUCAUUAUCUAGCAUUAUUCUUCACCUUUAAUUUCUCCCUUGACCUUGCAUCUCCUCAAUGGUUUGGGCUAGCCUUUGUAUCUCAACUUCUAGCCCUCUAGCGCAACCAGGGUUCUGUACCGCCACUUGCUCACCUUCACAUUCUGCAUCUAACAAACGUUGGCUCAACUCUCUUUACUCGAUGUUCUUCUCCUUUCACACCUAUGUUGUGAGAUUUGGGUUGUUUGAAUGAAAUCAUCCAUUCCUGGUGGUAAUCGUACAACAUUUCCAGGUCUUUCUGGUGCUUGUUUCAUGUGGCUUGACUUAAGUAUGUCUGCAUUCCUAAAAGGAUUCCUUUCAUUGAGCCUCAUAUGCCUUUCCCUUAAUUCUUGCAAUAACAUAGCCAAGCCGUCCAUUUGCUUCAUUAUCUACUAAAUUCUUUCAUUCAUCGCCCUAUCUAUAACCUUAUGGGUGAUGUUGGGAAAAGGGACUACCACAACCAGUUGUAAAUUAAGCGAAAAUAAAACUCUUUUCCUCUUUGUAUGAUUAAAAUAUGAUAUGUACCACAAAUAAACAAGCAGAAAAAUAAACUACCAAAAUUCAAAGCAAACACCAACCACGAGAAACACAGAUUUUUUUUUGUGAAAAACCCAAAGUAGGAAAAAUCACGGGAUCGUAGUUCGAUAAAAUCUUCCACUAUAUUAUUGGGAUUAUAGUAUAAAUUCUUCUCUAGAUAAUAUUAGAGACUACCAACAUAAAAAAUUUCAAUAUUCUUGGCUUACAGUAAUAGUCUAAUAUUUGUCUCUUUAACAAAUGGGUAUCUCAAAUAAUAGCAAAAGAGAGGAUAAAAUAAAAAUAAAAUCAACAGGAUUGUAGAGGGCGAUGCUAGGAACUUACACUCAAAAUUUGGGAGAAAUCAGAGUUAAUUCUGCCUUCUGAUCAUCUAAUUAAAAAUUAAAAUCAUUAUUCCCAAAUAAAAGCAUCCACUGUCUUUUCUCUCUCUCCCGCCGCUUCUUCUGCAUGCUCACAUUAUUUAGGGCAGCGACUUUCACUUGCUUUAUAGGCAAAUUUCAUGGCAAAUUUCAUUUGCCUCCUUUAAGUUUCUUUUAAUUGCUUAAUUGUCUACACUUAUUCAACUUUAGGCUUGGGCUACCCAAAUGAGAUGGACCCAACAAAUUCCCCCUUCAGAUUAUAUGGGGGGGCAUCACGAAGCCCGCUUUCAGUAUACAAUUUUUUCAGCUUUUCCUUAGGCAAUAACUUUGUCAUCAUAUCUAGCUCAUUCUUCUUUGUUUGAGUCUUUUCAAGCUGUAACUAUUUCUUCUUAACCACGUCUUGUAUCGAAUGAUACAUCAUAUCAAUAUGCUUGGAUUUUGAAUGGUAUGUCGAAUUCUUUAUUAAGUAAAUAGCAUUUUAUCUGUCGCAGUACACAAUAAAGUUGUUUUACUUCACACCGAACUCUUGUAGGAAAUUCUUUAUCCGCAAGGUUUCUUUGCAACCUUCAAUGAUUGCAAUAUACUUUGCUUCUAUAGUAUAUAGAGCAACAUAUUGCUGAAGUCUGGACUGCCAUGAGAUUGCUCCCCCUGCAAAGGUGAGCAAAUAUCCUAAUAGAGAUUUUCUGGAAUCAACAUCCCAUACUAUAUCUGCAUCUAUGUACACUUGUAACACAGAUUUAUCACCACCAAAACAUAAACAUGUCUUGGAAGUACCUCCGAGGUAUCUGAGAAUCUAUUUUACCUUUUUGCAGUGUUCUUUGCCUAGAUUGGAGGGAAACUAAUUGACUACACCUACUGCAUGAGCAAUAUCUGGUCUUGUACAAACCAUGGCGUACAUCAAACUACCAACUAUUAAAGCAUAAGAACUUUUUUCAUCUUUUGCUUCUUUUUCUUACUUGUAGGAUAAUGCUCGGAACUAAGCUUGAAAUGACCCGCAAGUGGAGAAUAAACAGAUUUUGCCUUGCUCAUGUUAAAUCAUUGAAAAACCCUUUCAACAUAUACUUCUUAAGAUAACCAUAACUUCCUAGUUUUUCUACCGCGGGAAAUCUUCAUGCCAAGAAUCUGUUUCGUUGGUCCCAAGUCCUUCAUUGCAAAAGACUAGCUAAUUCUCUCUUUAGAUUGUCAAUAUUACUAGCAUCCUGGCUAACAAUCAACAUGUCAUUCACAUAAAGCAAAAGAAUGAUGAAAUCAUUAUCACCAAACUUCUUCACAAAAACACAAUGGUCGCACAUAGUCUUGUUAAAACUAUAAUUAUCUAUGAAAGAAUUAAAUUUCUUGUACCACUGUCUUGAUGCCUGUUUCAGCCCAUACAAACUUUUCUUCAACUUGCACACAAGUUCUUCUUUGCCUUUGACACUAAACCCUGCAAGCUACUCUAUGUAUAUUUACUCCUCUAAGUCACCGUGCAAGAAAUUGUCUUUACAUUAAGUUGUUCAAUCUCUAGAUUCAAGUUAGUUGCUAAUCCCAAAACAACUCGGAUAGAAGACAUUUUCAUCACAGGAGAAAAUAUUUCUUCAAAAUCAACACCUUUCUUCUGACCAAAACUUUUCACAACUAAUCUAGCCUUAUACUGCUAUUGUGAGUUAAUUUCAAAUCUUCAACCUGUAAAUCCAUUUGUUCUUCAGUGCCCUCUUUCCCUUAGGUAGCUUCACUAGGUCAAAAAUGUGGUUUUCAUUCAAAGAUUUCAUAUCUUCCUACAUUGCUUUAGCCCACUCAUUUUUAUGUUUAUGAGACAUGGCUUAUUCAAAACAUUCUGGCUCCCCUUCAUCUACAAGCAUCACAUAUUCAUGUGGAGGGUAUUUGGUGGAAGGUCGUCGUUCUUUAGUAGAUAUUCUCAAUUCUGGCUCAAUUAGUGGUAUAGGUGGUUCUGGAGGUGUUAGGCCAACUGGUUCACAUCUUUACUUAUGAUUAAUUUCCUUGCCACCGGGUCCCAUAAUUUGUACCCAAAUUUUUCAUGCCCAUAGCAUAAGAAAAUGCAUUCCUUGGUUUUAUCAUCAAGCUUCGAUCUUCCUUCUUUAGAGAUAUGAACAUAUGCUCUACAACCAAAUACUCUCAAGUGUUUAUAAGAGAUAUUUUUUCCUGUCCAAACUCUCUCAGGUACAUCACUAUCUAAUGGAGCUGAAGGGAAAAAAGUUAAUCAAGUUAACAACAGUACAUUUUACCUUUGCCAAGAAAGAUUUAGGAAGCUUAGUAUAAAAAAGCAUACACGCGAUCCUCUCUUCAAUUGUUCUGUUCAUUUUUUUUGCAACAUUAUUCUGCUGCGGGGUUUUUGGUACAUUCUUCUCAAGUCUUAUUCCAUGGGAUCUGCAACACUACUCAAGUGGUCCUCUGUACUCACCAACAUUAUCUAUGCUGACACAUUUUAAUUUUCUUCAUAUCCCUUUCUCAAUAUAAGCAUGGAAUAAUUUAAAUAUAUCAAGCACCUAGUCUUUAGAUUUCAAAGCAAAAGCCUACACUUUUCUAGAACAGUCAUCAUUUAAAGUCAUAAAAUAAGCAGCUCCUUUUAUUAAUCUACUUUGCAUCAUGCAAACAUCAGUGUGAAUGAAAUCAAGGAUUUGUAACUUUCUUGAUGGAGAAAAGCUUUUAAAAGCUACUAAGUGUGUCUUUCCAGCUAAGCAAUGAAUACAAGUCUUGAAGGAUAUCCUUGCGAAGCUCGGUAAAAAUCCUUUUCUAACAAGAGUUUCCAAUCCUUUCUCACCAAUAUGACAAAGCCUUUUAUGCUAUGUUUCAAUGUCAGAAUCUUUUACAAGCACAUUCACAUCUUCUUCCUUGAUCUUGGCUUCUAACACAUAGAAUGUGUUAGCCAAGAUCCUAUUUGUGUCUUUCCAGUUAAGUAAUGAAUACAAGUCUUGAAGGGCAUACUUGCGAAGCUAGGUAAAAAUCCUUUUCUGGCAAGAGUUUCCAAUCCUUUCUCACCAAUAUGACAAAGCCUUUUAUGCUAUGUUCAAUGUCAGAAUCUUUUACAAGCACAUUCACAUCUUCUUCCUUGAUCUUGGCUUCUAACACAUAGAAUGUGUUAGCCAAGAUCCUAUUUGUGUCUUUCCAGUUAAGUAAUGAAUACAAGUCUUGAAGGGCAUACUUGCGAAGCUAGGUAAAAAUCCUUUUCUGGCAAGAGUUUCCAAUCCUUUCUCACCAAUAUGACAAAGCCUUUUAUGCUAUGUUCAAUGUCAGAAUCUUUUACAAGCACAUUCACAUCUUCUUCCUUGAUCUUGGCUUCUAACACAUAGAAUGUGUUAGCCAAGAUCCUAUUUGUGUCUUUCCAGUUAAGUAAUGAAUACAAGUCUUGAAGGGCAUACUUGCGAAGCUAGGUAAAAAUCCUUUUCUGGCAAGAGUUUCCAAUCCUUUCUCACCAAUAUGACAAAGCCUUUUAUGCUAUGUUCAAUGUCAGAAUCUUUUACAAGCACAUUCACAUCUUCUUCCUUGAUCUUGGCUUCUAACACAUAGAAUGUGUUAGCCAAGAUCCUAUUUGUGUCUUUCCAGUUAAGUAAUGAAUACAAGUCUUGAAGGGCAUACUUGCGAAGCUAGGUAAAAAUCCUUUUCUGGCAAGAGUUUCCAAUCCUUUCUCACCAAUAUGACAAAGCCUUUUAUGCUAUGUUCAAUGUCAGAAUCUUUUACAAGCACAUUCACAUCUUCUUCCUUGAUCUUGGCUUCUAACACAUAGAAUGUGUUAGCCAAGAUCCUAUUUGUGUCUUUCCAGUUAAGUAAUGAAUACAAGUCUUGAAGGGCAUACUUGCGAAGCUAGGUAAAAAUCCUUUUCUGGCAAGAGUUUCCAAUCCUUUCUCACCAAUAUGACAAAGCCUUUUAUGCUAUGUUCAAUGUCAGAAUCUCCGCUCAAACAAAUUUUUUUUAAAAAAAUAAUAUAAAAUUAAAUGUUUCUUUUUUCUUUUUUUUUUGGUUGAGCACGUAUUUUCCAUGCAAAUCCAUCCUAGGGCCAGUGUUGUUUUGAGCAAGGAAUAUGGUGAAAUCUAAUAAUUAAAAGAGAAAAAAAUAAAAAUGUUUCGAUCAAUAAUUAUAUUAAUUUCUUAUAUAUGAAGUUGACUUUCAACCUCAGUUAUUCUCAAGGCAUCUUCUGGACUAAAUCUUUAUAAGCGCCCGGUUCUAUAAGCACAAAAGUCAAAGAAAGACAUAGCUACAGAGGGAAGAAAUGAAAAAAAUAAGUGAGAGAUGAGAAAUGAAAAAUAUCGGUUGUGAAUUAGUAAAAUAAUAAUAAUAAUAAUAACAACAACAACAACUUGUAUCUAAUCUAUUAAUUAAAGUCAACUAUUCAUAUAAUCUGAGAGUCUAAAAAUAAUAUGAGAAUUUAAACAAUUUUAAGGGUAGUAGGGGAGACUUCCCCACAUACAUUCACAUGGGAAUCGCACAGCUCAAGUCUUUAAUCACCGAAAUUUCUUAAGUUCAAGCUAAUAAAAGAGCACUAUUUAAUACCGCCAGAGGAUUUCACUAAUAGAGACAUAAACAAUUGUAUAAAUAAUCGUAUACAAAUUGAUGUGUUUUAAGACUAAAAUUAUAAAUAAUAAAAAUAAAUUAUGUAGCUAUAUGAGGUUUUUUUUUUUAAUUCCAAAAAUUAUAACGUUGCCCAAAAAAGGAAUAAAAAAUUUAAAAAUAAAAACGUGUUUUGCGGCAUCAAUAUUAAACUCUUAAAUUUAUUGCAUAAGUCUAAUUCUUUUGUUUUCAAACGGGACUUUACUCGUUUUCGUCGUUCGUAGAUCCGUAUAUUGAUCCGCGUGAUGGUCAGUCAAUAUGCAUCUCGAAAACAAGAAGUGUUAGUUAGAUUGUUUUUUGUUUUUUUAGUCGGUCAACCGUCAAAGUUGACUGAACAAAUAAAUCAAUGACGGCCCAUCACCUUUCAGAGAGCCGCCACCCCACUCUUGAGCAAAAAUGGUUAAUCCAAUCCCUGAAAGUGUCAGGAAAAUAUGGGAUGAAUGGAACAUACGAGGUAUAAUCUUGUUCAGUCUUUCAUUACAAACUGUCUUGAUUCUGUUCGCUCCCCUCCGAAAAUCCACAGGCAAUAAACUGUUAAUCUCGGUGAUUUGGUCAGCUUACUUGCUCGCUGACUGGGUUGCUUAUUUUGGCGUCGGACUCAUCACUCAAAGAGCAGGAGAUAUUUCUGACGGACCUGACCAUCCUUCGAAGCAGCCAGCGGAGAGCAAUGAGCUUUUGGCAUUUUGGGCUCCAUUUCUGUUGUUACACCUCGGCAGUCCAGACACCAUUACUGCAUUUGCCCUUGAAGAUAACGAACUCUGGCCCAGGUACUUGUUUGGAUUCGUAUUCCAGGUUGUUGCCGCUGUUUAUAUCUUUCUUCUGACGAUUCCCGGAAACAAGCUUUUAAUCCCAACAAUACUCAUUUUUAUUGCUGGAAUUAUCAAGUAUUUUGAGAGGAUUCUUGCUUUGUAUCUUGCAAGCGUGGACGAAUUUCGAGACUCGACUCUUAGAGAACUCGUGAAGCACUACCAAAAAUGUGAUAUUGUUAUAAAGAAAGACACAGAUUAUCUGGAGGUGGGUUGUCAAUACUUCAAAAUUUUCAAGGGGAUACUUGUCGACCUCAUGUCCAACUUUAAAAGGGUUAAUUUUGUAGGCCCUUUCUUUGGUGAUUUUAGUCCAGAAGAUGCCUUGGGAAUAAUUGAGGUUGAACUCAACUUGGUUUAUGAAGUUUUGUAUACCAAGAUCCAGGUAACACACUCUGUUUUGGGAAUUACCUUGCGGCUCAUAUGUUUUGGUUCAGUUCUAGCAGCCCUUUCAGUUUUCUAUUUCCAAGUUGAGAAGCAUGGUUUCAUUGAGUUUGAUGUUUGUGUUACGUACACCCUGUUCUUGGGUGCCAUAGCUCUUGACAUCAUAGCUUUCUCCGUGCUCAUUUUCUCCGAUUGGACGUUUUGUGCUCUCCGUAAUGAUGACAAUGAAUCAAGACUUGGAAAUUUCAAAAACCACAUUGCUACUAUUCUUCAGUGGUUUAUCAUUCUUAAGGGCUCACGAUGGCAGCAUACACAUGAAGGUGGCGAGUACGAGGUGUUGGUUACACCUUUCUUAUUUCGCAGAUGGUCUGGUUCUGUCUCAGGACUCAGCUGGAUAAGAUUAUGGGUCAAGGCACCUCCAAGCAGAGCACAGAAAGUCGAGAGUAGCGUACAUCUUGCCUGCGACAAAGUCAAUCAUCAUUUCGGCUUUGCAAUCAAUGGUUUCAUUCAUAAUUGUGGCAUCUAUCAAAUCUUUCAGCUUCUGCACAUUUACAAAAUCAUUGCUCUUUUAGACUUUAUGAUCGAGAAACUUGUUGCUUUGUUCGGCCUAGGUGAUACUAUGUUUCAGAUAAGAGUCAAAACAUCAACAUCCCUUGAGCCAUUGACAAAAGAAUUGUGGCAGUUUCUAUUUCACGAAAUGAAAAGAAAAGCUCAGAAUGCAAAUGAUCCAGAGGUGGCUAUCAAGAGAAUUUGUUCACCUACAGGCGAUUGUACUCUACAGGAAUUGGAUACAAAUGGUGAUCUCACUGCAUUCAUGAAAAAGAUGACUGCAACAUAUCGCGAUUUUAGUAUUAUUGAGAGUGUCAUAAUAUGGCACGUUGCUACUGAACUCCUUUACUACACUGCCGAAAAAGUUUCAAAUGAGAAGACUUGCAAUGCUAGAGAAUUCAGCAAGAUCCUCUCGGAUUACAUGCUGUAUCUUUUACAACUGAAGCCUACCGUGCUGAAUUCUACGGCAAGUGCUUCGAAAUUUAGACUGCGAGAUACCUGUAUUGAGGCCAGCAGAUUCUUUGAAGGGAAGAAGUUAAACCCAAAUCCAGUGAAGUUUGCCUGUGAAAAAAUCAUGCUUGAAUUUAAUAAUUGGGAGUUAAUGUGUUCUGUACUUAAUGAUGCAACAAAGUUGGCCAACCAGCUUCAAAAGUUGGAGAAGGAUAUGAAAUGGGAGUUAGUGAGCAAAGUGUGGGUGGAAUUGUUGUCGUAUGGAGCAAGUCAUGGCAGACCAACAGCACAUGCCCAACAGGCUACUAAUGGUGGCGAGCUUAUUAGUUUUGUUUGGUUAUUGUUGCUUCAUUUUGAUCUUGUGGAAUCUAAACCAUUUUGAAUUCGUCUCUGUUUCAAUAUGUUGAAGGCUACGACUAACAUUCUUUAGAUCCAUUAUAAAAAUGAGCAACAUACUGCAAGACCAAAACGAGCCAAUCCCUCUAGGCACCGUUAAUAACCAAUUUGUGGCAUGUAUCCUUGAUCUGCAGUGACAUGCUGCAUAUGACUACAGUAUAAUUCCACCCAAACUUGGCUCUGUAACUCCACCAAGUUUUGAAGCACUUUUGACAACAUGAUUGCAUUAGUUAAUACAGAUUUUGUUUGAUCUCCCUUUCAGUCAUGUGUUCAAAAGAUAGUAAAUGUGCAGAAAUUGGAUGGCCUUUUUUGUAACAUUGGCUAUAUUGAGAAUGAUUCGUCGAUGUUACGAAACGAAUGAAAUUAUUGAUUGGUAUCCUGUUACUUAGAAUGGUGGAUAAAUGCAGUGAAAUACGAAGUUUUGUAAAGAUAUAGUAAAAAUGUUAAACACCGAUACUUUUUAUAGCUACUUGUUAUUUUUUAAUUCCUAAAGUGAAAAUGGGCUUUAAAAAUAUUAAAUUGGAAUUACGCCCAUAAGAAAAAGCUUAGAAUUUAUGUCAAAAAUCUAGCUAGAAACAAAAUAGCUCAUGCCAAACAAAACCAACAAAAUUGAACUGAGUCCAAUUAAUUUGAUUUUGUUUUGUAUGGUUUAAAAUCUCCCAAGCUUAAAAAGCUAACUAAACCUAAAGUGCCCAGUCCUACUCUUUUUUAAGCUUCUUCGAAAAAUUGUUAAUUUUAUGUAUUUUCAAGUAACUUAAUUUUCUUUGAACAAGUUACUUGUGUAUUUGUGUUUAACUAUAUACUUACCUCAUCCACAAUGAUUUUUCAUUGCUUGAACAACAAAGGUUUUGGAGGAAGUGAGAGUAAAUGGUUUUUCUCUGAGAACAUCAAUUAUGGAGUUAUCAAUGAAAUGAGGCGCUUGUUCGGGAUUUUAAUUGAUUCUCAAAUAAUCAAUUAUUAAAAAGAAAUCACAAAAGAUAGUUCAGUUGGUCAUUUGUCAUAGAAGUAAAAAGUCCAUGGAUCACAUCCAAGAGCAGAAGUAAAACCACCUGCAUUGACCACGUCCCCCAAAAAAAAAAAUGAAAAGAUUAAAUUGAAAAUUUACUUAUUUUAUGUGAAUUUUGCAACCAGCCCCUCAUUAAUUAUUAGCCUCUUCAAUUUUACAGAUUUACGUUUUAUCCUAAUCAAGUUUGUAAUCUUCCUAUUGUUACCCCUGUCAAACCAAAAUUCUGGUCUCGCAAGUCGCAACUGAUCACGUUCAAAUGAUACCCUUUAAUUUGCGUGGAAUUGAGUGGGGUGCCUGAUUGCUAAACAAAUUCGCUUAUUUAAAAAUCUGGCCCCAAAUUAUGUUUAACAAACAGUCAUUUGAUUGUAAUUAGUGUAUUGUGUAAAAAAAAAAAGCUGAAAUUAACAAUCUUUGUUGGAUAAAAAUAAUUGAAAUGAAAAAUAGCGAGUAGAUUUUCGAACAAGGAAUAAUUUAAAAACCCACCACAAUCUCAAGUGUAUCAAAUCAGAUGUUACAUAAUAAAGAAAAUACGCUAACAUAUGUUGGAAUAAUUUCCGCAUGAAAAUGUUCUCAAAGGAAUGAUUAUGAUUUAUCAAAGAAUUUUUGAUAGAAACAUGUAUGUCCAGAGAUUAUUGAUAGGAAUCGAUGAAGAAAUUGAAAUGUAGUCCUAAAUAAGUAAAGGAUUUUAAUAGCUCAGUUGGUUGAUCGUUAUAUCUUGGCACAGGCUUGGCACGCAGGCUUCCUACGUGCAAAAGCUAAUUUUUUGAUUGCCUCAUAUGUAUCGCCUCUUUGUCUUUUGUUUUGCAAGCGAUCAUUGCUUCCUUUUUCGUGUUGACGUUUCUUUUUGGAUUUCUCGGAAUUUUUAUCGGGCGUUGACAUCUCUGGACUACCAUCCGCGGGGCGUUUUUUAUCCCCGGACGACUUUCCAGGGUCAUUAGAAGGACUAGUAAGAGUUCCCGGUGGACUGUCGAUCACUCCCCGUAAAUGCUGUAACACAGAACCGAUAGCUGUCUUAAGCUGACAUAUUUUUUCAUCUAUUUGAGCAACCUGUUGCUCCAGUUGAUCAAUUGCUCUCUCAUAAUCAGCAUGUUUACCAGAUCUUGAUGAUGUGGCAGCGGACAUAUCUGGUCCUGAGGGUGGAUUGAAUACUUCUGCUCCUGGAAAAAUUUUAGCCACGCAUCAGUUAAUUAUUCUCAUUCGGAGAUCUAAUUAACUUGCUGAAUACGUAAUAUAGUUACAAUAUCAUUACAUGUACAUACUUUUCAAAAUGCAUGAGUCAGGCUGAUUUUAACUCAAGCUUUUGAUUUAAAAUUUUGAUAUAAACUUUGAAUCACUGAUGUCUUAAUGGUAGAUAAAUUGCAUCAUUAAAUGCUAUUUUAACUAUCAAUAUCAAUAUAUCAUUUGAUUAUGUAAGAUAAAUAAUGGCUCAAAAUGUUUUGUAAAAAACUUAAGUUAAUAGUUCAACCCAUACAUCAUUGUGCAAAUCCCAGAUCUACUGAUUAAAAUAUAAGCAAAAAAAAAUUCACUUUUCCUGAGUAAGGUGAUAGAAAUUUAGAAAAAUGUUAUUACUGAAAAAUAAGGAGGAGUAAUUUACAGACUAAAAGAGAUUGAAAAAUUAUAAAAGCAAUAUAUGUAAAAGAUUUAGUUAGAUAAAAUAUCAUUCGAUAAUGAUUGCAGAUUAAACGUACCUGUGUUUCUUCCAAGAAAAUCACUUGAUCCACACUCGCAGGAAGCUAAGCAAUACAACAAACGACUGAUGAGCCCAGUUUCAAGCACUCUCCCAUCGUGAGGGCUUUAUUUAUAUAAAUAACCAUGGCUCACUGAAACUGGUCAUUUGGUCAACGGUUACAAUUAUUCGGAAUUGCAAAUAGGUUCCGAAGUUGUUUGCAUUUUUCCUAAAUAAUUUUCGGGAAGGCUCAACAACUUCCAUUUUGUCGUAUACUGGUUCCCGCGUUUUCAAAUUUCUUCUAAAGCUGGCGGUGCUUAAUAAAGUUGAAAAAAGAAAAAAUGAUAUUUUUAUGUAUGUUUGACUUCAAAGGAUUAGGAGAACCCUUCUAGAUUCACUAGACUUGUUAUAUUAAUCAAGUUGAGUUUCUUUUUUUUUUGUUUAUGUAUAUUACGUUUAUGUAAAGUGAAAUACAUUACUGAUUUGAAUCUGGAACCUUUUAUUACAAUGCAAGAGAUUAUACCGACCAAACAAAAAUGCUUACCAGGUUAUACCAUCUAUAAAUGCAUAAACCAAAAAAGUAGGGAUCUUACUGAAAUUUGGCGUGGCUACCCUCCAGCAGCUUCAGCAUGGAAGAUAAUCAUCACAUUAGUGAUAGAAUAAUAGUUUGAGAAAUGCUAUGCUUACUUUAAGUGCCCAAAUUAAGGUGUUAACAAUAGAGUAUUAUCAUUUGAAUGAAAAAUGAUAAGAUUUAAUAACUAACUAUCACUUGAGCCAAUUAUUAAAUAGUAUUACAUUAUUUGCUGCAAAAGUUAGGAUACAAAUUAAGUAUUCCAACUAAGUAAGUAUAACAUUAUCGUAAUAGUUUUUAGAUUCCAACUGAGUAAGCAUAGCAUUAUUGCAAUAAUAUUUAUUUUCAAUACAUGUUGGUCAUUAAUUGGUGAUACAUCAGCUGGAAAACCAUUUAGCUUAACAUCUUAAGGAUAGAAUAAUUGAUGUUUUUUUUGCUAAUAAUUUAUGAUUUUUAUUUUUAUUUUUAUAUGAACGAGCCUAGUUGUAGAGGCGUAUUAUUGAUAGUAAAAAUGAAAAUACAAAAAUCACGGGGAAAGUUUUUAGAAGUUUUGGAUUGUAAAAAAAAUCUAUCAAUUUUUUACCAUACAUUCAUACAUUCGACAAUAAAGUUUGAAAAUAUCCGAAAACAUUGUAAGUUAUCAGCAAUUCACCCAAAGUCUUUAAAGUGUUCAGUAAAUAAAAUUAUUUAAAAUAUCAACAUUAAUAAACUAAUGUAGAUCGACUUCAGGAAUUUUUCAUCUUUACUUGUUUGAUUCAAUCCUACGACAAACUACAGCCUUUCGUUCUAAGGAGAUAUAUUGCAGUAUCUUGCAUUGAAAAUUAUCGGUAGCUAAUACAUCGCAUAUAUUUUCUUUGAUGAAAUGAUUAAAAAAAUAUGAAUAAAGAUUUUGAAACAAAUUGUAAAUAUUUAAUAUUAUUUAUGAGUAAAAUACAGCUAGACUCUGCCGGUUUCUUAAUUUUAUAUUGUGCCUAGCAAACCGUAGAUCUUCCCUUCAAAAAUUGAAUAAAAUUUUCCUCGGAUCUGGAGGAAACGAAAAUUUGCACAACGUCCUUAAUUCCUGUGAAGACUUCCUUUGUUUAGGGGAAGUCUUUCUUUAUUGAACGUAAAAUUGUUUCACGUAAAAAGUCUUCCCUUUAUAUUGUAUGAGUAAGAAGAAAAAGAAAGAAAGACAUGAGAUAAUGGAGAAAACGACUUAUAUUUCUUUAAAGGAAUUUGUAACGGUUGACGAACUUGACUUCCUCUGAUAUGAGAAAAUGAAAUAGUGUAAAUCUCGAAAUUUUAUCCUGAAUAAUUUUAUCUUAAAUCGAACUUUUAAUGAUAUAACAUGUAAUGUGUUAUUUGUUAACCCGAAAUUUUUCAUAAUUUUUACAUGAAUUAAUUUUAUUAGUUUAUCAUUUAAGUAAUAAAUGUUGCAUUAUUAAAAAUAAAAUUUUAAAAUAUAGAGCAAAGGGCAUUACUCUUUUUGGGGUGGCGGCCUAGCCCCAAGAUGUACAUGGUACCACGACUCCCACUAUCUCUUUCUCUGAGCUCUUUUUCCUGCAAAAAGUCAAAAGCGUUGAAGAGAGAAAAAAGAAGUAAAUAAAAGAAAAAAAAACUGAAAAGCAAACAAGCGGGAUAGAGUUUUUUUUUUAAUACUAUUUAAAUUUAUAAAAUUUGUAAUUAAAGUUUUCUGUGAUCCUUCACUUUUCAAGAAGUAUUUUUAUAAUUUUAUCUUGGCAAAUAUUUGUUUAGUCAUUAUAUUUCAACUUAAGUGUUUAUAUGAUUCUUAUAUUUUAAAGAAUACCUCAAAAUGAACUUACAGUUAAAUAUGUUCAUUCUUACCUUCAUUUUACUUUCCUUUUACAAUAACACUGUUUCAAAAAUAUUUUUAACAUUUUACAUAUAAAAAUUUAAUUAGUAAAUUUAAAAAAAUUAUUUAUUAGUAAAUAAAUUCAUAGAUAUCAACGUGAAAAUAGUAGUAUUUUUUAUUCAUAAGCAACAGUCUUCCUAAUAAUUAUUUAUAAAUAGAUUAGCCAACUUAAAGUACUUUUCAAUAUCCUUGCAACAAUCUCGCUGAUAAUUAUUUUAUAAAAUUAAUUUACCAAAUUAAUCUUAAAAGUAGAAUAAUAAUAAAGAUAUUUGUGUAAAUUUUUAUGUUACUAUUAGGAUUAAUUUGAUAAAUUAUCAUUUUUUUUAUUUUCAUUAAUAUCCACAAGAAUAUUGUUGUAAGGAUAUUGUUGUAAAAGGAUAGAAAAUGUAAGGGUGGGAGUAUAACAUAUUCAACAGUAGGAGUGUCUUGAGAUGUUUUUUUCCUUAAAUAUAUGGACUAAAUGGGCAGUUAUCGAAAAAUAUAGUGAGUAAAUGAGCAUUUACUUAUUUUAUCUUCAGCACCCCAUUUUAUCGUAAAUAUUGACAUUUACAUAAUUUACAGGGAAAUUACCAAUUUUCCCAAUCAAAAUAUACCACUUACCUUAAAUACAUUUUUAUUCAUACCUAUUGUAAAUUGAAUAAAUCAUAUAAAUGAAAUAAAAAUAAAAAUUUGAGUACUAAAAAUGAGAAAUAUAUGUUUCAAUGUAAAUAAAAAAUUAAUAAUAAAUAUUUUUCUUGUGCCUUUUGUUAUUCUUCAAAUACUUUUCUUAUAAUAAAUAUAUAUAUUGUAUUCCAAAAAUAAAUUCUUAAGUAAAUGACCUAUCUAUAUCUUUCUUUGUUUAAAUUUUGUGUGGUAGGAGAUUUUUGGAUACUAUGAAAAUAAUAUAGAGUAAGUAAUAUAUAUUGAUUUCAAUAAGUGAGAAACUAUGAAUCUCCCUAUAUUGAUUUUAAUAAGGGAAAACUAGCAGUGUCCCUAACUAAAAAAACUAUAGAUAAAUUUAAUUGUACACCUAAAUAAUUUCACAUGCAUUAUUAAUUUACUCUCAAUAUUUUAAAAAUUCAUUAAUCUACUCUACUAAUUAGAUUUUUCUUUAAAUUUAACCGUUGAGGGCAUGACAAAAUAAUGAUUAAUUAAACAAUCAACCGAUGAAGCCAACAUCUCAACAAAUCAUGGACAAACAAAGAGAUUAUAAUAAUUUUUGUUAUUUAGAGGCUUUGCGAUUUACCUGUAGAGGUAGAACUUUUUCAUUGAAUCCUUCAAUAAGAUAGUUAAUAGUAACUAAAAGCUUGAAGCAAAAUAUUUCCGGCACCACUAGCAAACCGGGAUCAGUUUGUAAUUACCAUGAGAACUAAUUAUCAUGGGUUUCGCCAAGUUUUUAAAACUAAAUUCUCUAAACCAAUCAAAUCUAUAAAACUCAAUUGUUGCAAUGGCUGUUUGGCAGCUGAGAAAUGAAGAAAGCGGAAGAAAAUGAGAGAGGAAGAGGGAGAAAAUAAAUACAUAAACAAGUAAAAUUAAAAUUAUAUUAGUGGAUAUUUUAGUCAUUUAAAGUUGUAAUAGGUAUCUUAGUCAAAUAAUAAAUUUGACAGUCCAUUUCUUCAUUUAAUAUCCGAAUGUUCUAAAGAGGUGGACAUCAACCAAUGUAAUAUCAAUAAUGAUAGAGCCACAAAUCGUUUUGUACAAAUUGAUGUAACAUGAAAAGAUUGGCUGAAAAGUAAUAACAAUUAUUAUUUUUUAAUUAUAUAGGCUAUGAUAGUUUUAUACAACUAAUCUUCUCAUACUACAUUAGUUUGUAUAAAUUUACUUGUACAAAAUGGUUGGACUCUAUCAUUACUCAUGUAGUAUUAUUAUUCUUUAAUUUUUUAUUUACCUUUUAGUCCUUCACUCUUUUCAAAAAUUUUUGGGGUAUUUUCAUAUUUUUAAAGUGUGUGAGUUGAAUUAUGCGAAACUUGAAAGGUUAUAUGAAAUUAUCCCUUGUUAAAAUUAAAUUAUCAUAUAAAUUAAGUGCUAAUUUGGUGAUGUUGUAGCUUUUAAAUAACUGUUGUUAGUUGUACUAUAAAAAUAAUUAGGUAUAAAGAAAAUCAAUUAAUCUUUUGGUGAAAUGUAUUUUUGGAAAAUUAUCAUUAUACCACCUUUGUUUUGCUUUAUGUUUAUCUAACCACCACAAAAUUCUAACAUGUUCUCUGCACCACCUUUUCUUUUUAAAUUUGUAUCAAUGAACCACUUCUGCACUAACACCGUUAAAUAAUUUAAACGAAUUAACAAUUUUACCUUUAAAUAAAUUAAAAAAUUAUUUUAUUUUAUAAAUACUUUGAAAAAUAAAAAAUUAGAAUUAUAAAAUACCCUAAAUUUAAUAAAAAAUAAAUCCCAAAAUUAGAAUUUUUAUUUUUAAUAAAAUUAUAUUUUAAUAAAAAAUAUAAAUAUAAAAACAAUUGCAAAAUUUUUGGAUCUGCUGUACGGCCAAGGCGGAUGUACGGUACAAUAACAAAAAUAUGAGAUAUCUGCUGUACCGUACAUCCGCCUUGGCCGUACAGCAGUUUUGGAUUUAAUAAAAAUAUCCUAAAUUAUUAAAAUUUUCGGAUUUUUUUAAUCAAUAAAUUCAGUUAUUUUAAUAAAAUUUUGCAAAAUUAUAAUUUUUUAAUAAAAAUAAUUAUUAAAAUUUUACAAAUCGAAGUUUAAUAAAUAUCAGCUAAUCACCUCUAUUUGAGAUUUAUUUUUUAUUAAAUUUAGGGGUAUUUUAUAAUUAUAAUUUUUUAUUUUUAAAGCUUUUAUAAAAUAAAAUAGUCUUUUAAUUUAUUUAGGGGUAAAAUUAUCAUUUCUUUUAAAUUAUUUAACGAUAUUAGUGCAAAAGUGGCUAAUUGAUACAAAUUUAAGAGGAAAUGUGUUGUAGAGAAUAUGUUAGAAUUUUAUGGUGGUUAGAUGAACAUAAGACAAAAUAAAGGUUGUGCAAUGAUAAUUUUCCUAUAUUUUUAAAAGUGCUGUGAGUUUUAAAAGCAGUCAUAUGCAUUUAUUAAAUCUUAUUAUUAAACUACUGUAACAAUAUAAAUGACUGAAUUGGACAUAAUGUUGAACAAAAAUUUAUUUACACUUCUAUAAACAUGUAUAUAAAAUAAUUUUUUAUUAUCUAUAUAUAAUAAUUGCUAUGUAAAAUAAAUAUUUUAUAAUACUAAUUUUAUUUUUUAUUUCAUUAUCUUAUAUAGUUGGUAAUAAAUAAUAAUAACUUUUUUAGCAGUAAUGAUUUUAUUUUUUAAUUAAUAAGGAUAAUUUUAGAUUUUUAUAACAUAUACGAGGAUAUAUAUAACAUUGUACUAAUUAUAAAAUUAAUUAUCAAAAUCAAAUUUCAAAAGCUAUUCAUUUUAUUCUUUUCAAAAUUUAUUGUAAAAUAGAGUGAUUUUGCUAAAAAUGAUUUCUAAAAAAAUUUACCAAACAAUUAAAUUAACUUUUAACCUUUAAAAAUCACUUUUGAUCUUCCUAAAAAUAAUUCCAAAUAUGCGCUAAGUUGCUACCAAAAUUUUACAAUGAAUUACUAUGAUUAAUAAAUUGUUAAUAAGGUCCAAAAUUAAUAAGGUCUAAAGGUGAUAAUUAUUUUAGUCUAAUUCGAAUCAAUUUUUAUGUAGCCACUUGUAGUUGUUGUUUAAUGAGGAGAUUCCGUUGUAUGGAAUUUAAUAAGUAUGCAAAUAUGCUAGGCAGCAACUUCAGCAGCUUAAUUAAUGAGGGAGCACUUUGAGCCAUAUCCUGUGCGAGUUUAUUUGAGUAGUUAAUAAUAGAUUAAUUUUGUCUAAGUAGACAGCUGUAUUAAUACCUAACAGACAGAUUUUGAUUAAUAAUAGAUAUCUAAUUUUUAUGUUAAAUUUCAUCUUAAACGAAGUGACAUGUAAUAUAUUAUUAAUCAAAUGGUGACAACAUUUAACAAGUUUUAAGAGAAUCAAUUAUAUUGUCUCACCAUAUUUCCGUGACUAGGCCAUAUAAUUUUCAAACAAUUUUAUUUAAUGGACCAUUUCAGUUUGAGUCCAGGGAAAGUAAGAGUUGACAAAAAAACUAUAUUUGGGCUUUGCCAACCCCUCUAUCUUUUAAAAAUUAAAAAAAAAAAGUUACAUUACCACAUUAUUUUUAAUAAAUUGUAAGAAAAAAUUUUAGAAUGUAUAACACUGUCUCAUAAAAAAGAAAAAAGAAUUAAUAAAGUCUCUGCUUUGGAAAAUACUAAAACUCUGAUAUUAAACUUACUAAUAUGAUGCAAGUUAGUUAAUUCGUUCACCCUGUAGUUCAAACUAUUAGUUGACGACCACCGUUGAUAUCAAGUUUGACAAUCUUUAAAAGUCGCUGUUCGUUUUAGAGUUGAGUAAUCAAUCAAUGCUUAUCAUCGAUAGAUGUCACUGAUUGCAUCAUUGCCGCUAAGGUGAAUGAGAUCGAUAAAUAAAUAAAGACAGCUGUUUCAGUAAUAGAAAUUGAAUUCUGUAAUUGCAAGACUCGAAGAUUUAAGAGGAAUUUUUAUAUUUAAUAAAGAAAGACUUUACACGAGCAUUGACUGAAAAGGGCAAAAAACAAAAAACCCUUCUAGCACAGUAACAUUUGCGAGCUGCAUCUGUGCAACCCAGCCCAUGUGGCCAAUAAACAAAAUUGUCUUUGAGUACGCACCCCAUUUGGUGUCGAUAUUGAACAAAUUUGUUUUGGGGAACGUUUUUGUUGACAACGACUACGGGUGAAUCCUGAUUAGUGAACCCCCAUUAGUUUAAAUAAGUGUUGACUAGACGACUGACGACCUCUCAACUCGAGUUCCAUUUUCCUUUCACAUCUCUUGUCAGGUUUUUUUUUUUUUUUUGCCCUUUCGGAGCUGCGAAUUGCAACCGUCACAUAUACAAAGAGGUAAUAAACUCUUUAGAGUUUAAACUUAACAGUUGUUUUUCUGUUUCUUAUCCUUCAAAAUUUCUCCCUAAUUUUUGGCUCCUUUUAUUUUUCAUGUUUGUCUGGAAGAAAAAUUUAUGGUGCUCCAAAAACACUGCUCCUUUUCUAUCUCCUUGCCACGUUCAUAAACGCGUGGCAAGCAAUGGAUGGAUAAUAAAGAGCAAUACUUUCCUAGUUUAAUUGACAUACAGGAGUCUGUACAUAGAUUAUUUUGUUGUUAAUACGUUCUUCUCCUAAACUUUGUUUGUAGACGAACAUGUCAGAAAGUGAGCAACACGAAGAGGAGGAUCCCUCCCAGCCCCAUAUUCAUGAUAUGAUGGCAAAACUCAUAAGACAACAAGACAAAAUGAUCAAACUAUUGGAACAAAUUGCGCAUAGUAGUGGCUCUAAAAAAGUUGGAGAGACAAGUAAUAAUGAAGAUGCUCCAGAAGAUGACAAAACAAGUAGUGAUGAAGAUGCUCCUGAAGAUGACAACCUGACGGGUACGUUAUGCUAUUACAUUAUAUUGUUCUUAUAUUUCUUGUUUAUGAUAUAUACCCAUUUAUUUUAAUGAAUGCAAAAACGUGAAAAUAACAGAGAAAUAAAGUUUCUGGAAUAAUGGGUUCGAGAAACUUGGGGGUAAAAAAAAAAGGUUUGCACAGUAAGUUCUUAGACUGAAUAUAUUUCAAAUAAAUUAAUAAUAUUUACAAAAUUAAUUAAUUAAAUCUUUGUAAUUUUUUCCUUCGUUACUUAAGUUUCUUGACUAUUUUGGACACUAAAGUUACCACAGUAAAAGAGUUCACUUAAUUAUCUUUUUUUUUUAGCGUAAAAGGACUAAAUUACCUAUAAAACUAUCAUAGCUUAUACAAAUUUUUUAUGAUGCUUACAUAUUAUGGCAUAAUAGCAUGUGUUUGCUUUUGAGAAUUUAAUUAUUUGAUGUUGUAUCAGGGAGAAGGAUAGUUAUAUUCCCAUAAUACGACCAAAUGGUCAUUAAGACCCUUUAUUUUUUUAAUAAUGAACAUCAAAAUCUCCUUACGUUUAUUUUUGCCAUUUAUUUGGAUCGUAAAAAGGGUAUUUCGGUACUUCUGCUCUUUGUCGACUUUGAAUUUAAACAAUGAGCCAGUUGUCUCUUUGUUUUUUUUUUUCCUCCUUUUUUUUAUAAGCUAACCUAGUUUGCCAAUAAUAAUUUAAAAGAAUGAUUUUAAGCUCCUUUGAUUCUGAGAUUAAAGGAAUGCACAUGGUUUAAAAAAAAAAGAAAAAAGGCAAGAGCAGUGGAAGCAAUUAAGCUUAUCAGAACUAAAAUUAAUAUCCAACAUUAAACCAUCACUUAUAAAACAAAUUAAAUAUAAUAAUUAAGCACCAUCAAUUAAUCAAAAACCCUAACAGCCGCCGUAUUCUUCUUCACUUUCACAUUCUUUAUCUUUUCCUCCAUAUUUUGCACAAAACAAAGGAAACUUUACCAAUUAUCGUUCUGGAAAUGCAAGCAAUUCAUGGUUUCCAAGACGACUAAUGCCUGUUGAAUUUGAAAAUUCUCUAACCCAUAAUCCAUGGCUUUGGCAAAUGUUCAAUUUUAGCUACUGAUUUUGCAUGCUUUGAUUCAUCAGUAUAUAUGUAUAUAAAAAAGGAUGAAUUUUAUUUUUCAUUUUUAGGUUAAUUGAAAUGUUUUUAAUUCAAUUUAAAACUUUGGAAAAACAGUCAAUAUGUCGUUCCACAUAUAGAAGAAACAAAUGCCAUGAUAUGAGCAUAACAAUAAAUUUAGCAUUUGACAUCCAUAUAAACGGCAAAAAGUAAUAGAAAGAGUUAUGGUGUUCAUUAGUGAAAACAAUUAGGGUCUAGAUGGCCAUUUUAUCAAACGAUGGGAGAUAUGAUUGUCAUUUUGCUUUUUAUGAAGAUAACAUAUUUCAAAUAAAUUUUCUAUUAAGAAACCUAUAAAAAAAAUCGAAGGCUCUAAAGGAUAAAAGAGAAAUUAAGAAUUUUUAGGGACGCAAUUAAUUAAAUUGUGUAAAAUAGCCAAAGACUGUGAUUGAAAUAUGGAAUUAAUAACCAAAGACUUUGACGCCCCUUCAAAGUCCCUUUGAACCUCAUCUUUAAAUAAACCCAAUUAGAUUAAUACUAAAAAGUUCCCUACUCACCUUAAUUUCAAAAACACCCUUCUUCGAAAUAACAAUUUCUCUUUCUAAAAAUGCUCAUAAAUGCAGUUUUUUUUUUUGUCUCUCAAUCCACCUUCCACAAAUUUGUUAAUAAACUCAACUUUUAUGAUGUCAAGAGCCAAUUUUUAAGGUACGACUAGCACAUUUUUGGAGAGUAUUGAACUUCAAAAGAUAUCUUAUUGAAUGUUAAGUUAUCGAUCUUUGAAAUAUUCCAUUUUAUCUUGACAUUAGAAUGAGAUUAAUAGUGAUGCAAAAAGUUUGCAGGCAAAAAUAGAUAAAUAAAUAAAAAGAAAAAGGAAAACGAAAAGAAGCUCUAUAAUGCAUAUGUGUGGGUUUAAGUAUGGGUAAAGAGAGUUUUGUGAUAGAGAAAAACGUAUCCUUUUUUUUUUUUUUUGAAUGAAAAGAAAUACAUUGGUUUACAUUUUUAACUUUAUUGUAAUUGCAAGAAUGAGGGUUUUUAUAGGAUCAAUGAAGGGGUACCAAUAGUGCCACUCUUACACAAAGUAUCCAUUAGGGUGGAGCUUUUUUCUUUUUCUUUUUUAAAUUACAAUUGAAAUUCUACACAAUCUCCUGAGUCAUGAUGGUAUAAUCCCAAAUAUUAAGAAGAAAAUCUACCUCUAAGUUGCAUAGGGGAGAACUUGAAACCUUGACCUCAAGAAUGCAAUAAGGAGGUAUCCCACCACUCAUAAUUUAUAUCUUAAUUCCGGACUUAAAUGUUCUCCCAAACUAUAAUUUUAUUAAAUGAGUUAAAAAGUCUACAUAAAAAAAAAAAAAGAUAACAGCAGUGGAAACCAAAUAUGGCACUGCGAAAACUAAAAAGAAAAAAUUGCAAUCACUGAGAAAUACUAAUUUGUCUAAUAUUUUCCAUUUCCAAUUAAAAGCAUGCAUGGUAGGACUUAAAUUAUUGAGUCAUCUAAUUUUUCACAGCAAAAUAUAAGUGGUGAUUGGUAGUUAUCAAGUUACAAAAUAUUAAAUCUUAAUGAUGUAAGAUGCUUAAUACCUCGAAUUUGCACUCAAAUGAUAAUCCAACCGGUCAGACACCUCUAACAUUGCGAACAUACUGCAAAGUGAAAUGGACAAGCCAGCCAUUUAGGUUUGAAAAUUAUAGGUUAUUUCAUCGCUAUUGAUCUUGAUUUUUAAUUUAUACUUGAAUUUGCUUUCAAAUGAUUAUAUAACGGGCUUUCCUUGUACCUUAAACUUAAUUUAUUUACAUAACUAUCGUCCUAUUUCAAAUUUACAGUACCAAUCAGACGUAGAAGAUUAAAAUUGUAUAGAGCUGCACUAACUGGCGACUGGGCGGUGGCUAGAGGUAUUUAUGACGUACAUGAGGGUGAAAUUAGAGCUCCGAUCUCAAAAAGAAAAGACACUGCUCUUCACAUUGCAGCUGCAGCAAAGCAAUAUGGUUUCGUGAAGGAACUUGUGCAAAGAAUGGAACCAGGAGAUUUAGCUCAGGAAAAUAAUGUUGGAUAUACAGCUCUUUUCUUUGCUGCAGCAUCCGGAAUGGUGGAACUGGCUAGAGAGAUUAUGACGCAUAAUAAAGCCAUAGCAACGGAACAAGAUGACAAGCGGGUGCUACCAAUUGACUUGGCUGCAUCAUUGGGCCAUGAAGAUAUGGUAGUGUACCUUUAUGGACAAAUUAAAAAUUCCUUGAAUGAUGAAGAUCGCCGCCACUUACUUCUCACGUUGAUACAAACUGAUUUGUAUGGUAAGCACUGUUUUUAAUUCAUUAUCUUCACAGAUUGCUGCGGUACUAAUGAAUACAUUUUGUCCAGAUGUUGCAUUGCGGGUGUUUGAGGAUCUGCACGAGAAGUCGGCCAUUGGUCGCGCUGCAAAUGAAGAGACAGCACUACAUGCUUUGGCUCGAAAGAAUCUGAAUUAUUCUCAUUUUACCAAACAAUAUCAGCGAGGAUUUUUUAGUAGGGUCUUCAAUCUGGGUUGGUCCUACGAACCCUAGAACUCUUUAGGCUUUAGCAUUUAUUUCUUGUCAUACUUUAACAAUCUUGGUUAUUUAUUUCGCUGCUUUGUGUUUUGCAAUUGGAAAUUUCAGGUGCCAAAGAUAUAGAAAAUAAAAGGCAGAAAGCACUUAAAUUAGUCCAACGCCUUUGGGAAAAAGUUGUAUUGUUGAGUGAUUCACGCAUUUCAAACCUAAUUGCAGAACCCGAACUAAUAUUUGAUGCUGCGAGACAAGGAAACCUCGAGUUUCUAUUGAUACUUAUUCGUGAAUAUCCUGAUCUGAUAUGGAACAUUGAUGAAAAUGGUUAUACCAUAUUUCAUACUGCUGUUUUGCAUCGUCGAAAACGUAUCUUCAAGCUUAUAUAUCAGAUAGGUGCAGCAAAAGAUUUGAUACUUAAGUUCGAAGACCCAAAAAAAAACAAUAUUCUACAUUUAGCUGCAAUGUUGCCACCACAAGAUCGACUCAAUAUUGUUUCAGGAGCAGCUCUCCAAAUGCAACGGGAGUUAUUGUGGUUUGAGGUGAAAUUAUUUGUUCAGCACUCUGCUACUAUAGUCCUCGGAAAUUUUUUUUUUUUUUUUUAUAAACUCACGUUAAUGGUUUUCCAUUUUAUAGCUUUAGCUAAUCUUUUUUUUUUUUUUUAAUAUCUUUUUUUAUUCUACUGAUUGUUUUUCCUUUAUCUUAGUUCGCUUACGAUUUCCAUUUUAUAACUUAACGGGACUAGGUGCCUGUUUUAUUAAUAAGUUUCAUCUUACACUAUAACUGUAGGAAGUGGAAAAGGCUGUUCAACGACGAUCUGCUGAGGCCAAAAACGAAGAUGGUCUUAGUCCUAGAGCAUUAUUUACUAGGAAACACGAAAACCUGAGAGAACAAGGGGAGAAAUGGAUGAAGGAUACUGCAACAUCUUGCAUGCUUGUGGCGACACUUAUAGCCACCGUCGUUUUCGCGGCAGCUUUUACAGUGCCAGGAGGCAACAAAGGAGACACGGGGUUUCCUUUCUUCCUGGAAAAAGUUUCAUUCAAGAUUUUUGCCAUAUCGGAAGCAAUAUCACUGGUAUCGUCCUCUGCAUCUAUAGUAAACUUCUUAUCCAUUCUCACUUCUCGGUAUACAGAAAAAGAUUUCCUUCGCCUGUUGCCUAAAAAGUUGCUUAUUGGACUUGCAACACUUUUCGUGUCAAUAGCAGCAAUGAUGGUAGUGUUUUCUGCAGCAUUUUUCAUUGUCUUCAAGGACAGUAGAUUGUGGGUAGCUAUUCUAGUUACGGUAAUUGCUUCCAUUCCAGUCAUCAUGUUUAUUGUGCAACAUUGCCAACUCCUUUGUGAUGUCGUACGAUCCACCUACGUAUCAAAUUCUCUCUUCCAGAGAGAUAAAAUUAGUCUUUUCCAUAAAGAAGAUGAAGCAAGUGAACGUCAGCGGAUGACCAAGUUAUGCAAUGGACGUUUGGCUAUUCAAUGCUUAAAUGUUCAAGCUAGAGAGUGGCAGCUGGUUUGAAGACGCUCUUACCAAAUUUUACUAAAAACCUCUCCACACAAUGUAAGCUUGGACACCGAGUCAACUUAAAUUCUCGUUUGAAACAUAAAAUAUUGAUAAAUGUUGCAGCAACAACAAUAAUACAUCAUCUUGUUUCAGUUGAGGAAGAGAUUCUGUAGCUGGUUCAGCUCUUAUCAAUUAGUUCUUACUUACAAAAGUUCGAAAUAUAGACGUCAGAGUUAGAAAAUAAUAAGAGAAGUUAGCUUAUUGUCACGGGAUGAGUGUUUUGCGCAGCUAACCCGUGCGGGACUUAGACAACUUUGUCGAAUAUUGCUAAGUAAGCCUAGAGCUUCUCGAACUAGAGAAGAGAACAAUUGAGCCAAAGAAGAAAACUUGUAUUGCACAAAGAGAGAAUACAAUGCUUGAGUUGCUUACAAUGUUUGUUGGAUACAAAUGCCUAAUGCUAGGGGUGGGCAAACGGUUCGGUUUUUGCCGAACCGAACCGAACCGAACCGAAAAAUUCGGUUCGGUUCAGUUCUAUGAGCAAAAACCGAAUGGUUUAAAAAAUACUGAACCGAUUGGUUUUAAUUCGGUUCGGUUCAAAACCGAAUUGAACCAAAAAACCGAUCGGUUCGGUUUAAUUCAAUUACAAAUAUUUAAAAUCAAAUUUCAAUUUCAAUCACAAAAUUCAAAUCCCUAAAGCUAAAUCGCGAUUGCAUACUGCCCUUGCCUCUCUCCCUCGUGCCUCUCCCUCGCGUCUCUCUCCUCACGGCGGAGCUCCACAACGGCGGCACCACCCCUCGGCAGUAUCUUCCCCCUCUGCGCGUGCAUGGUGCGGUUCGCCUCAGCCCCUCUCGGUCUCUUCCUCGCGUCUCUUCCUCAUCUCACACCACGGUCAGCGCCUAACACAGCCCCUUAGUAGCAGCACAGCCCCUCCCCUCAAGUACAGCGACGCCGUCGUUAACCCUCAGCUUGGUUGCUGCAGCAUCUGGAAGGUACAUAUGCUCUUUGGUCCAAACCUCCUGGCUCCUGCCAUCAGCCCGCGUCUUUAAUCUUCACUGCUGCAGGUUUUUUUUUUUUUUGUUAAUCCAUGUUGUGGACUUGGUUAAUAGUUUGAAGUUUAUGUUGGUGUAUAUUGGUUGUUGGCAGUGUGGAAAUUGGAAUUGUAUAAUUGUAUAUGUGUCGAAUUGUAACAUAGUGUGGAAUUGCUGGCACGGCAGUGUGGAAUUGUAUAAGUUAUGAGAAAACGAUCGUGAAAUGAUUCUAAUUUCAUUGACUAUGAUUAAUUUGGGAAAAAAGCUUUACAAUGAUUCCGUGUCUGUUUGUGUUUGAAAGGAAUGUUUUUGUAUUGGUAAGCCAUUCAGUGAUUCCAGGAGCAGAAUCACAGUAAGCUCCCCAGACACAAUUAUUCUAAGCCUUUAAAAAUUUGUAGACUAGUUUUUCAAUUUCUUUUAGAUUUUCUCUUCUCACAGUUUAAGCGUUGCUCAUGCCACUGGAAUUGGUUACUUCAAUUCCAUUACUAGGCCGAAUAAUUAAAUGAAAUAGAGCUUGUGCCUUUCUUGUGGAGCCUUACAUAUUAAAUUUGAUUCAAUAAUAAAUAUUAAGAAUAUUCAAUUGAAUAUAACUUGCAGAAGGUAUAUUUUGUAAAACUUUAAUUUAAAUUUCUGUAAUGGCUUGGGAAAGUUGAUUGAGAUUAUCCAAAUGUGCUUAAUUCAGUUCAAUACUUCAAAUUAUUAAAUAAAUCAUUUUUCUUAUUUCUUUUUAUUUGAUUUAUUUUAGAUGUCUAAUUAUUCAAGAGUUCAAGACAACCUUGAUUGUGUAGCCGAUGAUUUGGAACAUGAAGUUGAAGUUAAUGAUAAUGAAAAUGAUUCGNNNNNNNNNNNNNNNNNNNNNNNNNNNNNNNNNNNNNNNNNNNNNNNNNNNNNNNNNNNNNNNNNNNNNNNNNNNNNNNNNNNNNNNNNNNNNNNNNNNNNNNNNNNNNNNNNNNNNNNNNNNNNNNNNNNNNNNNNNNNNNNNNNNNNNNNNNNNNNNNNNNNNNNNNNNNNNNNNNNNNNNNNNNNNNNNNNNNNNNNNNNNNNNNNNNNNNNNNNNNNNNNNNNNNNNNNNNNNNNNNNNNNNNNNNNNNNNNNNNNNNNNNNNNNNNNNNNNNNNNNNNNNNNNNNNNNNNNNNNNNNNNNNNNNNNNNNNNNNNNNNNNNNNNNNNNNNNNNNNNNNNNNNNNNNNNNNNNNNNNNNNNNNNNNNNNNNNNNNNNNNNNNNNNNNNNNNNNNNNNNNNNNNNNNNNNNNNNNNNNNNNNNNNNNNNNNNNNNNNNNNNNNNNNNNNNNNNNNNNNNNNNNNNNNNNNNNNNNNNNNNNNNNNNNNNNNNNNNNNNNNNNNNNNNNNNNNNNNNNNNNNNNNNNNNNNNNNNNNNNNNNNNNNNNNNNNNNNNNNNNNNNNNNNNNNNNNNNNNNNNNNNNNNNNNNNNNNNNNNNNNNNNNNNNNNNNNNNNNNNNNNNNNNNNNNNNNNNNNNNNNNNNNNNNNNNNNNNNNNNNNNNNNNNNNNNNNNNNNNNNNNNNNNNNNNNNNNNNNNNNNNNNNNNNNNNNNNNNNNNNNNNNNNNNNNNNNNNNNNNNNNNNNNNNNNNNNNNNNNNNNNNNNNNNNNNNNNNNNNNNNNNNNNNNNNNNNNNNNNNNNNNNNNNNNNNNNNNNNNNNNNNNNNNNNNNNNNNNNNNNNNNNNNNNNNNNNNNNNNNNNNNNNNNNNNNNNNNNNNNNNNNNNNNNNNNNNNNNNNNNNNNNNNNNNNNNNNNNNNNNNNNNNNNNNNNNNNNNNNNNNNNNNNNNNNNNNNNNNNNNNNNNNNNNNNNNNNNNNNNNNNNNNNNNNNNNNNNNNNNNNNNNNNNNNNNNNNNNNNNNNNNNNNNNNNNNNNNNNNNNNNNNNNNNNNNNNNNNNNNNNNNNNNNNNNNNNNNNNNNNNNNNNNNNNNNNNNNNNNNNNNNNNNNNNNNNNNNNNNNNNNNNNNNNNNNNNNNNNNNNNNNNNNNNNNNNNNNNNNNNNNNNNNNNNNNNNNNNNNNNNNNNNNNNNNNNNNNNNNNNNNNNNNNNNNNNNNNNNNNNNNNNNNNNNNNNNNNNNNNNNNNNNNNNNNNNNNNNNNNNNNNNNNNNNNNNNNNNNNNNNNNNNNNNNNNNNNNNNNNNNNNNNNNNNNNNNNNNNNNNNNNNNNNNNNNNNNNNNNNNNNNNNNNNNNNNNNNNNNNNNNNNNNNNNNNNNNNNNNNNNNNNNNNNNNNNNNNNNNNNNNNNNNNNNNNNNNNNNNNNNNNNNNNNNNNNNNNNNNNNNNNNNNNNNNNNNNNNNNNNNNNNNNNNNNNNNNNNNNNNNNNNNNNNNNNNNNNNNNNNNNNNNNNNNNNNNNNNNNNNNNNNNNNNNNNNNNNNNNNNNNNNNNNNNNNNNNNNNNNNNNNNNNNNNNNNNNNNNNNNNNNNNNNNNNNNNNNNNNNNNNNNNNNNNNNNNNNNNNNNNNNNNNNNNNNNNNNNNNNNNNNNNNNNNNNNNNNNNNNNNNNNNNNNNNNNNNNNNNNNNNNNNNNNNNNNNNNNNNNNNNNNNNNNNNNNNNNNNNNNNNNNNNNNNNNNNNNNNNNNNNNNNNNNNNNNNNNNNNNNNNNNNNNNNNNNNNNNNNNNNNNNNNNNNNNNNNNNNNNNNNNNNNNNNNNNNNNNNNNNNNNNNNNNNNNNNNNNNNNNNNNNNNNNNNNNNNNNNNNNNNNNNNNNNNNNNNNNNNNNNNNNNNNNNNNNNNNNNNNNNNNNNNNNNNNNNNNNNNNNNNNNNNNNNNNNNNNNNNNNNNNNNNNNNNNNNNNNNNNNNNNNNNNNNNNNNNNNNNNNNNNNNNNNNNNNNNNNNNNNNNNNNNNNNNNNNNNNNNNNNNNNNNNNNNNNNNNNNNNNNNNNNNNNNNNNNNNNNNNNNNNNNNNNNNNNNNNNNNNNNNNNNNNNNNNNNNNNNNNNNNNNNNNNNNNNNNNNNNNNNNNNNNNNNNNNNNNNNNNNNNNNNNNNNNNNNNNNNNNNNNNNNNNNNNNNNNNNNNNNNNNNNNNNNNNNNNNNNNNNNNNNNNNNNNNNNNNNNNNNNNNNNNNNNNNNNNNNNNNNNNNNNNNNNNNNNNNNNNNNNNNNNNNNNNNNNNNNNNNNNNNNNNNNNNNNNNNNNNNNNNNNNNNNNNNNNNNNNNNNNNNNNNNNNNNNNNNNNNNNNNNNNNNNNNNNNNNNNNNNNNNNNNNNNNNNNNNNNNNNNNNNNNNNNNNNNNNNNNNNNNNNNNNNNNNNNNNNNNNNNNNNNNNNNNNNNNNNNNNNNNNNNNNNNNNNNNNNNNNNNNNNNNNNNNNNNNNNNNNNNNNNNNNNNNNNNNNNNNNNNNNNNNNNNNNNNNNNNNNNNNNNNNNNNNNNNNNNNNNNNNNNNNNNNNNNNNNNNNNNNNNNNNNNNNNNNNNNNNNNNNNNNNNNNNNNNNNNNNNNNNNNNNNNNNNNNNNNNNNNNNNNNNNNNNNNNNNNNNNNNNNNNNNNNNNNNNNNNNNNNNNNNNNNNNNNNNNNNNNNNNNNNNNNNNNNNNNNNNNNNNNNNNNNNNNNNNNNNNNNNNNNNNACCACCCCUCGGCAGUAUCUUCCCCCUCUGCGCGUGCACGGUGCGGUUCGGCUCAGCCCCUCACGAUCUCUUCCUCGCACAGCCCCUCAGUAGCAGCACAGCCCUUCCCCUCACUGCUGCAGGUUAUUUUGUUUAAUCUAUGUUGUGGCCUCUGUGUUUGAAUUGAAGCUUAUGUGGGGUUAAAUUUGUGGAGGUGUUGGUGAUGGUGUAUAUCGGUUGCUGGCAGUGUGGAAUUGUACAAGUAAAAUAGUUGUGUAAUUGUAUAUUGUGAGAAACUAAGAAUAUUGAUAUGUAAAUAGUUGUAUAAUUGUAUAUUGUGAGAAUAUUGAUAUGAAUUCGGAAUUUGGAUACAGAAAAAUGAGAAUGUUUCCUUUCAGACAUCUUUGCUUAGCAUGACCUGCCAUUUUAUAUUUUUAUGUACUGUUUUUUUAUUGACUUGGUUGCCUAAAAAUUAUGAUCUUCAUCGCAAUGGCAUCAUAGAUUUUUAAAUUAGCUUGUUACUAUGAGUUGAUAUGCAACAGUGAACACUUACAAUAUCUAACUUUGAUGGGUAAACUGUGACUAGCCAGAACUUAUGUAGUUAAAAGAUAACUAAUUUUUCCUGGAAUGCACCUAUUGCACCAUAUAUCUGGUUGUUACAGAAUUGGUUGCGGACUUCUCUUUUCGUGGAUACAACGACGGACCUAAAUAAAUUAGUUGAAGACAAUGAGUUUAUGGAUCAACUUGCGGAAGGUAUAUUUUGUAAAAUUUUAAUUUUAAUUUACUUUUUAAGUAUUAUCAAUAUUAUAUAAUUUGUUUAAUUUUAAUCUAAGUUUAUUUUUUAAGUAUUACUAACCUUGUUCAAUUUGUCCAAUUUUUGUAUGUAGAACUUCGCAAAUCAACAACAGUCGACCAACUUUGUAGGUCAACAUGAAAAUUGCGGUUGAACAUAAACCAUUUUAGGUAAUUAAAUUGAUAUAUAUUUAUUAAUUAAUUAUUAAAUCGCUUUAUUUUAUUUAGUUUAAUUAUUGAGUGCUUUGGCUUAUUUUGAAAGUUUGAAUUUUGAUGUAGGUGAUGUGGGUGGCGGAUGAAAUUGUUGCUUGUGUAUUGAAGUUGAAGGCUUCUCUUAUUUUGUUUUGUUUAGAGUAUGGGAUUUUCAUGUAGAUGAUGUGGGUGGUGGAUGAAAUUGUUGUUUCUCUUAUUUUGUUAUUUACUUGAUGGCUUUGUAUUAGGACUUUUGUUAUUUUGUUUUUUACUUGAAGGCUUUGUAUUUGAAGUUGUUAAUUGUGUAUUGCAGACUUAUUGUGUUUUAUUUUUCUUGUUGUGAACUUAUAUUCUGUAAAAUGUAGGGAAAAUUUGUAAAAUGCAGUAAAAUUAGGCGAAAAUUGUAAAAUGUAGUAAGAUUUGGUUAAAACUGUAAAAUCCAUAAAUAUGUGCGAACCGAACCGAACCGAAAUAUUUCGAUUCGGUUCGGUUCGGUUCUAAAAUUCGGUUCGAUUUGGUUUGAAUUUUUUAGAACCAAUUGGUUCUGGUUUGGUUCGGUUCGGAGCCCGAACCGAACCGAACCGGAAAAUGCCCACCCCUACCUAAUGCCAUCCCAUAUUUAUAGGGGAGGCUUUGCCUAACUUUGCCUAACUUUGCCAAACUUGGUCAAACUCUAGAGUAUUCUACAAUUUCCUAGCUAUUUACAUGUGUUGGAAUUGUAUAAAGUAUUCUAGAAUAUUUACAUGUUCACAUGUGCUAGAGUUGCCUAAAACCUUCCGGAAUUGGGCCAAGCUAGCACUCUUGGCCUUGUGUUGGCUCUCUAGCCCGAAAUUGUGGGCAAAUGGGCUAGCGAAUUGGGCGGUCCGCAACAUCCUCCCCCACCUAAGCUCGCGGCGUCUUCGUCGCGCUCUCGUGCUUGAAAUUCUGGAUGUGCUCAGCGAAUUGCCACAAGUCAUCUUCACGUUCCCAAGUGGCUUCGCUCUCGGGGAGGUUUUUCCACUUCACCAAGUACUCGCUAUGUGCUGGCACGCCCCUCCUCGAAACCGUGUGGUCCGCAAUGAUGUAGUCCACAUCUUUGUCGAAUGCGGUGACAACGGCAGUUGGCGCGCGCCUCGAUUCUCUGCGACUUGGUUCUCCCAUGUCUUCGUGAUAUGGCUUGAGAAGGCUCACAUGGAAGACCGGAUGGAUCUUGAGUCUUGGCGGAAGUUGGAGUUGAUACGAAACGUUGCCCACACGUCGAACAACUUGAAAGGGUCCCUCGUAGCGCCUCACUAACCCCUUGUGGACUUUCCGCAAAGUCUUGAACUGUUGGGGUAGGAGCUUGAUCAUGACUUGAUCACCUUCCUUGUACUCAACAUGCCGUCUCCUUAUAUCCGCCCAUUUCUUCAUUUUCCUCGCGGCUUUGUCGAGGUAGGCUCGCGUGAUGUCCGCUUCCUCAUGCCAUUCGCGGGCGAGCUUGUGUGCCGCGGGGCUUUUCCCUCCGUAAGUCGAGGCUAUGGCAUUGGGGGUCAUGGGCUGGAAUCCCAUGAUGAUCUCGAAUGGACUCUUGCCCGUAGCCUCACUUCGCUGCAAGUUAUAAGAAAAUUGGGCGAUGUCAAGUAGUUUCGCCCAAUCCCGCUGAUGAGCGCUCAAAUAAUACCUCAAGUACAUCUCAAGGAGGCCAUUGAUGCGCUCGGUCUGCCCAUCCGUUUGUGGGUGGAAGCUUGUCAAGAACUUGAGAUCGGUCCCCAACAUCUUGAAGAGCUCCGUCCAAAAACGCCCAGUGAACCGAGGGUCUUGGUCGCUCACAAUGCUCUUCGGAACUCCCCAAAGCUUCACAAUGUGCUUGACAAAUAGGCGGGCUGCCUCGUCCGCUUUGCAAUCGACUGGUGCGGCAAUGAAUGUGGCGUACUUGUUGUAUCGGUCGACAACGACCAUGAUGCUACCGCAACCUUCGGACUUGGGCAGCGAAGUAAUGAAGUCCAUGGAGACACUUUCCCAUGGCCUUGUUGCUAGUGGUAGCGGCUCCAGUAAUCCCGCUGGAAGUUGAUGAUCCACCUUGUCUUGUUGGCACACAAGACAAGUUCGCACAACCUUCUUUGAUGUGUGAGAUAAGGUCGGACUUCGGUUGGCUCAUGCUAAGUGUUGCCAAUUUCGCCUUGCGGCUUAGAGCGUCCGCAACGACAUUGGCUUUCCCUGGUUUGUACUCGAGUCGAUAGUCAAAUUCCGCUAGAAAAUCUUGCCACCGUGCUUGCUUCGAACUCAACUUCUUUUGAGUUUGAAAGUAGCUUGUCGCCACGUUGUCCGUCAUGAUUGUGAAGUGCGAGCCAAGCAAGUAAUGUCGCCACACUCUUAGACAAUGGAUGAUGGCUGUCAUCUCCUUUUCUUGCACCGUGUAGCGGCGUUCUGCAUCAUUUAGCUUUCGACUCUCGAACGCUAGAGGGUGGCCUUCUUGCAUGAGGACUCCUCCUAUGGCGAAAUCCGAGGCAUCCGUUUGCACUUCGAAGGGCUUUGUGUGGUCCGGAAGGGCGAGGACUGGUUCCUCCGAAAUUGCCUUCUUCAACUCCUCGAAUGCGCGUUGGCACUCUUCGGACCAAUGCCACGUUCUGUUUUUCUUGAGCAUAUCCGUCAAGGGUGCCACCUUAGCUGAAUAGCCCUUGAUGAAGCGGCGGUAGUAAUUCACCAGUCCAAGGAAUGAGCGAAGUUCGGGUACUUUUGAGGGAGGCUCCCAAUCGAGGAUGGCUUUUACUUUGUCAUUCUCCAUCAUGAUCUUCCCGCCCGCAAUCUUGUGGCCAAGGAACUCCACCUCUUGUUGGGCAAACGAGCACUUCUCUAGUUUGAGGAAGAGCUCAUUGUCUCGAAGUACUUAGAGGACUUGUCGCAAGUGUUGGGCAUGAUCCUCGAGCGUGGUGCUAUACACCACUAUGUCAUCCAAGUACACGACCACGAAGCGGUCGAGGAAUGGUUGGAGCACCUUGUUCAUGAGUGUGCAAAAUGUGGCGGGGGCAUUAGGAAGGCCAAAAGGCAUCACAAGGAAUUCAAAAGACCCGUACCUUGUUGUGCACGCUGUCUUCGGUUCGUCUCCCUUGGCGAUGCGCACUUGGUAGUACCCGGAGCGCAAGUCAAAUUUGGUGAAGUACCGUGCUUUGCCAAGUUAGUCGAACAAGUCCGCAAUCAAUGGAAUCAUAUACUUGUUCUUGAUGGUGCUCUUGUUGAGUGCUCUAUAGUCGAUGCACAUCCAUAGCGAUCCAUCCUUUUUCUUUUGGAAGAGGACCGGUGCACCGAAUGGGGCCUUUGAGGGGCGAAUGUAGCUUGCGUCCAACAAGUCUUUGAGUUGUCUCUGCAACUCCUCUAAUUCGGGUGGCGCCAUGCGGUAGGGCGCCAAGGCUGGUGGCUUCGGUACUUGUUGUAUCGGUCGACAACGACCAUGAUGCUACCGCAACCUUCGGACUUGGGCAGCGAAGUAAUGAAGUCCAUGGAGACACUUUCCCAUGGCCUUGUUGCUAGUGGUAGCGGCUCCAGUAAUCCCGCUGGAAGUUGAUGAUCCACCUUGUCUUGUUGGCACACAAGACAAGUUCGCACAUAUGCCUCGAUGUCGUCCCUCAUGUGCGGCCAAAAAUACGAGGCUUGGACUAGUGCGGUGGUGCGCUCAAUUCUUGGGUGACCAGCCCACUUGGAGUCGUGGCACUCCUUGAUUACUUCCUUCCGCAAGUUUCCGAAUGGAGACUAAGAAGCUUGGGUCCUUCUUGAAAGCCUUCUUGAAUUGCAUGGCGGAGAGUGUCUUCUCCUCGGACUUGCCUCGUUUCGUGAGAACCAUGCAUGCUUUACUCCCGUCGAGGAUGCUUAGGGAGUUUGUAGCGGGCAGUGGGAAGGCAUGGACUUGGUCGAAGAAUUCCAUGCCGAGGACCAUCUUGAAGUCGUCCAUGGGCACGAUGGAGAAGUCAAGCUUUCCGCUCCACGUACCAAGUGUGAUGUGCACGCCUUGUGCGAUUCCCGCAAUUGGCUUGGCGGGUGAGUUCACAGCCUUCAUUGUGCCUCCUUCCUUGGUGGCCUUGAGGCCUAAACGCUUGGCCUCAUCUACGGACACGAAAUUGUGUGUUGCUCCCGUGUCUAGCAGCGCACGAACGGACUGACCGUUUACCUUUGCGCUUACAUACAUGAGCCCUUUCUUGACGAGUGCGGGCUGUUGGCGAUUGAGUGCGCCGAGGCGUUGGAGAGAACCCAUGCUGAGUUGGGGUUCCUCCGUGGACAUUGUGGGGUUGCUCUUGAGUUGGGCAAGUUUGCGGAAGCUGGACUUGUGGAGAGUGUGCCUGCUGUACCGUACAUCCGCCUUGGCCGUACAGCAGUUUCGACUCUCGAACGCUAUUGGGUGGCCUUCUUGCAUAAGGACUCCUCCUAUGGCGAAAUCCGAGGCAUCCGUUUGAACUUCAAAUGGCUUGGUGUGGUCCGGAAGAGCGAGGACUGGUUCCUCCAAAAUUGCCUUCUUCAACUCCUCGAAGGCGCGUUGGCACUCUUCGGACCAAUGCCAUGUUCUGUUUUUCUUGAGCAUAUCCGUCAAGGGUGCCACCUUAGCUGAAUAGCCCUUGAUGAAGCGGCGGUAGUAAUUCACCAGUCCAAGGAAUGAGCGAAGUUCGGGUACUUUUGAGGGAGGCUCCCAAUCGAGGAUGGCUUUUACUUUGUCAUUCUCCAUCAUGAUCUUCCCGCCCGCAAUCUUGUGGCCAAGGAACUCCACCUCUUGUUGGGCAAACGAGCACUUCUCUAGUUUGAGGAAGAGCUCAUUGUCUCGAAGUACUUGGAGGACUUGUUGCAAGUGUUGGGCAUGAUCCUCGAGUGUGGUGCUAUACACCACAAUGUCGUCCAAGUACACGACCACGAAGCGGUCGAGGAAUGGUUGGAGUACCUUGUUCAUGAGUGUGCAAAAUGUGGCGGGUGCAUUAGUAAGGCCAAAAGGCAUCACAAGAAAUUCGAAAGACCCGUACCUUGUUGUGCACGCUGUCUUCGGUUCGUCUCCCUUGGCGAUGCGCACUUGGUAGUACCCAGAGCGUAAGUCAAGUUUGGUGAAGUACCGCGCUUUACCAAGCUGGUCGAACAAGUCCGCAAUCAAGGGAAUCGGAUACUUGUUCUUGAUAGUGAUCUUGUUGAGCGCUCUAUAGUCGAUGCACAUCCACAGCGAUCCAUCCUUUUUCUUUUGGAACUUUGCAAUCGACGGGUGCGGCAAUGAAUGUAGCAUACUUGCUGUAUCGGUCGACAACGACCAUGAUGCUACCGCAACCUUCGGACUUGGGCAGCGAUGUGAUGAAGUCCAUGGAGACACUCUCCCAUGGCCUUGUUGCUAGUGGUAGCGGCUCUAACAGUCCCGCUGGAAGUUGAUGAUCCACCUUGUCUUGUUGGCACACAAGACAAGUUCGCACAUAUGCCUCGAUGUCGUCCCUCAUGUGCGGCCAGAAAUACGAGGCUUGGACUAGUGCGGUGGUGCGCUCAAUUCCUGGGUGACCAGCCCACUUGGAGUCGUGGCACUCCUUGAUUACUUCCUUCCGCAAGUUUCCCCACCUUGGCACGAACAGCCGAUCUCCCUUGGUGAGGAGGAUGCCUUCCUCUUGCCAAAACCGCCUUGUCUUUCCUUCGAGCACCUUCUCCAGCAAAUCCUUUGCUAGCGGAUCUUGUUGGAGGCCUUCCUUGAUGCGUGAGACAAGGUCGGACUUCGGUUGGCUCAUGCUAAGUGUUGCCAAUUCCGCCUUGCGGCUUAGAGCGUCCGCAACAACAUUGGCUUUCCCCGGUUUGUACUCUAGCCGAUAGUCGAAUUCCGCAAGGAAAUCUUGCCACCGUGCUUGCUUCGGACUCAACUUCUUUUGAGUUUGAAAGUAGCUUGUCGCCACGUUGUCCGUCAUGAUCGUGAAGUGUGAGCCAAGCAAGUAAUGUCGCCACACUCUUAGACAAUGGAUGAUGGCUGUCAUCUCUUUCUCUUGCACCGUGUAGCGGCGUUCCGUGUCAUUUAGCUUUCGACUCUCGAACGCUAUUGGGUGGCCUUCUUGCAUAAGGACUCCUCCUAUGGCGAAAUCCGAGGCAUCCGUUUGAACUUCAAAUGGCUUGGUGUGGUCCGGAAGAGCGAGGACUGGUUCCUCCGAAAUUGCCUUCUUCAACUCCUCGAAUGCACGUUGACACUCUUCGGACCAAUGCCACGUUCUGUUUUUCUUGAGCAUAUCCGUCAAGGGUGCCGCCUUGGCUGAAUAGCCCUUAAUGAAGCGGCGGUAGUAAUUCACCAGCCCAAGGAAUGAGCGAAGCUCGGGUACUUUCGAGGGAGGCUCCCAAUCGAGGAUGGCCUUUACUUUGUCAUUCUCCAUCAUGAUCUUCCCGCCCGCAAUCUUGUGGCCAAGGAACUCCACCUCUUGUUGGGCAAAUGAGCACUUCUCUAGUUUGAGGAAGAGCUCAUUGUCUCGAAGUACUUGGAGGACUUGUUGCAAGUGUUGGGCAUGAUCCUCGAGUGUGGUGCUAUACACCACAAUGUCGUCCAAGUACACGACCACGAAGCGGUUGAGGAAUGGUUGGAGUACCUUGUUCAUGAGUGUGCAAAAUGUGGCGGGGGCAUUAGUAAGGCCAAAAGGCAUCACAAGGAAUUCGAAAGACCCGUACCUUGUUGUGCACGCUGUCUUCAGUUCGUCUCCCUUGGCGAUGCGCACUUGAUAAUACCCGGAGCGCAAGUCAAGUUUGGUGAAGUACCGUGCUUUGCCAAGCUGGUCGAACAAGUCCGCAAUCAAGGGAAUCGGAUACUUGUUCUUGAUGGUGAUCUUGUUGAGCGCUCUAUAGUCGAUGCACAUCCGCAGCGAUCCAUCCUUUUUCUUUUGGAAGAGGACCGGUGCACCGAAUGGGGCCUUUGAGGGGCGAAUGUAGCCUGCAUCCAGCAAGUCUUUGAGUUGUCUCCGCAACUCCUCUAAUUCAGGUGGCGCCAUGCGGUAGGGUGCCAAGGCUGGUGGCUUUGCGCCUUGUUCCAGUUCAAUCGCAUGAUCUACCUCUCGCGGAGGUGGGAGCUUCUUCGGAAGUUCUGGAGGCAUCACAUCCUUGUAAUAUUCGAGGACGGCUUGAAUUCGUGGAGGGACUUGGUUUGGCGACGUUCCGCUAUUUCCUUCCUCAUUUAGUUCCCGAAUGGAGACUAAGAAGCUUGGGUCCUUUUUGAAAGCCUUCUUGAAUUGCAUGGCGGAGAGUGUCUUCUCCUCGGACUUGCCUCGCUCCGUGGGUACCAUGCAUGCUUUACUCCCGUCGAGGAUGCUUAGGGAGUUUGUAGCGGGCAGUGGGAAGGCAUGGACUUGGUCGAAGAAUUCCAUGCCGAGGACCAUCUUGAAGUCAUCCAUGGGCACAAUGGAGAAAUCAAGCUUUCCGCUCCACGUACCGAGUGUGAUGUGCACGCCUUGUGCAAUUCCCGCAAUUGGCUUGGCGGGUGAGUUCACUGCCUUCAUUGUGCCUCCUUCCUUAGUAGCUUUGAGACCUAAGCGCUUGGCCUCGUCUACGGACACGAAAUUGUGCGUUGCUCCUGUGUCUAGCAGCGCGCGAAUGGACUGACCGUUUACCUUUGCGCUUACAUACAUGAGCCCUUUCUUGACGAGUGCGGGCUAUUGGCGAUUGAGUGCGCCAAGGCGUUGGAGAGAACCCAUGCUGAGUUGGGGUUCCUCCGUGGACAUUGUGGGGUUGCUCUUGAGUUGGGCAGCAAGAGCGUUAAGCGACCUCUUCUCCGGACAGUCGCGUACCCAAUGAGGCCCACCUUUGCCUUAGUUGGCCUUUUUGUCCUUGGAUUGGGUAGAGUAUUCGGUGAGCGAUUCCGCAACAGCGAUGGCGUCGUCAAGUGUCUGAACGCCACGCCUAUCAAGUUCGGUCUUGGCCCAAUCCUUGAGGCCAUCUUGGAAGUAGAAUAGUGAAUCCUUGUUGGACAUGUCGCUUAUCUCUAACAUGAGGGUAGUGAACUCGUUGAUGUAGUCCCGAAUGCUACCCGUUUGCUUGAGGCGACGUAAGCGCGCUCGCGCUUCCUUCUCUGCAUUGCUUGGGGCGAACUGCUUUCGGAGUUCUUGCUUGAAGUCGGCCCAAGUGUCGAUGGCGCAAAUGCCCUUGCCCAUCUCGCCAUGCUUGCGACUGCACUUGUGCCAUGCCCAAUCUGAGCGGACUUCAUCCACUUCCGCACGGACAGCGCGUAGUUCGUCUUGAACAAAACUACGAAUUUUGAGCAACUCAUCAUGGAAAGAACGAAACUCACCUCGGAGAAUGUUCGCUUGCUCAUGGAUGAGAGCUUUUGUGGCCACCGUGAACUCGGCGUAUUCUCCCUCGAGACCAUCCACUCUUUCCUCCAAUCCCACGAGGCUAUCUUGAGCGGCGGACAAUGCUAUUUCGAGAGUGCCUACACGAGGCUCCAACGCAUCCACGGAUAGGGCCUUGGACUUGCCGCGAGUCUUGCCUUGGGCGCGUUCUCCCUCUCGGCCACGGCUUGGUUCCGGUGGAACAUCCACACCAACAACACCCUCUUGUGCUACGUUCGAAGGGUUGGCCAUUGCUUCGUGAGCUAAUUUGCGUGCGUGCAAACCUUAGCUCUGAUACCACUUGUCACGGGAUGAGUGUUUUGCGCAGCUAACCCGUGCGGCACGUAGACAACUUUGCCGAAUGUUGCUAAGUAAGCCUAGAGAUUCUCAAACAAGAGAAGAGAGCAGAGCUUCUCGAACUAGAGAAAAGAGCAAUUGAGCCAAAGAAGAAAACUUGUAUUGCACAAAGAGAGAAUACAAUGCUUGAGUUGCUUACAAUGUUUGUUGGAUACAAAUGCCUAACUUCCGGAAUUGGGCCAAGCUAGCACUCUUGGCCUUGUGUUGGCUCUCUAGCCCGAAAUUGUGGGCAAUUGGGCUAGCGAAUUGGGCGGUCCGCAACAUUAUGAUGUUGUUAGAAUCAGGUUGGUUAAGAUGGCAAUUUGAUUAAUGAAAAAAUUUUUAUCCGACCACGAUGUUAAAGCAGGGUAAAUUUCUCAUUACAUUAAUUUCUUCAUUGGCAUGUACAGCAAUCAGGUAUUUGCUCUGUGGCCCUUGCUAAUUUGGAACUGCUCUCGAAGGCGAAAAUGAGUCAUUAAUACCCGAACACAAAUAAUAAGCUCUCCACCAAUAGAAACUUGAUGGGCAUGUGUCCAUGCAAUGCAUUGACUUGCUGGACUUGACAACAUUCCACCUUCACUUACUGAAAAAGUUUCAAAUGUAAAGACUUGCAAUGCUAGAAAAUUCAGCAAAUUUUUGAAGGAAAGAGUUUAAUUAAAACCAAAUCCGUUGAAGUUUAUUAGGGAUAAUAUCCCCCAUAUGACUUAUGUUAAUUAAAUAUGUAAGGCUUGAACAACCUUCAACUCUUGAACUAUCUUUUGAGCUGAGUUAGGUACAUAGGCUUCCAUAAAAUUCACCCAUGAAACAAUCAUACUUGAAUUUAAUACAUGGGAGGUACUGUUAUUUGUUCUGGAUGAUGCAGCACAUGGGCAACUAAUGGUGGGAGCUUAUUUGUUUUAUGUAACAUAUGGGGAAAAAAAAGGUGAGGCGGUUAAAAAGUAAAUAAAAGGAAAAGAAGAAGCUUGAAACAGGGGAAUAGAUACACACGUGUAAGAGAGUGAAAGAAGUUGUAACCCGACCCGUUUGACCCGAAAAUCGACUCGGUCGUAUGUUGUGGUUCUGGCCGCCCCACCGGUCAAGCUUGGUACCAAUCUGAAGCUUGAAGACCGGCCAUCAUACCCCAGUCAUCCACGUCGCCGGAAAACCUAGAACGUCAGUGACCAAAGCUUGAAAAACCCGCGACUUUUCCACCUUGUUCUGCCGGGAUUUUCGCUGGUUUUGGGUGACACCACUGGCUUGAUUUUGUUCCCCACGACUCCCUUUUGAUUUUCCAACCAUCCACAGCCAUCGAGAGUAGUCGAUUUGCAGUGGUUUUGCAAUUGUAAUUACACCGCUGUCGAGCUAGAUUCUGGUGUCGUCGCCACGCGUGGGAGCACACUGCCCGUAUCAUUGAACUCAGCUCAGCGAGAAGUGUCUGACCUGAGCUUCCCGGUCACUGUUACUUGAAUUACGACCACCGUUGACCAGCGAGGGCAAUUCGGUAAUUUCACAUUUUGAGGGCGAUUUUGUAAUUUUGAGCCUGCAGAUAUUUUAGUAAUUCCUGAAAUUGAGGAUUUGGUGUAAUUACGAUUCCGAGGGUAAUUCGGAAAUUUACGAUUUUGGAGAUUUUGUUAAUUCUAUUGACACAGGAGUUGCAAAUUAUGGAUAGAUGUUUGUUUCUAGUUUAUUGCAUAAAUUUAGUCCUAAUACUGAUUUACGGAAAAUAAUUAUGUCAUUUUCUUGAUUUAGGAGGAUCCGCUAGCGAGAACCAGUCUGCAAACGUGGACGAUAACUGAACGUGAACAUCAUCACUGUGAAUGAAAUAUACAAAACCUAUUUUCAUAGUUAAUUAUGAUAGUAAAGCAUGUUUGCGAAAUAAGUAUUUUAAAUGUUCUGAUUUAAUAUUUUUUUGAAAUGGAUUUAAUUCACGCAUUGAUAUUUUAUUGAAAUGUUUGAUUAAUGAUUUUAUGUAUCAACUUUGGAUAAUAUAUGAUAGUAUUUUAAAGAUAAGAAAAGUGGAUUUAGACGUGAUGAUGAAAAGAAAAGUAUGAUUUAAAGUAUGGUUAAAAUGUAUAUGAAUAGGAGUAUAGAGAUUGUUUUUAAAAUCAUUGGACAGUACUCUUCCCUUUAGAUACUAUGAUACAGAUGAGAUGAAAGGCCUUUGGGGCCCGUCUGAAAACACAUAGAGACUUUGAGCCGUGUUUGGGCGCUUCUGCCUUUUGGGGGUAUAUGCAUGUGAUAUGAUGGUAACAGUGAUACAGAUACAAAUGAUACAGAUGAUAUACAGGCCUUUUGGUCUCGUCUGAGUACACACAGAGGAUUUGGGCCGUGUGCUUGAGCGCUUUUUUUCUUUGGGGACUAGAUUAUGCAUGCACAUAUAUGAUGAGAUAUGAGAUGAUAUUUCCUUGUCUAUCUGUGUAGCUCCGAGGCGUGACGGUACCUAGAUAGUACAUUAUUGCCCGUCCGUUGAGGUCAAAAUACGACGAGAUUAUUCCCUUGGGUACUCAUUUAUUGAUGAUUUUCAGAUUUGUGUAUUCUAUAUGAUAUUGUGAUAUGAUUUCUAUGGUUAUUGGGUACAAUAUUAUAUAUGUUUUUCAAGGUUAAUAAUAUGAUUUAAAUGUUAAAUGAUUUAUUACUGGUUUCGAGCAUAUGGUUUGAUGAAAUAGUGUUUGGAAAUGAUAUGAUUAUUUCUUUUAAAGUAAAAAUUUGUUUUCAAAAAUUACUAUCCACUUAUUGAGCUCACUUUAUUAUAUUAUCUCCCUCCAACAGGAGAUUGUAGGUACACCAGACCGACCUAGCGACUGUAAAUAUAUUUUGAUUUUUGGCCACGUGAUGGUGUUAGAAGAUAUAGAUGAUUUUUUUGUUAGGACAUCCUUAUCAUCUCACCCUUUUGGGAUUGUAUAAUUUUGUUAGAUUAUUUUUUUGGGAUUAAGAAUAAACUAAUAUAUAUUAAUAUUAAUUAUAAUAAAAUAUUUUAAUAUUCUGGAGAUAUCUUGAGUAAAACUCAACAUUUUCAUUGAGGAUGUUGAUCAUUGGAGUUGCUUGUAUAUUGAAUUAUUUUGGGGAGUGUUAUGUUCAUAUUUACAGACUGAGAGUGUUAUAUUUAUAAAGGAGACUCUGCUGAAUUUUCGGCAGAAUUCUCACUAAUUAGAUUAUUAUCAAGUCAGUUUUGAUGAGACUAGAUUGACUCGAUAGGGGAGAUUUGAGGCGGGUCUUUUCGUUUUAACAACUUUGCAAGACUAGAAGGAGCCAUUAAUAAACAGAAUUAGUAACCUCUCCACAAACACUAAGGUAGCGUUUACAUUUUGGAUUGAAGUAGAAAUUAUGAAAAGUGUGAAUCCUAGGAUUGAGAGUGUGGAGUGGGAGUGAGAGUAUGUUAUUUACUUACACUGGAAUGGAAGUAUGGAAUGAAGAUCAUAAUUUAAUUUAUAUAUUUACUUUGUCUUGAAUUGGGAGUAAAUAGUUUCAAAUUAUAAUUUUACCCUCAUUUAAAUAAUUGUGAUUUUUAAUUACAAAGUUAAUAAAAAAAUAUAUUUGAUGAAUAACCAUUUAUUUUAUUAUAUUUGUAAAUUUAUAAUAAUUAUUAAUAUUCUUAAUUAUGUACAUCACAAUUUUUUAUUAAUUUUAAUUAUGUAAUUAAAAAUUAUUGAUCAGGGCAAUAUAAAUGAAAUAUUUUUUACUAUUAACCUAGUACAAAAUUAAUAUUUUCUUAGCAUAAACUAUUUAUUAUUAUUAAUUACAAUAUUAAAUUAAUAUACUCUAUUAUAUAAAAUAAUAAUAUAAUAUAAUUUAGUACAAAAUUAAUAUUUUCUUAGAAUAAACUAUUUAUUAUUAUUAUUAUUAAAUAAAUAUAAUACUAUUAUUUUAAAUCAAUAUAAUAAUAUUAUAUUUUUAAAUAAAGAUAGUAUAUAGUAAUAUUAUUAAUUCUCCAUUAAUAUAAUAAUAUUAUUUUUAAGUAAUUUUAACUUAGAAUCAAUGUAAAUUAUUAUUUAGUUAAAUAUAAUAUUAUUAUUUAAAUAAAUAUAAUAUUAUUUAUUUUAUUUUAUUAAACAUAAUUAUAUUAAAUUUAAUAAAAGGAGAGUAAAAAAGGAAGAGGUGGGAGUGGGUUCUCCACCUCCCCCUGUGAGAGUCCCACUCUCACUCCCCACUCCAAAAAUAAGUGGGGCUCACGGAAUGAGAUUUCCAAUCCUCUCUUAAAAUAUGUAAAUAAACAUUAAAGUGUGAAGAAUCUACACUUCUCAUUCCCACUCUAAAAAGUAAUCACAACAUAAAUUGAUGGGCAUGUGUGCUUGCUGCAUUGACUACAAUUCCACCCAUACUUGCUCACUAACUCACGUUUCUUCUCAUACUUUGCUCACUAACUCACGUUUCUUCUCAUCCUUCUCCAACUUUUGAAGUUUUUUGGCCAAUAUGCUCGCGUUAAAUAAUAUUACAGACCGGCUUUUGUCUCCCUUCACAGUCUUAGGUUCAAAAGAUGUGUAAAUUUGUUCUUUCCAUUUUUUGUGUUUCAGCUUGUCUCUUGCUUUAAAAAAAAAAUAAUUUCCUUAUUGCACAAAAUUACUCCUAGCAACCCAUAUAUAUAUAUAUAUAUAAUGAAAACAUAUAAAUGAAGGAUCUGAUUUCUGAUACAUGAGUUCGAUGUUAUUAUCUAUAAUUUAGGUUCCACAAGAAUAAAACUAUGCAUCAAUGUCCAAACAAUAAGAAGAUGUCCACCUUACCAAUAUUGGAAUCUUACCCCAAAAAAAUUAUAAUAUAAGACACAAAAUUAGUAGUUAAUUAGUUGUAAUUUUAAACCAAAACUUGAGACUUAUUUUAACAAUGCAAGAAUUAGUGGAAAAUGAGUGAGAGUUUGCUAACCAAAUAGUGAGAAGAACUUACGAAAAAUUAGAUCAAUUGUAAUUGAAAAGGUGCAAGAGCAAAUUUGAACAUCCAACCAAUUUUUUGAAUUUUUGUAUUAAUCAUAUUUAUAUAUGCAAUCUUCUUUAUUUUUUAACUUUAUUCGAAUUUUAUAUACUAAAGACAAAAUAAAAUAAAAAAAUUGUUUUGGAUGGUAGUAAGAUAUUCUAUUUGACUCAUUUAUUUAUAAAUAGUACAGCAGAACAUAAUGAAUUCACACUGAUAAACACCGAUUUAAAAGGAUCUGACGUCCCCAAUGAAUUCACACUGACAUGAAUUCAAACUUGUGAUUCGACUAGAUUAAAAUGAUGCAUCAAUAGCCAAACAAAAGUAAUAAGCUCUCCACCACUACUAACUUGCUCGGCAUGUGUCAUUGGGCUGCAAUGAAUUGCUCCAUAUGACAAAAUCUCCAUCCACACUUCCUCACUAUCUCCCAUUUCUUAUCCUCAUCCAGCAUUUGAAGCUCGUAGGCCAAUGCUUUUACAUCCUCAAGUGCAAAGAACUCCUUUCUAUCAUGAGGAUCCGAGAAUAGCAAAUCCAGUUCAAGCAUAAUUUUUUCACAGGCAAACUCCUCCGCACUUGGUUUUAAACUCUUUUUUCGGAAGAAUUCGUUUGCCGCAUCACGGGUGUCUCGCAGUGUAAAUUUCGUAUGACAUGCGCAGAAUUCAGCAUGGUAGGCUUUGUCAAGGCUGCUCAUUAUUCAAGCAGCUUGGUGAAGCCACGUCAGCAGAAGGUUGUUAGUGAAGAAUAACAGCUCAGCGUGAUCAGUCAAGUGUUAGUUAUCCAGCUCAUGAAAGUUAGUUAGUUAGUGAGUUACUAGCAAUUCUCACGUGUAAGGAAUAAUAUAAAUACUUGUACUGAUUUGUAAAAGNNNNNNNNNNNNNNNNNNNNNNNNNAUAUAUAUAUAUAUAUAAUGAAAACAUAUAAAUGAAGGAUCUGAUUUCUGAUACAUGAGUUCGAUGUUAUUAUCUAUAAUUUAGGUUCCACAAGAAUAAAACUAUGCAUCAAUGUCCAAACAAUAAGAAGAUGUCCACCUUACCAAUAUUGGAAUCUUACCCCAAAAAAAUUAUAAUAUAAGACACAAAAUUAGUAGUUAAUUAGUUGUAAUUUUAAACCAAAACUUGAGACUUAUUUUAACAAUGCAAGAAUUAGUGGAAAAUGAGUGAGAGUUUGCUAACCAAAUAGUGAGAAGAACUUACGAAAAAUUAGAUCAAUUGUAAUUGAAAAGGUGCAAGAGCAAAUUUGAACAUCCAACCAAUUUUUUGAAUUUUUGUAUUAAUCAUAUUUAUAUAUGCAAUCUUCUUUAUUUUUUAACUUUAUUCGAAUUUUAUAUACUAAAGACAAAAUAAAAUAAAAAAAUUGUUUUGGAUGGUAGUAAGAUAUUCUAUUUGACUCAUUUAUUUAUAAAUAGUACAGCAGAACAUAAUGAAUUCACACUGAUAAACACCGAUUUAAAAGGAUCUGACGUCCCCAAUGAAUUCACACUGACAUGAAUUCAAACUUGUGAUUCGACUAGAUUAAAAUGAUGCAUCAAUAGCCAAACAAAAGUAAUAAGCUCUCCACCACUACUAACUUGCUCGGCAUGUGUCAUUGGGCUGCAAUGAAUUGCUCCAUAUGACAAAAUCUCCAUCCACACUUCCUCACUAUCUCCCAUUUCUUAUCCUCAUCCAGCAUUUGAAGCUCGUAGGCCAAUGCUUUUACAUCCUCAAGUGCAAAGAACUCCUUUCUAUCAUGAGGAUCCGAGAAUAGCAAAUCCAGUUCAAGCAUAAUUUUUUCACAGGCAAACUCCUCCGCACUUGGUUUUAAACUCUUUUUUCGGAAGAAUUCGUUUGCCGCAUCACGGGUGUCUCGCAGUGUAAAUUUCGUAUGACAUGCGCAGAAUUCAGCAUGGUAGGCUUUGUCAAGGCUGCUCAUUAUUCAAGCAGCUUGGUGAAGCCACGUCAGCAGAAGGUUGUUAGUGAAGAAUAACAGCUCAGCGUGAUCAGUCAAGUGUUAGUUAUCCAGCUCAUGAAAGUUAGUUAGUUAGUGAGUUACUAGCAAUUCUCACGUGUAAGGAAUAAUAUAAAUACUUGUACUGAUUUGUAAAAGCUUUAUGAAUUGAAUCUUAUCAAAUACAAGUAUUGAGAAUUUUCUCUUUGAUUUUCUAUUCAACCAAACAGCACAUCUCUGUUUUCUUUCUUGGUAUUAGAGCCACAAAUGGCCAGCUCAAGCAAUACAAUCUCAAAUCAAACAAUCAUUAACUCAAAUCAACAUACACAAACAUCAUUUACUUUUGCUGCAACUGUGAAACUUGAUCGAUUGAAUUUCUUACUUUGGCGCAAACAAGUGGUAACUUCAAUCAGAGGAAAUCGCCUUGAAAGAUUCAUUCUAGAGCCGCAAAUUAUUCCAGAACAGUAUCUAGUUGAUUCAACAAUCGAAGGAUCUGGUGAGAGCAUUGAAAAUCCAGUCUAUAGUAACUGGAGAGCACAAGAUCAAAUACUCCUUGGCUGGCUGCUCUCAACUAUAAGUGAAGGUAUUCUUAGUUCUGUUCUUAGCUAUGACACUUCAUUUGAUGUGUGGAGAUCUAUUGAAAAACAAUUUGGAGUUCAAUCUGAGGCUAAGAUUAUGCAACUCAGAUAUGAAAUGAACAUCUUAAGAAAAGAUUCGAUGAAUGUUGAGGAAUAUUGUGCUAAAAUGAAAUUACUCGCCAAUAAACUUGCUUGUGCUGGUGAUGUAAUCACUGAAAAGGAUCUGUUAAUGAGAGUUUUGAAUGGUUUAGGUUCAGGUUAUCUAGAUCUAACUUCCAUAAUCACUGCAAAUAAGAUGAGCUAUGAUGAUGCUUAUGCAUUGUUACUGACUCAUGAAGCUAGACUUGAACAAAAUCAAAGUGCCAAAACUGUGUUUAAUGCAAACUAUAGCACAAUGAAUGUGAAUCAUCCCUAUAUGAGAGGAAAUUUUAGAAGAGGUGUUGUUGGAAAUGGAAAUUAUGGUCGACCUGUGACUAGAGGAUUUAAUGUUGGAAGAGGCAUGUUUCACAAUCCACAUUCCAGAGGUUUUUCACCUGGUGUUGGUAAUGUUGGGGGUUAUGGCAGGGGCCAGAUGAUGCAACCUUUUAGGCCACCUAUGAAGCCAAACUUUCAUCCUUCAGCUAACAUGCAUGCUGAUGAAUUACCAACCAUAUGUCAGAUAUGCCACAAAAUAGGACAUGCAGCAGAUGAAUGCUGGCAUUGAUAUGAUGACAAUCACCUAGGCAUUUUGGAAGGGGCAGGUCUUUUGGAUCUAAGGCUGCAUACACAGCUAACUUUGAUCUAUCUCUCACUUAUGCUGCUCCUUCAACUGAAGAACAAUAUGCUGCACCCUACUCAACCUACAAUCCCUUAUCCUACUCCUCUUAUCCAUCAACAGACACAGUCAUUCCUGAAGCCUAUCUUACCAACUAUGAAGGGCCUGCUGAUGAAGGGUGGUACCUUGAUAGUGGUGCCACACAUCACUUGACUAAUAGUAUGGCCAAGAUGAAUGUCAGAGAGGAAUUCAGAGGAUCUGAUCAACUUGUCAUCGGCAAUGGCCAAGGUUUGCCUAUAACUCAUAUUGGUAAUGCAUGUUUUACUUAUAAAGGAUCAAUUGCUGCACAUAAACCAACACAUAUACUACUUAAAGACAUGUUAUUAGUACCUGAUAUCACAAAGAACCUGCUUAGCAUAUCAAAAUUAACUGCAGAUAACCAUCUCUCUAUUGAAUUUGUUGAUAAUGUUUGCUAUGUGAAGGAUUCUCUGAAGAGGCAAGUGCUUCUGACAGGAAUUGCUGAGAAAGGAUUGUAUAAGCAGCUUCUAAGACCAUCUGAGUCUCUUCCUUGUUCUUACAUGGGUCAACCUUCAUCCACUCAACCUUUGUCAAUGUUAUCUGCCUGUUCUUUUGAUUCAAGUGUUCUUAAAAACACUCAGAAUAAUGAUCCCAGUUGUGUCACAGUUUGUAAUGCAUCAAUAAAUAAAUUUUCCAGUUACAUUUCAUCUUGUGAUGCAUUGAAUAAUAAAAUUCUUCUUCUUCACAAACGUUUUGGCCAUCCUAAUUCUCAAAUUCUAAUGCAUUUGCUAAAAGGAAUUACUUCAGUUAAUCUCUCAAGAAAUAACAUAAAACAAACACUUGAGCAUAUCUGUGAAGCAUGUCAAAUGGGCAAAUCCCAUAGGCUGCAUUUUCCCAGCACAGAAACUAAAACAACAAAACCCCUUGAGCUUAUACAUACAGACCUAUUGGGACCCUCACCUACACCUUCUAGAGAUAGCUAUGUCUAUUACAUAAGCUUUGUUGAUGAUUUUAGCCGAUACACUUGGAUUGAUCCUCUUAAGUUGAAAUCUGAGGCAUUAGAUGUGUUCAAACUAUUCAAAUUGCAGGUUGAAAACCAAUUUGACAGCACCAUUAAGAACCUGCAAUCAGAUUGGGGGGAGAAUACAGGUCAUUUACUCAAUUCUUAAACUAAUGUGGAAUCAUUUUCAGACAUUCUUGUCCUUAUACACAUCACCUAAAUGGGGUGGUAGAAAGAAAACAUAGACACAUUGUUGAGCUAGGACUAACCUUGUUAGCACAAGCCAAGCUACCAUUUAAAUUUUGGUGGGAUGCCUUUCUUACAGCUGUUUACCAUAUAAACAGAUUACCCUCAACAGCUCUGAAACUUCUUACCCCAUAUGAGAAAAUUUUCAAACUUAAACCUGAUUACAACAUGCUCAAGUGUUUCGGGUGCACAUGUUAUCCUUAUCUAAGGGAUUACAACAAACACAAAUUUGAUUAUCACUCAAGCAAAUGUAUUUUCCUUGGCUACAGUUCAGUUCACAAAGGUUACAAAUGCUUGCAUUCAUCAGGCAAGAUGUACAUAGCCAGACAUGUUGUUUUUGAUGAGUCAACAUUUCCUUAUUCUACAGACUCAGUUUUUCAUUCUAAUGAAUCAUCAUCUUAUUCGAGUCAAUCCCUUACACCCCAACAAGUGUUUCAUCUGACCACAUUAUCUACAACACUAAUAUCAGAUGGAAACAGCUCAUGCAAUCCUCUAUCUGCAAUUUCUACCAGCAGCAGUUCACAACAUUCAGAUAAUCCAUCUCAUACUGACAAUCAGCAUUCCUAUUCACAAACACAUACCAUGUUUAUUGAACCAUCUACAGAGCCUCAAAAUUCACCACCUCAACCUGCACCUGACAUAUCCUUAUUAGCUCAACCUACACCUGUUAUAUCUUUUCCAGUCCAACCUCAUACACAUCCAAUGACUACCAGAAGCAAAACUGGUAUCUUCAAACCAAAGCUUUAUACAGCAACCCUUGUUCACAAAGAACCUGAUUCUGUAUAUGAGGCUAUGCAAAACCCAAAAUGGUUUAUAGCCAUGAAAGAAGAAUAUGCAGCUUUGAUGCAGAGUGGUACAUGGUCCUUAGUGCCAAAAACAAAUGAUCAGAGAGUUGUUGGAAACAAAUGGGUGUAUAGGGUUAAAUACAACACUGAUGGAAGUUUAGCUAAAUACAAAGCUAGGUUAGUUGCAAAGGGAUUUCAGUAAAUUAUAGGAGUGAAUUGCUUUGAAACUUUCAGUCCUGUCAUAAAACCAGCAACUGUAAGAGUAGUCUUGAGUUUAGCUGUGAUGAAUCAGUGGAAGAUAAGGCAAGUUGAUGUGAAUAAUGCCUUUCUCAAUGGAGACUUAACAGAGGAAGUGUUCAUGGAUCAACCAGAGGGAUUCAUCAGCUCUGAGAAACCAGACUUUGUAUGCAAGCUUCACAAGUAUCUUUAUGGACUUAAACAAGCUCCAAGAGCUUGGUAUGAUAAGUUGAAAGGCUAUUUGUUGCAGUGGGGAUUCACAAAUUCCAGCUCAGAUACCUCCUUAUUCUUGAAAAUAAAUAAGUCAUCUAUGAUUUUAGUUCUUAUAUAUGUUGAUGACAUUUUAAUAACAGGACCAAAUAGUUUUGAGCUAGAAAAAUUCUUUACAGAAUUCAGUACAAAGUUUGCUUUGAAGGAUCUUGGAGUUCUCUCUUAUUUCUUAGGCAUUGAAGUACUGUAUGAUACAGAUUGUAUUUUCUUAUCUCAAAGGAAAUACAUAAGGGAUUUGUUGUCAAGAGUUGAGAUGAUAAAUUGCAAAGAUAUUGAUACUCCUAUGAGUACAGGAAUGAAGCUACAGAAGGAAGCUCAAGGUAAUCUUGGUUGUUAUGUUGAAGAUGUAACACAUUACAGAAGCAUUGUUGGUGGAAUGCAAUAUUUGGUAUUAACAAGACCAGAAAUUGCCUUUAGUGUUCACAAGCUGAGUCAAUACGUUUCUGCACCAACACUGCAGCACCUUAUGGCUUGCAAAAGAGUGCUCAGAUAUCUAAAGGCUACACAGAACUAUGAACUCAAAUUUAUUAAGGAUGGUGAUCUGAAACUAACAGGAUUCACAGAUGCAGACUGUGCAGGGGAUCUGGAUGACAGAAAAUCGAUUGGAGCCUAUUGCAUCUAUCUUGGUCAUAAUUUGAUAUCUUGGUCGUCUAAGAAGCAGCCUGUUAUUGCUAGGUCCAGUGCAGAGAGUGAGUAUAGGUCCCUAGCCUCAGCAAGUGCAGAGAUAAGCUGGCUGCAAUCUCUAUUUUCUAAGUUGAAACUACAAUGCAUAGAGAAACCUGUUAUUUGGUGUGACAAUCUUAGUGCAACAGAGUUAGCUCACAAUCCAGUUUUCCACUCAAGAACAAAGCAUAUUGAGAUUGAUAUUCAUUAUGUUAGAAACAAAGUCCUUGCUGGAGAACUAAACAUUCAAUAUAUACCAAGUGAGGAGCAGGUAGCUGACAUCAUGACCAAGCCACUCUCAUUCAUCCAUUUUAACUAUCUUAGGGCCAAACUCAACGUCAUGUCCUGUCCCUUGAGUUUGAGGGGGGCUGUCAAGGCUGCUCAUUAUUCAAGCAGCUUGGUGAAGCCACGUCAGCAGAAGGUUGUUAGUGAAGAAUAACAGCUCAGCGUGAUCAGUCAAGUGUUAGUUAUCUAGCUCAUGAAAGUUAGUUAGUUAGUGAGUUACUAGCAAUUCUCAAGUGUAAGGAAUAAUAUAAAUACUUGUACUGAUUUGUAAAAGCUUUAUGAAUUGAAUCUUAUCAAAUACAAGUAUUGAGAAUUUUCUCUGUGAUUUUCUAUUCAACCAAACAGCACAUCUUUGUUUUCUUUCUGGCUUGAAUUGUAAAAGAUAAGAGCAUGUAAUCGGAGAGGAUCUUGCUGAACUCUCUAGCAUUGUUAGUCAUUUCAUUUGAGACUUCCUCGGCAGUGUAGUAAAGGAGUUCGGUACUAACAAGCCAUAUUGCAACGCUUACAUUAAUACUAAAAUGAACAUGUGUGCUUGAAAUAUCCUGCAUAAGUGAGAAGCCAACUCCUGCAGAGUACAAUCUCCGGAAGCUGAACAUUUUCUCUUAUUAGCCGUCUCUGGACUCUGAGCUUUUGCUUUAAUUUCAUCAAAUAAAAACUACCACAAUUCCUUUGUUAAUGGCUUGUGGGAUAGGGAUGUUUUAAUUCUUAUCUCAUACACAAUAUCACUUCGGUCAAACAAAGCAAUGAUUUUGUAAAUGUGCAGAAACUGGAUGACCUUGUUUGUGGCAAUGGCCAUACAUGGAAUCAGUCGAUCAAUGCCCAAAUAAUGAAUUACUUUCUGGCAGGCUAGAUGCAAACCACUCUUGACUUUGGGUACUCUGCUUGGACGUCCCUUGAGCCAAUAUCUCAUCCAGCUGGAACCUGAGACGGAACCAGACCACGUGCGGAACAAGAAAGGUGUGGCCAACACCUCGUACUUGCCACCGCCAUGUGAAUGCCAUCGAGGUCUCUUGAGAAUGAGAAACCAGCAGAGAAUAGCGGCUAUGCGGUUCUUGAACAAUCAAGUCUUGAUUUAUCGUCAUCAUUCUGGAGAGCAACAAACGUCCAGUCGGAGAAAACGAGCAUGAAAAAAGCUAUGAUAUCAAGGGCUAUGGCGCCCAAGAACAGGGUUUAUGUAACACAAACAUCAAACUCAUUGAAACCAUGCUUCUCCACUUGGAAAUGGAAAACUGAAAGGGCAGCCACUACUGAACAAAAACAUAUGAACCGCAAAAUAAUUCCCAAUACAGAAUGUGUUACCUGGAUCUUGGUAUGGAGAACUUCAUAAACCAGGUUGAGUUCAACCUCAAUUAUUCCCAAGGCCUUUUCUGGACUAAAAUCAUCAAAUAAAGGUUCUUCACAAUGAACCCAUUCGAAGCUGGGUAUGAGAUCGACAAGUAUCAAUUUGAAAAGUUUGAAGUAUCGACAACCAACCUCGAGAUAACCCCCUUUUGUCUUUCUCACAACAUUAUGAUGUAAGCUUAAUUUAUUUAUGCAUGUUGUUUACGUAAGAAUUGGCUAGGAGUUCUAUUAGUGUUGAUUUUUAUUAGUUGAGUCAGUGAGUCAUGUUAGUGAGUUGUAAUGGAAGUUAAUUUGUAUUUUAAUUACUAUCUUCUAGCAGUUUCAUUCAGUUAUUAUAAGUUACAUUGUCAUGUGACCUGUGUUAUAUUUAAACUGAAAAAUUGAAUGAAUAAAAGAGGUUAUUCACUGAAUUAAUGCUUCUUUUCUGGAGAGAACGGUUCUCUCGAACAACCGUAUUUUUCUUCCUUCUUUAUUGCUUAUAAUACAACUUAGAACAUAACAUUUUACCAUUUUUCUUUUGCAAAGAACGAAUCCUCUUCAAGUGCUCAACUUCUCCUCUAAGAGCUGAGUCUCGAAAUUUCUCCAUGCUUGCAAGGUACAGAGCACGAAUCCUCUCAAAGUACUUAAUCGUUCCAGCAAUAAACACGAGUGCUGUUGGGAAAAAAAGCUUGUUUCCCGGAAGCGACGUGAGGAAGAUAUAAACAGCGGCAACAGCCUGGAAUAUGAAUCCAAACAAAUGCCUGAGACAAAGUUCGUUAUCUUCAAGAGCAAAUGCAGUUAUGGUGUCUGGCCCGCCCAGGUGUAGUAUAAAAAAUGUAGCCCAAAAUGCUAGAAGUUCAUUGUUCUCCGCUGGCUGCUGCUUUGAAGAGUAUUCAGCAGUAGGAGUAUCCCUUGCUCUUUCUGUGAUGAGUCCGACGCCAAAAUUAGCAGCCCAGUCUGCAAGCAAGUAAGCUGACCAGAUUACGGAGAUGAUCAGUUUAUUGCCCGUGGGUUUUCGGAGGGGAGCAAAAAGAACCAAGACAGCUUGUAAUGAAAGACUGAACAAGAUUACACCUCGUAUAUUCCAAUUCUCCCAUAUUUUCUUGACACUUUCAGGGAUUGGAUUCAGCAUUUUCUCCCCUUUCGUUAAAAAACUUUAGUCUCAGAUUUGUUAUAGGCAUGGAAUUGAUCCUGAAUUUGAAAGCUAGAGCAUUGAUAUCUACCUAAUGACACUGUUACUGUUAGAGUGAAAUGAUGAAAAUAUCAAAGUACCUACUGUAACUCUCAGUGUGAAAUGUUGGAAAUAAUAAAAGAGCAGUGACUACAUUGAAGUACAUUAUCAAAGUCAUAAAUAGAAAAAAAAAAGUCAUAAUUUUCAUCAUGUGGUGAUGAAGGAGCGUUCUAUGGUGGAGCUAGUACCUCCGCCAUAGCCAGACCCAAAAAGAUUUAAAAAAAAAAAAAAACUACCGACUAACGAUGUUGUUACUGUCAAUAUGAAAUGUUUGUGUGGAAAAUAGUAUAAAAAUUAUAAGAGAAAAAAAAAUUGGCAGUUUUUGUUAUUUACCACUGCUUAAUUAUCAAUCAUACUAGGUGCUUAUAGCUUCCCGAUUGUAAAAUAUCAUUUAGUAUUGUAAUUGUAAUUCAAAACGAAAAAAGAUAAGAAAACUUUUACUCCAUCUUUUUUAUUAUUUUUUUUUUUUUGUGGAUCAAUUACACUGAGGCUCUGACGUUUGUUGUAAAAAUCUGAAAAUAUAUUAGAGAUUUCCAAAUUUUGACAUAUUAAUCCUACUUGUUUAAUUUUUUUACAUGUCUGAGCUUUUUUCAGUACAUUAAAUUCCUGGCCAACCCAUUUACUUUAGACACCCAUUACCAAAAUUUAUAACUUAAACUUUUACUUUAUAAAUCUCUCGUAAGUCACAUACCUACCUUAAUUAAAUUAAUUUUCUUAUUUCCGUAGUUUCUCUCUAUCCAUAAUUAAAUUCCAAGCUUUCAUGGAUUCCUUUCGUAAUAGCCUUCAAUGGCUUGUUGAUUUUUCAGUGGCUACUAUCGUCGUUUUUUUCCUCUUUUGAUUUAUUUCGGUUGCUUUAUUUCUAUUUCAGUUCUUGAUUUUGAUGGUGGUAGAUCAUAAACUACUGGCUUUUUUUUUAAUUCUUAUCAUUAAUUUUAAUUCUUUUAAGAAAGGGAAACAAAUGAGAAGAUGAAGGGACCGGAGAGAUUAUUACAAAUUUAAGGACACUUUUAUCUAUUUAUUGAUAUAUUUAAUAUGGAUGUAUGUGUCAAAAUUUGAAACUUCUGAUUUUCUAAUCUUGCAAUAAAUAAUGGGGCUACAGCCUACAGCCUACAGCAACUACUGAGCCUUGGCACAGUGGCUAAAGCCACUCCCUCACAAGUGUAAGAGAAGUGGUUUGAAUCCCCACAAAUAUUUUGUAGGGAUUUAAUUUAAAUUUCCUUCUUUAUAAAAUAUAAGCAAUGUUAUAUGAGAUUUGAUGUAAACUAAUCCUAGUAUUAUGUGAUUAUAAACAUCAAUUAUAAUAUCAUGUAAUAUGUUGUAUUAUAAACAAUAGUCUCAUAUAAUAUUAAAAAAAAAAAGGCCUACAGGGUUGAAUAACCCAAUGAGCACAUUUGGGACAUUCACUACUUUGGGAUAAGUCUAAUUGUGGUUAGGAAAAGGACAAAAAUCGGGUUGGUAUCAUAGCUGGACCCAUUAUUAUUUCUACACCGAUAUUCAUACAAAGCUAAGCACAAAACGGUUCGUUUUGUGCAAAGUAUAAAAUCCAUUUACACUUGCAAGCAACAACACCACACACGCAUGGAACAAAUCCCCUAGGAGUGCAGCUCCUGUCUCUCUCUCUCUCUCUCUCAUUCUCCCUCUUUUAUCCCCCACCACACAGUAGUGCAGCAACCAUACUAAUGCUCAUGAUGUUACGAAUGAUACAAAACUUCCCAUUCAGAGGAACAAUUGCUGCAGUCCUUGGCAAUCAUAAGCAAUUUUAAAGAACCCAAUCAAACCAAACUUGAGAAGGUCCCUCAUGUAAGAACAAAAUUCAAGCAAAAAUAAGCAAGGCAAUCAACAUUAAUCACCAAAUUAAUAUAUGUUCUGUAAAAUAAUUUAAAGACCACGAUAUCCUUAACAAGAAUAAUAACUAUUCAAAAUCUAUGAGGUCUCAAAAACAUAUUAAUUAAUCUUUAACAAUUAAGCAGUCUGCAUCUUUAAUUACAAAUUAAUCUUUAAUCAAUUAAGCCGAUUGUGUUGGGGGAUAGAGAGCGAUGCAGCUGAGAUCAAGAGAAUGAGGGACAACGGAGCCGAGAGAGUGAGGGAGACCAGAGCUGAGAGAGUGAGGGAGAUUGGAGCCCAGGGAGCCAGCUAGAUGCUUCAAGCGAGAGACGAGAGAGCUGUCACUGUUGCUGCAUCAUGAGGGAGAAUGGAGCUGAUAUCGAGCUUGUGUGUACACGGGAGAGAGAGAAAAAUGUUGUUGUGUGGUGGGGGAGAAAAGAGGGAGACGGGAGAGAGAGAUGGGAGGAACGUUGCUGCAGGAUUUGUUGCGUGCAUGUGUGGCAUUGUUGCUUGCACGUGUGAAUGGCUUUUAUACUUUGCACAAAACGGUCACAAAACGAACCGUUUUGUGCAAAGAUUUGUGCUGAGCUUUGUGAUAAUAUUAUUUUCCUUAUUAUUUUGGACGUUUGUGUCAUUAGUGAGCGUCCUGAGGGUAGUAAUGGCAACUUAAAAAUAUUUUCUUCAGUGAACGUCGACAGAUUUAGAAAAUAUUAAUAAAUUAAAGGAGACUGCUAAGGUACAGACUCUGUACCUUACAACACCCUCACAAAAUGGUCGUGGGCUCCACUUGGGCCUACUUUUCAUUUGCCUGUGCAGGGGUGGCUCUAAGGUGCAGAAUCUAUAAGUUAGCAGGUGCAGAAUCUAUAAGUUAGCCUCCCUCAUAAAUUAAGGUAGUGUUUACUUUUUGGAUUGGAUUGAGAAUCCUGAGGAGUGGGAAUCUUAGGAUUGGGAGUGUGGAGUGGGAGUGAGAGUAGGUUGUUUACUUACACUGGAAUGGAAGCAUGGAUUAGAGAUCAGAAUCUAAUUUAUGUGUUUACUUUAUCUUGGAUUGGGAGUAAAUAGUUUCAAAUUACAAUUUUAUCCUUAUUUAAAGAAUUAUAGUUUUUAAUUACAAAACUAAUAAAAAAUAUAUUUAAUGAAUAAUAUUUAUUUUAUUAUAUUUGUAAAUUUAUUAUAAUUAUUAAUAUUCUUAAUUAUGUAUAUUUAUUAAUUCUCUAUUAAUAUAAUAAUAUUAUUUUAAAAUAAUUUUAACUUAGAAUCAAUGCAAAUUAUUAUUUAGUUAAAUAUAAUAUUAUUAUUCAAAUAAAUAUAAUAAUAUUUAUUUUAUUUUAUUAAUUAUAAAAUAUUAAAUUAAAUUAAAUUAAAAAAAUAAAAGGGUAAAAAAGGGAGAGGUGGGAGUGGAUUCCCACUCCCACUCCCCACUUCAAAAAUGGGUGGGGCCCACGGAGUGAGAUUCCCACUUCCUUCCCAUUUAGAGGAAGUAAACGCUAGAGUGGGAGGAAUCCACACUCCUCACUCCCACUCCAGCAAGUAAACACAACGUAAAUGGUUUCUAAUGGAAUCUGCGCGAUGCUGUACUAAGUUAUUAACCACUCUUUCAAAGGCAGAAGCUGUACGAGUAAUUGAAUAAAUGACGUGGGGGCUCCCAACAUAUAUGUGCCAUAUAAACGAUGUACCGUAAAAUCUCUGAACAGUAAUACUUUAUAAUAAUAAUUUUCAUUUAAUAGUAAAAAAUUUUAGCUCUAAUUUAGAUAAGUUAUAAAUAAGAAUAAAACCCUACAUUGUAGUAAUUGUUAUUUUUCCAAAACUCAUCUUAAACUUUUUGCAUACAUAUAGUAAUAAUCAUUUGUUUAUUACAAAAAUACAUGCUAUGUUACAUUAAUAGUUUAAGAUGAAAUAAAUUUUUUUUCUAAAAUUGCUUGUUACAACAAUUUAUUUUUCAAAAUUGUUAUCGCAUCUUUAAACUUGAGAGUACGUAAUCACUCCAUAGAGUGGACACCUUCUUGUUGAAGUUAAAAUGUUUUUAGUUUAUCUAUUAAUUAAUCAUUAAUGUAAUGCAUAUUUUACCUAUAUAUUACUUAUUAACUAAGUUAAUUAAUAAUUUUUGUAACUACACCUGUAAUAAGUUAGAAUCUCUUCAUAGUAAUAAAUUUAGUUUGGUCUCAAUAUUACAAGUGUAAAGAAGUUUUGUUGUAUAUUAUAGAAAUUUAUUAUCUUUUCAAUUUAUGCAUGGAUGCCACGAAAUUGAGAACUGAAUUAAUACUUUUUAAAAUAAUAUAAAAGAGCAGGAUAUUAAAGGAAUUUUAUUUUGAUAGAACGCUCACAUAAACAGUGUAAAAAAAAUGGCUUACUUAAUUAAAAAACAAAGUAAAAUAGCAACAAUUGAUCACUAUUUCUGUUAACGCUCUACUUUGCUCUGUUUUGUAUCAUCAUUUUUUUUAUACAAAGGCAUUUGUCCCAACAAUAUAGAAUUCUGAGUGUUGAAAAGUCAAUUUUUUGGGCACCGAACCAAAGUUAAAUUUUCAAGCAAUUUGGCUUUGACAAUUUGGAGGUUUUUUUGGCCUAUAAAUAGAGAAGCGGAAUGAAUUUCCAACCCAUCCAAAAUUGUGAGAUAGAGCAUAGCAAUUGAGCUCUUCAAGAGUGUAGAGAGAGUAUUUUUUUGAGUGCUAAGGGGAUCUAUUAGACUGUAUUGGGCAUUGGAUUUUUUAGAGUUUUUUUCCUAAAUUUUAUAAAUUCUCAUUUAUUAGUAAACUUUUUUUUCUAAUCUUUCUUUAUGGACGUAGGUUUAAUGCCGAAUCACGUAAAUUAUUUUAUCAUAUUUUCUUUACAUUUGUUUAUGAUACGGGCAAUUUUGGAAGAAGGUUUACGAAGGCUUAGAGAAGAAGAGAGAUAGAGAGUUGAAUACUAGUUGGCUUGAUACUUCUAUUGAAUUCAGAGCUGGCCUUUUUAAAGGCUUACAACACAAAUAUCUAACUAGAAAUAAGGAACAAAAAUAACAAAAUAUAAGGAGAUAAUGCAGCACCAUGUGCCACGAUUCCCACAUAAAUUUAUUCAGUUCUAUUCUACAGCAACAAAACUACUAACGGCUAAUUUACUCCUCUUGACUUGGUCCUACAGCACGCAACAGAGCAGUGAUAGCAAAUAGCACAUAUCAGUCCACCCCCCUAAAAUGCGACUUGUCCGCAAGGAGAAAGUCAGGAUAUUGCCGGUUAAAACGCCAUUGAUUCUCCCAGGUGGCAUCUUCCUUGGGUGCACCAGCCCAUUUUACAAGAAUCUCAGUUUUGGGACGAUAUUUGCCUUUACGAAUAAUGCGAGUAUCCAAGAUAGCCUCAGGUUGUGGAAGAAUCGUAAAGUCGUCGCUUGUAGGAGGCAAAGUAGGAGAAGAUUGAACUGAACCUACUCGUUUCUUCAAAAGACUCACAUGGAACACGUCAUGAAUUUGAGACCCAACAGGCAGCUGCAGCUGGUAAGCAACAGGCCCCACUCGUGCAAGAAUUUUGUAAGGUCUAAAGAAUCGUGGUGCUAACUUAAGUGAGCCACGAAAAACCACUGAAUGUUGACGAUACAGCUGCAACUUAAGGUACACAUAAUCACCAACUUCAUAAACAAUAUCACGACGAUGUUGAUCGGCCUGUGAUUUCAUUCGGUCACGAGCCACGAUAAGAUUUUGACGUAAGUCUCGCAAUAUUUCCUCUCAAGAACGCAAGAAAUCAUCCACUGCCUGAACUUUAGUAGUACCGGGAAUGUAGGAUAGCAAUGAGGGAGGAGGUACACCAUAUACAGACUCAAACGGAGAAACUUUAGUUGAUGAAUGAGUGGCUGUAUUAUAACUGUACUCAGCCCAAGGCAACCAAUCAAUCCACUUUUUAGGCUGUUCAUGAGUGAAACAACGUAGAUACUGUUCCAAAACUCGAUUGACAACCUCGGUUUGUCCAUCCGUUUGUGGAUGAUAACUAGAGCUCAUUGAGAGAGUGCAGCCUUGUAACUGAAAUAAGGACUUCCAAAAAGAACUAAGAAAAACACGGUCUCGGUCACUGACAAUAGAGGUUGGCACACCAUGUAAGCGAACAAUUUCCCGUACAAAUGCCUUUGCUACUGUCAAGGCUGUAUAAGGAUGCUUUAAAGGAAUAAAGUGGCUGUAUUUUGACAAUCUAUCAACAACGACCAUGACAACAGUAUAGCCCUGGGAUGGAGGCAAACCAUCUAUGAAAUCCAUAGAGACUGCAGUCCAAAUUCUAUCCGGCACUGGCAAUGGUUGAAGUAGGCCCGCAGGUUGUAGACAUUCUGUUUUACAACGUUGACAUAUAUCACAACCGCGUAUAUAUUCCUUGAUUGCCGUUCGCAUUCCAGGCCAAGUAAAAUUCUUUUUGAGUCUGCUGAGUGUCUUAUGGUAACCAAAGUGGCCACCUGUCGGUGAUGAGUGCCCUUCUGAUAAGAUUGCAGAAACUAGAGUAGAAGUAGGACUUAAUAGAAGUUUUCCUUUUUUUAUCCAAACACCUCCUCUUCUAAGGCACUGAGAUUCAUCAGAACUAGACAACUUGGCAUAAAAAGGAUCUUGAGAAACUUCUUGUUGGAGAGUGGACCACCAAUCGGCAACGGGCAAGGAAAUUGCGAAAAAAUGGAAAUUUGUAAUGCGGGAUAAAGCAUCAGCUCCCUGAUUCUUUUUACCCUGCUUGUACUGGAUAGUGUAGUCAUAACCCAAAAGUUUUGGUAGCCACCGUGUCUGAGCAGGAGUGGUAAUACGUUGCUCAAGUAAAUAUUUCAAGCUCCUUUGGUCUGUUUGGAUGAUGAAAGGUUUGCCUAGCAGGUAUGGACGCCAUUUCCGAAUUGCCUUAACAAUGGCUAACAUUUCUUUCUCAUAUGUGGACAAUGCCAAAGCUGAUCCUUUAAGUGCUUCACUAAAAAAUGCUACUGGUUGGUUUUGUUGCGUCAAUAUAGCACCGAUUCCUUUGUUACUUGCAUCACUUUCAAUCACAAAAGGUUGUGUAAAAUCAGGAAGACGCAGCACUGGGGGAGAAGUAAGGACAUGCUUAAGUUGUGCAAAAGCAGUGGAUGCUUCCUGAGUCCAAAGAAAUCUUUCCUUUGUCAACAAACGUGUCAAUGGAGCAGCAAGUUCUCCAAACCCACGAAUAAAUUUCCUAUAAUACCCGGCCAAACCAAGGAAACCACGAACUCCUCGAGAAGAAGAAGGAAUCGGCCAGUCCAUAACAGCCUUAAUUUUUGCGGGGUCGACUGCGACACCUUCUAAGGAAAUGAGGUGGCCCAAAUAGUCAACCUGUAAAACCCCAAAACGACAUUUUGAUUUUUUAGCAAACAAAGUGUUAUGUGACAAUAUUACCAAUACAUUGCGAAGAUGUUGUAAAUGCUCAGUCCAGGUUCGACUGUACACCAAUAUGUCAUCGAAGAACACUAAGACGAACUUUCGAAGAUAGGGCCGAAACAAGUCAUUCAUAAGACUCUGAAAGGUAGAGGGAGCAUUUGUAAGACCAAAUGGCAUGACCACGAAUUCAUAGUGGCCUGCAUGUGUACGAAAAAUCGUUUUGUGUAUAUCUUCCUCUCGGACUCUUAUCUGAUGGUACCCGGAUCGAAGGUCCAAUUUGGAGAAGUACUUCGCACCAUGCAACUCGUCGAGCAACUCAUCAAUUAUUGGUAUAGGAUAUUUGUCUUUUACUGUGAUGUUAUUGAGAGCACGAUAGUCAACACAAAAUCUCCAUGUGCCAUCCACUUUUUUUACUAACAAAACAGGAGAGGAAAAAGGACUCGUACUAGGACGAAUCAAACCAGAGUCAAGAAAUUCAUGCACCAUCCGCUCAAUUUCAGCCUUUUGGUAGUAGGGGUACCGAUAUGGACGUACACUAAUGGGCUCUUGAUUUGGUCGAAGUGUUAUUUGGUGAUCAUGUGUCCUUGGCGGGGGUAAAGAUGUUGAAGUAGAGAAGAUAUGAGAGAAUUCAGUAAGGAGAGAUUCAAGGUCAGCUGGAUGUGGGGUUGAUUCAUAGGAGUAUUUUGUAGGGACCACUUGUAAAAAGAAACUCAUACCAGACACAUGCAGCAAUUCCUUAGUAGUCAUAGGAACCAGGUUAGGUUGUUGAAGGCCCUGGAAAGUGCAAACUUUGCCAUUUUGUUGAAAUGUCAUUUUGAGUUGUCGAUAGUCCGUCUCGACGGGACCCAAAGUCUCCAGCCAUUGCACCCCAAGCACAGCUUGACAAGCGGCCACAGGCAAUACAAAAAAAUCAGCUUGGAUUGGAUGACCUUGAAUUUCCAAAGUAAGCGCUAGGCAACGACCAGAACAAUCAACCUUCUCUCCAUUCCCGACCAUCACUUGAAGUGUUUUGUCUCGGAUCACUGGAAGUCCACAUUUAGUUACAACAGACUGAUCAAGAAAAUUAUGAGUGCUGCCGCCAUCGAUGAGCACUGUGAGGUCCCUAUUUUUCAACUUACCGGGGACUCGAAGGGUUUGUGGGUGGGUAGUUCCUGCCAUAGCGUGGAGAGAUAUUUUUGGUAAAGAUGUAAAAGAGAUAUCAUCAUCAGAAGGCUCAGUUUCAGCUGAGUCUACAACAGUUGUAAGGUCUUCCAACAUAAAGAGUUGUGGUCACUCGCAUCGAUGUCCAGGCAUGUACUUCUCGUCGCAAUAGUAACAAAGACCUUUUUCUCGGCGAGCUUUGGUUUCUUGCCCAGUUAUCCGUCGAAAAGGAAAUUGAGAGGGAGUUGCCAUAGGUGUGGUCUUCUGUGGAGGAGAAGGACCAAGGAUGCCCGCGGUUGUAUUCGGUUGCAGUCUAGAUGGUGGUGUUGUGGAUGCAGGACGAGUAGGGAAACUUGGUCGACGCUGCAAGUUAUUCCUUUCUUCAAUCAAACGAGCCACGCUAAUAGCAUCUGAGAGAGUGCGUGGUUGCUUAACGCGAACGUCCAGCCGCACGUCAUCUUUGAGCCCUGCAAUGAAGCUUCCAACAAGAUGACUCUCAGGCAAGUUAUCCACACGGUGAGAGAGCUGCUCAAAUUGUUCCUGAUAAGCAGCCACGGUGGUGACUUGUUUAAGACGACCUAAUGCUUCUGACGGGUCAUCAUAAUCCGUCGGUCCAAAACGACGAAGAAUGGCUUGAGUGAAUUCUACCCAUGUGGAAGGACCUCGAAACUUUGUGAACCAUCGAUUCCAUUGUAAUGCAACCCCCUCUAAAUGAAAUGAAGCAAGUUGAACUUGCUGCUGAGGAUUAAUUCCUUUAAACUCAAAAUACUGUUCCGCUUUAAAAAUCCAACCAGUUGGAUCACUGCCUCCAAAGGUCGGGAAGUUCAGUUUGAGGUGGGCUUGGUUGUGGUCGUGAGUAGCAUUGGAUGUGUGAAUCUGAUUCAGAAAUGAGGUAGGUCGAUGUGACGAUUCUCCUGGUGCGAAAGGGUUUACUUCUGUCGCAGCUGAGUUGGUGGUAGCGUUGACUCGAAGUGCUUGUAGUUCAGCGAGGACUGUUUGAAGGGUUGCAUUAACUUGAUUGAAGUUGUUAUUGAGGCAGUCAAAGUUUGAUUCAUGCCGAGUUAAGAUUUCGUUGACUUCAUUCUUGAAUUCAGCAUUUGUUUUGCCACGAGUGUCCAUGAACGGAACCGUGCUCUGAUACCACUGAUACGGGCAAUUUUGGAAGAAGGUUUACGAAGGCUUAGAGAAGAAGAGAGAUAGAGAGUUGAAUACUAGUUGGCUUGAUACCUCUAUUGAAUUCAGAGCUGGCCUUUUUAAAGGCUUACAACACAAAUAUCUAACUAGAAAUAAGGAACAAAAAUAACAAAAUAUAAGGAGAUAAUGCAGCACCAUGUGCCACGAUUCCCACAUAAAUUUAUUCAGUUCUAUUCUAAAGCAACAAAACUACUAACGGCUAAUUUAUUCCUCUUGACUUGGUCCUACAGCAUGCAACAGAGCAGUGAUAGCAAAUAGCACAUAUCAGUUUAUCACUACGUUUACAUUUAUUUAGAAGUCAUAAUCACCGUAAUAUUGAUAAUCACUCAACCCACGCUUCCACAACAUUGAGCAUUAGUGAUAUAAGAUAGUAGAUAAUUUGGUGUUAAAAAAACUUUUAAAGUAUAAAUAGCUUCAAAUUUUUUAAAUAUAAUAAAGUGUUUAUUGAGAAAAUAAAUUUAGAAAGUAUUUUUAACAGGAUUAAAUAGCCACGCUCAAUUAAAAGUCAUGUUCAUUAUAAGUAGUUUACAUAACUGCACUUAACACUGACAACAAGACGGAACGGUUCAGGCAAUCCUUAUAAAUAUUCGGUACAAAAAUGCCUGCACCAAUGCUUCAACUUAUUAUAUUUCUUCGUUCAACUGAUGAGCAAAAAAUUAAAUGGUUCCUAAAAAAAAAUUAUAAUAAUAUAUUAACCAAAAUUCUAUUAAAUCGAAUUUACCUUCUUUUUUUUCUUUGGUCUGUGCGAUGGCCUAUCACCUAAUCUGAGCGACGGCCAUCGCCCAAAGAAAAUUGGUGGUUGUUGGACCAUCACAUAUUUUUAAAUUAAUUUUAAUAAAAAAUUAAUUUCUAUAAUUUCGGUAAAGGGAAUUUCGACCCCAUAGAUCAGUGUUCGAUUAAAAAAAGAAGGAAAAAAAGAUUCUACGAGAUGCAUGGUAAAGAAAAAUGAAUGUAUCAGAUAACAUUACAUUGAAUGGCCCAAAUGAUUUGAUUAUGUAAAGGCCAACACUAAAUUAUGUAAAAAGAAGACAAGUAUGGAUUUUAAUUUCUCUUUAGUGGUGGAGCUAGUGACAGUUUGAUGCUCUGGAAACGUCAAAAUCAUGUCAUCUACUUGUGAUGCGUUUGCUAUCGUUGGUUUUGGGUAAUUUUUAACCUACCACCAAAUAAAUUAAUAUUUUGUACCGCGUCUCUAAAAAAUUUGACUUAUUGCACCGCACCCCCAAUUCUGUUAUUUUCUCAAUUAAGUUUAACGGUGGAGGGGUAAAAUUAAAAGUUCAUUCUUUAAAUUAAUUUUAGUGGGAAUUCUCUUUAUUGCAAUUGAAAUAAAAAUCUUUACAAAAUUAAAGGAAAAAUAAUAGUGGUGACAAUGUACAUGUAACAAGAAAUUUUUGUAUUGCAAUUGAAAUAAAAACUUUUUAAAAAAAUUAAAUGAGCUAAAAAUUUUGUAUUUUUUCAUAUGGAGGGGCAUUUUUGUCAUCCAAUCAAAAGUUAGACGGAACUAUUAGAAAUAACUAAAAAAUUAACGGAAUUAGGGACGCGGUGCAACACAUCAUUUUUUUUUGGUACGCGGUGCAAAAUAUCAAUUUAUUUGGGGUAGGUUAAAAAUUUCCCGUUGGUUUUUGUGCUUCACGUUUUGUUAAAACAAAAAUUAACCUCCGCUUGGUGGCUUCAAUUAUCAGCCUACUUUUGUUUUGGGCGAAAGCAAUGUAGACGAGACGGGAUCAAAUGGAUAGUGAUAUUUCUAAAUUUGUAUCCGCUAUUUUUUUUUUUUUUUUUUGAUACCUAUACGCAUUAAUUGUCCGCUAUUCUUUUUUUUUUUUUUUAUAAUACUAAACCUAUUAAAUAUCUGUUAUAGUACGGACAUUUGACAGAUUUUGUGGGUAAUUCUCGCCACUCGAUCGCCUCUCCAAAAUUUAGUAGACAACAUUGCACAUCAGUUAUAAAUCUAAUAUAUAUAUCACCAACUCAACCAAAUAAAUUUAAAUUUUUUACAUAAAUUUAAAUUUUCAAUAGUUAAAAAUUAAUGUCAAUCAUAAUUUUAUAAACUAUCAAUGCAAUAUUAGGUUCAAACUCACACAUCGCACCAUGAAAUAAAUAAAAUUUCUCUUUAAAAAACUUCUCAUAAAAUAAUCGUGCAAAUAUAAGUGUUUAUUUCUUACAAAGAAUCAAUAUUAUAUCUUCUUGUGGUUUCUUUCUAAAAAUUAAGUUUUAAAAAAAUUAUUAGCUUUAAUAAAUAUAAUAUAAAUUUAUACAAAUAUGUCUAUUACGAAUAUUUAGAUCAACAUACAUUCAAUCAAUUACAGAAUAUAAUUAAUAAAAGUGACAAAUCGUGUAUUGUGACAUCUACAAUGAAUAUCAUCACCCAACAUGCACAAGGUACAUCAGAGCUCUACAACAAAAAUCCUCUCAAAGUCAUCACAGAUCUAGACCAAGACGGAAAUAAAAUUACCACUUACUAAAAACCUGAUUUUAAUGAUUUUGAAAUAUCCAAUUUUUAUGGUAGCUAGUUUACUUUUGAUGAAAUGAAAGGAAAAGUGCUUGGAAAUUUAGACUACAGGAUACCUUUUUUUUUGGGCUGUAACCAACUAGGAUCAACCCGACAACCCAUAUUCGACCCAGAUUAACGCCUCAAAAUUCUAAAAUAAGAAUUUAUUUAUAAAUAUAGUAAAUAAUCGAAUUCAACAUAAUGAAACAAUGACAUUAAAAGGACUUGACUUCCCUAAGGAAACAGUAACACAGACGGGAAUUCAUUCAAACUUGUGGUUUGACAAGCUCAAAGUGAUGCAUCAACACCCAAACAAAAGUAAUAAGCUCCCCACCACUGGUAACUUGUUGGGUAUGUGCCCUUGUUCUGCAACGAAUUGCUCCAUAACACAACAACUCCACCCACACUUUGCUCACUAGCUCCCAUCUCUUGUCCUCCUCGAAUUUUUUAAGCUCCUGGACCAAAUCUGCUGCAUCAUGCAGUUCUUUUAUAUCGUUGUCUUUGAGCAUGAUUUUUUCACAGAUUUUCUUGACCGAUCUUAUUUUUCGGUCCGAUAAAUCAAAUAAAAUUUGCGCCACUAAUUUCAUCAAAGUUGCCGCAAUAUUCAGCAUGGUAGGCUUCACUAGUAAAAGAUAGAACAUGUAAUCAGAGAGGAUCUUGCUGAAUUCUCUAGCAUCUUUUGUCUUUUGAAUUGAGACUUCCUCAUUAGUGUAGUAAAGGAGAUCGGUAGCGAGGUGCCAUAAUACAACACUUGCAGGAAGUUCAGGUACAUCUUCUGUUUUCCUUUCUGUGAUUUCCUGGACACGAGCAUUUGCCAAUUUCUUCAGAGUACAACUGCCUGAAGCUGAACAUAUUCCACUAUUCCCCGCCUCUGGAUCAUUUGCGUCGUCAGCUUUUUCCUUAAUUUCAGAAAAUAUAAACUUCCACAUUUCUUUCAAUAAUGGCUCAUGGGAUUGAGAUCUUUUGAUUCUUCUCAGAAGCACAACAUCACCUAGGCCUAACAGAGCAAUGAGUUUCUCUGUCAAAAAGCCUAAUUCUGCCAUGAUUUUGUACAGAAAAUAGAUAACCUUGUUUGUGGCAAGGGCUAUAUUCUGAAAGAUUUUAUGGAUGCCACAGCUAUGAAUGCAACCAUCUAUUGCAUUGACCGUACAUGCAAUGAUUCCAUCAAUGCCCAAUUUACGAAUGACAUUCUGGCAGGCAAGUUGCCAACAACUCUUGACUUUGUGUACUCUGCCUGGACGUGCAUUCAGCCAAAAUGUCAUCACGCUGAUUCCUGAUACAGAACCAGACCACCUGCGAAACGGGAAAGGUGUAGCCAACAACUCGUACUUGCCACUAUCAUGUGAAUGCUGCCACCGUGGGUUCUUGAGAAUAAGAAACCACCGGAGAACAGCAACUAUGAGGUUGCUGAACUUUCCAAAUCUUGAUUUAACGUCAUCAUUCCGGAGAACAGUAAACGUCCAAUCGGAGAAAAUGAGCAUGAAGAAAGCUAUGAUGUCAAGGGCAAUGGCACCCAAGAACAAGGUAUAUGUAACUCGAACAUCAAACUCAUUGAAACGGCCAUGCUUCUCAACUCGGAAAUAGAAAAUUGAAAGGGCUGCCACAACAGACCCAAGCGAUGUGAACCGCAAAAUAAUUCCCAAUAAAGAGCAUAUUACCUGGAUCUUGGUGUGGAAAAUUUCGUAAAACAAGUUGAGUUCAACUUCAAUUAUUCCCAAGGCCUUUUCUGGACCAAAACUACCAAAUGAUGGACCUAUAAUAGCAAGUCCAUAUGCAUGGAAGUGGUGCAAGAGAUCGACAACUAUCCCUUUGAAAAAUUGGAAGUAUUGGCUAGCCGCAUCCAGAUAAUCCGCGCCUUCCUUUAUCACAUUUAACCUGUGCUCCACGAAUUUUCUAGCAGUUGAGUCUCGAAAUUUCUCCUGGCUUGCAAGAUGCAAAGUACGAAUCCUCUCAAAACUUUUUAUCAUUCCAGCAAUAAACACGAGUACUGUUGGAAACAAAAGCUUGUUUCCGGGAAGUGACAGGAGGAAGAUAUAAACAACGGCAACAGCCUGGAAUGCGAGUCCAAACAAGUGCCUGAGCCAGAGUUCGUUAUCUUCAAGUGCAAAAGCAGUUAUAGUGUCUGGACCACCGACGUGUAACAGCAGAAAUGGAGCCCAAAAUGCUAAAAGCUCAUUGUUCUCUGCAGGGAUCGAAGGUUCAGGAGUAUCUCUUGCUCUUUCAGUGAUGAGUCCAACGCCAAAAUUGGCAGCCCAGUCCGCGAGAAGGUAAGCUGACCAGAUUACGGAGAUGAUCAGCUUACUGCCGGUGCCUUUUCGGAGGGGAGCAAACAGAAUUAAGACCGUUUGUAAUGAAAGACUGAACAAGAUUACACCUCUUAUGUUCCAGUUAUCCCAUAAUUUCCUGAAAGUUUCAGGGAUUGGAUUAACCAUUUUCUUGCUUUUUGCUUUGAAUUUCAAUAAAAUUCUGUUGCAGAGUUUCUACAGCGAUUAGGGCAGUUGAUUUUGUGCUUUUUGUAUGUGAAAAAUUGAGGGGGAAUUAAUAAGGAGCUUUUGGAAUCCUUCUCUAUCUUCUUCCUUGACAACUUCUUGCCGAACGAAAGAAUCAUUUUCAGAACAAGAAUUAAGACAAAGACAUAGAAAGAGUAAUGGUAAACAAUAUUCAUAUAGCAAUAAUCAAGAAAAGAAUAACACUGCGGAUUCAAACAAUACUACUCUGACUGGCGACCGAAUAACAGAGCUAUAUGGCGGUGUUUUACAAAUUACGGUGACACUUUGUAAAAAUAUUUUUCCAGAAAUAAAUUUGUAAAAGUAAUCACAAAUAACAAAUGACUAGCUAUUUAAACCCAAAUUACUAAAUGCAUCUAUUUAAUGCAUGCAAUUACUUCAUUCGGUUAUGACUUAUGAGGGAUCUUCUUAAUAGAGGGCAACUUAUGUUUAUCAGGGAGCUAAAUAGCGCAUUCGUCGACCAUUUUAAUCCUACAUAUUCGAGAUAAAAUUACGAAAGAAUGUUCAAGGCCAAAUUACAUGUUUUGUGAAUUGCUUCCCGUUCAAUUAUGUAAUGUUUAUACUUUUUUUGGAAUAAUUGAUAUGUUGUUAAUUUGAUGCAAAAAAAAUUACAAGGGUCUGAAUCUGAUUAUCAUUUAGAGAAUGUUUGAUUUCCAUCUCAUGAUGAACUCCGACAAAAUCUCACCAUCCGAAUACGAGUUACUACAUACUAAUAGAGUUGAAAAACUAGAGUUAAUUGACAUCUUUUUAAAACUUUAUAGUUAUGUACAAUAUCAAAUUAUAUUAAAAUUUCAAUCACGAAAUUCCGACAAAUAUAUAUGUAUCAUAUAACCUAUUUGUUAAAAAGUUUAAAAGACAAAAAAAUAGUUAUAGAUGAUAAUGCAAUUCUUGUCUUAAAGAAAAAUCAGCAAAGCUAAAGAUAUAGGUUUUAGAUAUUGAUAAAGAUUGAGUUUCAAUAUAGAGAUUUAAAAAACAAUGGGUUUUAUAUAGUCUACUAAAAGUGAAAAUUCUAAAGAUAACGAAAACACGAGGUGGAGGAAUGUUUGGCGUGAUACUGAGUUUACUUCAACGUUAAUGAUCUGUAUUUAGAAUCUUUCUUUAUCUUUUUCCCUGAAAACUGUGUGUACAAGGUAGGAACCAUUUUAGCAAGAAUUAAUUAAGAAAGGGCAGCUGCUAAGUUACCGGCCACGUAACUUACACCAAACCAAAGUAAUCAUCCAAUAUAAAAAGAUAAUAAUAUUUAAAAUAAUUUGAGAUUAUCUGUAAUUAAAAUUAAAUUCUUUGUAAGCUACAUAUAAUGUAACUUAACAAGACCUUUAACAAAAAAGUAAAAGGAAGACAAAAUAAUUAUGCAGUAGAAUCAAGAAAAGAACCAAGAAAAAGAAAGAAAUAACAUUGCAGCAAGAAUCAGGAAAAGCAUGAACUUUCCAUAAUUUUGGCCGGGGUUAGGUUUUCUCUAAGCAUCGAGUCUUGGAAUUUCGCCAAGCUUGCAAGAUAGAAGGCACGAAUCCUAUCAAAAUACCUGAUAAUUCCAGCAAUGAAAAUGAGCACUGUUCAAAUUUAGCAGCCCAGUCUGCCAGCAAGUAAGCUGGCUGUAGUGAAUAUAUGUACACUUGCUCGCUUUAUUAAAUAAACUAAAACAGGCACUCAAGCUUGUUAAGACGGGUGCUCGGGUUUGUUAAGACAGGGGGUAAGGCUUGUUAGCCCAGGUGCCACGGCUUCAACAUUUAAAAAGAAUAUUAAAUUACACUAUAAAAGCCACCAGAAUGAGUUUUAUUGAUGAUCCUAAGCGAUUUUACAGAGCUUAGACAGAAAUUUAUAAGAAGUAAAAUCGCUUACACAGAGAAAUUUAUAAGAAACAAGAUGGCUCUUUCUCUCUCUUAAUUCUCUCUACAAAAUUCUCUCAAUCUUGCUGAAACUGCCUCAAUAAUCAGCUUAUCUAAUAGUCGUUUAUAAACCCAGAUUGCGCCAGAUUCAUCCACGUGAAUAACAGCUUUGUAAAUUGUAACUAACUUGAUUCUCCUCUCACGUGCUUCGAUGCAUCACUGAAACCUUUGCCGAAACGCCUUCAUGUCUUGCCAUUUUGAUAUUAUUGAGUAGCUUAUAGGUAAAACGGUGCCGUUUAACAUUAUCAAGUUUUGAAUUCAGCAAAUUCGUCCACAACUAUGAAGCAAAUAUUAGUGGCUAUAGAGACUGGACUUUAGCGUCUUGUAAGUCAUAAAUUAAGAUGAAUUUUUAGCUUAUUGAGUUUUAUUGGAUGUUAAUUAAUUGUUUGUGAAUCCUUCUUUAUAUAUCUUCUUCCUCGAAACUUGGUGCAUAAUGAAAGGAUCACAGAUCACUACAGAACGUAAACUACGAAAAGACAGAGGUGGAGUAAAGGAAAACAAUAUUCAUGUAGCCAGAAUAGAGAAAAGAAUUGAAUAAAUAAAAGAUGGAAUCAAGAAAAGGAAAAAAAAAUUCCACAAUUUCUGGACUCAUUGGCUCAAAAUAUUGUGUUUAUUUUUAUUCAUUUGCAUUCUUACAGCAGAUUAAUGCAAAUUAACAAUAAGAAUAUCGAACACAAGUUUAUACUAGAUUGGUACCAUUGGCAAAUUGGUAACAUAAUAUUUAUAACUAUGUACAAAUUUCAGAAAAUAAUCAAAUAAGCAAAUCAGAGAAAGGAAAUCAAUUAAAACAGACAGUGCAGGGAGGAUCAACGCCAGUUUCUCUGUACAAAAUUACUUCCCAAGUAAUUCCCAGAACAGACUACUUUUAAGAAUGUUGAUGUACUGCUGAAUUUUAGGCUUUAGGCAAGGAUAAAUCAAAUAGUGACACUUUUAAGAUUAAUUUUAAAGCAUUAGAACUAAAACAUGUAAGCCCAAAAAAAGGAAAUUAUUAAUGCACUAAAAUUAGGGGUGGGCAGAAACUCACAACUCAUGGGUUUACCCAAAUUCAAAUCAAUUAAUGCACUGAAAUGAUUUGGGUUGGAUAAAUAAUGAAAAUGGGUUCAAUUUGGGCUUUUAUGUAAGAAACCAUUUUAUAAACUAGUGCAAAAAUAUGAACUAGAUUCUAGCAUGAGGAAGAGAGCACAUAGCCGGAUCAUAGGAGCGCAAAUCAGCUCAACGGCAAGAUAUUCAGGAGCCAGCCUGUCAACCAUCCCCAUGCUAUUCAAAAUCUGUUUAAAAUCAGGCUGCCCUGGCUUUAGAAGUAGAAAAGGCCCUGCACUUUCCUUUGUUAAUUAUGAUUACCUGAGAAGAGAAUGAGAGCUGGAAAUCGUGAUGGGUAAUAAAUUUAGCACCUAAUCUUGACCUUGACAAAACCCCACCACCCGCAAGUCUGCAACCCAUUAACCUUGUCACCUAUUCUCUUCCGCAUCCACAAACUCUUCAAGCUUUCGUUUUCUUUAUUGGCGCCAAGCUGCCCAAGUCCUCCACUGCUGCGAAUAUGCGUACCAUUUAGCUGGUUCAAUAAUAGAUUGGCAUUUGGCAAUAAUAUAUUUCUCGUAAACAUGAAGGCAAUAUACUGCUACAAAACAUCGCGAAGAAGCAAAUAAUCAAUCACUGCAACAAUGGUUCCAAUUCAGUUGCUUUUUCCAUGCCUUAUCAAAGACGAUUGGUCGUCUACUAUCAAACGACAUUUCAUUCAAUUAUUACAGACAGAUCCGACAUGUCGCUUAUAGUUUUAAUAGACGACAGUAGCAUGGGCUGGCGCAUACUAUUGACGACUUGUCGUCUAACAAAUACGACAAUUCGUCCAAUGUACAUUGUAAAAAUGACAUGUAGUUAUAAUAAUUUUUUAUGAACAAAUGAUAGAUCACUAAAUUUUUCGUAUAUUGAAGGUUUGUUUGGUAGUGGCUAUAGAAACAAUAGACUUUAGCGUCUUGUAUGUGAUAUAUUGAGAUGAAUUUUUGGCUUAUUCAGUUUUACUUGGAUGUUAAUUAAUUGCUUUUGGAAUCAUAUAUCUUCUUCUUAUCACAUACUUAAGAUCACCUAGGCCAAAGAAAGCAAUGAUUUUGUAAAUGUGCAGAAAAUGGAUGACCUUGUUUGUGGCAAGGGCUAUAUUCUGAAUGAUUUUAUGGAUGACACAAAGCUGAAAGUAACCACUGAUUGCAUUGACCGUACAUGGAAUCAGACGAUCAAUGCCCAAAUAAUGAAUGACAAUCUGGCAGGCAAGAUGCAAACAGCUCGUGUACUCUGCUUGGACGUGCCCUGGGCCAAUAUCUUAUCCAGCUUAUUCCUGAGACAGAACAAGACCACCUGCGUGUUAGGAAAUUGAGUUUCCUCCCAAGAUCUCUCCAAGUAAUUUAUUAAGCAACAAAUUAAUAAGAAAAAUUAAAUGGAGAAUAUACCAAUCACACAACACAAGAUUUACGUGGAAAACUCUAAAUUCGGAGAAAAACCACGGUUGUUGUCAAAAAGACAACCAGAGAAAAAAUAUUCACUAUGUGGAAAAUUAUUACAACCACACUCUCAUAAAUUUUCUCUCACCCAAGCCCCAGAUACACCCAAAAUACUAAAAUUUCCUAAUACUCACUUAAUACUUAACUUGCAUUAGAUUUUACAACUUUGAAUGUUUCUCUCUAGGAUGAUUAGAAUGAAGGAAGGGCAUCUCCUAUUUAUAGGCAAAAAAACUUGCCUAAAAGUCUUCAAGUUUGAUCAAAUUUGGUGGCUUACCCACCAAAUUUGAUCAACAAAUUUGGUCAUGUUCAACCAUGGAGGCUAAAGUCUUUACUUUGACAUUCUCCCACUUGGAGAUUUGAUUGAGAAUCAAUCAAUCUCUGCACCACCCUUGUUGUCUUCACCGUUAGUCAUAAUUCUCAACAUAGAGAAUUAUCAUACUCCACCAUAAAGAGUAUACCACUUAGAAUUAAUUACCAAUUCUAAGAAUUUUACAUCGGCACAUGUUGAAAUAUCCUGCUGAAAUUUAUGGUGCAACUUCCAUGUUGGCUUUCCUGAAAAUUCAUCAGCCAUCGACAUAAAUUCCACCACACACCCUGCAUCAAUGCCAACCAUGCCUUGUGUGUAAAUCUUGUGGACCCGCUAGUAGUAAAACAUCCCCUUUCAUGGUACUAGCAGUAUACCAUGAGGAUGUCAUCAUCAUUUAUUUUACAAGGGAUCAUCGUCUCCUACGAUGAUGAGAGACUUACCACUAGCAAUACUAUCAGUAUCUGAUCUGGAGCCACUUGCCGAUCCUGCUCCAUUUCUACUAUGACAAUCUCUUUUUAAGUGCCCCAAUUGUCCACACCCCCAGCAGACUCCUUUCUUUUUAGAUUUAUCUUUCUACCAAUUCCCUACAACUGCCAAAGCCGAGACAUCCGUAGUUUUAGUGCUUGCACCACUCAGUCUUCUUUCUUCUGAGAGUAAAGUACUAGUAACUUCUUCAAGAUCUACUGUCUCCUUCCCGUACAUCAAAGUAGGUAACAAGUGUUUGUAGGAAGUUGGAAGUGACCAUAGUAACCUAAGCGCCUUGUCCUCAUCUUCAAUUUUAACUCCAAUGGCUUCUAGUUCUGACACAAUACCAUUGAGAACACUGAGGUGAUCGGAAAUUUUUGUACCUUCAGCCAUUCGCAGUGUGUGAAAUCGCUCCUUCAGGUACAAUCGAUUUGAGAUGCUCUUUGUCUGAUACAACUUUUCUAGCUUCUCCUAAAGUUCUUUCGCUGUAGGAAUUUUUCCUACAUUUGCAAGAACAUUCUUUGCUAGACACAGUCGUAUGGCACUUGCAGCUCCACAUUAUGUUGUUAGCAAAACCCACCAAACUAUUUAAAUAAAUAAAAAAAAUUAUUUAAACCAUUUUUCAGUAGCGUACUUUCUUUGUAAGGAUAUAUAUUUUUUUUAAUGAAAAACUUUGAUUAAACUCUUAAAUGAAAAGACUUAUGUGUGUUGGAAUUUCUUCCAACCAAAUUACACAGCUCAGAUUGCUAACAACAUAUUUAGCUAAUCUAUAAGGGUGUCAUUAUUACUUCUCAAUACAUGAUUGAUUUUGAAGUGAUCUUUCACAACCAUACAGUCUUAAAUCUCGACAAUUAAUUAUGAUAUUUCUUUCAUACUUCUUUCUAAAUCUUUCACCGAGUUGACAACAGUCUUUGAGUUUGAUCCAACAAUUAGCAGCAGUGUCUAUUCCCAUUUUGAUUCCAAAAUUUAUUGUUUCAGCUUCAGCUUCUGUUAGGAAAUUGAGUUUCCUCCCAAGAUCUCUCCAAGCAAUUUAUCAAGCAACAAAUUAAUAAGAAAAAUUAAAUGGAGAAUAUGCCAAUCACACAACACAAGAUUUACGUGGAAAACUCCAAAUCCGGAGAAAAACCACGGCUGUUGUCAAAAAGACAACCAGAGAAAAAAUAUUCACUAUGUGGAAAAUUAUUACAACCACACUCUCAUAAAUUUUCUCUCACCUAAGCCCCGGAUACACCCAAAAUACUAAAAUUUCCUAAUACUCACUUAAUACUUAACUUGCAUUAGAUUUUACAACUUUGAAUGUUUCUCUCUAGGAUGAUUAGAAUGAAGGAAGGGCAUCUCCUAUUUAUAGGCAAAAAACUUGCCUAAAAGUCUUCAAGUUUGAUCAAAUUUGGUGGCUUACCCAUCAAAUUUGAUCAACAAAUUUGGUCAUGUUCAACCAUGGCUUCAACCAUGGCUGCUCCCAUGGUUCAAGAAUGGAGGCUAAAGUCUUUACUUUGACACUGCGAAACAGGAAUGGUGUAGCCAACACCUCGUACUUGCCACCACCAUGUGAAUGCCGCAACCGUGGGCUUUUGAGAAUGAGAAACCGAUGGAUGACAGCGGCUAUGUGGUUUUUGAGCUUUCCAAGUGUUGAUGCAUUGUGGUCAUCCUUGUCGGAUGAAGCUGAUGGCGCUGCCGUCGUGGUCGUCGGACGAAGCUGCUGCGGCGCGUGACACCAUCUAGCUUCUGCUCACUGUGCUGCUACUACUGCUUACCAGUAUCCUCUUUGCAUUGUUUUGGUUAUUUUCAUCUUUUGAUCUCAAAUGGCACCUUGCUUCUUUUGAUUGCUGUGUUUGUGAUGUGUUUAUUAUGAUUUUGUGAUGAUUCAUAAAACUUUGCAGAUGAUAAGUUUAAAUUAGGAAAAAAAAAUUAAAUGAGGCCCAAAUGGCGUUUCGGUUUAAUUCUUUUUUAUAUUCGGUUCUAAUUCGGAAUUUUUUUUUUAAUAUAAAGUAACUUACUUUAAUCGGUUUUGUUUGAUUUGUAAUUGAACCGAACCCGCCCUCCCCAAUAUGUCUCUAUGGUGCAUAUUUGGCGCAUCUUAUUAUAUAGUAUCAGAGGCCUACAUUGUAUUGAAGUAUCAUAAUCUCAUGUUUGGCAAUUCCACCGCAUUGUAUAAACAAAAAUUUUAAUGUGGUAAAAUCCCAAAUUAACAAAACCCAUGUGAGGUGUCAGAGUUACAUGGGUUUACAUUACAUCUAAAAAUAAAUAAAAAAUAAAACUAAAAAACUUUUCUUUGUAUUUUCAAAUCACACUCUUAGAGUCUUAGGCAAUUCCACCGCUAGAUGAUGUUUUUGAUAAAAAAAAUUGCUGCAUUUUGAUUAUCAAACUGUAUCUCUACAAUUUUGACUGUGUUUUUUCUUUCUUUCUUUCUUUUGAUUAACUGUGGAUCAAAAUUAGUGUUUUAAGCUUUUACACAAUAGUGAUAAAUAAGAUAUUUGACAAAACAAAUUCUAAAAAAAACAUAUUUGACAAAAUUGCGAAAAAGAAGAAGAAGAAGAAGAAGAUUAUAGUUAUAGAAUUCGAUAAAAAAAAAAUAGUAAUAUCCCAUUUUGUUUGUUUGAGAAAUGUCAAAAAUGAUAGAAUUUAUUAGUUUUAUAAUUAAUAGGAGAUGGUAAUAUUUUAUAUUUAUAAUAUUUCUCCAAAAAACAUAUGAUAAAAAAUUAAUAGCACCAAAUAUAGGAUAAAUAAAAAUUAAUACAAUAUAAAUGUAAUACCCCCUGCAUUAGAUAAUGUGAUACAUCCAAAUACAGUCAAAUGCACCCAGUAUCCAUUAACUCUAAAAUUUGACUUUGGAAGUUAUAAUAUAUAUAUAUAUAGAGAGAGAGAGAGGCGGGGAGUAAAUUAUUUUUAAUCUUAAUUUCAAUUAUUUAAGUAUUAUUAAUAUGCUAAACAGUUUUUAUUAAUCUUAGAAUAAAUCUAACAAAUUAAUUAUUUAUUAUGGUAAUUUAUUAAAUAUUCAAAACAAUUUAUAUAAAAAGUGCAUUAUCUUAUAGAGUAUGUUGUUUUAACAUUAUAUUUUUAUUUAUUAUAAAUGUUUAAAAUCAAUUUUUGGAUUAAAGGGUAUAAUAUUGGGUUUCUGGGUGUUCUUUUUACUUUUCUUUAAUUUUUUUAUCCUGAAAAAAUUGGAGAAAAAAAAAACAUUGUUUUGGAUGCACAACGGGUAUGGUAGUAGAAAGACAUUCUUUAUUUCAUAGAUAAUAUUCCCAACUUGACUCAUUUAUUUGUGGAUUAUAUGGUAACCUAUAACAGAAUGAAACGCCGAUAACGUAAUGAAUUCAAUCUUUUGGUUCGACAAGAUGAAAAUGAAGCAUCAGUAGCCAAGCAAAAGUAAUAAGCUCUCCACCAUUGGUAACAUACUGGGCGUGUGCCAUUGGUGUGCAAUGACUUGCUCCGUCUGACAAAAUCUCCAUCCAUAUUCUGCUAACUGUCUCCCAUUUCUUAUCCUCAUCCAGCUUUUGAAGCCCGUUGGCCAAUUUUAUCGCAUCCUCAAGUGCAGAGUCAGAUGACUCAGGAACCGGUCCAUCCAUGAUCUUUUUACAGGCAGCCUUCGCCGGUCUUGAUUUUAUACCAUUUUUUUCAAGUAAUUUGUCAGCCGCACUAUUGGUUCGUCGCAAUAUGUGUUUCGUAUAACUUGGCGAAGAAUUCAUCAUGGUAGGCUUCAAUAGUAAAAGAUAGAACAUGUAAUCCGAGAGGAUCUUGCUGAGCUGUCUAGCAUUGUUAGUCUGCUGACUCUGCUCAUUCGAGACUUCCUCGGCAGUGUUGUAAAGGAGUUCGGUAGCAAGAUGCCAUACUGGGACGGUUACAUUAAUACUAAAAUACACAUAAUUCUUUGAAAUCUUCUUCAUGAUUUCGAUGAGAUGAUAUCCAUUUGUACCCAAGUCGUGGAGAGUACAGUCGCCUGAAGAUGAAUAUACAGUUCUCUUGACACCCGCCUCUGGAUCCUCUGCAUACUGAGAUUUCCGUUUGAUUUCAUGAAAUAUAAACUGCCAUAAUUUCUUUGUUAAUGGCUGAUGGGAUAGGGAUCUUUGGAUCCUUAUGUCAUCAAUGAUUUUAGAAAUGUGCAGAAACCGGGUGACAUUGUCCGCGGCAAUGGCCUUACGUGGAAUCAGUCGACCAAUGCGCAGAUAAUGAAUGGCUUUCUGCCAGGCUGGAUGAAAACCAUUCUUGACUUCGUUUACCCUGCUUGGAGGCACCUUGAGCCAAUAUCCUGUCCAGCUGAUUCCUGAGACAGAACCAGACCACCUGCGAAACAGGAAAGGCACAGCCAACACCUUGUGCUUGUCAUCAGCAUGCGGACGCUGCCAACGUGGGCUUUUGAGAAUGAGAAAGCGGUGGAUAACAGCAGCUAUGCCGUUUUUGAACCUUCCAAGUUUUGAUUUGUCGCCAUAAUUCCGGAGUGCAACAAACGUCCAAUCGGAGGAAACGAGAAUGAAGAAAGCUAUGAUGUCCAGGGCUAUGGCACCCAAAAACAGGGUGUAUAUAAGGCGAACAUCAAACUCGUUGAAACCAUGCUUGUUGUCACAAGGCUAUUUUCUUCGAUGCGGCAAGCCCGUGAUGGCGCUAAGUUUUCCGCUUAGCCAGCCACUCGACAAUUCGCAACGGAGGCUACGUGUGUGAAACACACCCUAAGAUUUUGAUGGGUGUCGAAGCCAACAAAAAUAAAUUCCUACUCUAAAUAAAUUGUGUAUAGUGAUUGAGCAGGGUCGUGUCCACAGAGAUCGGUAAUUAUUUAAAUCCUUUUGAAACGUAAAACGUAAAAUGGGGGAAUUGUAGACAAUAAUAAAAAUCAAAUUAAAUAACAAGAAUGCAAAUUAAAGUUGUAAUUCAAAUUGGAGAAAGCUCUGGUUGAAGGAAUUAACUCAGCUUGAUUCGACUACUGAUCAUUGAUUCAAAUAUAGAUUAUUAUUAUUAAUUAUGAAUAGACCGGUUAUAGCUACUGAGACCCUCUAAUAGCCAAUCUCUCCUUAACUAGUCGAUAACCAAGGUACGACCGUUGGUUAUUUCCCUAAUCAAUAGACAACCCUAGAUACGAUCAUAGGAUUUAAUCAAUUGACAGCCUGAGAAACCAGAGAGACCCAAAUCCUAAUCAACACAUAUGAUGAUUCAUUUAAAUUAGAUUCUGCUGUACGGCCAAGGCGGAUGUACGGUACAGCAGUAUAAAGCCAAUAAUUUGUUAUUGUUAUGCAAAUGGAUGUGUAAAAUAGAAGUAGUCUUAGCUGUAAUUUUUAUUUUUCCCGCCAAAGUUUGCUUAAGUUGAUAUGUUUAUGAAUUUGCAGUGUUUGUGUGCGCUUGUCGCAGAAACACAGUUUCUGCAUUUUUGGGUGACAAGAUUGUCUCCCGUGUGACAAGUUCUUGCCGCACUAAUACAUACUGUGUUUUUGGGUGUUAUUGUUGUCGCACGUGCGAUGAACGAAUGUCGCCCGUAUUGAGUUUCUGUAUUUUUAGGCAACAAAUUCCACGCCUUAUUAACAAAAUUCUUCUGCCGCUCAUAAUUUCUCCAAGGGAACAAUCAUCCCUAAACAUCAUCUUGUAGCUCAAUUUUAUCACCAAUCAAUAGAAUUGCACCUACAAAAGUAAAUCACAAGUAAAUCACUAUUAUUAAAUGCAAAACAUCGAUAUUAAGGGAAGUAAACAAUGCAAAACUAGUGCAUAAAUUGCACUGAACGUUUUUGGGUCAGAGCCCCAAUCACAGCGUCCUCCAUCCUAUGGCCAGGAAGUAUCAAGCGAGACUCGAGCAAGUUGUAUGUAGUUAACAGUUCUCGGCUCGAGCAGGAAUUGGCUAGUACAGCCUCGACCCGUUUGAGCUGGUCAGGUUCAAGCGGGAAGUGGACACCCCAAGAACCUGCAACACAAACAAACAUUUGAUUAGAGACAAACCAGUAAAGCGCAAACGACAAGGGAGACAAGACAUCUAAUACGAGCAGGCAACCUGGGACCACGAAACGGGGUGGGACGCGGAAGUCCUUCCCAUCAACCUGUGCAACUUGACCCCAGGGACCCCCUGCGAAGAAGAACUUCCUCUUCCAAUUCCCACCACCACCAGUAGGGAGAUCGGUUAUGGGUUUCCUGGUCUUGGUACUUGAUUGGAAGUAAUACCAGCCGGCAUCUUUUGGGCUGCUUUUCAGCUGGUACAGGUGCAUCACCUCGUCGACCGUGGGCUCGCUUUGGCAACAUCUGUCCCACAGUAUGAACAGACCAGAGAGCACUCUCCAACCGUUUGGGUUCAACUGACCAGGAGAUAGAUUCAACCCGCUAAGUAUCCGGGCAAAGUAAGGUUGCAAGGGACACCUCAGCCCAUACUUAAAGCUAUCCAGAUACAGGGUAACAUAUCCCCUAGGAGGCCGGCUAGGGGUAUCCUUCUUGCCUGGGACCUUGAGAAGUAUUUCACCAGGAAUGCUGUACCUAAGACGGAGGUCAGCGAGCUCGUCAAACGUGGUCGUGCACGUCAUAUAGUCGAUGGCAUAAUCACGCAACAAGGCUCUACCCCCUACUGUACCCCGUCCUUCUGGUCGUGACGUUCCAGAUGGAGACACCUCACCAGAGUCACCUUCGCCAUUCUCACUCAAAGUAUCCUCGGAGCCAGAAGAUCUCUCCUCACCAUUACUUCCGCUCGUAGAGGUUGUUUGGGGAGACAUCCUCCUAGCACUAGUCCCGACACUAGACCUAAUGGGCUCUAAGGGGAUCCCGGGGUCAAAAGCAGGAUCGGUGAGCAGACUAGGCAGGAAGUCCAACUCGUCGUCAUCAACCUCAAUGACCUUCUCUUUGCCUUUCGACAUUCCCUAAGCUCUAACCACAACACCACCAACUACUACCCAAACAGAAGAGAAGAGAAAUUAUCUACAACUAUCCGAGACCAAGGAGAUAGAAGAAAUACCUGAAGUAAUGGUUCAGUCAGAGAAAGUCAGAGAUGGAGGCCUUUUAUGCCGGAACUUCUUUGCCGGAGAGACAGAGACGGAGACGGAGUGAAUGAUGAAUAUGCCGUUCGAGAGGAUUUGGUUUUCCUAAUGAGGACGGACUCUUGGGUUGCCAGCAUGUAACAGCGCCGAAUCCCGAGGGUCUCAUAACCGUCGUUUUGAAAUUCAAAUGGAGGGGGGGAUUUCUGCCACGUCACUUCGUCCGCAAUUAAAUGCGACAUGACUCUUGGCAGCCUUUUCCAAUCCCACGCGAGCGAGUACUAUCGAGUUUCUACUGCUGGUCCACUACAUUAUCCAACACCAGAAACUGGGGGACCGGUGUUUGGGAGAAAUACGUCGACGAGACCAGGCAUGGUGAGCAGAUAUCUGAUGGCAGAGUUCUGCGAACCGGUGUGUUCCGUAAAAGCCUGGUGCGCGGGGGAACAGGAGCAGAAAUAUCCUGCUCGUCCACGAGCACGUCAUCCGCGAGGCCAAUUUCCUGUAAGAGGCAUAAGGCCAUUCCGGCUAGAGGUCGAGAGGCGAGGAGACCCGGUCGACGGCAGUUGGCAAGACAUGCUCUCCAGCCCGAGAAUCUAGGCACGACAGCCACGCUUUCCCCAGAACCACGGCGGAACAUGCAAGAUCCCACGUUUGCCCAUAACGCAGCAGUCGGAGUCCCAUACCGUCCCCCAAAAAGCGGAAACAAGAUCUCACAGAACCACGACAGCCACGCUUUCCCCAGAACCGUGGCGUAACACGCAAGAUCCCACGUUUGCCCAUAACGCAGCAGUCAGAGUCCCAUGCCGUCUCGAAAAAAGCGGAAAACUGGGAUUCAGAGGAGGCCUAUAAAAAGGUAGCCAACGAGGUAAAAGGGUGAGCAUUUUUUUGAGAUUAGAAAAGAAAUUCAAAACUGCUGUACGGCCAAGGCGGAUGUACGGUACAGCAGAACAUGCAUAACAAAGCAAGUUCUAGAAUAAACAAACUAGGAUUGAUAUUCACAUAACAAAAAUAAUUAGAGCAAAGUGGUUGCUCAUAGGCUCAAAUCCUCACAAAGUUGGUAAAUUUGCCAUCAAAUCAUGUACACUCUUCAAAUGAAUCAACCAUCAAUAGUGGUGUAGAAUGAGAAGAAGGUAUGAGUAAGAUAUAAAAGGAAAGGUAAAAAGGAUAAUAAGCGAGAAAGAUGUAUGUAGUAAAAAAAAAUGAAAGAUAAAAUAUGAGUGAUGACAGAGUAUGAUAGAAAAAAAAAUAAAUAUAAAUAAUUUGAGAUAUAUGGGAAAAGAGUAGUGACAGAGAAAGAAAAAGAAAAUUAAUAAUAUAUGAAGCAUACUAACUCAAAAAUUAUUUAAGGAUGAGUAGAGUGAAAAAAAAAAAGAUAAGUAGAGUGAAAACAAUAAUUUCAGAUAUCAAUAAUGCAAAAAUCCCUCCCCCACACCAAGAACUUACAUUGUCCCCAAUGUAAGAUAAUCAAAGCUCACAUAAAAAUUAAAGCGUAAGGAUAAAAGUUUAAGGGCAAAAAGAAACUUCCCUGAAUUGUGAGCUUUGAUCCACAUAACGUCUAUGGGCUUGGCGGAAAUGGUGGGGUAAAUCCCACACUCUCGAAGUAUGCAGCCAAAUUCUGCUCCAUCUUGUUCAUGCGGCUGGAAUGCAAGUCGUAGGCUGGUUACGGACUAUUGCUGCUCGACUGGAGCUUGCGGGUACACGGCUGGUGGUUCAGUUGCGCGCGGAUGGGACUGAUGCUACGAACUGGUGACGUUGGAUCUGCGUGCUGCGGCUGUUGCUGCGCGCUGGGGGAUUGCUGGUGCGCGCGCUGGUGACGCUUGUUGCGUUGCGUGCUCGGCUGGAGCUUGCUGCGCAGCUUGGGGCUGAGCUGCUGCGUGGCUGUGUUGCUGCGGGACUGUUGCGCGCGAGAGCUGGUUCUGGGUUGCGUUGCGGGGCGUGCUCGUUGCUGGUGCUUGCGUUGCGCGCGACUGAUGCUGCAUUCUCCGGCUGGCUGGUUUGCUGCUGGCGUGCUGCAAACGGCUGGAGAAGAAAACAAUUUCUGGAAAAUUAGAGAUUUUGUGAACAGUAAAUAUAUAUAUAUUUUUUUAACAAUGAUUUUUUUUAUUUUUUUUAAAUAAAUAAAAAUAUAUAUAUAUAAAAGAAAGAACAAAAGAAAUAAAUAAAUAAAAUAAAAUGAAAUAAAAUAAAUUAAAAUUAAUUUUUUAUUUUUUUUUAGUGAUGAAUCACUUUGAGACACUAAAAAUUUCAGAAGUACUUUUCUAAUAAGCACGUGGGCACGCCUUCUGCUGUACCGUACAUCCGCCUUGGCCGUACAGCAGUUUGCUUAACCCAUGUGCAUCACUCAAUUGGUGGGGGCAAAUAACGUCUUAAGGAAAGCGACUUAUUGUAACGUGCCUUGAAGCAUACAAAAUUUCUGCAGUUUCUUCCUACAUACAGAGUUAGUUGUAAACACAUUACUUUACAUAAUAAAGUUCCACCAUUAUUGUUGUAUUUCUCUACAUUUGUCAUUCUCCACAAAUAUUCCUCCAACAAAUAGACUACUCUAUCGAGUUAAAGAUAAAAUAAGGCUACGUUUGGAUUGCGGCGAAAAUGUAAAAAAAAACAAUCUACUUCACAAUUUUCUUUAUUUUGAUUGAAACCUUCAAACUAGGUAAAUGAUUGCUUAUAGUUCUUAUUGAAACCUUCAUAUUUUCAAAACAAAAAAAAAAGUGCUAUUUUACCCAAUUUUUCUUUUUUGUUUCUUUUAAUUAAGCUUGUACUCCACCAUUUCUCACUCAAAAUUAAAACAUAUCUUGUAGACUUGAAUUCUUAAACUAUUGCUUCCUCUGCAAGAGGCCAAACUAACUCAGUAAUCCUUUGAGGAUAAACUUAUCAUAAUCGUACUCUAUGUCUUAAUAUAUUAUAAUUACUAUAAAUACUAUCAAUCGCAUGUUUUUUAAUUUCUAUAAAUUAAUAUUGGACCUUACCUAACUUAAUCUUUUGAGAAAGGGAGAGUAAUAGGUGGAACCGCAAUCACAUCGAAUAAUAUACUCACUUUGUGUCAUUUAAUUGAUGUUUUAAUUUUUAGCCAUUUAGGUCUCUAUUUCAAUCCCACCCCAUUUUAGACAUCUUUCUUGAUGUCUUGGAAUUCAUAUAAUCCAACGUCAGAUUCACUUUUUACUUAACGGAUUUGUUAAGACUUGUCUUUAAUAUUAAACCUGUGUUAAUAACUUAAGCUUUUGGAUAAUUUUCUCCUACUACAAUUAGAACCCAAAAUGAGUGAGGAUUGGUAGCAACAAGCAGACAUUGCUGAGACACAAGCCACGAAUAGAUGAUGCUAUUUGCUAAUCUCUCUAAAUGUGCUCUGUAUUUGAGACUCCAGACGGCUCACUGUAGUCGCCAAUUGACUCAUUUGGUUCUCCAAGUUCUGAAUGCUUGUUGUAGUUGCCUGCUGAAAUUGUUGAGUGUUAGUCGCAAGUGAUUUAACAAUUUCUUCAAGAGAUAUACCUGACUUGGAGUUUAACUGUGGAGGUGCUGGUUGUCUUGGUGGAUACUGUUGUGGGAAUCUUGAUUGCCUAACUUCAUAGCUGAAGUUGGGAUGAUCCUUCCAUCCCGGAUUGUAUGUUUGUGCAUAAGGAUCAUACCUCCUCUGAGGCAUGCCUGGAAAUCCUCCAACUGCAUUGGCUUGUUCAACGGGUUCUUCUUGAAAUGUAGGACACAUAUCGGUUGAAUGACCCAUAUUGUAAUAAAUGCCACAAGUUUUCACCUGUUGUACAUUACCUACAAUAAACUUUUUCUACAAGAGAAGUAAGUUUAUCUAAACGUUGUUCAACAGAAGAAAUAUUUACCUCAUUCACCUUCCUUGAAGUAGGAUCUUGCAUGCUGCCAAAUUGUUGUGCAUUGGCAGCCAUAUUUGAUAUCAACUCCCUUGCUUGAGUAGGGGUCUUGUUCACCAACACGCCUCCACUAGCAGCAUCUAUCAUACUCCUAUCCAUCAAUGAUAGUCCUUCGUAAAAAUAUUGAAUAAGAAGUUGAUUAGAAAUCUGAUGCUGAGGACAGCUGGCACACAAUUGUUUGAUCGCUCCCAAUACUCAUACAAAGUCUCCCUAGGAAGUUGUCUGAUCCCACAAAUGUCUUUUUUGAUGUUGGCAGCUCUUGAAGCAGGAAAGUACUUCUCGAGGAAUUGCUUCUUCAAACCAUUCCAUGUUGUAAUCGAUCCAGGAGGCAAGUAGUACAACCAAUCUUUAGCUAACCCAUCUAAAGAGAAUGGAAAAGCACGCAGCUUAAUCUGCUCUUCAGUCACGCCUUGUGGUCUCAUACUUGAACACACAACAUGAAACUCCUUAAGAUGUUUAUGAGGAUCUUCACCUGCAAAACCAUGAAACUUGGGUAAUAAAUGAAUAAGACCAGACUUUAAUUCAAAAUUUACCUCCAAAUCUACAUAUUGAAUGCAGAGUGGUUGCUGAUUCAAGUCUGGUUCAGCUAACUCUCUAAGAGUUCUUUCUACAGGUGCAGGUCUAUCCAUCACUUGUUCUUCUGAAUCGCUAGAUGAUUCAACUAAAUCAGGCACCGUAUCUGUUUCAGAAAGCAAAGGCGACGAGGAUCGUUGCUUAGCUCGCUUCGUCUGCUGUCUCAACUGGCGAGCUGUCUUCUCAAUUUCAGGAUCAAACGAAAGUGUACCUGUACAAGAAGAAAGAACCAUACACCAAGUAAAACGUAAAAAGGAUUAAAUAAAUGACACCAAUCCCCGGCAACGGCGCCAAAAAUUUUAUGGUUGUCGAAGCCAACAAAAAUAAAUUCCUACUCUAAAUAAAUUAUGUAUAGUGAUUGAGCAGGGUCGUGUCCACAGAGAUCGGUAAUUAUUUAAAUCCUUUUAAAACGUAAAACAUAAAAUGGGGGUUUUGUUGACAAUAAUAAAAAUCAAAUUAAAAUAACAAGAAUGCAAAUUAAAGUUGUAAUUCAAAUUAGAGAAAGCUCUGGUUGAAGGAAUUNNNNNNNNNNNNNNNNNNNNNNNNNNNNNNNNNNNNNNNNNNNNNNNNNNNNNNNNNNNNNNNNNNNNNNNNNNNNNNNNNNNNNNNNNNNNNNNNNNNNNNNNNNNNNNNNNNNNNNNNNNNNNNNNNNNNNNAGAUUAAGUUGAUAAUUAAAUAGUGGCCAAUUACCUAAUUAACAAACAUAAUCAUGAAAAUAAUUCAGAGAAUAAACAAAUACCCAAAAAGCAAUAAAACAAUUAAAGCACAAGAAAGAUCUCACAGUAGUGAUGAAUCAAAGCUUCAUUCUCCUUCAACCAGAAAAAUAAGUUUAGUUCUUCAUAGAGAGAAGAGAAAAAUUAAAUCUAGGGUUUCUUUCUUUUUCUCCAAUCCAAAAAAUCCCCCCUUUUUCACAAUUGAUUCCUCCCUUAAAUACUCUCUCUCUCUUCUCCUUUAGAGUUCUAUUUAAAAUAAAAUACUAAUAUCUGAAAUAUUAAAUUCGUAAUUACAAAAAUAACCAAAAAUACAAAACACAUUAAACUAAAAACUGCAGGUCUGUAGUUGACAGCAUGCGCCCACGCCUUAUCAACAAAGUUCUUCUGCCGCUCAUAAUUUCUCCAAGGGAACAAUCAUCCCUAAACAUCAUCUUGUAGCUCAAUUUUAUCACCAAUCAAUAGAAUUGCACCUACAAAAGUAAAUCACAAGUAAAUCACUAUUAUUAAAUGCAAAACAUCGAUAUUAAGGGAAGUAAACAAUGCAAAACUAGUGCAUAAAUUGCACUCUAACAGAUUUUCAACGAUACAACAACCGAAACACAACACAAACACAAGGCACACGAGAUUUACGGAAGCACCGACUUCCAACCUUUUCUUAUUAAUCAAGAACAAGGAACUAAAAAUAGCUUCCAGCAAGAAUGCUUGCAGAAUACCACUCACUGUCUACAAAACUUGGCUCCCCAAGCUCUCCCCCCAUAAUGCUACUUAUAGCAUUUGUAAGUGACAGCCCCACUUACUAGGAUAGUAUAGAUUAUUCCCAACCCAUACCUUGUUUGCCACCAGCACACAUAAACAAAUAAGCCCACUACCUAAGUGCAUUGCCCAUACACUAUUGUUUAGGUUACAUUGAAUAGUGGCGGACCAUCCCCACUUAGACAAGAUCCCCAUUAUAGGUAGUGCCCAUGCAGUGGCGGGCCUCCGCCACUAAGAAUUGCUCCAACAAUCCUCUUGGCCUGAUGCUUGUGUGCGGAACAUGUUCUGUGCGUGUGCGCUCCAUUGGCGCGCCUGUCCGCUAUCCGUUAGCGUGCGCGCUGCCUGGCACGCUUUGUGUGCGCGCAUGCUGCUUGGCGCGCUCUUGCGUCCGCGCUUGCCCGCUGCAUACGCUCGCUCACUGCCCAUCAGCGUGCACAUGCCUUGCGCGCAUUUGCGUGCACGCUAUACCCUCGGAGCACUUGUGCGCUGCCUCGCGCAUAUCCCGCGCGCGCUGCCCAUCAGCCCGCUAGUUGCUGCCACUCCCCAGCCCGCGUGCAGACUUGCCUUGUUUCCUCACACAUCCGUUGCCUCAUUAUGCUUGGCACAAGGCCGCAAGCCAAGCAUUGGCGUGCCUCGAGUUUUAAGGCUGUAACACUUGUCCACUUGGAAAUAGAAAAUUGAAAAGGCUGCCACCACAGAACCAAAACUUAUGAACCGCAAAACAAUUCCCAAUACACCCUGUGUUACCUGGAUCUUGGUGUGAAAAACUUCAUAAACCAAGUUGAGUUCAACCUCAAUUAUUCCCAAGGCUUCUGCUGGACUAAAAUCAUCAAUGGAAGGUUCUUCAAGUUUAACGUCUUUGAAGCUGGGGACGAGAUCAACAAGAAUCAAUCUGAAGAGAUUGAAGUAUUGACAACCCACCUCGACAUAAUCUCUGCCUUCCUGUAUCGGAAUAACACGAUCAUUUUCACGAGACAAAGCACGAAGCCUCUUAAAAUGCUCCAGUUGUAUUUUAAGGGAUAAGUCCCGAAAUUUCUCCAGGCUUGCAAGAUACAAAGCACGAAUCCUCUCAAAAUACUUUAUCAUAGCGGCAAUAAACACGAGCACUGUUGGAAACAACAGCUUGUUUCCGUGAAGCGACUGGAAGAAGAUAUAAACAGCAGCAACAACCUGGACUACGAGUCCAAGCAAUUGCCUGAUCCAGAGUUCGUUAUCUUCAAGAGCAAACGCAGUUAUAGUGUCUGGACCACCAAGGUGUAACAACAGAAAUGGAGCCCAAAACGCUAAAAGCUCCUUCUCCGUGGGCAUCGAGAGCUCAGGAUUAUCUCUUGCUCUUUCAGUGAUGAGGCCAAUGCCAAAAUUAGCAGCCCAAUCUGCGAGCAAGUAAGCGGACCAGAUUAUCAAGAUGAUCAGUUUAUGGCCCGUGGUUUUUCGGAGGGGAGCAAAAAAAACCAAGACGGUUUGUAAUGAAAGACUGAACAAGAUUACACCUCGUAUGUUCCAGUCGUUCCAUAAUUUCUUGACAAGUUCAGGGAUUCGAUUAAGCAUUUCCUCGCUUUUCGCUUUUCAAGGUAUAGAGAUUAAAAACAGUGGACUUCUAGCGUUUUGAAGCUUAAAAAUUGACAGGGAACAAGAACACGAGAGAUAAAUUGAUGAGGAAUUUUUGGAAUCCUUCUUUCUCUUCUUCCUUGACAACUUCUUGUCGGACGAAUGAAUCAUUUUUUAAAAAUUUAGAAAACACAUUAAAAUAAGAGGAUUAAAGGUCAGCAAUAUUCAAAUAGCAAGAAUCAAGAAAAGAAUUUAAGAAAAAGAAGACAAAUCGCGGAUUCAAGACAGAAUAAUGCAGUAUCGCGCUGUUUCACAAAUUAUAAUGACGCUUUCUCAAAAUAUUGUUCCAGAAAUACAUUUGUAAAAGCAAUUGCAAAUAGUAAGUGACUAGCUAUUUAAACCCAAAUGAUUAAAUGCAUCCAUUUAUGCUCUGAUGCUUGCAAUUAAGUCAUUUGGUUAUGAUGAAGGGUCUUCUUAAUAGAGAGCAACAUAUGUAUAUCCGGAAGUUAAAUGCAAUUCCUGCCUUCUAGAAAAAUAUCAGCCCAAGUUAAGAUGUAGGGUUUACGUAUUGAAAAAGAGUGAGUUCAAUAAAGAGAUUAAAAACAAUGGACUUUAGAGUCUUCAAUAAGUGAAAAAUUUUGAGAUAACAAAAGCACGAGAUAGAGGAUAAUUCGGCUUCUUACUUAGUUUACUUCAAUGUUAAAGUAAUAUUUAGAAUUCCUUGGAAACUUUGUCUAAAAGGCAAAAGCAAGGAUCCGCUUCAUUGCAAGGAUUGAUUAAGAAAUGACAUGAAGGAAACAAUAUUCAUAUAGCAACAAUUAAGAAAAGAAUAAAAAAAAGAUAGAAUCCCAAAAAAAAAAAACAUUAUCCACAUAUUGACUUAUGAAAUAAGAAAAAUUAUGGAUUAAUAAAAGAAAUUACUCCAUUGGAAAACCCUAAUGAGCUACGGGAAAGCUUCUCCACCGCCGCUGGCGAGCGACCGUUUCACCAAAAAGACAAAGUUUAGGGCUGAAGGGGCUGAUGGAGAUAACCCUAAGCCCUUAUCCUACCGUGAUAUUGCCAUGGAGGCGAAUGGGGGUUCUGCAAAUAUGGGGUUUGGCAUGAGGGACGAGUGGGAACUGGAAGAGGAGGAUGUCUGUUGCAAGGAGGACGAAUCUAUGCCCUAUAUUGCUUUCUCACAAAGGGUUCACGAUCGACUAGCAAAACCUUGGGCGAACUCAGUUGUCGUUAAAACUCUUGGACGAAACUUGGGAUAUAGAGUUAUCAGUGAGCGUUUGAAGAGACUCUGGAGUUCUACAAUGGGUUUCUCCAUCAUUGACUUAGCUAAUGAUUACUACUUGGUCCGUUUUCAGAACGAGGGAGAUGUGGAAUAUGCUCUUACUGAGGGGCCUUGGACCAUCAUGGGGCAUUAUCUUUUUGUUCAGCAAUGGACGCCGGAGUUUGAUGCUACCACGAAUAGAGUUGAUCGGAUUGUGGCUUGGAUUCGUUUGUCUGGCAUGAAUAUUCACUUUUAUCAUAAAACUAUUAUUCGGCGGUUAGGGCAAAUUGUUGGCCCGGUCAUCAAGAUAGACUAUCUCACUGCCGCAGCCCAAAGGGGAAAAUUCGCUCGCAUUGCGGUUCAACUAGACCUUGACAAGCCGCUGGUUUCUCAAUUUAAUUUUGAGGGAAGAAUCCAAAAGGUGGAGUAUGAAAAUCUGCCCAUGAUUUGUUUUUGUUGUGGCAAGUUUGGCCAUUAUCAAGAUGCUUGCCCUGACGGUGGUACCACGCAUGUGGAAGCGGCACAGCCAACUUCUUGUCCUGUUGCUGCAAACCAGAAUAUUGUGGUGGAGGAGGGUUCUAACCAAAAUGAGUCUAAGUUUGGAUCGUGGAUGGUGGUAACCCGUAAACCUCGCCCUCGUAGAUCUACAGAAAGGGUUUCUUCUAAGGUCUGGGUUCAGGAUCAACAGGGGCUGAAUGUUCGUGUGUCGCGGUUUGAUGUUUUAGGCAAAGUGAUGGAUGACGAAAGUGUACCACAAAAUCAGGACAACACUUCGGUAGUCCAUCAGGAAAUCCUGGAGCCAACAGUAGAAAACCCCAACACAUUAGCCCCAAAAUCCAGGAGCAUGAAAAAGAAACAAGUGAGUCACUUUAUGCGGAAAUAUCCUACCAAGAAAAUUUCAGUUUCGGCAAACAACUCCAUAGCUGAAAAUAUCAACCCAAACAAUCACAGCCGUAACCAGACUUUCCAACCACAUAAGCCUACCCUAGCCAUGCAAGGCAUGCACGCACAUCUCAAGGUUCUUACAACAUCUGAACCAAGUGCCACCUCCGAUGUUCCCUGUAGCUCCAUGCAUGGCAUGCAUGCCCAUCCCAACACACUGGCUGCUUCUCCGAUGCCUGUUCAUGUAACCCUUAACCCGUUAAACCACAGUGCAGUUUCUUUCCCCAACCUUCAGCUACAAUUUCCUCAUCCUCGGUCUCAUCAUGAACACUUGCCUGAGGGAGUUUUGGCCCUAAAUUUGGAUAAAGAGCCUCCCGAUGAGGAUGGAAUGGAGAGCCCUAAUUUCCGGGGGGGAGAUUUUAGGGAGCUUGAUUCAGAUGUUGCGGGUAGGAUUUUGCCUUCAACUGAUGACGAUAAUUCAGGGGUUCCUGACACCUUCAUGGAUGAUGAAGCUGAAGCCAUAGGGCUGUCUUAGUUUCGCCCCCGUUCCCCUUUUAAAAUAUUUUUGUUAUGUGUAUUACAACUAUGUUUUGGAAUGCUCAAGGUGCUGCCUCACCGUCCUUUCGUCGUUCUUUCUCUGCUGUGGUUACCAAUUACAAGCCCAUAAUGGUGGUGUUAAUGGAGCCUCGCAUCAGUGGGUCCAAGGCGGAUAACUUCAUCAAGAAUAGUGGUUUUGACAAGUCUCACCGAGUGGAAGCUGAGGGUUUUUCGGGCGGCAUUUGGAUCCUUUGGAAAAAUUUAUUUGAUGUUGAGAUAGUGGAGAAUCAUACUCAAUUCAUUCACCUCAAGAUUUCAAGGAACAAUAAUCUUCUAACUUGGAUGACGGCAAUCUACGCUAGUCCUAAUCCAAGCAUUAGGCGACAUCUUUGGAAUGAGUUGGCAAAGAUUGCUUUGACUGUCCAGGGCCCUUGGCUGUUAGGUGGAGAUUUUAAUACUAUUCUGUAUAAUUCUGAGAAGAAAGGAGGAUCUCCGAUGGGCGCAGGAGUGUGCAGACUUUUUCAGUCUUGGUUUCAUAGUCACGGCAUGCAUGACCUUCCUUUUCAUGGGCCACGUUUUACUUGGUCUCGCGGCAAUCUUUUCAAACGUCUUGAUAGAGUGAUUUGCAAUGGAGAUUGGGCUCAGACUUAUGCUGCCUCUACUGUCCUUCACCUUCCAAAGUUUAUUUCUGAUCAUCGGCCUCUUCUAGUGAAAGAGAAUAUUAAUCCUCCGAGAAAUUUAAAUUCUAGGCCGUUUCGUUUUCAGGCGGCUUGGCUCACGAAUGAUGGUUUCAAGGAUUUUGUGGCCACUUCAUGGGAUCGGAACGUCACCUAUAUGGAGGCGGCAAAUCUUUUUCGGCUUAAAGUCAUGGAUUGGAAUAGGCAGCAAUUUGGGAAUAUUUUUUGGCGGAAACGACGAUUAAUGGCUCGGCUGGGGGGAAUUCAGCGGGCCUUGGAGAAGUAUAGUUCUCAAGGGCUCCUUGAGCUUGAAUUAAAGUUGAGAACCGAGCUUGAAGAAGUGCUUACUCAGGAAGAAAUUUUCUGGCUUCAAAAGUCGCGCAAAGAUUGGCUCCUUUUAGGUGAUCGUAACACUUCCUACUACCAUCAGAAAACUUUAUCUAGAAGGCGUCGGAAUCAUAUUACAGCCAUUAAAAAUAAUGCGGGCACUUGGAUUUAUGAUAAAGAGGAAAUUACGCAGCAUGUGAUUCAGUUCUAUUCAUCCCUGUAUUCUUGCGACUCGCCAAAUUUCCGGGCAUAUCCGCAUCCGAACUCUUUUCCUAUUAUUAAUGAUGAGGAGCUUCAAUAUCUUCAGGGGAAUGUGGAUGAUGAUGAAAUUAAAAGAACCAUCCUUGGCAUGCACCCUCUCAAGGCCCCGGGUCCGGAUGGCCUCCAUGCCAUUUUCUAUCAAACACAGUGGGAUACGGUUGGCCCAUCUCUUUGCUGCUUAGUGAAAGAUGUUUUUAAGCAUAAACGUUUGCCGGGGGAUCUAAAUACUACAUUGCUUGCGCUUAUUCCAAAGAUUGAGAAUCCCUCUUCUUUGAAGUUGUACCGUCCCAUCUCUCUCUGCAAUGUAGCGUACAAGACCAUUACCAAGAUUAUUGCUAAUCGGCUCCAAUCGAUUUUACCUCAUCUGAUUGGCCCCCACCAAACUAGCUUUGUUCCCGGUCGUCACAUAACGGAAAAUAUUGUGAUCGCUCAAGAAGUCAUCCAUUCCAUGAGGAAAAAGACUGGUGCUAAAGGUUUUAUGGCGAUCAAGGUUGAUCUUGAGAAGGCGUAUGAUCGCCUUAGUUGGGAAUUUAUCAAUGAUACUUUGUGCGAAGCUCAAAUUCCCCCCGAUCUCAUUCAGACUAUUAUGGCUUGUAUUACCUCAGUCAAAAUGCGGGUUUUGUGGAAUGGGGAAGUGACGGAUGAAUUCGUUCCUUCCCGUGGAAUUCGCCAGGGUGAUCCGUUGUCUCCUUAUCUUUUUGUUCUCUGCAUCGAACGCUUGAGCCAUGGGAUUCAUAAUGCCGUGACUGCUGAUAAGUGGAAACCGAUUCAUUUGGCUCGCAAUGGUAUCCCUCUCUCUCAUCUUUUCUUUGCGGAUGAUCUCCUGUUGUUGGCUGAAGCUUCUAUUGAGCAAGCUCGUAUUCUAUCGGCAGUCUUGGAUGCUUAUUGUUACAGUUCAGAAGCUAAGGUUAAUGUUAACAAGACUAUGUUAUACUUUUCCAAGAAUGUAAGGGGUAUAGAUGUGGCCAGGAUCUCGGGUAUUCUUGGUUAUUCUGUCACGCAGGAUCUUGGGAAGUAUCUUGGGGUCCCUCUCCACCACUCACGGGUCACCAAUAAAAUGUUCCAGGAUAUUAUUGAUAAAGUUGAAAAGCGGCUCUCUGGCUGGAACGCUUCCCAUUUGUCUCUGGCUGGCCGCAUUACUCUGGCUCAGUCGGUCCUUCAGGCUAUUCCCAUUUACGUCAUGCAAACUGUUUCUAUUCCGGCUGGUAUCAGAGAGAAGAUUGAUAGGGCAUGCAGGCGCUUUAUUUGGAGUGGCUCUUCACCUAAUCAAAGCCUUAGCAUGAUCAGCUGGAAGGAUAUUUGUAAGCCAAAGUCAGCCGGGGGGUUGGGGUUCAAAUCCUUGGCUAUCAUGAACCGAGCCCUUCAUAUGAAACUUGCUUGGGGUCUCCUCUCUUCCCCAAACAGCUUCUGGGUUCAGGUCCUUGUCUCUAAAUAUGGGGUUGACAUUCGCAAUCCGCCUCUUUUGCUUCCAACGCGCUAUGGUUCUCACUUGUGGAAGUCUAUCGGAAAUGUGUGGAGUGAUGUUUUGGCAAGCCGACGCUGGUGCUUGGGAGAUGGUAAAUCCGUUUGGUUUUGGUGGGAUCUUUGGGUGACUAAGGAUGUCCCUCUUGCGGCUUAUACAACCAAUAAUCUUCCUAGCAAUAUCUUAAACGGUAAAGUGGCUGAUUUUGUUAAAGAAGAUGGUUCCUGGCUCUGGGAGCGUUUUGAACAAUUUCUUCCUGCUAAUAUCAUUAUUCAGAUUGCGGCUUUUCAUCCCCCAUCCCCUGAUAAGGGUACGGAUUCUUUGUUUUGGACUCACUCCAAAUCUGGGCGUUUCACUACUCACUCGGCCUACUUGGCCUUUUCGAAUGAUACUCCCAUGCAUGAUGACAGGCUCUGGCGUACGGUUUGGAGUUGGAAGGGUCCCCAAAGUGUGAGGAUCUUCUUAUGGCAAGCAUUUCACGAUCGUCUGAAAACUAAGGCCGAAUUAGUUCGUCGUCACAUCCCGGUAUCAACCUCCUGCGACCGGUGUGGGGCUGCGACUGAGGAUGCUAUGCAUGUCUUGCGGGACUGUGCUUUGGUUAAGCGUUUCUGGCUCCUGAUUCUCCCAGAAAAUAAACGACAACAAUUCUUCAAUUGGCGGCUCCAUGAUUGGCUUCGUACGAACCUGGGAAUGGUCGGAGGGCUAGGGAGUGUUUCUAAUUGGGCCAUCUUCUUUGGUAUUGCUCUCUGGAGACUUUGGUUUUGGAGGAACCAAUUCAUCUUUAAUCAAGUUUCUAUGGAUCCGAAUACUGUUUUAAUGGAUGUUUUUAUGCGCACUGCGGAAAUGCAUAAGAUUCAUUCUCAUCCGCUUACCUCAGGACAUACAAGAGUGAUGAGAUGGAUUUCUUGGAAACCUCCAGAUUGGCCUUGGUGCUCUCUGAACACGGAUGGUGCCCAUAACAGGGAGGGAAUUUCUUCUGCUGGGGGAUUGAUUCGCGAUCACAUGGGUCGCUGGAUAAGUGGUUUUGGGAUGAUGAUAGGUUCCUGCUCUGUUACAGUAGCGGAGCUUUGGGGUUUGUAUCAAGGGUUGCAGCUAGCCUGGAAUUCUGGUAUAAGAAAGCUUAAAGUGGAAAUAGAUAGUUGUUGUGUGCUGCAGUUGGUGACCAAGCCAACAUUGGAAAUCAAUCACUAUACUCCUCUGAUUCGAGCUAUCAAGGAUUAUCUAAAGAUGGAUUGGCAAGUUUCUGUUUCCCAUAUUUACAGAGAAGCUAACUUCGCAGCGGAUUAUAUGGCGAGCCUAGCCUUCUCUAUUCCUCUUGGUCUUACUAUCUACCAUACUCCCCCGUUGGGUGCUAGACCCUUUUUGUUUAAGGAUGCUUAUGGGGUUGCCCAUUCUCGCUCGAUUGUUCUUUAGCUCUGCCUAGAGCCCCUUUUUACCAAAAAAAAAAAAAAAAAAACAUUAUCCACAGUUCCUAGACUCAUUGGCACGUGAUAGCAAUUGUUGAUUCAUCUUGAUUGGACUGUAUGAAAUUAAUAACAAAUUUGUUUAAGUUUAAUAAUUUAACAACGUCUAUUCAAUUGACAUUGGCAUAUGACAAAGAAAAACUGGAUACAAACAAUUUUUUUUCCUAUAUUUUAUGUCAACGAUGACAUUUUCAUUCAACCAAUAAGUACACGACAUUUUCAUUUCGUCAAAAUGUCUCUAAUUGGGCAAUUUUCAGAAACCUCCCCUAAGGUUUGAUAUAAUUUCACUUAGAUGGCGAGUUUGAUUGUAUUCUCACUUACCUCCCCUGCCGUUAGUAUACAUACGGUUUGACCGUUAGUGGACGAGGGUAAAUAUGUAAAAGGCAAGGUGAAAUUAUAAAAAAAUCAAAUAACAAUAAAAAAAUGGUUUAAAAUCUAUUGGACAAUUGUAUUAACCGAUUAGACACAAUAUCCAUUGUGUAAAAGAGUGCAUUUCUCUUUCUCUUCUCUUUCCCCAGCACAAAAAAGCAGUGGCUGUCAAUGUCUCACCAUUUUCACUCCACUCACCUACUCUCAUCUGCUAGAACAAAAAGAAAUACACAUUAAGCGCAUACAUAACCCAUGAAGAAGAAAAACGUAGGUGGUCGGAGAAUGCCACCGACCGGUGACGAUCAACAGCGACCGAAAGAUGCCACUGUUAUUGAAGUUUGUAAGAGGUUAAUUACUUUAUGAAAGUCUAAAAUUUAUAAAUACCUUUGGUUUUCUUGUUUUUGGAGUUUUAUAAGUGGUUAUUGGUUGUGUUUCAUUUGUCUUGUUCAUGGGUUGGUGGUGGAAAAAUUGAUUAAAAGGAAAAUGAGUUUAGCCAUAUGUGGCCAUAAGUUGAAAAAAAUUUAAUUAUUAGUUAUUUUAUGUUUAUGAUUUACACCAUACAUAGUGCAAUAAGGCUAUAAAGCCAAAAAUUUGUUAUUGUUAUGCAAAUGGGUGUGUAAAAUAGAAGUAGUCUUAACUGCAAUUUUUAUUUUUCCUGCCAAAGUUUGCUUAAGUUGAUAUGUUUAUGAAUUUGCAGUGUUUGUGUGCGCCCGUCGCAGAAACACAGUUUCUGCGUUUUUAGGUGACAAUUUUGUCUCAUGUGCGACAAGUUUGAGAGAUUUGAUGAUACAACACCUUUUCAGUACGAGCAAGGCAAUUGAGAUGUCGUAUCAUCUUUUUGUACUCAGUCAUAUGCACAAGAUUGAGUUUUUGUAUAUUUUGUAUAAAUGUUAUACUAACAUAGUGACAAUACCAUGUAUAAAGUAUAACUCAACUAUCUAUCAUGACCACUGUUACUGUAGUUAUUAUUUUUGUUCUUUUUGUAUAUAUGGGCGACUGCUAGAUGUAUAGGCUGAUGAAAUUCAGUCAAAUUAUAAUUGUGAUCAACUGUAAGCUGCAGAAAUGCACAUGUAACUAUUAUUUAAGUGAUAGUGUCAGUUCUUAUUAGUGUUAUUUUUCAAUUUAAUUAACUGAUAUUAAUGUUUUUUAGGUUUCAGCAUAAAUUAAAAUAUUUGUUAUUUGUAUUGUCGGUUGGGUGACAAACAACUUGAUGAAGAGUAUAGUAUAUUGCUGAAAGAAGUAAAUUAUGUUUUUGUAGUUUUUUAUUUCACCUCCAGGCAAACAUUCUGAAAUUUGGGGAGACAACAUUGUCGCACAGGAGACAACAGCUUGUCUCCCUAAAUUUCAGAAUACUUGUUUCAAAAUUGCAAAAACAAACAUUCUGAAAUUUGGGGAGACAAGCAUUGUCGCACAGGAGACAACCGCUUGUCUCCUCAAAUUUCAGAAUGCUUGUUUUUGCAAUAUCGACAAUGUUGUCUCCCAUGCGACAAUGUUGUCUCCCAUGCGACAAUGUUGUCUCCCAUGCGACAAUGUUGUCUCCCAUGCGACAAUGUUGUCUCCCAUGCGACAAUGUUGUCUCCCAUGCGACAAUGUUGUCUCCCAUGCGACAAUGUUGUCUCCCAUGCGACAAUGUUGUCUCCCAUGCGACAAUGUUGUCUCCCAUGCGACAAUGUUGUCUCCCAUGCGACAAUGUUGUCUCCCAUGCGACAAUGUUGUCUCCCAUGCGACAAUGUUGUCUCCCAUGCGACAAUGUUGUCUCCCAUGCGACAAUGUUGUCUCCCAUGCGACAAUGUUGUCUCCCAUGCGACAAUGUUGUCUCCCAUGCGACAAUGUUGUCUCCCAUGCGACAAUGUUGUCUCCCAUGCGACAAUGUUGUCUCCCAUGCGACAAUGUUGUCUCCCAUGCGACAAUGUUGUCUCCCAUGCGACAAUGUUGUCUCCCAUGCGACAAUGUUGUCUCCCAUGCGACAAUGUUGUCUCCUCAAAUUUCAGAAUGUUUGCCUGGAGGUGAAAUAAAAACUACAAAAACAUAAUUUACUUCUCUCAGUAAUAGACUAUACUCUCCAUCAAGUUGUUUGUCACCCAACCGACAAUACAAAUAACAAACAUUUUAAUUUAUGCUGAAACCUAAAAAACAUUAAUAUCAGUUAAUUAAAUUGGAAAAUAACACUAAUAAGAACUGACAUUAUCACUUAAAUAAUAGUUACAUGUGCAUUUCCGCAGCUUACAGUUGAUCACAAUUACAAUUUGACUGAAUUUCAUCAGCCUAUACAUCUAGCAGUCGCCCAUAUAUACAAAAAGAACAAAAAUAAUAACUACAGUAACAAUGUGCCAUGAUAGAUAGUUGAGUUAUACUUUAUACAUGGUAUUGUCACUAUGUUAGUAUAACAUUUUUACAAAAUAUACAAAAACUCAAUCUUGUGCAUAUGACUGAGUACAAAAAGAUGAUACGACAUCUCAAUUGCCUUGCUCGUACUGAAAAGGUGUUGUAUCAUCAAAUCCCUCAAACUUGUCGCACGGGAGACAAACUUGUCACCCAAAAACGCAGAAACUGUGUUUCUGCGACGGGCGCACACAAACACUGCAAAUUCAUAAACAUAUCAACUUAAGCAAACUUUGGCGGGAAAAUUAAAAAUUGCAGCUAAGACUACUUAUAUUUUACACACUCAUUUGCAUAACAAUAACAAAUUUUUGGCUUUAUAGCCUUAUUACACUAUGUAUGGUGUAAAUCACAAACAUAAAAUAAUUAAUAAUUAAAUUUUCUGCUGUACCGUACAUCCGCCUUGGCCGUACAGCAGUAAUUUCACUUAGAUGGCGAGUUUGAUUGUAUUCUCACUAUUUAGACUUUCAUAAAGUAACUAACCUCUUACAAACUCUAAUAACAGUGGCAUCUUCCGGUCUCUGUUGAUCGUCACCGGUCGGUGGCCUUCUCCAACUACCUACGUUUUUCUUCUUCAUGGGUUAUGUAUGCUCUUGAUGUGUAUUUCUUUUUGUUCCAACAGAUGAGAGUAGGUGAGUGGAGUGAAAAUGGUGAGAGAUUGACAGCCACUACUUUUUUGUGCUGGGAAAAGAGAAGAGAAAGAAAAAUGCACUCUUUUACACAAUGAAUAUUGUGUCUAAUCAGUUAAUACAAUUGUCCAAUAGAUUUUAAACUAUUUUUUUAUUGUUAUUUGAUUUUUUUAUAAUUUUACCUUGUCUUUUACAUAUUUACCCUCAUCAACUAACGGUCAAACCGUACGUAUACUAACGGCAGGAGAGGUAAGUGAGAAUACAAUCAAACUCGCCAUCUAAGUGAAAUUAUAUCAAACCUCAGGGGAGGUUUCUGAAAAUUGCCCGUCUCUAAUUAGAAGGGGAAAAAAAAUAGUGAAGUGUCAAUCCGCAUAAAUAGAAGCCACAUAGUGUGUCCGUUUUUAUUAGCGAAUUUAACUCACAAUUGGUGGGAAAUAUGCUUUUCAUUUAGUUUCGAAAACGGGGAUGACAAAUGGGCUAGGCCUAGCCUAGGACCAAGUGUAGGCCUAGUUUCUUAAGAAAUCCAGAACCCUGAAAAGCCUAGGCCCAAUAUAGAGGAGGUGGGGAUCUUGAGCCCGCCAUAGGCAAAUUCGGUCAAAUUUAUGCACAACACUUGACAGCACUGAGCAAAUCCUCCAAUACUUUGGCAUCAGAACGGCAGUGCAUUGAUGUGGGACAAGCAUUUUAAAUUUAAUUAUUUUUAACAACUACUAGAGAUGCCCAACAAGGUGGGCGCCGUGGCAUGACAAGAGCAUGGCACGGCAUAAGCACACUUUGAUGGGGCAGGUGGCAUGGCAGGCACGCACGCGGGUUAGGCCGAGUUUAGAAUUUUAAGCACGCGAGCCUUAAAAGAACAACACAAUUAGAGAUGGGUUUAAACAAGACAUGUGAAAAGGUCGCAAUAAGCACAUUUUACUUUUUGAUGGAAGUAAAAUUAAAAUUUUAUGAUUUUAUAAAUAAUUUAAAAUUAAACCUUUUAAUAUAUUUUAUUAGCACAAAUUUUUUAACUUCAAUUAAUUCUUAGUUUUAAAAAAAAUACUCUAAUUGAUUUAUGUUUAUAAUUUAUUAAAUGAACAAUUGACAUCAUGAUUUUAAUAAAUAAAAUUAUAAAUAUCAUGAUUUUAUAAAUAUAAAUAUGUAUUAAUGCUAUUACAGACUAUGAUCUAUAACUCUUUGUAAGUCCAAGUUAACAAUUAAGUUAACCAUUCAGAAAAAUUUAUUAUUAUUGUUGUUGUUGUUGUUAAGUAUUAAAAAAGAAUUCGAUUACGGUAAGGUCUAACUUGAUAAUUAGUAUUACAUUCUCUUACUAUUAUUAGUUUAUUAUUGUUGAAUAUAUACUUGAAUUUUUAAUUUUUAAUUCUAUUAAAUUUGAUUAGAGGUACAUGGAUCCAAUAUAUAUAUAUAUAUAUAGGCUUGUAAAAGUACGCCAACAAUUUGGCAUGCCCCAUUAAAAAUUUAAAAAAACAAAGAAAAAAAUUUAUCAUGCUUUUUUUUUUUUUUUUGCACGGAAAUUGUGCUUCACUUGUGUCAUGCCAAGCCUAAGCCGAAAAAAAUAAGGCACGACAAGGUGCACGAAGCACAUGAUGGGCUCGACAUGACAUAAGCACAAGUACGCAUAUGCCUUCCUUCGUCGGCCCAACCCGUUGGCCAUCUCUAACAACUAUUUCAACUAUUGUCAAUUAGAUUUUAUUGGAGUUGUAUUUUAGUAUGUUAUUAAAGUCUUUUUAUUUGUAUUUAGGUGGGAUUCUAUUUCACAUUUGAGUUUUCUUAGACUAGUGGAUUUGCUCCAUUAUAAAUAUGUAAUUUGUUAGAAAAAAAACUUCAAUAAAUAAAAAUUUCUCUUUUCUAAUUCUAUUUUAAACUAGAGCGUUAUCUAAUGGCUCUUUGAAGCAUCAUUAUUUAUAUAUCCAUCACCUUUGUGUAUUACUAUUUCCCUUCGAAGAAAAUUUUCAAUGUCCAUGUAGUGUUUUUUUCACCGAAAGAAAGUCUUUUUGUUGUCAAGUUUAAAAAUAAUCUAUGUAAAACGUUAAUUGGAGAUUUAUAUGCACAUACAUUUUUAGAUUUAAAGUUAUUAACUUUGUUAUAUUUAUGUAAUUGUAGAAGCAAAGAGCUAGAAAACUGAGGAUGAAAAGAGGCGAAAGAGGCCCAAAUUGAGGAGAAAAUUUUAAUAUCUUUUUUGUUUUGUCGAGAAGACAAAAACUCAAGACUCGUAUUUUCAUUUUUUUACUUUUUACAUAUAUUUCAAAAAGGUCGGAACGUGUCAACUCAGUGGCCAACUAAAAAAAGCCCCUAUCUUCUAAACAGUUGAAACACCGGUGGCAUGUCAAAGAAGGAAAAGCAAAAUUUUUAUGUUCUUCUUAUGGUGUUUUAUUUAUGUAUUUGAAAAUUAUCUAAACUUAUCAUUUCUACAUUGAGAUAUUUCAGAAAAUAAUUCAACAUGAAACACUGACAUUAAAAGGAUCUGAUUUCCGGAACACGAAUUCAAUAACAUGAUUGAUCAGCUGCCACAAUCAGUUUUUUUCCGCUCUUCGCCGACCGUUGCUAAUAUGGAACUGCUCUCCAAGGCCAAAAUGAGUCAUCAAUACCCAGACAAAAGUAAUAAGCUCUCCACCAAUACUAACUUGUUGGGCAUGUGUCCUUGCACUGCAUUGACUUGCUGCUGCACUCGACAACAAUUCCACCCACACUUUGCUUACUAAGUCCCAUUUCUUCUCCUCCUCCAACUUUUCAAGCUCUUUGGCCAGCAUGCUUCCGUCAAAUAAUACUGAUUUGGUUUUAUCUUCCUUCACAUCCUGUGGUAAUUCAAUAGAUGCAUCCAUGUUAAGAAUGCUUUCACAGGCCUUCUUCACCUCCUUUGGUUUUAUACUCUUUUCUUUAAACAAUCUUUCAGCCUCAGCACUCGUAUCUUGCAAUCUUAUUUUCGCAAUACUUGCCACAGAAUUCAUCACUGUAGGCUUCAGUACUAAAAGAUAGAGCAUGUAAUCAGAGAGCAUCUUGCUGAAUUCUCUAGCAUUGUAAGUCUUUUCAUCGGCAACUUCUUCUGUAGUGUAGUAAAGGACUUGGGUAGCAAUGUGCCACAAAAGGAGGCUUUCAUCAUAAGAAACAUCCGCACUGUAACUCAUUAAUUUGACGAGAUCAUCACCUUCUGUGCCCAAUUCCUGCAGAGUCCCUUCACCUUUAGCUGAACAUAUUCUCUUGUUAGCCUCUGCAUUAUGUGCUGCAAACCGAGCUUUUCUUUUAAUUUCUUCAAAUAUAAACACCCACAAUUCUUUGGUUAAUGGCUGAUGAGAUAACGAUGCAUUGAUUCUUAUCUUAUCCACAAUAUCAGCUAGGCCUAACAAAUCAAUGAGUUUCAUGGUUAUAAAACCUAAAAGACUAAUGAUCUUGGAAAUGUGUAGAAACUGGACGGCCUUGUUUGUGAUAUUGGCUAUGUUGAGAAUGAUUCUGCCAAUGCCAUGAUUAUGAAUGAAAUCGUAGAUCGCAGUCUUCUUAUUUUGAAUCAGUUGAUCAAUUCCCAAGUAAUGAAUGAUGUUCUCGCAAGCAAGAUGCAAACAACUCUUCACUUUGUGUACUCUGCUUGGACGUGCCUUGAGCCAAUAUCUUAUCAAGCUGUGUCCUGAGACAGAACCAGACCACCGGCGAAACAAGAAAGGCGUAGCCAACACCUCAUGCUUGAUUCCGCGGUGUGAAUGCUGCGCAUGACAUUCUUGCCACUGUGGGUUCUUGAGAACGAGACACCAACGGAGAGUAGCGGCUAUGCUACUUUUGAUCUCCCCAAGUCUUGACACAUUCUUAUGAUUCCCGAGAGCAACAAAUGUCCAAUCCGAGAAAACAAGCAUGAAGAGAGCUACGACAUCCUGGGCUAUGGCACCCAAGAACAAGGUGUAUGUAAUUCCAACAUCAAUCCCAACAAAACGAUACUUAUCCACUGCAAAAUAGAAAUACGAAAGCGCAGCCACAAUUGAGCCAAAAGAGAUGAACCGGAAAAUGCAUCCGAAUACAGAAUGCAUCACCCGGAUCUUGGUAUGCAAAACUCCAUAAAUGAAGUUGAGUUGAACCUCAAUUAUUCUCAAGGCAUCUUCAGGACUUAGCUUAUCAAAGAAAGCUCUGCUCUGUUCACGCUCGUUGAAGCUGAAGAUGAGGUCAACAAUGAACCCUUUGAAAAGAUUGAAGUAUAGAUAAGCAAAGUGCACCACCUCCAGAUAGUCCAAGUUAUAUCCUGAGUGAAGUAUUUGUGCUGAAACUUUGGCCUCAACCUUCGAGUCGGGUUUUUUAAGCAUUGAGUCUCGGAAUUUGUCCAAGCUUGCUAGAUACAGAGCACGAGUCCUCUCAACAUACUUGAUAGUUCCAGCAAUGAACAAGAGUAUCGUUGGGAUAGAAACACUGUCGUUGGGAAGUGCCAUGAAGAAGAUAUAAACAGCAGCAGCAGCCUGGAAUACGUAUCCAAGCAAGUGCCUGAGCCAGAGUUCGUUAUCUUCAAGGCCAAAUGAAGUUAUGGUGUCCGAACCACCGAGGUGUAGCAAAAGAAAUGAAGGCCAAAGUGCUAAAAGCUCAAUGUUCCCCGCAUACACAGCCGUAUACGAUUGAUUUUCAGAGAUGACUCCGACACAAUAAGUAGCAGACCAGUGUGCGAGUAAGUACGCUAGCCAGAUGAACAAGGUUAUCAGCUUGUGCCCUGUGCCUUUUCGGAAGGGAGCAAAUAGAAGUAAAACGGUUUGUAUUGAAAGACUUAGCAAGAUUGCAACCCGUAAAUUCCAUGUAUAAAAUAUUUUGGUGAGUCCUCCAAGGCUAAAAUUAACCAUUUUCUCUUCCUUUUGUUUCUUUUGAUUUUCCCUUCGCUCUGGCGAAAGAAAACUUCAUCUCAGAGUUGCUAUAGGCUGCAGCUCUUUGAAGGCUGAUAUAUACAACAAUAGCAUUUGGGUCACUCUACUUUUAUGAUUUCUCAAUUAAUGACUGAACUUUCUUAAUCUAUAUCAACUGGAUCCCCAACUCACCCUUUAAUGACUGGAACAUCCUUCAGUGGUAAGUUUAGUUACCAUCAUAACUCUUACAUUGUGAAAUACGAUUGUCAAGACUCAAAAUUUAGGAUAGUUUGGGAUUAGUGCGGCCAAUUAAAUAAGUUACUUUGUUAUGUUGAUAAAAUAAACUGCUAAAAAAAUAAAUUUUUAAAUAUUUACCCAUAAUUUUUUGUUAAAACUUACUAAAUAAAAUACUUUUAUUUUUUUAACUUCAAUCCUAAAUAUUGCCUCAAUAUAAUGACAUUAAUUUAGUCAUUUAAUUAUGAUUAGAAUGUAGGACAUAUUGAUAAAAAUUAGACUAACUAUCAUCAUUUUGAAACUUAUAAAAUUUAUGGAGUCGAAUGUUAUUACUCAAUUAAUAUAUAUUUUCUGUAACUCUUAUCGUGUGAAAGGAUGAACGUGUGAACAAAAGAAAGGGCUGUUGUUUGUAAAAUGUCAAAGCAAUUUUUUUUUUUAAAUUUUUAUACAAUUAAUUUCAACCAUGAUUAGGAUUUCAAUGUUCAGUUAGCAUUGAAUUGUUAAAUUAAAUAUUACCCUAAUGGAAACUUCUCUAUUUUUCAAUUAAUAGAACCAGUAGUAGGAAAGAGACAAUGUUGAAUGAAUAUCAAAAUGCUAAUUUCUUCUUUCUAGAGUUAUUAGCACAUGUUACCAAAGACUUGUUAUACUUGUGCAAUAGAUCCACUUACCUUUUUCUAUAUAAGAAAAUAGAAAGCAAUAGUUUCUUAUUUCUUUGACUUCACGAAUUUUAAUAAGUUGAUACGUUGGGGAAUAAAGAGAGAAAAAGAAACCAAUUGAUUUUUAGAGACUAGAAUUAUUGGCACAUGAUACCAAUUUUCUUUUAAAUUAUUAUGCAUAACAACUUUCUUCUUGUACUUUUUUUAAACGUCCAACUUUUGUAAUUAUUAUAAUGAAAUUUCUCUGGGGUUGGUGCUCAAUAAGAUAUAAUGAGUCCCCAUCUUCUUUGUUAAGAGGACAGCCGUUGUCAUCUACCAAAUGAUCUGGAUAAUUUUCAAAAAUAUUAGAAUGACUUAAUUUUAGAACAAAAUUAUAUUUUUAGUCUAAUAAUUUUAGAACAAAACUAUAUAUUGAAGGUACGUACUAAUUUAAGCCUCCAUUGAGUUUCUGUAUUAUUUUUCAUAAAUUAUAAUGUAUCAGUAGAUUAUAGUGAUAAAAAAUGGGAUGAUAGGCAAGAAUGACUUGUCAAAAUUGGAGAUCUGUCACUGUGGGGUUAAAAAGUUACAUGGACAACUCUAUGGGCCAAAUUUUCAAAAUGAAUAACAUUAUAAGGGCCAAAUGAUAAAUACCUCAAUUUACCGGAGUCACCACAAAAGACCAGCAGUCUCAAAUUCAAACAUCGAAGUUCCCAAAAUACAUUCGCCAAAUUCCCGCUCAACACUCACAGUGAGUGAGGGGAUCCGCAAUUCCUCCCUUGAUUGGCCCAUAAACGACGACGGAUCACGUUAAAUUAUCGCCGCCGUCAUAAAAAGGUGAGUCUUUUUUGGGAAAUUCGUCAUGUGCGCGUAUAAUUUGUUUGUAAAAUUAUUAGUUGAGGUAAUUUUGAAAUUUAAGCCAAACUUUUGUUAGAUUUUUAUACAAAUGCCGCCAAAGCGAAGAGGAAGACCUGCUAAAAAAGCUUUGUCUUCAAAUGCCGAAGAGGCUAAAGAGUCCCAAGUUGAAGAUAAAGAUGCUGAAUUGUUUUACCGAGAAGGUAAAUUUGGGAAUCCCCAACCUUUAAUUAAUUUUUAUUUUUCUUCAAAACCCUAAUUUAGUUUUUUGCUCAGUUGAACGACAGUGUGCUGCAGUUAGAGCAAUUCGUGACGUGGAGCUUGAACAGACUCUCACUGGGUUGCGCUUGCUCCGCUCAUAUUUCAAUGAGGAACAAAUGCAAACCCCUGUGCUUCAGUUUUUCGAAGAGAAUCUUCCAAACCUUACGGUUCUAAGAGAUGAUAAAAAUGGAAAAUUUGAAGUACGGUGGAAGGAUGAAGAUGGUAAUUUCUAUAUGGACAAUGCUGAUGGAAAAGAUAUACAUGCUUCUCUUUUACAUCGAAUGUCCAUAGGUUAUCCUUACUGCUCUGGCGCUCCAUCAUUUAGUGGCUAUGGAUUCUCAAGCAAAGCAGGUAUUGUGUGAUAUAUAUAUUUUUUCUCCCACUUGAUGCAUUCGACACGAGUUGGGAUGUAUUUUCAUCAUUACUGUUUUUGACAUUGAGUUUCCUUAUUCUUUGCAGUGAAAACAAACCUCCUAGGUGUUGAUAAUUUGCAGAUCGGAGACUUUGUAUGUUCUUUCCAUCUCACCUUUAUACUUUUACUUCGGUUCCUCGUGAAAUGUUGCUUAACUGAAGAUUAAAAAGUAGAAAACAAGCAUAUAUGAAAAGAGCAUAGAGAAUUGUUUGAGUUGAAUUUCAAUUGUUAGUCAAGAAAAUCAUGGUUUGUUAUGCAUUUGAACUGAUGUGUUUUUCUUCUUGUUGAAAUCUGAAUAUAAAAUGACUGCCCUUCGCCAUAUGCUUGAUAUGUGAAGUGUUUUUCUUUUCGUAGUAAAAAAUUUCACGAUAAAUAUUCUGCCUUUAAAUUGAGAAAUGCUUGAUUUUAUGGUUAGAUUGCUUCGAAUAUAUGUUAUUUGAACAGAUUAGUUUAGUCCAGGCAAAAGGACCUCGUGCAACAGACUCAUGAGAGUAAAUUCUAGAAGUUUUUCCGAAUGCUUUUUCAAACUAACUAAAGAUUAAAGAAAAGCUUUCAUAUGUUUAUUGUUUUUCUAGUUUGACAUUUCUGUUUUGUAGGUUUUGGAGGAGCCAUCCAAUUCUCAAAUGUUUGGAAUGCAUGAAGCCCUCCGAACUCCUGGGGUUUGUGGCCUCUUCUUCAUAUCAUUAUUUGAAUUAACAGUUUUAAAUUCAAUGAAAAGUUCAAAUCUAAUGGUACAAUUCUGGGUUUUGAGAAAAUGAUUUAGCUGUCUUAUAGUCUCCCAGCUAUCUGCAUCCUGCGUAUGAUUCAGUGAAAUUGAACAAAAAUCCCUGCACUGCUAAGACUUUCUACCAUAAAAAAUUUUGAAGUUAAAUCAGUUUGAUGUCUGUUAACGGAAGAACAAUGCAAUAAGGCCAAUGAUUUUGUGAUGAAAUCAUGAGGGUGAUUAAAGCUAGUGUGCUUCAGUCACUUUUUAUUUGUCACAAAGUGCCUAAAUUCCUUGAGCCAUAUGGCUGCUGAAACCCCCCACUGAUAUUAUGAGCUUUGACGUCGCAGGUGACCAGCCAAAGGCUGUCUGUUGGGGUGACACCCAAAACUCUAAGGCAGCCAAAGCGUGGUGAGAUGCUUCUUUCUGUUCAUGGCUCGCCCCUUGGGGUGUAUGAAGAGGAUAACAUGGGAGCCAUACAAGGUAUGCCUUUAAAUCAGAAAUUUCACUUUCUGAUUCUUGAUCUUGAAACUGUUGGGAGAAGAAAUACUUUUAUUGUGUUCUGAAAAUAGAAGUACUCUGAAUCCCUUUGGAUAAACAAUGUAACCUACCCUAACAAAGUGACAGAUGUAUCUGCUUCAUCUUGUGAUUUGUAUACAGAAACUUGGCUUAAAUGGAGGAUGUAAUAUAUCCUUGAUUCUUAUAAUAUGUCUUAGUUUUGCUCUGAUUUUUGAAUUCUUGAUUGCAGAAUCUGAAGAAGGUUGAUCAUAAUCCAAGAAUCUGCAAUGGUUGCCCAUUUAAGGCUGCUCUAAAUGUACUUUCAUCAUUGUACAUGUAAUUGUUCUUUUGUUCAAAUGUGCUGUUACCUUGACACUGAUCUUUAGCUAAAGUUAGUGUUACAUUUUAACAACUAAUGUGACUUUGUUUUUCCCUGCCGUAGUUAUGUAAGAGAUGGAGCUCUUUUGCCACUUCAUUUGUUAGAAUGUGGGUAUUGACUAUUGAGACCAAGACUUGAUGAUAAAAAAUAGAAUAGAGCCUUGAUAAAAUAAUAAUAUUGUGGCCAAAAUAAAUUUAUUAAUUAAGCAAAUAUUAAUUAAUUGAAUUAUAAUUUAAUACAUUGACCCUAAGUCGAUUAGCAAAGCCUAUUAUUCAAUUGAAGUUUUAAUUUUAUUGAGUAUUAAUUUAAUUGAGAUUGCGUUCUCAUAAUUCAUAGAGGGUUUUAUUUCUCCUACAAUAGAGUAGAGUUAGAAAUGACAUUGUUUGAUAAUGAUAUUAACUACAAAUAAUUUUGUGAGAUUGCAAUACUACAGCCAAUGAAUCUUGGGGAAGUAUUCAAUUGGUCAUGCAAAUAAAAUAGAACAUAAAUUUUGGCUACAAUUUUUUCAUCUAUGUAUCUCGGCAGCAGUAUCUUGAAUCCAUCGAUCUGAUCAUAUAUGUCAAACAGCUAUCGAAAAAUCCAAUUUCAUGCUCAAAGAUGCCCAUGCCGCCAAAAGUAACCAAUUUCAAAGAUAAAUCCCGCUAAUUGAACAACGACUGCAAUUAGAUUUAACUUUUACCCCAUUCAUUCUAAAGCAUGGACAGUAUUGAAAGAAUCUGGGUAAAAUGGCAGGAAAUAUUAAAAGGCAAAGAGACAUGAGAGCAUAUAUUACUUCAAUGGACCCUGUUUCAGUUCAGCAAAAUGGAAAGUGCACUUACUGUUGCAUUAUUAUAAGUACAUACCCUUGAAAGACUACUAAAAAAAAUGCAUCAAAAAAUUUAUCUUAACUUAAUGAUGUGAAGAAAUCAGGUUAAUAGUGAGGAUCUGAGAGCAGCUUUUGUCAACCCUGAAGAGCAGAUGGAAUACAAAGUGAGGUACAGGGAGGAUCGCCACCAAAAUUAAUUCCCAAAUAAUCCCCAGCACAGAAUACGUUUAAGAGUGUUUUAUAUUCCACUGACUUUUGGCAAGGAGAAACCAGAGAGUGGCACUUUAAGAUAAAUUUUAAAGCCACAGAACUGCAAUAUGUCAGCAAUAAACUGAAAUUAUUAAAGUCAUGAUAUAUUGAAAACAACUAGAUAAAAUGUCUCAAAAAUAUGAAAUAGAUUCUAUUAUGAGGAAGAAAGUAAAUACCGGAUCAUAGGAGGGCAAAUCAGCCAACGGCAAAAUAUUCAGGAGCCAGCCAGUCAACCAUCCCUAUACUAUACACAAACUCUGUUUUGAAUCCAGGCCUGAUUGGAAGGAAUCAGAAGAAUGCAAAAAUGAGUCAUUUAAUUUCUUCAACCUAACUCUUUGCAGUGCUCAGUGACCUGGUCAAAUCAGUUUUGGCACUUCCAGAUUGUGAACCAGCCAGAGAAGAACUGAAAGUUUCCAAAGCCUCAAGGAAGAAUCUUUUAUUAGGAACUAUACCAUUUUGUUCCAUACGCUUCAGUAACUUCUGCACAAGCUCCUUCAUAUUGGCUUUAGUGUAGGCCUUAUAAAGAAGUUUAUAUGUUGAUGAAUCUGGGGUCACCCCCAUGUUAUGUGAAUUCUCAAAGAGCAAAUCUGCUUCCGUUGGCAAACCGUUCAUGCAGUAAGCCUCAAGCAUUGCAUUCAAGGUUGAAACUUUCAUAUCCUUCCCUAAUUUAGACAGCUCAUCAAAUAUUUCUCUGGCCCUUGAAACAUUGUCACAAUACCCAUACAUCGUAAUGAUACACUCAUAUGUGAUGAAGCUGGGCGUGUACUUCAUUGCAGUCAUCUUUUGAAAAACAUAUUCAGCUUUCCCUUGAAGCCUUGCUUUCCCAUAGUUUAUGAUCAUUGAAUUAAAUGUAGGCAGUGUUGGUUUCUCUUUGGAGUGCAUCAAGCUCUUAAAAACUUGCUCCAUCUUAUCAAAAGCUUGCCUCUUCCCAUAUGAAUCAAUCAGCAGAUUAAAUGUGAUAAUAUCAGGUUUACACUGGUUACUUUUCAUGCGAGAAAGUACAGAUUCCAUUUCUUUUAUCAUCCCAUUUUUCCCAUAUGCAUCCAUCACACCAUUAUAUGUAUAGAUAUCAGGAGCAAGGAUGCUCUCAUCAAGUUCUUUGAACAAAGCAUUGACCUGAUCUACAUUUCGAGCUUGGGCACAAGCUCUCAAAAGAAUGUUGUAUGUCACAAUGUUUGGCUUGCACCGUUCCAUUCCCUUCAUCUUCUGAAAAUAACCUAGUGCUUUGGCCAAUGCCUUUGCUUUAUCCCGGGUGUGGAGAUGUGCGGUGAUGAGAGCAUUAUAAACAGAAGGGUCAGGCCGGCACCCACUAUUACGCAUCUCAGAGAAAAGCCACAUGGCCAACCUAGUUUGGCCCUUCUUCCCCAUAACUGCUAUUAACUUCGAAUAAAUACCAGUAUCAGCAAUGUACCAACGUUGUUUCUGCAUCCAUCUGAACACCUAAAAAUGCAAUAUUUAAGUCAGGCAAACUGUUUGCUUGAAGAAAUUCACCAUGGCAAUGCCAACUUCCACAUUGACACACCUUAGAUCUAAACCCAUUUUCCCUUUGCACAAAAUAAGUCAAAUUGUAUUAACUCAAUGCCAUCACAGAUUAAUACUCAUUAUGUUGCAUUUCUAUGAGUUAAUCUUAAUAUGAUCACAAUGCUCAUGUAUAAGGCCCGAAUAAACAUCUCUCUCUAGGACUAAAAUGAAAUAUGGAACCACAAACGGAAGGUAUUGACAUUGCUAAAAAGCAUUCCACUUAAAAACAUCACAUACUAAGUGCUUCCCAAGAAAACAAUUCAGGGGCGUUUCUUUUUUUUUUUUUUCCCCCAUCUAAAAGUACUUCUCCAGAAAACAGUCCCAUUGUUUUUUAAUGAAAAAAGAGCUUGUGCCUAUUUCAACAAGUCAGUAAAAGCAGACAUUACAAUUUUGAUACUUGAAAGCGCUUAUAGUGGCGUCAAAAGCACUUCAAAACACGCCAUAAGAAAACUCAAACGCACAAUUCAGAAUCAUAAUUAUAGAAAACAUACACACAAGCGACAGCACAAGAAACUCAACAAACUCCAACUACCCAGAAGCCAAAAUUGCACAAAAACAGCAUAAAAAAUUGAAAUUGAACCAAAAAAAAAAAAACCUCAAGGCACUGAAGCCACUUAUCAGACUUGCCAAGCUCUUCAAAGAGAAGAAAGCAAUGCUCACUCCUCACCACCUUCACAUACUUAUUAAGUGUCCUCACAAGCGGCUCUUUGUCACUAAAACUUCUCAUUAAAACCCUUACAAGCUCCUUGGACUCCAGCUCUUCGCUCUUUCGACCCCUUUUACUUCUGGGUCGGGUCCAAACGCAGCAUAUUCCGGUCCUCGGUCGGGUUCUGAGGCUGAGAGGGAUGUGUCGAUGGGUAAAGUUGUAAUUUUGAGAUGAGCUUUGGUUGAAUGAAGAAGAAGAAGAAGAAGAAGAAGAAGAAGCAGAAGAAGAAGAGAGUGUGGAUAGUCGCAGAGAGUAAGGCGAUAAGUUUGUCAAGGCCAUGUUUGGCAAUUGGAGUUUAUCUUUUCUUGGUGGCGCGAUAUGUUUGUGGGUGAAUUUCCACUUUUCCAGAUUAUGAGGAGGGCUUAUGUGAGAAAUAUGGUCAAGAUUUAGGGCCACUAUCGUAUUAGAGAGUAUGGAGGGGGAUUUUGCAAAAUUUAAUUGAAAUGACAAAAAUACCCAUAUAAUUGGAAGUGAAAGUACGGAUUGAGCCGAUGCGAGUCGAACGCGCAAUCUUCUAAUCUGGAGCCGGCAAUUCAAUUGCGCCACGGGCACACUAGUAGUUAAUAAUAUUUAUUAAAUUUAAUUGGAUGACAUUGGAAGAUUUUUUUAAAAAAAAAUUAGAAUUUGUGAUUUUUUUUAUUUUAUAAAUGUACGAGAAUAUAUAAGGUGAAUUUUGGUUAAGAAAAAAAAUGUAUUGAGUGAUUUUGUUAAGUUGAAAUUUAUAUCUUUCGAGUUAGAAAAACAUUCAGUUAUUGUUCAAAUUUUUCGUAUUAGUAGUCUUGUCAUAAAGUACUCUUAUAGAAAUUGAGUACUUUUCUACCCUUUAAUUUUAGUUUUUAUUUUAUAAUUAUUCUUAAAUGAACAGAAGAAAAAGAAACGUUAGGGUUGCGUUGAAAAUAUAAAAAAGAAAAAAGCAAAAUAGUUUAAAGCUAUGAAAAAGAAUUGAAUCCUAACCAUAUAGUAAGUGUGAAAUGGGAUUUAGUUAAUAAUGUUUGAAACAGCAGUGCUAGGCUGCUAGCGGCAGUCGAUGCUUCUAAGGGGGACAAGUGUCCCUUUUCUGUUUUUGUGCCUUAUUAAAUGCUUUUGUUAUUGUUUUAGUUUUUAGUUGUAGCAUGGAUUAUCAACAUACUCUUUGUAACAGUUAUAAUUUUAUUUUUACCCGCACAACUUUUGAUGAAAAAAGUCUUUCGCCCCGACAAUAGUCUUUAUUCUUUAUGUUUAAUUACUAUAUUAUCAUUUUUUUUCAGUUUUUUUAAAGUAAUAUUUAUUUAAGAAUUUAAAUUGACUGCAACAUUUGUUUAACAUGACAAUAACAACUUUACAUAAAUUUUUUUCACUCUAAAUUUUAUUUUUCUCAAAUAAGAUUUAAAAAAGAAACACUAAUGCACCAUUAUUACUUUUCAACUUCUUUUUUUAACCCCUCUCUUUUAUUAUGAUAUCUACAAAUAAUUUGAGGUUAAUAUGUCCUCUUAAUUAUCAGUAGAGUGGAUUUAACUUAUUUUGAACUUAGAUUUUGAUUUAUAUAUUCAAAUUACUUCGUAUCAUUGAUUUAGUAGAUUCAAAUAAUUUUUUAAUUAUAAAUAUUAAUAUUUUGUUAAGUAAUUCAGUGACUAAAAUUUAUUUUUACUUGUAUAAUUUUUUUAAUAAAUUUAAUGUAUAGUAAUGACUCCAUAAUUUUGUUCAUAAACCUUUAUUUUUUUUGGUUAAUUAUUUUCUUAGGAAAAAGAUUAAACAAAUAUAUAAAGGGUGAUUGUGUUACAACUUACAAAGAGAAUUUAAUAAAGCACAAAAGAAGAAAAGGGACACUUAUCCCCCUUAGAAGACGACUCACACUAGCACUGCUCAUGUUUGAAAAUAUUAAUAAAGAAGAAAAAAAUUAAAAUCUACGAGACAACUGAAGAAAAUAGUUAUUAGCAAGGAAGAGGGUAUUGAGAAUGUCAUAAAAAUUCAAAGAGCUAUUUGAAAAAUAAGAAAAACAAACUCAAAUACGUACGAUUAAUAGACAACUAACUUCAUAAUUAGUAAACAUAGUUGUAGUAGUUAACUAGUUGUGUUGUAAACGAAUUAUUCUGGAAAGUUUCGAUAAUUUUUUUCAUUGCAAGUAUUAAUAGAUUAGAACGAUAUUAAAAAUAAUGUUAUUCAACAACUUGCAAUGUUUUUAAUUUACUGGUGGUCAAAAUUAACCUGUCUUCACGUGACUCUUUCUGUUCCUCCGGCAGCACUUUAGAAUCUUUUCACAUAAUUAUCAUCUGAUUUUAUUAAUUAGUGUUCGGAUUAUCCUAGUGACCUAAUUUUAGUAUCGAUUUCGAAUAAGUUAAUUUACAUGAACCAGGAACAAUAGGAAGAGCCGACGAGGGGAGUUAUUUUCUUGAUGUCUUCUAGUUGUCUUCAAUUUCAUUGUCAAUUUGGCUUGAAAAUUUUUGUUUUUAUUAUAUAUUAAAAGCAACCUGAUUCCCUCUCCAUCUACGAGGUUCAGAGAUCUAGGCUAUUUAUUUUCACACAAGAAAUUUUACUAAAUAGCACCCACAGGCUUGAAUCUUGAAACACAUGAAAACAAAUAAGUUUUCAUUCUUCUCUAGCUAGUUCAAUAUGCAUUGGAAUUGAAAACCCCUCUUUAGCUCAAUGGUUGACACCAUUUUUUCUUGUACUUUUGACCAAUGAUUCAAAUCUUGUGGUAGCAAGAAUAAAAUUUUUCUUUUGAGUUAAUACUAAGUAUCUCUCAAUAUUUAUUUUUUUUGAUACAAAAAGGGCUAAGUUAAAAACUAAGCAAUGACCAUUCGUGGAUAAGCAGUCCCAGAUACAUCAUGCAGCAGCCACUCUUCAGUUCCGGACGGAGGCGUGGGAAACACAUGGACCCCAAGAGGCAAAAGAAGAGCUUGGUUGGCAAGAUAAUCAGCUGCAAAAUUUGUUUCUCUAUAGCUGUGAGACAGAGAUACCUGCCACUCCAUGUUAAGAAGUCUUUUUAUACCCUGAAUGAGAGAGGAGUUAGCAUUGGGAUGAUUGGACUCUGUGGCUAGGAUCACAGUAAUGCAUCGACUAUCAACUUCAGCAAGUAACUGUCUAAUCCCAAUAUUCCAGGCAAGCUGCAACCCUUGAAACAGACCCCAAAGCUCCGCCCCAGUAAUAGUACAAUUGCCAAUAUUCAUACCAAAGCCGUGAACCCAUUCUCCGCAAUAAUUUCUAAUGAGGCCACCUGCACCUGCAUUUCCUGCAAUUUUCCGAGCACCAUCUGUAUUUAGUUUAAAAAAAGGCCAAGGUGGGGCCAACCAUUUCAACCAUUUGACUAUCCUUUCAUGGCCUGGUCUCAAUAUUUAAGUCUAAAAUUGAAUCACAUCUAAUAUGUCAUUCAACUCUUAGAUGCUAAGUAAAUUAAUAACUAAUUUAAAAAAAUUAUGAGAUUCAUCAUCAAAUAAGUGAAUGUAAGUUCUUGACAUACUCUUAUUGUAAUAUUAAAAGAAAAUAAUAUACUUGGAUUUAGUUGAAUUGGAUCUCUGAUUCAGUCAAUGACUCAUCAGUAAACUAAAACAUAAUAAAGUAAAAUAAAACUCUAGAAAAUUCUAACAGUUUUAACAAUGCAACUGCUUAACCUUAACGAACACAGUACCCAUACACAGCGCCAAAAACAAAGCAACUACUAGGAAUUCAGACACCCAUUAGUCCCAUAUUGAACUUAUCUCCAUUUUUGUUUUUUCUUUUGCCUUCAGUUAUCCAACAAAAGAAUAAAUAUCCCAGUUGCAUCAUUUCUGCCUCUUCAUCACUUAAACCUAGGAGUCUUAAUUUUCCUAGAUUUGAUAUAUCAUUAUGUCGUGGUUGUGGACUUCACUUGCUCUAGUUACAAUUUUCUUUUUCCUCCAAGCAUUUUCAUGGAAAACAAGCACAAAGACCAAUAAGAAAUUGCCUCCUGGGCCAAAAGGGUUUCCAAUUUUCGGAUGCCUUCAUUUGUUGGGCCAAUUUCCUCAUAGAGCUUUGCAUAAACUCGCCGAAAGAUAUGGCCCCAUCAUGCACUUACGCUUAGGCUUAACGCCUACAAUUGUCGUCUCCUCACCUCAAGCAGCUGAGCUUUUUCUAAAAACACAUGACCUUAUCUUUGCGAGCAGGCCUCCCCUUAAAGCAGCUAAGCAUAUUUCUUAUGAGCAAAAGGGUUUAGCACUUUCUCCAUACGGGUCUUAUUGGCGAACAAUCCGAAAAAUAUGCACUCUAGAGCUGUUGAGUAGCUUCAAGAUCAAUUCUUUUCAGGCGAUGAGAAAAGAAGAGCUUGAUCUUUUGAUUGCAUCCAUCAAAGAGGCGGCGUGUGCUCGUUGUGUUGUAGAUUUAAGUACCAAGGUUUCCGCUAUGAGUGCUGACAUGACUUGUAGAAUGGUGUUUGGGAAGAAAUAUUCGGACGAUGAAUUCGAUGAGAGAGGGUUUAAGACUGUGAUUCAAGAGGGCAUGGAAUUGGCUGCAAAGCCAAAUCUGGGUGAUUACAUUCCGCAAAUUGCAGGACUUGAUCUUCAGGGCCUGACAAAGCGUAUGAAGUCUGUUGCCAAGGUGUUUGAUGGGUUUCUAGAGAAGAUUAUUGAUGAACAUGUUCAAUCUAAGGAUGAAAAUAGAACCAAGGAUUUUGUUGAUGUGAUGUUGAGCUUUGAGGGAUCGGAAGAAACCGAGCACAAGAUAGAACGAGAGCAUAUUAAAGCCAUAAUCUUGGUAAGCAAUAUCAAAUUGGCACCAUUAACGUAUCUUUGUCAAUCAGGAUGCUUUAUACUAUGGGUCGAGAUUAUUAACAGUAGAACACCGAUGAACUGGACCUCCCGGUUCGGGUUGCUUUUUUUUUUUUUUUAACACUGAUUUCCGGUCCUUGAUGCGGUCUUUAAAGAAUUGAAUUAUUUGGUCGGUUUUUAUAAUUGAAAAAUUACGAACACAUAGAACACAUAGAAAGGGCACCGAGGGUUUUUUAAUUACUAGCUAGUUUAAGUUAUCUUGUUUUGAAAUUGUAACAAUUAUUUGCAUUUUGUUUAUUUCAUUUUUGUCUCCAUUUUAGCUUGUUUAUUGACUGAAGAAUCCUAUUUAUUUUGCACGUUAAAGGGCAUGUACGUUUAAAUAAUUCUUUAAAACUAUAUAUCAUAACUUCAACUUUUAGGUAAACCAAUGAUCCUCUUUAUGUGUUGAGCUUAUGUAUUAUCAAGGACCUAAAUCCUCUCUUCGUGUGAGCUUUCGCAUCAAUAAAUAUAGAUAUGUGAUUGAUAGUAAAUAACGGAAUAGUUCUUGACUAAACAUGACUGACAAAAGCCUGUGACAAAAGGAUCAAUCCUCAAAAGAUUAUGAAAACACAAACAAGAAGAUUAUCCUGAUUCAUUAAUAGUUCUAAACAUUAAUUUUUGUGAUACAUGUUUACUUUAUUUUCAGGACAUGCUCUCAGCUGCAAUGGACACUUCAGCAACAGCAGUCGAGUGGGCACUUUCAGAACUCAUCAAGCAUCCUAAAGUAAUGAAGAAACUUCAAAAGGAGCUAGAAAAAAUUGUGGGCUUAUGCAGAAUGGUUGAAGAAUCAGAUUUAGAAAACCUCGAAUACCUUGACAUGGUUGUCAAGGAAACCCUGAGGCUUCAUCCUGUAGCGCCAUUGCUAAUUCCACACGAAUCUACAGAAGACUGCACAGUUAACGGAUUCUACAUUCCUAAAAAUUCACGAGUAAUUGUAAACGUUUGGGCAAUUGGAAGGGAUACUGAAUCUUGGAGUGAUCCUGAAAUAUUUUUUCCAGAAAGGUUUGUUGGAAGUAGUAUUGAUCUACGUGGACACGACUUUCAGCUUUUGCCAUUUGGUUCUGGCCGGAGAGGGUGCCCUGGAAUGCAAUUAGGACUCACCAUCGUUAAGCAAGUGAUUGCACAACUUGUGCAUUGCUUUGAUUGGGAGCUUCCCGGGGGGAUGUUGCCAACUGAAUUGGACUUGACAGAAGAGUUUAGUCUUGUCACUCCUAAGGCCAAACAUCUUUUGGCUAUUCCAAGUUAUCGCCUUAACAUUUAAUUACAAUGUUGUUUGUUUAAUUAUGGGUUAACAUAAAAUAGUUGUUAAGAAAACAAAAACAAAACAAAAAAAUAAAAUCAUUUGUUACUCAACAAUUACUUGAAAGAAGAUUGUUCUUAAUAUUUGAAAGAUUGUAUCUAACUAUUUGAGUGUGGGUUAUAAAAUGCGUGGCUAUGUAAGAUUUGUUCGAACAAUUUAGAGGUGCCAUAACCCUAGAAGACGACAUGAUGGAGCUUAUGAGUCUCAAACAGGGCAAGGGCCGAGGAGAUAACCCUUAGAGAUUUUGUGAAAAGAUACCAUAGAAUAGUUUUGGAGCUUGGUGUUUUCAAUCAUCCUCAAGCCUUAAAGGGAUUAAAAGAAGGAGUGAAGAUAGGUAGAUCAUGGUAUAACUUGAGGGUGCCAACAAUAAACUAUUACUUAGCAGCCUAUAGAUAGAUAUACAGAUUGAAGAAGAGAAAGUACUCAGAGUCAGAGGCAAGCAGCUUGAAGAAUUAAGAAUAUGGGAAAGAAGAGCUCAAAAGGGAAGUAUGCUAUUUAGGUAUUAUAAUACAAUGAUAUCAAGCAAAAGCAAAGCCAUAGGACCUACCCCCGUACUCACGGUAAAAUGCGCAUAGUAGAUCUUCUUUAUUUCACCAAACAGAAAUCGGUUGAGAUCCAAUCAUCAAAAGAAUGCUCUUUCAAAUUGUAAACUGAUCAUACUUGCUUGUUGAUGGCGUGGUGAGCAGAAAAAACAAAAUACAUUAUUUAAGGCAAGUAAAAGUUUCAAGUCUCAAAAUCUGCUCGAGGUGAGACAAGAAGCCUAAAGUUGCCAAUAAGCUCAACCAAAAGUAGACGUGCAGAAAUAUAAUAGCACAAAAUCUUUUCAAAGCAAGCACAAGUUUGAAGUCUCAAAACUACCCAGGUGAGAUAAAGGGACUAAACUUGCUAAUUUAGCUUGGCCAUGAGUAGGUGAUAACUCUAUGAAAUGAGAGUUAUCAUGGCAUUUGUAAACUUAAAUCAUGAUUACUUAGAGAGCAAAUGACAUGUUUUCAUUGCAUUUUAGUUAUAUUUUGCAUAAACAUCUAUUUUAGUUUAUCUUUAAUCAAUUUUGUUUGAUUUAGAAUAAUUUGUGUGCUUAAAUCUGAUACAUAAUUAUAGGUGACUAGAAGCUCAAAUUUCAAGGAAGGAAUGCUGCUACAAUAGGCUUGCAAAAAUGGGAAAAGAACUUGGCUACAGAUUGAAACAAGUCUAAAACAAUACAGAUGUUGUAGCCGUUGCUUAGCACCCGUUGAUGGAACAAUCCUAGAGCAUUGACAGAGAAAAUUUUGUGUGAGAUAUUUAGAAAAUUAUGAUCAGGAGUUUCCAAAUUUGGAAGAUUCGCGCUCUGUUGCUCUAAUACUCAACUAUAAAAAGAGCACACAUACAAGGAAAAAAAGGAGCCGUCAACCAAGGAGAAAAACUGAAAAGAAACAAUAAGAAAACAAAAUUCAAGAGAGAGAUUGAGGACUCUCACAGAAGAAAAAUUACAGAGAUCAACUAGAAAAUCAGUCAUUCUUCUUAUUUUCGUGUUUUCUAUAUUAUUAUGCGAAUGUAUUUGAUGGUUGAAAUUCUUUCAUUUAUUUUUCUAAUGGAAGUCAUGAACUAAAUUUGAUUGUAGUUGAGUGAUAAAUGAACUUAAUGGAUGUUUGACUUACAUAAGUGUGUUGCUCGGUGUUUGCUAUUGUAUUUUAUCUUAAUUGAUUUAUUUUCAUUCUCUAUUUUGGCUGACCACCCAUUUAAGGAUACUAGCUAAGAAAGAGCCUUAAAAAUGUCUGACUUAGUGGAUCUCAUUAAGACAAUACUUGGUUUUAGAUUGAGUUUCUCAAGUUGAGUAAUCUCAAUUUGAAUAGGGUCAUGCUUAAUAUAAAAUUAGUGAUGAACUAGAUAUAAGGAUUCACCUUGUAGGACAAAUAAAACCUAGAUCGUUUAAUGUUAUAUUUAAUGUUGGCAUAACAAUUGGUUACUGUUAGGUUGCAUUAAAUUAAAGAUAUUCAAUAAGCGACAGCUGAGGAUGCAUGAAUGAUUCUAUCCAGUGCUGUAGUAGAUGAUGUAGCAACGGUAUUGUAAGUGAAAUAAUAGUCAACACCAUUAAAUGAGUUUAUUCACUCAACCACUCUAUUUCCAUUGGUUUUAUCCUUAUGUUUGACGUGAUAAUUUUCUUUACUGCAUUUUUUUAUUGCAUUUUUAUUUUAAUUAGUUUAUUAGUUUUAUUAGUCUCUUUAUUUCCAAUUAAAAUAAAAUUGCACUGUUAAGAUUGCUGUAGCAAAUCUAAUAACAUUAAUUCAUGUGGAGACGAUCUGAAUACUCAUUAAUAUAUUACUUACACUUGCAUUGACACCAAUAACAUUAGAAAUUACACACACUAUAACGGCAUGAAAUCUUUCUAGGGAAAAUGAAGGUUUCAAGUCUCAAAUUCUACUUGAGUGAGACAAAGAACCCAAACUUUCUAAUUUAGCUCGGCCAAGAUUAGAUGAGCAGAAAUAUAAAAGCAUGAAACCUUUUUAAAGCAAGGGUUUAAAGUCAAAACUAGUUGGGUGACACAAGAAGUCUAAAUUUGCUAAGUUUAAUCGGCCUUGAAUAGGCGAGUAAAAAGUUCCAGCUCCUUAAGCCUUUUCUACAAACUCUCUUUCUCCACUAAAUCAACUUCUGCCCUCUUAUCAAAUUAAGCCCUGAGGGUCUCUAUCUCUUUCUAAAACUUGUUUCCCAUGGCUGGAACUUCUUCUCCUUGCUUAAUUAGCUGGUUGAGUUGCUUUUUGAAUUUGUAAUGUAGAUAUUUGGCCUAACAAAAUAUACGGGCUGUUAAAUGUUUUAAUCUAUGAGUAAUAUUUUAGUUAGGUAACAUGAUGCCUUACCUCUUGGUCGUGCUCCAUCAAUCGUUCUCAAGCCCCUAUGGUAGAUGACUUGUUCAGUUCCUCUGCCUUCUCUUUGGUCAUAUAAGCCUCUACAUAAUGCACCACAUGCUGAGUAUGUUCAAUCCUCUCUCCUUUUUCUCUUCUUUCUACUUCUAUAAAGUUCUGAACUGGACUUGUUGACGCAACACUGGGGAUCAAGAGUUGGAAGAAUUGUUACUGUUGUAGUCGAGCGAGCAAUGAUUGAAGAUUUUUGUGUUGAUGUCCCCGAGAUCGGUAGAAAUACGUUCUGAUCUCUUUCUUCUAAUUCCUUUCUACUUUUUUCUUCUUUUUUCUUUUGCUUUUCAACCUUUCUAGAAUUCUAAUGACAUCUUGCCUACCUCAUGGAAAUAGUAUUAGUCAUAUAAAAAUCAAAGAUUGAAAUUUACUUUAAGAAAAUUUUACCUUUUCUUUUUCUUUGAAUAACUUGUUGCACUCUAGCCUCGUGCAAAGGGACUAAUCUACAUCCUGGAAGCUUUCUAACCUUAGAAGAUCUAUCGAUAUUGUCUUCGACUCAUCCCCCUCACAAACCUGUGCAGGGCAUUGAACAAGUCAUUUCCUAAAUACAUUUUUGUUAAAAUUAAAAGAAAAGAAUUUAUUUUUAUAAGAAUCAGACUUGGCUGCCCAAAAAUACAUGGUACCCCAUACUUCAGAUCCUCCGAAAACCAGCCCCAUUCUUCAUAAACCUAGAACCAUCGAUCUUUGAAGUCUUUGUUGGUAGUCGAUAAAUCAAGGAUCAACUUUUUGGCUUUAGGUCAUGCUGAUAAGUAAAACUGGCCAUUGUGCUUCUUCAGGUUACUUUUCAGUUUAAAGCAUCUUUUUAGCUCCUGAAAUGUGAGUUCGAGUAGACUACUUCUUGCCCGUAAUACAUACAUACCACCUAAAACUCUCCACCCAUUUAAAGCUAGCUGACAGAGAACUAAACCUAAUAAACUUAGCAUUUUCGCAAAUAUUGCAUAGGUAAUCUCAACCCACAGUCAAAGAAUUUUCUGCAAAUAGCUACUGUGUCAUUCAAGGGGUUACUUGGUUUCUCUCCUCUCCUUGGUAAUCUUAUUUCUACCUCACUAGGGAUGUGGUAUUUCUCCUUUAGGACAUAUUGGUCACACUCCUGAAGGAUAGACUCUAUCUUAUCCGCAUAAUAAUAGUCUAUGGGUUUAGUUUUAACGAUAGGCACUAGAUCUCGUUUUACUCGUCUUUUCUUUUUUCUCCGCCUCUUAUUACCCUCAUUGGUUCUUCAUCCUCUUCUGUCGUGGUAUCGUUAAUUUCGUCUGUAUAUCAUUUGUCUAAACAUAGGGCCAUCCUCGAUUCCUUUAGAAUCUAACUCCGUCCUACUUUCUAUGGUUUCUUCACCAAAACCUCUCUUGUCAAAAUCUCCAAAAGCCUAAUCUGAGCACUAUCCCAAUAUAUUCUAGGAAUCACUGCGUAUAGAAUCUCUAUCGCUGUCAUCCUAUUAGCGAAAGCUGACAGUUUUUCCCAAAUGGCACCCAAACACCCUUAGUAUCUAAAAUUGCACUAUAUCUUUCUCUAUGAUUUGAAAUCAGAACAAAAAGGAGAGUAAUAUCCAUAGGCUGAAAUAGAAAUUGGGAAGAAAGAAAACGGCACCAGUGAGUUCCAUUAAGAUUGAUCCUCUCUAUCUAAGUUGUUGAACACUUUUGAUUUUCUCUGUUGUUCUUCCUUAUCUUUCAAUUGUAUUUGAAAUUCGAACUAAUUUGGGUAACAAAAAAAAAAAAAAAUGAAAGUAAAUCGAGCCCUCUCGUUUUGAACAUGUUUAGUUGUUUACUUCCAAUGACCGGUUGAAUUUUUAAAUUAAAUCGGCGUCUCUCGGUUACUUCCCCCCAUUUUACUCUAGCCACUUGAUUUUCAGUUAUCGUUUAAGAACCUUCCACGUGGACAUUAUAAUAGGAUAUGACAUGUUCAAAGACGUGUUCAUGUCAUUUCAUAUUAGUGCGCACAAGUCCCAAAGUUCAUGCCGCCUGAUUUGUCCCACGUUACUUUUUCUCUGCCAAGUUUAUUCCAUGAUGAUUAAAAUCUCUCUGGAUUCUUCGUCUUGAUAAUCAAUUUCUAACUUAUCUUAUCUGACUAUUGCAUCAGGUUAUUAGUUUACUUGUCCUCGUACUCCGGGCAUAGAACGGGCAAUCCAAGGGACUAAUUGUUGCAUCUAUUUUCCUGAACACUUUUGUUGGGUUCAAAAACCUAAUAUGAUCAUAAUUGAAAUAUCAUUCUUCGACUUUGAUUAUACAUGUGUCGUAUCCUCAAAGUGUUCCAACACGACAUGGAUUUAGAGAAAUCUCCCUAUAAGAGGUCAUCCUGCUUAUGAGGUAAGGUCAUUAAUCAAUAAUCAGGCAUCCUAUUUAUUUUGCACGUUAAAGGGCAUGUACGUUUAAAGAAUUCUUUAAAACUAUUUCAACUUUUAGGUAAACCAAUGAUCCUCUUUAUGUGUUGAGCUUAUGUAUUAUCAAGGACCUAAAUCCUCUCUUCGCGUGAGCUUUCGCAUCAAUAAAUAUAGAUAUGUGAUUGAUAGUAAAUAACGGAAUAGUUCUUGACUAAACAUGACUGACAAAAGCCUGUGACAAAAGGAUCAAUCCUCAAAAGAUUAUGAAAACACAAACAAGAAGAUUAUCCUGAUUCAUUAAUAGUUCUAAACAUUAAUUUUUGUGAUACAUGUUUACUUUAUUUUCAGGACAUGCUCUCAGCUGCAAUGGACACUUCAGCAACAGCAGUCGAGUGGGCACUUUCAGAACUCAUCAAGCAUCCAAAAGUAAUGAAGAAACUACAAAACGAGCUAGAAAAAAUUGUGGGCUUAUGCAGAAUGGUUGAAGAAUCAGAUUUAGAAAACCUCGAAUACCUUGACAUGGUUGUUAAGGAAACCCUGAGGCUUCAUCCUGCAGGGCCAUUGCUAAUUCCACACGAAUCUACCGAAGACUGCACAGUUAACAGAUUCCACAUUCCCAAAAAAUCAAGAGUAAUCAUAAACGUUUGGGCAAUUGGAAGAGAUCCUGAAGCCUGGAAUGAUCCUGAAAUAUUUUUCCGGAAAGGUUUAUUGGAAGUAGUAUUGAUCUACGUGGACACGACUUUCAGCUUUUGCCAUUUGGUUCUGGCCGGAGAGGGUGCCCUGGAAUGCAAUUGGGACUCACCAUUUUUAAGCAAGUGAUUGCACAGCUUGUGCAUUGCUUUGAUUGGGAGCUUCCUGGGGGAAUGUUGCUAACUGAAUUGGACAUGACAGAAGAGUUUGGUCUUGUUACUCCCAGGGCCAAACAUCUUUUGGCCAUUCCAAGUUAUCGCCUUAAGACUUAUAAUUUUGUUUGUUUGAUUUCUGGAUUAAUACAAAGUAGUUUUAAGAAAACAAAACAAAACAAAUUAACACAUAAAAUCAUUUGUUACUCAACAAUUAUUUCAAAGAAGAUUGUUUCGUAAUAUUUGAAAGUAGAUUUUGUACCUAGAUAUUUGAAUUUUGCAGCAUCAUAAUUAUUCUACGAGGUUUUCAUCAAUUUUUAAUAUAAGUAGCAGUAGAUUAAAAUAAUAGGCGGCCCCAAGCUUUUUUUUUUUUAAUUUAAAAAGAUUUAAAGACCAAAUUAAUUUCUUGGUCCCUAUCUCUCCCAAUUCUCAACCUUGGAUAGCUAGUCAACUAAAACAACUUGAUCACUCAGAGCUCAAACGUAUUAUUCAUUCAAUAAGCUUAAGCUUAUUAAAUAAAUAAUACGAUUAUCGGUUAACAAUUUUUAGUGUUAGGGCCAAUUUGUUGCUAUUGGGAAACUUAAAACUGAUUCUGAGAUGUUAAUGGUUAAUUUUGAAAAGCAGUAGAGGAUCUUCACAUUUGUUACAUUUAAAAGAAAUAUAUAUCCUUAUCUAAAUAGGAAAUAAACUCAAUGAACUAAUGAGAAUUAAUUAAUUUUUUAUUAUCAAUUCUUUUAAGAUAAAAAAAUAAAAGAAAUAUAAUUAACAAUAUACAAAUAUCAAACGUUACAUAAAAAUAAUCGAAACUAUUACAUGCAUACAUGUUUACAUUUUUUAGUUUUUUUAAAAGGUAAACGGGUUGGCAUAGCCCGUAGCCCAAAUCUAUUGUUAAACAAAAUUCCUUCAAAAUCCACUUGGCCAACCCUGGGGACAUAUAUAUAUAUAUAUUUAUUAAUUUAUAAAUAAAUUUUAUUCAGCAUUAUAUAUAUUUUAACUGUUUGCAAUCUUACAACUAUUUAAUAAUAAAAUUUAUCAAUUAUGUUUAAUUAUUUUUAAAACUCAUAUCACUUUUAAAAAUAAAAUUUAUUUUAUAAACAACUAAUAUUUUUCACAUCUAAUUAUUUCUAUAACACUAGUAAAAUCAAUUAUUUUAGAAGCCAUUAUCACACUCACACUUAUUUCAUUUUUACAGGCGAGCUAAAAAUCAAUCUGUUUUCACAUGACUAUUUCCGUUUCUCCGGCAGCAAUUAGAAUCCUUUCACAUAAUUAUCAUCUAAUGUUAUUAAAUAGCGCUUUGGAUUUUCCUAGUGACCAAAUUCAAGUAUCGUUUUCGAGUAAAUUAAUUUACAUGAAAUGGGUCUCAAUUUCAUUGUCAAUUAAUUUGACUUGAAAGAUACAAAAGGAAACAAGUUUAAAAUAUGGCUUGGAAGUUCAAGACAGGUUUCAACAGACUUCUUAUUGUAAUAUUAUGAAAAAUAUGCUUAGAUUAAUUCAGUGACUUAGGUGAUAAGACUAAAUAAAAUAAAAUAAAAUAAAACUUGAGAAAAUUCAAUAAUUGUGACAAUGCAGCCGCGUUACCUUAAUAAAUAUUGAUACAGUGCAAUAUAUACAUUGAUUCAAAAGACACCAUUAUUCACAUGUUGAACUUAUCGUCAUCUUAUCAUCAUUUUUGUUUCCUUUUUUCUUGUAUCUUGAAUUCUAUUAAGAAACUGAAAUUGAUGGAUGAUGCAACUAAAGAGAAAUUGAGGAAAAUUUGGAAAUGUAAUGUCACACAAAGGGACAUGAAAAUUUAUUUAUGUCUACAAGCAAAGACAGAAGAAACCACUAUUUAAUUGAGGAUUACAAUACUUCUCCUAAAUAUAAGGAGAGAAUAAUUACAUUACUUCUUAUACUGGGAGAAAACAGCUCUAUGAUUUAAAACUAGAAGAAUAAACCUUAAGGAGAGACUGAUUUUUUUUUUUUAGAUAAAUGCUCGAAUAGUCCCUAUAUUUUAGUUAAAUUAUCGGUUUAGUUUCUAUAUUUUAAAAAAUAUAUGUUCAAUCACUUUGGCAUACUUACAAGAAUGAAUUAGAAGUAUAUUCAUCAUUAUUAUCAGAACUUAAUGUUUUAAUCUUUCUACCAAUUUGAGUCUACAAUAGUUUCUUACAUUUUAUGAAAUCUAUAAAACCUCAUCAUUUGCUCGCAUGUUGUACACCCACACAUGUCUAGACAAAUCAUCAACAAAUAGAAGAAAAUAAUGGCUUUCAACCAUUGAUGCAGUUUUGGUUGGUCCACAUACAUUACUAUGAACAUAUUUAAGGAUCUUAUGAGUAUCGUAAUUAGUUGAACCAAACUUAACCCUUGUUUUCUUGCCUCCCACACAAUGCUCACAAAACUUCAUUUUACAAGUAUUGGUACAUUUAAAAGGCCUCAUUAAAGUUUGUAGAUUUUUUUUCCAGCACGUCCUAGUCGUACAUACCAUAACUUAGUGGUGUCACUGUGUGCCUCAAAAACAUUAGUUUUAUCAGUUGUACUUCAUUUCAAAUAGUAUAAAUUAUGACGUCAAACUCCUUAUAGAAUCACCAUAGCUCUGUAUGUAAAUUUCAUUGUGUCAUCUUCAAUGGUAACUUUUUAUCCUUUAGCUUUUGAAGCACUUAUAGAAAUUAGAUUUUUUCUUAAUGCUGGAAUCUAUCAAACUUCUUUUAAUUCUCUAACUAUUCUAUUGAACAUUUUUAAGUCGAAUUGUUCUUAUCCCCAUCAUGCGGUAAGGUUGAUCAUUCCCUAUUAUAACUGCACUAGAUUCUAAAUUACAAAAAUCCGUAAACCUUUCCCUCAUGGAAUACAAAUGAUAAAUUGCUUCGGUAUCAAGUAUUUACUUGUUCAAAUUAACCACAUAUGAUGCAGGCAUGAUACUUAGUGCAUAGUCAUAAUCUUUAUCUUUACUUGCCAUAUUUACUGCCACUUGUUUCCUAUCUCUCUUCUGAGCUUUAAGAUAAUCUUUCCUCCAAUGACCCCUUUCAUGACAAGAGGCACACUUGAGUUAUAUUUAUGCUUUUUAGACUGCGAAUUCUUUCUACCAUCUUCUUCCUUUUCUCUACCGUCCUUUCUCUUAUUAACAAAACCUCAAAUGAUGCUCUUUUGAAAUGUUUAUCAUUAUUACAAAUUUUCAAAUUGGUCAGUGUUGUGCAAACAUCCAUGAAGAUGAUUAUGUUUUUCUCGUAUAACAAAGUAGUCACAAAAUGGUAAUAUUCUUCUAGAAGUAAGUGUAGUAGAAUUAUAACAUUAACUUUAUCAUUAAUAUAUUCAUCAAGAUUCUUCGAAUCUGCAAGAAACUUUUCAAAUCUUGAGAUAUGGUCGUGCAUUUACACCCUAGGCUUUAUUAAAAAGCCAUAUACCUAGCUUAUUAUAUGAAGGCGAUUUUCAAGACUUUUCAGUAGGUACUUUUCCUCUAAUGUACGCCACAAAGUCAUUGCACACUCCUUAUUUUUCACCACAUAUUUUACCUCCUAUGUCAAACAAUAUCUUAUCUAACCACAGGCUUCCUUGUUCAUACAAUCUCAAGUUUUUUUUAUCUUAGAAGUAUCUUUCAUUUUCAAAAUAGCAUCAAGAUCGAUUUAAAUAAAGGCAUCCAUAACUUCACGCCUCAAACUUUUCAACAUCGAUCUUUUGGCCUCCUAUAACAUGUGUUGAAUGGUAACGUGACAAGUCUCACCUUUCACCUGACAUGUUUCCUGAAAUAGUCUGAGUAGAUCUCUGUCCACUUUUAGAAGUUUUACCUUCUACGAUUUUCUUAAUAAACUAUUCCCACUUGAUAAAUCAGUACAUAUGGAAAAAUGCAACAGGAAAGUUCUUAAGAAAGACAGUUGGAAUCACACUAGUCCCACUUAAAACCCAAAAUCCAUAGCCUUUUAUCGCCUUUGUGACAGAACUUUCACAAACAUGCACAAGUCCACACCACUAUAUAAGCUACUAAUCCUCCUAGGUACAAGCUCUCCGAAUUCGUGAACAGUACCGUACACCCCAAGUAUGAACCUUUCUCUGAUACCACUUGUAGGCUCUAAUGCAACUUAUUGUGUGUGUAAUGUGGAAUCAAACGCACCAAAUAAUCACAAAAAUAAAGGACACAAGAAUUUAACAUUGUUCAACAAUUAUACCUACGUGCAUGGGAGCAAGAUGAAAUAAUUGUAUUACUAACAAUUAUUAAAGUAUAAUAUUUGAGUAAAGAAACCUCACUUUCCAGAAUUCAAAUACACUCAGUACUCCACACACACUUGAAAGGAAAAUCUCUCAAUUGCUCGUACUUUCCAAUUGCUCACUAUAAAAAAAUUCUUCACUUGAAUUAUUUCUUUUAAAUUUGGGAUACUUAGAAUGAAAGAAGUGUCUUCUAUUUAUAGGAAAAAUAAUGACACUAUUGCACCAACCUCGCCCUUGUCAAUUUGACAAAUCCACCAAUAUUUGGCUGAUUUGUCAACAAUGUUAUGCACCGAAUUUGGUCUACAAUAUUCUUGACUUCAUAAGAUGAUUAUGUCGUGAUUAUGGACUUUGCUUGUUCAUGUCGCACUUAUGGAACUUUGGUUGUUCUAGCUACAAUUUUCUUUUUCCUCCAAGCAUUUUCUUGGAAAACAAACACAAAGAACAGAAGGAUAGUACCUCUAGGGCCAAAAGUUUUCUAAUAUUUUGAUGCCUUCAUUUGUGAGGCCAAUUUCCUCAUAGAGCUUUGCAUAAACUAGCCAAAAUAUAUGGCCCCAUCAUGCACUUACGCUUGGUCUUAGUGACUACAAUUGUUGUUUUUUUACUACAAGCAGCUAAGAAAUUACCCAAAACACAUGACCUUAUUGUUGCCAACAGGCCUCAUCUUCAAGCUUCUAAGCAUGUUUCUUAUGACCCAAAGAAUUUUGCAAUUUCCCCAUAUGCAUCUUAUUGGAGAACAAUCUAAAAAAUAUGUACUCUAAAAUUGUUAAGUAUUGAAUAAGUUGAAGAUAUCUGACUAGCAUGCAACCUUUGACUUUGGCACCAAAGUAGAAUGUUGAAUGAAAAUUUAUAUUCUCUUUUAAAGCCCACCAUUGUUGAUUUGUGGACGUUACUUGGUCUAUAGAUUGGAGUGCAAAGGAAGAGUAUUCGAUCCCAUUUUCUUGAGUUCCCAAUCUAUUUGAGAAGUGAUAAAGUCAAUGGUUAAAGAUUGAGAGUAUGUUGAGAGCUUUAAACUCUUGGUUUAAUGAAUGAGAGAUUGGGUGUAUUGGGGUUUUAGUGGUAAGCUAAAAUACUCUAAUAUUUGUAAUCUCCAUUUAACUAGUAAGGCUUUACUUUUCUAUCUUUGCCCAUAGACGUAGGCAAAAAGGCAAACCAUGUAAAUUCUGGUGUCAAUGUAUGAUUAUAAUUUCUCAAUUUCAGUUUAAUUGUGUGUCUGCUUCAUCCAUUAAUUUCUUUACAUUAAAUAGUGUCAAGAUCAAUUAUUUCCAACUUAUAAGAAAAGAAGAGCUUGAUGUUUUAACUGAGUACACGAAAGAGGCAACGUGUGCCCAAUGUGUCGUCUACAUAAGUGGCAAAGAUUCCAUUAUAAAUGCUAACAUGACUAGUAAAAUGGUCCUCAGGAAGAUAUAUUAGAAUGAUGAAUUCGAAGAGAGAUGGUUUAAGAAUGUGAUUCAAGAGAGCAUGGAAUUGGCUGUAAAGCCUAACUUAGGUAAUCCUCAAAUUAUAAGACAUCAUUUUCAAGGCAUGAAAAAGCGUAAAAAGGUUGUUGCCAAGGUGUUUGAUGCUUUUUUAGGGAAGAUUAUUGAUGAAUAUUUUCAAUCCAAUGAUGAAAAUGGAACCAACGAUUUUGUUGAUGUUAUGCUGGGCUAUGAGGGAUCAAAAGAAACCGAGCGCAUGAUCGAACGAGAGCAAACUAAAGCCACUAUCUUGGUAAGUACAAAGUAAAUCACAUUCUUUAAGUAAAUUAAAUUUUCCCUUGCUAGGUAUAAAGGUUUUGCCACAUUUAAACAACUUGUGCAUUGCUUUGAUUGAGAGCUUCCUGAGGGAAUAUUGCCAACUAAAUUAGACAUGACAGAAAAGUUUAGUUCUAUGACUCAUCAAUUGAGCCAAACAUCUUUUGGCUAUUCCAAGUUUUUUUUUUCACUCUAUGGGGGGUUAGGCGAGACCCCUACCUGCCAUUUAGAAUAUAUAAAGAAAAUACAUGUGGAGGGGGACAUAAACCAAAAUCUCCAAUCAAGAGAAAUAAAUAUAACAGUAAAUGAAAUGAUUUAGACAUAACCUAACAUAAGAAAAAAGACUAAUGCAGACGGUGAUAAUAUUUUUUACGAUACUUGCGGCCGACAAGUAAUUUAAUGCCUUUUUUUGAAUGACCGACAAUGUUAAAAUCAAGGCUAGAGUCAAUUCUCUCAGAAUUCUUAAGAGCAGACAAAAAAAUUGUCAUUAUUCGCUAAGUGAUCGUGAGAACUAUCAUCAUUAUCAGUAUGAGAAUUAUAAAGCCUAAAAUCUGUGUUGGAUGCUCGAUGAAGAUGUGUAUUGUACUCACCUGGUUCUUGGAUCCUAGAAUCAUGAGUCGUGACAUCUUGGCGAAUCGGCUCCUGAAUGGAAGUAGAGUUUAUAGCGUUAGCUCAGCUCUCUGUAGGUACAAUUGGAGACCCGUGUCAGCAAUCUGCUUAGUGAUGGAUAGCUCAGGUCGUGGAGUAUCCAAGGUUUGGGGAGUAUGUGACGACAAAAAUUCUAACUUCUUAUUAUCUAUUCUGGUCUGCCAAUUCCCACUGGGCCGCUGGAGACGGAGUCCCAGAUUGGCCAUGUAACACGUCUCAAUGGUAUGGCCAAGGUGUUUGCAGGAAGCAUAGUACAAUGGAAUUUUCUCAAAAAUUACACUCUGCCAAAAUCUAGAAUCUCCUAUACCAAUUCAUAUUCUUGGCAACAGAAGUUGAGUGACAUCAUACUCCACUAACACCCUGGCUACAUAAGGGCGAGCUAAAGAGGCAAUAGCUUGGUCAAUUCACAAUGGCUUACCAAUAGCAGAUGCAAUAGAAAAUAAUGUUUCCUUACAAUGCAUGAGUGGAUAGGCAAGUAAGGAAAUGAAAUCCAAACUGGGACUAUAGGGGACUCCUCGGAACAUCGAAAAUCGGUGGUCCAUUUAAAAAUUCUCAUGGCACUCCCAUUGAUGUAUCAUGUUUGCCUAACCCAUAGGCGGGAGUAGUCCUCCUCAAUAUCCAAUUGAAUUAACACAUGUCGAUUAUCUAAAGGGGACACCUUGAAAGUUCCCUUUAACCUCAAAGUAUUAAAAAAUUUAUGAAUUAAUUCCAUACUUGGUCUAUUAUAGGAAAAUUUACCUACCAAUAUCAGCUUGAAAGGAAUGACCAUCGCUUGAAUUUCUGUAGUGGAAAAUUGCACAUUAGGCUCUCCCUCGAACAAAGUGACGGUCUUGAUCGGAAUCCUCGAGUUGGAUAGGCCGUUCAUAAUAUCUACCAAAGAUAUUUUAGUGGGUUUAUUUUGAUUCAGAUUAGGGACAUAUUUCAAAUCUGAGGCAUAGGAGAGUGCAGAUGUGGGCUGAUUGGUAUUUUGGAUUAAUGGAUCAUUUUGGAGGUUAUUUAAUAAAAGUGUAGAGGGCAUUCGUGAGGGCUGGGUGUUGGGAUUUAUUUUGGAAAUGGAUUGGGCUUGGGUUUGACUAGUAGGAAAAGUGUGUGGGGCAUGGAAAGUGCUAGUUGGAGACAUACAUGGGGAACACAAAUCUUGUGUUGCCGAAAGUGUUCCAUGGGCAUGGGAAUUACCACCCACGUGCAGACUUUUGAGCUGGUGUUGGUUAGAUGUUUGAUGACUUUGGCUGGGUUCUGUGGUGGUUGUAUGCAACUGGCUUUCGGUUGGUAGUUGUAGUUGGCCGUGAGCACUGUCCCAAAUGCUUGCUUGUGAUUUGCAUGUGGUUUUUUGUCGUGUGGGAGUUGUUUGUGUAUGUGGUGAUUGUUGUUGGUUGGUGGUUGUAGCUUGAACCAAAUCUUGAGGCAAAUAGCCAUAGAGUAUAGGCUGGUUUUGAUGGUGUAUAGGGGCUGUGACAAUAGGGUGAUCUCCCGAAUGGUGUGUGGCUUGUGUUGGUUGCGGGCUGGAGGCUGGUGGCUGGUUGGCUUGAGGUGAAAAUCCAUUCACCAAAUCUGGUGCGACAGUAGGGUGCUCUCCCGAAUGGUGUAUGACUUGUAUUGGUUGCGGGCUGGAGGCUGGUGGCUGGUUGGCUUGAGAUGAAAGCUUGGAGUUGGCUGUUGAAGGGGUGGCGAUGACGGUUGGAGAUGGCUGUUGAGGGGAUGACAAUGGCGGUGUGUUUGCGGAAGUUGGGGGCUGUUGGGGUUGGGCUAGCGUUUGACUCUUGUAUUUUGAUUGAGUUUGCCUUUGGGAUCUCCUAAGAAAUGGAGGUUCAUUUCUGGAAGUGGGGGGAGGAGCCGGUGGUGGAUGGUUGCCAUUUUCGUUAGCCGGCGAGAUGAGAAUCAGCUUGUCUCGAGCAAUGCUUUCUCCUCCAUUUUCAAGUGAAUGGAGAGGAGAUUUUGCUAUCUCACGGCAGCAUUCAUGGUCAUUGAUGUCACAAGUGAUUGCCAUUUCUUUUUGUUCACUUACGGCAUUAGAUGUGAGUGAAGGUUGUUGAAUUUUCAAGAGGAUAGCGGCAGUGGACGUUGGUGGUUGGUGUGCAUGGGGUUGAAUUUGAGAUGGAGGGUCUGUAUGAGAGUGGUUUGGUUUGAUUCGCGGUGAUGGCAAUUGGACAUCCGGCGGUGGUUUGUUGUUGAAUUUUGGGGGUCAUUUAGUGAUAAUGUUGUUUGUUUGAUCUCUAGAUUAGCAUAAGGUAGGUGUUAAGAGAAACAAAAACAAAACAAAUUAAUAAAUUAAAUCAUUUGCGACCCAACAAUUAUUUUAAAGAAGAUUCCUUACUAAUAUUUGAAAGUAGAUAUUGUACCUAAAUAGUUAAGUUGUUCGGCAUCAUAAUUAUUAUAGAAGGUUUUGGUAAAUUUUUAAUUUCAUAAAAUCAUGUAACUCCCGCGAGUCGAACUAAGGUGGCCAGCCAAAUUAAACCACUUGAACUUAGAACUUUAACAAUAUAAUUCAUUCAAUAAACUUAAAGCUUAUGAAAUAAUUUAUACGAUUGUUACUCAAUAAUUUUUAAUGUUAGGGCCCAUUUGUGACUGCUAUUGAAAAAUUCAAAAAUGAUUUUAAGAAGUAAAAAAUCAUUUUAAUAGUUAUUUUUCUUGUCUAUCAUUUUUUGAAAAAAAAAAAAAAAGAUAAGAGGGGUAGGCAAAGUCAAAAUCCAUUUUUAAAUCGGGUGACUAGCUAAAUAAAGCUACUUAGAAGUCACCUAGCCAAGCUCCUCAAGACUUAUAUUUGCAUGCUUAUUUAUGUUUGUAAGUCGAUUUCUUUUGACAUUAUGUCCUUAUUAACCAUUUGUGAUUUUACAAUAAUAAAAUAAUAAGAUUUACUAAAUAUAUGUAAUUACUUUCAAAACUCACGAUACCUUUAAAAUAAAAUUUAUUUAACACAUAACGAAUACUUUUCACUUUUAAUUAUUGUUAUGACACAGCUAACAACAAUAAUUUUAAAAAUUAUUAUCAAACUCUCACCCUUGUUUCAUAUAUACAGGUGAGCAAUCUAUCUGUCUUUACAUUACUUCUUUCCCUUUCUCCAGCAGCAAUUAGAAUCUUUUCACAUAAUUAUCAUCUAAUGUAAUUAACUGGCGUUUUGGAUUUUCUUAGCGACGAGUUCAAGUACCGGUUUCCAAUAAAUUGAUUUACAUGAAAUGUGACCAAUAGGAAAAGAAGAGCCAUUAUCAAACUCACCCCUAGGAUUUGGCUUGAAACAUAUAACAAAAAUAAUAAAUUGAAAAUAUGGCUUUGAACUAUCGAUCAUUCCUUAUCCUAAUAGUUGACACCUCUAUUCAUUACUGUUAAGAAUGAUCGUUCAAAUUACUAGGUUGUCAUAGUAAAACUUUUCUUCGGUUACAGCCCAGUAAAAUGUUAGGGAAAUUGAUGGGUGAAGUAGAGUUACAGUUAAAAUGAAAUUGGAAGAAAAUAAAGAAUAAGCAUAAGGAGGACACUAGAAAAUUACGUGGUUUGGCUUUUAGCUUACGUCCAUGAGCGAAGACAGAAUAAAAAUAUUUUACUAAUGAAAUGAGAAUUACAAGUAUUGUAAUAUUGUAACUCACUUCCCAAAACCCCAAUAUACCCAAUCUCUCACUCACUAAUUACACAAAAGUAUUAGAGCUUUUAAUCUCUCACACAACUCAUAAUUUUUUUUCUCUCUCUCACAAAAUGGAAUUUCUCUCAAAUCUUGGAUGCAGGAACCAAAAUGGGAGCUUCCUUCAUAUAGCCAAAAUUGAAUAUUAUUUUAAUAUUUUGUUCACUCUUCUCGUGGCUUCUUUAAAGCCGUGUUCCAUCCCUCUUUUUUUCUUUCCAUUUUAGCGUGCCAACCACCAUUUGUCGAGAUCAACUUUUGCAGCAUCUUCUUCAUUCUUUUUUCUUCUUCUUUCUAAAAUGCAUCUUCAACGUCAAAGUCGUGUGCCACCACUUUUGCUUCUUCAAAGUUCCUACAGCUCUCUUUGAUUUUUCAUUGUUGACAGCCACUUUUCUUGACAACCAACAGGAAAAGAAGAGCCAUUAUCAAACUCACCCCUAUNNNNNNNNNNNNNNNNNNNNNNNNNNNNNNNNNNNNNNNNNNNNNNNNNNNNNNNNNNNNNNNNNNNNNNNNNNNNNNNNNNNNNNNNNNNNNNNNNNNNACCGCCGCGCGGCUACCCUCCCAUCCCGAUGCCCCCGGACCCCUGGUCCCGUGGGACCCAACGGAAACGGAAUAGGAUGCCCGGAUCAUGACAUACGCCCAAAACCGUCAAAACCUACUGAGCACACCCCGAACAUGCCCAUUUUUCGGCGUUCAAACCGCCGCGCGGCUACCCCCCCAUCCCGAUGCCCCCGGAACCCUGGUCCCGCGGGACCCGACGGAAACGGAAUCGGAGGCCCGGAUCAUGAGUUACGGCCCCUUCUUUGCGGCCCCCGAGGACGUGCGCUAUAGCCCCCCGGGCCACCCCCCAUCCGGCCGCACCCGCCCGAACCCCACCGAACGCGUCCGCCGCCUCCCGAUCCCGCCCCGCGGUCCCCCCCGGGGCAUGAACCGCCCGCCGGCGGGCCGAAACCGGCCAAACCGGCAAAACCGCCCCGAUCAUGCCCGUUUUUCGGCGUUCAAACCGCCGCGCGGCUACCCCCCCAUCCCGAUGCCCCCGGACCCCUGGCCCCGUGGGACCUGACGGAAACGGAAUCGGAUGCCCGGAUCAUGAGAUACGCCCAAAACCGUCUAAACCUACUGAGCGCNNNNNNNNNNNNNNNNNNNNNNNNNNNNNNNNNNNNNNNNNNNNNNNNNNNNNNNNNNNNNNNNNNNNNNNNNNNNNNNNNNNNNNNNNNNNNNNNNNNNNNNNNNNNNNNNNNNNNNNNNNNNNNNNNNNNNNNNNNNNNNNNNNNNNNNNNNNNNNNNNNNNNNNNNNNNNNNNNNNNNNNNNNNNNNNNNNNNNNNNNNNNNNNNNNNNNNNNNNNNNNNNNNNNNNNNNNNNNNNNNNNNNNNNNNNNNNNNNNNNNNNNNNNNNNNNNNNNNNNNNNNNNNNNNNNNNNNNNNNNNNNNNNNNNNNNNNNNNNNNNNNNNNNNNNNNNNNNNNNNNNNNNNNNNNNNNNNNNNNNNNNNNNNNNNNNNNNNNNNNNNNNNNNNNNNNNNNNNNNNNNNNNNNNNNNNNNNNNNNNNNNNNNNNNNNNNNNNNNNNNNNNNNNNNNNNNNNNNNNNNNNNNNNNNNNNNNNNNNNNNNNNNNNNNNNNNNNNNNNNNNNNNNNNNNNNNNNNNNNNNNNNNNNNNNNNNNNNNNNNNNNNNNNNNNNNNNNNNNNNNNNNNNNNNNNNNNNNNNNNNNNNNNNNNNNNNNNNNNNNNNNNNNNNNNNNNNNNNNNNNNNNNNNNNNNNNNNNNNNNNNNNNNNNNNNNNNNNNNNNNNNNNNNNNNNNNNNNNNNNNNNNNNNNNNNNNNNNNNNNNNNNNNNNNNNNNNNNNNNNNNNNNNNNNNNNNNNNNNNNNNNNNNNNNNNNNNNNNNNNNNNNNNNNNNNNNNNNNNNNNNNNNNNNNNNNNNNNNNNNNNNNNNNNNNNNNNNNNNNNNNNNNNNNNNNNNNNNNNNNNNNNNNNNNNNNNNNNNNNNNNNNNNNNNNNNNNNNNNNNNNNNNNNNNNNNNNNNNNNNNNNNNNNNNNNNNNNNNNNNNNNNNNNNNNNNNNNNNNNNNNNNNNNNNNNNNNNNNNNNNNNNNNNNNNNNNNNNNNNNNNNNNNNNNNNNNNNNNNNNNNNNNNNNNNNNNNNNNNNNNNNNNNNNNNNNNNNNNNNNNNNNNNNNNNNNNNNNNNNNNNNNNNNNNNNNNNNNNNNNNNNNNNNNNNNNNNNNNNNNNNNNNNNNNNNNNNNNNNNNNNNNNNNNNNNNNNNNNNNNNNNNNNNNNNNNNNNNNNNNNNNNNNNNNNNNNNNNNNNNNNNNNNNNNNNNNNNNNNNNNNNNNNNNNNNNNNNNNNNNNNNNNNNNNNNNNNNNNNNNNNNNNNNNNNNNNNNNNNNNNNNNNNNNNNNNNNNNNNNNNNNNNNNNNNNNNNNNNNNNNNNNNNNNNNNNNNNNNNNNNNNNNNNNNNNNNNNNNNNNNNNNNNNNNNNNNNNNNNNNNNNNNNNNNNNNNNNNNNNNNNNNNNNNNNNNNNNNNNNNNNNNNNNNNNNNNNNNNNNNNNNNNNNNNNNNNNNNNNNNNNNNNNNNNNNNNNNNNNNNNNNNNNNNNNNNNNNNNNNNNNNNNNNNNNNNNNNNNNNNNNNNNNNNNNNNNNNNNNNNNNNNNNNNNNNNNNNNNNNNNNNNNNNNNNNNNNNNNNNNNNNNNNNNNNNNNNNNNNNNNNNNNNNNNNNNNNNNNNNNNNNNNNNNNNNNNNNNNNNNNNNNNNNNNNNNNNNNNNNNNNNNNNNNNNNNNNNNNNNNNNNNNNNNNNNNNNNNNNNNNNNNNNNNNNNNNNNNNNNNNNNNNNNNNNNNNNNNNNNNNNNNNNNNNNNNNNNNNNNNNNNNNNNNNNNNNNNNNNNNNNNNNNNNNNNNNNNNNNNNNNNNNNNNNNNNNNNNNNNNNNNNNNNNCCCUGGUCCCGUGGGACCCGACGGAAACGGAAUCGGAGGCCCGGAUCAUGAGUUACGGCCCCUUCUUUGCGGCCCCCGAGGCCGUGCGCUAUAGCCCCCCGGGCCACCCCCCACCCGGCCGCACCCGCCCGAACCCCACCGAACGCGUCCGCCGCCUCCCGAUCCCGCCCCACGGUCCCCCCCGGGGCAUGAACCGCCCCCCGGGGGGCCGAAACCGGCCAAACCGGCUAAACCGCCCCGAUCAUGCCCAUUUUUCGGCGUUCAAACCGCCGCGCGGCUACCCCCCUAUCCCGAUGCCCCCGGACCCCGGGUCCCGUGGGACCCGACGGAAACGGAAUCGGAUGCCCGGAUCAUGAGAUACGCCCAAAACCGUCAAAACCUACUGAGCGCACCCCGAACAUGCCCAUUUUUCGGCGUUCAAACCGCCGCGCGGCUACCCCCCCAUCCCGAUGCCCCCGGANNNNNNNNNNNNNNNNNNNNNNNNNNNNNNNNNNNNNNNNNNNNNNNNNNNNNNNNNNNNNNNNNNNNNNNNNNNNNNNNNNNNNNNNNNNNNNNNNNNNNNNNNNNNNNNNNNNNNNNNNNNNNNNNNNNNNNNNNNNNNNNNNNNNNNNNNNNNNNNNNNNNNNNNNNNNNNNNNNNNNNNNNNNNNNNNNNNNNNNNNNNNNNNNNNNNNNNNNNNNNNNNNNNNNNNNNNNNNNNNNNNNNNNNNNNNNNNNNNNNNNNNNNNNNNNNNNNNNNNNNNNNNNNNNNNNNNNNNNNNNNNNNNNNNNNNNNNNNNNNNNNNNNNNNNNNNNNNNNNNNNNNNNNNNNNNNNNNNNNNNNNNNNNNNNNNNNNNNNNNNNNNNNNNNNNNNNNNNNNNNNNNNNNNNNNNNNNNNNNNNNNNNNNNNNNNNNNNNNNNNNNNNNNNNNNNNNNNNNNNNNNNNNNNNNNNNNNNNNNNNNNNNNNNNNNNNNNNNNNNNNNNNNNNNNNNNNNNNNNNNNNNNNNNNNNNNNNNNNNNNNNNNNNNNNNNNNNNNNNNNNNNNNNNNNNNNNNNNNNNNNNNNNNNNNNNNNNNNNNNNNNNNNNNNNNNNNNNNNNNNNNNNNNNNNNNNNNNNNNNNNNNNNNNNNNNNNNNNNNNNNNNNNNNNNNNNNNNNNNNNNNNNNNNNNNNNNNNNNNNNNNNNNNNNNNNNNNNNNNNNNNNNNNNNNNNNNNNNNNNNNNNNNNNNNNNNNNNNNNNNNNNNNNNNNNNNNNNNNNNNNNNNNNNNNNNNNNNNNNNNNNNNNNNNNNNNNNNNNNNNNNNNNNNNNNNNNNNNNNNNNNNNNNNNNNNNNNNNNNNNNNNNNNNNNNNNNNNNNNNNNNNNNNNNNNNNNNNNNNNNNNNNNNNNNNNNNNNNNNNNNNNNNNNNNNNNNNNNNNNNNNNNNNNNNNNNNNNNNNNNNNNNNNNNNNNNNNNNNNNNNNNNNNNNNNNNNNNNNNNNNNNNNNNNNNNNNNNNNNNNNNNNNNNNNNNNNNNNNNNNNNNNNNNNNNNNNNNNNNNNNNNNNNNNNNNNNNNNNNNNNNNNNNNNNNNNNNNNNNNNNNNNNNNNNNNNNNNNNNNNNNNNNNNNNNNNNNNNNNNNNNNNNNNNNNNNNNNNNNNNNNNNNNNNNNNNNNNNNNNNNNNNNNNNNNNNNNNNNNNNNNNNNNNNNNNNNNNNNNNNNNNNNNNNNNNNNNNNNNNNNNNNNNNNNNNNNNNNNNNNNNNNNNNNNNNNNNNNNNNNNNNNNNNNNNNNNNNNNNNNNNNNNNNNNNNNNNNNNNNNNNNNNNNNNNNNNNNNNNNNNNNNNNNNNNNNNNNNNNNNNNNNNNNNNNNNNNNNNNNNNNNNNNNNNNNNNNNNNNNNNNNNNNNNNNNNNNNNNNNNNNNNNNNNNNNNNNNNNNNNNNNNNNNNNNNNNNNNNNNNNNNNNNNNNNNNNNNNNNNNNNNNNNNNNNNNNNNNNNNNNNNNNNNNNNNNNNNNNNNNNNNNNNNNNNNNNNNNNNNNNNNNNNNNNNNNNNNNNNNNNNNNNNNNNNNNNNNNNNNNNNNNNNNNNNNNNNNNNNNNNNNNNNNNNNNNNNNNNNNNNNNNNNNNNNNNNNNNNNNNNNNNNNNNNNNNNNNNNNNNNNNNNNNNNNNNNNNNNNNNNNNNNNNNNNNNNNNNNNNNNNNNNNNNNNNNNNNNNNNNNNNNNNNNNNNNNNNNNNNNNNNNNNNNNNNNNNNNNNNNNNNNNNNNNNNNNNNNNNNNNNNNNNNNNNNNNNNNNNNNNNNNNNNNNNNNNNNNNNNNNNNNNNNNNNNNNNNNNNNNNNNNNNNNNNNNNNNNNNNNNNNNNNNNNNNNNNNNNNNNNNNNNNNNNNNNNNNNNNNNNNNNNNNNNNNNNNNNNNNNNNNNNNNNNNNNNNNNNNNNNNNNNNNNNNNNNNNNNNNNNNNNNNNNNNNNNNNNNNNNNNNNNNNNNNNNNNNNNNNNNNNNNNNNNNNNNNNNNNNNNNNNNNNNNNNNNNNNNNNNNNNNNNNNNNNNNNNNNNNNNNNNNNNNNNNNNNNNNNNNNNNNNNNNNNNNNNNNNNNNNNNNNNNNNNNNNNNNNNNNNNNNNNNNNNNNNNNNNNNNNNNNNNNNNNNNNNNNNNNNNNNNNNNNNNNNNNNNNNNNNNNNNNNNNNNNNNNNNNNNNNNNNNNNNNNNNNNNNNNNNNNNNNNNNNNNNNNNNNNNNNNNNNNNNNNNNNNNNNNNNNNNNNNNNNNNNNNNNNNNNNNNNNNNNNNNNNNNNNNNNNNNNNNNNNNNNNNNNNNNNNNNNNNNNNNNNNNNNNNNNNNNNNNNNNNNNNNNNNNNNNNNNNNNNNNNNNNNNNNNNNNNNNNNNNNNNNNNNNNNNNNNNNNNNNNNNNNNNNNNNNNNNNNNNNNNNNNNNNNNNNNNNNNNNNNNNNNNNNNNNNNNNNNNNNNNNNNNNNNNNNNNNNNNNNNNNNNNNNNNNNNNNNNNNNNNNNNNNNNNNNNNNNNNNNNNNNNNNNNNNNNNNNNNNNNNNNNNNNNNNNNNNNNNNNNNNNNNNNNNNNNNNNNNNNNNNNNNNNNNNNNNNNNNNNNNNNNNNNNNNNNNNNNNNNNNNNNNNNNNNNNNNNNNNNNNNNNNNNNNNNNNNNNNNNNNNNNNNNNNNNNNNNNNNNNNNNNNNNNNNNNNNNNNNNNNNNNNNNNNNNNNNNNNNNNNNNNNNNNNNNNNNNNNNNNNNNNNNNNNNNNNNNNNNNNNNNNNNNNNNNNNNNNNNNNNNNNNNNNNNNNNNNNNNNNNNNNNNNNNNNNNNNNNNNNNNNNNNNNNNNNNNNNNNNNNNNNNNNNNNNNNNNNNNNNNNNNNNNNNNNNNNNNNNNNNNNNNNNNNNNNNNNNNNNNNNNNNNNNNNNNNNNNNNNNNNNNNNNNNNNNNNNNNNNNNNNNNNNNNNNNNNNNNNNNNNNNNNNNNNNNNNNNNNNNNNNNNNNNNNNNNNNNNNNNNNNNNNNNNNNNNNNNNNNNNNNNNNNNNNNNNNNNNNNNNNNNNNNNNNNNNNNNNNNNNNNNNNNNNNNNNNNNNNNNNNNNNNNNNNNNNNNNNNNNNNNNNNNNNNNNNNNNNNNNNNNNNNNNNNNNNNNNNNNNNNNNNNNNNNNNNNNNNNNNNNNNNNNNNNNNNNNNNNNNNNNNNNNNNNNNNNNNNNNNNNNNNNNNNNNNNNNNNNNNNNNNNNNNNNNNNNNNNNNNNNNNNNNNNNNNNNNNNNNNNNNNNNNNNNNNNNNNNNNNNNNNNNNNNNNNNNNNNNNNNNNNNNNNNNNNNNNNNNNNNNNNNNNNNNNNNNNNNNNNNNNNNNNNNNNNNNNNNNNNNNNNNNNNNNNNNNNNNNNNNNNNNNNNNNNNNNNNNNNNNNNNNNNNNNNNNNNNNNNNNNNNNNNNNNNNNNNNNNNNNNNNNNNNNNNNNNNNNNNNNNNNNNNNNNNNNNNNNNNNNNNNNNNNNNNNNNNNNNNNNNNNNNNNNNNNNNNNNNNNNNNNNNNNNNNNNNNNNNNNNNNNNNNNNNNNNNNNNNNNNNNNNNNNNNNNNNNNNNNNNNNNNNNNNNNNNNNNNNNNNNNNNNNNNNNNNNNNNNNNNNNNNNNNNNNNNNNNNNNNNNNNNNNNNNNNNNNNNNNNNNNNNNNNNNNNNNNNNNNNNNNNNNNNNNNNNNNNNNNNNNNNNNNNNNNNNNNNNNNNNNNNNNNNNNNNNNNNNNNNNNNNNNNNNNNNNNNNNNNNNNNNNNNNNNNNNNNNNNNNNNNNNNNNNNNNNNNNNNNNNNNNNNNNNNNNNNNNNNNNNNNNNNNNNNNNNNNNNNNNNNNNNNNNNNNNNNNNNNNNNNNNNNNNNNNNNNNNNNNNNNNNNNNNNNNNNNNNNNNNNNNNNNNNNNNNNNNNNNNNNNNNNNNNNNNNNNNNNNNNNNNNNNNNNNNNNNNNNNNNNNNNNNNNNNNNNNNNNNNNNNNNNNNNNNNNNNNNNNNNNNNNNNNNNNNNNNNNNNNNNNNNNNNNNNNNNNNNNNNNNNNNNNNNNNNNNNNNNNNNNNNNNNNNNNNNNNNNNNNNNNNNNNNNNNNNNNNNNNNNNNNNNNNNNNNNNNNNNNNNNNNNNNNNNNNNNNNNNNNNNNNNNNNNNNNNNNNNNNNNNNNNNNNNNNNNNNNNNNNNNNNNNNNNNNNNNNNNNNNNNNNNNNNNNNNNNNNNNNNNNNNNNNNNNNNNNNNNNNNNNNNNNNNNNNNNNNNNNNNNNNNNNNNNNNNNNNNNNNNNNNNNNNNNNNNNNNNNNNNNNNNNNNNNNNNNNNNNNNNNNNNNNNNNNNNNNNNNNNNNNNNNNNNNNNNNNNNNNNNNNNNNNNNNNNNNNNNNNNNNNNNNNNNNNNNNNNNNNNNNNNNNNNNNNNNNNNNNNNNNNNNNNNNNNNNNNNNNNNNNNNNNNNNNNNNNNNNNNNNNNNNNNNNNNNNNNNNNNNNNNNNNNNNNNNNNNNNNNNNNNNNNNNNNNNNNNNNNNNNNNNNNNNNNNNNNNNNNNNNNNNNNNNNNNNNNNNNNNNNNNNNNNNNNNNNNNNNNNNNNNNNNNNNNNNNNNNNNNNNNNNNNNNNNNNNNNNNNNNNNNNNNNNNNNNNNNNNNNNNNNNNNNNNNNNNNNNNNNNNNNNNNNNNNNNNNNNNNNNNNNNNNNNNNNNNNNNNNNNNNNNNNNNNNNNNNNNNNNNNNNNNNNNNNNNNNNNNNNNNNNNNNNNNNNNNNNNNNNNNNNNNNNNNNNNNNNNNNNNNNNNNNNNNNNNNNNNNNNNNNNNNNNNNNNNNNNNNNNNNNNNNNNNNNNNNNNNNNNNNNNNNNNNNNNNNNNNNNNNNNNNNNNNNNNNNNNNNNNNNNNNNNNNNNNNNNNNNNNNNNNNNNNNNNNNNNNNNNNNNNNNNNNNNNNNNNNNNNNNNNNNNNNNNNNNNNNNNNNNNNNNNNNNNNNNGCCGCCUCCCGAUCCCGCCCCACGGUCCCCCCCGGGGCAUGAACCGCCCCCCGGGGGGCCGAAACCGGCAAAACGGGCCAAACAGCCCCGAUCUUACCCAUUUUUCGGCGUUCAAACCGCCGUGCGGCUACUCCCCCAUCCCGAUGCCCCCGGACCCCUGGUCCCGAGGGAGAUGACGGAAAGGGAAUCGGAUGCCCGGAUCAUGAGAUACGGCCAAAACCGUCAAAACCUACUGAGCGCACCCCGAACAUGCCCAUUUUUCGGCGUUCAAACCGCCGCGCGGCUACCCCCCCAUCCCGAUGCCCCCGGACCCCUGGUCCCGAGGGACCUGACGGAAACGGAAUCGGAUGCCCGGAUCAUGAGAUACGGCCAAAACCGUCAAAACCUACUGAGCGCACCCCGAACAUGCCCAUUUUUCGGCGUUCAAACCGCCGCGCGGCUACCCCCCCAUCCCGAUGCCCCCGGGACCCUGGUCUCGUGGGACCCGACGGAAACGGAAUCGGAGGCCCGGAUCAUGAGUUAUGGCCCCUUCUUUGCGGCCCCCGAGGCCGUGCGCUAUAGCCCCCCGGGCCACCCCCCACCCGGCCGCACCCGCCCGAACCCCACCGAACGCGUCCGCCGCCUCCCGAUCCCGCCCCGCGGUCCCCCCCGGGGCAUGAACCGCCCCCCGGGGGGCCGAAACCGGCCAAACCGGCUAAACCGCCCCGAUCAUGCCCAUUUUUCGGCGUUCAAACCACNNNNNNNNNNNNNNNNNNNNNNNNNNNNNNNNNNNNNNNNNNNNNNNNNNNNNNNNNNNNNNNNNNNNNNNNNNNNNNNNNNNNNNNNNNNNNNNNNNNNNNNNNNNNNNNNNNNNNNNNNNNNNNNNNNNNNNNNNNNNNNNNNNNNNNNNNNNNNNNNNNNNNNNNNNNNNNNNNNNNNNNNNNNNNNNNNNNNNNNNNNNNNNNNNNNNNNNNNNNNNNNNNNNNNNNNNNNNNNNNNNNNNNNNNNNNNNNNNNNNNNNNNNNNNNNNNNNNNNNNNNNNNNNNNNNNNNNNNNNNNNNNNNNNNNNNNNNNNNNNNNNNNNNNNNNNNNNNNNNNNNNNNNNNNNNNNNNNNNNNNNNNNNNNNNNNNNNNNNNNNNNNNNNNNNNNNNNNNNNNNNNNNNNNNNNNNNNNNNNNNNNNNNNNNNNNNNNNNNNNNNNNNNNNNNNNNNNNNNNNNNNNNNNNNNNNNNNNNNNNNNNNNNNNNNNNNNNNNNNNNNNNNNNNNNNNNNNNNNNNNNNNNNNNNNNNNNNNNNNNNNNNNNNNNNNNNNNNNNNNNNNNNNNNNNNNNNNNNNNNNNNNNNNNNNNNNNNNNNNNNNNNNNNNNNNNNNNNNNNNNNNNNNNNNNNNNNNNNNNNNNNNNNNNNNNNNNNNNNNNNNNNNNNNNNNNNNNNNNNNNNNNNNNNNNNNNNNNNNNNNNNNNNNNNNNNNNNNNNNNNNNNNNNNNNNNNNNNNNNNNNNNNNNNNNNNNNNNNNNNNNNNNNNNNNNNNNNNNNNNNNNNNNNNNNNNNNNNNNNNNNNNNNNNNNNNNNNNNNNNNNNNNNNNNNNNNNNNNNNNNNNNNNNNNNNNNNNNNNNNNNNNNNNNNNNNNNNNNNNNNNNNNNNNNNNNNNNNNNNNNNNNNNNNNNNNNNNNNNNNNNNNNNNNNNNNNNNNNNNNNNNNNNNNNNNNNNNNNNNNNNNNNNNNNNNNNNNNNNNNNNNNNNNNNNNNNNNNNNNNNNNNNNNNNNNNNNNNNNNNNNNNNNNNNNNNNNNNNNNNNNNNNNNNNNNNNNNNNNNNNNNNNNNNNNNNNNNNNNNNNNNNNNNNNNNNNNNNNNNNNNNNNNNNNNNNNNNNNNNNNNNNNNNNNNNNNNNNNNNNNNNNNNNNNNNNNNNNNNNNNNNNNNNNNNNNNNNNNNNNNNNNNNNNNNNNNNNNNNNNNNNNNNNNNNNNNNNNNNNNNNNNNNNNNNNNNNNNNNNNNNNNNNNNNNNNNNNNNNNNNNNNNNNNNNNNNNNNNNNNNNNNNNNNNNNNNNNNNNNNNNNNNNNNNNNNNNNNNNNNNNNNNNNNNNNNNNNNNNNNNNNNNNNNNNNNNNNNNNNNNNNNNNNNNNNNNNNNNNNNNNNNNNNNNNNNNNNNNNNNNNNNNNNNNNNNNNNNNNNNNNNNNNNNNNNNNNNNNNNNNNNNNNNNNNNNNNNNNNNNNNNNNNNNNNNNNNNNNNNNNNNNNNNNNNNNNNNNNNNNNNNNNNNNNNNNNNNNNNNNNNNNNNNNNNNNNNNNNNNNNNNNNNNNNNNNNNNNNNNNNNNNNNNNNNNNNNNNNNNNNNNNNNNNNNNNNNNNNNNNNNNNNNNNNNNNNNNNNNNNNNNNNNNNNNNNNNNNNNNNNNNNNNNNNNNNNNNNNNNNNNNNNNNNNNNNNNNNNNNNNNNNNNNNNNNNNNNNNNNNNNNNNNNNNNNNNNNNNNNNNNNNNNNNNNNNNNNNNNNNNNNNNNNNNNNNNNNNNNNNNNNNNNNNNNNNNNNNNNNNNNNNNNNNNNNNNNNNNNNNNNNNNNNNNNNNNNNNNNNNNNNNNNNNNNNNNNNNNNNNNNNNNNNNNNNNNNNNNNNNNNNNNNNNNNNNNNNNNNNNNNNNNNNNNNNNNNNNNNNNNNNNNNNNNNNNNNNNNNNNNNNNNNNNNNNNNNNNNNNNNNNNNNNNNNNNNNNNNNNNNNNNNNNNNNNNNNNNNNNNNNNNNNNNNNNNNNNNNNNNNNNNNNNNNNNNNNNNNNNNNNNNNNNNNNNNNNNNNNNNNNNNNNNNNNNNNNNNNNNNNNNNNNNNNNNNNNNNNNNNNNNNNNNNNNNNNNNNNNNNNNNNNNNNNNNNNNNNNNNNNNNNNNNNNNNNNNNNNNNNNNNNNNNNNNNNNNNNNNNNNNNNNNNNNNNNNNNNNNNNNNNNNNNNNNNNNNNNNNNNNNNNNNNNNNNNNNNNNNNNNNNNNNNNNNNNNNNNNNNNNNNNNNNNNNNNNNNNNNNNNNNNNNNNNNNNNNNNNNNNNNNNNNNNNNNNNNNNNNNNNNNNNNNNNNNNNNNNNNNNNNNNNNNNNNNNNNNNNNNNNNNNNNNNNNNNNNNNNNNNNNNNNNNNNNNNNNNNNNNNNNNNNNNNNNNNNNNNNNNNNNNNNNNNNNNNNNNNNNNNNNNNNNNNNNNNNNNNNNNNNNNNNNNNNNNNNNNNNNNNNNNNNNNNNNNNNNNNNNNNNNNNNNNNNNNNNNNNNNNNNNNNNNNNNNNNNNNNNNNNNNNNNNNNNNNNNNNNNNNNNNNNNNNNNNNNNNNNNNNNNNNNNNNNNNNNNNNNNNNNNNNNNNNNNNNNNNNNNNNNNNNNNNNNNNNNNNNNNNNNNNNNNNNNNNNNNNNNNNNNNNNNNNNNNNNNNNNNNNNNNNNNNNNNNNNNNNNNNNNNNNNNNNNNNNNNNNNNNNNNNNNNNNNNNNNNNNNNNNNNNNNNNNNNNNNNNNNNNNNNNNNNNNNNNNNNNNNNNNNNNNNNNNNNNNNNNNNNNNNNNNNNNNNNNNNNNNNNNNNNNNNNNNNNNNNNNNNNNNNNNNNNNNNNNNNNNNNNNNNNNNNNNNNNNNNNNNNNNNNNNNNNNNNNNNNNNNNNNNNNNNNNNNNNNNNNNNNNNNNNNNNNNNNNNNNNNNNNNNNNNNNNNNNNNNNNNNNNNNNNNNNNNNNNNNNNNNNNNNNNNNNNNNNNNNNNNNNNNNNNNNNNNNNNNNNNNNNNNNNNNNNNNNNNNNNNNNNNNNNNNNNNNNNNNNNNNNNNNNNNNNNNNNNNNNNNNNNNNNNNNNNNNNNNNNNNNNNNNNNNNNNNNNNNNNNNNNNNNNNNNNNNNNNNNNNNNNNNNNNNNNNNNNNNNNNNNNNNNNNNNNNNNNNNNNNNNNNNNNNNNNNNNNNNNNNNNNNNNNNNNNNNNNNNNNNNNNNNNNNNNNNNNNNNNNNNNNNNNNNNNNNNNNNNNNNNNNNNNNNNNNNNNNNNNNNNNNNNNNNNNNNNNNNNNNNNNNNNNNNNNNNNNNNNNNNNNNNNNNNNNNNNNNNNNNNNNNNNNNNNNNNNNNNNNNNNNNNNNNNNNNNNNNNNNNNNNNNNNNNNNNNNNNNNNNNNNNNNNNNNNNNNNNNNNNNNNNNNNNNNNNNNNNNNNNNNNNNNNNNNNNNNNNNNNNNNNNNNNNNNNNNNNNNNNNNNNNNNNNNNNNNNNNNNNNNNNNNNNNNNNNNNNNNNNNNNNNNNNNNNNNNNNNNNNNNNNNNNNNNNNNNNNNNNNNNNNNNNNNNNNNNNNNNNNNNNNNNNNNNNNNNNNNNNNNNNNNNNNNNNNNNNNNNNNNNNNNNNNNNNNNNNNNNNNNNNNNNNNNNNNNNNNNNNNNNNNNNNNNNNNNNNNNNNNNNNNNNNNNNNNNNNNNNNNNNNNNNNNNNNNNNNNNNNNNNNNNNNNNNNNNNNNNNNNNNNNNNNNNNNNNNNNNNNNNNNNNNNNNNNNNNNNNNNNNNNNNNNNNNNNNNNNNNNNNNNNNNNNNNNNNNNNNNNNNNNNNNNNNNNNNNNNNNNNNNNNNNNNNNNNNNNNNNNNNNNNNNNNNNNNNNNNNNNNNNNNNNNNNNNNNNNNNNNNNNNNNNNNNNNNNNNNNNNNNNNNNNNNNNNNNNNNNNNNNNNNNNNNNNNNNNNNNNNNNNNNNNNNNNNNNNNNNNNNNNNNNNNNNNNNNNNNNNNNNNNNNNNNNNNNNNNNNNNNNNNNNNNNNNNNNNNNNNNNNNNNNNNNNNNNNNNNNNNNNNNNNNNNNNNNNNNNNNNNNNNNNNNNNNNNNNNNNNNNNNNNNNNNNNNNNNNNNNNNNNNNNNNNNNNNNNNNNNNNNNNNNNNNNNNNNNNNNNNNNNNNNNNNNNNNNNNNNNNNNNNNNNNNNNNNNNNNNNNNNNNNNNNNNNNNNNNNNNNNNNNNNNNNNNNNNNNNNNNNNNNNNNNNNNNNNNNNNNNNNNNNNNNNNNNNNNNNNNNNNNNNNNNNNNNNNNNNNNNNNNNNNNNNNNNNNNNNNNNNNNNNNNNNNNNNNNNNNNNNNNNNNNNNNNNNNNNNNNNNNNNNNNNNNNNNNNNNNNNNNNNNNNNNNNNNNNNNNNNNNNNNNNNNNNNNNNNNNNNNNNNNNNNNNNNNNNNNNNNNNNNNNNNNNNNNNNNNNNNNNNNNNNNNNNNNNNNNNNNNNNNNNNNNNNNNNNNNNNNNNNNNNNNNNNNNNNNNNNNNNNNNNNNNNNNNNNNNNNNNNNNNNNNNNNNNNNNNNNNNNNNNNNNNNNNNNNNNNNNNNNNNNNNNNNNNNNNNNNNNNNNNNNNNNNNNNNNNNNNNNNNNNNNNNNNNNNNNNNNNNNNNNNNNNNNNNNNNNNNNNNNNNNNNNNNNNNNNNNNNNNNNNNNNNNNNNNNNNNNNNNNNNNNNNNNNNNNNNNNNNNNNNNNNNNNNNNNNNNNNNNNNNNNNNNNNNNNNNNNNNNNNNNNNNNNNNNNNNNNNNNNNNNNNNNNNNNNNNNNNNNNNNNNNNNNNNNNNNNNNNNNNNNNNNNNNNNNNNNNNNNNNNNNNNNNNNNNNNNNNNNNNNNNNNNNNNNNNNNNNNNNNNNNNNNNNNNNNNNNNNNNNNNNNNNNNNNNCAGCCGCCCCGCGGUCCCCCCCGGGGCAUUUCUAAGAGUCGCGGGAACAGCCCUGCCUCAAAAUGCUUCCCCGAAGUCAGGGUGCCUAUAAGCCCUAGUGUCCCCGAGACGGGAUGGCAUAACCUUGGUGGGGGGCGCGGGCGGAGUUGAUAGUUUUCAAAAUACCAAAAAUUGUGCCCGAAGGUCGGGUCGCCAAUAGCUUUUAAGUUGAAGGUAAAAUAUUCAAAAUAUUCAAAUAUUCAAAUAUUCAAAUAUUCUAAUAGAUUUAGCUACAGCUUGAGCCCUUGAUCUGGAGGUCAAAAAAUGCAAAUAAAUUUUCAAGCCCACGGUUGAGAUAGAAUUAAAUGCUCAUUCCAUGGGCACAAAUAAAAUUUAUAUAUAAAUGUAAAUUAUAAAUUAAUUAUAAACAAAUAAUUCAUGAUUGCACAUCGUAAUUGGUUAUUAAGUUGUUGUUUUCUAUGGUCGAAUCAAAAUUAGAACAUCGGUAAAUAAAAGUUAGAUUUAAAAGGUUCAUGGUACAAAAAAUAGUCAAAACAUGAGAGAAACGCAAAAUUAAGGGUCGAAAAAGCCCCCCAAGUUCCUUGGUGGCGAACGCGCGCUGCCUUGCCCUCGAGUGGGCACUGCUUCCCUCGCUUGAGCAUGGGCAGCCUUUUACCACUUCUUCUAAGUUUUCGAACUCCAUUUUCGAUGAUUUUUUGGUAGCCAAAACAUAGUUUCCCAUGUCCGCCAUCCAUGCAAAAAAUCUAAGCCCUUUCACGCGCGAAUAGAGGCUACCUUCGCGGGAAGUUCCCUGAAUAUUUGAAAAGAAGAUACGAAGAUUUAGCUACAGCUUGAACCCUUGACAUGGAGGUCAAAAUCACAAAUGAAGUUUCAAACCCACCACUGAGCCAACCUAAAGUCUAGUAACUAAUGGCACAAAUAUUAUUUAAAUGGAAAAGUAAAAUAUAAAUUAAUAAUGAAACAAAUAAUUAAUGAUCUCACAUCGUAAUUGGAUAUUUAAGUUGUUGUUUUCUGUGGUCGAAUCAAAAUUAAAACGUCUUAUGGUAAAAAAAUAUUAGGUUUAAAAAGUUCGUGGUACGAAAAAUAUGUCAAAACAUGAGAAAAUUGUAAAAUUAAGGGUUCAAAAAGCCCCCCAAGCUCCUUUGGAGCUUGACCACUGCAUUCGUCUCGAAAAGUUAUGCAGUUUAAAAAAAAAAAACACCUCAAUCGGACCUCUGAGCACAAAGUUAUCGCAUUUCAAAAACUUCGACCCUUUCCAAGCCGUGCAUCGGGCGCCAAUGGCACUAAAACGCACCGUUUCUUUUACCUCAUUAUAAAGCGGUCCUUUCCUCACAUAUUUCCGCGCACAUGAAACACAAAUUUUCAACUUCCCCAAAAAAACGUAUUCAUUGUUUCUCUAUUCCCUCGUCUCCCCUCGGGCAACCAGUAGUAGCUGAUGCCUCCUGUGCCUUAUCACGGGCUGUUUGCAUUGCUACAAGGUAUGGUGCUGUCCGUAGACAAUUCGGUUCAGAGAAUGGUGGCCCUCAGACCCAGGUAUUGCUAUAGAACCCAUUCCUUUUUAAUAUUAUUGAAAAAUAGUUUAAUAUUUGGGCAUCUGCCUUUUAUAUGCUUGCGCCAAACAAAAAUUCUGGUGAUUGCCGUGUGUGAUUAGGUUCAUGGUGCCCCGGCACCAUGACACUAAAACGCAACGUUUUUGUCACCUUCUAAAAGAUGAACCUUUCCUCACAUAAUUCCGCACAAAUGAUGCACACUAUUUCAACUUCCCCCCAAACCUUGUUAUCCUCUCCGGUUCCCAUUCAACUCAAAUAGAGGCUACCUUCGCGGGAAGUUCUCUUAAUAUUUGAAAAGAAGAUACGAAGAUUUAGCUACAGCUUGAACCCUUGACAUGGAGGUCAAAAUCACAAAUGAAGUUUCAAACCCACCACUGAGCCAACCUAAAGUCUAGUAACUAAUGGCACAAAUAUUAUUUAAAUGGAAAAGUAAAAUAUAAAUUAAUAAUGAAACAAAUAAUUAAUGAUGAUUUUGAUGAUAACAAACAAAAUUAAGAAUGAUUAGGCUUUUAAAAGUCCAAAUUAUUUUUUAUACAUUUUAAAUAAAUUAUUAUUUUGAUAAUAUAAAGGUUUUAUAUUUAAAGGAAAAGUGAUUUCAUAAAUUGAUUAUUUUCAAGUUAAUGUUUAAAUUGAAAUUUUUUUGAGAACUUUAAAAUCAACAAGUAUUGUUUUGAAAUUCUAGAAAUUAACCUAUUUGAAAUAUUUUAUAAAGUUUUCGGGCGGGUACGACCGGCGGGGGGUGGCCCGGGGGGCUAUAGCGCACGGCCUCGGGGGCCGCAAAGGGGCAGUAACUCAUGAUCUCGGCUGUCGAUUCCGUUUCCACCACCGCAUUCGUCUCGAAAAGUUAUGCAGUUUAAAAAAAAAAAACACCUCAAUCGGACCUCUGAGCACAAAGUUAUCGCAUUUCAAAAACUUCGACCCUUUCCAAGCCGUGCAUUGGGCGCCAAUGGCACUAAAACGCACCGUUUCUUUUACCUCAUUAUAAAGCGGUCCUUUCCUCACAUAUUUCCGCGCACAUGAAACACAAAUUUUCAACUUCCCCCGAAAAACGUAUUCAUUGUUUCUCUAUUUCCUCGUCUCCCCUCGGGCAACCAGUAGUAGCUGAUGCCUCCUGUGCCUUAUCACGGGCUGUUUGCAUUGCUACAAGGUAUGGUGCUGUCCGUAGACAAUUCGGUUCAGAGAAUGGUGGCCCUCAGACCCAGGUAUUGCUAUAGAACCCAUUCCUUUUUAAUAUUAUUGAAAAAUAGUUUAAUAUUUGGGCAUCUGCCUUUUAUAUGCUUGCGCCAAACAAAAAUUCUGGUGAUUGCCGUGUGUGAUUAGGUUCAUGGUGCCCCGGCACCAUGACACUAAAACGCAACGUUUUUGUCACCUUCUAAAAGAUGAACCUUUCCUCACAUAAUUCCGCACAAAUGAUGCACACUAUUUCAACUUCCCCCCAAACCUUGUUAUCCUCUCCGGUUCCCAUUCAACUCCCACCACCUAAUUUCUUAUUCUUUCCCCCAAAAAAUCAUUGUUUUUGUCACCUAAUUUCGUAUUCUAUGUCCUCUGAUCUUUAUACUUCUUCAUUUUGUCUUUGCAGGAACCGGAAUUAUGGGUACAUCACAAAUUCUCUGGGUGUGACUUGUGCUGUGGAGCCUUUUUUUUACAUUUCCAUAUUGCAAGUAUUUUUUUGCUACCAUUGGUAUAUUUGUCUGUUAAAAUCAAACUGCUUUCACUUAUGUUCGUGCGUUCUUGUUCCCUCGCCUUGCAAUUGCAUAUCUCAAAUUAUCUUUCUUACUCUGAUUUAGAUGGCCAAGGUUUUAAGCUAACUUUUUACAAUGCCAAUUUUUAAAUGGUUUUCUAAUGCUGUUCAAAGCUGCAGCCUUUACUUCGUUAAUCUUUUUUUUUUUUGUUUUUUAAAAGAAUUGCAGCCUUUACUUCGUAUAUUUGUCAGGUUCUGACGGGUGCGGUCGGCGGCGGGGGCUAUAGCAUGCGGUCUCGAGAGCCGCAAAGAAAAAUGGGUGGUUUUCCCGGUUUCGGCCAUAACUCGUGAUCGGGGCCUCCGAUUCUGGUUCCGUUUCGUCCCACGGGACCAGCCGGGCGGGGGCAUCGGAUUGCAAAAGUCUUUAAAUUUGAAUUUGAUUUAAGUUUAUAUAGUUUGAACACAAAAACUAGCCAUUACGGACAAAAACAACAAAUAGUCGGCUAGCCUAUUAAUUAGCCAGAUCGCCUCUUAAUACAGUGCAAGUUACCGUUGCAAUUUGAAUUUUGCUGCAGUGAUGCUAUAGUAACACUAUUUUUUAAAAUUUCAUUGUUACCUAAAACUUUUUUAUAAUUUGACUAUGACCCAAAAUGUCAUAAAAUUUUGCAAAUAUAUCAAAUUUCAGAAUUUCUAAAUAAUGCGCGUUAUUCUUAAAACUUUUUGAAAUUAUGCUAUGGCCUAAAACUUUAUAAUAUUUUUCAAAGAGAUUCUUCUCAGAAUUUUAACAUAAUGCUUAUUUAUUUCAAAGUUCCCAAAAUCUUUUUCAGUUUAAUCCAAACUUUGAAAAACACUCAAAUCCUCAAAAUACUCGUCUUAUAAAUAUAAAAUCUUUUUGUUUAUAAAAAGUAAUGAUUUAUUAAAUAAAAUCUUGAGCUUUUUCAAUGCUAAACUAUACAUAUAUCAAAUCAUACUGGCUUUAUAAGAAUUUGUUGCAAUAAUGACUCCGCAGAGCUAAACUUUGCUCUUGAUCAAGCCAUUAUCCGUUGAGUGCCUUGAGCUUGACUUUACUUGAUUCACUUGCAUAAAUAUCAUCCUUCAAGAACUAGUGAUAUUGUGAAAAAUAAUAUUUAUCAUAUCACUUAAGAUACAUAUUUGUUAGCAUUAAAAUUACAAUAUGUGUAGCCCUUUAGGCUAACAGCUACAGCAUCUUCAUUGUUUCAUACUUGUUUUAUUUCCUCUGUAGCCAAGUUCUUUUGUCAUCUCUGCAAGUCUUUGCAGCAGCAUUUCAUCCCUAAUACUUGAGCUUUUUGGUCACCUACAAUAAUGCAUAUAAUCUAAGCACAAAAUGAUCUAAAAUAAAAUAAAUUUAUUAGAAAUAAACUUAAAUGGAUGAUCAUGCAAAAUAUAAUUAAAAUGCAACAAAAAUACAUCAUUUACUCUCUAAGUAAUAUUGAUUUAAGUCUAAAAGUGCAAUGAUAACUUUCAUUUCAUAGAGUUAUCACUCUUCCUUCCCCUAAUUUAUAUUGUACAAAUUUUAUUGUACUCAUAAGAGCACGAAUCUAUUGUAAUAUAGACUUAUGGUGACGAAUGUCGAUCCCAUAAGGAGGUAGAUUUAAUUAUGUGUUGUGUUAAUUUUCUAAGUGUGUAUGUGAAUUGGCUGAAGAUGAUUUUUAAGUAACACUAAGAUUUAAAAUAAAAAUGGCAUGAACAAAUUAAGGAUAAAAAUAAUUCAAAUAAAACACUUGAGUCUCUAGACUCACACUAAAUAUUUCACCAUGGGUUUAGUAUUCCUUUUCUAUUUCAAUGAAUUUAUGAGAGGGUAUCUCCACUCCUCAUAAGCCUCACUCUAAUAAAUAUGGUAUCAAACGCUUAGUGUGCUAGAGGAUAAUGACCUUCCACUAAGUUUGGUGUCAAGUAAAUGUUAUGCGAGACGAUAAUAAUCAUCAUGUCGACAACAUGAUAAGAUCGUUCACUAAAUAACUUAAAUGCAUUUUCUGUCAACACUAAGUUAAGACAACCCACAAAUAUUAGAGGGGAUUCUCUUUCUAAUAAAUAUGGUGUGGAAUACUCAUUGUGUCAGACAGUAACAAUCUUUCACCGAUGAGCCAGUAUACUAUGCAAAAUCUAGACCAGGUACAUUAUCUAUCAACAAUGAGUCAAAAAAACAACAUAAAUCAAAGAGGAAAAAGAAAAUAAACUUACAAGAUUAAGCCCACAAAUCAUGUUAAGACUUCACCUUCAACCGAAACUUAAAAUUAAAUUAGCCACUCAUGAUUGAACAAGGGGUAAAAUGGUAAUUUUAUUAAAAUACAUAAGAAAUACAAGAUGAAAAGAGAAUUAUAGAAAGCAGAGCUCGAAUUUGAAUUCAGAGCUAUCAAAUUACGAGGAAGCUUCCUAUUUAUAAAUGCAAUAAGUAAAUUAUGGCCAUCGGAUAAAAAAGAUUUGGACGCUCAGGAUUACAUCAUGUGGCAAGAUUUAUUUAGUCGAAACACUUCAUCAAGUCCAAUAAAUACGGUCAUAUCAUCAGUCAAUGUCACAUCAUCAGUCAAUGUCACAUCAUGUGUCAACUACAUAUUAGCAUUUUUUGAUCCAAUACGAUGUCACCACAUCAUCUGGUCACGUCUGUUGGUAAAAUGCCACGUCAAUUAAUCAAUGCCACGUCAUCUAUGCCCCACUAAAAUUUUAAAAUUACGAUUUUGCCUUUUAUGAACUUCCUAAGAUUUUUAGUUGUUUUGAGCUUAAAAAUACUAUUUGUUUUGCUGUACGACUUCUCUUUAAUCGUGAAAUGAUCAAAAUACCCCUGAAAUACAUAAAAUACUCAAAUUCUAACAAAAAAACACAUAAUUAAAGUUUAAAGGACUUAAAUACAUAAAGCUAGAAAUGUUAGUAAGGCUUACAGUGCAAAAUGAUGAUUUUACCUUCUAUAAAUAUGCAUUUUCCAACACUCAACAAUUUAUAUUCACAUACUUUUCAUUUAUAAGUAUGUUUCACUAUCAUUGAUAUAUUUUGCUAGAUCUCGUGGUCUCUUCAUGUUAAUAUAUAUGCGUGUGUAAACUAUCAACUCAAAUUUCAACCCCAAAUCUCUUAAACCCGCAUAGGUAGUGCGCCACCUUGCCUUAGCAAAUGGGGUUGUCAUUUACAAUGUUUAUAAAUAAUGAAGGAAAGUGUGUGCUUCGGACAAUCCAAAUUUUGAUAGAAGAGUGGAAUCUUUAAACACACAAAGCCUAAAUGUAGUUUAUAAUAUUUCUUACUGAGUGAAUAGAAAAGUUAAGGGUCAAGGCCUCUGUAAAAAGCAAUGUUGUGUGUAUUCAUUUUUAUUUUAUUAAAGCAAAAAAUCUUUAGGUGCUUAAAGGCACAUAGCCUCUGCUGGUGUUGUCGAGUGGCUGUCCAAGUGAUGCUUACCGCAUUAAAGAGAAAAGGCAUGUGACACCUAUCAUGGUGGUGAUGGCUGAUGGAGAAUCAGGGUUUGAUUCUGAAAAGGAAGCCUGAGAAAUGGCUACUACAUCUAUGAAAUGCAAAUUAUGCAAUCCAAGAGGGGGGUGAAUUAGGAUUUUAAAACUUAUCCUAAGCAAACUGCACAACAAUUCAAUCUAAUACCUUAAUGGAAUUGAAAAAAAUAAAUUUAAUCGAGCACAAUAAUAAAAGAGUAAGGGAAGAGAAAACAAACACAAGGAUUUUUACGUGAUUUGGCAAUCUCCACCUACGUCCACACCUCCAAGCAGACCAAGCUUGAAGAUUUCACUAUCCAAGCCUCCCAAGACUUCAAAUGCUUACAAUUGACUUCCAAAGUGUCAAUGAACCUUUACAACAAAGAGAUUAUCUCUCAAUCUCUUCACACAAGAGUUCCUUACACUUAUACACUCACAAAUUUGAUGAGAAAAAUGAAGAUUACAACGAAAACCCUCUUUUAGAGUGGAUAUACAAAUAAUAGCACAAUGGUGAUUCAAAAUGAUUAUUUGCAAAAUGGAAGCUCAAUAUAUGUUAUAUGAUCUUAUUUAUGCUUGAAUUAGUCUCUAAAAUGAAGUUGGAGUUGGAUUUUUAUAGAUAAAGCCCGAAAACUAGUUGUCAUAAGUAAAUUCCCGCGCCCAAGCAGUUAGCUGCUGAAUUUUGCCAGCUAGCAACUCCAGUACAGUAAAGUUGCCAUUAAAUUUGAAUUUGCUACAGUAACACUUUUCAUAAAAUUACAUUUUUACUCAAAACUUUUUAAUCUAAAUUACUCAAAUUCGCAAAAUACUUUAUCUUAUAAAUAUAAAACCUUUUAGUUUAUGAAAAGUAAUUAUUUAAAUAAACUCUUAAACUUCUCAAAUGCUAAAUCAUACAUCAAUUAAAUCAUACCAGCUUUACAAGAAUUUAUCACAAUAAUUUGUCCGUUGAGCUCUAAACUUUAUCCUUGAUUUCGCCGUUGUUCGUUGAGUGUCUUGAACUUGAUUUCACUUGAUUCACUUGAUUCACUUGCAUAAAUAUUAUCCUUCAAAAACUAGUGAAAAAUGUGAAAUAUAAUAUUUAUUAAAUCACUUAAGACACAUGUCUGUUAUCAUCAAAAUUACAUUAUGUGUAGCCUUUUAGGCUAAUAAUCUAAGGAAAGCAGCAGGCGCGCGAAUUUACAAUCCUCACACGAGGAACUAGUGACAAUAAAUAACAAUACUAGUUGUAUAAGUCAGUAAUUGGAAUGAGUACAAUCUAAAUCCCAGCAUAGUAUUAAAUCACUUAUUAAAGGAAGACUUAUGCUAGCAGCAUAGUAAUUUAAGCUCCAACAGCAUAUAUUUUAAUUGUAGUUAAAAAGCUCGUAGUUGGUCCUUGGAUUGGAUUAUCUGAUCCUCCUCACGGUGUACACUGGCUCACUUGUCCCUUUUGCAUUGAUGCGCUUUUGGCCUUAAUUUAUCGAGUCAUGCCAUCGGCGUUAUUACUUUAAAGAAACUAGAGUGCGCAAAGCAAUGCCUAUGCUCUAUAUAUAUUAGCAGAGGAUAACAUUGUAGGAUUUCGGUCAUAUUCUGUUGGCUUUAGGAAUCUGAGUAAUGAUUAAUAUGGACAAUUAGGCCAUUAGUAUUUCAUAGUAAAUGGUGAAAUUCGUAUAUUUAUAAGGCAAACAACUACAAAAGUGUUUGUUAAAUGAUGUUUUCAUUAAUCAAGAACGAAAAUUGGGCAUCAAGAUGAUCAAAUACCAUCUUAGUCUCAACCAUAAACAAUGCCAACUAAGGAUCAGCGGAUGUUACUUUAAUAACUCCGCUGACAUUUUAUGAUAAAUCAAAGUAUUUGAUUUAUGAGGGAGUAUGGUCAUAGGACUGAAACUUAAAGGAAUUAAAAGAAAGGCACCACUAGGAAUACAGCCUGCGCCUUAAUUUGACUCAACAUGGGAAAACUUACUAGGUCCAGACAUAAUAAGGAUUGACAAGGAAAUCUAACAAGAAAGCAUGGUCUCUCUCUCCACUAGAGCACUCAUCUUCCCCCACUAGAGCGCUCCUCCUCUCCCCUUGCCGUGAGUAGAGGUGCUCGUCUUCCUUUUGGUGGCGAAACAAUAAACCUCAACGUGGACCAUGCCAAGGAAAUCUAAUAUAAUUGUAGCUUUAGCAGCCACGAAGAUAGUGCAUCUCAACAACGAAAAUAUCGACUCUAGCAUUGAUAAAGAAUGUAGGGAAAUGUGAUACUUGGUGUGAAUUGUAGAAUUCCAUGAAUCAUCGAGUAUUUGAACACAAGUUGCGCCCCAAGCCAUUAGGCCAAGGGCACGUCUGCCUAGAUGUCACGCAUCAUUGUCCCACCCCAACCCCCGAACCAAUAUGGGGGCCUACUAGUGUAGGUGAGAAUCGGCGUCCUAUACGCUCCCCACUCGCAGUUGGCCCAAGUUCGAGUCCUCAGUGACCAAAGCUAUGAUGAUCAAUGGUAAAAGAAAAGCCUCUUGAGCUCUCGUCAUGCGCCUGAUCUUCGCGAGGGGACUCUGUGACCCUGACACUUUGCUUAAGCGCUCUUACAUCACAAUCCUAAGUCAGGCAAGAUUAACUGCCAAGUUUAAGCAUACCAAUAAGCGAAGGAAAAGAAACUUAUUAGGAUUUCCUUAGUAACAGCAAGGGAAUCAGGAAAAGCCCAACUUAAAAGUCGGGCAUCCUAACAUUCGAAUUAUAGUAUGGAGAAAUGUCCUCAAUGGCCGACUGGGCCCAAGUCCCCUAGAAAAGAGUGUCCAAGAGAGUGAGAGCCUUGUCGCGCUCAAACCUUAUCACACCAUGAGGCGUUGUUUGCGAGUAGGUUUUUUAUUAUUAUUACGUAAAUUGCUCCUGUAGGUUAUCUUUAGGCAAACUUUCCAUUUUAAUUUACUUCGCUUGUAAAUAUUUUGAUGAAAAAAUCAUUGAAUAAAAUUCAAACUUUUCAUCAUUUUUUUUUUCUCUUCACUUGUAUAUAUAUUGAUGAAAAAGCAUUGACUAAAAUUGAAGGUUUUCAUCACUUCUUUUACCAGUAGCAUAUCAUUUUCAUCACUCAUUUAUCUGUAGCAUAUUCGAUACAACAUAUAAGAGUUUGAGUCCAAUUUAAUUAAUUCAGUGAGAUAUAUCUUCGAUGUGUAUUCGUAAUCUGACGUUACAUAAUCUUAUGUUUAUCUGAAUAUACCCAAAUUGAGGCAUUUAUAUAUUAUAUACUUAGAAAUGUAUAUCAAAAAAGAAAACACAAAACAAAGAAAUUUGAGAUAGUGAUAUGACUGGUAGAGAGAAAUGAACAGUUAUAUUAAACAGCUCAGCUCACGUGAUAUUUCUAAUUAGUAGGACGAUCGCCUUCUCGGCUUCUCCAAUCCUAAUAGGCACAGCUAGUUGGUGGAACUGCUGCAUAUUGUUUGUCCAUGACCUCAAUAAGUUUGUUGGCUAUAGAACCAGCAUAAACAGAAGAGCCUUCAUAAAUCUGCAAAAUUAUUAGAAAUAUAAAUAUAUAAAUUUAAAACCCACGCCAUAAAAUUAUUGUAUGAGGCUAAAUUGAUUAAUUUUAUGCAGUGUAGAUAAAAUGAAAAGGACUUACUUUGGUGUUGAAGAGAAAGCUAUAGUAAUCGCCGAUGUGGCCACCAGCAACAUGGUGGAGAUCCAGCUGAAGCUCGUCAAGAACCCUGGAAACAAACAACAAACAAUCGAUCUUCUUUCGCUGAACGAGUUUGAUAGUGACUUCAUCGUCAAUGAUGCGAACAUCAACCUCAGUAUCCUUCGAUUUUCUCUGAAGCCAAGAGCUUCUUAAAGAUGAAUUGUAAGACUGAUCUGCAGGGUCAACAAGUGGCUUCAUACCCUCAUCGUCGUCUUCUGUCCUGUGCCUCUUUCUCCUCUCACGAACACACCUCUUUUUCUCCACGAGCAAUUUGAGCUCAUUGACUGUUCUGAGAAGUUCUUUGAUGUACUCGAUAGCAUCUCCCACAACUGAUGCUCUAUCAUUCUUUCGUUGUUGUUGUAGCAUAAACAAAAUAAAUAAUUCAGGGAUCCGGGGCGGUCAGAGAAUCAAAGAUUAGGAAUCAAGGGACUUACAUGAUACAUACCUUGGUCGGAUUAGGAACCAAAUCCUUCAAGGCCUUGAACUUACCAUUCAACUGUUCUCUCCUUUGGCGCUCGGUAGCGAAGUGUUUAGUGGGCUUGCCUGCGGUUUCCCUUCUCCUUCCAAUACAGCCCAGGUCCCUAGAGAACUCCAGGACCCUAUUAUCUAAGUGGACUCCAACAUCACCGUCUUCGUAAAAGGCUCCAGUAGCAUCCCUUUCAUCUCCAAUUUCUCCAAACAAAGAAUUAGCAGCAGCUCUUGAGGCGGAGGCGGGAAAGCUGUAGCCAUGGGGUAUAGAUUGGAAUAAUUCUCUGAACAAAGGAGGCUGUGGUUGCGGGGGCAAGUUGAGAUGAAACAGUGGAUCAUACAAAACAUCUGUGGACGUUGGUGGAGGGACAGGGAAGUGGUGAUCUGGGUUAGUGAAGGAAAUGGAAGAAUUUGGUGGGAGCAUGGAGGAGGUUGUGCAUCUGGGAAAUUGUAGGAGAUUGAGAAGGGGUGGCGUUUGGGAUUGGGCAAAUGAAGAGGAAAUAUCGGUGUUAAUGAAGCUUUGUUGGGAUUGGUCAUUUUCAUUCUGAUCGAACCCCCCCAUGUGAUCAGCACUGACGACACCCGAAUCCCAGUUGGAGUGAGAGUGUUCAUAUGGCGGAAGUAUCUGAUGAUUCUGAUUGGCCGGAUCGUGAAUCGAAUGGGUAUUACUGUUGAUGCUAAUGCUUUGUGUAUGAGUGUCUUCCACGUUGAAGGCCAGAUGCUUUUGAAGUUCGAGUUCGAUGGCAGAAACAGCAGCAUCAUCUUCUUUGUGAUGUUUCACAGAUUGAGAAAUACCAUCAUCUCCACCUUCAGCCAUGGAGUUGGGAUCAAAGCAACCUGUCUCCUCAUACAUUUUUGGAUGGUUAUCUGGUGGUUGUCGUCUGUCUGUCUGCAUAUAUCAGUUUACACUUAGCACAAACAAAAACUAAAUAAAACAAGUACCGGUAGCAAAAGAAGUAUAAAUUAAAAAAAAAAUUACUAGAAAAUUAAUUUAUGGUUUUUUAUAUGUGUGUAUAUGUAUAUAUAGACCUUGGAGCUUGAGCACUUUGUACCUGCAGCAAAAAGAAACAAUGAAUGAAAAUCAACGAAGGAUGGAUUUUGUUUAAGAGCGAGAGGAGUCUAGAAUUUUGCAGAUAAAAAAAAUUAAUAAAAAAGAUGGGAUCAGGGAGAAGUAGAAGAGUUUGAGAGCGACUUCCCCUCUGCCUCUCUCUUUCUCUCUCUCUCUCUCUCAUUCUUAUUACUGUUCUGCAGAGUUUGUUACUGAGAUUCCCACUUUGGGGCCCACUCACAACAUCCGUAUUCUCUGUUUCAGUCCGCGUGACUCCAGCUCUGGCUCUUUCUCUCUUCCUUACGUAUUUCCGGGUCUUUUCCUUGCAUUCACUUACAACAAGAAACAACCACCAGCGUUUGGUGCACCACCUGCAUUUUGGUCCUUACGCAUUGAGUAGGUAUGCCGCUUCUUUCUUGAAAAAAUAUACUGUUAUGUUCUUAAUGUACAAAAAUCAAUCACAGGCCAAAAAAAACGAUGGUAAAUUAUCAUCCAAACUAAAAGAAAUGGUAAAUUAUCAUCCAAACGAAAAAAAAAAAUUGUGAAAUAUCCUUUUUCGGCAUCUUCUUGUAUUUUGACACUUUCAUUGUUAUAGUUACUCAUAGGGUUAUUUCCACCCUGCCUUAAAAUGUUUUGAAAUUUUCCACUGUACACCCAAAUGUUUCAACAAUUUCUAAUUCGCUUUCAUCUUCGUUAAUUGGAUAGAAUAUCAAAAAUGUCUUGAAUUAAUUGAUAUUUAUAUUAAAAAUUAUUAAUUAAGAUAAUUAAACAAUAAUCUCAUCAAUUAGCUUCUCAAAUAAAUUUAAUUUAUCAUCGUCAAAUAAUAUUUAGGACAUAAAUUUUUAAAUUUAUCUUUUAACCGUUAUAAUAAAUAGUCAAAUUAAUGAAUUUAAGUGCAUGGCAAAAAUUAUCGAAAUAUUUAGGGACACGGUAAAAAAUAUCAAAAUACCUUGAAACAUGGCAGAAUUAUCCCUUACUGUUAUUAAAUUUCAUCUUUCUUCGUCCAAAAGAUAAAAAGAAAAAGAAAAAGUCAUUAAUCAUUAAAAAAAAAAAAAACAGUGGCAUAGUUGUAAUUGAGAGAAUUCACGCAAUUUGUGCCUAAGAUUUUGUGGUUCUAUUCUGUAACGAGUAAAGAGAGUGAGUUAGUUUUGGUUGCAACUGUUAAUUAAUUAAUCUUUCUUUAUACUUUGACAAUUGACAGUUUGGGGUGUGGACCCCACUGAUCCUUCACACCAGACGCCCGCUCAAACUAACUAUUAUUAUUAUUACAACGGUUUAGCCUUCAACGACCACAUCACGUCAACACGUCCAGGAUACUUUUGGUUUUGUGAAUGGGAUUGGUUCUCCGCAAUCCAGCGCCAGUCUCAAGACUCUCAGGUAUCAAAUAAUUUGGUCGUAGCUUAAGGAAAAGUUUGUGCGCUGCCUACUGCCCGCUUAAUCGACGAGUCAAUUAGGAAACCUGAUCUUUAUUUAAUAAUUUUAACAAAAAUAAUAUAAAUAUUAUGAUUUUUAAAUUUUUAAAUUUAUCUUUUAACCGUUAUAAUAAAUAGUCAAAUUAAUGAAUUUAAGUGCAUGGCAAAAAUUAUCGAAAUAUUUAGGGACACGGUAAAAAAUAUCAAAAUACCUUGAAACAUGGCAGAAUUAUCCCUUACUGUUAUUAAAUUUCAUCUUUCUUCGUCCAAAAGAUAAAAAGAAAAAGAAAAAGUCAUUAAUCAUUAAAAAAAAAAAAAACAGUGGCAUAGUUGUAAUUGAGAGAAUUCACGCAAUUUGUGCCUAAGAUUUUGUGGUUCUAUUCUGUAACGAGUAAAGAGAGUGAGUUAGUUUUGGUUGCAACUGUUAAUUAAUUAAUCUUUCUUUAUACUUUGACAAUUGACAGUUUGGGGUGUGGACCCCACUGAUCCUUCACACCAGACGCCCGCUCAAACUAACUAUUAUUAUUAUUACAACGGUUUAGCCUUCAACGACCACAUCACGUCAACACGUCCAGGAUACUUUUGGUUUUGUGAAUGGGAUUGGUUCUCCGCAAUCCAGCGCCAGUCUCAAGACUCUCAGGUAUCAAAUAAUUUGGUCGUAGCUUAAGGAAAAGUUUGUGCGCUGCCUACUGCCCGCUUAAUCGACGAGUCAAUUAGGAAACCUGAUCUUUAUUUAAUAAUUUUAACAAAAAUAAUAUAAAUAUUAUGAUUUUUUUAUCAUAUAAGUAGUAAAUUAAUUUAAUUUAAUUUUUAAAUUAUAAUAUUUAGUGUUAGUAAAUACUUUAGUAUAGUAACUUAAAAAUUACAACUUUCUAAUCUUAAUAUCAAAUAAAACUUAAGAACCAAACUUUUACAAUUGACAAGUUUGUACAUACAAGUUAUUUGAACGUCUCUCCUCUCUGUUCAGACAGAUGAAUCAUAGAUGUUGAAACUUAAACGACAGCUGCUUAAUUUUCAGUAGCAAAUUAUUCUACUAAAGGAACUGUCUAACAAAUUUUGAAAAACCAUAAGGACAUAACCAAUCAUUACAUGACAGACGAAGACAAAUAGAUCGAGAAAUGACAAUAAGUGAAAGAUUGUUUUCACUUAUUAGUCCAAGGAUGUGAAACCACCAUUACAAAAUCUUUUACCGUCCACAUUUGAUGAACCAUUUCCAUAGAAGCAAUUUCCUCACCUUAUAUGUACCGCUACAAAGUUUCAAAAUUAAUGCAGGCGUGCGUGUGUAUAUAUAGGAAAACUUCGUUGCCAAAAUAUUCCUUAAAAAAAAAUCAUUACCAAAUUAAUAUGUUUCUCUCUCGUUUUUUUUUUUUUUGGGUCUAAAGUUUUGAAUGUUAUUAGAAUUUUACAUAAUAAACAUUGGCAUAAAGCUUUAAAAAGGGUUUUGCACAGAGGCUUUGCAUCAUAAUUAAAAUUUAAAAGAAUCUGCUGCUGACCAUAAGGUACUACAUAAUAAAAUCAGAAAAAAAAAAUCUCUCUUUUUCUCUGCAGUCCGUACUCUUGCCUGGCCAUUUUAAUCCACUGGCUUUAAGGCUCAAAGUAUGCCUGGAGACUUUAAUUGAAAAGUAAAUUAAGAAUCAGAAGCAUGAUGACCUAGUGGAAACCAAGAUUCAAGCACACAAGAUGACAAGAAGACGCAAGAAUGUUCAAGUCCUACUACAACUUCAGCCGAGAAAAGUGUAAAUGCCUCAUUGUUUCUACUUAGUUGUUUGUAAAUUCGGUUCAAGGGGAAAAAAAUUGUUUGUACCGGAAAUAUUCGGCCAGAUUCAUCACUCCUAUCUUGCUCUGGAUAUUUUGUGCUUCCUUAAGGCAUUUUACAGUUCAAUCUUCUUCAAACAGAAGAAUUAAAAAUUUUGUUGAAGGGCAGCCUCAAUUCUUGCAGAAGAACACAGAUAAAUCUAUGACUUUAUAAUCAAUUCUGUAAAUAGCUGACGCAUGAAAGCCUAGUUGGUCAGAUCAAGUUUGGUGUCUUUGAUCAUUUAUUGGCACCAUCAUGUCGAAAUCUAUUUCAGAAGGAACUUUCAAAUCAUUUGCAUCUUGUAGUCAAGGACUGCCUUCUUGCAAUGCUCAAGAUUCUGGAAAUCUAGCUAAAACCCUUUUGAUUUUGUCAUUACCACCAGUCACCAGAGACUUUUAUGCAGUUAGAGCUGUUGGCAAGGUAUCUCCUCACAAUCUUCCAACUACCAUGUGAGGUGUUGAAGACUAGUUGUCAUUAUAUAACACAAACUAAGUACAUAAAAAAUUAUCUUGAAAGCUUGCUUUUCAUUUCAGUUUCCCGGUAACAGCUGCAGUAAUUCUAGCAUGAAAAUCAAAGACUUUCAUUUACAGAAAUUCACUAUUACAAGCAUUUCAAUGGAACAUAUGUAGAAAGUAUCACCAGUAAAACAACACUUAUGAGAGAUGCACUUGUGAUAACACUUCAAAGUGGAUUCAUUGACGACUAAUUGAAAACUUUGUAUUGACAAGAACAAGAUAUGUGAUUGACUAAAAUUCUCUCACUUGGUUCAAAACACACUGAAGUUCCCCAAAGUUCUUGAUAUCAAACCCAGUGAAUGGAGAUCAACAGAGCAAAAUUGAAAACAUUUCUUGAUCUCCAUUUAUAGAAUGUAUCCAUGAUUCUUUGACUGAUGCAUUAUUUCAUCCAGCAGCUUGUAUAUCUCUAAAGUUUUUGGGUGUGAUUUGUCUCCCUUUCUGAAUUCAUAAAACUCACCAUAAACUUCGACUAAACUACAACCAGGAGUCUUCUUCACCUUCCUUUCUUUCAUUUUCUUUCUCAACUUCAAUGCUUCCUUCCAUCUGUUUUUAGAGGAAUAAAUGUUGGUCAUGAGUAUAUAUGCACCAUCUCCCUCAGGUUCAAACCUCACCAAAUUUUCCAUAACAAUUUCUGCAAGCUCAACUUUUGCAUGAAUUUUACAUGCUCCCAGCAAUGCCCCCCAAACAAAGGCAUCAGGCACAAGUGGCAUACUUUUUAUGAGAUCAAGUGCCUCCCUUAUUAGUCCAGCACGACCAAAGAGGUCAACCAUACAACCAUAGUGCUCAGUUUGAGGUUGUAGGUUGUAGACCCUUGACAUGUCCAAAAAAUGUUUACAGCCUUCCUCUACUAACCCUGCAUGACUACAAGCAGAGAGGACACCGACAAAUGUUACUUCAUCUGGUUCUAUUCCGACUUGAGACAUCUCAGAGAAUAUAUCCAAAGCUUUCCAAGCUUUCCCAUGAAUAGCUAAGCCAACGAUCAUGGCAGUAUAUGAAUAGACAUCUCUGCAUUUCAUACUUCGAAACACCCCAAAGGCCUGAUCUAUCCUUCCACAUUUAGCAUACAUAUCGACAAGUGCAUUUCCUAUAAAACCAUCAGUGUUGAUAUGAUUUUUAUCCAAGUAUGUAUGAACCCACUUGCCCAACUCAAGCCACCCUAUAUUAGCACAAGAAUUCAGAACACAGACUAAUGUAAAGUCAUCGGGCUUAAGACCUAAACCUUGCAUUCUCCGGAAUAUGUCCAAUGCUUCCUUGAAUUGGCCCCGAUGAGUCAGGCCCGCUAUCAUGGAGUUCCAAGAAACCACAUUUUUAACAGGCAUCUCAUCAAAUACCUUACGAGCAGAAGGUAUGUUACCACAUUUCAAGUACAUAUCGAUCAAUGCAUUGUGGAUGAAGACAUCUGGACUGAGAUUGAAAUGAUUAUCAGUGAUAUACCUAUGAAUCUUAAUACCCAAACUCAAAUCUCCCAAUUUGGAGCAAGCAGAGAGCACAAUUACGAGGAUCAUCCCAUCGGGUCUUAGAUUGGCUUGGCACAUGUCGAAGAAAGAAAGAAUGGCCUCGGUAGGAUAGUCCAUCUUAACGUAAGCUUGAAUUAGGGUGGUCCAGGAGACCAAAUCCCGUUGAGCUUGAGGGUGUUGACGGAAGUGGAACAACUUGUGAACAGCUUUGAUGAGCCCACAAACAGCAUAUAGUCUCAUCAAAGUGUUGAAAACAUACACAUUAGAUAGCAAAGCCGUCUUCAUGGAAUAGGCGUGAACCUGCUGGCCUACUCUGAGCGACUGAGACUGCCAACAAGCCUUAAGAACAUAAGGUAGGGUGUAAGUGUUGGGAAGAAGGCCUUUUAUCAGCAUCUCUCUAUAUAGAGCAAUUGCUUCCAAGGGGUUGGCAUUCGAAAGACAUUGGAUGAUGAAAUUAUACAAGUAAACUUGUGGAUUUUGCAAGCUGAGGUUUUCAAUUUCAUUGCCUCGCGAGAGCGAGAUGAUUUUAUCAUACAAUAUUUGAGUUUGGUGUUGGGGAGACCCUGUUUUGAUGAUGAAUGCAUGAAAUUGUUUCAGCUGUCCAACAGAUUUUGAUGAUUCUAGUCUCGGACUCUGAUGAAGAAGAGAUAAUUGCUGGAAAGUAUUAAUGUCAUUGUACCUACUCCCACUCGCAACGGUGAGAGGGCUUGCCAUUUUCUCCUCCUUUCUAAAAAUUCAUAAGAUCUGAAAAAAAAAAUUGUAAUCAAUCUACUUGCAGCGUCGGGUUUUUUUUUUUUUUUAAUUAUUAGUGUACCACCACUAUUGAACCUUAUAUUUAUUUAACUAUUAUAAAAUUUUAAUAUAUUUUCUAUUUUAUUUUUUUAAUUCAUUNNNNNNNNNNNNNNNNNNNNNNNNNNNNNNNNNNNNNNNNNNNNNNNNNNNNNNNNNNNNNNNNNNNNNNNNNNNNNNNNNNNNNNNNNNNNNNNNNNNNNNNNNNNNNNNNNNNNNNNNNNNNNNNNNNNNNNNNNNNNNNNNNNNNNNNNNNNNNNNNNNNNNNNNNNNNNNNNNNNNNNNNNNNNNNNNNNNNNNNNNNNNNNNNNNNNNNNNNNNNNNNNNNNNNNNNNNNNNNNNNNNNNNNNNNNNNNNNNNNNNNNNNNNNNNNNNNNNNNNNNNNNNNNNNNNNNNNNNNNNNNNNNNNNNNNNNNNNNNNNNNNNNNNNNNNNNNNNNNNNNNNNNNNNNNNNNNNNNNNNNNNNNNNNNNNNNNNNNNNNNNNNNNNNNNNNNNNNNNNNNNNNNNNNNNNNNNNNNNNNNNNNNNNNNNNNNNNNNNNNNNNNNNNNNNNNNNNNNNNNNNNNNNNNNNNNNNNNNNNNNNNNNNNNNNNNNNNNNNNNNNNNNNNNNNNNNNNNNNNNNNNNNNNNNNNNNNNNNNNNNNNNNNNNNNNNNNNNNNNNNNNNNNNNNNNNNNNNNNNNNNNNNNNNNNNNNNNNNNNNNNNNNNNNNNNNNNNNNNNNNNNNNNNNNNNNNNNNNNNNNNNNNNNNNNNNNNNNNNNNNNNNNNNNNNNNNNNNNNNNNNNNNNNNNNNNNNNNNNNNNNNNNNNNNNNNNNNNNNNNNNNNNNNNNNNNNNNNNNNNNNNNNNNNNNNNNNNNNNNNNNNNNNNNNNNNNNNNNNNNNNNNNAAAAAAGAAAUUAUUUCAACUGCUGUACCGUACAUCCGCCUUGGCCGUACAGCAGUAAUUUUGUAAAAUUUUAUUAAAAUAACUGAAUUUAUUUAUUAAAAAUCCGAAAAUUUUAAUAAUCUAGGGGAUUUUUAUUAAAUCCCAAAAUUUUGCGAUUAUUUUUAUAAUUAUAAUUUUUUAUUUUUUAAAAUUUUUAUAAAAUAAAAUGAUCUUUUAAUUUAUUUAAGAAUAAAAUUAAUAUUUUAUUUAAAUUAUUUAACGAUAUUAGUAUAAAAAUGACUAAUUGAUAUAAAUUUUAAAAAAAAGAUAGUGUUAAUGUAGAGAAUAUAUUAUAAUUUUAUAAUAAUUGGAUAAAAAUAAGAUAAAAUAAUUUUAUUUUUUUUUAGAAAAAGAAUCUACUUACUUCGACGUUACAAACAAACAAACAAACAGACUGCUGACUAAGUUUCACUUUCACCGGAGAACGCUUAAUUUACACAUUUAUCCCUUGAUUAAAAUUGACCAUUGCGCUGCCCUAACCAUACGGGCAACACCGAUGACAUAUUAAAAUGUAUUCUCCUUUACCCUUUCAUACAAUUUUGUAUUUUCAAUCAAAUUAAUUACUGCUAAUUAGAAAAUAAAUAAAUCGAAUUGUAAUUAAAAAAUUAAAAUCGAGGCUUGUUAGGGUUUUAGGUUGCGGUUCCGAAUUCACUAAUGUUGCUUGUGUUAGAUAAAAUAAAUAUAAAAAAUAAUGUAAACUCUUUUAUCUGUAUUUAUUAGAUUAAAAUACGAAAAACUAAUAUACAGAAGCGAGAGACGAUGAAUCAAAGGAAGGAACUCCAAAGAGGCAGCCUAGCCUAGUAAUAUUGGAGGAGUAGUCGACCAAGGCUGUAAAGAGUGUAACGGCCUAAAAGAAUUAAAAAGAGGGAAGAGAGAGAGUGACCUUCUUCUUCGCUGGGUCGCAAUCGCAAACAACAUCCAGACGUGCUGAAUUCAAUUGAGGAAGAAUAAAAAUGACGGAAUUCAUGGACCUAGAGGCGCAAGACGGGGUGAGGAUGCCGUGGAACGUGAUUCCAGGGACGAAGCAAGAAGCAAGCAACUGCGUGGUGCCAGUCUCAGCCAUCUACACUCCAAUCAAGGCAUUCCCUGUUAACAACAAUAGCAUGCCUAUUCUGCCAUAUGCUCCCCUUCGGUGUCGAACAUGCCGCUCAAUCCUCAAUCCAUUCUCCAUAGUUGAUUUUGCCGCCAAGAUCUGGAUCUGUCCCUUCUGUUUCCAACGUAAUCACUUCCCCCCUCACUACGCCUCCAUCACCGAUGAUAAUCUUCCAGCUGAGCUCUUCCCUCAGUACACUACCAUCGAGUACGAGCCUCCCGGUCCCGGUGAGAAAUCUUCAGUCCCUCCGGUUUUCAUGUUUGUUGUUGACACUUGCAUCAUCGAAGAGGAGAUGUCCUUUCUUAAGUCCGCUCUUUCUCAGGCCAUCGAUCUUUUGCCUGACAAUUCUCUCGUCGGUCUUAUCACUUUUGGUACUCUAGUUCAAGUUCAUGAAUUAGGAGGGUUUGGCCAGAUCAUCCCAAAGACCUAUGUCUUCAAGGGUUCUAAGGACGUUUCAAAGGACCAGCUUCUCGAGCAGUUGAAUUUCUUUAUCAAGAAGCCCAAGCCCUCUACGGGUGUCAUUGCUGGUGUUAGAGAUGGCCUGUCUUCUGAUACCAUUGCACGCUUCCUUGUGCCUGCCUUUGAUUGUGAAUUCACUCUCAAUUCUGUCCUUGAGGAGCUUCAGAAAGAUCCUUGGCCUGUUCCACCUGAUCAGCGCUCUACCAGAUGCACUGGCACCGCCUUAAGCAUUGCUGCCAGUUUAUUAGGUGCUUGCGUUCCUGGUUCUGGUGCUAGAAUCUUGGCUUUUGUUGGUGGUCCCUCCACCGAGGGUCCUGCUGCGGUAAACCUGCAAGCAUUUGUUUAUAAUUCUUAUUCUUUUAAAUAAAAUCAUUUUCACCAUUAAGCAUAGCCCACCAACAACUUCAUUUCAUAUUUCUUGCUUCUUCUUUUUAACAUAUAUAGAUUGUGUCCAAGAACCUAUCCGAGCCAAUUCGUUCACACAAGGAUCUCGAUAAAGAUUCUGCUCCUCAUUAUCAUAAAGCUGUCAAAUUCUAUGAUGCACUCUCAAAGCAGCUUGUACAUCAGGGACACGUUCUUGAUCUCUUUGCUUGUGCCCUUGACCAGGUACAUUUAAAAAUCUUAGCGCUCCUUUCAUGUGUUCCAAGCUAAUUUCUAAUUGUUUCUCUUUUCUCUCUAGGUAGGGGUUGCUGAACUCAAAGUUGCAGUUGAGAAAACUGGAGGGCUUGUUGUGCUUUCUGAUAGUUUUGGCCAUGCAGUAUUCAAGGAUUCCGUUAGGCGUGUUUUCCACUCUGGUGACUAUGAUCUUGGACUAUCAUCAAAGUACGGCUUCAUGAAUUUCGUCUUAUACUUCUUUUUGUCUAGAAUUGCAGACUAUCCCUUGCCUGUUUUAACUAUUAUUACUCCACUUUACAAAAAAUAUUUAUUGCUUGCCAAGUUGAUAUAUGCUUACAUGCAUGGAGCUGACUCUCUGUUUCAACAAGAUCUUUCGCUGUCCGAACAUUAUUGAAUUUAGAAUUACUGGAACAGGGUAUCUAUCUUAGUCUCUUUCUUUUGGCAUGCAGUGGUAUAUUUGAGAUUAACUGCUCCAAGGAUAUCAAAGUUCAGGGUAUUAUUGGCCCCUGUGCAUCUCUGGAAAAGGUACAAUAGAAAUUAUUUACAAAGUUCCUCUAGUCUGGGUGGCUGCAUUUGUAAUGUCUAAUUGUUAGCUAUUUGGUGCAGAAAGGUCCUUUGUGCUCUGAUGCUGUUGUUGGUCAGGGUAAUACCAGUGCAUGGAAGAUGUGUGGCCUUGAUAAAGCUACAUCUUUGUGUUUAGUUUUCGAAAUUGUAAAGAAAGAAAUCCCUGAUGCUACUUUACAAUCUACAAACAAUCAAUUUUACUUCCAAUUUUUGACUUAGUACGAACUUCACCUUCCUGAUUAUACUUUUCUUUCCAUUGUGCUUGACAAAGAUGAAACAUUUGACUUCUUAUUGUUAUUUUGCUACAGUUACCAACAUAACUGUGGCCAAAUGAGACUUCGUGUCACAACUCUUUCAAGAAGAUGGGUUGCUGGACCAGGAAGCGUACAGGCAAGCUCUUUUGACCUCUUGUCCCUUGUUUUUUUUUUUUUUAACUUUGUCUUUUGGGCCGCUCUUCAUGAAUAAGUUACUGAUUCCUUAUCUUAAGCUAUGAAAAAUCAUAUAAAAGAGUGAGUGAUGUUAACUUUAUCCUGACACUCUCUGUAUGGUGCUCAAGUACUCAACUUCUGUGAAACUUGAACACCAAGUAUAUAAUAGGGUCACAGGAUCUGUUUAGGAAUCAAAGUAAAGAGGAAUGCUGGGCAUCACUACUUGGAAUAUUAGGCAUUGCAUCACCUUACAAGUGGAUGCAUUUUAUGCGCAGAAUUGCAUACUAGUAGCUGAAAAUGCUUGACACACUGGUUUUCAGUAUUUCCAAUUUUUAGAUGGCUUCCUAAGAAAAAAGCUGCAAUAGCAAAGAAUUUUAGAUUAAUGAAUUUGCUUGUAUUUCCUUUAGCUCUCUAUGUUGUUGUUACACUUCCCUGUGUAUGUCGAAUGAAUCAUGCUAGUUCAGUGAGACAAGAAUGUUUGGGAGAAAAGUUGAAUGAAAGCUCCGUAUCACAUAUGGUCCGAUGUAUGAGAUUGUGUCUAUCUAUUCUGUUCUAGAAAGAAUAUAUCAUCAACUGUUUCUCAGUGUGUCAGGGAUUAUUGACUUGACAAUUUCUUGUUCUGGAAAAUGUGAAUUUCCAUUUUCUCUUCUUUCAGGUAGUUGAGGAUUUUUUCUUUUUUCCUCAUUAGUAUCAUUUUAUUAUUCCUGCUUUUCCUGUACUGCUAUAUUUUUAGUCAAGAGAAAUUUGAUAGAAUUUUUUGAAAUCACAUUAUGAAACUACUUUUAAAUACUCUAGGACUUGAUUGCUGGAUUUGACCAAGAAGCAGCUGCUGUGGUAAUGGCACGCUUAGUUUCUUUCAAAAUGGAAAUUGAGGUAAUCUUUAUAACUUUGACACUUAAUAUUUCAUUCCAACAUAACUAACUGGAAUUGCUCUUAAAUUUUUCUUUUAAAGAGUGGCAUUUUACCUUAUAUCCUUGCUUAUGAUUGGAACAUGUUUCACAAAUAAUUUUCAUGCCUUAGUUUGAAUAUAGUUACUUUUGCACUUGCUCUUCACACCGAAUAGUUAUCUGUUCCAUGUUUUUGGUAUGGAAAAUGCCCAUUGCAAAGUUUACUGUAAGCUAUACUAAAAAUACUGGCUAAAAUGGAGUGCCUUUAUUAGAUAGGCUUUACAACAUGAAUAUUAAAAGCCCGAUGUUCUAAAUAUGUGUUGGUAAUUUUGUCAGAAUACCCUUGUAACGCUUUAAAUCUCUGAGAUGAAUUUGAUACUAAAAUUAUUGUACGUUGGAAUAGCUCAUUUUAGAGAUAAUCUCAGUUAUUAAAGGCAUCAGUUAAUGGUUUACAUGUAGUGUUAUAAUAUAUAUAGUCCUAGAUCAAUGACAGAUUCUAUUUUAAACACUUUAUGGAAUAUAUUAAUUUCUCUUUCUUUCAAUUUCUGACUGUUGUGCAUCUGGUCAUUGUGCCAAUAAUGACAUGAUGCAAUUGUGAUGAAGGCCGAGUUUGACCCUAUAAGAUGGCUGGAUAAAGCAUUGAUACAUAUGUGUUCUCGGUUUGGAGAUUACCAGAAGGACAGCCCGUCUUCUUUCAGCUUAUCUCCUCGUUUUUCAAUAUUUCCUCAGUUUAUGUUUCAUUUACGGCGUUCGCAGUUUGUUCAGGUACUUUUUCUUCUUUCUCGAAUAAUCACACUUGCUUUUUUGGCUUCUAAUGAUCUUUAAGUUCUAUAAUUAUUUUGCUACUCAUGCACUUAGAUUUUAUUGUGCUUUAAUUCUUUUGAUUAUUUUGUUACAGGUCUUUAAUAACAGCCCGGAUGAGACAGCGUAUUUUAGAAUGAUCCUGAACCGAGAAAAUGUUACCAAUUCCGUAGUGAUGAUUCAGCCUUCAUUGAUUUCUUAUUCAUUUCAUUCAGGCCCUGAACCUGCUCUCCUUGAUGUUGCUGCCAUUGCAGCCGACAGAAUCCUGCUUUUAGAUUCUUACUUCACUGUUGUCAUCUUUCAUGGUGCAACCAUUGCUCAGUGGAGAAAAGCAGGAUACCAUAAUCAACCUGAGCAUCAGGUAGUUAAUUUUGUUGUUGAUUUUGAUUUUAAUGCUAAAUGAGAAAGGCCACAUUAGCUAAUAGCUACCAUGUUGUAGGUGGGACUCUCUCUUGGUAAUCAGAGUAUGCACUUCAAUGAAAUAUGCCUGCAAUUUUUUUUCUUUUGUUUAUCAGUUUUACUCUAUUCUUGACUCCAUUCCAACUUCUUUGUGUUCCUAUUAGUGUGUCCUCACGGGUUAUAUUAUAUAUUCAAUAUUGUAUGUUGCGCUGCUUGUCAAUGUUUUUUCUUGCUUCUAUCCCGAACCAAAGAUGGGUUGCUUCAAGAUUUUCUUUUGGCUUAUUUUGGUGUGUUUAUCUCUUCCUAUGCCACCUUUUUCCUUUUUCUAAAUUACAAUUUAUUCUUGCAGGCAUUUGCACAGCUGCUGCAAGCUCCUCAUGAUGAUGCCGGUGUGAUAAUGAAGGAAAGGUUUCCAGUACCUCGUCUUGUCAUUUGUGAUCAACAUGGCUCACAGGUUGGUAGCUAUCAUAAUGUUCAGCAGAUGGGAGGUUCAUUAUGGAUGAUAGUAGUUUGCUACCUCCUCUCUCCUGGGAAGGAUAUCCUUGGGCAUUCGCCCAUGGAUGUCUGCACUUAAUUUUUUGUCCUUAUUUGUUAUUUCUAGUCACUUCAAGCACAGCCACAAUUGAUGUAGAUGUUAUUAGGAGAUUUUAGGAUUUAAUUAUUUUAGAACCUUUUAAUUAAUAAAACCACUCUUUUGUAAUCAUGGACGCUCUAAUGCAAACAACUCUACAAGAUUGAUUUUGAUAGAUAAUUCCAAAGAGAAUUAUAAAAGAAGGGUUUUAUUAAUCAAAAGGCUCUAAAACAAUUAAAAUCGUAAAAUUUCCUAGUAAUGUCCUACAUUAACAAUGCAUAGUAUUUAGGUACACACAAACACACGAUUCUUAUUAUCACGCAGGAAGCUAUAAGCCCUAAAUUAAUGGCAAGAUAAAUUAAUUUUAUGGCUCAUUUUGCUAAGAUGUAUUGACACUUGAUCCCUGGCGGGUGGUCAUUGAUAUGGCUUUUUAAUCUAGUCAAGAGGUGACUUGUUGACAUUUUAAUCAAGACGCUGAUUCGUAUAAAAGGUAGGAGUUAGUUGCCACUGACAUGUUAACCCUUUACAGGCCCGCUUUCUUCUGGCAAAACUGAAUCCUUCUGCAACUUAUAACUCUGAUGCUCAAAUUCCAGGAGGGGACAUCAUAUUUACUGAUGAUGUUAGCUUUGAGGUCUUUUUGGAUCACCUUCAGAGAUUAGCAGUUCAAUGAAUCCUGCAUAGCUUUUGGCAGUUUGUAUAGUUUUGUUGCUGGAAAUUUUUUGUACAGUUAGUGCAUGACUUUUCUAAAAGCCUUUAUUUUUUUUUUUUUAUUUACAUUUAUGGAAAUUACGUUCUUUUUUAUUUUCUUCUUAGUACGUUAACCAAUGACGUUUCAAGAGAUGCUGGUGUUGAAAAGCUGUAGUUUCACUCAUUGUUGGUAAUUUUAUUUGAAUGCUCAGAGAAUAUCAGUCUGAUUAAUUAGAGCAAUUUGAGUGUUGGGGCUCCCUCGCUGUGGCUACUACAUGGUAAAUGGUUAUGUCCGUCGCUUCUGUCGUUCUCAAAGGAUGUGUAUACGGUCGCCUUGGUCAAACUGAAGAGUGAAGAGAUUCAGCCUUCACUUUUCAGGUGGCCAAAAUUUGGGGUUACUCUCAAAUGUUUAAUUUACCAAAGUAACAUUUGGAUCCUAAGUUUAUCGCCCGUACCAAUAGCAAAAUAAUAUUGUUAUCUUUUAAGAAUGUUUUAAUUUAUUGGUGACUAAUAUCAAUGUCAAAUUAGGGAUGAUAGAAAUCCAUGAGGGGACGGGAGUUUUAAGACCUUUUUUUUUUCUCUAUUAAGGGAGAGUGAGGAUCAUUUAAUAUCUUUUUUUCAUUUUUCUUUUGGUGAGGCUAGGGACGAGUAAAAUCGGAUUUGAAUCAACUCAAUUGGAUUUUGGGUUAAUCGAGUUAGGAAAAAAGUCACUUGAAUUCAAUCCGACUUUUGGAUUGAAAUGGAUAAAAAAAUCAGGUUGAGUUCGGUUUAGAUCGGAUUAUAAUUAGACAUAUACCGAAGCGCAUAUACAAAUACAGUCAUCCCACAUCCCACCGCACUAAUCAAAAAGGCAAAACGCAAACUCCACAUGAUCAUCUUAACAUACAAUUGAUCUAACUAAAAUAAUUUUGACUUGCCUUGCAUCUCAAACAACAUAGAACUCAAUAUAGUUUUAAAAAAAUUAUCUUCCAAUACAAAAGCUCAUAAUGCGGAUAAAACAAGGAGAGUACCUUGUAAACAAAUAAUAAUAAUAAUAAAUAAAGCUAGCUUGGAUAUUAUUAUCAAUUUAAAAGAACAGUCCUGGAUUCAAUCCAAUAACAUCGAACUAUUCACCGAUCAUAUAUCAAUCAACCUAGAACCCAAGAUUCCUAAGACAAAGCAACAAAAAAAAAAAAAAAUCAUAAAAUUGGUAUCAAAUGAAUUUAAAAAAAGAAAAAAAAGAUCAAGUUUUUGAUGAAGAUACAUGAAAAAACAAAGAUUUUAAAGAGAAAAAUUACCGAAAGGAGAGAACCCAGAUGACGAGACUAAUAUACUAUGAAAGAUUGGGGUUGAAGGAACUUGGUGAUGGUGGCUGUCGGCCGAGGUGGAGCAACCUGCAGCAGCGGUCGCGGUGCCUGGUGGAGCAAGCGGAAGCAGCGGUCCAGCUUCAGCAGAUUGCGUCAGCGCGUCGCUGACUCGAGAUGGUUGGCUUCGCGCGGUUGCGUCGGUGACUGCUGGCUGCUGUGCUGCCGUGUCACCGUCUGCGUCUUGCUUCUCCGAUCUGUGUUUGGAGGUGCUGCCGCUGCGUGUGUGUAUCAUGUGAGUUCAGUAUUGUGUGUGUGAGUGGAAAUAGAUUAGCGGAAAUACUCAGACAUCCACUUUUUAAUAAAAUAUUUUUGUUACUAAAAUACUUAUCACGCAAAUUAUUAUGAUGGACAUAUUAAAAGAAAUUAAAUGAUAAAGAGUUUUAUUCUCUACUUCCCUUCUUGAACGUUAAAGUCAUGUCUAAACAUUCUUAUCUAAUAAUCACUGGCUACUCGAAAUUCUGCUGCUUGUGAAACUCUCUUUUUCAUAUUUUUUGAUAGACAGGCUUAAUGUAAGAAAAAGACAGACAAAAAAAUAACUAGUUUCUGUGUUUCUUUUUUUCAAACUUUUCAUACAAUCUCUUGUAUGUUGUUAUUACCAUCAGCAGUUGCAUAUUGGUUAAAAGCUUGCAUUAAUCUCUCUAUGUUUGAUGAUUAAUUUAUGUCUGAGAUUUCCGCCCCCCGCCGCGCCGCGGGGGGUGGGUGAGGAAAAGUGGAAGAAAACAAAAAAAAAAAAGGGGCUGAAAAUUAUGUAAUGGAAUUAAUUUGAUAUUAGAUUUUGAUGAGUCACCGAUAUAAAAGUGCUGUUUUAAUAAUAAUUCUGUUUAGUAAGAUCAUAUUGGGUACUUAAGUACGUUAGUAGAGUAAAAUUUAAAUUUUAAGAGCCAAUUUAUUUAAUUUAUUUUUAUUUUAUUUUUUCUAUAAUUAUUAAAGACAUUUAAGUUUUAAAUUGUAGCAAUAUGGGAAUAAAUAAUAAAUAGCAUAGUAUUCAUAAAAAUAAUAUCAACAAAGUUAAUAUAAGUACUUUAUGUGACUUUGUACUAAAUUUUAUUCUAUUUUCGAUACAUAUAGUAUUAGUCCAUAUCUACAACGUUCUUGAUAAGAAAGAGUAAUGUCCUGAUACAUACUUAUAACACUCAAUUGGAAUACUUACUUAUGUGUCAUCUCUUAUGUCAACAACUAAUUGAGCACUUGUUCAUUAUUAAUAACGAAACUAAUUAAUAAAAUAUGCAUGUCAAUAAAUAAUUGAUAACACACAAGUAAGCAUCCAAAUUAAGUAAGCAUACAAUUGUUGUUAUCAGAAAAAAUUAAUAAAGCAUGUGAUGGACAUGAAAUCUAAUUUGCUCGGCGACUUAUGGAACUGAAGGGAUUAAGGUUCUUGAUUUCUAAAUUUGAAAAUGACGAAAACAAGAAGAAAUUUACCCUCGGAUAAUAAGAAUUGCGCAUUAAAAAAAAAAACCACAUGAUUCGGGCAUAAAAACUUCUGAUUUGCCCGGAAAUUAAAAUAACAACGCAGCAAUAAUAUGUUUACAAGUAGUUUGCAGUGAGGAGAUUUAGUUGAGCUGGAUUUUCAGAAAGGUAAUUUUAUGGGGACAGGAUCCAGCGGCUCAAAUGUGCAAUUCUUCACUGUUGUUUUAUACCAGCUCAUGAAUUUCGCAAUGAAUUCUGUGAAAGAGAGGGGGAAAGUAAUGUCACAUAAGAAAAGGAAAUGAAAUUAUUUAUGAUCAACCAGUUUUAAUAAAGUGGUUUGAUCGAAAUAUAGAAAACGUUAUACAGAUAGAAUUAAAUAAAAUGGUGAUCGAGUACCAAGAAUUGUAAUAUAUAUGCUGAAGCCGUUUCUUAUGCUAGCUAGAAUAGUAAACAAUGCUGACUGAAGAAGACUUUCCUAAUUAGGUGGAGAUUCUCAAAACUAAGAAAAAUAAAAAAAUAAAAUCUUAGGUAGAAAGAUCUUUUGCGUACCUUCGAUUCUCAAAAAAUGUUGAAUAUUUUUAUUUCUCGUGGGGUCGUUGUGCCUCUUACCCAUCUCCUCGUUUCGAGUGCGUCCAAGGACGAACGGUUUCUCAUUGUCAAAUCUACCCCCACUAUCUAUCUGCAGGAAUAACAAGCAAAAAUGCAAUCAUAUUUAUUUUCGUUCAUGCAUGAAUGCAGCAUGCUACUAGCUGAUCAAUUGCAUGCAUUAUCCAGUCAGAGUUUUCUUACUUUAAUUAGUAAGAAACAAGUUAAAAAAUUAAUAUAUAUUAAUAUAUUAUAAGAUUUUUUUUUUUAUCUUUUAGUUUGUUGCUUAAUAAAUUGUUGCUUAUUUUAUUAAAGUAAGAUAUUUCUUAUUGAAAAAAUGACUAUAUAUGUACACACACAAGGAAGAAGUAAGAGAGAAAAUCAAUAAACUUAUUGGCCGCAUACUUCAUGUCCAUACAUACAUUGUACUCAUCAUAUAGACCUUCAAGUUGGCGAUGCAGUCCCGCAUCCAAGUGUUUUUUUAGUUCUUCAACAAGAGACUGCAAAGCAAAUGGAUAUUGAUAUAUUCUAUUUUUUAGAUGACUAAUUAUUGAAUGAAUUGGAGAUACUCAUGAUUGCAUUCACAAGCUUACCUUGAAAAUGAAGUGAAGACAUACAUCAUGCUCUAUAAGAUUUUGAAGCUUCCCUCGGAUAAUAUACAGCCUUCAAGUGCAAUAAAGAUAUAAGAAAUGCUCAUCAAAAUUGUUGGAUUUAUAUAUAAUUAAUUAGCUCAAUUUUAAAGUUUCAUGUCAUAAUAUAUAUAUAUAAGUCGUUCUCUAAUGAGUAUAUCUUCAUUUUAUUUAAGUGAAAAUGUCAUUAAAAUAUAUAUUGUAAUACAUUAGAGGUUUAUUCUAUAUAUAUAUAUAUACUAUUACAACAUAUGGUGUAAUAAUAUAAUAAUAUAAUAUAUAUUAUACAUACCUAGAGUCGCUAACAGUGAAAAAAUCUCCCUCACCCUCUCUAUGUAUAUAUAUACGGAGACACAAACAUAUAAAUUCAUCAAUAAUACAUGUAAACCACUAUCAAGAAUUGAGAUGGAUGAGAAUUAAGAAGCUUACUGUUUUGGGCUCUGCUCUUCAAUAAUUUUCGUGGCAAUAUUUGUAAUGUCAUCUUCCCAACCAGUCAAAAUUACUUGACCUUCCACAAAUGGAUAACUGCACUUAUAUAUGUACUCGCACAUCAAUUAAAUAUAUGUAUAUAUAUAAUUCUCAAGUACCAAUGCCUAAAUGCAGAUUUCUUGCUGAAUCCUUAUUAUAUCAUAUGUGGUAGUGCAGUAUUUUCCUUUAAUUAACUAUAAUAGCAGAUGGUGUAAUAGCAAAUCCACACGAAAUCUACAUUUAAGCAUCCGCACCUAUAUGUAUGUGUGUUUGUGAUUGUUUAUCUGUUAGUAUAUUAAAUUUUGUGUCUUCUUAUUUAUUAUUAGUGUCCUCACUUUAUUAUAAUGAAGAUGUCCUCAUUAAAAUGUUUUUUUAUACACAUAAGCUUGAUCUAGUGCACAUGCUAUGGGGCCAGGCUUUCCAAUUGAGAGCUCAUAACAAGCACCUAUCACAUAUCAUAAUAUGCGCGAUAGCGCAUACCUGAUGACAUCCCUAUAUAUAGUUAGGCAUGGAGACGAGGAAAUGAAACCAACUGAUUGAGGAAGAAUAUGAAUGAAAUAUAUUUUUCAAUUGCUCACUUCAUCUGUCGGGAGGCCUCGAAUGAGCGAAUGGCUUGGCGAAGAUUGUUCUUGGAAUUGUCAGCAAUCUUUUCUGCUAAUUGGUGCGGCAGUUGUAUUCCUUCUUGUUCUGCUAUAAAUUCCAGGACUUCAACUAUCUAAUAACAUGUAAUAAGAAGAAACUUAUCAAAUUAAUACAAAAUAAGUUAUUUAAUUAAAGAUUAAAUUGAAUAAAAUAAAUUAUAUAUUCCCAAAAAAAAUGAGUUAUAUAUAAUUGAGGCCAUUCACCUCUUGUUUUGAAGGAGGAAGAAGCUGAAUAACAGUGCAAAGCGACUUAAUUGGUUGAAGUUUUGAGACAUCAGAGCAGCAGAAGAAAACCUUAUUUAACCCUUUGUACCUUUCCAAUAACCACCUCAUGUAUAGUAGGGCAUCUGUUGAUAGCUUGUCCGCUUCACAUAAAAUAAUAGCUGCAAAAAAAAAAAAAGUUGAUAAUAUAUUAAGUGUUGUUGUGGUUUCGUCAGAUCAUCAUCUAAUUCUAAUGUAUAUGUUAAUUAAUUGAAAUUAUGUAUACGAGAAAUUAUGUAUACGAAUACCUCGGGUGUUAUCAGUUGGGACGUUAGACUGCAAAGCUUUGGUGGAUAUCUUGCUUUGUGUUUCCUUCAUAAGUUCAACAAUGACAUGCCUUUCAUACCCUUUCAGGUCAGAGAGAUUAACUUCGAUAUGUUGUGAAGAUUCUUUUAUAUUUACUUGGAUACGACCUCUGGCUUCACCCUGUGACAAGAAUUAUAUAAUUUACUUACUUUUUGUAACUUAAUUCACUUUUUAAAAUAUAUAUGUAAUUAAUAUAAUUAUCAGAAGUUAUUUGAUCUUCAGUUUUCCUUUUCGAUUCAAAGAUACAAUGCCUAAAAGCUAAUCAUUUCAUGUCCACGCACUGACAAAGAAUUAGUAUCAGCUGCUGCUUAAUUAGAGUCCAGCGACAGAGUUGCCCGGAAAGCUAAAAGUGAAUAAUAUUCAAAGUAAUAAAUAAAUAGAACUAGUACUCAAGUAGUAUCUAGAAUGACGAGAAGUACCUUCAAGUCAAACACCUUCCUCUCCUCCCUAGCCUGCAACAUGUAUGUAAACAUCGUUAAAUUUAGGAUGCCUUUAAUUUCCCUAAUUAGUUUUCAAGUAAAAAUAAUUAGGUGGUAGGCAGCACUUAAUUAAUUAAACAAUAUGUAUAUAAUAUGAUUAACAGCUACGUACCUGGACUGUGUCAUGUCCGAAUGCUUCUCGAAGCAUAGCCCGAAUCAUGGUCCUCUUUCCCACCCCCGGAGGUCCUUCAAAUAUAAAAUUUCCGUGACCUCCCUCUUUUACCUGCAGUUUAGUUGUGUGUGUGUUUAUAUCCAAAAUAAAUAAUGUCAAGAAGCAAUUAACGAGUUGGAAAAAGAAACAUAAAGUAUUGGCAUAUUAGUAUAUAUAGAUCGAUGGAUCUCACCAGACCCUGCAGUUGAAUUGCUCGAUCUCGAUUGCAGAUAAAAUCUUUUAAAGUUUUGGGCUGGUACAUAUUUGCCCAUAUAAACGGAUCCCUUUGGUUCUCGAGGAUGAUCUCUGGACCUUUGCUAUUAUUUGUAUCCUUGUUCUUCCCCAGAUGAUGAUGAUGGUCUUCAUCUUUAUCACUAUUAUAUUCAACAAAAAAAAUUUCGCUCUCGUUAGGUUGCAAGAUUGAGUCUGAUUCUGGUUCUGGUUCUGAUUCUGAUACUCUCUCCCUCAAUGGCUUCUCCAUAUGAUUAGUAUUAUGAAGCAAUAUAGCAGCAGCAUUAUUAAAAGCAACCUCUUUACAAUUCUCAUUUACGGACGUAGUUGUUGUUCCUGUUGAAGAGGAGGCUGCAGUGUGAUAAGCUUGUUUACUCUUUCCGCCAAUGGCAGUAGGAGUAGCAGUACUAAUAGUAUUAGAGAUGUAAUUUGAAGUUGUCGUCGUAGCACUAGUACUAGUAGUGGUGGUGGUGGUGGCAGUGGCAGCAGGGGAAUUAUUACUAUUACUAUUAUUGUUAUUAAUAGAAGAAUAGUACUUAAAAGUGAAGCAAGAACUCCAUUCUUGCAUCUUAACCAUCAAAGAGGAAAGAGAGGUGGAAUAAGUGGCAGUAGAAUGGGCCAUGGUGGUUGCUUGACUUUCACGUCCAGGACUUGAUGAAGAUUCAACAAUUACUCUAUCACGAUUAAUGACAAGGGAUGCAUCCGUAAGUCCUUUGUAGUAAGGACUGCAUUUAGCGUAGUUCUUUUCAUCAAUCUGAACCUGCUGCAGCUUAUUACUAGUAGUAUCAUUAUUAGUAUUGAGUAUUCUGCCGUGAUGAUGUACAAUUGGAGCAUGCCUUCUGUUAUGUGCCUCAAGACUCUCCUCUGUUAAGUCAGAAUGCUUUGAAGAUGAAUCGCUGCUAUUUCUUCCAGGGAUUAUCAGGUUGCCUAGUUGGUUUAUGUUACUCCAAUGUGGCCAAUACGAGAAUUUCCCUGACGACGACCUCGUCCGAGAUGAACUAAGAAACCUCCUGUGAUUUUUCGCUGAUGUAUUUGAGAUAUUCAGAUAAGAUGAUGAACGUGGGAUUGGUGAUGGACUCGGCAUAAUUGCAUAAUUUUGCUGACUAAGUGUCCCCGACACACACUCGGGUUCUCUUUUCUUUUAUUUUCUUUUCUUUCUUUUAAUAAAAUAAAAUGAAAGUAAAUUUUAAAAAAAAAUCAGCACUGGCUAUUGCUUGCUAAUUAGCUAAGAGAUAAUAACUACGGACAGAUCACGGCAUCAUGAAGGAUAAAGAUGAUGUGAUGUGCAGCUGGCGGGGAAGACGGUUCAGUUUUCCUAGCUAAUACCUACAAAAUUAACGAGGCGCCGAUGAUAUCAAUGAUGACAAAUAAAUAAUAAUAUAAUAUCAAUGUAUGAACUUUACGUCAAAAUCUAUAUAUGGAUCUUGUUGCACGUCCAGGAGGCUAAAACAGUCUGAGCCUGGACGUAUAUGUAUAUGUAUAUGUAUGAAUGUAUGUAUGUAUGCAUCUGUGUGUGUAUAUAUAGACACUCAUACAUACAUAUACACGGUCAUGAUCUGGAGCCCCUUUCUCUAACACAAAUUUUUACAUAAAAUUUCAAUCCUUAAAUCAGAAUUAAUCUGAUAACCAAUAUUAGUGUUAAAUGAAAAAAUUAAUAAAAAUUAGCCCCACCAAAUAAUUAUGUUGGCUUUUUUAAGUUUUGCUUUCCAUGUAUCUCUAUUUAUCUAUUUUUAAUGCCAUCUCCUUAAUUCUUUCCUCCACAUCUUCUAUUAUAGGUUGGGGUGGGCGUUCAGUUCGGGUCAAUUGAUUGAAAACUCAUAUAUAUAUAUAUGUAUGUAUGUAUGUAUGUAUGUAUGUAUAUGUGUGUGUAUAUGUGCGCACGCGCGUGUGUGCAUGUAUGUAUGUAUGUAUUUAUAUUGUCCAUGCCAUUUAGUUUCCAUUGACCAUGGUGUUUGCCCUUUUAUAUGCAUCCUAUAGCUCUCAAGUUAGCCUUUUUUUUUCAAUCUUAUACAUUUAAACAAGUAUUUCUGGACGGUGUAAUUGGUUUCAUAGUCAUCAAUUAUAUAUAUAUUGCAAAUAAAGAAAAUCCUAUGACGCCGUGAUUAAAAUUAUGACAUCAAUGUCGUGAUAAAUAUAAAUUUUAUAAAUUAUGCAUAAAAUUAGUAAAUGAAAAGUAAAAUAAGUAAAUUAAUAUAAGAGUGGUAAAUUGGUGUUUUAAAAUUACAAACAAAAUAAACACUUGUGAAAAUAACAUGAAACUUAUAAAUCAACAUUAAACUUUAAUUUUUAAAAAUAGUUUAUUUAUUUAAUUUAUUUAAGCAAAGAUAAAAUUACUCAUCAAUUGAAAACAAAAAAGUUGUAUUGAAAACAAUUGGAACAAGUUUUAUUAAAUUGGUUUAACUAUAAAUUCUAUAUUCAUGAUAGGACAUUUAUAAACUUUUUUUUUCAUUUUCUAUCAUAGUAUUUGUUUACUAUACAAGUUAAUCAAGCAAGAUUAUUUUUCUUGAUAAGGAUCAAGUCAAAAUAAAAUUAAAAGACAUUCUUAUAUUACUAUACAUAUAUGAAAUAUUAAUAAAAGUGAAUCUAACUUUCAGUUUUAUACAUAUUUUAUGUAGUUUCAAACUUUACUUCCUAGUUAUACUAAAAGAUCAUUUGCGGCUACUGUUAAAGAAAUUUAGAAGGAUGUAAAAUCACUUAUCUUACAAAUAAUUUUUAAUUUAUUAUUAUAAUGAGUUUUUAUUUUACAUUUGCAAGUUUUUAUUUUUUUAAUAAUUCUUAUAAUAUUUUCUUGUUUUAUAUUUCAUUUACAAUUCUCAUAUUUCAUUAACAUAAUUUAUAUGUUAUUUCAUUUGUAAGUUUAUAUUUUGUUUACCACUAAUGCAUCAUUUUACUAAUCAUGUGCUAGUUUACUUAUUUUACUUUUUAUUUACAAAUCUCAUGUUUUAUUUACUUAAUUUAUGUUGUAUGUUACACUUAAUGUUAAUUUACAAGUGUUAUAUUACACCUAUAAGUUUAUGUUUUGUUACCAAUAGUACAUUAUUUUACCACUCCUUUGUUAAUUUACUUAUUUUACAUUCUAUUUACAAAUCUUAAGUUUUAUACAUUUAAUUAUGUUUUAUUUUAAACUUAAUAUUGAUUUACAAGUUUUGUGUUAUAUUGAUAAAUUUUUGUUUUAUUUACCAAUGAUAUAUCAAUUUACCACUUCUAUGUUAAUUUAAUUAUUUUACCUUUCAUUUAUAAGUCUUAUGUUCUAUUUAUAUAAUUUAUGUUUUAUUUUAGACUUAUUGUUGAUUUACAAGUUUUAUGUUAUAUUUAUAAGUUUUUGUUUUAUUUACUAAUAAUAUAUCAAUUUACUGUCGUUAUAUUGAUUUACUUGUUUUACCUUACAAUUACAAGUUUAUGUUUCAUUUCACAAUAUAUGGUUUAUUUUGCACUUAAUAUUGAUUUACAAAUUUUAUGUUACAUGUAUAAGUUUUUAUUUUAUUUUAUUUUUCAGUAAUACAAAAUUUACCACUCUUAUGUUAAUUUGCUUGUUUUAUCUUUUAUUUAAAAGUCUCGUGUUCCAUUUAUAUAAUUUAUGUUUAAUUAAGAUAUUGGUGGUGUGAUUUUAAUCACAACAUUAUAGACCUACAAAUAAUAUAAAUAUCAAUUGCACUGAGUAGUACAUUUCUGCCAUUCCAAUUGUAACUUGCAAUCACUUGCCUUAUUUACCAUAUUUUAAGCAGCCACCCAUCUUAAGUUUGGAAACAAUUCUCUUCGAUAUUUGUUUAAUGUAUUGAAAUCCCAUAGAAAUAUAUCAUAAAUUCAUAACAAACUCUAAAUAAAAUAGUAAAUUUUAUGAAAUAAUCUAUUCUUUUCCAAAUUAUCCCAUGGGCAUCUCUUUUGAAAAAAAGCACAACAAAAAGUAGAUUUCUUUUCAUUAGAUGUAUCUGUAAGAAGGGCACGGCCACAGCGUAAUAUCAUUAUCAGGGGCCUAACCCAGUAUUAAGGAUGCCCAUGGGAUAAUUUCCUGUUUAUUUUCUCAAAACAAAGGCUCGCCCUCGGAUUCCGGCUGACAAUAUUCGAUUAGAUUAUCGUAAUUUGGUGUCUUGCGCCUGUAAUUGCAUUUUGAUUGGUCAAUAACGUCCUUAUCCCAUGGAUGAUCUCAUUACUUUAAUCCGAUUGCCGAUGGCUGACAAUUAGAUAAUGCUCAAACUCUAACCAUUAGCUUACAACCAUAAAUAAUGCCCACAUGCAUUAAUUAAAAGAAACAGAUAAAAGAGAUGCCCAUAGCCUUUUUUCUUUCCCCCUCUUCUUUUUUUCUUUUCUUUUUUUUUUUUUUGUAAACAGUUGAUAAGCUUAAGACCCCAAAAAAAAAAAUCUAAAAAUCUAUUGACUUUAAAAGAAAAAGCAGUGCCCUUGUUAACUCCAAAACUACAUGGAUCGGCGAAAGAUGAUCUGCGAAUGUAUUACGGCGAAGGAUUUGGUAACUUUGGAUCCAAAUCCCAUCGGAUUUCGGAUGAUUUCAAUUAGAAAAAAAUUCAUCCGAUUUUAAUCUUAACCUCAAAUUUGAUCUUGAUUUUUAGUUUGGCUAAAAUUACUAGUUUGAAUUUGAAAGAAUUUAUCUUAUUCAAAUUUCACGCCGAACUUUUGAGGGAUACGUUCUAGUACUAAUCCAAGGGAGGGAGAUGAUAUUCUUAAUAAAAUAAAGAUCAAGGAGCCAACCCCUCCCCGAAAGGGAAUGAAUAAUUUUUUUAAGUCGUAUUGCCAAAGAAGAACAAACUCUAAAUAAAAUAGUAAAUUUUAUGAAAUAAUCUAUUCUUUUCCAAAUUAUCUCAGAUCGGAUAAAUAUUUAGGAUAAGUUCAGCUUCGAAUCAAUUUGGAUGAGUUCGGAUUUGACAAGAGCAAAGAAGGUAGUACCGUAGUAGUAUGCCAUUAAAUCAAAAAAGAGCCAAAGACAAGAUGGAUCGUAUUCUCCUCAAGGACCUCAACCACCCAUAAGAAAUUAACAAUAAAUUUAUACAAGUGAAAUAUAAUUUUAAAUUCACAUAUUAGCACCAAGAAGUAGGCAUUUUAUCAGUAAUUGCAUUUUAAUAGAAGUUAUUGGAGAUUGGCAAGUUAAUUUAGCAACCACUAGCUAGCGGUGGGCAAAAUCGAGUUUGAUUCGAGUUUGGAUCAACCCGAUCGGGUUUCGGGUUGGUCGGGUUAGAUAAGAAUUCAUUCGAAUUCAAUUCGAAUCUAUAACCCGAUCUGAUCUAAUCCAAAUUAUCCCAAAGCUUUCAAAACUCAACAGCCAAAUGGAGCUUGAAUCGGAUCGGGUGAUGGCGGAGGAUUGGAGGCGUGGAGGUGGGGCAGCAGAUCUGGUACUUGGUAGCAGUAGAUCGGUAGAUCGGGUUACCAUCCUCGCGGAGUAGCUUCGGUUGGCGUUGGCUCUCAACGGUUGCUACGUCUGGUGGCCAAAUCUAGCUUGCUCCGUGAACUUCAUGUGUGUGUUUGAUUGUUUGUGAUUGUGACUAUAUUUUGUUUGUUUGGUUGUGGGUGUGGGUUGUGUAACUGCCGCUUGUUGCCGUCGGUAGUGGGAUGCGAGAGAGGGAGGUUGUGGCCUGUGGGUGGGUGUGGGCGAUUACGUUGCUGGUCGACAGUGGGCUGUGGGUGCCUGGGUGGGUGUGGGCGUGAACUUUAUGUAUGCUUGACUAUUUUUGUGUCUGUGUUUCAGUGUGUGGUGUGUUGUGUGUAGAUCGUGUUCCAAUGUAUGUGGUGUGUGUAGAUCGUGUUCCAGUAUGUGUGAUGUGUAUUUGGGGUUUAAUUUUUUUUAUUUUGUGUCAACCCGAUCGGGUCAACCCAAUCUGAUCAUGAUCCGAUAGGGUUGACACAAAUGCACCCAUUCGAGUUUUAUUCACAAUCCGAUCCGAUCUGAACCUGAUUUUUUUUCGGAUCAGGUCGGGUCGAGACGAGUAUUUUACCUACCCUUACCACCAGCAAGCAGCACCAGAAAUCAAAUUAACGGUGGCUUCAAAUCAUGAGCAAGACCACAAACAACGGCACGAGUAGCGGCUUCAAGGCAAGAGCAUCAACACGAAUAGCAACACAAAUAGCAGCUGGGCAUGAACAGCGGCAUGAACGACGGUAGGGUUUGCGUGCAACUGAUUUAAGGGCCUGUGAUGUUUUGAUGGGGUUUGUUUAAUCCAAUUAGUUUUGUGAUGUUUAGACGAGGACUUUUAGGUAAAUUCAUUAGAUUAGUAAAGGAAUAUACUAUAUUAACCUUUCAAUUAUUUAACCAAAUCGAAUCCAUUAGUAAUUUAAAACUUAACAUCUUUGAUAAAACAUUAAGGACUUUUGUAUCCCUUCCCCUAAACAUUUAAGGUGUAUCGACCAUUUUCCCAAAUUUAAGUUCAAAUGUGUCGAGAGUUGUCAUGUGUUGGGAUUAUUAUGAACAUGCCGCGAGGUUGUUGUCAGUGUCAGUUGCUUGUCUGGACAAUGGCGUGCGGCAUGCAACUGGUCAUCUAGAUAUCGAAGCCGAUUAAGAUGCAGUAGAAUGUCAUGGGUCUAGAGGAGCUGGACGUCAAUCAAGAUGCAGCCAGACAUCAACCAAGAUGUGGCUGGGAUCGUUUGGGUAGAGUCACAGUGGCGUCAGGCGGAGUAGAUCAUAACGUGGGUCACGGUCAUGGGUCGCAGCGUCUGGAGGAGUUAAUGUCGUGGGUAGGUCGGGUUGUUCGGAUUUCGGUUUGGGUUACAACCCAAUCGAAUCGGAGAAUGGAACCUAAUUGGGUUGAAAAUGCGAAUCCGAACCAAACCAAAGUUAAUUCGGUUCGGAUUUACAAAUCCGAUCGGAUCGGUUUGAAAUUUCGGGUUCAACUUUUGGUUUGGGUUAAAUACGUAGCGGUCACUAAAUUUUCAUCAACCAACCAAAUUUUCACCAACUAAAAGAAUGAAGAAUGAGGAAAAGCUUGCUGGUCUAAUUAAUCCUUAAACACAGCCAUACAAACAAAACACCUGAAGCCUGCUUUUUCUCUUUCACUACUAUUGAACAUUCAAAUAACUUGGUCUCAAUAUCAAUGACAAAUUAUCAGUUUAUCAUUGCAUAAAAAUAAUUUAAAAUCAAUUGUUUAUAAUAAUUAAUAAGAAUAAUUAUAAUAAUAAGUAACCUAAUGAACCCAAUCAAAAACCACGGCAGGGACGUACAGCAGCUGGAUCAAAAAUCACGGUAGAGACCGAAGAAACGACAGCUGGAUCGGAACGGAAGCUGCAAUGCCGGAACCAGAUUGAAAGCAUCGAGCGUCGGCGGAGCCUAGGUGUGUGUGAGUGAGACUGUCGACUGCGAGAGGGAGUUAGCAGGGCUGGACGGCUGCUAGAUGCAGCUAAAGUGGUGGUUGUGCACUUGUGCUUUGUGCCGCCGUUGUGCGGAAGAGCCAAAGAUGAGAGAAAUAAGGAAAAUUAGAUAUAGGGAUUUUGAUUUUGGGCGUGCGUGCACUGAGAGAGAGAGAGACUCCUUAUAUUUAUUAAGUCUAACCCGAUCGAUUUGAAAGUUCGGUUUGGGUUCAACCCGAACCGAAAUAAAAACCGAUCGGGUUUCAAUUUUUAAGUGUUCGGGUUGUAAUUGAUUCGGUUUAACCCGAUCCGAUCGCCCACCCAAUGGGAGCAGCAAAAUGAGGAGGAAAAAAGAAAAGAAAAGAAAAGAAAAGGAAAGGAAAGGUAUUAUUUAAUUUAACAGCGUGAAAGUCUCUGUCUGUAUCUCUGGACCGUAGAGCGAUAAGCGAACUGCCAGUUGGUCAGGCGACCUUCGAAAUUAAAAUGAAACUUUGUCGUGGGACACGUGGAGUGGAGUGGUGAAGACUGAUAACCUACAUCUGCUGUACUUCCAGUCAAUCAAAGUGGGUUGCCCAAUCCCCAACAAAGGCAGAUGUGGCGGAGGCGAAAAACAAUUUUAAUUUUAAUUUUUUCGAUUAAGAGAACACCUCCACCUCACGUGACAUCCCUUCCCCAGAUGAACCCAACUAAUUGCAAUUGGUAUAAUUGGUUUGCUACUUUGCUUGUUGCUUUGUCAUUGUUAUUUCCAUGGCAUAUGGAGUAUGGUGAGUGUUUUUUUUUUGGGUAAACUUGAACAGUAAUGUGCCUUUGCUCAAUGAUUUCCAUUGAAGCACUCCAUCUGAGGUUUGAUCCGAGAUACAUAAAAGUUAAUCUUAAAAACAUGUCCAAUGCAAAUAAAUUAAAAAAAAAAGAAAAAGAAAAACAUGUCCAAUGCGAAUAAUAAAAAAAUAAAAAUAACCUUAAAGAAUAAAACCCCAUAUAUAAUAUACUUUUUGAACACUUCUACAAAAUAGAACAAGCAUUUGGAUUUUCAUCGCUAAAUAACUGGGGAGCAUAAACAUAAUGUAUAAAAUAGGGAACGUUGCUCUCUUUGCUUUUAACAUCCUCCUUAAAUUCUACAAAUUUAGUCGAUAACUCAGUGGACUUGACUUCAAAUUUUUCGUUGUCUUUUUUAAUUUCUUCCUUUUUCUCCUGUUUUGAAGUUACUAUCUCUGCAUGUUUGUGCACCUUCUUCCGCAAGUAUGAUAGGAGUCUGUCAGAUUCAAUAGUCCCUUGCACUGUUACAGUUUGAGCUUUCGUGUCAGCAUUAACACUGUAAAUACCUGCAUUUGUAAUUAAUUGAUACUUGUGAUUCUUUCAUGCGUUUUUCAAAAUUGAAAAAGAAAAUGUUUAACCACAUACGCAUUUCACAUUGUUAUACCUUUGUGCUUCAGUAAUUUCUUGCGCAAGUCAUGCUCGCAUUGGGCGCAGUGGAUGUGAACUUUUAAUGUCGUUGUGCGUAAAAUUACCUUAAUCAAAUUGUUCAAACAAAUCAGUUGUUAUAUAUGUUAAUUUCAGGAAUUAUAUAAAAGAAAUAUAUUAUAAUGAAGAGCCAUUAUCUAACAAAGAAUUCUACACUUCAACUAAAGGUUUAAAUGGAGAUAUGAAAUUUUGCCUACUAAAUACAUACAUACAUACAUAUACAUAUAUGACUUGAAUUGAGCCAAUUUUGAGUAGAUGCAUGUGCCUAUAGCAACUACAAUAAUGAUAGAUGCAGCCUAUGUUCAAUAUCAUGAAUACCAUGAUAUAUAAACCAUUAGUGUGUGUGUGUAUAUUAUUAGUUUUCUAAUUUGAAACCUUAAAUUGUGGAAAAAAUUUGAAAAAAUUUUAAAAUCGUAGGAUUUAAAAAACUUAAAAUUUAAAAUGUUUAAACUAAAUGAUUUGUACAUUUUUAAGUAAUUUAAAAUUUUGGAAUAAUAUAUAUAAUCUCAAUAGUGAUAAAAUCAAUUUUUUUAUUAGUAAAAGUAAGAUUUAAAAAACCACUCACCUCUUUUUCUUUGAUUUCCUUAAUGGCACCGAUCUCUUUGAUUUUGAUGAGUGGUGGCGAUAUCAACUCAACCUUCUUCUGACUGGUUUUUUGGAUUAACUUGUGGAUUUUAAUCACAUCAAUCACGCCCUUAACCUUAAUUUCAGCUUUCUCAAAAUCAGCAUCCACACUUUGAAUCCCUGCUGAUCACAAAUUGAAAGAUCAAAGCUAAUUAAUUCGCACAAAAGUGCUAAAAUACCCGGUUAAUGAAAUUAAUUGAAAAAACACAGGAGCUUCUAAACUAUACCACUAAAAUGUUUGAUAACAUUUAUCAUUGUGAUUUAAAAGUUGAAUUGAUUUUGUCCUAAAUUAAUAUGAAGAAAAAUCUAUAAUAUUUUUAUUAAAAUUAUUAUUUUACAAUUAUCAACUUUUAUUUCACAAGUACAAUUUUUUCUUAUAACAACUAUAACUUAUAAUUUAGAAAACCUUAAUUUCAAAUAAAACCUAGUUUUACGUACCUUCAAUUUUUAAGAGACGCUUUUCAAUCUUGCGUGCGCAUUGUGGACAAUGAAGAUUAACAUUGUAAACACCUGUAAUCACCCCAAUAUCUUUGUUUUUUGCUGCCAUUUUAGCAAUAUUGAAAUAGUAAUUAAUUACACGAACAUUACAUUAAGUAAAGAGAAAUAUUAGACGCCAGACAAAUUAAGAUCCGCUUAUAUAUAUGGUCUUGGUUUUGGUAUUUCCUUCAAACUAAGAGGCACGCAAUCUUAGCAUGUUGGGUGGCCAUCCGUUGAGAGUAGUUCGCCAGAUAUUUGACACUUACAAAGGACACAGCCAAUAUAUAAUUAUAUCUUAUGAUUCUCCAAAUUGAUAUGGAAAUUUGCCUUCACGAAAUCUAGCUUCUAUAGCUCUAGAUCUCCUUUCUCUAUUUGGACUAAAAUUUAGGCCCAAUGUAGUUAUGUUAUAACUUUUAAAAUAAUUAUUUUUAGUUAUAUUAUAAAAAUAAUUAGUUGUGAAGAGAAUUAGUUAAAUGUUUCGUAAAAUUUAUUCUCAUAUGUGCUGCAAGUCCAUAGCAAAAGUGUUGUGAGUCUUAAAAACAAUCAUAUUGCUGGUAAAUCUUACUGUUAAACUGGUAGAAUAAUGUAAACAACUGAACUAACGAUAAUAUUGAACAAAAUCUAGUUACACAUUUAUAAACAUGUAUAUAAAAUAUUUUUUAUUGUAUAUAUAUAUAAUAAUUGAUAACUAAAAUAAAUAUUUAUAUUAUUAAUUUUAUUAUUUUAUUUUAUUAUCUCAAUAUAAUUGGUAAUAAUAAUAAUAAUCUCUUCAAAGCUAAUGAUUUUAUUUCUUAAUUAAUAAAGAUAAUUUUAAAUUUUAUAAUAUAUAUAUGAAAGUGUGUUAGGUAUAAAAUUAAUUCUCAAAAUUAGAUUUUAAAAAGUUAUUCCUUCAUUAUUUUUCAAAAUAUUUUUAAAAUCUACAAUAGAUAUGAAUGACUGAAAAAAAAAAUUGAUUUCUAAAAAAUUUACCAAAUACGAAAAUUAUUUUUUAACAUUUUAAAAUCACUUUUGAACCUCUUAAAAGUAAUUCCAAACAGACUCUUAGUGUUAUUGGCACCUUAACUUUACACAAAUUUUCACAAAACUUUUAGAUUAAUAGUUUAUCCACGGUCAACAUUAAAUGGAGUUGAUGACAUUUGAAUUUUAUUAAUGAUUGUGAUUAAUGAAUUUUCUCCAUUCUAAUCUCUUUCUAUCUUUAACCUUAUUUGUCAAGUUUUUUUUAUCUCUCUUUCAUAUUUUGUCUCUCCAUUUUUUUUUUUUUUACUACGCAAGCAAAGAUUUGAGUCUAUUAAAAUAUUUCAUUAAUGAAAUAUCAACAAAUUAAAUUUAAAGGAAUGCAAACAGUACAUGACGAUGAACUUGCGUGUACGGUGUACAUACGCAUAUAGAUAGAAUCUGUAUAUAAUAUAUAAAUAAUAUUGAAUCGAUAUAAUGAUGCUAGAUUAUAUUAAUAUUAAUUCUGAAAAAAAUAAUAAGAAAUAGUAGAGUAGAUAUAUAGCUAGAGCCUAGAAGGCAGGAAUAGUUGGGUGAUCUGAUCUGUUAUCAUGCAAAGCAUGAGCAUUCUGCAUGAUUUGAAGUCAGCUAGUGGUACUGAGUAGCAAGAUCAAAUUAAUUAAUGCUGAUGAUAAUCAGUUGCAGUUGCAGCUGCUGCGUCAUUUUGUUGGUGAGGAGAAUGAGAAUUAUGCUUUGCUAUCUCCUUCUCUGCUUUUUCUGCUGCCUUUGCCACAUGUAACUCCAUUUCUGCUUCUGCCACUCUUGCCAAUCUUACCUCGUGAGCUACCUCAACUCUCGCUUUCGCCAUUUCCUUUUCCACCUACCACAUACGCUAUACAGUCAGUCACACAUGCAUCAUGCGUCAUUCAUCAUCAUCAUGCAUCUCAUCUCAUGUCCAAGUAAUUGAGUAAUUAACGACUACGUCUAUACACACACUGACACACCCACACACACAGAGACAUACAUACAGAGAGAGAGAGAGAGAAAGAGACGUACCUUCUCCUCCGAUUUUGCAUCAGCCUUGGCUUUGCGCAUGGCGUUCAUAUCUUGGACCUUGUCCUUAAUGGCCUGCAUUUUCCUAUCUCUCUCUUAACUUAAUCAGAUCUAAGACAGGUAUUAGUGAGAUAGAGACACAAAAUAGCUUAGCCUAUAUCUCUACGCGAUAAUUAGUUAGUUGCGUUUACCAAUAUACACAUUCCAAUGAUUAUAUAUAAAACCACCACUCACCAUCACCAUAUAUAUAUCUCCUUUAGCUAGCUAAUUGUAAGCUAAGGAAACAAAUUGCAUGAUACGUGUCAUCCAUCUGGACACUAAUUACUAGUUAAUUCCUUCUUUCGUGGACUUGUAUGUGCUCAGUCAAGUCAAUCGUCUAAGACGCUUAACGAUUCAAGAGGAAUGCCCCUAACCGCCGUGGCCUUUGAGAACCAUGCAUAUAUUAUAACCUACGAUGCAAGUUGUGAUUCGGGAUUUGUUAAAGUAUGAGAAAACUAUUAAGUCAUAUGAUUUAAUAGUCCAUUAUUUUAUUAAACUAUAUGACUUAAUAGUUUUCUUGACUUUCAUAAAGUUCAGGAUCAUAUAUAUAUAUAUAUAUAUAUAUAUAUANNNNNNNNNNNNNNNNNNNNNNNNNNNNNNNNNNNNNNNNNNNNNNNNNNNNNNNNNNNNNNNNNNNNNNNNNNNNNNNNNNNNNNNNNNNNNNNNNNNNNNNNNNNNNNNNNNNNNNNNNNNNNNNNNNNNNNNNNNNNNNNNNNNNNNNNNNNNNNNNNNNNNNNNNNNNNNNNNNNNNNNNNNNNNNNNNNNNNNNNNNNNNNNNNNNNNNNNNNNNNNNNNNNNNNNNCAUAUAUAUAUAUAUAUAUUUAUGCAAAACUGGAUUAAGCCUUGAGGUAAUAAUUACAUGACCAUCAAUGUUAUUCUUGAGUGCAAAAAAGAAAAUGAAAAAAGUUUAAGAACAAUAUUUUGGUUAAUUCAAUGAUUCCAUAAUGCUAUAUUAUGCGUUAGUAAAAUUGAAAAAUAAAUUAUUUAUCUCAAGUAAUAUGACAUAUUAUUGUUGAUGUCCAAAAAUAACUUCAAUAGCUGAAUUUAUUUUCUGGGAAAUAACAGCAUGAAUCGUAACUCAUACACUGAUCUAUCUUAACACAAUUUUCCACACCUACUGUUGAGUGUUAGAAAAUGCAUAUUUAUAAAGGAGAAAACCAUCAUUUUACAUUUCAAGUCUUACUAACAACCCUUACUUUUAUGUAUUUAACCUUCUUGUGAUUUAAUUACAUGUGUUUUAUUUUAAUUAAGUAUUUUAUGUAUUUUAGGGGCAUCAUAGUCAUUUCGCACUGUUCACUUGUACGGUACUAUUCACGUGUACGGUACUNNNNNNNNNNNNNNNNNNNNNNNNNNNNNNNNNNNNNNNNNNNNNNNNNNNNNNNNNNNNNNNNNNNNNNNNNNNNNNNNNNNNNNNNNNNNNNNNNNNNNNNNNNNNNNNNNNNNNNNNNNNNNNNNNNNNNNNNNNNNNNNNNNNNNNNNNNNNNNNNNNNNNNNNNNNNNNNNNNNNNNNNNNNNNNNNNNNNNNNNNNNNNNNNNNNNNNNNNNNNNNNNNNNNNNNNNNNNNNNNNNNNNNNNNNNNNNNNAGUCCAAGUUUCACGAAUACAGAGUAAGGCAAAAGAUUUACACUAGCUCCUAAAUCCAACAAAGCAUUCUCAAUUGUGUGGUUCCCUAUACUACAUGAGAUAGUGGGGGAGCCUGGGUCUUUGCAUUUUAAAGGAAUUUUAUGUUGGAGUAUAGAACUAACGUUUUCUGUCUGCUGUACCGUACAUCCGCCUUGGCCGUACAGCAGUGGGCUUUAUUUGGUAAAUUUAUUUUCUUUUCCCCUCUAGUUUUUGUGGAUGUUUUGACUUCUCGUCGACAAAUAAUAAUAGUCUUGUCUAGAUACCGCUUUGGUUAUACCGGCUCUCUAGUAUAAGGUUAUUAUUAUUUGGCACGAUAAGCCCUUAGCACCAUAUUGAUUUGAGCGUGGUUCAUGAGGUGUGGAUUCCCCCCUCAUGAUUUAAUUGGCAUUAAUACGGAUUAUUUAGCCCGUGAUGCAUGUUGAUACGGAUCCAGAUACCCAAGUACGUCAAUUUAAUAGAUUUUCUCUUCAAUUUAUUCUCUCCAUUGCAAUUCCAAUUUUAGAAUUUAUUCUCGCCAUUUUAAUUUAAGUAUUAGCAUAUUCCAAAUCAUUUCCACCAUAAAUCCAACUACCCAUUUACAAAAUUAAUUCUACAUAAUUAAAAUCCACCUCCUCGUGGGAUCGACACUCGUCACCAUUGAUCUAUACUACAAUAGAUUCGUGCGCUUGCGAGUACAUUAAAAUUUGCACAACACCUACCAAUCACAAAACACAGUUAAGAUAUUCCGGCAUAGAUUCUCUAAUGUCUAAGUCAAAUAUUUGGUAUAUAAAGGAAGGAAAAUGGUUUGAGAAAACCUAAAAUAAACUAAAGUUAAGUGGGAUUUAUGGUGUUCCAAGAUGGUGCACAAUAAAAUAAUGUCCUAUUGAAUAAAAUUCUUAUUCCCCGCUUCAUUGACUCACAUAUUCAAUUAUGGUUAGAUCAAAUAUGAAUUCAUGUAUCUAAAAGUUCCUGAAGUGGAUGAGGAGCCUGGUGGAAGAUGGAGCUUUGCCAUAGAGGACAAUGUCGUUCCCUUUAGAGAUGGCAAAAAAAUCUAAGCCCAGCUCAGAUCCACAAAUAUCCGAACGAUCUGGAUUCAAAUGUAAGUGCAUUCUGAAAAUCGAAUAUUCGGAUCCGCAUUAUUUUUUAAUUAAAUUAUUUUAUUAGAUUAAAAAAUGUAUAAGUUAAAUAAAAAAAUCAAUCAUAUGUGGAUUUUUGGUAAUGUCUUCAUUUGUAAUGGUUUUAAAUGAAAUCUAUGUGGAUUUGUAGUGUUUUUAUUUGUGGAUUUGUGGUGGUGUUAGACUUGAAUUUAUGCUAUUUUGAUGUUUGAUUUAUAUUAUGGUAUUUGGAUCUAUGUAUUUAUGGUAUUAUUGUAUAUUAUUCUAGGUGUUGAAUUGUUGAUUGUUGAAUUAUUAUUGGAUUUUAUUUUAUUUUUAGAUAAAUUUGUUGAAUUUUAAAUUAUAUUUGAAUUUAUUACGUGGAUUCAAAUAUUAAAAAAAUCCGCUCGCAAUCCGCACGAGUAUUACCCACAUUCAAAUCCACAUAUAUUUUUUUUUAUGGAUUUAGAUGUAAUUACAAAUCUCAAAAUAUGAAUCUGGAUCUAAAUUUUGUCAUCCCUAAUUCCCUUACCUGAAGGACAUCGCCAAUGAAUUCUUAUUGUUAAUAAUUAUAUAUAAAUUUAUAGUAAGAGUUUAUGUUGACUUUGAAGUUUUGACUCAUCCAAAUUAUGUGUUUGGUAAUGAAGAAUUUGCAUUUCAAACUUCUUAUUAUUUUGUGAUAUGUAUGUAUGUACACACACACACACACUUAAUUUAUUGUGGGUCUUAGGUUGAAUUUCUAACCCCUUUCUUUAAUAGCUUAUUUGGUUUAAAUAGGUUACUUUUAGUGGGCAAUUGCAUCCUUGAAUCCAACCCACUCUCCUAGUGGCUUUAAGAGGUUUUCGCUAGUUGAGGGUUGUUGCGAGGUCAUUGUACUUAAUUUCUUUGACUAGAGGACACAUUUAGAGCACAUUUCUCUUGGCUAACUUAGGUCAUGUUUGGAAUUAAGGUGCUGUAGCAGCUAGUGUUUGCCAAAAGCUACAUCUGUUGUGGAAAAAAAACAGUAAUUAUGAAAAAAAAAGUUAAUUAUAUGUAGUAUAUAUAAAUUUUAAAUAAUAACUUUGACAAAAUUAUUAAUGAUAUAAUAGAUUUUCUAUCAUAUAAGUGAAAAAUCAUAUCAAUACAGCUUCCAAGCUACAGCAGCUAGUGUUUACCAAAUACUUUAGUAUUGUAUCUUUUAAGGUACAGCUGCCCAACCUCAAUUCCAAACACAGCCUUAGAUAAGUAGAUUCCUAGGUCACACAAAUGGAUUUCCAAGUCGAACUUGACGCGUUAUGAGGUGUAAAGUAGGAGUGAAAGGAUUUCAUAACCGGGUUUUGAAUAAGAUGACCUUUUCAUUUUUUUUUUUCAUAUUGCAAAAGUAAUAAGAAACAUAUAGGGGUAGACCGGUGCGUUUGCAGAUCACCACAUAGAUUUUAGGUUUUAUUUAUAAAGUUGGCUCAACAACAGUAGAUUCCAAUUGAGCUUAAGUCGACUGUAUUUUUGGUGCCAUUAGAAAAAAUCCAACCUAAACAUUGAUUCCCUAAUUUUUAAUAUUAGGAAGAUAUGAUCGGUGUUGGAAACUAAUUGUUGAAACAUACAAAAAUUUUAGUGAACUUAACGUAUAUGUGGUAAAGUUAUUGUUAAAACUUUCCCACAUAAUUAAUUCUCCUUUCAAUUCUUUGUGAUCAGUGAGAUGAAAGAAUCACGUGUUGUACCUCGUUAACUAUAAUACAAAUUAAUUUAUACACCCAACUUUCUAAGAGAAAGAUUACUCUAAUUAACAACACAUACAACUGGAUUAUUGUUAAAUGGAUUGUUUUAUACGGUUUAGAAGAAAAGACAUUCUCCUAUCAAAUGAUGAUUAUAAUUAUUAUUUUUGUUACUUGAUCAAAACUCAGUUAAUUUGAGAAUGAUUGUAAUAUUAAGCUUGUAGUUAUUGAUAGGGGUGGGCAAAUCGAACCAGAACCAAAAAAAAUUCAGUUUGGUUUGGAUUUUUUCAGUUUCGGUUCGGUUUUUUAACUCUCAAAAAUCCGAAAUUAUAAACACUGAACCGAAUGGUUCAGUUCGGUUCGAUUUCAGAUAAAAAAUUUGAAAAUCCGAACCGAACCGAUAUUAAGGUAUUUUUUGUAAUUUCACUAUGAUAUAUAUACCCAAACCACAAAUUCUACACCAAUCUCUCACUUUCAACUACACAAAAUCACGACCGCACAAACCACACACCCAAAUCUUAACUCCAUCUGCCGGUGGCUGAUAAUGCCGAUCUGCCGCUACCGUUCCUUCCAUUGCUCCCUGGCCAGCCAGCCAACUCACUUACUUGCUAUGCUUUCUCUCUUUUUCUUUUUUUUUUGAAAUGGGUCUUUUUUUUUUAAAUGAUUCUUUAAUCUUUUGUAAUUUCAUGGUUGCUUUACUUAUUAUUACUGUAUUAGAUUAUUAAUUGUAUUUGAUUUUAUUAGCUUUGUUUGGAUCUGUAUAUGUGAUUGGAUCUGCAAAUGUCACUGUUGCUAGGUGAGAAACAGAGAAAGUCGCGAAGUGGAGAAGAUAAUGGAGGAAUAAUAUCAUUUAGAUCCAUCUCUUUUAUAUAAUAUUAGUGUGGCCCAAUACUUAGGAAAUGUUUGCAUAUAAGAAUUCUAUUGUGGCCUAAUUUGUUUGUAAAUUUUCAAAAUGGUCCUUGACCGAAAGUCAAAAUUCAAAUACCGUUAAAAAACUGAAAAACCGAACCGAAGCCGAUAGGUCGGUUUCGGUUCGGAUUUUAUUUUCAAAAAACCGAACGGUUUUUUAAAUUUUCAGAUCCGAACUUACGCCCACCCCUAGUUGUUGAGGGACUUGUUAAUUCUAGCAUCAACGAAACACAUGAAAGAAAUUCAUACAUCAUCCACUGGUUCUUGAAAACAUUUACUUCAUACAAUCUAUUUGGAAACCAAUGACGUGGGUUUGAUUUUUGUUGGACCAACUUCUUACAUUAGCAAACGAGGAAGACGAUUAGAUAUAAUCAUAAAAAUGUGUGAAAAAGUUGUCUUGGAAUUUAAUGAGAAUGUAAACAUUAACAUUUAUUUGUUGACAGGAUGAAAUCCACCGACAUAAAUACUACUUCACAUUUACUAAUCUCCACGAAUCUCUUUUGACAAAGCCGGGUUGUGAAAGCAGAUUGAUAAGGUAGAUAAAUAUUAGAUAUUGUUCUAAUAUCAAAUUAAGUUAACAUGAUUAGGUUACAUUUUAAUUGAAAGUGUUAUUAGAUCUCGUUCUAGUCUAAAUGGCUUACUAAAUUUUGAUAAUGCCUUAAGCAAGAUUAGAUGAUACUCUAAUUUAAAUGAUUGUAUAAAAGAGAUUUUGAUACAUAAUUGCAAAGGAAAUUAUAAAAGAAAAGUUUUCAUUAAUCAAAAGGUUAUGAAAACAAUUACAAAAUUUCUAUAUUUAUAAUAGGAUAAACCUACUUCAUAAAGUUAACUUAAAAUAAAAAUUAAAUAGCAAUUAUACUUGAAAUAAAAAACUAAAACACAUAUCAUAAUUGAUUCUAAUUAAAAAUGAAGCAUAUCAAAAUAUCGAAAUAACAAAAUUCUAAAGUCUUGAAACGAUGACUUACAUUAGUCUGCCCCCUUUAAAAGAAACACGUGCUCGAAUUUGGAUACAAUUUAGAGGAUGAGACUUAUAAUAUAAGAGCAAAUCAUCUUGUAACUCUUGUUGUCUUCCUCAUCAAUCUUUAUUGAAACUUUGAAGAAUCCAUAUUUCAUUGAUUCCUUACUUAUGCAUUCUUCAAGGCAAUAAAGACUUCCAAGAAACGAACAAUGAUAAAAAAAAAAAAAAAAACUCUUGCCUUUCUCUAAUUUUUGCUCAUUGUACUCACCGACAAUUUUACCUUUCAGUCAAAUCUUCUUUAAGAAUAAUCCUUUUUAUUUUCAAUGUGGGUAGAUAUAAUCAUGUCAAUUAUUGUUGGAUCUCUUCAGCUUGAUUUUGCUGCACAAACUCGAUCAUACUAUUGGGCUCAAUGCCCAAAUCAAAGUACGUUCUAUCUCUUCUUUAAAAAUCUUAGAUAAAUCAACAAUCCCAUCAUCUUCUACUUUCAGUAGUGUAAAAAGAAAAGGUUCAACAUCAUCACAAUGAAGAAAAUAAUCUUUCAUUGAUUGUCUCACAUCAAACCAUUCUUGGAUUUUAUCUUGUCCUUGUUGAAUCCUUGAUUCUUGUAGUUGUUUCUACCAUUCUAAAGCAUAACAUGUUAAGACAAUUUAGAGAAAAUCAUUCAUCAUGCAAAUCCAAUAAAAAAAUCCUCAAGAUAACAAUCAAAAUCCAAGAUAUUUUCAAUUUUAAGGAGACAAUGUGAAUCUUGAUACCUAUUUUUGUCAGCUUUUUUUUUUAAUUAAGAUAGCGUUCACAUUUUGAAUUAGAAUGAGAGUCUUGAAGAGUGAGAAUAUUGGAUUUAGGAGUGUGGAGUGGCUGUAGGAGUAAAUUGUUUACUUACACUGGAAUAAAAGUAUGAAAUUGGAAUCAAAAUCUAAUUUAUAUGUUUACUUUGUUUGAAUUGGGAGUAAAUGGUUUCAAAUUAGAGUUUUAGUUUUAUUUAAAGAAUUAUAGUUUUUAAUUACAAAAUUAAUAAAAAAUACUGCUGUACCGUACAUCCGCCUUGGCCGUACAGCAGUCAAGUAGUUUUGAAUCUUAAAACAAACAAAAUUUUUCAUUAUCAAAUGAACAAGAAAAACCAGAUUUGUCCAAAGUAGAAAUAGAAAUCAAAUUUCGCCUAAAAGAUGGAAUAACAAAUGUUUCAUCAAGAUCUAUAUAAAAUCUAGUCUUUAACAGUAAUCUAAAAUUUCCAAUCGCUUAUACUUUAACUGUCUUGCCAUCGCUCACAUGGAUAUAUCUUUCACCAUCACUGGGUUUUUAGCAACUUGGGAAACCUUGCAUAGACAAACUGAUGUGAGUGGUUGCACCAUAAUCUAUCCAUCACAUGUGUCUAGAUACCGAAGUUAAAUUAGCCUAAGAACAAACCAAACUAAGAAGCAUACCUUUCUUAGCACGCCAUGUGUGACAAUUAGUGCAAUGAUUUGAUCUUCUUAUGCCCUUCAGCCCCACAAAAGAAACAACUAGUAACUUUCUGAUCACCUGGUCUCUUUUGUUGUUUCUUUUGAGGUGUUGUAUCUGCAGCUUCCUUAUCCUUCUUCUUUUUCUUGCCCUUAGAUGUAGAGGCUAGGUGAACACUUUUUGCCUUAUAUUUUUUCAACUUAUCAUCUUCUUGAACAAAGUGUGAUAUGAGCUUAUUUAGAGACCAAGUCUCUUUCUGACAAUUAUAACUCACCUUAAACUGGUUAAAUUGUGUUGGUAAAGAUAUUAAAACCAAAUGCACUAGCAAGUUCUUGGAGAGUUUAAACUUAAGUGCUCAUAAUGUAGAAGCAAGAUGAGACAUCUCCAUAAUGUACUCCUGAUAUUGCUUUUAUCAGUAUACCUUAUUGAAACUAGGCUUGUCAAGAGCGUACCAAUUUCAACCUUUUCGUUCUUGACAAACUUCUGUUUAAUUUGUGCAAGGAACUCUUUAAUCAUAGUUGCUUUUUCAAUCAUUGAGGCCCUAAAUGCUUCUGGGAAUGGCCUUAUUCAUGAUCAUGAUACAUAUGCAAUUUGAUCUCUCCCAUCUUUCUAUUUCCCUUUUAGCAUCAGGGUACUCUCGUCUGUAAGAGGUGAGAGAGAAUCAACCCUGAACGUAAGGUCAAGAUCGAUGAUUGCGAGAACUAUUAAGAGGUUUUCUUGUCAUGAUUUGAAGUUAGAACCAUUUAGUAUAUGAAUAUAAUUGAUGUUGACAAUAAUAUUAGCAGCAAGCAUAAUUGAACAGAGAAUAACAAACAAACAAAACAAGCUCAUAUUAGUCAUAAAACAAAAUGAAUUCAAAUAAAGGUAAACCCCAUCUAAAGAUACCAGACACUCUAUUAAUAUUCUAUUUUUGGACAAAAUAUUAACUUGUUAGUGAUAUCUCGGUGUAGUAAUCAAACACUGAUAAUAAGAACAUGUCAAAUAAUAAAUCUUCAUUUGGGUUGAUUUAUUGUUCACAUGUAAAAUCGAAUAAUCAUCACGUGGUUAUUACCACAGGUGCAUAUGCAAUUAUAUUAAAUAUGGACCUUCCUUUCGGCUGAUCGAUAUUUACAGAAAUUACAUGUACAAUACUGUUUAUAUUUCAAAAUAAAUUAAUUUCCACAAGGGUGGUCACUUUAGCGACAUGUUGCUUCAAUUAAUUUAUCUCAAAACAUAUAUAAACCUACUAAUAUUUAAAUUUAAAUUGCACCAAAAUUUACAAAAAAAUUUAAAAAUAAACAUUAGGGUAAAAAAUCGGUCAAUGGUCAAAGUCAACAAUCAAUGGUUGACCAUUGAUCAUUGGUUGACUGGUUCGACUGAACCAGUUCUGGUUGACCCGAUCGGAUUUGAACCAACCCUAAUCCAAAAAAGUAAAAAAUGGAGGGGAGUAGGAACUAGGAAUCUACUCCCACCUCCAAUAUGAAAGUAGAAAUCUCACUCGUCAAUCGUCACUCGAAAAAUAAGUGGAGCUCAUAUGGUAGGAUUUUCACUCCUCCUUUAAAUAAACAUUUAAGUGAGAGGAAUUCACUUCUCACUCCCACUCAAAUAAGUAAACAUAGUAUAAAAAUACAACUAAUGACAAAACCAUAAAUAACCUAAUUUUCAACGUUUGGUGUUGUCGACAAUUGGUGCUUGUGAUUUGGAGUGGUGAGGGUUAGAUAUAGUAGAUAUAAUCACGAUAAACGCAACGGUAGCUAAAGAUUGAUCAGAAUCGCAAUCAUUUGGUUGGAAAAAUGACUUGACGUAGCAGCGGCACGUGGUGGUGAGGUGGCGUUUUGCGACAAAGAUUGCAGCAAUGACGGGUGAUGAUGAUGGUUGCUCUUGAUGUGCGGCUAAAGGGGAGGGUGUUAGUGGUGUCAAACUGUCAAUCGACGGUAAAGGUAACUAAACGAUUGCGGGUUGAGUGAUGAAGCUUGCAGGUUUGGAGGGUUGCUGUGGUGAAUUGGUGAUUUAUGGCGGGGAAAAUCCGAGUGUGAUGGCAAGGGUUUUGGUCAUCGACUAAUGGUUAUUCUGGUGGUGGGCUGAAUGACAGCAAUGGUCGAAGCGACGACAGCUGAGGUGGCGGCUAGAGUUUUAUUUGGGAAUUUUUGAUUUUUUUAUUUCAUUGGUGGAUUCAAUGAGAUGAAUGUAAAUAGCCAGAAAACAGUGUAACUAACACAAAACUUUUAUAAUACCAAUUGACAUAACAAGAUAACGAAAGUAGAUUAAUGGGUAAAUAAACACUAAAUAUCGUUUUAGUACUAAAUCAAACCUAAGCGAUUAGAUUACGCUGUAUUCGAAGCAUGAUUAAAUCUUGUUCUAAUACAAAUGACUCAAUGAAUUUUGAUAAUAUUUUAAGCGAGAUUCAAUGACCUUAUGAUCCACACAACUCUACAAUAAAAAUUUCAAUAGCUAGUUCCAAAAGAAAUUAUUAAAAAAGGAAUAUGAUCCUCUCCUGAUCUGAACUCUACUGAGCUUUUAAAAAUCUUUUGUCAUGUAUUCUUUAGUGGUAGUGUAUAGGUAAAAUUUAACUUCUUUUAUUUUUUUAUUUAUUAACAACCAAUUAACAAUUGAUUUAUUUUCUCAGAAUAUAAUCAGAUCAGGAGAGAAUCUUGACCCUAUGAAAACAAUAACAAGACCUCCUUAUUUAUAAUAGGGUAAACCCACUUCUCCAAGUUAUACUGAAAAUAAAAACCUAAAACACAUCAUAAUUGACUCUAAUUAAAAAUAGAAAACAUCAAAAUACCUAAAUAAAAAAAUUCUAAAAUCUUAAAAUAACAUCUUUUUUUUUUUUGUUCAAUAAAUAACAAUGGCUAAAUUAAACCACAUAACCACAGCCAUGACCAACCCUAUUGAAUAUUUGCAACACAAGCACACAAUGUUUCUAUUAGUCAACAAACCAACCAUACAAUUCUAGCUUCCACGAUAGGUAGUGAAUGAGAAUGGUGAGAGCAGCAGAGGAACAUGAAAAUGUUCUCGCUUUUGUGACUCCCUGAUCUCAAACACAAUAGAAACAUAGGGAAAAAAUCCUUCUGGACAGUAUUUACCAGUGUUGAAAGUUAUCUUGUAAAAUCCAGGGUUCAAGUCUUCAAUCAUGCCCAUCAAUUGACCACAUCGUCCAUCUUUAUUUGUAGUUGAAGACCCCUGGUACACCCACCCACUGACAUCUGUUUCGCCAAAGAGGGGACGUGGUUGGAUGCCCUUCCACAUUUCCAAACGUACCUCAACACCCGCAGCUGGAGACCCUUGAGAAACAUCCAAGACAUGUGUUGUAAUUGGUAGUCGAGUUCUUGUAGGGAUUUGAGAUAUUUUCCCUGCUGAAGCUUCAGUAGAAGCACAUAGGUGUCCUUCUAUGAUGCUCACACGAUCUUCUAGAUUGAACAAGGAAAAAGAAAAAAUUAACAUUUAUCGAAACAUUAGGGUAGUUGGUAACAAUUCAGGAAAAAAAUGCUAGAAACAAAAAAUAUCAAGUCCUUAAAAAAAAAAAUUGGAUGGGGAUGAGAAACCUCACCCGCUAAACACCAACGCUGCUCCCUAUUAUUACUCAAACUCAGUUUAAUCAUUUAAUUUUCUUUAAAUCGAUGGUCUGUACUAAAGUUUUGUUUGGUAUUAAGAUGGUGUAACUUUUAUGCCACGGCUGCAAUGGAAAAAAAGCUAUAGCUAGAAUUAUGAAAUAAAAACUGUUAGUGUGUGAUAAAUAUGUUUUAAAUAAUAAUUUUAACAAAAAUAGCACAGAUAUUUUAGGCUUUUCAUGAUAAAGUAUGCAAUCAAAUCAACUCAUCUUCUAAGCCACAUUAGCAAAUGUUUACCAAACAUUUUAGUGUUAUAACUUUUAAGCUAUAGUUGUCCAACCACAAUACUAAAUAGGGGCAGUGACACUUAAUCCAAUUCAGAAUUUGUCUGUUCAAAAAUAAAUUUUCAUAUUUUUCCCUUCAUCUCCAUUUUUCCAUUUUUUUUCUUCCCUGGACAGCAAACUUGAUUCUACAUAAUCAGAACAGUUGAUACACAGAAUGAAUAAUGUAUGUGUUCCAAACAAAUUUUAUUUGCUUAUUGCAUGACGGAGAGAAAAUAAAUUUAAUCUAAGGGAUCAGAAACUAAAUUGCAUCUGUAGAGCAAGUGCAAGCAAAGAUUACCUACUUUUUCAGGGGGGAGACAGGGAGAAUUAAAGGUCCAUAAUAUCGUCUAUCCAUGCAUUAGUUGCUUGUUUCCUAACAAUUAAAUGUAGUGACCAAAUAAAAAGCCCUGCUUGAUUGAUGGUAAAAGGGUACCUUCUGCUGUUUUUGCAGUUGCAGAAUACUGGAAAGUUGCAGAAGAAGCUUUUGCUUUAGCUGAGAAGAGCUUUGCCAGACGUAAUUCAGUUAUUUUCAUUUGCUCCUGAGCAGCAAUCUCAAACUCAAUUAUGGGCCUGUUUGUGUAUCGUUUCUGCCAAGACCAACACAGAUAAUAAAUUUUAUUAAGCAUCCAAUCUGGUACAUUAAAAUGGGCAUUGUAAUGAACUUUGUUUGAGCAAAACAAAAGCAGAACCGCUGCUGGCCUAGUAAUAUCAAUUAUUCAGCAAAGUUGAAGGAUGAAUGCAUUUCACACUAGGGUUAUCUUCUGCGGAUGAGUAGAUGCAAGACAACAUCUCUGCUAGGAGCAAAAGUAUACAAAAUGUAAUAACCAUAAAAAAUGAAACAGAGUGGGGCGAAAAAAGAUCUUGAUGUGCUGAGAAAUGUUCUCUGUUUGAGAAAUAUUAUCACAUAAAAUCAUAGACUGACCGCAAAGAAGCAAUCUAUGAAUCACUGAUAAAGUAAGUCAAUAAUAUAAAUUACUUCAAGUUCAAAAUGCUUUUUCUAAUGUGAGUAAAGAAAGUGGACGGCAGUAAGAUUAACAAACCUUCAACUCAGCAAGUAUUUCGGCAGCCGUCCUCCCCGAUGCACAUAUAAUAAAUAUAAAUCCAAAUCUCAGCCUGUACCGAUUAUUCCAGUCGGACAGUUCCUACAACAUUUUGAAAAAGGAGGGAAAAAAAAAAGCACUUAUAGGGAGAGAUAAUUAAACAAGUGUUAAGCACACAUAACUCAUUCCUAGAAAUAAGGCCACAUGCCAAGUAGCACUCAUCCUUACAUGCGAAAUCUUAGCUUAGCAAUGCGAGACUCGAUUACAACAGGAGAAAGGAAUUGAUAUAUUCAUUUGACUAACCUGCGAGCUAGAUUCAUUAGCAGUUGCUAAAGCAGUGGACUGCUCGGCCUUGCUCCACCUACCACCAUCCAAAAAGAAAUUAAUAGGAUAUAAAAAAUAAAAUAAAAAGCUAGAAUCUAUCAAGUAAUUGUAAUAAGAGACGAGAAAAGAGUAAGAAAAGAAAACUGUGAAGACGGAGAUUGGCCGAUCUGAGGAUGAGCCGAAAAUGCAUCAAGCCAGCCGUUUACAUCAACCUUUAUAUUAAUUCGUAAGUUGUUGAAAAUAAAAUUAGAAUUUCACAUAAAUUAAGGGGGGGAGAGAGAGAAUCUGAGCGAAGAAAAGCGAUAUGACGAAAGUCAAUACCAGGUUGAACCAGAUGUGUCGAGCUGCUGAGACGGCUUGAUUCAAUGAUGCAAAAGGUGAGGCCGACGCCAUCUCUUUCGCAAAUUUGGUGCUACCGCAGCAUCCCAACAACUCCUCCUCAUCCAAAACCACCAUCAUCUCCUCCAUUUCUCGGGUGUCUGUCGAUCACUCAUCAAUCAACCCAAUAUAUUCUAAUAAUACCAUUCAUUAUUAAAAAAAAUUAAUAUUUGACGUAAUCACCUACCCUUUUUUAUGGCUUAUUUAAUAGUUUUUGACGUGAUUUAUUUAAUACUAAUAAGUAUUUAUUUAAUUUUAUAAAUACUUAUCAAAAUUUUUGUUAUUAUUUAAUUGAGCUUUUAACCUGUCGACCACUCAUCAACCAACCCAAUAUAUUCUAAUAAUACCAUUCAUUAUUAAGUAAUUUUAAUAUUUGACGUUAAUUAUCUAUUUAAUAUGUCUUAUCUAAUAAUUAUAAGUAUUUAUUUAAUAGUCAUAAGUGUUUAUUUAAUUCUAUAAGAUAUUAUGAAAAUUUUUAUUAUUAUUUGGUUGAGUUUUUAAUGAAGAUUUUGAAAUUUAAAUAAAUUAUUUUACUUCAACUAGUAAAAAUUUAAAUUUUAAGAUUUUUGGGGAUUUUAGAAGUAGAGGUUGAAAUUUUUUUUAAAUUUUAAAAUAUCCUCUAUUUAUUGAACAAUCUUAUUUUAUUUUUUUAUAACGUAACUAAAAAAACUUACCUAUUAAAAUAAUUUUAUAAUUUUUAAUAAAAGUUGUUAUUAACAAUCAAACAACUAAAAAUUUUUAAAUAAAAAUUUUACUUGUAAAAACUCUACUAAUAAAAACUUUACUUAAAUAUACUCUACUUGAAAAGAUAUACCAAAUAGAGCCUAAAUGCUUAUAUAAUUUUAAAAACUCUUAAUAAAAUUUUUAUUAUUAUUUAAUUAUUUUUUUAAUAGAACUUUUAAAAAUUAAAUAAAUUAUUUUACCUCUACUAAUAAAACUGCUGUACCGUACAUCCGCCUUGGCCGUACAGCAUUAUUUUAUUUUAUUUUUUAUAAUAUAACUUUUAAAAAUUCACAAUCAAACAAUUAAAAUUUUUAAAUAAAAACUCUAGUCAUAAAAAUUCUACUAACAACAAAAUGUGGAAAAAGACAAAACAAUCAAAAUCCUCCUAAUUGUAAAGAGAAUAUACUAACAACAAUCGGUAGGCGUCCCUUUUCUUUAACAGAAUCAUAAAUAAAAAGGAUGCCAUUUCCUUUUUAUUUUCUAAUAUGUUAAGUUAACAAUGAUGAAUUUGGUUAAUGAAAAUCGUCGUCAAUUUUUCUCCAAAAAUAAUAAUGAUAAUAAUCAAAAUGUACAAACGUGUUAUGCGGGAGCGGUUUAGGGUGCUUUCAGUCUUUUCCUUCGAUAGCAUUACAACCAUUUUAGGAAAGUAUUAAUUGGGCGUUGUUAAGUUACAUUAACCUUAAAAGUUAUAAUUAGUGAUUUAAAAUUUGACGACGAUGAAAAUUUUUAGCUUCUUUUUAUUUUUUUAUUUUGAAAAGAACCUCUUUUUAAUCAAUUUCCAAAAUGUUGGAUAGAAAUUGAAGACGCGCCGCGGACCAUCUAAUCGAACUCGCGCCUGAUGAGAUGUGAAACGCCUUGCCCCUGCGGCCACGGUGACGUCUCUCAAAAAGUUGUCCAUAUCUCUCUUGCAAACGUUCUGAAGAUGAACCAAACCUGUCUGUAAUAACUUGUGAUUGGUGAAUUGAAUCGAGAGAGAAGAGAUCGUUUCCGCAUUCCCUAUUCGUCUUCCCGUUUUUCCAGCUCUAUCAAGUUCGUUCAAGAUGGCUUCUGCUCAAUCACAGGAAGACCAGGUAAGCUUUUCUCUUCUAAGUUGUUUGCAUGGUCUGUAUUUACUUCGCCUUGGCGAUGGCCGAUGUCGUUGGGGUCCAUCACAUCACUUGUGUUUUGGCUUUUUUGUCCUCUGUCUCGAUUACAGGUCUUAGAAGAAGAGACCUCAUUUGUAAGAAUAUUGACACUAAACAGGCCCAGGCAAUUGAAUGCACUUUCAGCUCAAAUGGUAUUUAAUUUUUAUCAUUCCUUUUACUUGUUUAAUGAAAAACCGUACCCCAUUUAUUCAUAUUAAACUCAUCUUCUUGCUCUUUCUCCUUCUACUUUACUAUUUUCUGCCCAAUUCUAAUAAUUUUUAUUUGCUUUUCAAUUCGAGUUAUAGAUUUCUCGGUUAUUGGAACUUUUCCAGCGCUAUGAGACCGAUUCGAACGUGAAGCUCUUAAUUCUCAAGGUUUAUUUCUUCUUCUUCUUCUUCUUCUUAGCAUAAAAUAGUUUUUUUUUUUUUUUAAACCGUAAUCCAUGAUAUUGGUAUGAAUUUAGUAAUAUCUAUCUCUUUCAUUGUAAUUGCAACCCGUUCUUUUUCAGUCUUGCAGCUAACGCAUAAUUAUUUGUUUCUAGGGAAAAGGAAGGGCAUUUUGUGCUGGUGGUGAUGUGGCCGCAGUUGUUCGCGGUAUUAAUGAGGGUAUAUUCCAUCCUUCCUUUUGUCCUAUUUCAGGAACAUCUGAAGAAUCUCAUUUGUCCUAGUGAAGCUUGUUCCAUGAAAAGUUCACUGCUCCUUGUUAAUCAUUUUUUACAAUAGGUGAUUGGAUAUCAGGUGCCAAAUUCUUUUCCAAGGAGUUCAUCCUGAAUUAUUUGAUGGCAACGUACACCAAACCCCAGGUGACCCAUUCUACUAAACCUUGUAUUAUUUGUGGCAUUCACCUUCCAGAUAUACAAGUUUUUCCUUAUAGUUGGCAUGCAAUUGGUGCUCAAGGUUUCAAUUCUUAAUGGAAUUGUCAUGGGAGGUGGGGCUGGUGUUUCAAUACAUGGUAGAUUCCGAGUUGCUACUGAGAAUUCGGUGUGUAAUACUGCUCUCUUUUUAGUUAUUAAGGUUAAGUUGUUACAAUUUUCAGUUAAUCACUGAUGAUGAUAAUUUCUUAAUUUUUUAGCAUCAAGAACACUGAACUGAUAUUGGUUAUCUGUAUUUUCUAAAAUAUAUAAUCUACUGGUAAACAGUGUGAAAGCAUGAUGAACAAGAAAUUAAUUCUGAUAUAACUGGAAUACAAACUCUGUUCAUACAAACUGAUGUGGCACCCACAUUAUCUUUUUUAUUCUGGUGAAAAUUUGAGGCAUGUGGCUACGAUAUAACAAUUCCACAUUAGUUUGUACAAAUUCACUUUGUACAAGAAUAUGUAUAGAUGGCAUUACCUUUCAAUAAAUGCGUUUUCUUGUAAAAUUAGUGGCUCUAACCUUAUUAGUAAUUGUGUCUCGGUAUUCUAUAUUGCAGGUAUUUGCAAUGCCUGAGACAGCUUUGGGACUUUUCCCAGAUAUUGGUGCCUCUUAUUUCUUGUCAAGACUCCCUGGAUUCUUCGGUAAUGCUAGCUACUUUCUUUAUUUUCUUAAACAUGCUCUUACUUUAAAAGUUCUUGCGGCCCUUUCAAAUGUGGAGAUGUUGUUUCUUUCUUCCAUUUAUGGGGUUUGCAUCCCACUUGAGAGAGCUCUUUAAUUCAAGGAAGAAGUGGUCCCAUCUCUCCUUACCAGUUGAUCUCCUAGCAUAAUCCUUCCUAUUCCUCUUGUUCUAUCAUCUAAUCCUAGUGUUGAAUUGUGUUCGUGAGAUUAAAAAAUUGAUAGGAUAAGUGUUUUAGUUUGAAAAUAUGUGGAAUUUUCUUGGUAUCUAUUAAAGGAUUUUCUGAUCUGUAAAAUGAGUUAUCAGUAAUGCUACUUUGACAAAAGGAUUCUUACAAAAUUUUGACAAAAACUUCAAAACACAGCCGUUGAAUGAAAAAGGAUUAUUAAAUAGUAAUAGUGCAUGAGAUAUUGAUCUCUCCUUGUUGCUGCACAUCCACCCACCGACGGCACACUGCCAACCAAUGCCGGAAACUGGUUCAAAGGCACUGGUGCUGGAUCCUAAAGAGUUGGUUGAUGGUGUGAUCAAUCUAAAAUUCUCCAGUCAACAGUUUGUUUUUUUCGGUGUCGGUGCUGGUAGUGGCAGUAGCUUGAUUUGGUCUUUGGUGAAAGGGUUUGUGAGGUAAAUAUUUUGAUUUGGGUAAAUUCUAAUUUUUUGUAACCAGCCAUCAGGUGAAUUCUAAAAUCAUCUUCCCUUUAAUUAUUCUUUGGGAAGAAAUAUUUCGUGGAGUGGAUGUGUUGGUGUUUGAGAGAAUAAUAUCACCGACAUAAUUAUUAAUCAUGCCGAAUUUUGAAAGCAAUAAAGGAAAGGAGGUGAAAGAGAUUUUAGUUGAUGAUAUAGAGUCCUGAUGAUAGAUUGCCAUGAAGUACAUAUUGUUGGUCAGCUGUUUUAAUUUUUUCCCUUUUUUAUUCAACUUAAGUUGAACGGCUGUGUUUUGGACUUUUUUGUCAAAAUUUUGUAAGAAUCCUUUUAUCCGAGUAGCAUUACUAAUAAGUUAUAUAGGGUAAUGUGUCUAUUUUGUUGUUGUUUAAACUUUUGUAGAUGAUAUUAACUUGAACUUCUCUUAUUUUCUUAAUUAUCUUCUACAAUUUUUGGCAGGAGAAUAUGUUGGUCUGACAGGUGCAAGGUUGGAUGGUGCUGAAAUGCGUGCAUGUGGUCUUGCUACUCACUUUGUCCCCUCAUCGGUAUCCAUGACUAUAAUCAUUGGACUGCAUAUUCUCAAAGGAUAAGAGAUAAAAUUGAUUUAUUUAUAAUAGGAUGCUGAAGUCCUGAAGCUAAUAUUUGUUUUCUAGAAUCUGAAGUUCAAUCUUCAUUGCUCUAGGUGUGGAAACUGCAAUUAGUAGGUCUAAAAACUUGUUAAGCCCAGUCAUUUUAGCUUAAAUUUGGUGAACUGUUUUUUUCAAUUUUGGAAGAUCUCCUGUUCUGGCACUGUUUGAUGAUGUUAUUACUAGAAUAAAAUAUGAAUAAUUAGUGGUUUUAUGGGUGCACGUGCAUCUUAUGUAUUGACCUCCAAGUCGUGCACUUUUUAAUUUUAUUACUUAUAAUCAUGUGAGUACUCUUACCAUUUCGAUGCUACUUUUUUGACUUGAUUGACAGAGAUUGGCUUUAUUAGAAGAAGCAUUAUACAAGGUAAAUUCAAGUGAUCCAGCCGUCAUUUCAGCAGUUAUCGAUAAAUUCUCUCUGGAACCUUAUUUGAAAGACCACAGUGCAUAUCAUUGGUAAAGUAUUCUAUUUAUAGCUUUGCUUUGUAUUGGUUGAUAUAAAAUAAUUGAUUUGGGCUUAUUGAUUAUUUUAAGUUCUUUACCAAGGCUAUUGCACUCAAUGCUCAGUUUAGUCUCCCANNNNNNNNNNNNNNNNNNNNNNNNNNNNNNNNNNNNNNNNNNNNNNNNNNNNNNNNNNNNNNNNNNNNNNNNNNNNNNNNNNNNNNNNNNNNNNNNNNNNNNNNNNNNNNNNNNNNNNNNNNNNNNNNNNNNNNNNNNNNNNNNNNNNNNNNNNNNNNNNNNNNNNNNNNNNNNNNNNNNNNNNNNNNNNNNNNNNNNNNNNNNNNNNNNNNNNNNNNNNNNNNNNNNNNNNNNNNNNNNNNNNNNNNNNNNNNNNNNCCCCCCCCCCCCCCCCCAAAAAAAAAAAAAAAGUUCCGUGAUUACUCUGUUUUUGAUGGAGGAGAGGUGGGUGGGAGAGAGGUUGCUUGCUUCCAGAAAGGUCACAACUGAAUUUAUUCCUGGGAAAGCAGUUACCUAUGAAUUUACAGCUUUUGGACUAUAACUAUGAUCUUCUGCAUGUACUUUAUGUGCAAUUUCCAUUUUUAUGGUUUUAGAAUAUUCCCGUCAGCAAUUUCUUGUCUACAAUGCAUGGACAAUAAACUGAUCAGAAUUUGGUCUAGUCAAAUCAGAACAUGGACUAGCCAAUCUAGAUUUGCUAUGUUUUCCUUUUAUCCUUAUAUCAGUGGUUGCUUCGCUUAGGAUGGAUGUCAUUGAUAAGUGCUUUUCCCGAAGAACAGUUGAGGAAAUUUUAUCUGCUCUGGUGAGUUGAUGAUGGGUUUGGUUCUUUAUGGAGUCAAAAUAUUUUCUCUGUAAAUUACUUCAUUUUCGUUUUGGUUGUUCUGCUUGAUCAUGAAGAAAAUUGUUUGCCGUAAAUAAAUUGAUCCAUCUUAUGCUUUCUUACAUGUAGGAGAGCGAGAGCACCAACAGAGCAGAUGCUUGGAUUUCUGAUGCCAUUCAGUCCUUGAAGAAGGCGUCACCAACAAGUCUUAAAAUUUCUCUUAGAUCGGUAUGUGUUUAGCAUUCCUUUUGUAAUGACAUUUCAUUAUGCCGAAAGUUCUUUUGAAGUGCUUGCUUAUUUGCAAUUUUUGAAAGUUGGCUGGCUAAAGCUGGAUUUGUUCCUUUUAUUUCAGAUUAGAGAAGGGAGGCUGCAAGGUGUUGGUCAAUGCCUUAUUCGCGAGUAUAGAAUGGUCUGUCAUGUCAUGAUGGGAGAAGUUAGCAAAGACUUCUUUGAGGUUUGCAACCCAUUCAAAUGCGCGCACGUGUGUGUGAAAUAAUUUUCCAUUAACGAGUUCCUUACUUAAAGUAAGAAGGAACAAGCUAAAAAAUACAAAAAAAAAAAAGGUUUCAAUAACAAUCUUUGAAAGUCUCUGAAAGUUUGUUUGUUAUACAGGGUUGCAGAGCCAUUCUAUUAGACAAGGAUAAGAACCCGAAGGUUGGUGAAUUCUCUUCCAUAUCCUUUCAUCUGUGCUUCCAUGCUCCAUUUUUGGGUUUCGGAAACUAACUCCUUGCAAUUGCACUCAGUGGAAGCCGUCUAAAUUGGAGCUAGUCAAUGACAAUAUGGUUGACCAAUAUUUCUCCAAGAUCAAUGAUGACAGAUGGGAAGAUAUAAAGCUGCCUGCUAGGUCGAACUUGCCCGCCACAGCCAUUGCGAAGCUCUAAGUAAUUGUGAGAAUGAGUUGGUAUUGCUGCAGCUUGCUGCCAUGCUUGCCUAACAGAAUUUGUCCAAUGGAAGUAGAUGAAAUCCUUGUCCGUUGCUGUUCUUUCAAACAAAAUAAGGAUUGAGCUUUGUUGAUGCUUCUUUGUACCCCCUUCAUAGUGUACAAUACAUGAGACUGUUUCGGCUCUGGCUUAUCUUUUGAGGUGUAGGUCAGGGUGAGGUUAGUUUUACCUAUAGGCUUCGAUGAGCUUGCUGAUUUGUGAUGGCAAUAGCAUGAACAAGAACAUUGCAAGUAUCCCUAACCAUCAGCAUUUACAAUUUAUAAAGUUUCUGGGGGGAUCUUCCAAACAAAUGAAAGUAAACAGUUGAUUGAUAUUGAUUAUUGAUUCCCGACAAGGAAGAGACGAAAUUAUUGGGGGCUUGCACUUGCCCGUUUAACAAAUCAUAAACAUCAUCUGUUUACUUGGGGUACAUUACUAAUAGCAGUGAAUCAGUUGUUAUGAUGGUCCAACUAAGAUUCUAAUUAUCAAUGGGCAUUUGGUCUAAUGAGAGAAGUUUUGUAUUUACAAUAUUGAGUGUAAGGGUUCGAGCUUCCAUAAGAGGCUUAUAAAUGUUAAUUUUAACUAAUUGAAUGAAGACAGUUUUUUUUUUACGAAAUCUAAGUGGAGUAGGUACUUCUUUCAAUUAAUUGAAUAGAGACAGUCUUUUUCUUACGAAAUGUGAGUAGAGUAGGUAUUUCUCGAAUAUUAAAGAGAGUUUAAUGUAUUUGGACAAGUGCUUCACACCCCUUGAAUAUUCAACCACAUCUUUAUUGCUCCAACUUCUUUGUUCCAGUAAUUCUUGCUUUACAAUUUCCUUGCAUUUCCCAUAAAGGCUCUACGAAUCCUCAUAGUGUAGUCGAGGAAAUGUUCUUCUAUUAUAUCUUAGCCCCCUUCCUUUUUCCGCCACAGUCAUCAUAAUGGGGUUGCGAUCUGAUGUCCAUGUUUCCAAAGUUUCAGCGGCAAAUUCAAGAAACAUAUUCCCCCAUUCUUUAUUGCACAAGAAACAGUCUAAUCUUUCCUCAAUCAAAAGUGGAUUAUAUCUUUCGUUGGACCCUGUAAAUGGCCCCCCUUUACACCCCAAGUCCACCAGGUUACAUUCUGUAAUUUUGUUUCUAAAAUUCUGCAUCGUACCUAAUUCUCUAUCAUUUUCUCCUAUUUUCUCAAAAGGCCAUAGGAUUUCAAUGAAAUUUUCAAACCAAAACCAGGGCAGAAAAGAUAAGGUGGCUAACCUCAUUAACAGUGACCAUAUAUAGUGCUUUUAACUCAUUUAUGAAUGCCUAUAAAUUCCCAUACACCUCUAGUAAGUUCCAUUUUCAGCAUAUAUUACAACAUCAAUAUGGUGCAUGCUCCAAGAUUUAAUUUCCACCAACAGUUCUAAACUCCAUAUCAAAGCUAAACCACCUCUUUUUCUAGUUUUAUUAACUUCAAAAUAGUUAUCAAAAUCCAGUCUUUUACUUUUCUCUUGCAUUUGCCUAAAUACCCAAAAAUUCUUGUACACCACCAAUAAGUCCCAUUUUCAGCACAUAUUACUGCAACAAUAUAAUGCAUGCUCCAAGAUUUAAUCUUUACCAACAAUCCUGAACUCCACAUCAAAGCUAAACCACCACUUUUUCUAGAUCUAUUAACUUCAAAAUAGUUAUCAAAAUUCAGUCUUUUACUUUUCCCUUGCAUUUGCCUAGAUGUUAGCUUAAUUUCACAAAGAAAAAUAAGCUCAAACAUUUGCAUUUUGAGCAAUUUUUUAGCUUCACGAAAUGUUGGGUCGCUCCCCAAUCCCCAAAUGUUCCAUCUAAUGAUAUUCAUGGCUAUCGGUAGGGCUGGUAACCAACCUCCACUGAUAUUAAUUCAGUAAUUCCCAUUGCCAACUCGCUUGUUUCUCCAUCUUGUUUCUCCUCUAUUUCCAUACUUAGUUUCUGUUUGGCUCUUGGUGAGAUGAGAACUGAAAACUUCAUUGGGCCACAUAUUUUCUUUCAUUUUUGCUUCUGGAAUUGCCCCAUUCGCUUCUCUAACUUCACUUACUGGCCUUUUUGCUGAAAUAGGCCAAUUUUGCAUUUCACUUUUUUUUUUCUCUAUUUUAUCCUUCUUUCUUGCUUGCACUUUCCACUUCCUUCGUUUGGGCCUCAGCAUAUGGCCAUUGGGCUCAUUUUCAACUUCUCUUAUCGUUGGAAUUGGAUUGGUAUUUUCCCGUUCAACUUUCUCGUUGCUAAGUGCGAACUUUCCCCUUUCCCAAAUUCAGCUUUGCUUGUAGUUUUUGUGCCUCCCGUCUUUUUCCUUCAUCAUCGAGGUUAGCCAUAUCUAGCUUUUGUCCCCCUACUGAUGUUGACUUCACUAACUAUCACCCUUAGGUUUGACAGCUAUCAAUCACUCGCCUCAUCUUUCUAUCCUUUUACACUAAAUGCUCCUCUGAACUUGGUGAUUCUCGGGUUCAAUUUGCACCGGUAUCCUAAUCCGAUUAUUCACUAUAAUUUGAGGUUUGGUGCUCUUUGUUUUUAAAGUUAGGAUUUCUAGAUGAAGUUGGUCAUUCGUCCCUUUGAUUCUCCCAAACUACAUUCCCUCUCCCUCUAUCUCUUCAUCGCCUCAAUUUUUCAGUUAUAGUCUGAGCUUUAGUCCAUGGCCCAUAGGGCAAAUCUUCCUUGGCCAAAUUUUUGUAUGCUACACAUUCUUUAUAUUGGUGCCCAAUAUAGCCACAACAGUAGCAAAACUUCGACAACUUCUCAUAUUGGUUUGUUAUUGGGAUUUGUUCUUUAUCUUCUUUUGCCUCAUUUUAUAGGGAAAAUAUGUGGUGCAACUGCCGUGCCACAGUUGUAUUCAGCCGUUGGAUAUCAGUGAACCCCACUCAUGUAAGUGCAUCCAACGACUGGAUGCGAGUAUGGCACGAUACCACAGUUGCACCGUAGGUGAACCCCAUCUUGUGUAUCUUCCUGCAUCACCCUUCGCUCGUCUUCUUGCAUGUCUUCUCGUUCUCCCAUUAUCCCCAACGUUAUGAUUUUUGUUAGUGGCUCAGUGAUAUCAAUUGAGUGAAUUGACACUCUAAGCCAAAUGAUCUGUCCCAUAACAUCUCCAUUAGCAUUUGUUCCCACUUCUGCUACUUUCCUAAUUGCUCAACCAGUCUCUACUAAUAUUUCUUUAUCCGUACACAUAAUGGGCAUAUUUUGGAGUUGUACCCAAAAUGAUGUAUUUUAAAUGACUGUUUAAAGACUUCCUCAAUGCCCACGGGCUCUGUAAAAACUAUGAGAGCGUUAUUGAAAUGCCAUGGUCCAUUUGUUAACACAUGCCUUUUGUUCACUGUCAGUUCCAAACUUUAACAUGAAUACGCUAUCUGCCAAAGUCUCAACUUUGACUCAAAUCAACAAAAGGUUCCCUAAAAAGUGGUGUUUAGAGACUAAUUGAAUGUUAAAUAAAGAAAAACAGCAAAUUAAUUGUUUUUUUUUCUCUAACUGAGAUGAUUGAGUCUUGCUUAUUGCAGUGAAUUAUGAAUAAAUGGUUUUUUUUCGGUUCUAAUUGUUGAUGAGAUCGCGAUGGUGAGAAAAAAAAUGGAUACAAGUGGGAAUUAUGGAGUGAACGGGUAAAAGAUUAAAACACAUCAAUUAAUUUGCUGUCAGAAUAAUUAAUUAAAAAAAUAAAUCAUGACCCUUCAAUUUAAUAAUGCCACAUGUCAAAAUAUCUCAAAAGAGAUCUGAUACUAAUCAAUAUAAGAGCUUUUGUUUUUUUAGUGUAUUAAAUCAUAUGGUAUCCGAAAAUUACAUUUCACCCAACAAGUAUUUAACGCAGAUGCAUUCUCAAGUUUCGAACCGAGGACCUUAGUUAAGCUAAAACAACCUCAUGCAAGUUUAUCUACGCGCUUAUUGGUAUAUAAGAGCAUCUUACUAGUAGACCUAGAUCUACAUUAAGAGGAUAACUGCUGUAUUUUUUUCUCCUUAAAACUUCAAGAAUUGUGUGAUUUUCCUCUUUUUUUUUUUUUCUUUUUUGCCAAUUCUUCUUGUACUACAUCCAUUGCUUGAACCUCAUGUUUCAUCAUAUAUGCUUGCGUAAAAAGUUUCUUUUAGUCCAGGCAAAUGAUUGUUUGAGUAGACAUGGUGUUGAAGAAGUUUAAAACAAAGAAAAAUCAUAAUUGAACGAGUGAGUUUGAUUGGAGUCCAAAUAAUAAUACUACUAUUACAACAGCAUGCAGGAAGGGAAAUUGGAAAGCAAUUGUUUUGAUUACAUUUUCUAUCUAAAUAAAUGGAAGGCUUCUAUUUUAUUUGUAUUUGUAGCUAACGAAGGAAAUGAUAAACAUAAAUAAUGAUUAAUAAUUUCUUUUUCUUUUUUUUUGGAUUUCUAGUAAAGAAAGAAGAAGACAAUGUACAUAACAACUUGUUGUUCUGUUGUUCAUCUUUUUAUUUUUUUUUAUUUUUUUUUCCAUUUUCAUUCAGAUGAAGAUGAACAUUUUCGGAGUCUUGCCAAGCAAUUAUCUUUAGGCCUUGUAUGCGGUAAAUACAUCACUUGACAUCCUGGAUUCAGCCGUUCCACCCUAUAACAUCCAAUUUACAAAUACUCACGUAAAUAAUAUUUGCACAAAUAACUUUGAAACAGCCUAAAAGAAGAAGAGUUUGAGUUUGCAAGAUAACUCACCGAUAAUUGAGCAGAAAAUAGUGAAGAAAUAUAGUUAUUUCAAGCUUGGCAAGAUCAUUUCCAGGGCACAACCUGCUGCCUCCACCAAAGGGAAGGAAAGUUCCAGCUUUGGCUGUGUAAUUCUGUGCUUGGUUUACAGAAACAACAACAACAUCAUCAUUAGAUCAUAUAAUUAUAGAUAUAUGGCAAGCAUAUGCAUUAACUAACAUAUUAAGAUUAUUUAAAUAAACAAAUCUACAACUUACAUCCCAUCUGGAAGGAUUGAAUUCUUUUGGAUUUGGAUAAAUUUCAGGAUCCAAAUGAACACUUCUGAACCAAACCAGAACUUUCCAACCCUUUGGAAUGGUGUACCCUGAAAUGAAACACAUUCCGACUUGGUUAAGUAAACCAUUAGCUUGUGCGCUGUGACUUAUCAAAUCAUGCUUAUCCAGGGCCAGGGGAGACUAGUAAAAAUAUUUCUUCAUGUUCAUCAAAUAAAUUGAACUGACCACUUAUAUUGACAUCUGUUUUGGCUUCUCGGAACACCGUGAGUGAGAAUGUGAUUAUACGAAGCGUUUCAUCAACCACCUUCAGAGAAGGGGGAAAAAAGUUCAGAGAAGGGAAAAAGAAAAAAAAACACAAAGAAAAGGAUUUUGAGUUUGGAUUGAACAUUCAAUUCGAUUGACUCAUCAAAACAGUCAAAUCAUAAACCUUAGAAAGAUAAUCCAUUUCUCGAAUUUCUUUAAGGGUCAAACCCUUCUGUGUAGGUGGCCUUUUUUUAACAAUCAUCUCUUGCUCUGCCUAUAGAACAAAAGUAAGCAAAGGUCAAAUUACAAGGACAAUGUAAAACUUGCAAAAUAAAAGAGAACAGAGUUGCUGGUGUUGAUGAUGGACUCGUAAAAAGACAUUUAAAUUAUUUGUGUUGGGGUUACCUUAGCUUUUUGAAGAAAUUCAGGGUGUUCUUGCAAGAAAAUAGUAGCCCACAUCAUGGUAUGGCCAGAAGAUUCAUGGCCAGCAUUCAAGUACAUCAACAGAACAUCAAUGAUUUCCUCGUCUUCCAAUUUUCUGCCAUUUUCAUCCUCAACACUCAGCAGGGCAUCCAUCAUGUCUUUCUUCUUUGGAAAGUUAUCAUCCUUGCUCCGAUUUCUUCGAUCAUCCACUACAGACUGUAGUGUUGCCACAAGAUUUUUCCGAGCCUGAAACAACAAAGAAAUUCAUCAUUGAAUUAAUUAAGUAACAUCCACUACAGACUAUGUUAAUUAAUCGUUACAUGAUAAAAGAAAAGAAAACAACUGACCUUAAGAGCCUUAUGAUAGGCAAAUCCAGGAAGAUUGAUAGCCAUGGCUCUAACUCCACAGUUAAGUUUAGUGUAUUCCCUCUCCAAAGCCUCGAGUACAUGGUCACUCUCAGAGCUAAGAAAAAUAUACAUGAUUAUCCUGAACGUAAGCCUCCGGAGUUGAGUUAAGAAUUCGAUUCGUUCCAAAUUGGACCAUUUGUCUAAGGCAGAGGUCACAAUGUCUUCAAUGUAAUGCACAUAGACAGACAAUGCUUCAUGACCAUUGACAGGAGCGGCCGUUAAGCGACGAAGACGCUUGUGUUCUUCGUAGGAAAUGCCAAUAAAUGAUUUCUUCCCAAUGAGUUCCAUCGUGGAAGCUGGCCAUCCGGGCUUGAAUGCAUCAUCAUCCGUUAGUACUCUUUUGCAGGUUUCGGGCGUUGUAACUAUUAUACUUGGGUUCCCGAACAUGAAUGCCUUGUACAUUCCCGUCCGUCCGAAUCUAAUCAAUUUUUCAUUUCGAAACAAAAAUUAAAUAAAAUGAUAAUAAUAAUAAUUAUUAGCACUUUAUUAUUUAGUAGACUGCAUGUAUAUAGGACAUUUAGUUAUUGGUUCAGGCCAAGAUUUCUUUCACUAUUAAUUAAUAGCUACUAAAUACAACAAUGUUAUGAAAACGCGGAACACCUUACAUCUUCAAGUCACAUCCUUUAGAUUAGAAACUAUCAGUCUUUUUAAUUAUUCGUGAUUUUUCUCAAUUUUUUUGUGGAACCCCAACCCACACUAAUAAAUAUCAUUAGAUAAAUGGACCUUACUGGCCUCCGCUCGUAACCCCACUACCUACUAUCACCAGAUAAUGGCGCUCUAUCAAUGAUUUAUUGAAAUUGCCUCCAUUAGGUAAAUCUUUUUUGUUCACCAAUUUUUGAAUUAAAAGAAAAAAAAAAUUAUCACCAACAGUGUAUUAAAAAUCUAUUAGCUAUUAUCUCAUCAACGCUGAAUGAGUAUAUAAAAAAAAAAAAAGAUUAAAUUGAGGGGGGAAAAAAAGAGAGAGAAGUAAAACAAUUUAAUUAUUAGAAUAUAUAAAUAUAAUAAAAUGAAAGAUACAGUGUGUCAAAAGAAAAAAUGAAAAGUGAGGAAGGAGAUGAAGGAAGCGGUGGAGAUGAUGAGAUGAAAGCUGAGAGGAACUGGGAGUGGGAAGGCGAAAAUUGCAAAAAUGGGGUUGGAUUUGGGAUUGGGGGAUGGGGGAUGGGCUAAAAAUAUAAAAAAGAUCGACUGACGGUGGCGGUGGAAAUAAGUAGGAGUUUUGCAUAAAUAUAUUAGGACCAUGAGUAUGGCAGUGAAAAUGACAAAAAGGAGUCUGUAUGAACCGUUGCCGUGUGACGUCUUUGAUUCCCGUACUCAUUAACGUACAUAGAGAUGAGAUGGAAUGGGAUGAGAUGCUGCAAUACAAAUACAAAUACAAAGACACAAUAACACAUCACCCCCCAUUUAUGGCCACACCAUUACCAUACCCCAUGGCAUUUUGGUACUUUUCUAAGAUCUAAGGCACACCAACGCAACGAAUUUGGUUAGCUAAUAGCUAACAAAAAUAUAAUAGAAGAACUCAAAAGAAAAUGAAAACAGACAGAGAGAGGGGUACCUGGAGACGAAGCUAUCCACGAAGGAAUCAGGGUGAGUGGUCUUGAAAGCUCUGAGGAAAGACCACAUAUUUCCGAUGAAAGGCCAUCCCAUAUCACCCGGUGGAAGAGAGUACUGCUUUUCACCUAAUUUUCUUUCAUACAACCACCAAUUAACUCUCUUCAUGACCCAUUUCAGAAUCAUCAUUGAACCACCAAUCAUGCUUCCCACCACCCCCACCCCCCAAAUCCAACUCCAACUGCUAUCGGAAUUCAUCAUCCACUCCAUUUUUCGAUCGAUAAACCACCCAACCAACACCAUCACCUUUAACUCACCACCCCUUAAUACUGUUAAUAAUAAAGACUCGUAGUGAGGCUCAGAGCUGAGACAUUCCUCUCAGUCUCUUUCCUUGUACUAUAUGCCCCCCCACACACACACACCCACCCCACAGUCAACUGGAGUUAUUAUAUAUUGAGGGGGUGAUUUUUAUUUGGAAGGGCGGGAGGGUAUAGAUAAUUAAGGAAACCUAAGCUUGCCGGCCCAUAUCUGUUUCUUUGUCCUCCUCUCAAUAAAAAUAGACAUUGAGGGGGUGAUUUUCAUUACCUUUUCUAUUUCUCACAUCCCCUUUUUUUCCCCCCUCUCUUCCUUUUUUUCAACUUAUACCUUAUUUCUUCUUUCCUUGUAUAAAAUAAACUAUCUGAAAUAUUUUUGCAUAAUAUAAUUACUAAUAACAGCCUUAUUCCCUAUGUGGAUAAUCAACCAAAUGAAUUUCUUUCAUUUCUAGUGUUAUGUCGUCAACAAUAAUCAUUUUAGGCAUUCUUGCUUAAUGACUGACAGAAAAGUUUCCAUCAUCAUUAUUUGGAUUCCUAGUCAGAUCCAAAACAAUAAAUCUAUGGGAAAAUAACAAGCACACCCCCAACCUUUAAGUAAAGGGAUAAAAAAUUUUCUAACAUUUUAAAAAAAAUAUUUACACCCUAAUUUAUUAUAAUUUUGCCAUUAUAUCCUUCUAGCAUAUAAAAAAAUUAUUAGAUUAUUCAAUUUAUCUAGGGAUGGCAAUGGGGAGGGGAGGGGAGGGGAGGGGACUAAUCUCUCCAUACCCAUCUCCGAUAUUUUGCGUAUGUCCCCGUCCCCUCCCCAUCCCCGUCAGAAUUGCUUGAAAGAAUCUUCAUCCCUUCCCCAAAUAAUAACAGGGGAUCCCUGAGGAUUCCCGAUCCUCUAAUAACUAAUACAUAUUUUUUUUAUUUUUGAUUUUGAAUUAAUUAUAUUAAAAUAAAAAAUUCAAACAAAAGUAAAGUUCGAAAUAUAUUUUACAUUAACAUUGAUCUAUUAUAAAAGUCACAUGCAAAAUACAAAUUAUCAAAAUAAUUAUCUUUGUCAAUCUUCAUAAUCCUACAAUAAAAAGAAAAAGAAUUUACUUUUAUAUCGACAAUAAAAUAAAUGAAAUAAAUGUAGAUACUUAAUUAAUAUUUUUAAUAAAACAAAAUUAAAAUUAAAACAAAAUUUUUGGGCUAAUAGAAUCUACCCGACCUUUUUAAUGUCCUAAAUAAAAAUUUAAGAGGGGAUGGGGAUUCCACCUCAUCCCCGCCCCUUCCCCGAAUAAGAAACUGGGUAAAAAAAUUUUCUCGUCCCUUCCCCGAAUAAGAAAUUGGGUAUAAAAGUAUCCUCGUACCCUCCCCAAAUGGGAAAAAUCCCCGAAGGUACCCGUCCCCAUGGGAAUUUUUGCCAUCCCUAAAUUUAUCUAUAUAUUGCUAAUAAAAUUAUAAAUAUACCCUCAUUGCCUCAUUCCUCUAUUUAAAUUUUUAUCAAUAACCAAUUUUCAAAAAAGACAUCUACACACUUAAAAAAAAAUUGUAAAUAAAUUAUAAUUUUAAAAAUAAAAUUGGUUAUUAAUACCAUAAUAAAUAACAUAGAAAAUUGGUUAUAAAUGUACAAGUUUAAAUGAUUGACAUGUGGAGAAUUGUUAAAUAUACAAGUUUAAAAUUUAAAUAAAAUUGAUUAUUAAUAACUAAUUUUAUUUUUAAAAUUAUAAUUUAUUUACAAUUUUUUUAGGUGUAUAGAUGUCUUUUUUGAAAAUUAGUUAUUGAUAAAAAUUUAAAUAGAGGAAUUGGGCAAUGAGGGUAUAUUUAAAUUUUUUUUAUAAUGUCGAAUUUAUCUAUUUACAAUUUUAUUAACAAUAUAUAGACAAAUUGGAUAAUUUAAUAAAAAAAUUUAUAUGUUAGAAGGGCAUAAUGGUAAAACUAUAAUAAAUUGGGGUGUAAAUAUCUUUUUUAAAACGUUAGGGGGAUUUUUAUCCCUUUGCCUAAAUGUUGGGGGUGUGUUUGUCAUUUUUCCUAAAUCUAUAUACCCUUGUUAACAUUAAUUUCUGUCCAACUACUCAUUUACCUUGCAUCUGUCACAACGACACAUGUAAGAUAUGAUACACAAUAAUUUGAAAUUAAUAAAAAUUAAGAAAAAAAGGAAUAAAUAGCUAAAACUGAAGUAAAUUUCCUAAACUUUUGCGGGCGCCCUUAAAAUUCAUAUUCACAAUUAUGAUCUGCACAUAAUUAUUGGAACACAAUCAAAGUUACUACUCUAGUGAGUUUGAUAAUGCUGAAUCUUUUAAAAUGAUUGCUGAUAGUUGUGUUGUAUAAAUAAUGAACUGUAAAAAAAAUCAGUUAAACAUUUAGAAAAAUUUAUUUUUAAAACUACUGUGAGUUUUAAAAGUAGUAACAUGUAUUUAAUAAAUCUUAUUAUCAAACUAUUAUAAGAAUAUAAAUGACUGAAUUACACAUUAUAUUAAAUAAAAUUUAUUUAAAUAUUUAUAAACAUGUAUAUAAAACAUUUUUUAUUGUGUACAUAUAAUAUCUUAUAUUGUUUAUUUUAUUUUAUUAUCUCAAUAUAAUUAGUAGUUUUUGCGGUUAAUGAUUUUAUUUUCUAAUUAAUAAGGAUAAUUUUGUGUUUUUGUAAUUUAUAUGAAGAUAUAUACGAAAUUACAUUAAAUAUGAAAAUAAUUUUCAAAAUUAGAUUUUGAAAAGCUACUUAUUUUUUACUUUUCAAAAUCUAUUAUAAGAUAAAGUGAUUUUAUCAAAAGUAAUUUUUUAAAAAAUUUAUCAAAUACUAAAAAUUAAUUUUUAUCUUUUUAAAAUAACUUUUAAAUCCCAAACGGAGCCUUUAAUCUUAUUUAGAUCACCCUUUACUUCCGCCUAAGUAUUCCCGAUUGAUACAGUAGUCAAUAUGCAAAAAUCGACCUUUAAAUAAAUGAAAGGCUUGAAGUGAAGUGAGAUGUAGUCAUGUAGAGGAUCGAUCCGACUAAAAUUGACAAAUAUGUUCAUGUUGCAUGUAUUUUCAAUAAAAGUAGGGAUUCGCAUAAAAACUAGUGGUUCUUUUUUUUUUAUUAUUAUAUGAGAUUAUUGCUCAAGAGUACAAAUUAUAUUACAUGAGAUUAUAAUUAAUAUUUACAAAUCAGACUGUUACUAGGACUAGUUUACAUUAAUUUACAUUAAUUCUUAUGAAGUAUCGCCUAGAUUUUAACCCUCUCUAAUAUUCGAGGAACGUCUACUCUACUCACAUUUCGAAAGAGAGAAUAUUAUUUUCACUCAAAUUGAGAAAGAAAAUUAAACCCCACGAUACAUCGUGGGGACUCAAAUCCAUAACCUCACACUUGUGAGGUUUGGGUAUAGACUUAAAAAAAAAAAAAACUAGUGGUUCUUAAAUAGUAAAUUCCAAAGCUGCACAAAAUUUUAAAACAACUUUGGGAAAAGGCCAUACUGAGUGUCCCUUAAAGUUACAACCACAACAAUGGGGCUCGUGCUAACUAUUUCAUAAUUCUUUUUUUUCCUCAACCAAAAUUUAUCCUUUAUAUAUUUAAUGUGAUGUACACAAACAAACCCUUUUUUUUUUUCUUCGAAGCUGAAGACACACUAACACUUUUUUUUUAUUACAUGAUAUUGAUUACAACUUAUAUUUACAAAUCAGAUUAUUAUUGAGAUCAAUUUACAUAUACUUAUGGAGCUCUACAUAGAUUUUUAAUCAACUUACGUAUACUUAUGGAGCUCACUAUUACUAGACCAACUUACAUAUACUUAUAGAGCUCUGCUUAGAUUUUUAACCAACUUACAUAUACUUAUAGAGCUUUACCUACAUUUUUAAUCAACUUACAUAGACUUAUGGAGCUCUACAUAGAUUUUUGAUCAACUUACAUAUACUUUUGGAGCUCACUAUUACUAGACCAACUUACAUAUACUUAUAGAGCUCUGCUUAGAUUUUUAGCCAACUUAUAUAUACUUAUAGAGCUCUACCUACAUUUUUAAUCAACUUACAUAUACUUUUGGAACUCUGCCCAAAUUUUUAACCAACUUACAUAUACUUAUGGAGCUCUGGCCAGAUUUUUAACCAACUUACAUAUAUUUAUGAAACUUUACCCAAAUUUUUAUAUUCGAGAGAUGUGUACUCCAUUCACACUUGGAUAAGGGAUAAAACUAUAUUCACUCAAUUAUACAUUGUAAUUAAAGAAGAAAAUACCUCACAUUGCGUUUGUAGGGGUUCGAACUCCAGCUCUUUGGCCGAGUAACAUACAAGCACUCUGAUUCUUGAUAUGCACUUGCCACAAUUGUGACUCUACAGUACUAGCGCAUAUUUUCAUUUAAUGUAACAUAAUUAGUAGGCCAUGCUUAUUAAUCCGCCUUAAUUAUUUUAAGCAAAAUUAUUUAGGCGAACAAAAUAGAAAGACAAAACAAGGCCAAUCCCGUUGACAAUUGUUCGUUCACAACCAUCUAAAUCUAAUUUCCGCUGCUGCCUUGUGCUACACAUAGAUAUCUGGAGAUAUUAAGACUUUGAUUCAAGAUACACAAAUAAAGUAAAAGAUUUGUUUUAAUCAUCUGAAUCAAAAAAUAUUUUUUUUUUCUAAUUCGAAUUUAGAAAAGGAAGAUUUUAUUUAUUUAUUAAAAAAAAAAAUUUUGUAGUAGGGUAGAAUUCCAAUUGCAAUAGAAACUGAUUUUUUUUUUUUUUUUUGUAAUACAGCUAGUCCAACAUCUAAUUGAUUUGAUCGGAUAAAUUAAUAGCGAAGAAAAAAGGGGGACAACAAAUAAGCUUUCGAUCACUGCUUUGCCUACCGUACAAGGGUUGUGUUGCUGUCCUGCAUGACGGAAGACGGAUGUCAAGUCCUAGGACAGCUUAUCUCUAAAUAACAACGGUCAAUGCUCAACUCCUGAAAUAAAUAAAUAAUGCGGUCUGCGAGAAUCCAAAAAAUUAUUCCUAAAUCUCCUGCACUUACUAACUUCCGGUGCCGUCGGUGCAGUUGUGACAUGCAGAGAAGAACUACCAAGACAAAAGAAAGAGGAUGCCCCAAAAAACAGAUCAAAACAAAAUAACAACACUACAACAGCCUUCAACAUAGCCCUGUUUAGUGUUAAUGAAUUAAACAGAUCAAAUAUAUAUACUCGUUCAUGGACCAUAGAAAAGCCUCGUCACACAACCAGGACUUCGGUAAUUGUAAAGACGUUAACUUCAAGUUCAAGAAAUGCAUUUUGGGUGUCGCUCAUAAAGAUUAUUAUGAGUCCCCGCAUUUUGGUAUCGCAUUCGCGCGUGUCCUAUCUCGCAACAGAACAUGAGUUUUAUAUUACAAGUUGCCAUUUAAAAAUAAGUUUUUAUCAUGCAAAAAGAAAACAAAAGAAAAGAAAACAAACAACAAAGGUUUCCACACCCAACACA
Molecule: long non-coding RNA, 386396 nt
Filed under: Citrus sinensis (sweet orange)
Lineage: Eukaryota; Viridiplantae; Streptophyta; Magnoliopsida; Sapindales; Rutaceae
Description: long non-coding RNA (CSIN_LNC000029)
Rfam family: Eukaryotic small subunit ribosomal RNA (bases 317546-318039)
Source: RNAcentral